UUCUUUUUUUUUUUUUUUUUUUUUUUUUUUUUUUUUUUUUGUUUUUUUUUUUUGUUUUUUUUUUUUGUUUUUUUGUUUUUUUUUGUUUUGGUUUUUUUGUUUUUUGUUGUUUUUUUUUUUUUUUGUGUUGUUGUUUUUUGUGUUUUUUUGUUUUUUUUUGUGGUUUGGUUUUUUUAUUGUUUUUUUUUUUUUUNNNNNNNNNNNNNNNNNNNNNNNNNNNNNNNNNNNNNNNNNNNNNNNNNNNNNNNNNNNNNNNNNNNNNNNNNNNNNNNNNNNNNNNNNNNNNNNNNNNNNNNNNNNNNNNNNNNNNNNNNNNNNNNNNNNNNNNNNNNNNNNNNNNNNNNNNNNNNNNNNNNNNNNNNNNNNNNNNNNNNNNNNNNNNNNNNNNNNNNNNNNNNNNNNNNNNNNNNNNNNNNNNNNNNNNNNNNNNNNNNNNNNNNNNNNNNNNNNNNNNNNNNNNNNNNNNNNNNNNNNNNNNNNNNNNNNNNNNNNNNNNNNNNNNNNNNNNNNNNNNNNNNNNNNNNNNNNNNNNNNNNNNNNNNNNNNNNNNNNNNNNNNNNNNNNNNNNNNNNNNNNNNNNNNNNNNNNNNNNNNNNNNNNNNNNNNNNNNNNNNNNNNNNNNNNNNNNNNNNNNNNNNNNNNNNNNNNNNNNNNNNNNNNNNNNNNNNNNNNNNNNNNNNNNNNNNNNNNNNNNNNNNNNNNNNNNNNNNNNNNNNNNNNNNNNNNNNNNNNNNNNNNNNNNNNNNNNNNNNNNNNNNNNNNNNNNNNNNNNNNNNNNNNNNNNNNNNNNNNNNNNNNNNNNNNNNNNNNNNNNNNNNNNNNNNNNNNNNNNNNNNNNNNNNNNNNNNNNNNNNNNNNNNNNNNNNNNNNNNNNNNNNNNNNNNNNNNNNNNNNNNNNNNNNNNNNNNNNNNNNNNNNNNNNNNNNNNNNNNNNNNNNNNNNNNNNNNNNNNNNNNNNNNNNNNNNNNNNNNNNNNNNNNNNNNNNNNNNNNNNNNNNNNNNNNNNNNNNNNNNNNNNNNNNNNNNNNNNNNNNNNNNNNNNNNNNNNNNNNNNNNNNNNNNNNNNNNNNNNNNNNNNNNNNNNNNNNNNNNNNNNNNNNNNNNNNNNNNNNNNNNNNNNNNNNNNNNNNNNNNNNNNNNNNNNNNNNNNNNNNNNNNNNNNNNNNNNNNNNNNNNNNNNNNNNNNNNNNNNNNNNNNNNNNNNNNNNNNNNNNNNNNNNNNNNNNNNNNNNNNNNNNNNNNNNNNNNNNNNNNNNNNNNNNNNNNNNNNNNNNNNNNNNNNNNNNNNNNNNNNNNNNNNNNNNNNNNNNNNNNNNNNNNNNNNNNNNNNNNNNNNNNNNNNNNNNNNNNNNNNNNNNNNNNNNNNNNNNNNNNNNNNNNNNNNNNNNNNNNNNNNNNNNNNNNNNNNNNNNNNNNNNNNNNNNNNNNNNNNNNNNNNNNNNNNNNNNNNNNNNNNNNNNNNNNNNNNNNNNNNNNNNNNNNNNNNNNNNNNNNNNNNNNNNNNNNNNNNNNNNNNNNNNNNNNNNNNNNNNNNNNNNNNNNNNNNNNNNNNNNNNNNNNNNNNNNNNNNNNNNNNNNNNNNNNNNNNNNNNNNNNNNNNNNNNNNNNNNNNNNNNNNNNNNNNNNNNNNNNNNNNNNNNNNNNNNNNNNNNNNNNNNNNNNNNNNNNNNNNNNNNNNNNNNNNNNNNNNNNNNNNNNNNNNNNNNNNNNNNNNNNNNNNNNNNNNNNNNNNNNNNNNNNNNNNNNNNNNNNNNNNNNNNNNNNNNNNNNNNNNNNNNNNNNNNNNNNNNNNNNNNNNNNNNNNNNNNNNNNNNNNNNNNNNNNNNNNNNNNNNNNNNNNNNNNNNNNNNNNNNNNNNNNNNNNNNNNNNNNNNNNNNNNNNNNNNNNNNNNNNNNNNNNNNNNNNNNNNNNNNNNNNNNNNNNNNNNNNNNNNNNNNNNNNNNNNNNNNNNNNNNNNNNNNNNNNNNNNNNNNNNNNNNNNNNNNNNNNNNNNNNNNNNNNNNNNNNNNNNNNNNNNNNNNNNNNNNNNNNNNNNNNNNNNNNNNNNNNNNNNNNNNNNNNNNNNNNNNNNNNNNNNNNNNNNNNNNNNNNNNNNNNNNNNNNNNNNNNNNNNNNNUUUCACGGCCCAUACAAGAGCACAGUGCCCAAGUCGAAAAUUGAUACUCAUUCUCUUCUUCCAAUGCAUCUAUGGUAACAAGUACUUUGCUCCUGUCUAUCUAGCUAAUUGUACACGAAUAUGCUCCUACUCUAAUCAUAUAUAAGGUCUAGAAGCAUUCUUGAUCGAGUUAAGGUAAUAUCUAUCUUAUCAUAUCCUUCGAAGCUUUUUAACUACUUCCUCUAGGGAAGCUAUUAUGUUGAACAUGUUCGCAGGUUAUAAUGAAAGCAUUUAGCUCAAAGAAGAGAAAGUCAAGUAGGUCAGGCGAACUUCAAGACUGAAACCGCAAGCUCUUGGUGUGGGGGGGGGGGGGGGGCAGGGCAAAGAUACAGUAAGGCUGUCAAGUAUCAGGCUCAGAUCAUCUGGAGAAUACUCAAAGGAACUCUCGAGUUGGUUGAUAAGGGCAAUUCUAUUCUCCAGCACCUGUUAAAAAUCGAUAUGAAGUUAGCAUGCUGCAAUUGACUUCAUUGCACGAAUGUCAUAUUAAGCCGCUUACUAACAUGUAAUCGCUGUUUCAGAAGAAAAAUGCAAUGUCUGAACUCUGAAAGCAAAUGGAAAUGAACAGAACAAUUAAUUGCUAACUAGCAUCACAACAACCAGACAUGAGACCUCCAAUACAAAUGGGGAGCUUACCAAUGAGCUCGGCAAACACUACUCCCAUCCACCCACACAAAACGCGUCUGCUAGUGUCUAUUGAUUGGCAAUCAAAUUAAUUCCAAGUUUCACGAGCGCGUACCCAAUCAGUGCACCGCUGCGAAUUCAUGGCGGCCUGGACCAAAUCAAACCCUAGGGGGAGGGGAACGGGCGAAGCGGAACCGCGAAACCGGCGCCUCGACGAGAAGCGAGGGAGAUGAUGGCGUACCUCGGAGGAUUUAACCGCCCCUAGGAGGGACUCCAGGUCGCCACACCUCCCCUCCGGCACGCCGCCGUCGACCUCCAUUGCUUGCUCGGUUGCUCCCUCGCUCGGCGCGUGGCUGGUUUUGCCGUUUCCCGCCUCUUCCGUUAGGCGCCCGCGCUCCCACUAAUUGGACUGAGGAAGUAUUUCUCGGGUAGGUGGAGGGUACGCUAAUUAAAAGAAUUAAAUAUAAAUUAAUUGUGAAAUUAAUUGAACGUGACUAACGAGAAGAAUCUAUUAAAUCUAAUUAAUUCAUCAUUAGCUCAUGUACUGUACCACUGCACUAUCAAAUAAUGAACUAAUUAAAUUUAAUAAAUUUAUCUUGUAAUUAAUCUUCAUCUGUGCAAUUAUAUCUCGUAAAUUAAUCAAAAUAUUUAAUGUGAUAGGAAUUAAAGGUGGAACUAAAUAUUCAAUGUAACUUUAGAUGGCUCGGCUAUUUACUUCAACAAAAGUUUGGGCUUAGCAGCGUUGCGGUGGCGCGGGCGGCGGACGUCGGCUAAUGGGCCUUACAAUCUAUUAGUCCGUUCGGCCCAGUCCUAAAGAAGUCUUCAGCUUUGAACGUCUCGUGCUCAAAGCUCAACGACUCAACGUCCUGCUUGGUGGCCAGCAAGUUGCUAGCAGAAAUAUGCAUUAUGCAAUGGUGAUAGCACUCUACGAGAUCGACGCUUUGUUUACGAAAGCCAUUGUCAGAAAGCUAUGCGAACUUUGUGGAGAGGAGGAACGUGUGUAGGCCUAGCUACACAUACAAAUGUACGCUCUCCUAAUUAGCCACUGUGAAUUAGCAUUGUUAUAGCAGUAUACUAUACAACUAUAGGAUCCCUAUAGUAGCAGUACUAUUAACAUAUUUGUUAUUUGCUAAGGCCUUGUUUACUUUCCAAUUUGGGAGUGGCAAAAUUGGUACUUUGCCAUAAAUGCGCAACUGUAGCGUUUCGUUUGUAUUUGUGAAUUAUUGUCCAAAUAUUGACUAAUUAGGCUCAAAAGAUUCAUCUCGCAAAGUACAACAAAACUGUGCAAUUAGUUUUUAAUUUCGUCUACAUUUAGUACUCCAUGCAUGUACCGCAAGUUUGAUGUGAUGGGGAAUCUUCUUUUUGCAUAGUGUCAAAGUUGGGAGUUGGGAGGAAACUAAACAUGGCCUAAGCUUUUCUUCAACUUUUGUAACAGUAUUUUUUACGUCCAAGUGUACAGCAGCACAUGGCAAGGGCUGCCAUGUAUAGUAAACUUUAAGAGCCUGCAAGUAGAUCUCUGCUCAUGACAUGGUCGGCGCCAUUGACGAUCAAUUAUCAAACGAAUUACCCAAACAAUCGGACGGUUAAUAAUCCUUAAAUAAUGUUGAAAGCUGACUGCAUUUGUACAGCGGGCCUCUGCAGUCUGCACAAGGAAAGCUGACUGAUCUGCAUCGGUAUUCCCGUUGAAUUCCAGAAACUUCAGAGCACGGGUGUAGGCCAUUCAUAGGGUGUGUAGUUCGCCACUCGUCUGCAUUUGUACAGACCGCAUCCUUCGUCUUCCUCAGUUCCUCAUCUCAAAUUGAUCAUCUUGUCCAGAGUCCGUUGCUACAGUAUACCGUGCAUGAUUCUAGCUACACUUUCAGCAUGCAACUAAGCGUGGCUAACUCCAUCAUACAACUGGAGAGAGACAUCUCAAUUCGCAUCCUGUGAUCUUGCCUGAGCCUUCUUCCUUUUCGAAUUGGUCAUACCAUGCUUGAAAUGCACUUCAUCAGCACAAGUUGUUUCUCUUUGCCCUUUCCCCGGAUUGAACUUACGCCAUAGCCUUUUCUGAUGCUGACAAUGCUGUUCGUGCUUCUUGAUUCGGCAGCUGUCCAAAUCUGCAGCGAAAGGCGGUGGUGCUCGGUCGCGCCGGGCAGUCGGCGGAGCGAAGGGAGUGGACAAGGCCGCGGCGAACGCGCUGCCGCCUCUGCGGCUCCUCGCCACCCUCGCCGUGAUAGUUUGGACCCUGUUCCUCUACUUGCAAUUCUCCGUGCUCAGCGCCGCGGUGGAGGUGGUGGAGGUGAGCCAUGGUGCUGACAGCGCCGACCCGUGCCGGGGCCGGUACGUCUACGUGCACGACCUGCCGCCGCGCUUCAACGCCGACAUCAUCCGCGACUGCCGCAAGACCGAGGACCACUGGGGCGACAUGUGCGGGUUCAUCAGCAACGCCGGCCUCGGCCGGCCGCUCGCCGACCGCGCCGACGGCGUCAUCACCGGCGAGGCCGGGUGGUACGGCACGCACCAGUUCCCGCUCGACUUCAUCUUCCACAACCGGAUGAAGCAGUACGAGUGCCUCACCAACCACUCCGCCGUGGCCAGCGCCGUGGUCGUCCCGUUAUACGCCGGCUUCGACCUCGCCCGCUACCACUGGGGCUACGACAACGCCACCAGGGACGCCGCGUCCGUGGACCUGGCGGAGUGGCUCAUGGCGCGUCCCCAGUGGCGGCGCAUGGGUGGGCGCGACCACUUCCUCGUCGCCGGCCGGACGGGCUGGGACUUCCGGAGGAGCAACAACGUCGACCCGGACUGGGGCAACGACCUCCUCGCCAUGCCGGCCGGCCGGAACAUGUCGGUGCUCGUGCUCGAGUCCACGUUCCUGCACAGCAGCGACUACUCCGUGCCGUACCCGACCUACUUCCACCCCAGGUCCGACGCCGACGUGCUCCGGUGGCAGGACAGGGUGCGCGGCCAGCGGCGGGAGUGGCUCAUGGCGUUCGUCGGCGCGCCGCGGCCGGACGUUCGAAUGGACAUCCGGAUCCGGGAUCAGGUCAUCGCGCAGUGCAAGGCGUCCAGCGCGUGCGCCCUGCUGGCGUGCGCGCGCGCCCCCGGCAGCCCCCAGUGCCACGCCCCCGGCGACAUCAUGCGGCUUUUCCAGAAGGCAAGCUUCUGCCUGCAGCCGCCUAGGGACUCGUGCACGCGGCGGGUCGGCGUUCGACUCCAUGGUGGCCGGGUGCAUCCCGGUGUUCUUCCACACGGCGUCGGCGUACAGGCAGUACCGGUGGCACCUCCCAAGGACCACCUUCAACUACUCCGUGUACAUCCCNNNNNNNNNNNNNNNNNNNNNNNNNNNNNNNNNNNNNNNNNNNNNNNNNNNNNNNNNNNNNNNNNNNNNNNNNNNNNNNNNNNNNNNNNNNNNNNNNNNNUCAGCGCCAUAAGCUUUGACGCUGGUUGCACAUGUGGCCGUGACCUGGCAGCUCGGCGCUACAGGUCUCGGCGCCGAGCUCCCCAACCAACAAAACUAGCCGUUGCCACUUUCUGCGUAUCACCGACUCAUUCGGUGGUGCGCAAGGGUGGUCACCAUAUCAAUUGGUGGAUGCCACCUCAGCUAGUCGUUGGGCCAUCCACGCCCACUAACGUCUCGGCCCAAAUCACCUAGGUGGUGGUCAAGACAAGCCACCGAACUAGUAAGUGACUUGCCUGGACCCAAGUUCAUCAAUCCAAUAAGAGGUAGAAUUGAACCUCUCACGGGUACCGAAGAACCUUUCGCAUACAAUAGCUACUAAGUAUUUGAGGAUGAGAAAGUACUAACACCAGCAUCAGAUAUCUUUAUAUUUCUUAUACAUUGAAAGCUUGAAUUUAAACAUAAGGUAGCAAGGAAAUACAAUGUAUCAAUACGAGCAUGCCAUAAUUAUUUAAAGAGACUGAUCAAUGGCUAGACAAAUAGCAGCAUCUUUUAUUCUUCCUUAUGCUGACAAACUCGAACCCUUUCAGAUAGAAGGGCAUUUGAGUAAUAACAGGAUUACCUCAUGAAAAAGCUCCAUCUAACAUGCCAGCUUCAAGUUGUUACCUUUUCAUAAAACAUGCCCUAGUACAAACCUCUAGAGGAGGAUGAAAAGAAAGGGUAAAGAGUGGCCCUGAAAACUGAUGGUCUCAAUUGUCUCCCACUAUAUUUAGGAACUGUUCAGCUGAUGCAGGAGAUUAGGUGGUCUGCUCAGGUGGGCAAUCAAUGGCAACGGGCCGACAGCAACAAAAAUGCAGUUCAAUUUGACUGCACAUAACCAAACAAGAAAAAAAGGUGCUUUGUGCAAAAAUAUAAGAUUCAAAGUGAGGAAGAAUUGAAGCUUUUACAAACAUAUAGUUAUAUUUCAAACUAGCACAUGUUUCCCAGAAAAACAAUAACAUUGAUACAGAUAAGGAUUGCAGAAUCAAUCACUCGGUACUUUCUCAUCCUCAAAUACUUAAUAGCUAUUAGCAAGUUACCGACUGAUUCGGUGGCUUGUCUUGACCACCGACCACCGAAUCAGCCGGUGACUUGGGCCCAGGCGUCAGUGGGCGUUGAUGACCCAACGGCUAGCUAAGGUGACACCCACAGAUUGAUACGGUGACCACCCUUGCGCACCACCGAAUGAGUCGAUGAUAUUCCAGAAAGUGGCAACUGCUAGUUUCCUUGGUUGGGGAGCUGUGGCACCGAGCUCGGCGCGAAGAUCCCUGGCCUCGAGCUGCCAGGUCACAGCCAUGUGUGCAGCCCCGCAGACGUAGGCCUGCGACCUCAGCGUCAAAGCUUAUGGUGUCGAGACAUGUUAGCUUGGACGUCGAGAUCAGGGUUUAUUUUUUGAAAUCUUUCUUCCGGAAGCGUAUUUGCGAAAAACUUUAAAAAAAGGCCAAAAAAAAAAUAAAAAAGUCGCCACCGCUGCGAUGGCCGUCUAGCCGGAGCUGCCGCAGCCUCGCGGUCGGGCGUCACGCGUCGGACAGGAGCCGUCAACGCUGCGCAGGUGGGCGGAGCCGCAAAGCGCUGCUCGCCUCGCAGCUCGCACAGCGACACCGUUUCAGCGUGUGGUCAGGAACAUGAACGAGGGGUCCCACAAAUAUCCCAAUCCUAAAAUCAAAAUUCCCAAACAAGGGAUAAGGAUAGCAGGUCUGAUAACUCUCUGUCCCAAUCCCUAUCCCAAUCCUACCUCCGCAUGACCCAUCUCAUUUCCUUUUCCCAUUCCAACCUAACUUCCAAACGUCACCUCAAGACGUGCAAAUCCGGUUUUCCACUCUAAAGACGCAAUUCCGCUCUCAAGAAAUAUGUGCAAAUCCGAUUUGGAAAAUGAUCAUUCAACACUAACAUAAACUCCAUAACAAUUAUUACACCAGAAUGAACUGCAUAACAAAAUUCAUAAAAUAAAACGACGUACAAAUUCUGAUGACCAAACAGGUAACAGUCAAGUUGCUGACACAGUCCACAAAUCUCAUGGAUUCAAGUUCAAGCUGUCUCCGCAUUCCAGUUGACUUCGAUGUUUCCAGUUGACUGAUUAACUCAAAAUACCCAACAGGUGGUGACUCCCUCAAACCUGUAAAUAUGCGACCUCUGCUUCAACAUCACAAGUCCCUUGUGGUCUGUGGUUGGCUUCAGCACCAAUCCAGUAAACACAACGAACCUCUCGAUUACAGGUAUGCAGACUUGAUUGUUCUCAACGUUGACUACCCUUUCAAAAAACUUGGCAACGCAGAACUUGUUAGAGCCCAGAUAGACAAGGUGUGACUUGAGAGGAUCCCAACAACACGGCGGGUUCAGAUCUUCCCAAACCAUGUCCAGCGUUGGUGCACCCUGCGCAGGGGCAGUGAUAUCCGAUGAAGAGCAGAGUAGGUUGUCUUGAGAUGAGAAGCCAAGCCACACACCGUGUUCCGGGAAGAAGUCAGCACGGUCACGGAAGGGCAGCUCCCAGUCACCAGCCUUCCUCCACGAGCAGCUUGAUGUGUCAAAGGAGUAGGUGCCAAUGCCCGGUGUGGAUAUCAAGAUGUUGGAGCCACCGGCAACCGUGUAAGCCCCAAUAAUAAAUCUUCCUUUAUAGCCAGUCUCAAGCACGAAAGGUAGUGGCUGAAGGCAGUGCCAGGUGCUGUUUGGCUUGAACAAAACAUCAUUUGGAAGAUCAACAAUCAGUGCCUCGAAGCUGCGUUGGUUGCUUGGAACUGGCUCUCUGUCCAUAACAUAGAGGGCAUCACCGACGGCAAGGGAGACGGGAUCGCAGCACUUAUACUCAUUAGGAGAGGCGAUCUCAUGCAUGGUACGGCGCUCGACGUCAUACAUGUAGGAAACUCCGUCGAAGUCAACGGCAGCCAAAUAGCUCUUCUUCCGGCCAUGACCAAAGAAGCCGAAGAAUUCCAGCCUUCCUCUGUCCUGUGAAGGGGUGAACGAAAGGUGAGGGCGAGGAAGCGGAGUUUCCUCAAUUGUAAGAGCCUCAUUCACUCGAUUCACUUGAUUUCUUGCGAAGAACAAAUUUGAUGCGUUUAUACGGCGCAGAGGAUACGUUCCGUUCAAAUCGUCCACCAGAAGAUACAAGUACCGCCUCCACCUGUUCAUCUUCGACAAGUGGAUAUUCAAAUCUCUUCUAUGCCGCCUGUAGAAUUGAUACAUAGAAUCACUGAAUAUGAAUAUGAAAGCGUCUUAUCCAGGUCGAUUCUAAACAAUAACUAAUUUUGCCACCAACGCGCUGCACAGUACAUACAUAAAAAUAGGGCAACCCCGAUGGGUGGGGUGCGGUGGAGGUGGGACAGGCGGCGCCGUCCGCCAGGGUCGGCAGCGGGGAGCAGAGCACAGAGGUGGUGACGGGCAGCCGGCGGCUAGGUUAGGAGAGGAAUCUAGGGUUCUACCACGUGGUCCAUUAAAUAUUGCGGUCAAUCUUGACCGUGCGCCGAGCAGAAAAUGGGCUGGGCCGCGUUGCUCUCCAGCGGCUGCUGAUCAGAGCAGGCCGAUCAGCUAAAUCAGCCCAUCAUCGGACCCUUAGGUCAAGUCCAAUAAUGAAUGAUGACGCUCGGUUUUAUUCAGUAUGCCUUACUCACUCCUUUAGGAAAAAAAACGUAUGCUUAUCUACUAUUAAAAAAACCUUCUCAGAUCGGAGCCACUUACCCCUCACAUUGAACCCGCCUAUCAUGUGUUUGUGGGAGGGAAUAGGGUGGAGACCUAUAAAAUCUAUAUUAUAAAAAUCGAAAACAAUUGAAAACCUUUCUUAUCCGGAUCAGGACCACCUUACCCUCACACUAAACCCGCCUUUCAUGUAUUUGGGGAAGAGAAUAGGGUGAAGACCUAUAGAAACUGCAAGAUAGAAAAUGUUUCCGCCAAAAAUGUUAUCUUUUUCUCACCGAACACCGUCCUACUCACUGUUGUACCCACCGUGCCUAAGGGGGUGUUUGGCAGGGAGGGGUUAAAUUUUAGCCCCUGUCACAUCGGAUGUUUGGACACUAAUUAGGAGUAUUAAAUAUAGUCUAAUUACAAAACUAAUUGCACAACCCCUAGGCUAAAUCGCGAGACGAAUCUAUUAAGCCUAAUUAGUUCAUGAUUUGACAUGUGGUGCUACAGUAACCAUUCACUAAUGAUGGAUUAAUUAGGCUUAAUAGAUUCGUCUCGCGAUUUAGCCUAGGGGUUCUGCUAUUAGUUUUGUAAUUAGCUCAUAUUUAAUCCUCCUAAUUAGCAUCCGAACGUGUGAUGUGAUAGGGCUGUUUAGCCCCUAACGUCCAAACACCCCCUAAAUUUCUCCCCCGAACUGCCGGCCGCCGCUCCCUACCGCCAGACCUCCCCGCGGCGUUCCUCUCCCACCCGGUUUAUGAUGUCUCAGUGGUAGUGCCUACUCUUCAGAAUCAAAAGGUCACAAGUUUGACCCCUGCUCUUGACACUCUUGCCUUUUUAUUUUUCUCCCUUUUUAUCAGACUUGUGGGACCCUGCUAGAUUUUAUAACGAAUUGGAACACUUUAUUUCCGAACUCAUGCUUGCAUGGGAGAUCCCCUCUCGGUUUAUGUUGUUUUUGCGGACCUUAUUUUUCAACAAAUGCUUACAUAUGGGACCCUGGUUGGUUUAUGAUAUUUUUUGCGGAGUUUAUAUCGUCACAAAACCACCAUGUAACUGGGAGUGACGAUUUCUUUUGUCUACAGUGGCAACUUUUAUGACGUUAUGUAAUUUUAUCACUAAAUUUGCUCAGAUGUGAAACUUUAUGACGAUUUCAGUCAGAAAUGUCAUAGAUCUAUGACGAUAACAAAUGUACCAUAAAAGUUUCGUCACUAGUCGGCAUAUUUCUUGUAGUGAACAUGGUCGCACCAGUAGACCCGGGUUCGAUUCCUCGUGGGAGCAGAUUUACGGGGCUAGUUUGUUUAAAAAAAAAAUCCCCUCAUCGGCAUAGCCGGGGUUCGGGUUUUUUUUUAAGACCCCGAGGAGGUUACUUCUUCUUAAUGAAAAACUGUAAGCUCUUCACUCCAUCAGGUCUAGUUUUUUUUUCGAGCUGGUACACUAAACAAUGCACACAACAUGGUCAAGCAUCUCCUAUGCUCCUGCAUCGCAUUUGUUUGCUCAAAAGGGAUUUUCCUAUAUGAGUGGAAAUAGGCUGAGUCAAAUGUAGUAGACCGAGUAUUUUGUUUUGGAAAAAAAGUAUAUAUGAAGUCCCCACAUACAUAUAAAAUCUUGUGCUCAUAUAUAUGAAUAAGGAGAACCGGUGGUGGUAGGUAGAUCUCGAGAUAAGUUUGUAUAAGUUCGUACACGGAGGGUUUUUUAAACCAUAAACAUAUUAUCGAUUCAUUAUCUUUUACUGUACAAGUUUGUUGGAAACGUUUGCAAGCUAACGAACAAACUGCUGAGGUCGCUCCGAAUAAUCUAUGCUGCACCGGCAUGCAUUAUAGAAGGUAUCCGGCCCGCUAAUUGUGUCCUGAGGUAUUUGAAAAUUUGUCUCUUAUAGCGGUAUUCUAUCCGUAUAUGAAUUGUUUUCGAAACGGAACGUGUACAUGUAGAUCCUGCUUCCACGUGUCGUCCAUCACAGGGAAAUACUCUUCACGUUUUGAUAAUUGGAUGUCGAAAAUUGAUGCAAAAUAUAUUUUUUUCCAAUAAAAUACCCAGUACAUUUCUUGUGACCCGGCCUAUUCUAAGACACUACUCGUUCGGCCCACGGCCCUCCUUCCGGCCCCACCUUAAAACCUAGCCGCCGCAACCACCUCUCCCGUAGCCGCCUCCCGGCGCCCGGCGUCCGCACCCGGUCGCCAGCCUCCGAGCAGACCCCCGUCAACCUCGGCGACGCCACUUCAGUUCGUUUCUCCGGCGUCGCCACUUCGGGUCCCGUCCACUCUCCGGCGUCGCCUCCUCCAGAUCUGUUGUCUCCCCUCCACAUCUCCAAAUCCACGCCGGCGUCGAGAACAAAGACACUCGUGGGUGCCUUAUCUCUAUCUAUCUAUAACGUGCAAGGCUUAGGUGAUAAAAUUGGUAUUUGUUAAAAAACAACCUGGAUGCAACACUCAUAUAUUCAGAUUCAGUGAUUCUUUGUAUCCAUUGCACAGGCUUUUUGCAGAGAUUUGAGUCUCCACCGGUCGAAGAUGAACAAGUGGCGGCGUUACUUGUAUCUCGUGGUGGACAAUGUGAACGGAACCUACCCUCUGCGCCGUAUAGACGCAUCAACUUUGUUCUACCCAAGAGAUGGAUGGAAAAGACCUCCUAGAUUGCAGGAAACUCCGUUGCCUCACCCCCACCUCCAUUUCACCCCUUCACGUAUCAAGGACGGCAAGGGGGCCCUGGAAUUCUUCGGUUUUUUUGGCCGCGGUCAGAAGAAGAGCCUUUUGGCCGCUGUCGACUACAAGGGAUUUUCCCAGACCUACGAUGCCGAGGACCGCACCAUCCAUGUCAUCGUCUCGCCUAAUGAGCCAAAGCACCACAACCCUGUCUCCCUCGCUGUUGGUGAAGCUCUCUAUGUCAUGGAUAGGAAGCCGGUCCCAGGUAGCUGCUGUGGCUUUGAGGCCCUCACAUUUGACAUGCCGAAGGAAGUGAUGGGCAAGUUGGGCUGGGACUGGUACUGGCACUGCCUCAAGGCACCACCUUUCGUGCUUGAGCCUGGCUACAACAACACAAGCAUCCAGGGUUACACGGUGGUUGGUGGCUUCAACAUCUGGAUAUCCACAAGGGGCAUUGGCACCUACUCAUUUGACACAGAUAAUGGCUCGUGGAGUAAGGCUGGCGACUGGGAGCUGCCCUUCCAUGGUCGUGCUGACUUCUUCCCAGAGCAUGGCAUAUGGCUUGGCUUCUCAUCUCAGGGGAAUCUGCUCUACUCGUCAGACCUCGGAGUCUCUAUGCAGUGUAAACCGGAGUUGGACAUGAUUUGGAAAGAUCCGAACCCACUGGAGGAGUGGAUUCCUCUCAAGUCACACCUUGUGCAUCUGGGGUCUGACAAGUUCUGCGUCGCCAGGAUGUUUGAAAGAGUAGAUAUGACUAUUCGUGGCAGCAUACCUCAUGUUGAGAGGUUUGCCGUCUUCACUGGGUUGGUGCUGCAACCUAGCAGGGAUGGCAAGGAGCCUGAGAUGGUGAAUCACAUUUCUCGAAUAUACAGGUUUCAUGGAAUCACCACCUGUUGGGUUUUCUGAGUUGAAUCAGUCAAACUGGAAGCAUGGAGCCCCCAAAUAGUGCAAAUUGCUAGCUUCUGACCUGUGACAACACCAAUGAGGAUGACACCAAUCUGCAGAGAUGGCUGCUGCUACCAAUUCUUGCCAACAAGGAUGGCUGACGCCAAAUAGCACUUGUUGCUUGGUUUAUUCUGAUUCCAUCGCUUUUGUAAUUUGCACUGUCUUACAUCUAUGCACUUAAUAUUGGUGAAUUGUGUGUUCUGUGCUAGUUUCUGUAGUCAGUUAUUUCGUUUCUUGUAUUUAAUUUAAUUUUUGUUGGUCAUUUAGUUGCUGAUCAUUCAUGCCUUCAAAGUUAAUUCCUUCUGUUAUACGGAGUACUAUAGUAAUCUGAAUAUCUGAUUGUUAGUAGCAUAAAACAAUCGAUGUAAGAUCAGACACUUCAGCUGAAUUCUAGUGUUCUUGGUAACAAUCAAAUGUUUAUUAUCUCUCUCUUGCACACGCACACAGAGAGAUGAGACGAGGUGGAUCUCUGUCCUGUCUUCUGUGUUCUCAACUUGUGCCUGUGGUGCUCUACUGUUUUCACGUAAUUCACCACUAAACAAAUGCGUGCAUGGUAGAGGUGACCUGGACUAAAGUUAAAGACCGGAAUAUUUGCAAAGAUUUACAGAGUCCUUUUGUUCCAAGCCCUGUCAACGAGGUAGGCGAUCGUCCACUAAUACCAGGACCUGAAAUUUUCCGUGAGUCUUCACCGGUUGCACGGCUGCGCCUUGUUCAAGUCGCAGUCUGCAGGUGACUGCCAUAUUGCCAUGGACCGGGGGACGCUGUAGCCGUUCAAGAUCUGUAUGACACGCGGUCCGCCAUGAUUGGCUGCUCUCGCAUGUUGUGGACUGAAUGGAAGUUUAGUCUUUCAGGAGUUCAGAGCAUGCCCGGUUUCGUGAUGGAAAAGAUCAUCGAUGCGCCGCCCGCGCAUCAGAUCAGUUGAUCGACGACUAGCCCAGGAAAAUAUCUUCUCGUUUGCCACAUCAGCGAGAUAGUACGCGCGUCCCAAUCAUCGGUCGCAAAAUAUUCCCCACUCGAUCAUGGCUCGUUUUUUUUACGACGAACAACACGGGUAUAAGCAGAAAAAAUAUAAAAUUAUAUUGCCGAGAGGUCAUAAUCAGGCAAAAAAACAAAAAAAAAGAAGCAUAACCGACGGGUUGGAUUGAGACAUAAACACGCGCGUCGAGCUCAACUCAACUCAAACAACUCAGGCCGGUUGGAUUGGUAUAUCGACGCAAGCCGUACAACUCAUCGCACGAGACAACUCAAUCCGGUUGGAUUGGGACAUCAAUACGGAUCACAACAACAAACUCCGCCCGGUCGGAUUGGGAUAGCAAGCCUCCAAAGGUUGGGCAAAACAACACCCGACAGCGGUAGCAAUACCGAAGUCUUACCGCAGUACCCACCAACAUUCUCGCUCAUGUAGUCACCGAGGGUGUGUUUGGUUAGUUGUAUCAUUUGAUUCAUGUAUCAAAUGAUUCAAAAUAAUAAUGAUCCUUUUGUUUGGUUGGGUGAAUUGGACCAACUCAUCCAGGAUGAGGCCAUCCCACUUAAUACAUUAUUCUACUAAUUAGAGUGAACCAUAUGGUACAAGCAAAUUGAUUGAACCACCCCAUCCAGGAUCAUCCAUGCAUGCAUCAUGUGGUGCAUGCAACCAAACACACUCCGAACUUCCAGGCGUGACCCUAUGUCGACAGGGACCAGAAAAAGCAGACUGCACCGCACCGAGAAGGCCACCGCUAUGCGGGACCCUCCACUGUAGUGUCGCUGCACCAUCACACGCCACCUAACAGAGUGAUAACACCGAAUCCGGACUUCUCGCAGGUUGCCUCGAAGUCGCCACCACGAAAACACAAUACAUGGGGGAGCUCACCUCAUCCACCGUCGGACUCCACCUCGCUCUCGUCGCCUCGAAGAAACACCACACGCAGGGGCCUCGCCACGCCCGCCAUAGUACUCCACAUCACGGAUCCGUUUCUUUUGUCACCGUCGGUAUGGUGAGCAAUGUUGCCCCGUGCUCCAAAAUCUCCAUCAAACGGCCAAGCCACCGCCACAGGUCGACUUCACCUCGUUGCUUCGCCCGCGCACAUAACGUCCACCACUAUGUCAGCAAACCAAAGAAAUCGCUUGCGCCGUCUUCUGACGAUGUACCACACCGGAAAGCCCAACCAAGCUGAGUAACCCACCGCGGUCCGCUGCAAGCCUAGUCGUCCCAUGAUACCAUUGCCGCAAGCGUCGUCCUUCGAUGUAGUCACAUGCCGCACUGACCGUUGCCAAGCAACGCCAGCCGCCACGGUCCGCUGCAAGCAGCCAAACCCGACAACCAUGUGUCAACCCAUGGCCGCCACCAUAGCUGCGAACGCCUCCAUGUGGGCUCGACAACCCCCGUCCAGCUUGCCACGUGGUGGAAUUGCCGCCACCGACUGCGGCCACCCAUGACCAAUGGACCAGCAAUGCCAAAAAUUGAGAUAGAUCUAUAGAGACGACACCUCCAAGGAGGGCACGAAGCCAAAGGUGCCAUCAUCGCUCGUCUAGAAUCUGGAUAGGAUUUUAAAAAAUAACGUCCCAACAGGGAAAACGACACCCUAGGACGCUGUCGUCAUCUCCACUAGCAAAAGCGGCAGCGAGGGCUUUCGCCCGAUGCAUCCAACCGCUCGUUGCACGCUCACGACUCGACACUCCCGGACCAUAGCCACGGCUGCCCGUCCAGUGUGGCACCGCCGCCAUAGCUUCACCUCCGCUGUGCUUGCCGACCAGCUGCGCUCGCCACCACUCGACCUCUUCUCGUCGCACGCGGCCAUCACCACGCCGCCACAUCUUCACGCGCGUCGCCCCGCACGUAGCCUCCCUCGCCUGUCCGCCGGCCGGAGGCCUCGUCGCGACUCGCCGGGCCGGCCUCCUCCCGGCCACACCACCGCGCCGCUCACCGCAGCGGCCUCGUCGUGCGGCAUCUCCCAGUCAACGCACCUCGCGCCGCAUCGGGCCGCCGCCGCGCUUCCCGCCGGCUGCCGCAGCCCGACCACCUCGCGCCGCAUCAGCCCGCCGCCGUGCUUCAUUCCCAGGUAGCUGCUGUGGCUUUGAGGCCCUCACAUUUGACAUGCCUAAGGAAGUGAUGGGCAAGUUGGGCGGGGACUGGUACUGGCACUGCCUCAAGGCACCACCUUUCGUGCUUGAGCCUGGCUACAACAACACAAGCAUCCAGGGUUACACGGUGGUUGGUGGCUUCAACAUCUGGAUAUCCACAAGGGGCAUUGGCACCUACUCAUUUGACACAGAUAAUGGCUCGUGGAGUAAGGCUGGCGACUGGGAGCUGCCCUUCCAUGGUCGUGCUGACUUCUUCCCAGAGCAUGGCAUAUGGCUUGGCUUCUCAUCUCAGGGGAAUCUGCUCUACUCGUCAGACCUCGGAGUCUCUAUGCAGUGUAAACCGGAGUUGGACAUGAUUUGGAAAGAUCUGAGCCCACUGGAGGAGUGGAUUCCUCUCAAGUCACACCUUGUGCAUCUGGGGUCUGACAAGUUCUGCGUCGCCAGGAUGUUUGAAAGAGUAGAUAUGACUAUUCGUGGCAGCAUACCUCAUGUUGAGAGGUUUGCCGUCUUCACUGGGUUGGUGCUGCAACCUAGCAGGGAUGGCAAGGAGCCUGAGAUGGUGAAUCACAUUUCUCGAAUAUACAGGUUUCAUGACCACCUGUUGGGUUUUCUGAGUUGAAUCAGUCAAACUGGAAGCAUGGAGCCCCCAAAUAGUGCAAAUUGCUAGCUUCUGACCUGUGACAACACCAAUGAGGAUGACGCCAAUCUGCAGAGAUGGCUGCUGCUACCAAUUCUUGCCAACAAGGAUGGCUGACGCCAAAUAGCACUUGUUGCUUGGUUUAUCCUGAUUCCAUCGCUUUUGUAAUUUGCACUGUCUUACAUGUAUGCACUCAAUAUCGGUGAAUUGUGUGGUCUGUGCUAGUUUGUGCAGUCAGUUAUUUCGUUUCUCGUAUUUAAUUUAAUUUUUGUUGGUCAUUUAGUUGCUGAUCAUUCAUGCCUUCAAAGUUAUUUCCUUCUGUUAUACUACAGUAAUCUGAAUAUCUGAUUGUUAGUAGCAUAUUCGUUUCAGUUACUGUUUAGUGCUGCUUAUUCUACCUGGUUAUAGAUUGAUUGUUUAUUCAUUUAAUGAAAUUCAGUGCUAAGAGUUGACCCGUAAUCCUCGGUAAAUUUGGAUUAUAUAGACGUUUAUUUUUAGCAAUAGCUGUGCUUGCUGCAGUUUCAGCAAUUCACAUUUCGCACAUUUCUUUCGAUAUGGUAGUUUUCAGUAGUGUUUCAGUUGGCAUCUUUCUUGCCACUUGGCUACCUGCAACCCUUUCCCCUACUUUACAUUUAUCAAUGCCCCACUUCUCUACUAAGUGAUAGUCUCUUUAGUACAAAUUAAUUAUAUCUCUUCUUUUUUCUUCUUCUUUUAUUCCUUGUCUCUAAUGUCUCUAAUUUGCGCCUCUACCUAUGGAUGCUCUUAAGCGACGCGCAGCCUACUCUCUCGUUUUUCCAAUCAUUCUUUACCCCCUCUUCUGAUCCUUACUAUCUCCUUUUCUACUUUUCUUCCCUCCUCCCUCGUACCCAUUUAUCUCCAUUGUGCUCAAGUGCCCAACACCUUCCCCUUAUAAUUCUGCAUAGGGUCAGCCCUUUUUCCAUCCAUUUUGAGUCAAAGCGUGUUCAACGGUACACUAGUCAGUGCACAGAACAUGGUUGAGCAUCUCUCGUGCUCCUGCGUAACAUUUGUUUGCUCGAAAGGGAUUUCCUAGAUGAGUGGAAAUAGGCUUAGUCAAUGCAGUAGACUGAGUAUUUUGUUUUGGAAAAAAAAACAGUAUAUAUGAAGUCCCCACAUACGUAUAAAAUCGCGUGCUAUAUGAAUAAGGAGAAUUGGUAGGUAGAUCUUGAGAUAAGUUUGUAUAAGUUCAUACGCUGAGAGUUUUUUUUGGAACAAUAAACAUAUUAUCGAUUCAUUGUCCUUUAGUGUACAAGUUUGCCAAGUGGAAACAUCUGCAAGCUAAAAAUAUGCAGACGGCCUAUCUAUCUUGCAAUGUGCAGAUGAUACGAUCUUAUUCAUGAUCAAAGCUCACCUUUAUUCUCAUAUCUCGAUUAUUAUGUCCCCAAAAGGCUCUUAAAGCUCCAAACACAUAGCAUAAGUUGCCAAAUCUCUUGUACAUAGAAGCAAAAUACUCUGCCUUAGCACUCCUGCAGGUACACCAUUUUUCUUCUUUUGAAAUCGUCCACUGAAUAUAAGUUUCGUAUGGCUAUGUUUCACUUACAAAUGGAUGUUUGCAACAUUAACGAAGAAGUGUGGUUCUCUGUUUGGACCCUCCAUCACGCCUAUGUCUAGUUUUGAUUUUACUCCUGCAAAAAAGAUCCAUUAGUGAUCUCAGAUUUAGAGAUUAUAAAUCCAUCAAGUAAACAACCAGCAUAUUACAUGACCCAACCCUUAGUUCCACAAAUGUUAGAAAAAGAUGGACAGGGGAAUAGAGAAGUCGUAUAAUUUCUAUGUUUGACUGAUGCGAAUUUUUGUCUCUCUUAAUUUAAGAAUACUGCAAUAAGUAAUACAAGACACAUAAUACUGAAUCGCUAUGUUCUGUUUACAGCAUAUUCAUGUAUUUUAAUAGGUAAUAGGGAAAGAACUACAAUUGUUCAUCCAUUAACAUAAAAAGACUUAAAUAUCACUUCAAACACCAUAAAGAAAGAAAGUAAGGAAGAAACCUCUCACAAUUCGAUCAAUCGCGUCAUGAGGAUCAUUCGUCCUGGAUUAAAGAAAACAAUAACACCAAUUUAGUGAAAAUAGAGGCUAACAAAUAACCAUGUCAUGUGCAGAUUAAGCAGGAAAGGAAACAAACAUACCAGUCAAAUGUCCUUGCAAAAUCUGAGCCAGUUCCAAGUGGAAUAAGCUAUCAGUAUUAGUGUAUAAAACAAACAAUUUAGAACAUAAUUAUUGCUAUAGUUUAAGUAUCUAAAAGUUAAAAGGGCAUGGCAUAUGGGCACUCACACCAAGUGUCGUUGAAUGGUCAGGCCCUCCAUCAAGAGCACGCACUGGACUUCCUUUCCAAAACAAGUCAUUCACCAACUACAUAUUCAAAAUAAUAUCCCCAACUCUAUGACCAUAUGCACUCCCAAUUUCAAUAGUUGGAAAAUGUAAACUCGUUUUAGAGGUUGUACAAACAAUAUACACAAUUCCAACUAUAUUUAGCAUGGUUAUACAAACAAUCUACACACAUGAAUACCUCAUGAAGCGUACCAUCGCCGCCAACAGCGAUCACUGCAUCAGCCCCAUCCUUUAUAGCCUGCAGUAAGUACACUAUUACUAGUGCUUAGAAGAAAGACAGUCGCCAAGUGGACCUCAGUAUUUAACAAGGGGACACGCACACACCUCCCUUGUGACAUCUAUGGCGUGGGACGGGCCCGAAGUGAAGCACUCGCAAAUCUGAUCAACCAACACCAACAAACGAAAACAUUCUGUGAGACUGAGACCGCCUAAUCACCACCAGAUCUGAGACCAAACGCGGGUUUCAGUCGGCAAUUACAAAUCCCUGAAAGCUAUGGACGGCGGGCUUACGUUGCACUAGUCGGCGAGGCGGGUGCGGAGGUGUGGGAGCAGCUGCUUCCAUUGGCGCCUGCACCCCGGAGUACGCGCAACGAGAACGGCGUUCAGUGCGCAAAUUCGUUAGGGAACUGGCGGGGGCGGAGGGGGAGCGUACCGGAGGGGUUGACGACGAAAACGAAGGCGCCACGCCGGCGGUGGGAGGCGGCGACACGGUCGGAGGUGAGACCGCCGGCUCUGGGCUGGGAGUGGGAGUGCGAGGAGGCACGCGGGAGGAUCAGCGAAGCCCUCGGUGUCGCCGGCGCGGCCAUGGCGCCGCUUGCCGCUUAUCCCCCGCCUUGGCUUUAGAGAAGGAAACACACUGCCGUGUGACGUGAAAGGCGCCGCCGGCUGCCCAAGUACGCCGUGUGAAGGAUGAAGCCGACUUCCUUAAUCACGUGUCCCCUGUGGUUCAAUUCUGGCCUGCUGAUUCGUGUGCAGUCACCACUCACCAGUCAGUUGUCUAUUCAGAUGAUCAUCAGUCCGGCACGCCUCAUCAGUUUUUCGGUGUUUUCGUAACGAAAAUUUCUCGCACGAAUUCGAAUUGCAGCAAUGCAUUGGCCUAGGAGAUAGACUUUCUGAACUUGAAUGGCAGAUUAGUUUUCUUUUGAUGCGUUUUACAGUUCAUUCUCUGAAUGUAGAGGGGUGGCAGAUUGAUGUGCAUGGCCAGGCAACAAGACGCUAAUGCGACGUGCAAAACAAUUUGCAAGCAAAGAAGUACCAUGCAUAGCACAAUCACGUCCAGUUUAUAUUUCCACGGUUUGUAGACUAAGGCCCAGCAAGAACAGCUAGAGAUACAUCAAAUGUACUGCUAAGUGCGAACAUAUAGAUUAGCAGCACUGCACCUAAUAACAAAAUUUUGCAAAAUUCAACCUCCGCAUCUGCGAAAGGGUUUGAUUCCUUAACUAUACUACAGAGCUCAAUGUGCUCCCUACUUCUGUUACAAAUCUCAAGCAACAACAAAUCCGAGCACCGGACACCUCAACCCUGCACUGCUGCCCCAAGACUCCGUUAUCUGCUUCACUUUCAAGACACAAGAUGUACUUUCUUGCCAUCCACGUUGAAUUUCCUGCUCCCUUGAAGCUGAAGAACACAAUGAGACGGAACAGAAAUCAACAUUGAGCAGCAAAAUAACCAUUCCUCAAUCGAAAAAGAACAAUGUUGCAUCUAAAGUUACUGACAGCUUAUGAUACAUGAGCAAAUAAUCAUAGCAGCUAAUGACUAAAUAGUAAAUACUGUUUAGAGAAACAGACAGCAAGAGUUGGCUCCUUUCCAUUUUUUGGCAGGAUAGAUAUCCAAUGCAACUGAUCAUGUGCAGAUAUGUAUAUGAGCAUACCUUCUUCAGAAACAACAUAGCUUCACGUCUACAAGAGAAGCUGGAGAAUACAGCAUUUGAACGUUCUUCGACGGCUACCUUAAGAUCCUUCAAUUUCAUUGACUGAGAUGCAUGGGGCCUGGAAAGAACAAUAGUCAGUAGCAAUCAUAUACCAGAGCACAGCACAUUAAGUACUCACAUAGAAGACAGACUGUACCUCACGAAGUAUUCUUUUGCAAAGUUUCUUGACCUUGGUUUUGGAUUUAACAUCCGCAUGCAAUACUUUAUCUGUACUCUUCUGUGUGUCAAUCGAUUCAACAGUAGUGGCAGGUUGUUCCUCAUUGUCAUCUUCUUCAAUUUCUGAAUAUUCAUCAUCGGACUGGGCUGGACUAUCUUCAUCACUAUCACCAAAUGAAGUUUUGUUUCCCUUCCAACGAUGGCCAGCAAUUUUCAUUGGCAGGCCCUUUAUGCCAAGACCCUGCUUGCCUGAAGUAGCUUUAUCCUGCAGCAAAUCACAGACCAUGCAUAUAUUAAGAAUUCAGGUACAUUUAAUUGUUUUAAAGAACAUGUCUGUUAUGUAAUCACGCACACAAUUAUCAAUGUAAUAAAUCAACAUCUAGGUUUGUUCAUCAAGUGAAAAUGGCAUAAUGUAAUCUAUGCGGAGUGAAAUGAAUUGAUAAUUUUGCUUAAGAGGUAGUUGAAAGACUGUAAAAUCACAUCUUGAGUGCACUCAGCAUUCACAUCACAUCUCCAAAUUUGAAAACUAAAAUAGCAAGAUCUCUGUUUAACAUCACUAUAAUCUGUGUACAGCACAUCAUACCAAUCAACCUGAACAAGAUUGUACAGAUUUUCUUGAUCUUCCUCCGCAAAUGUCUGGCGGACAUUAGAAGGAUCUUUUCGUGAAGAUCUUUUUUUACGAGAUGUUGCUCCAAGAAACCCUCCUGACACAAAUCCAAAUUUGUGCCCCCACCAGUUUACAUCUUCAGCUUGGGAUACUGCACAAGCAAAGAGUUGACAAAGCAAGUUACUAAAACCUCUAUGAAAUUUAGCACACAAUGAAGAAAAGGUACAAAUGUAAGAGCACAACAAGCAUGCAUUUCUUCAGCAGCGCUAGAUGUAGAUACAGUACCUAUUUUUUCUAAUAAGCAUGAGACUACAGCAUAGCAAACAAAACAUAAAAUCGUAGUAAUAUCUAUUACAUGCUAAGUGGACAAUCUAAAAUUCCCAGGUAAUUUUUGGUAGCAGGAAAGGGUGGGCCUGACUACUGUACUUGUACUUCUGGUUUAAAAGAACAAAAAAAAUUGCAUAAUAAACCUGAUUUAAUUUCAAGAACUCAGAUUUCAAUAGCUAAUGUGCGUGCCAUGGCAUAUUUAGAGCAUUGUUUGUUUAGCUCCUAGAAUGUAGUUCUAGCAUCGUACUAAAAGUAAGGCACCUCAGAUCAAUAAGGAAAUAACAGGCCAGAAGCUUGUGCAACAUAGUUAAGCCAGGGGAAAAAACAGCUGGUGAAAUUGAAAAGCACAAACUGCUUAGUGCUGACCUGCAUCUGGGCAGAUGAUAGGAUCAGGUUCAUCCAAGCAUGUAGAUUCAACUUUCUGAUCCAUUUGGCAAUUAUCUUCGUUUUUGCGUACCUGUGCCAAGACAGGUUGCUUUAGAGAUCCAAACAAGGCAAAUUAUUUAAUAAUCUCUUCUUGAGAAUUGUAGCUUAAGUUUCAAAUGCUCGCAGGAGAAUCCAGCGGAGUAGCGCAUGUAGGCCCCCGCCGCAUGCACGCCGCGCGCCCACACACAGACGACGCAUAUCGUGCGUCCACGAAGAUUUCCUCCGCCCAUCGGCGAACUCCAUGGUCCGCCAUCAGAUUUCCCUCCGCCGAUCGGCCAUGGCUCGCUCGCAGGAAACCCGGCCAGAUUGUUGUGGUGAUCUACUUGUAUCUCUAGCGCCCUGCACCAUGGCUGCCUGGUGUACGAACCCAGUCGAUGUCAUCGCAUGGAUCAGUUCGUUCGUUCGAAAUUGAAGCUCUCGGCGUGCAAAGCACUGUUGCCAUGUGGUACACUGUGCAGGAGGUCAGGUGGAUCGAACGCAGGUGUGCGAGACUAGUGUGGUGAGUGGUGACCCAUCACAACACAAAUGAUUUUGCUCGCAUGCGAUGGACGAGGGCCAUGAUCUGAUCCGAUCCGUGGUGUUCAUAAUUCUUCCCGAGUCCCUUUCGUCCACAUGCAUGCUUUAAGACACGUACGGUCUCGGCUUAACAAAGAGUAGUUAAAGGAGAGAUUGCAUGCGUGCGCGCCGGACUGUUUAUCAUGUUGUCAUUUGACAGGAUAGAUCGAUCGAGGAGGGUGAUGGAGAUGGCGUCGCGGACGGCCGUGUCGGCAUUGCCGUGGCACCACUCCAUGCUCGACGUGGAUGCGCGCGCCGGGCUCGCCGGCGCGACCCUGGGCCUCGGUGCCGAGAACCGCCGGAGAGCCCUGACCUUGCGGUAAAGCGGCAUCAGGAACCGGAGGUACUGCACCAGUAUCUUCCACGACGACGACCGGCCGCGCCUGCCUGCGGCGAAGAGCGGCGGCGGCCCGAUGGAGGCGUUCUUGCCGCCGGCGACGCCGCUCCUGCCGCUGGAACACGAGCUCAGCGAGGCCGGCGUUCUCUGGGCCGAGCGGUACAGCGGCGACGAGGGCGACGACCGCGGCGCGCUGGGCAGGUCGGCGACGCGGUCCCCGUGAUGUUCUCGGGCACCGGAGUGGCGGCAGACGGGCUCGCUGGGCAGGAGGCGGCCGUCGCGGAUGAUCUGGCUGGCGCUGACCAGCACCGGGGACGGCGGGUCACUGCUCACGCUGCCGCCCCCGGGCAAGCCGAACUCGAAGUCGCUCUCCGGCGGCGGCGCCGUGGUGGUCCACCGCAUGGAGAAGAGCUCGGCGGGGUCCAUGUCGAUGAAGGACCUGGAGCUGCCGAAGGAAUAGCCGAGGUCGGCGUCGGCGAACGGCGGCAUCGCCUGCGCGCUGCGCUUGAGCCAGCCGCGGGAGAAGCUGUCGCCGAGGUGCUGCAGCGAGGCGACCUCCAUGAGCGCGGCCGGGCGUCGUGCGCGAGUUACCAGAGCACGCGGUGAUGGGGGUGAGCGAUGCGUGCGCAAUCAAUCGGACGGAGGGCCAAAUUGUUUCCUGCGUUUUCUUUUGUUUUCCCCGUUGCGGGCGGGGCUCUCAGCUUUCCUCCCCUUUCUCACUUCCGCCAUCUCUCCUCUUUUCCCCCCUCGCCAAUUUUAUCUCGCGCGCGCGCAAAAGAAAAGGGUGGCGUACUUUGGACGGACACGCACCAGCGCGGCCGUGGGAGCAGGGCGGACCCACUGUUGUGCCCGGCAUACCCAAUAUUUUUGGAAAAUUUUUUAGUAGUUCUUGCAGCUAUAUAUAUAUGUAUAAUAUAGUUUAGGGCUCCAAUUCGCGUCCAGACCAACCUGGCCCGCAGACCACACCCCGCCGGCCGGCCCAUCGGCCCAUCUAACCACUGAUCCCCCCACCACCACACUAAGCCCGUCAGCCGGUCAGGUCCCGAGCUCCUGCCUGACCUAGUCCGCUACCGCCGCCAGGCGCCAGGCACAGCCGCACGCACCGCGCCGCCCCCGUCCACCCACGUCCGCCGCGCGGCCGCGCCGCGGCGCCGUCCCGCGCCCCCCGGCCCCCGCGGCGAGAUCCCGUCGCCCGCCGCCGCCAGACCCCUUCAGGCCUCCGCCGGCAGGUCUACCCGCGGUCCCGCGCGGCGCUGCGGCCUCUCUGCUCUCGGCGCUCGGCGCUCGCGGCGCUCCGGCGCCGGCGCAGCCCCACCAGGCGACCGCCCCCCCUCGGGCCUCGGCCCCUCCCCGGCUCCCCCCGCCCCCCACCAGGACUGCCUGCUGCCCCCCACCGCGAGGUAAGCGAAAUCGACUGCUCAAUCUCUCAACCCGUUGACAUGAUGCACACGGUUGUAAAAAUAGAUGUGUCAGAAUAGAUGCAUUGCCAAUUGCUAUAGAUGCACACGGUUGACAUGAAGAAGUCAAAAAUGACAUUUGGUUCCUUGUAGGCAGUACAAAAUGAAGAAGUCAAAAAAUAUUGAUCUGAAAUCAACGUGGGAAAGGGCUACGAAGACACGCAUGUAGAUUCUCUUCUGAACUUUUUAGGUUGUUCGUCUAAAUAUUUUUUUUCAAUGGGCAUACCCUACUUUGAAAUCCUAGGUCCGUCAUUGGGAGCAAGCACCGGUCCCACGCUGCGUUAGUCUGUAGCAAUCAUAUACCAGAGCACAGCACAUUAAGUACUCACAUAGAAGACAGACUGUACCUCACGAAGUAUUCUUUUGCAAAGUUUCUUGACCUUGGUUUUGGAUUUAACAUCCGCAUGCAAUACUUUAUCUGUAUUCUUCUGUGUGUCAAUCGAUUCAACAGUAGUGGCAGGUUGUUCCUCAUUGUCAUCUUCUUCAAUUUCCGAAUAUUCAUCGGACUGGGCUGGACUAUCUUCAUCACUAUCACCAAAUGAAGUUUUGUUUCCCUUCCAACGAUGGCCAGCAAUUUUCAUUGGCAGGCCCUUUAUGCCAAGACCCUGCUUGCCUGAAGUAGCUUUAUCCUGCAGCAAAUCACAGACCAUGCAUAUAUUAAGAAUUCAGGUACAUUUAAUUGUUUUAAAGAACAUGUCUGUUAUGUAAUCACGCACACAAUUAUCAAUGUAAUAAAUCAACAUCUAGGUUUGUUCAUCAAGUGAAAAUGGCAUAAUGUAAUCUCUGCGGAGUGAAAUGAAUUGAUAAUUUUGCUUAAGAGGUAGUUGAAAGACUGUAAAAUCACAUCUUGAGUGCACUCAGCAUUCACAUCACAUCUCCAAAUUUGAAAACUAAAAUAGCAAGAUCUCUGUUUAACAUCACUAUAAUCUGUGUACAGCACAUCAUACCAAUCAACCUGAACAAGAUUGUACAGAUUUUCUUGAUCUUCCUCCACAAAUGUCUGGCGGACAUUAGAAGGAUCUUUUCGUGAAGAUCUUUUUUUACGAGAUGUUGCUCCAAGAAACCCUCCUGAUACAAAUCCAAAUUUGUGCCCCCACCAGUUUACAUCUUCAGCUUGGGAUACUGCACAAGCAAAGAGUUGACAAAGCAAGUUACUAAAACCUCUAUGAAAUUUAGCACACAAUGAAGAAAAGGUACAAAGGUAAUCGAAAUCGACUGCUCAAUCUGUUGACAUGGUGCACACGGUUGUAAAAAUAGAUGUGUCAAAAUAGAUGUAUUGCCAAUUGCUAUAGAUGCACACGGUUGACAUGAAGAAGUCAAAAAUGACAUUUGGUUCCUUGUAGGCAGUACAAAAUGAAGAAGUCAAAAAAUAUUGAUCUGAAAUCACCGUGGGAAUGGGCUACAAAGACACGUAUGUAGAUUCUCUUGUGAACUUUUUUUAUGUUGUUCGUCUAAAUAUUUUUUUUCAAUGGGCAUACCCUACUCUGAAAUCCUGGGUCCGCCACUGGGAGCAAGCACCGGUCCCACGCGUUAGGGAAGUGGGAGGCGGGCGGGUAGGGUGCGGGCGAGGUGGCGACAAGGCCUCCACUGGAGGGGAAGGCUUGAGGCCUGGAGCGCGUGCAUCGGUGGCCGCUGUUCAGAGUCAGAGAGGAGCGCGAGGUGGGCGGGGCUGGUCAGAGGGAGGAUGCCGCCGUGGUCGGUCGGUGUGGGGCCCGGGGUUGCCCGAGGCCGAUUCUAGGUAGGCCAGGGCAUCUCGGCACGCACACAUAUAGGUGCAUCUCAUUGGAUCAAGCUAUCCAAACGACAUCGCUACUGAUCUGAUCAUGAUUAAGUGUUAUGCUAGUAUAGUUUAGAUGCAUGUGGGAGUAGAGUUGUAGAAGUAGGAGAGCUGCUGCUGCUGUCCACAUGCUUUUAACACCGAACUCCAAGUGGCCGUAGCUUCUAACUCGUCACCAUGCAGCAGCUUGACCAUCGUAAAAGUAACAUCAUUCAAAGUUUAAAAGUUCUCAAUCUGAUUGUUGUCUGUCAGAUCAUACUUUGUGUUCUUAAACUUAAACGUCUCGAUUCAUGAGACGAUUAAGUUUUCUAGCGAAAACUGCUCCUUACCGAGUGUCCACCCCUCCCUGUGUGCUUGCACCAUCAAAUCCUUUAGGCUUUUCAUCGAGAACUUGCCACCAUUAGUUAGAAGCCUCGACCACUUGGGGUUCGAUGUUAAUAGCAUGUGGAGACCUUCGUUAGGACCAAUCACCUCAAUCAGCAUAGAAUUUUCUUUGAAAUGGUUAACUGGAUUCUUGUACAGUAAGUGGUAACAAUCUUUAUCAACGCAGUUGACAGUACAACUUUCUUGUAAUAGAGGUGCAAUGGUUAUCAACAUUAUAUUGUUGUGCCUGCUUAUUUACGUAAAGAUAAGUAAUUCAAUUUACAAGAUAAUUUUCACUCUAGGAAGACUAGUUGUAAGGUUAGGUUAUAAUAGCUUAACGAAAGUCGUACUUUCCAUGCAACAAUUACAUCUCAUUCAUUUAACGAAACAACGAAACAAACCUUGGAAAAACUGCUCAAACCGAAGAUUGUGAAAGAGGUCUAUCAUUUUUUCUUCCUCUCACGAAACUUAAUAGCGCCUCUAAUUAUCUGCGGUAACCACCUUAGAAACUUAUACUGCAGCAGCACAUAGAUUGCCUUAGGUUGGUAAUAGGGUACGACAAUUGAACUUUGGUUCCCUGACCCUCCAAGCAAUCGUGUCAUGACGGUUAGGGACAGAUUGCUCGGAAUCUUUCCCUGGUGGCUCAGGCAGUGGGCAAUGAUGUGUCGUGGAAAGAUGAUGACAUGUCUCUCAUUUUUGACAUUGUAUCUUCCUUUGAUAUGACUGAACAAGUGGUCCAACCAUGGAUCAUUGGUUGAUAUGAUGGUUCAGUCAUCUUAAGGAACAACUGGUGUUCUCCAGGACAAGUUUCUUUAGUAUAUGUGCAGCAUCAAAUGUAUGUGUCGAUAACAACCUGCUGUCGUCCUCCAUGAACAACUCGUGGAAUUUCAUAAAUGCUGGUCCAUAGCAAGACACAGGAAGAAGUGCUGGGUAUAAGUCAAUCCACAAGGUAGUUAGCUUGGGGUUGGCGAUCGUUCUCAGAUCAGCAAUCAUCAUCAUGAAAUCGUUUGCCAAGAAGCUAAUGAUGUCAUCACCAUGCAGCAGCUUGACCAGCGUAAAAAUAACAUCACUCGAAGCAAAAAAAGUAUCAAUCUGAUUGUCGUCUGUCAAAUCAUACAUAAUAAGCGCGUUCUGAAACUUAAAUGUCCUAAUUUAUGAGACGAUUAAGUUUUCCAGCGAAAGCUGCUCCUUACCGAGUGUCCACCCGUCCCUGUGUGCUUGCACCAUCAAAUCCUUUAGGUUUUUCAUCGAGAACUUGCCACCAUCAGUUAGAAGCCACGACCACUUGAGGUUCGGUGUUAAUAGCAUAUGGAAACCUUCGUUGGGAUUAGUCACCUCAAUCAGCAUAGGAUUUUCCUUGAAAUGGUCAACUGGAUUUUUGUACAGUAGGUGGUAACAAUCUUUGACAGUUGAGAGUACAACCUUCCUGUAAUAGAGGUGCAAUGGUUAUCAACAUUAUAUUGUUGUGCCUGCUUAUUUAUGUAAAGGUUAGUAAUUCAAUUUGCAAGAUAAUUUCCAAUCUAGGAGGUCCAGUCUGCAAGUUUAGGUCAAGUAGCUUAACGAAAGUCGUACUUUCCAUGUAACAAUUACAACUUAUUCACUUAACGAAACAACCAAACAUACCUUAGAAAAACUACUCAAACCGAAGAUUGUGAAAGAGGUACACCAUUUUCUUACUCUCAUGGAGCUCAAUAGCGCUUCUAAUUAUCUGCGGUAACCACCUUGGGAACUUGUACUGUAGCAGCACAUAGAUUGCCUCAGGUUAGUAAUAGGGUACGGCAAUUGAACUUUUGUUCCCUGACCCUUCAAGCAAUCGCGUCAUGGCGGUUGGGGGAUGGAUUUCUCGGAAUCUUUCCCCGGUGGUCAGGCAGGGGGUGAUGAUUUGUCGUGGAAAUAUGAUGACUUCUCUCUUAUUUUUUAUAAUGUAUUUUUCUUUGAUGUAACUGAAUCACGUAGUCCAACCAUGGAUCAUUGUUUGAUAUGAUGGUCCAGUCAUCAUCAGGAACAGUUGGUAUUCUGUAGGACAAGUUCUUCAGUAUAGGUGUAACAUCAGAUGUAUGUGUCGACAACAACCCGCUGUCGUCCCGCAUGAACUAUUCGUGUAAUUUCAUAAAUACUGGUCCAUUGUAAGACACAUGAAGAAGUGUUGGGUAUAAGUUAAUCCACAAGGUAGCUAGCUUGGGGUUGGCGAUCGUUCUGAGAUCAGCAAUCAUCAUGAAAUCGUCCGGUAUGAAGCUAAUGAUGUCAUUAGCAUGCAGCAGCUUGACUAGCGUAAGAGUAACAUCACUCGAAAGCUAAGAAGUCUUCAAUCUGAUUGUCGUCUGUCAGAUCAUGACUUAAUGAGCGCGGUCUUCNNNNNNNNNNNNNNNNNNNNNNNNNNNNNNNNNNNNNNNNNNNNNNNNNNNNNNNNNNNNNNNNNNNNNNNNNNNNNNNNNNNNNNNNNNNNNNNNNNNNUAGGGGUGGGUGGCCACUCGGUAAGGAGCAGUUUUCGCUAGAAAACUUAAUCGUCUCAUAAAUAAGGACGUUUAAGUUUCAGAACGCGCUUAUUAUGUAUGAUCUGACAGACGACAAUCAGAUUGAUGCUUUUUUUACUUCGAGUGAUGUUACUUUUACGCUGGUCAAGCUGCGACUUGGUGAUUACAUCAUUAGCUUCUUGGCGAACGAUUUCAUGAUGAUGAUUGCUGAUCUAAGAACGAUCGCCAACCCUAAGCUACCUACCUUGUGGAUUGACUUAUACCCAGCACUUCUUCCUAUGGCUUGCUAUGUACCAGCAUUUAUGAAAUUCCACGGGUUAUUCAUGAAGGACGACAGCGGGUUGUUGUCGACACAUAUAUCUGAUGCUGCAGCUAUACUUAAGAAUUUGUCCUAUAGAACACCAUGUGUUCCUGAAGAUGUCUGGACCAUCAUACCAAACAAUGAUCUAUGGUUGGACCACUGGUUCAGUCACAUCAAAGAAAGAUAAAAUGUCAAAAAUGAGAGACAAGUCAUCAUCUUUUCACGACACGUCAUCACCCACUGCCUGAACCACCGGGGAAAGAUUCCAAGCAAUCUGUCCUCAAUCGCCAUGGCGCGAUUGCUUGGAGGGUCAGGGAACUAAAGUUCAAUUGUCGUACCCUAUUACCAACCUGAGACAAUCUAUGUGCUGCUGCAGUAUAGGUUCUCGAGGUGGUUACCGCAGAUAAUUAUAGGCGGUAUUGAAUUCCGUGUGAGGAAGCAAAUGAUGGACCUUUUUCACAAUCUUUGAUUUGAGCGGUUUUUUCAAGGUGUGUCUGCUUGUUUCGUUAAGUGAAUGAAUUGUAAUUGUUGAAUGAAAAGUACGACUUUCGUUAAGCUACUAGGGCCUAACCUUGCAGACUGGCCUCCUAGGUUGGAAAUUGUCUUGCAAAUCGAAUUGCUUACCUUUGCAUAAAUAAGCAGAAACACCAAUAUAAUGUUGACAAUCAUUGUAACUCUAUUUCACGAAGGUUGUACUAUCAACUGCCAAAGAUUGUUAACACCUACUGUACAAGAACCUAGUUGACCAUUUCAAAGAAAAUCUUAUGCUGAUUGAGGUGAUUGAUUCCAACGAAGGUCUCCACAUGCUAUUAACAUCGAACCCCAAGUGGUCGUGGCUUCUAACUGAUGGUGGGAAAUUCUCGAUGAAAAGCCUAAAGGAUUUGGUGGUGCAAGCACACAGGGAGGGUUGGACACUCGGUAAGAAGCAGUUUUCGCAAGAAAACUUAAUCGUCUCAUCAAUCCGGACGUUGAAGUUCAAGAACGCGCUUAUUAAGUAUAAUCUGCCAGACGACAAUCAGAUUGAAGACUUUUUUAGCUUCGAGCGAUGUUAUUUUUACGUUGGUCAAGCUGCUGCAUAGUGAUGACAUCAUUAGCUUCUUGGCGAACGAUUUCAUGAUGAUGAUUGUUGAUCUAAAAAUGAUCGCCAACCCCAAGCUAGCUACCUUAUGGAUUGACUUCUACCCAAACACCUUUUUCUGUUUCUUGCUAUGGACCUCCAUAUAUGAAAAUUCACAGGGUGUUCAUGGAGGACGACAUCGGGUUGUUGUCCACACAUACAUCUGAUGUUGCAGUUAUAUUGAAGAACUUGUCCUACAGAAUACCAUGUGUUUCUUAAGAUGACUCGAUCAUCAUAGCAAAGAAUGAUAUAUGGUUGGACCACUGGUUCAGUCACAUCAAAGAAAGAUACAAUUUGAAAAAUGAGAGACAAGUUAUUAUCUUUCCACGACACGUCAUCGCCCACUGCCUGAACCACCGGGGAAAGAUUCCGAGCAAUCUAUCCCCAACUGCCAUGGCGUGAUUGCUUGGAGGGUCACGGAACCAAAGUUUAAUUAUCGUACCCUAUUACCAACCUGAGGCAAUCUAUGUGCUGCUGCAAUACAGGUUCCCGAGGUGGUUACCGCUGAUAAUUAGAUGCGCUAUUGAGUUCCGUGAGAGGAAGAGAAUGGUGGAACUCUUCCACAAUCUUCGGUUUGAGCAGUUUUUCUAAGGUGUGUUUGGUUGUUUCGUUAAGUGAAUGAGUUGUAAUUGUUGCAUGGAAAGUACGACUUUUGUUAAGCUACUAGUGCCUAACCUUGCAGUCUGGGCCUCUUAGAUUGGAAAUUGUUUUGCAAAAUAAAUUGCUUAUCUUUACAUAACUAAGCAGGCACAAUACUAUAAAUUUGAUAACUAAUGCUCCUCGAUUACAAGAAGGUUGUACUGUGAACUGCCAAAGAUUGUUACCACCUACUGUACAAGAACCCAGUUGAUCAUUUCAAGGAAAUCCUAUGCUGAUUGAGGUGACUGAUCCCAACGAAGGUUUCCACAUGCUCUUAACACCGAACCCCAAGUAGCCCUGGCUUCUAACUGAAGGUGGGAAGUUCUCGAUGAAAAACCUAAAGGAUUUGGUGGUGCAAGCACAAAGGGAGGGGUGGACACUCGGUAAGGAGCAGUUUUCACUGGAAAACUUAAUCGUCUCAUCAAUCGGAACGUUUAAGUUCAAGAACACGCUUAUGAAGUAUGAUCUGAUAGACGGCAAUUAGAUUGAAGACUUUUUAGCUUUGAGUGAUGUUACUCUUACGCUGGUCAAGCUGUUGUAUGGUGAUGACAUCAUUAGCUUCUUGCCGGAUGAUUUCAUGAUGAUGAUUGCUGAUCCGAGAACGAUUGCCAAGCCCAAGCUAGCUAUCUUGUGGCCGGUCGUCAGCCGCCAUGUGCGACUCGCGUGCUCGGCUACAGUGACCGACCGCCGAAUCGUCGAUGGGACCCAACGGCAACCACCCUUUUUGUGGGAGAAGCUCUGAAAUGGGCAUGCCACUCGAUUGCGUUCGUCGCGGGAGAUCUGGGAGAAAGAUUUUGUGGGUCCACCGGUCAGUCUCGGUUGGUCCACUGCUUAAAUUGAAAAAAGGUACUGUGGGAAGACUUAGAAGGAUGCGACGGUAUGGGUUGGGGUCGGCAUGGAUCGGAGUUGGAAACCAGCGGAAGGGGUCGGAUACUCAGGGGUCACGGGAUGCUUGGCGGCCCUAAGUCGCUUCAUCUCGCGCCUCGGUGAGCGAGGGCUUCCUCUCUAUCGACUCCUAAAAAAGACUGACCGCUUCGAAUGGAUUGGCGAGGCCCAGGAGGCACUUGACCGGCUCAAGGACCUCCUGACGAAGGCCCCGGUUCUAGUCCCGCCGACCGACGGCGAGCCCUUCCUGCUCUACAUCGCGGCGACCACCCAAGUGGUUAGCGCGGCCCUGGUGGUGGAACGAAAAGAGGAGGGACACGCUCGCAAGGUACAACGCCUGGUGUAUUUCAUCAGCGAGGUCUUGUCCGAGUCCAAGACACGUUACCCACAGAUCCAGAAGCUCAUCUACGCCGUCCUCAUCACGAAGAGGAAGCUGCGCCACUACUUCACCUCCCACCCGGUAACGGUUGUUUCGUAAUUCCCGUUAGGCGAAGUAAUCUGGAACCAGGACGCCACGGGAAGGAUCGCGAAGUGGGCGCUCGAGCUCAUGGACCAGGGCAUCACCUACGCCUCCCGCACCGCCAUCAAGUCCCAGGUACUCGCUGACUUCGUGGCAGAGUGGACGGAGGUUCAAUCGCCAUCGGCGCCGGAGAGGCAGGAGUACUGGACAAUGUACUUCGACGGGUCGCUGAUGAGGGCCCGCGCCGAAGCGGGUCUCGUCUUCGUCUCUCCUCUAGGCGUGCGCAUCAGGUACAUGAUCCGCCUCCAUUUUCCUGCGUCCAACAAUGUCACCAAGUACGAUGCCCUCCUCAACGGGCUCCGCAUCGCUAUCGAGCUGGGCAUCCGUCGGCUGGACAUCCGGGGCGACUCCCAGCUAGUCGUCGAACAAGUCAUGAAGGAAUGGAGCUGCCACGACCCCAAGAUGGCCGCCUACUGCAACGAGGUUCGCAAGCUCGAAGACAAGUUCGAUGGGCUGGAGCUCAACCACGUCGCAAGGCGCUUCAACGAAGCCGCCGACGAGCUAGCGAAGGCGGCAUCCGGCCGAAUGCCCGUGCCCGACGGCGUCUUCGUUAGCGACCAGUUGAAGCCUUCAAUCCGUUACCCGGAGCCGGCAGGGGUCGGCGAAGCCCCCCCGACCCCGGGGUCGGGCCCCGACUCAGGGGAGGUCGGUAGCACGCCGCCUACCCCAGGCUCGGGCGCCAGCCCCUAUCCCUCUAGCCUCAUGGUCAUGGCAAUCGCGGCAGAUCCCACGGUGUGGGCCGACCCCCCGACCGACUGGAGAGCCCCUUACCUCGACUACCUCGUCCGCGACACGCUCCCGGUAGACAAGACGGAGGCCCGUAGGAUCGCGCGCCGCGCCAAAUCCUUCGUCGUCAUGGACCAAGAGCUCUACAAGAGAAGCCACACUGGGAUCCUCCAGCGCUGCAUCCCGAUCGAACAGGGGAAGGCGCUGAUCCAGGAUAUCCACACCGGAGCCUGCGGUCACCACGCCGCGCCAAGGAUCCUCGUUGGCAACGCCUUCCGACAAGGUUUUUACUGGCCGACCGUGGUCGCCGACGCUACUCAGGUAGUCCGCACCUGUGAGGGGUGCCAAUUCUUUGCGCGUCGGACUCACCUACCCGCGCAGGUGCUACAGACCAUCCCCAUCACGUGGCCGUUCGCGGUCUGGGGGCUGGAUCUCGUCGAACCCUUCAAGAAAGCGCCCGGGGGCUUCACCCACCUACUUGUCGCCGUCGACAAGUUCUCCAAAUGGAUCGAGGCAAAACCGGUGGCGCAAAUCAGGUCCGAGCAGGCGGUACAAUUCUUCACCGACAUCAUCCACCGCUUCGGGAUCCCAAGUUCCAUCAUCACCGACAACGGCACGCAGUUCACCGGGAAGAGAUUCCUCCAGUUAUGUGACGACCACCACAUUCGAGUGGACUGGGCGGCCGUGGCACACCCCCGCACGAACGGGCAAGUCGAGCGAGCCAACGGCAUGAUACUCCAGGGUCUCAAGCCACGGAUCUUCAACCGCCUUAAAAGGUUUGGCGGACGGUGGGAUGCUGAGCUCCCCGCAGUCCUUUGGAGCCUGAGGACGACCCCCAGCCGAGCGACGGGCUUCACCCCGUUCUUCAUGAUUUACGGGUCCGAGGCCAUCUUGCCCACCGAUCUAGAGUACGGACCGCCGAGGGUCAGGGCAUACGACGAACAAGGAAACCAGGCAUCACUCGAGGACGCGCAAGAUCAACUCGAUGAGGCACGAGACGUAGCCCUGCUGCACUCGGCUAAAUAUCAGCAGGCCCUACGGCAUUACCACAGCCGUAAGGUGCAAGGCUGAGCCUUCAACAUCGACGACUUGGUGCAAAGCCUCGUCCAGGACAACAGGGGUCGGCACAAGUUAACUCCCCCGUGGGAAGGCCCCUUCAUCGUCGCGCAAGUACUGCGGCCUGGCACCUACAAGCUGGCGACUCCCGACGGGCAGAUCUUCAGCAACGCCCGGAACAUAGAACAGCUAAGGCGCUUUUACCCCUAGCUCUUAUUUCCAAGCUCUGCACAAACUUAUCUGCAAUUUUGAUAAUUUUCUUUUUGCGGAAAAAAGAAAUUCCACGCCGUCUCUAUUCAGGCUUUUCCCCUCAAGCUCAGGGGCAUCUAACCCUGGCCUCGCUCCAGGGCCGCAUACCCCUCGGGGGCUAUCAAGGGCUCCGGUCCAAGCCACUUGGCACCAUCUAAAAGAAAUGUUUUUUCUUUCAAACCGAGCCCCCCUUCUUUCUAAACCUUUGGACGCAAAAAGGAAAGAAUGCGCGAACGGUGCUCAGGCAAGAUUGACCGGACUGUGAAAAAACCUACGCCCCAGCGGUUACGGUGCCUUCGCCCAUCAAAGCUUACUGACACACCCAACGACGCACUCCAAACUUUCAAAGUCCAAAGGAACAAAAAGGGGGAUCGGAAACUUUCGAACGACAAAGUUAUAAAAAAGGCCCGUAUGGCCAUCACGAAACAAGUUCGAAACUGACAUAUUUACAAUUGGGGCGCAAGCCCGGUACAACUAACUUGACGGGGGGUCUUCAGGAGGGAUGGCCUCAUCUUCCAGGAGCUUCGCGAGGGCUUCUGCCGGGGUGAACACCGCCGCAUCAAUCUCGUCCAGCUCGGCCUCAGAGUAACCGGCGGCGUACCCUCCGCUCAUCCCGGCAAAAUUGAUGCCGGAAUAGUGGGAGCCGAAGACCCCGAAGGCUCGCCGCACGCCGGUGUGAAGCGCGUCCACGACGAUCUCGCGACUCCGGUGGCGUACCCCGAGGACACGAGCCGGCAGGGAGCUCGACCCCUCCUUCAGAACCACGCCGAAGCCGUCGCAGACGACGCGGACCGCAUCCCGCAGGGCGCUGGGCUCACUACGCUCCUCGUCGAGCAAGUCCUUCAGCUUGGCGAGUUCGCUUGCAGGAACCAUCCAGAAAAGCCCAUCAGGUCAGGAACCACCGCAACACCACGGGAACGCAGAAACGGAAAGGAAUCUCACCGUCGGCCCAGGCCUUCAGCUCGCGCUCCCGGUUGGCUCCUUGAGACACGGCGGUCUGGAGUCCCUGCACUUGCGACCGGAGGUGACCAACCUCCGCGCCAAGGUCAGCCGCCACCUUCUCGGCCUCCUCCUUCUUGACCUUCUCGGCGUCCCGGUCCUGCCAAGCUUUGUGCCGCUCACGCCGGAUGCGCUCGACGGUCUUUUGGAGGGCUUCAUGCUCCCCCCUCAGCCGUGCGAGCUCCUCAGCGUCGUGGCGGGCCCUCUCAGCAGCAGCCUGGAACUCCUCGUGGUCAAGACGGGCCUUGUCGAUGACGGCUUGGAGCUUGGCCUCCGAUCGCCGCGCCUCCUCCUGCGCCGCCUCCUCACGCCUUUGCAGGUCGGCGAUGACCCCCUGGGCAGCCGUAACCUGCAUAGACAGCUCCCUGGUGUGCUCCCUCUCCACGUUGAAGCGCUCCCAGAGCCCCCGCUCCAGCCGGAGGAAAUUAGAUUUCCCCCGACUGCACUCUUGGAGGGCCUGCAAAGCGACGUACCAUCAGGGACAAAGCAAUGGGGAAUGAUGAUCACCAACAGGAAAGAGCAACGUACGUGGCUACCAGGGAGGACGGUGUUGUCCAAAGCCCCCAUCGCCGAGGACAGAGCCGCGCGGGCGUGGGCAAGGCCACUCUGCACCGCCUGCCACUUGUGCAACUUCGCGGCGUCGUCCAGGGUGAAGCGGCGCCUCGGCGGAUCCUCGCGGGAUGACCAACGCAGGACGGACCCCCUCCACGCCCUGGGAACGGUGGGAGCUGAGGCUGAGGCGGGAGCCGAUCUUGACGCUUCCGUCGGAGUUGGCACCACCACACCGGAAGCCGCCAGGUUUGCCGACGGCUCCGACGCCUGCACACCCGUCGUCGCCGAGGUCGCCGCGGGGUCGCCCAAUGGCAGCGCCGCCUCUGACGCAAGCGGCAAGUUAGGAAUCCCCGCGGCUACCUCGCCCUCCGCCGUAAUCGCCGAGGGAGGCUCCUCCGCCCCUGCCGGAGCCACUCGAGCGGGCCCCUUCGCCUCCGCCAUCGGAGUCACCUCCGCCGGGAUCCUCGGGGCGGAGGUCCCCGCCUCCGUCGCCGCUACGUCCUCCGCCGCGGUCGCAGGGGUAGGCACUCCCUCCUCUGUCGCCGCCGCCGUCGAUCGCACCACGGCUGCGGGGGCAUCCGUCCCGCCUCCCGUCGCCGCCGUCUCCUCCGCCUCGUCGAUGUCAAGGUCAAUCACCUCCCCGGCCUGAGGACCCGGGGGAAUGAUGCCCUGCGCUGUAGGGGCGACCGGGGGAACCAAAGGCGGAAUGGGGUCCACUCCCCCGUAACCGACGCCGCCGUCGCUCCGCCAGCCGCCGUCACGGGGGCCGCCUCCGCGGAGGGGUCUGCGGCCUCACCAAGGACCUCGCCGCUCGCUGCGGGCGGGACCGCGAUCCGUCCCCCGGAGGAGGACAACACCCGCACCGCCUUCUUAGGCGCCAGUUGCAUGAUGAGGCCACGAGGGGCGGCGCUGCACAUCAACAAGCAAACGUCAGCGGGAACGAACGCGAGAAGGGAGAGGAACGAGACGCGCGAGGAAUGCCAACUUACGUUCCUGAAGCGCAAGGGCGACGCGCGCGCUUCGCUUCGGAGCCCGACGCCGACCCCGGGGCAUCUGGCAGCGGCCGCUUGUCGCCGCUUCGCUGCCCUCCAGUCUCGGGCGCGACGGUGGAGGCGGUCUCCGCGGACCUCCGGGGAGCGGCCUGGGUGGACUCCUGGGGGACACCCCGCGCCGGCUCCUGAGCAGCGGCGGUGUAGGCUCCGAAGACCCCCGGGGGCGCUCCGCGCCGGCUCCAGGGAGGAGCCCCGUGUCGACCCCUGGGGGGCACCCCUCGCCGACCCCUGGGGAGCGUCCCGCGCAGGCUCUGGGGAGGUGCCCCGCGCCGACCCCUUGGGGGCGUCUCGUGUCAACUCCUAGGGGCGCUCCGUGCCGACCCCUGGGGCUACGCCCCAGGGCCUUGCGGAACCAGGGCCCGGGCGGACGCCCCCUCCGCCUCAUCCCCCGCGGCCGUCCACGAGCGCACCUCCCGGAUUACAAGUGCACCCGAUCGGAGGGAGGAAAUCAGCUCCUCCCCCUCUUCAUCAUCUUCCUCAUCUUCAUCAUCGUCGUCGUCGUCGUCGUCUGUCACGACCUGCCCCCUCCGCCGCCGUUGGAACUCCUUGGCGGCCUUCUUCUUCUUCUUCUUCGCCGUCUCCUUAUCCUUACGACGCUUCUGCGCCUCAGCAAGGAGACGGUUGCGCGUUCGCCGAUCAGCGUCUUCCGGCACCGGCGGAAGCGAGUCCACGACCCGGGUCAGCGCGCCCUACGAACGUAAAACGUAGAAAGGAAGUCGGCGCCCCAACCCCUUUCCAGGUCUAUGAAGCCCGUGUCGGGGCGCAUCGGCGGGUGCCCGGGCACCGGGUACUCGGCGUCCUUGUCCUCCAGCGCCUCCCAAAUUCGUUGCUGGAUCUCGGAGGCGGCAAGCGCGCCCGCCGCCAAGGCGGUGCCCUCGGUCGGCGCGUCCGGAGUCAAGGCGGCAAGCGAGCGGACCCGGAGCAUCAGCGGCGCCACUCGCCGGGCAUGGUACGCCCCGAUGACCCCGGCGCCGCUAAGCCCGCUCCUCUUCAGCUGCUCGAUGGCCUACAGCAGGUCGAAGAUCCGCUUCUUCUCCUUGUCCACCGGCCCGUACGCCCACACCUCCGGCGCCACGUCGAUGGUACGGCCGGUGAGCUCCGGCAGUGUUGGGGGGAAAUAUUAACGACCCCCUAACACACUGCUUAAAAAAGCAAACAUGAAGGCCCAGGCCCACCAAAGCAUGAUCAACUCUCCGCCUCGCCCGACCCAGGCGCUAGGAUCGGGAGCGCCCGACCCUCCUCCGCAAGGUUUCCGCCUCGCCCGACCGCGACCCCAGGGUCGGGGGCGUCCGACCCUGCGCCACGAAAGUUCCGCCUCGUCCGACCCCGAGCGAAGGAGUCGGGCGCACUGGGGCCCACAAGUCCGGGAGCCCCCUCGGAUACGGUCCGCACAGACGAGACAAAUCCUGUGGGUGCCCCCGUCGGCCUCACCAUAAAUGCACCACAGAGUUGGCAGAGGGCAGGGCGACCGAGCCCCUCACGCAACCUGGCGCAAGUACCCGUGCAUGACCGUCCUGUGCAGGCUACAGUGCCGGCGGCCGGUUCUCAUUCGCCACGGAGCACUCAUGACCUGCGCCGACCGGAGCAAAAAAGAGAGAGGCCUGUCCUCGGGUCCCGCACACCCUCGAGUCUCGCGCACCCAACAGUGCGGACGUAACACCCUCCCUCUCAGCGGCCAUCGCCGGAGCAGCGGUAUCCACCGUCCUCCCUAACGGACGCUGGGGUAACGACGAAGCCGCCUCAUCAUGAGCUAACCUGGUACCUACGAACAUCGAAGUAGCUACCUACGGGGAGCAGCAACACUUGGCAUCCGGCGACCUCCCCCUCCGGCAUGCAUGACGACACGCGUUUAGGGUCGGCAGGACAUCGGGCGCCUAGGAUCUCUCCCCUCCUUCCUGCCUUACUUUUUACCAUCUUACUCUUUACUCUUGACAGACCUUUUUUACCCGAUCCCAAUUGUAACUCCGGCCGUCCCCUUGCGAUAUAAAAGGAGGAACCUAGAGCCGGAGAGGGGGGAAUCGAAAAGGAUAGAAUCAACCAGCUUCUUCUCCCGCACAUCAUAGUACACAACCACUGUUCCUAAGAGCACGAAAACCGAAGAGACUUGGGACCAGUCCCCUCUCUCGCCCAUCUGUAACCCCCUACUACAGAACCCCCGCGCGGGCAACACGAGCAUCCUCGAUACUGGACGUAGGGCUUCCUUUACCCAAACCAGUCUAAUCCGUGUCUCCCGUGCAACCAUCUGAGGCUCACGCGCAUAAAAGAAAUUUACUAGUCUAAGUCUUGAUCCACUGAUCUUGACAACGACAGUUGGCGCGCCAGGUAGGGGACCUUUGCGCGUGCAUCUCCAAGUCUCAGAUGGCCAAUGGCGAUAGCAGCUUUGCUCUGGGCUCCCUGAUUCGUUUCGGGAGCCUGGACUUCCUGGCCACCGGGAAAGGGAUCGAGCUGAUCCCUGUCCACGUCCUGCCCGCUCGUCCCGCUGCCCUCGGCACCACCGCCAGGGCAGCGACGAGCGGCCGGACGCCAGCCAGGAGGGUCUCACCGGCGACGAGCGGCCGGACGCCAGCCAGGAGGGUCUCACCAGAAGGAUGGCUCUUCGGGCUACGCAACGCCACGGGGGCUCACGGCCGCCUCCUAGCGCGGUCCUUCCCCGCGUCACCCGCGAGCAACGAGCUCGUGGGCGUGGCAAGAACAUUCUCCGACACUGGCUCUAGUAACGAGAAUCCCCGCCCCUCGCGCGAGUGCUUCAUGGCCGAGGCGCACUCCGAGGGGUCCAAUGGCGAUGGUGCCGAGGGGAGGCGACGGGCUCCCCCCUCGGACGCCGCCGCUACGGCUGGAGGCUUACCCAGGGCCCCAGAGUGCUCACAGCAACCGGAAGCGCACGUGGGCGCUCGCCAGGGAGUAGAGCACCCCCAUCACGAGGGGGGAGCGCGGCAACGGGCGCGCGACGUUCAGGAACGCAUCUGUGCGGAUGGAGAACGCCCGCCGCUCUUUGCCCGCGCUAGCCAGAACGUCGCCGCGGCGGCGGUGUUACUCCGGCACCUUCCCGAGCCAGCAACGCCCGAGGAGCGACGGGCGCGCCAAGAGAUGCACAACCUGCUCGAGUGCGCCGCCGUCCAGCAGGCGGAAAGUUCAGCGUCUCGACGACGCGGCCAGAACGCCAGUCGGGCGACGCAGGGCGCGCCUCCAGAACGGCGGGGGGAAUCUGUCCAUCAACCCUCUCCGGGGGCGGAUCCGGCUGCGACCGCCCAACGAACACCGCCACCCGCGGAAGGCGAGGCCCGAUCCGUCCACCAGCGCGUCGGUCUCGUCCGCGACGCCCGCGACACGCUGAACGCGCGGAGACGCUCCCGCGCGGACAGGGGGGACGGGGCAGAUCGAGGCUACCACGUCCACCGAGGCGGGCGCUACGACAGCGGGGAGGACCGCAGUCCGAGCCCCGGAGCGGCUGGGCCUCGGGCUUUCUCCGCGCGCAUCCUAAAUGCGCCCUUUCCGCCGCGCUUCAGGCAACCGACGAGCGUGGCCAAAUACUCGGGGGAGACCAACCCUGGAGUAUGGCUCAGCGAUUACCGGCUUGCAUGUCAAGCCGGCGGGGCGGACGAUGACCUGUUCAUCAUCUGCAACUUACCCCUGUUUCUAGCAGACUCCACGAGAGCCUGGCUAGAACAUAUCCCUUCAGGACGCAUUCGCAACUGGAACGACCUGAAGGAGGUUUUCGUAGGAAACUUCCAAGGGACGUACACACGCCCUGGCAACUCCUGGGAUCUUCGGAGCUGCCGCCAGGGGGCAGACGAGUCCCUCCGGGAUUACAUCCGGCGCUUCUCCAGAAAGCGCACCGAGCUCUCUAACGUCGCCGACGCCGACGUUAUAGGAGCCUUCCUAGCAGGGACCUCCUGCCGGCCACUCGUCCACGAGCUAAGGCGCCGAGGCCCGCGAACCACGGAAGAGCUCCUCAACAUCGCCACUAGCUACGCCUCUGGCGAGGAGGCUGUUGGAGCGAUCUUCGAUCGUUCCAAGGGCAAGGCGAAACGGGAGGAGGACGCCGACGAAGGCACCUCCAACCGCCAGCAGCAGAAGAAGAAGGGCAAGCAGCGACGCGAGGCUCCACUCGUAGCCGCAGUCGAGCGCAAGCGGGGGCAACCGCCCCCCGACGGCGCAUCGGGCUUCUUCGACAAGCUGCUCGAGGGGCCGUGCCCGAACCACGAGUUCCCCGUCAAGCAUGCCUACAAAGAUUGUAACCUCAUGAAGAGGUUCUUUGUGGGCAAUCCGGUGAAAGGUGACCGGAAGCGGAAACCCGACGAGGAAAAGAAGGGUGACGAGGAGAAGGAAGACGGCUUUCCUAAAGUUGACGGCUGCUUCAUGAUCUUCGGGGGCUCUGUCGCGUACGACACCAGGCGCCAGCAAAAGCUAGAGCGCCGGGAGGUCUACGCGGCCGAGCCUGCGACCCCGGCUUUCCUCGAUUGGUCCGGACCGGCUAUCACCUUUGAUAGAUCCGACCACCCGGGACGCGUCCGGCAUCCGGGGCGUUACCCUCUCGUCGUCGACCCCAUCGUCGGUACGACACACCUCACCAAGGUACUCAUGGAUGGGGGCAGCGGCCUCAACCUCCUCUACGCCAAGACCCUCGACGCCAUGGGGAUCGAUCGCUCCCGUCUCCGUCCUAGCAAGGCUCCCUUCCAUGGCGUUGUGCCAGGGAAGCAGGCAACGCCCCUCGGGCAGAUCGACCUGCCCGUCACGUUCGGGACCCCUUCUAACUAUAGGAAGGAGGUCCUCACCUUCGAGGUGGUAGGGUUUCGCGGAACCUACCACGCCAUCUUGGGGCGGCCAUGCUACGCGAAGUUCAUGGCAAUCCCCAACUACACCUACCUCAAGCUCAAGCUACCAGGGCCUAACGGGGUAAUCACCGUCGGCACAACCUUCCAGAAGGCAUACGAGUGCGACGUCGAGUGCUGCGAGUACGCCGCGGCCAUCACCGUCUCGGGCGACAUGGUGGCCCAGCUUGAGGAGACGAUCGAGGACCAGCUCGGCGCCAAGCAGUCAGGUGCCUCCUUUGAGCCCACCGAAGGCAUCAAGGAAGUCCCUCUCGACCCCGGCAGUUCCGGCGGUGGGGUCGUGCGGAUCAGCGUAGCCCUAUCCCCCAAAUAGGAAAGCGCGCUCGUCGACUUCCUUCGCGCGAACAACGACGUCUUUGCGUGGAAGCCCUCGGAUAUGCCAGGCAUCCCGAGAGAAGUCGCCGAGCAUUCCUUGAACAUCAGGGCCAGCUCUAAACCAGUGAAGCAAGGCUUGCGCCGUUUCGACGAAGAAAGGCGCAGGGCCAUUGGUGAAGAGCUCCAGAAGCUCCUGGCGGCCGGGUUCAUCAAGGAAGUACACCACCCGGAGUGGUUGGCUAAUCCUGUUCUUGUACCGAAGAAGAACGGGAAAUGGAGGAUGUGUGUCGAUUAUACCGGUCUCAACAAAGCGUGUCCAAAGGAUCCGUUCCCUUUGCCACGCAUAGAUCAAAUAGUAGACUCAACCGCCGGGAGCGAAACACUCAGCUUCCUUGAUGCGUACUCCGGCUAUCACCAGAUCGCGAUGAAAGAGGCUGACCAGCUCGCUACCUCCUUCAUCACCCCCUUUGGCCCCUACUGCUACGUUAAGAUGCCAUUCGGCCUCAAAAACGCGGGGGCUACCUUCCAGCGGUGUAUGCUUAAGUGCUUCGGAGAUCUCAUCGGGCGGACCGUUGAGGCCUACGUCGACGACAUCGUGGUCAAAUCCAGGAAGGGCGAUCAGCUCGUUCCCGACUUGGAGCUAGCCUUCGAAAGGCUAAGGGAUAAGCGUAUCAAGCUUAACCUCGAGAAAUGCGUGUUCGGUGUCCCAAGGGGCAUGCUGCUAGGCUUCAUCGUCUCCAUGCGCGGCAUCGAGGCGAACCCGGAGAAGCUAGCGGCCAUCAACGACAUAGGGCCGAUCCGGAACAUUAAGGGAGUACAACGCGUCAUGGGAUGCUUAGCAUCCCUAAGCCGCUUCAUCUCACGCCUCGGCGAGCGAGGACUUCCUCUCUAUCGGCUCCUGAAAAAAUCCGAUCGCUUUGAGUGGACCAGCGAGGCACAGGGAGCACUUGACAGGCUCAAGGAUCUCCUGACGAAAGCCCCAAUUCUAGUUCCGCCGGCCGACGGCGAGAUCCUUCUACUCUACGUCGCGGCAACCACCCAGGUGGUCAGCGCGGCCCUAGUAGUGGAGAGGGAGGAGGAGGGGCACGCUCUUAAGGUGCAACGCCCGGUGUACUUCAUCAGCGAAGUGUUGUCCGAGUCCAAAUCGUGAUAUCCGCAGAUCCAGAAGCUCGUCUACGCCGUCCUCAUCACGAAGAGGAAGCUGCGUCACUACUUCACCUCCCAUCCGGUAACGGUCGUUUCUUCAUUCCCGCUUGGUGAACUAAUCCGGAACCCGAAUGCAACAGGAAGGAUCGCGAAGUGGGCGCUUGAGCUUAUGGAUUAGAGUAUCACCUACGUUCCCCGCACCGCCAUUAAAUCCUAGGUACUUGCCGAUUUCGUGGCCGAGUGGAUAGAGGUACAAGCACCGACGGCAACAGAGGAGCAGGAGUACUGGACGAUGUACUUCGACGGGUCGCUGAUGAGGGCCCGCGCCGGAGCAGGCCUCGUCUUCGUCUCUCCGUUGGGCGUACGCAUCAGGUACAUGAUCCGCCUCCAUUUUCCUGCAUCCAAUAAUGUCGCUGAGUAUGAAGCCCUGCUCAACGGGCUCCGCAUCGCCAUCGAGCUGGGCAUUCGUCGACUAGACGUCCGAGGCGACUCCUAGUUGGUCGUCGAACAAGUCAUGAAAGAAUGGAGCUGCCAUGACCCUAAAAUGGCCGCCUACUGCAACGAGGUACGUAAGCUCGAGGGCAAGUUCGACGUGUUGGAGCUCAACCACGUCGCAAGGCGCUUCAAUGAAGCCGCCGACGAGCUCGCAAAGGCGGCGUCCGGCCGGAUGCCCGUCCCCGACGACGUCUUUGUUAGCGACCAGCUGAAGCCUUCAAUCCGUUACCCGGAGCCAGCAGGGGUCGGCGGGGCAUGCCCAGCCUUGGGGGCGGGGUCCGAACCAGGGGAGGUCGGCAGCAUGCCACCUGUCCUGGACCCGAGCACCGAUCCCAAGGGAACCAACGCUGCCCUACCCGACCCGGCCUCGGAAGCCAAGCCUUCCGACCCCGUGGUUAUGGAAAUCGAGGCAGACCCCGCGGCGGGGGCCGACCCCUCGACCGAUUGGAGAGCCCCGUACCUCGACUACCUUAUCCACGACGCGCUCCCGACCGACAAGACCGAAGCCCGCAGGAUCACGCGCCGUGCGAAAUCCUUCACCAUCAUCGACCAGGAGCUUUACAAGCGAAGUCACACUGGGAUCCUCCAGCGCUGCAUCCCGAUCGAACAGGGAAAGGCGCUGAUCCAGGACAUCCACGCUGGGGCUUGUGGUCACCACGCUGCGCCAAGGAUGCUUGUGGGCAAUGCCUUUCGACAAGGUUUCUACUAGCCAACCGCGGUCGCGGAUGCUACCCAGGUAGUCUGCACUUGUGAGGGAUGCCAGUUCUUUGCCCGCCAAACCCACCUGCCCGCGCAGGCGUUACAAACCAUCCCCAUCACGUGGCCGUUCGCGGUCUGGGGACUGGAUCUCGUCGGACCCUUCAAAAGGGCGCCCGGGGGCUUCACCCAUCUACUCAUCGCUGUCGACAAGUUUUCCAAAUAGAUCGAAGCAAGGCCAGUGGCGCAAAUCAGGUCCGAGCAGGCGGUACAGUUCUUCACCGACAUCGUCCACCGCUUCGGGAUCCCGAACUCCAUCAUAACCGACAACGGUACGCAGUUCACCGGAAAAAGAUUCCUCCAGUUCUGCGACGACCACCACAUUCGAGUGGAUUGGGCGGCAGUUGCGCACCCCCGCACGAACGGGCAAGUCGAGCGAGCCAAUGGCAUGAUACUUCAGGGUCUCAAGCCACGGAUCUUCGACCGCCUUAAAAAAUUCGGCGGACGAUGGGUUGCGGAGCUCCCAGCAGUCCUUUGGAGCCUGAGGACGACCCCCAGCCGGGCGACAGGGUUCACCCCAUUCUUCAUGGUCUACGGGUCAGAGGCCAUCUUGCCCACCGACUUGGAGUAUGGGUCACCGAGGGUCAAAGCAUACGACGAACAGGGAAACCAGGCGUCACUCGAGGACGCACAAGACCAACUAAACGAGGCGCGAGAUGUAGCCCUGCUACACUCAGCUAAAUACCAGCAGGCCCUACGGCGUUACCACAGCCGCAGGAUACAAGGCCGCGCCUUCAACGUCGGAGAUCUAGUGCUCCGCCUCGUCCAAGAUAACAGGGGUCGGCACAAGUUGACUCCCCCAUGGGAGGGCCCGUUCAUCGUCGCACAGGUGCUACGACCAGGCACCUACAAGCUGGCAACUCCCGACGGGCAAAUCUUCAGCAACGCCUGGAACAUAGAACAGCUAAGGCGCUUCUACCCAUAGCUCUCAUUUACAAGUUAUGCAUGGUCCUGCCAUCCUUUCCGUUCUUUCUUUUAAGCUCAGGAGUAUCCGACCCUGGCCUCGUUCCAGGAUCGCAUACCCCUCGGGGGCUACCAGUUUUGUUCUUCUGCGAAAAAAGAAACCCUGAGCCACUUUGGCUCAGGUCCUUUCGUUUAAGCUCAGGGGUAUCCGACCCUGGCCUCGCUCCAGGGUCGCACACCCCUCGGGGGCUACCAGUUUUGUUCUUCUGCGAAAAAAAAAGAAACCCUGAGCCACUUUGGCUCAGGUCCUUUCGUUUAAGCUCAGGGGUAUCCGACCCUGGCCUCGCUCCAGGGUCGCAUACCCCUCGGGGGCUACCAGUUUUGUUCUUUUACGAAAAAGAAGGCCUUUUCUUUUAAACUUAGGGGUAUCCGACCCUGGCCUAGCUCCAGGAUCGCACACCCCUCGGGGGCUACCAGGGGUCCCGACCCCAGCCGCCGGGCACCGCCUUAAAAGAAAACGUUUUUUCUUUUUUCAAAACCGAACACUCCCUUUCGAAAACCAUUGGACACAAAAAGAUAAGGAUGCGUGAACGGUACUCAGCCAAGUUGCGAUCGGACUGCGAAAAAGCCUACGCCCCAGCGGCUACGGUACCUUCGCUCAUCAAAAACUUACUGACGCACCCGGCAAUGCAUCCAAAAGCUUUCAAGACCAAAGGAAUAACAAAGGGAAACGGUUUCCUUAGCGCAAAUAAAAAGUCAUAAGAACAGGCCCGUAUGGCCAACACGAACGAGUUCAACACGACUGACUUAAGUACAAACUUUUUUCGGGCACAAGCCCGGUACAGCUAAUUAACAGGAGGGUCGGCCGGAGCAGUGGUUCCGGGGUCGGCUGAAGCAGCGGCUUCGGGGUCGACAGGAGCGGCGGCUUCAGGGUCGGCGACGGCGGCGGCCUCAGGAUCGAUAGGGGGGACGACUUCAUCCUCCAGAAGCUUCGCGAGAGCCUCCGCUGGCGCGGUCACCACGGCGUCGAUCUCAUCCAGCUCGGCGUCUGUGUAGCCGGCGCAGUACCCCUCACUCAUCCCGACAAAAUUAAUGUCGGCAUAGUGAGAGCCGAAGACUCCGAAGGCGCGCCGCACGCCAAGGCGAAGCGCGUCCACGGCGAUCUCGCGACGACGACGGCGCACCUCGAGGACACGAGCCGACAGCGAGCUCGACCCCUCCUCCGGAGCGACGCCGAAGUCCUCACAGAUGACGCGGACCGCAUCCCGCAGGGCGCUAUGCUCGCCGCGCUCCUCGUCGAGCAGAGUCCGCAACCUGGCGAUGUCACCUGCAGGACCCACUCGAGAAAUCCCACCAAGUCAGAAGAAGCAAAACACCAAUGACACAAAAACGCAGAAGCAGAAAAAGCCUCACCGUCGGCCUCGGCCUUCAGCUCGCGCUCCCGGUCGACGCUGCGGGACAAAGCGGACUGGAGCCCCUGCACUUGCAAACGAAGCUGCUCGUGCGCCGCACGAAGGGCUGCACUCUCCCCCCUCAGCCGCGCCAGCUCCUCGGCGUCUCGGCGGGCCCGCUCAGUAGCAGCGGCUUUUAGCCCCUCGGCAUCGCGGCGGGCCCUGUCCAUGGCGGCCUGGAACUCCUCAAGGUCGAGGCGGGCCUUCUCCGCGACGGCCUAGAGCCUGGCCUCGGCACGCCGCGCCCCCUCUAGCGCCGCCUGCUCACGCCCCUCCAGGUCGCGAACGGCGCCCUGGGCGGCGCCAAGCUGCAGGGUCAGAUCCCUGGAGCGCUCCCUCUCGGUGUUGUAGUGCUCCCAGAGGUUCCGCUGCCGCCGGAGGAAGUCAGACUUCUCCCGGCUGCCCUCUUGGAGAGCCUGCAAAGAAGCAUUCCGUUAAAAGCAAAAAAAAAAAAGUAAAGAGAAGGAACUCAUCGCCGAGCGGCAGGAACAACAUACCUGGCUGCCGGGAACCACGGUGUUGGCCAAAACUCCCAACGCCGAGGUCAGAGCCGCCUGAACCUGGGCGACGCCGCCGUGCAUCGCCUGCCACCUAUGCCACUCGGCGGCGUCAUCCAGCGCGUAGAGGCGCCUCGGCGGGUCAUCGCGGGACGUCCAGCGGAGGACGGGCCCUCUCCACGCCCCAGGGACGGAGGAAGCCGAGGGCGGAACAAGGGCCGACUCUGACGUCGCCGUCGAUGACGACAUCACGACGCCAGAAACCCCUGGAUCCACCGACGGCUCCGGCGCCUGCGCGCCCGUCGCCACCGCGGCCGCUAACGGCACCCCUGUGGGCACCUCCGUCUCGGCCGCUAGAGUCACCCCCGCGGGAGCAACCGGGACGGAGACCCCGGUCUCCAGCACCACUGCCUUCGCCGCCGCCGCGUCCUCGGGAGCCAGCGCCCCCUCUGCCUCUGACCCCGCCAUGGCAGCGGGGGCAUCCGCCCUGCCCACCGCCGUCUCCGCCUCCUCCGCCUCGUCGGCGUCAAGGUCGAUCACCUCCCCGGCUUGAGGGCCCGGGGGAAUCACGACCCGAGCCGGAGGGGCGAUCGGUGGGGCCGUAGGCGGAGUGGAGUCCGCUCCCCCUCCGGCGGAGGAGGAGGACGUCCGCAGCAUCUUCUUGGGCGCCAGCCGCAGGGUGACGCCGCGGGGAGAAGUACUGCACGUCGACGGACGGGCGUCAACAGAAACAAACGGAAAGAGAAAGGAAGGAUGACACGUAGGAAGAGUCAACUUACGCCCUCGAAGCGCAGGGGCGGCGCGCGCGCUUCGACUCGGAGCCGGACGCCGACCCCGGGGCGUCUGGCAGUGGCCGGUUGUCGCCGCCCCGUUGCCCUCCGCCAACAGGCACGGCGGCGGAGGCAGCCCCCACGGAUCCCCGAGGAGCCCCCCGAGCGGACUCCUGGGGAGCGCCCCGCGCCGGGCCCAAGGCAGCGGCAGGGGCGGACUCUGAAGGCCCCUGAGGGGCGCUCCGUGUCGACGCCGGGGCGGCAUCCCUUGCCGGCCCCGAGGGAGCAUCCCGCGCCCGCUCCUGGGGGAUGCCCUGGGACGACCCCGGGGGGGCGCCCCGCGCCCCUCCCCGGGGGAGGCCCUGCGCCGACCCCCGGGGAACGUCCUGCGCCGCCCCCUGGGGAGCAAUCCGCACCGGCUCCUGAGGCGCGCGCUGCGCCGACCCCUGAGGAGCGGUCCGCACCGGCUCCUAGAGCACGCGCUGCGCUGACCCCUGGGGCACGGUCUCAGGACCCGGGGGAGCCGGAUCCCGGGCGGACGCUCCCGCCGCUGCACCCCCUGCAGCCGUCUGCGGGGGUGCGUCACGAAUCACCAAAGCCCCCGAACGGGGGGCAAACAGCUCUUCCUCCUCCUCUUCUUCUUCUUCUUCUUCUUCUUCUUCUUCUUCUUCUUCUUCUUCUUCCUCGUCGUCGUCGUCGUCAGACACGACCGCCCCUCUCCGCCGCCGUUGGAACUCCUUGGCGGCCUUCUUCCGCCGCUUCUCCGUCUCCUUGUCCUUCCGGCGCUUCUGCUCCUCGGCCCGGAGACGAUUGCGAGCCCUCCGCUCGGCAUCCUCCGGCACCGGCGGGAGGGAGUCCGCAACCCGGGUCAGCAUGCCCUGCAAAACGCGAAAGAGGAUCCGCAUCAGAACAACAAAACAACGGGACAUCAGGAGGGAGAAGCGGCGACCCAAAAACCUUACCAGGUCUACGAAGCCCGGCUCCGGGCGCAUCGGCGGAUGCACGGGGAUCGGGUAGUCGACGUCCUUGUCCUCCAGCGCCUCCCGGAGCCGUUGCCGGAUCUCGGAGGCAGCGAGCGCGCCUGUCGCCAGGACGGUGCCCUCGGUCGGCAUGUCGGGGGACAUGACGCCAAGUGGACGCGCCCGGAGCAUCAGCGGCGCCACCCGCCGGGCGUGGUACGCGCCGAUGACCCCGGCGCCGGUGAGCCCCUCCCGCUUCAGCUGCCCGAUGGCCUGCAGCAGGUCGGAGAUCUUCCUCUUCUCCUUCUCCACCGGCCCGUACGCCCACACGUCGGGCGCCGCGUCGAUGGUGCAACCGGUGAACGCCGGCAGGGGGGAGUUCGGGUAGUUCUUCACGUAGAACCACUGAUUGUGCCACCCCUUGUGGGACACCGAGGUCUUCACCGUCAUAUACUCCUUGGAGCGAGUAUGACGGAGGUGGAUCCCGGCGCACCCAAUCGGCACCGGAGGCGACCGCUGUUGGCUCCCGGCCUUCCCCGCCUUCUGGUACAGGCUCACGGUGAAGAAGUACUUUCAUAACUCGAAGUGGGGCUCGAUGCCCAGGAACCCUUCGCACAGCGCGACGAAUGCCGCGAUGUGCUGGAUCCCAUUGGGGUUGAGAUGCUGGAGCUCGAGCCCGUAGUAGUAGAGGAGCCCGCGGAAGAAGCGGCUUGGAGGGGAGGCGAAUCCCCGCUCGUGGAAGUGGGCGAAGGAGACGACGUAGCCGGCGGGCGGCGACGGGACCUGUUCCGGCCCCGGCAGUAUCCACUCGUCCGCCGUCGUCUUCUCGCAGAGGAGCCCCUUUCGCACCAGGCCCUCGGCGCGGUUGGCGGUGAAGUGGGAAACUCCCCAGGAGGCCAUCGCCAAGGAAGGAAGGGGACCGACGGAGGCGAAAGCGAAAGCACGCGGCGUGAAGCAAUGGGAACAAAGCGAGCGAGGCGAGCGCAAGUGAGCUAGGAAGGCAAGAAGGCUCGAGUGCGGAAGGAGAGGAACCGGCGCGGCGUGCUUCUGCUUUUAUAGGAAAAGUACCGGGGAAGCCCAAUCGACGCCCCGGCCCCCAUAAAUGCGGCGCCAGGUACGCCCCUGCCGCGCCCGUUUCCUUUUCGAAAAACGCGCGCACGAUCGGCCGCGAAAAAACAUCCUAUCUUCCUCGAUCCGCGGGACGACGCUUCCAUAACUCCGCUUCCCGGGUAUCGCGCCCACGACGCUCCCCACGACCGGCCCAGGCACACCAACCGCUCCGCUCCGGUCCAAGGCCCACAGGGAGGUAAGAAAGGGAUACGGGGCUGAAAACGCCCCUACGGCCCAAUACGGUCCAGGGGUUCGAAAGCUGGCCCAACACGGGUUCGACAGCUGCCUCAGGACAUCCCCGAGCAAGGGGUGAGAAGGGGCGGGCCCGCUAGCGGCCAACACCCAGGCGAGCGAACGCCAAGGGCGCCCCAACCUCACGUUCGAGUCCCGCUCAGUGUAAAGUUCAUGGUUUUUCCACGGGGAAAGGCAACGAGCCCUCAGAUCCGGUCGAACGGAUCCGAGAACUAUAUGAACUGACCGACGGGAAAUCGGAGUACGCCACCAGCUUGGCCCGAGCCGGACCCCCCCGAACGGGGACCGGGACUCCACUCGAACUUACCCGUUUGCAGCUCAAACGAGCACCAUGGUUCGUCCAACGCGGAUAACGUGGCCCGGCUCAACCCCUCCGUCCUAGCGAACGCACGCUUGAGGGGCAACGAUCAAAAAGUCGACCUGGCCUCCCGAUCGGUUUCCUGCAACGAGCAGGAGCUCGGGGGCAAGCCUCGCAAACAACUGCCACACGUGUGGUCACAAACCUGGCAGGUUCUCUCGAGCAAGGCGGAGAUAAAAACAAGCGCGCCAUAAUACAGAAACCGGCGGCAAACAGCGAAAGGAGCCUCCGGAGGAGCACUCCUGCUCCACCACAGGCUCGGGGGCUACUGUUGGGGGGAAAUAUUAAUGACCCCCUAACACACUGCUUAAAAAAGCAAACAUGAAGGCCCAGGCCCACCAAAGCAUGAUCAACUCUCCGCCUCGCCCGACCCAGGCGCCAGGAUCGGGAGCGCCCGACCCUCCUCCGCAAGGUUUCCGCCUCGCCCGACCGCGACCCCAGGGUCGGGGGCGUCCGACCCUGCGCCACGAAAGUUCCGCCUUGUCCGACCCCGAGCGAAGGAGUCGGGCGCACUGGGGCCCACAAGUCCGGGAGCCCCCUCGGAUACGGUCCGCACAGACGAGACAAAUCCUGUGGGUCCCCCCGUCGGCCUCACCAUAAAUGCACCACAGAGUUGGCAGAGGGCAGGGCGACCGAGCCCCUCACGCAACCUGGCGCAAGUACCCGUGCAUGACCGUCCUGUGCAGGCUACAGUGCCGGCGGCCGGUUCUCAUUCGCCACGGAGCACUCAUGACCUGCGCCGACCGGAGCAAAAAAGAGAGAGGCCUGUCCUCGGGUCCCGCACACCCUCGAGUCUCGCGCACCCAACAGUGCGGACGUAACGCCCUCCCUCUCAGCGGCCAUCGCCGGAGCAGCGGUAUCCACCGUCCUCCCUAACGGACGCUGGGGUAACGACGAAGCCGCCUCAUCAUGAGCUAACCUGGUACCUACGAACAUCGAAGUAGCUACCUACGGGGAGCAGCAACACUUGGCAUCCGGCGACCUCCCCCUCCGGCAUGCAUGACGGCACGCGUUUAGGGUCGGCAGGACAUCGGGCGCCUAGGAUCUCUCCCCUCCUUCCUGCCUUACUUUUUACCAUCUUACUCUUUACUCUUGACAGACCUUUUUUACCCGAUCCCAAUUGUAACUCCAGCCGUCCCCUUGCGAUAUAAAAGGAGGAACCUAGAGCCGGAGAGGGGGGAUCGAAAAGGAUAGAAUCAACCAUCUUCUUCUCCCGCACAUCAUAGUACACAACCACUGUUCCUAAGAGCACGAAAACCGAAGAGACUUGGGACCAGUCCCUCUCUCGCCCAUCUGUAACCCCCUACUACAGAACCUCCGCACGGGCAACACGAGCAUCCUCGAUACUGGACGUAGGGCUUCCUUUACCCGAACCAGUCUAAUCCGUGUCUCCCGUGCAACCAUCUGAGGCUCACGCGCAUAAAAGAAAUUUACUAGUCUAAGUCUUGAUCCGCUGAUCUUGACAACGACAGGCAGGGGGGAGUCCGAGUAGUUCUUCACGUAGAACCACUGGUUGUGCCACCCCUUGUGGGACGCCGAAGUCUUCAUCGCCAUAUACUCCUUGGAGCGAGUAUGGCGGAGGUGGAUCCCGGCGCACCCAAUCGGCACCGGAGGCGACCGCUGCUGGCUCCCCCUCUUCUCCGUCUUCUGGUACAAACUCACUGUGAAGAAAUACUUCCACAGCGACAAGUUGGGCUCGAUGCCCAGGAACCCCUCGCACAGUGCGACGAACGCCGCAAUGUGCUGGAUCCCGUUGGGGUUGAGGUGCUGGAGCUCGAGCCUGUAGUAGUGGAGGAGCCCCCGGAAGAAGCGGCUCGGUGGAGACGCGAACCCCCGCUCAUGAAAGUGAGCGAAGGAGACGAUGUAGCCGGAGGGAGGCUCCGGCACUUGCUCCGGCCCCGGCAGCAACCACUCGGCCGCCUCCGUCCUCUCGCAGAGGAGGCCUUUCCGCACCAGGCCCUCGGCGCGCGAGGAGUUGAAGUGAGAGAUCCCCCAAGAACCCAUCGCCAGAGGAGGAGGAAGCUCGACGGAGGUGAAAGGCAAGUGCGCAGCUGGGGAGGAGGAAGGCGAAGCGGACGCAGGUGAGCUAAGUGCGAGGCUGGAGGACGAAAGGGCUCGAAUGCAGAAGGCGGGCGGAACCAGCGAGGCGGGCUUCCAUUUUUAUAGGAAAGGCGCGGGGAAGCCAAAUCGACGCCCCUGCCGCCAUAAAUGCGGCGCCAGGUACGCCCCUGCCACGCCCACUUCCUUUUCGGAAACCGCGCGCACAACCGGCUGCGAAAACAUCCUAUCCUCCUCGAUCCGCGGGACGACGCUCCCCAUAACUGUGUCUCCCGGAAGGCACACCCACGACGUCCCCCACGUUCGGCCCAAACGCAACGACCGCUCUGUUCCGGCCCAAGGCCCACCGAAGGGUAAGAAGGGAUACGGGGCUGAAAACGCCCCUACGGCCCAUUACGGUCCAGAGGUUCGAAGGCUAGCCCGCCACGGGUUCGACAGCUGCCUCAGGACGUCCCCCGAGCGAGGGGUGAGAAGGGACGGGUCCGCUAGCGGCCAACACCCAGGCGAGCGAAAGCCAAGGGCGUCCCGACCUCACGUUCGAGUCCUGACCGGCAUGAAGUUCAUGUUUUUUCCACAAGGAAAGCCAACGAGCCCCCGGAUCCGGCCGAACGGACCCGGGAACUAUAUGAACUGGCCGGCGGGAGAUUGGAGUACGCCACCAGCUUGGCCCGAGCCGGACCCCCUCGAACGGGGACCGGGACUCCACUCGAACCUACCCGUUCGCAGCUCAACGAGCACCACGGUUCGUCCAACGAGGAUAGCGUGGCACGGCUCAACCCCUUCGUCCUAGCGAACGGACGCUUGAGGGGCAACGAACAAAAGUCGACCUGGCCUCCCGACCGGUCUCCUGCAACGCGCGGGGGCUCGGGGGCUAGCAUCGCAACCAACAACCACGCGUGUGGUCGCGAUUCGCAGGCUCCCCGGCCAAGUUGGGCUAAAACAAACGCACCCUACCCCCAACAAGAUCUCCGGCGAAACGGCGAAAGAAGCCUCCGGAGGAGCACUUUUGCUCCACCACAGGCUCGGGGGAUAUUGUUGGGGGGAAAUAUUAACGAUCUCCUAAAUACCUCUUAAAGGAACAAACAUGAAGGCCCAGGCCCAUCCAGGAUAACAAACUCACCGUCAAGCCCAACAUGAGCAAAACUCCGCCUCGCCCGACCACGGUCUCAGGGUCAGGAACGUCCGACCUCCCGCCACGAGGCUCCGCCUCGCCCGACCGUGGUCCCGGGGUCAGGAGCGUCCGACCUCCUGCCGCAAGGCUCCGCCUCGUCCGACCGCGACCCCAGGGUCAGGGGCGCCCGACCCCUCGCCACAAGGUUCCGCCUCGUCCCACCCCGAGCACAGGGGUCGGACUCACUGGGGGCCCCAGGACGGAUAUCCCCCUCAGGUGCGGACCGGGUGGUCAAGGUAACGAUCCCGUGGGUCCCCCUUGUCGACCUCGUCAUAAAUGUGCCGCAGGCUUGACAGGGAGAAGGAUGAUCACGCUCCUCACGCAACCCGCUGCAAGUACCCAUGCACGACCACACUGUACGAGCUACAGUGCUGGUGGCUUCCUUCCAUUCGCCGCCGGGUACUCAUGGCCUGCGCCGACCGGAGCAGAGGGAAGACUCGCCCGUCCUCGGGCCCCGCGUGCCCUCGGGCCCCCCGCGCUCGGGAGCAAGGAUGUGACGCCCUCUCUCCACAAGCCAUCAUCAGGACGGUGGCAUCCGCCGUCCCUCCCAACGGACACCGUAGUGACGACAAAACACCUUCAUCAUAACCCGACGCCUACGGACACCGAAGAGGCUAUCUGUAGGGCGCGACGACAGUUGGCACACGGCCGCCCUCCUCCUCCAGCAUGCACGUCGGCGCUCGUCAGGGGCUGGCGAAGGCGCCGGACGCCUAGGAACUUGGUUUCUCCCUUCUUGUUUACGUAAAGGUAAGUAAUUCAAUUUACAAGAUAAUUUUCACUCUAAGAAGACUAGUUGUAAGGUUAGGCUAUAAUAGCUUAACAAAAGUCGUACUUUCCAUGCAACAAUUACAGCUCAUUCAUUUAACGAAACAACCAAACACACCUUGGAAAAACUGCUCAAACCGAAGAUUGUGAAAGAGGUCUAUCAUUUUUUCUUCCUCUCACGAAACUUAAUAGCGCCUCUAAUUAUCUGCGGUAACCACCUUAGAAACUUAUACUGCAGCAGCACAUAGAUUGCCUUAGGUUGGUAAUAGGGUACGACAAUUGAACUUUGGUUCCCUGACCCUCCAAGCAAUCGUGUCAUGGCGGUUAGGGACAGAUUGCUCGGAAUCUUUCCCUGGUGGCUCAGGCAGUGGGCAAUGAUGUGUCGUGGAAAGAUGAUGACAUGUCUCUCAUUUUUGACAUUGUAUCUUCCUUUGAUAUGACUGAACAAGUGGUCCAACCAUGGAUCAUUGGUUGAUAUGAUGGUUCAGUCAUCUUAAGGAACAACUGGUGUUCUCCAGGACAAGUUUCUUUAGUAUAUGUGCAGCAUCAAAUGUAUGUGUCGAUAACAACCUGCUGUCGUCCUCCAUGAACAACUCGUGGAAUUUCAUAAAUGCUGGUCCAUAGCAAGACACAGGAAGAAGUGCUGGGUAUAAGUCAAUCCACAAGGUAGUUAGCUUGGGGUUGGCGAUCGUUCUCAGAUCAGCAAUCAUCAUCAUGAAAUCGUUUGCCAAGAAGCUAAUGAUGUCAUCACCAUGCAGCAGCUUGACCAGCGUAAAAAUAACAUCACUCGAAGCAAAAAAAAAAGCAUCAAUCUGAUUGUCGUCUGUCAGAUCAUACAUAAUAAGCGCGUUCUGAAACUUAAAUGUCCUAAUUUAUGAGACGAUUAAGUUUUCCAGCGAAAGCUGCUCCUUACCGAGUGUCCACCCCUCCCUGUGUGCUUGCACCACCACAUCCUUUAGGCUUUUCAUCGAGAACUUGCCACCAUCAGUUAGAAGCCACGGCCACUUGGGGUUCGGUGUUAAUAGCAUAUGGAAACCUUCGUUGGGAUUAGUCACCUCAAUCAGCAUAGGAUUUUUCUUGAAAUGGUCAACUGGGUUUUUGUACAGUAGGUGGUAACAAUCUUUGGCAGUUGAUAGUACAACCUUCCUGUAAUAGAGGUGCAAUGGUUAUCAACAUUAUAUUGUUGUGCCUACUUAUUUAUGUAAAGGUUAGUAAUUCAAUUUGCAAGAUAAUUUCCAAUCUAGGAGGCCCAGUCUGCAAGUUUAGGUCAAGUAGCUUAACGAAAGUCGUACUUUCCAUGCAACAAUUACAACUUAUUCACUUAACGAAACAACCAAACAUACCUUGGAAAAACUACUCAAACCGAAGAUUGUGAAAGAGGUCCAUCAUUUUCUUCCUCUCACGGAAUUCAAUACCGCCUCUAAUUAUCUGCGGUAACCACCUCGAGAACCUAUACUGCAGCAGCACAUAGAUUGUCUCAGGUUGGUAAUAGGGUACGACAAUUGAACUUUAGUUCCCUGACCCUCCAAGCAAUCGCGCCAUGGCGAUUGAGGACAGAUUGCUUGGAAUCUUUCCCCGGUGGUCAGGCAGGGGGUGAUGAUUUGUCGUGGAAAUAUGAUGACUUCUCUCUUAUUUUUGAUAUUGUAUUUUCCUUUGAUGUAACUGAAUCAGUGGUCCAACCAUGGAUCAUUGUUUGAUAUGAUGGUCCAGUCAUCAUCAGGAACAGUUGGUAUUCUGUAGGACAAGUUCUUCAGUAUAGGUGUAACAUCAGAUGUAUGUGUCGACAACAACCCGCUGUCGUCCUGCAUGAACUAUUCGUGUAAUUUCAUAAAUACUGAUCCAUCGCAAGACACAUGAAGAAGUGUUGGGUAUAAGUUAAUCCACAAGGUAGCUAGCUUGGGGUUGGCGAUCGUUCUGAGAUCAGCAAUCAUCAUGAAAUCGUCCGGUAUGAAGCUAAUGAUUUUCAGGUGUGUCUGCUUGUUUCGUUAAGUGAAUGAGUUGUAAUUGUUGAAUGAAAAGUACGACUUUCGUUAAGCUACUAGGGCCUAACCUUGCAGACUGGCCUCCUAGAUUGGAAAUUGUCUUGCAAAUCGAAUUGCUUACCUUUGCAUAGAUAAGCAGAAACACCAAUAUAAUGUUGACAAUCAUUGUAACUCUAUUUCACGAAGGUUGUACUAUCAACUGCCGAAGAUUGUUAACACCUACUGUACAAGAACCUAUUUGACCAUUUCAAAGAAAAUCUUAUGCUGAUUGAGGUGAUUGAUUCCAACAAAGGUCUCCACAUGCUAUUAACAUCGAACCCCAAGUGGUCGUGGCUUCUAACUGAUGGUGGGAAAUUCUCGAUGAAAAGCCUAAAGGAUUUGGUGGUGCAAGCACACAGGGAGGGUUGGACACUCGGUAAGAAGCAGUUUUCGCUGGAAAACUUAAUCGUCUCAUCAAUCCGGACGUUGAAGUUCAAGAACGCGCUUAUUAAGUAUAAUCUGCCAGACGACAAUCAGAUUGAAGACUUUUUUAGCUUCGAGCGAUGUUAUUUUUACGUUGGUCAAGCUGCUGCAUAGUGAUGACAUCAUUAGCUUCUUGGCGAACGAUUUCAUGAUGAUGAUUGUUGAUCUAAAAAUGAUCGCCAACCCCAAGCUAGCUAACUUAUGGAUUGACUUCUACCCAAACACCUUUUUCUGUUUCUUGCUAUGGACCUCCAUAUAUGAAAAUCCACAGGGUGUUCAUGGAGGACGACAGCGGGUUGUUGUCCACACAUACAUCUGAUGUUGCAGUUAUAUUGAAGAACUUGUCCUACAGAAUACCAUGUGUUUCUUAAGAUGACUCGAUCAUCAUAGCAAAGAAUGAUAUAUGGUUGGACCACUGGUUCAGUCACAUCAAAGAAAGAUACAAUUUGAAAAAUGAGAGACAAGUUAUUAUCUUUCCACGACACGUCAUCGCCCACUGCCUGAACCACCGGGGAAAGAUUCCGAGCAAUCUAUCCCCAACUGCCAUGGCGUGAUUGCUUGGAGGGUCACGGAACCAAAGUUUAAUUAUCGUACCCUAUUACCAACCUGAGGCAAUCUAUGUGCUGCUGCAAUACAGGUUCCCGAGGUGGUUACCGCUGAUAAUUAGAUGCGCUAUUGAGUUCCGUGAGAGGAAGAGAAUGGUGGAACUCUUCCACAAUCUUCGGUUUGAGCAGUUUUUCUAAGGUGUGUUUGGUUGUUUCGUUAAGUGAAUGAGUUGUAAUUGUUGCAUGGAAAGUACGACUUUUGUUAAGCUACUAGUGCCUAACCUUGCAGUCUGGGCCUCUUAGAUUGGAAAUUGUUUUGCAAAAUAAAUUGCUUAUCUUUACAUAAAUAAGCAGGCACAACACUAUAAAUUUGAUAACUAAUGCUCCUCAAUUACAAGAAGGUUGUACUGUCAACUGCCAAAGAUUGUUACCACCUACUGUACAAGAACCCAGUUGACCAUUUCAAGGAAAAUCCUAUGCUGAUUGAGGUGACUGAUCCCAACGAAGGUUUCCACAUGCUCUUAACACCGAACCCCAAGUAGCCCUGGCUUCUAACUGAAGGUGGGAAGUUCUCGAUGAAAAGCCUAAAGGAUUUGGUGGUGCAAGCACAAAGGGAGGGGUGGACACUCGGUAAGGAGCAGUUUUCGCUGGAAAACUUAAUCGUCUCAUCAAUCGGAACGUUUAAGUUCAAGAACACGCUUAUGAAGUAUGAUCUGAUAGACGGCAAUCAGAUUGAAGACUUUUUAGCUUUGAGUGAUGUUACUCUUACGCUGGUCAAGCUGUUGUAUGGUGAUGACAUCAUUAGCUUCUUGCCGGAUGAUUUCAUGAUGAUGAUUGCUGAUACGGCUACAGUGGCCGGUCGUCGCCACCAACUUGCGCGACUAGAGUGGUCAGCCGCCAUGUGCGACUCGCGUGCUCGGCUACAGUGAUCGACCGCCGAAUCGUCGAUGGGACCCAACGGCAACCACCCUUUUUGUGGGAGAAGCUCUGAAACGGGCAUGCCACUCGAGUGCGUUCGUCGCGGGAGAUCUGGGAGAAAGAUUUUGUGGGUCCACCGGUCAGUCUCGGUUGGUCCACUGCUCAAAUUGAAAAAAGGCACUGUGGGAAGACUUAGAAGGAUGCGGCAGUAUGGGUUGGGGUCGACAUGGAUCGGAGUUGGAAACCAGCGGAAGGGGUCGGAUACUCAGGGGUCGGGACCGGGACCGGAGGUUGAGCUCUUAAACUCGGGAAAGCUGAGACAGGGGAUUAGGGACUCGGAUUAAGAUUUACUUGAAAGAUUUGGGGUUGGUCGUUACAGCGCCCCUCGUCGACCCCUGGGGCGCGGCCUCCAAGCCCCGCAGGGUCGCGCCCUGGGCGGGCGGUCCGCUCAACCUGUCCCCCGCGGCCGGUUGACGGGACUGGUCCCGGAUGAUGAGCGUGCCAGGCACGAAGGCCGGGACGUAACCCUCCUCCUCCUCGGUCUCGUCUUCAUCAUCCUCAUCGUCAUCAUCAUCAUCGUCGUCCGUCACGACCGCGCCGCUCCGCCGCCUUCGGAACUCCUUCGUGGCCCUCUUCCUCCUCCUCGCCGUCUCCUUGUCUUUCCUCCUCUUCUACUUUUCAGUGAGGAGGCAGUUCUGCUGCGGCCGCGCUGCGUCCUCCGGCACUGGCGGGUGGGAGGCUACGGCCUGGUUCAACUCGCCCUGCAGACUCGAAAAUAUCACGUCAGGAAUGGCGAACUAGAAAACACAUGAAAGAAGGAUGAGAAGACAAAGAUUUCUCACCAGCGGGAUGUGGCCUUCGUCCAGGCGCAUCGGAGGGUGAUCCGGCACCGGGUAAACGACGUCCCUGUCGCCCAGCGCCUCACGGACACGCUGCUCGAUCUAGGCGUCGGCGAGCACACCCGUCGCAAGGACGGCGCCGUCAGUCGCCGCGCCGGGAACCAUAUCGCCAAGCGCAGGGGCUUGGAGCAUCAGUGGUGGCACCCUCCGAGCGUGGUACGCCCCGAUAACUCCGGCCCUGGUUAGGCCCUCCUUCAAGCGAUUGAUGGCCUAGAGAAAACCAGUGAUGUUCCUCUUCUCCUUCUCGACCGAACCAUACGUCCAGUUGUCCGGCGCCUCCGCGAUGACGCGGCCGGUGAACUCCAGCAAGGGGGACUCGGAGCAGUUCUUCAUGUAGAACCACUGCUGGUGCCACCCCUUGUGAGACGGCGCGGUCUUCAUCACCAUGUACUUCUUGGCGCGGUUCUGGCGGAGGUGGAUGCCAGCGCACCCCAUCGGCACCGGACCUGUCCGCACCUGGAUCCCCUUCUUCUCGAUCUUGUGAUGCAGGGUGACCGCGAAGAAGUAUUUCCAAAGCGAGAACUUGGGCUCAAUCCCCAGGUACCCCUCGAACAGAGCGACGAACGCCGCGAUGUGCUGGAUCAAGUUGGGGUUGAGGUGCUACAGCUCGAGCCCGUAGUAAUGCAGCAGCCCGCGGAAGAAGUGGCUCGGCGGAUUCGCAAACCCCCUCUCGUGGAAGUGCGCGAACGAGACGAUGUAUCCGUCAUCCGGCUUCGGCGCAUCCUCCCUCCCGGGGUACCACCACUCAUUCUUGGCGGUCCUCUCGCAAAGGAGGCCCUUCUUCACGAGGCUGGUGGCGCGAGCGGUGUUGAAGUUCGAGCGCAGCCAGGACUCCAUCGCUAAGGGAAGGGAAGGCUCAACGGUGGGGGCGGAGAAGGCUAAUGCGCUGGAACGAAGGGAGGUGAAAAGUGCGCAAGAAAGCAAGAAAGGCUGGAGACGAGUGCAGACUCCCUCGUCUUAUAGGGGGCGCGUGGGAAACGAAAGGGCAAUCCGAUCGCAGUUAUUGCGACGCCAGGUACGCCCAUCACUCCGCCUUUUUCGAACCGUGCACACGAUCUCUUCCAACCGCAGGGAACGUCUCCCCUCCUCGUUUCGCGGGCCUGGUGUUUUCCGUGGCUUCACCUCCCAAAGGAUGCACGCGCAUGACUUCCUCCACGUACGGCCCGGGGCCCACCAACAGGUAAAAAAAGGGAUACGGAGCUGAAAAUGCUCCUACGGCCCAUUACGGUCCAGGGGUUCGAAGGCUGGCCCACCGCAGGGUUCGACAGUCACCCCAGGACACUCCCGAGCAAGGGGUGAGAAGGGACGGGUCCGCUAGCGGGCACCACCCAGGCGAGCGAAAGCCAAGGGCGUCCCGACCUCACGUUCGAGGCCGGACUGGCGUUUAAGUUUAUGGUUUUUCCCCGAAGAAAGGCAACGAGCCCCUGGAUCCGAUCGAACGGAUCCGGGAACUAUAUGAAUUGGCCAUCCGGAAUCUGGAGUACGCCACUAGCUUGGCCCAAGCCGAACCCCCCCGAACGGGGACCGGGACUCCACUCCAACUGAUCCGUUAGCAGCUCACCGAGCAUCAUGGUUCGUCCGACGAGGGUAACAUGGCACGGCUCACCCCCUCCGUCCCAACGAACGGAUGCUUGAGGGGUACCGAUUAAAAGACAAUCCAACCUCUCGAUCGGUCCCCUACAACGCGCGGGGGCUCGGGGGCUGGAAUCGCAACCAACGACCAUGCGUGUGGUCAAUAUUUGGAGUCUUGGAGCAGGAGUGGUCGUCGGAACGAUAGGGAAUCUUCCCGAACCGAGCCAUCCUCAGAACACCCCGCCUACCCAAAACUCCCCGGCCAGGCCAAACGAGCGAAGCUUUUCCUCCCUGAUCAAAUGCAGGUUGCAGGUCAAACAAAGAUCCUUGAUGAACGACGAACAUAGCCUCUGGAGGAGCAUUCUUGCUCCACCAAAGGCUCGGGGGCUACUGUUGGGGGGAAAUAUUAACGACUUCCUUAUAUUCCUUAAACGACAGUUAUAAGGGCCCGGGCCCACCUCCAGCAACAGUGACCUCCGCCGACUUGGCCCGACCCCAGGGUCACAGGGUCGGACGCGCUUGACCCCCCGAGGCCGCUCCUCAUCCCAGCCGAGAGAGUUCUGCCUCGCCCGACCCCUCGCAGCAGGUCUCCGCCUCGCCCGACCCCAGGCGCAAGGGGUCGGACGCGCCCGACCCCUCGUCGCAAGGCUCCGUCUCGCCCGACCCCGGGCGCUAAGGGUCGGACGUGUCCGGACCCACAGGAUAGGGCUUCGCCUCGCCCAAAGGACGUGCGCGGACCAACAGACGAGGGCGCAGAUCUUGUGGGCCCCCACCGAUCUCGCCAUCAAUGCAACCGAUGGGACGCGCAUGCUCGGAACACGGCUCUGACACACGGAGAGGCGCCCGCGUUCCUCUACGUGACCUGCUGGAGUUUUCGGGCGGCGCACUGCUGCCACGACUGCACAGGGCUACAGCUGCACCAUCCUAACCCUCCCCUGUGACAUUCGUCAUAGGGCACUCAUCGCCCAUGCUACCUAACUAAGGAGGGUGCGCCGCCCGGUUUCCCGCUCGGCCCGGCGGCAGGGGCGUGUCAGCCGCGCCCCCCGGUCAGCACGCAUGGCUACAAUGGUCGCCCGUCAUCCGCGACGUGCACGGCUACGGUGGCCAGUCAUCAUCAUCAACUCGCACGGCUACAGUGGUCGGUCGCCACGCACGUCUCGCGUGCUCGGCUACAGUGGCCGACCGCUGGGUCAUCGAUGGGACCCAACGGCAACCACCCCUCCUCGGUGGCCACGCUGACAGGACGCAGAAAUCAGAAGGGAAGGCGGCCACCCCGGUGGCUCGACCCCUCUCCCUGUGCUUUACCUUCCUUGCUUACCUUUUUUUACUUCCCUUUACUCCUGGCUCAAUGGUAACUCAUGUGUCCUCUUUACGCUAUAAAAGGAGGACCAGGGGGGCCGAGAAAGGGACGGCUCUCGAAUGGAACAAUCCAACUCCGACCCGCAAUCCAACCUCACGAGCAUCAGUGCACACCCACAGAGACUUGGGACCAGCUUCCCUCUCUCGCCCGUUUGUAACCCCUACUACAAACUUGGCACGAGUAACACGAGCAGCCUCCCACUCUGGACGUAGGGCUAUUCGUGUCCGAACCAGUAUAAAUCUCGUGUCCUCUCGUGCAACCAUCUGAGCCUUACACGCAUAGAAAACAAAUUUACUUGCCGGAGUCUUGACCCAUGAUUCUUGACACCGACACAAAGGUAAAUAAAAUCUAGGCGAACCUUAAUUGGGACCCAUCAAGAUUAAAAGUAUUAUGUGCAUAACAAUGUUGUAUUGAACAUGAAAGUAAAGGUGAAUAGGACUUAAAGAAAUGAUCAAGGACACGACUUGCCUUCUUGACCUUGCUCUUGCUAUUCAUACUCCUCGAAGGCUUGAUCUUCAAAUCCCUCGAACUGCUGAACGUCUACACGCGUCACAUGAGCACGUACAAGCAAACAAAUGCGUAACAUGAAAAACAGUACACCAAUCAUAAUAAACAGAGAAAACAAGAUUGAAAAACUAAUCUACGCAUUAAAACGAACACGUGGAUAUAAAGAACGCGAAAAACGAAGUUAAGAUGCAAAAGAUAUGAUUAAAACAAGUUUUAGGGGCUUUUCAGCGAGAAAAACAACUUCCAGGGCUAAACUGUGAGAAACCGAGGACUUAUACGUAAUUACGCAUACAAACCGAAGGUUUAAUGCGCAAAAACGCCACUCCGGAUGGCGGGUUAAUUUUAUAAAAGAGCAGGGUUUAAAACAGAAGAAAACAGGACCGGCUCGUAAAUAUUUUUGAACUAGCUUGGACUGCAGGUUGAUUUGCGGAGAACGCGAGGGUUAAAAUGCAAAAAUGAUGCGGCGUGGCGCGGUUGACCGGUGCGCUGCUAGUUGACUCUCGCCCAGGCCGUCGAUUCGAGAUCGAGCGGCUGGCGAGGCGCUGCGCUGACGCCAGCAGCGGUGAGCGGCGGUGAGAGGCGGCAGUGCGGCGGUGCUCCGCCGGAGCUGCUCGAAAAUGAGCUCCCGGCCAUGGUUUCACGUGCGGAUUGCACAGGAAGCACGAGGGGCGCACAGCGAACUCGUUUGGAGCUUCGGCGAGGGACUAGGCGCGGUCGAGACUCACCAUGAGGCUGAGCUUGCAGCAGCGGCGCUGGAACUCGGAGGCGGCUAGGGUUUGGUGGUGCGGCAAAAAGGACCAGGGGUGGCGGCCUUAUAUAGGGGCGGAGGCGGCACCGGCUCAGCCCGAGCUCGACGCGGAUGCAGGGACUCGGCGUGCGGAGGAAGGAAGGCGCGGCGCAAGAAAAAGGAAGGGGGCGGCGCGCUGGGAGGAAAGGAGCGGGAGGAGGAAGAAAGGAAGGUGAGGGACGACGCUGCCCACCUAUCGGCGAGAGGAAGCGGUUGCUGCGCCGCGAGCAGGCUGGCGCGGAAACGGGCCAGGGAAAGGGAAUGUGGGCCUGCGGAGCUGGUGGUGGGUUGGAGGAGAAGAAAGGGAGUAGUGUUGGAGGAAAAGGAGAAGGAAGGGGAUGCAACCAAAAAGAGAAGGAAAAAAAAAGCCUUUUUAUGUAAAAAGGGAUUUGAGUUUAGAAUUUGAAUUUGAUCAAACACAGUCAAUCAAAAUAAAUGCACCAGCAUGCAUGCACAAUAAACUCCUAUGGUGAAUCAUUUUAAUUUGAGAAAAUAAAAUUAAAUGCCUAGAAAUUUAAAUAACAUCCUAAUUGAGCAAUUUUUAGUGGAUUUGAAUUCUUUUAAUUUUGGGUGUUACAAUUUGGUGGUGCAAGCAUACAGGGAGGGAUGGACACUCGAUAAGGAGCAGCUCCCGCUGGAAAACUUAAUCGUCUCAUCAAUCGGGAUGUUUAAGUUUAAGAACGCGCUUAUUAAGUAUGAUCUGAUUGAGGACUUUUUAGCUUUGUAGCUGGCAGUGGCUUCUCAAACGCUGGCGGUUUGCUUGCAUGUAACUUGUUCCGAAAUUAGAAUUCAGAAGUACCCGGGAAUGGCAGUUGAGUUGGACAGUAUCAUAGGCAGAAAUAAUGUGUGUAUGCUUGACCAUGCUCGUCGGAAUGGAAGCCUCUGAACAGGCUAGUAGGUAAGAUGAGAAUGAAUCGUUCAAAUCCUCUCCGUUCCCCUCGGCUGUCCAGCGGCCAACUUGUUCUUAUGGUUCUCUGAAUUUUGAUGCUGCUGUGAUCUGGUACAUGCUGUCAAGCUGAUUGAUCGUUAGACAUGUGUGUGCUUUAUUCUAUUUGAUAAACACAUCUAUUCCUUUCACUGUCUGCUAACUUGCAUCAAUUAGUAUGGGUGUAUGCUUGACUAUGCUUCCAACAACGUUGGUAGUCUUAAGAUGUGAAGGUGGUCCAAUAUCUUUAGACUUUAGGUCCCAUCAGAAUUUGUGAAGCAUCAGUUUAAUCAUUUACAUACAGACAAGCUUGUGUCAGCGGAUGAGGAUCAGGUCUAACCUCUUCGGAUUGGGAGAGAUGAAGCAAUCUCCCAGGUCCCAGCAAACCACCUCUUCGGAUUGGGAGAGUUGAAGCAAUCUCCCAGCAAACCUAGGGGUUGGAUAUAAUCCCUGGACCGCUAUCAUUCUUCUGAAGUAACCAAUCCUGUCACAUUUUCUACAUCACAAUAAAUUAUCAAAGUCCUUGUCUGUUCUAAAGUUUACAGAUGGAAACCCGUAUCGGUGAAACAUGUUGUGUUAGUGAUAUUUGGGAUUGCAAUGACUGCGGGAGUUUACAUUUUCAACAAGUUAUAUUUGCAAGACUUGGUAAAGAUUUCUUCACAAGAAAGCUACUAACCUACAAGGCAUCUCACGUUUGCCUUUCUGUCUUUAGCAAUUGGAUGGAACUGUUAGAAAUGGACCAUCCACUCUACUGACUAAUGGAUUGGAUGAUACUGUGCAAUCCCACGUUUUGGUGGUAGUUUCCUUACGAUGAACAGCACCAAAGACGAUGGCACAAUCUCAACAAGCUGCAUAAGACACAGUGAACACCAGCAAUUAUAUCAGCAAGUGCGACGAUUGAUCAUAAGGAGAUAUAAAUGAUAUCACAAAGUUAGCCUAUAUGAUUGAAAUGAACUGACAUUUAUAUAUGUAUCAAAAAACCAUUUCCUAUCAUUAUAUAUAAAGAAAAUCUCCUAGAAGACAUCAAUAUCUACAUCAAACAAAUGAAAGUGAAAUAUAAACUUGCGAAGAAACACCAAGUGAUCUGAAAUAGCAUGGUUAAAAUUGCAGGUACUAACAACAUACCAAGUAGUAAAAGAAGUUCAGGAUUGGAUGAUUCAGAACAUCGAGAUCAGCUUCUUUAUUAAAAGCACUAAAGCACAUCUGUAAGAUAGAUAUAAUAAAUCAAAAUGUUUAUUGGAAUUAUUUCAGAACUUAAGUUAGUGCCGUAUAGGAUUUACCAUUAUGCAUCUGAUCAAGAAGCAACCAAAGCAUAUGGUGGGCACAUAGCCAACCUGUGUAAAAGGGGAUAAUGUUAAACAUACAAAGUCAUCUAGAAAUUUCUACAAUGCAAGAAUCCUGAUAGUGAAGUACCCCAUUCAACUUUUUCCGCCGACCUUCCGACUUGACAGGGAAACGCAGCAACAUCAGGAAUAGCUUACACAAGGAUAUACACAUUAUUAUAAGUAGCUCCUCUGUUAUCAAAAGGAUCAGAACAACAUGACAGAAAUCUACAGGCCCAUGCUUGUUUGCAUGUCCUCAUUUUACAUAAGCACAAGGACGCAUUUAGUGUAUGGAAAUAUUUAUAACUUAGCAAACACCCUCAUAUUGCAGAAUGCAGAUAUCAAGGGGCAACACUGUACAGAAAAUUUUUUGCUCUCAUAUUAGUGGCAUGCUAAGCUUCUUGUUUUCUGCAGUAGCAGUGUAACCAUAAUAAUGCUCAAGGCCAAACAAAAAAAUUAUCUAGUUUAAACAAUGGAAAUAGUAUAGUUUUCAUCUGAUAAAGAACCAUGAUAUAUCAAGGAAUAAGUUAUUACCUUCCUCCAUAGAGAAGGAAACGAAAAGCAGCAAAUAAGGAUGUAGCUGAAAACUAGCUCUGUGUUAGUAGCAGAGGUAAAUAAGUACACAGUAUAAAAUCACAGACUGCGAUAUAAUUUGCUUUAAAUAACUUAAUGUCCAAUUUUAUGUCUCUUUCCUGUCAAAUAGUUGAUACAAGGAGCUAAGGUUAAAAAAUGUAGCUUCUGGAAUUUGCUAAUUGGGUAUUAUUUACAUGAAACUAAGAAUAUUUUCAUAACUAAUAUCAAAAAUUUGUUUUUGAACAUAGUGAUAAUGGGGGAGAAGUCAUCGCAUUAUCUUUUUUUUAAAAGCCUCGUUUAUGAGAGUACAAGUUGUAGUAUCUGAACUUACACAUAGACACACACCCCCACACACACCCAACACCACAAUCACACAUAUCGCAAGCUAAAUCCUACCCCUACACUCACACUCACAUGCCUGCCAUGAAGAGAUGGUCUCGGACAGCAAUUCCCAACACGUGUUGAGGUUGCAGCAAUCCAGGAAAAAUCCUAGAAAAUCCCCUCGAAAUCCGGUUCCAAAGGGAUUCGAACUUGGGACCUUCUACUGAGGUUUGGUGCUACUACGGCUUCUGGUGACCAAUUGGUCCCAGGCCUGUUCGCAUUAUCUCUGACUACUGCUGGAAAAAUUUGUCUAAAUGGUUAUUCUUCGUUUGCCUUAUAUCCCACAGGUUGCUAGAGGUAGACCGUAGGUGGUGACAACCCUAUUGAUCCUUUGUAAUCCUCCACGUCCGGAUACAGCGUAGAGUUGGGUUCAUAAAACCGCAGGCAAGAGUUGCCUGACAGAUCAGGGGUAAGCCGAUGCCCGAAGAAAGUUCUAUUUGAGAGAUCGACCCCUAACUCAACUAUAGUGCUAUCUUAGGAAUCCUCUCUACCUUUGCCUCCUACCUUGGUGUGUCCUUGGACCGACUAAACUAGAAGUUAGUACACACGUUCCUUGGGAUUCGAUACCCUUGGAAUACUUUGAGAUGAAAGCUACAAUGGUAUCCGUACGCUUGCGGAUAUAUUCGUCAUCGUUAAUAUACCCAACAGUAGGAGUUAACAAGAAUCAACUGAGGGCAAGGUUGUUCCCUUUCUCUCUACUUUGGAGAGCACUUCAAUGGUUUUGUUCUCUACCUACAGCAAAAGUUCAAAAUUAGGAUGAAUUGAUGAAGGCUUAUAUGACAGAACAUUAUUCUCUAGUCAAGACGUAGAAUCUGAGGAACAAGAUCAUCACUUAUCUUAGUAUAUGUGAUAGGACUGACUCGUCGCAACACAUCGAUGCGGCGGACGGUGCCUUGCUUUUGGGGUCAAGCAAGCGCCCGGCCGGUCUUCCACGGCUGAGGGCGACGCAUGUGAUGCUUGGGUAAUUGGCUUGCUUGGUGGAGACAGGUGUGGAAGCUGCGGUAGUGCACGGCCAUUUUCAGAUCCUUUUCCGGCGUCCUAGUUGCCACUCAGGCACUCAGCGCUUGGCACUCGACCCAGACAGAUAGCCUCUGGGAUUUUCGUGUCAAAUCGUGCUUGUGUGGCCCACCUCGAGUGAAAAAACUCGCUGUUUCACCUGUCCUUUCUUUCCUCCUUCGAACUUGCGUCGUAGUAGAGGGUGGCAGACUUGUAAUAGCUGUGUUGACGCCUCGGAUCCACACAACACUUGUUCAAAGUCAACGCGCCCGUCUUUUACAUACGACCAAGUUCGACCUUUUGGAACUAGUCAACCCUUGGAGGUUAGUUUCGACGUGUUGGACCAAACAGAACAGCCACACCAGACGAAGAACCAACCUUUUUUUUUCCAGUGCUACAGAGCGUAUCUGUGCAGCAGCUAGCCAAUAGAUUCUGCCACCUAUCCGUAGGAAAAUAAUGUUACAUUAUUAAGAGUUUUGAUAGCUGAACCACACACUGCUCCGUCCUCAAUCACCCAGGUUAAGAAUUAUAAACACACGUGACAUCGUCAUGUCUUAAUCCGACCUCAUGCCUGAUGCUCUCCUUUCAAAUGAAUCGAAUUUCGACGCGUGUCCUUUUCAAAACCAAAAAAAAAACUUUUGACGCAUGCCGUGCCAGGCAUUUCCUGCGUAAAACAGCAGCAUGCAGUCCACAGCUGAGUAACAGAGAAACACACCACGGCCAACUCAUCAAGCAAAACCAACAGAAACACAAACAUCUCAGACAACGGCUAGUAGCACACAUGACUAAUCACAUUCAGACACAAAACAAUGGACAUGGUGAAAAUCAAAUAUGAGAUGCUACCCGUCACAUUCAGAAUGCUCGGACUUGUGUAAAACUGAUGAUUUGUAUCAGAUAUAAACAGGAUUCCAUGAGCGAAGAGAAACACGUCACAGCACCGAUAAUUCAGGCGACUGGACGAAUAAAAUCAAAAUGUGAGACAAGAAAAUGAAUGAACUCUGGAGUUAUCAUAAGCAGUUUUCAGUUUUCGCUUCAGUCCCAUGGUCCAAUCCCCUAUAUAUAUUGUCUUAAUAAACGGCCACACUGAAAUGGCAGAGCAGGAGAAUUAGCAGGCAUUGUUCUCUUAUAUAAUAACCAAGGGGGAUGCAAUUUACAGUUCAUAUAUCAGCCAUAGGGUGGUUUAGCCAGAGCAGAGCUUUUCGAGAGCCAGGUUCUCAUCCCCAUCGACACUCUUAAGGGUACUUCUCACAAGAUCCUCUGGGAAGCCCAUCUCAACCAGCUUCUGCACCUGUACUCCGCACGAACAAAAAGGCUCAUCAACAUGUACAUGUCUUACAUACACAAUGAAAUGAUGAGCAGUACUGUAAGUACCUUCUCUUCCAUGCCAGUGGACGCACUCUUUGCGAAGGCCUCUGUCCAGUAGCGAGCCGUAGCAGCGAAUGUUGGAUAAUCACGCAGGUACUGCAGAAACAGAAUCAACACAUAGAAAUUAUGGGAGAAGGUUGGCAAUAGUAAUUCAGUUAAGAAUCUCACAAGUUCUUGUACAGCUUUAUGGGUCCACACUGUUCCAUUCGUUCUUGCAGUGAAUUUUCAGAGCUUAUGCUUACACUCUGCAUCACUGGACUAAUUCUUGCAGUACAAAUUCCAGAAUGAAGUUACUAAGCCCAUCCUGUAGGCUAUAUAAUGCCUCCUCUGGGACUGGCUAGUGGCCUAGUCUGUUAUCAAAGUAACAACCACAACAUCACUAGCACACUCCAACAAAGCACCUAGCUGUGUUGCUGGACAAAUAUAUCAAAGAGGUAUUUCCUUGGAAUUUGCUAUCCUUCAUUUCGGCUGAGGACAUGGUCAUACGUCAUAGUAAAAACGGUUCAUUAGAAACUUCUUACACCCAGCUUUCCAUACAGCGUUAUAUAUCCUUGUGGGCCAUACUAAAUGCAUACGAGCUUGCUGAAAACCAAAUAAAACUACCUUACGCCCUAUCUUGCAGUCUAGCAUCUGCAUUAGCACAUGGAGAACAUGCAGGACUAAUUGCACUAGUGGAAAAAUUCUAUAGCGGAAAAAUAAAACAUACAGGACUACCACAAACAUAUUCACCUGUGUAACAUUACAACUGUAAAAUUGCCAAGUGCGCUGCAGGCACAAGCUCAUGUGAUGGAUGCAACAAAGUUCACAUAGAAUCUCAUGCUUAAUUUGCUGCGAAAAUGUAUGACGCUAUUCAACCAACAGCAUGACGAGGCAAUUAUGCAGCAUAAACAUAUUUUCUGGAUAAACAGUCAUUCUGACUCAUUUCAUGGGAAUCCACCAAUGACAGGCUAUGGCAAUUUAACUCUCAACCAACUUUAGCUUAAAUUGCAAAAAUUAAAUAUAUAGUGCACUAAAAAUAGAUCCACAACAGGAAACAACCAGUUCAGACCUGUUGUGCAACAACAGCAUCCUGAGGAUCAUCAGGUGCAGGAGAAGAAAGCAGAGCUUGAAGGGAAAGCAGUGCUGUCUUCAAAGUAAGGGCUGGGCUCCACUGAUCUUUCAGAAUGUCCAAGCAAAUUGCUCCAUUUUGGCUACUGAUGUUAGGGUGCCUUCAAGAUAGGUUGGAGGAGAAGUCAGAGCUGAACUGAAAAAAAAAACUAAGAGAGGGCAGCAGAACUUAGGAACACAAGGGGAGACAUGUAACAAAAUGGCAAGAUAAUAAUCACUAAAUCAAAAGGCUGAAGAAAUGGAUGUAAGGAAUCUGUCAGUGCUAGUUGUUCAUGAUCAGAGAAAACAUAACAACACAUAUAUGUAGGAGCAUUGUGUAACGAGAAUAAAAAGUCAUCAAUAAAAACAGAGGGGGUUAACCUGCAUACCAUACUUUGGUGACGAACUGCAUCUUUGGAGGCUCAAAGGGAUAUCCACCUGCCAACCAAAGACAAAAAUCAGUUAGGAAAUAACAUUUGCCACACCGUACUCUCUUACUUCUGAAUUCCAGUUAUUAGCAGAUGGCGGUGCACAAGACAUUUAACUCUGUGAGUUCUUAAUAAGUGAAUACAAAAGCACCACAAACACGACACCACAGAGGCACAGAUUAUUUACAACAGAACAGAUAAAAGUGAAAUGCACACUGAAGUGGUGCAUAUUAACACGUGUAAACAUGGAACAGACACAUCUGCCUGUUCAGAUGCGAUGCUUCAUUGCACAGGUUAGCAAAGGCGAAUCCACAAUUCCACAUGCAGCGACGCACCCACCGACGUCUGCCCUCCCAUACCCUAAUCCGGAAUUGCAACCAGCCAAGGAGCGCGCCAAGUUCGCAGGCAGCAAACCCUAAUCGACCCUAAACCCCUUCCGCGGGAGAGGCAAUCGCGCGUCGCGGCAAUCUAUUCGGCCGACGAAUCGCCCGGGGGAAGCGGAAUCUGCAAUUCCAGGCGCGCGAGGGCGAGGCCGACGAGUGGAUGGGGGAUCCGAUGGAAGGAAGGCGCGAGGUGGGGGAAGGGAUCGGAAGAGGAGGGGCGGCUCACCGGGGAGGCGGAUGUCGAUGGUGAAGGUGCCGCCCUCGUAGGGGCUAUCGGCGGGGCCGGCGAUGGUGCCGGUGAGGUGGGAGAUGUUGGCGCCGUCGUGCAGCGUGAUGGAGACGCCCGAGACCUCCCGGUCGCGGUUGCACUCGGUGAGCUCCUUCUGCACGCGCGAGACGUCCACCAUCGUCGCCGCCCCGCCCCCCGCUCCCUCCCCUCGCGCCCCGCCCGCGGCACCGACCCGCCGUCGCCUCCUGGAGAGCGGCGCGAGAUGGGAAGAAGGGCAGGAAGGGGGCGGAAGGAGAGAGAUCAGGAAAUGGCAGCCCCCACGCUACUAAUAAUACGGCCACUAAUGAUAUGAUAUACUUAAUUACCCUGCUAAUAAUCAUCCUCCACGGUAAUCUUGUUUAGUGAACUGCUACUAAUUUUAAAUGUAGUGCGUAGGAAUUUGCGUGCUGGAUGAGCGGAGAUUCUUCUUUUGGGCUUGGUUGCUUGCCUUGAGGUGUGGGGAAUUCCGAAUCCCUUCACUUGUAGUUUGUUUGUUCUGCCGAAUUCCUUCACUUGUGUUGAUUGUUUAGCCUACUCCGUUUGGAAUCUUACAAGUUUAAAUCCAUGUAAAGCCCAUUGACAUCGAUCUGGCGAUCUGCUCAUCACAAGUAGUCGUAGGCUAAUCAGAUCAAAAACUCCAGCCAGCUUGUGGCAGGAGUGAAAAUUGAAAAACAACUCCAUCAGUUGCCACAUUUGGAAGUGAAAUGUUUUCUAUGGGCUUAUUUGGGCUGCAAUAUUUCAGGUUGCUUUGGGCUCAGUUUCACCGGCCCGCAAUUUCUUCCGCCCCCGCCCCCGCCCCCGCCGACCGGCGGAAAGUAGUAGGCCCAGCCUGUGCUUGCUGUAUAGGCCGCGGAAAAUCGGAAAUGUCACGAUCAAAAUUAGGUAACAACAAGUUAACCUUCCCGAUUGCAUGUGCAGAAUCUGAGUUCAUGCAUGUCCACUGCAUUCUGUGUAUAAAUUGGCUCGUACUCCUUUCGUUUCAAAUUGUAUAUCCUUUUAACUUACUGGCUCGUACUCAUUUCGUUCCAAAUUAUAGAUCCUUUUAACUUUUUAAUGUGCAGAUGCUUAAAAAGAUAAAAUGACCUAUAAUUUAGAACGGAGGAAGCAUGUGUUAGAUGACCAACAUCAUAGCAACUUUUCUUAUCUCCCGAUGCACUCACGGCCGGGCCACGGGGCGCCUUGAAAUAAACAAGCAGAGCAAGCUCGAUUCUUCAAUUUCCGAGAAUCAGUGUAAAAAAAAAGAUUGAGACUGCUUCAGAAUAUUUUGGCCAAUUCAAAAGUGCUUCACGCCACAGCCACUCCGGGGCUUUCACUAGGAUCCAUCCAUCUCUCUAUCGACGACGCUGAUUCCGGUUCCGCUUUGCCAAUUCCGCUUCCUUUUUCAAACUCUAUUGUUUUCGUAUGGCAAUCCCUAACCAAAGAGAUAACAACUAUAUUCGUUUCGUAACAUUAUUUACAAUGGGUUCCACUUUUUUUUUGAAAAAGAAGGAUUCCACUUGCUGAUGGUUAAAAAAAAACCUAGAAUGCAUUCAACCCGUUUAUACCGUGAGCUCCUCGACGGCAUGCCUAGGUCCAUGGAUGCCCGGCAAGCUACAUACCAUUAGGGAUCUUUUGUAACUCCAGGUACGCACGGCUUACCUUAGCAUAAUCACUGGAUUUUGACAAAAAGAGAAAAAAAACGAAGGGAACACGAAAAGGAACAUAGUGGUUACAGUAAGACGUAAUGUGCCAAUCCCACUGUGAAAAAGGUUGCUCUUACUUUCUAGUAUGCGUCGAGAGAGACUGCCAUGCCGAUAAGAGUACGUAGGAUUCAGUUCAAGCGUGGUCUGGUCCGGACUUGAGCUCCUGGAGGCUGGAAGCAGCCAAGAGCCAUAUGCGUGCGCGCCAACUUUAAAUUAUGUGUCGUCUACGCAUUCCCUUCUCCGGGGCGGUGGUUCGUGGCUUCGUGCUGGGCCGCUGGCUGACGAGCUGUCGCAAUCCGAACCAAUGGAAGAUGGACAGAGUGAAGGGUCUCUGGGCGACUGGGCGUAGUAGCUGGAUGGCCCGAGCAGGGAGGAGUAGGACGAGACGCAACGGGCAGGCACAUGCACGACAAGACCCGUCGACGAGACCCCCAGGGCGAAGUCGUUGGCUGGAUAUAGGCAGUGACGCGAUCAUACUAGUACACACGCGUGCUGAAAUGGACUUGGUGCACAGUGCUUUUUCCCCUUUUCUUCGCAAGCGAUGAGGAAUCCUACUGUGCUGUGUGUGAUAUUCGUAGCAUGCAGUUUCUGGCUUUUUCUCUGAAGAAAGAAACCAUGGCAAGAUGGCAUUUGUAUAUCCGUCGCAGCACCCGGCGCUGGAGGACUGCCGGCCGGUACGAGGCGAGGCGCAGUCCGGCGAUCGCCGGACUCUAGCUGUCGUGCAUAUGCCUGUUUCGUUCUUGUUCAUAGGCGCCACUGUAUCCUGCUCCUCUUUAUUAUGCUCGCCCUGUGUGGCUGUGUGGCCGGUGGCUACCAUAUUUUACACGUGCUCUUAUUUAGCAUACGCUUAUUAAAUCUCUUUCAAUUCAGAAUGCAAACCGGGUUAUUCGACAGAGUACCCCAAAAGCAGUUCUUUGUUUAUCCAUUCAAGUGUCUGCCUCUCCCAAGCAAGCGCCCAGCCUGUCCCUGUAUCCGUCUCCUCCUCUCUUUGUGUAGCUCGUGCCUGCUCUCCAAGGGGCAGCUCGUACUAUACUUAGCUGACAUCGACAGACGGGCGACCGAGCAGGAGUCCGAUCGAUAUGGCCAAGCACGGGCACCCAUCAGCUGACCACCCGCUGAUGCGCAACCCCAACUCCUCUUCACCUCAAGGUAGAUGUCUCGAUCCAUCGGAUCAUAUAAGCAUAGUUCAGGUCGAUUCGCCUUUCUGUGUGAUCUCACGCCGGUCGGGCUGGAACUGUACUGAUUGCUCAUGUCAAUUUGUCUGUGUAUAUAUUGAUCAUUCUCUAUGUACCUCAUCAACUGAUUGACGUUGCGGGUAGUGUUCGUCGUGGGAUCCUCGCUGCCGCCGCCGCCGCCGCCGCCGCCACCGCUGCAGACGAAGAUGGCGAGCUUCUCCGGCGACUUCCUGACCAGGUAAAUCGUCUCAAUCCGAUGAUCGCAGUAGCAGGACCCUGCGUCUGCAUGCCGCUGUUUAUAUAUCUUUAUUAUCACAUCAGUGUCGAUCUUAUUCUUCCUUGUUCGUGGCGGCGAUGCAGCGGCGCCACCGCCAGCACCACGACUGCGGCGAAAACGAAGCCUCUGACGAUGUUCUACAACGGCGGCGUCGCCGUGUUCCAUCUCCCACAAGAUAAGGUCCAUGGACUAUGUAUAUCCGUCGAUCUAUGGUUCUUCUGUACAACUGAAUCCGAUCACUCUAGUUCAGCAUGUAUCAUCAAUCUUGCCUAGUUCUCGUUGCUCAUGCCUUUUAGCGCGCGUGCCCUAUGUGCCAUGGCGGCAGGCGGAGGAUCUCAUGAAGAUGGCGGCGGGUGAGAAGGGUGGGGACGGCCGCGCCGGUCCUCGCCGGGCAAACCACGGCGAGGAGUUGCUGGCCAAGUUGAGAAAAGGUAUGUAAUUUCUUGGUAAAAUGAUUUUUCUAGUACUACUCUUCAGUAGUCCGAUCCUCUCUGUGUAUCCGGCCGGGGCAAAAAUGCAAGUUCAGUGUAUCAUAUCCGGCCAAAAUUGGUGAUCGAUUACAUCCUUAUUUUUUGCACUAUAAAGUUUACAUGCCAUGAUGCCAUUGCCAUGCAUGCAAUGCUUUGGAAACUAGAAUAGGGAAGGGAAUAAUGCCCUUUCUUGUUCCGUUGCACACGCAGAGAUGCCUAUUUCGAGCAAGAGAUCUUUGCAGCGUUUCUUCCAGAAGCGCAAGGAGAGGUACGCAUGCAUCUCUCUCUCCCCCCUCCCUUUGUGUUUGUUUAGUUUUGCUUCACGAGUUUGUUUGAAUUUUGAAACAAAAGAGUUUUGUUUGUUGCUUCUACUAAUAGUGCAAGCAACGAUAGAUUAUUAAAACCCUCGAAUAGCAGUACUAUAUAUAAUUAUAUAGGCGGCGUGAAGCACGUUUGGAUUGACGAAACACUACUCGUAGUUCUCUUGUUCUGUCCAUAUGUCGGUUCUCGGAAUUGACGAACCGAGCUGUGCUAACUAAAGGUUGUUUAUUCCAUGGGCGCCCCCGUGACCCGGCCGCGAGCCAAGAAAAAGCUGUGGAUGCUGUCGUCGUCCAACUGCGACCCGACUCCCUUCAAUUCGUCACAAGAGAAUUCCAUUUUGACGUGAACUUGCCGUUUCCUUUCUUUUUUUUUUGUUGUUGUCAAUUAUUCGUUGGUUUGUAGGUAGCUGGAUAGGUUUGUCCUCUGCUAAAAGAAACACUAGCUAGGGUCAAUUACUAACGCCACUUUUAAAAAAAAAAUAUCGGGUCAUUUGGAAGGGCUUCUCCCAAAAGGUUUCACCGACGAAGUCAAAGAAACUGAUCUCAUGUGGCAGAACCGUCCAAAUUAAACUGGUUUAAGUGCGCUAACCAUCCUCUUAAUAGUUAACCCGGUCAAUACGCACUUAAAACGGUGUAAUCUCGUAGUCUGUCGGGUCAAGCCCGAUUGAACCACUGAAUAUCUUGAUCGAAACAAUAUGCAACAAGUCUCACACGAAGGUGAGCGCAGACGAUAUAACAUGACAUUUCAAUUUACAAAUAUGGAGUACACAGAUUUAAUUUACAAACCGAGUUUGAAAUACUUAAAUAGAUUACGAACCAUAGAUUACAAACCAGAGUUCUUAAAUAAACACAUCAGAAGACUAAUACGAGAAGUUCGAACAAAGAUACAUGAUAACAUGAGUAACCCGACAACAUGUAAUCUAAACACAAGACCAUCUCAAAGUGAGGCCACGUUCUAGCAGAGGACAGCCAUCCCAAGGUAGACUAGAACUCAUCUCAAGAAAGGUUUCUUCACUAGCAUAUGAAAGUAAUCAACAAGCAAGGAUGAGGAUACUAAUACUUUGCAAGACUUACCCGACUAUGGUAUUAUACUUAGCCGACUCCUAAUAUGCAAGGUUUUUGGCUGAGGUGUUUAUUUUGCCAAAAAGCAACAAAGAGUGGAUCCUUACUUUCAAGUUUUAGCAUCCACUUUAAAGUUGAACUUAACCAUUCUAAAUGAGCAAGUUGUCAAAAACUUUUCAGUGUAGAAAAACAUUUGAUUAAACAAUAACUGCAUCAUCAUUCACAUUUCAUUCCAUUCCACUUCUUACUACGAUGUGACUCAGCGAUCGAGGUUCUCUUAACCGAGAGCGGUGGCGAAUCGAUUCGAUUUAUAACAUUGUAAGGUGGACCUAGACACACGAUUUAUUCAUACCCCGUCGAACUGCAUAUGGCAAACGGUUCCCUUAAAGAGCGAUAGCAUUUGAGAACUCCUGCGACCCUCGAGUACUAAUCACCACCAGUACCUCCCCAGACCAGAUGUGAGUUACUGACUAGCGCACGAAUAGAAAACAGGACCAACUCAAUCUACUAUCGUGCAAUAAGGUACUAGAUUUUACCGGUUUCAACUACCUCUUACUUCUGCCAUGUGGAUAGUACAGUUCAAACUCAAUCACAGGGGCCAAAACGAACGGGCCUUAAGCAACACUGGCGGAGCGCAACCAACAACAAUAUCAUCAAUUUCAUUUCUAUCUCCACCCGACCUCCAACUUUUCUCAUAUGCACCAUUUACUUUAGAUUUAACCCAUAACUAGUAGAGGAACCUAUAUUUCGCGAGUGACAGACACACUUGACUUUGAAAGGAUCUUGAUGUCACCUACAUGAGGGAAUAGGCAUACCCUAAAAUUAUCGCAACUUAAAAAUAAGUUUAUCAGCGACUUCCGGUAUUUCCGAAGAUGUUUCUGGAAAUUCCGUAACCUACGAAAUUUCCAAAGAAAUCUACGGAAAUUUUUGAAGCUAGGAGAGUAAGCACUUUUGAAGCGGAAUAAAACUCUCUCUACCAGAAAUUGGAACCUCCGGUUUUGGCUUGGAUAGAGAGAACCCCCAACACACAUAGUGGCAAAUGAACUCGAGGUCCAACUAGACUUGGUGUAGAGGCUCAGUAGGUGUUUCUCAUCAGGCUCACAAAGUUGCUGCACUUUACAAACACAAACACCCGAGUAGAUCAACCAAAUUCACAAGUUCAAUAAUGAACGAAAAUGAGAGCAAAUCAGCGAGGAGACACAAUGAUUUGUUUCACCGAAGUUCAGAUUCACCACUAUGAAUCCUACAUCUCCUUUGAGGAGCCCAUUGGAAUACGAGUCUACUCAACUUCCUUCCAAUGUGUCGGGUCUAAUUCAACCACUUUCCUCGUUUCCACUAGAUGACCUUUUUUGCUUGUGAAGGCAAGAUCGCAGCCUUCGCAAACUUGCCGCUACUCACCACACCUUUGGGAGCUAGCCGGCAACGCCUAGCCGUCUAGGAGGCAUACAUCCAAGAGUAACAAAUGCUUCACUUGAAACUUGACAAGGCAAACCAGUAGGAGCUAGCCGGUGAUGCCUAGCCGUCUAGGAGGUACACCUCCAAGAGUAACAAUUGCUUCACUUGAAACUUGACAAGACAAACUAGUGCUCAAGGAACUGAGUGCUCUACUUAUGCUCACGAAUGGCUCCUCUCUUCUACCCAACUCACAAGAUCUAAUAAAGAUCACACAACGUCACAAAGAGGGGUUGUGGAGAGCUAUUUUGGCUUUAGUUUAGUUUAGAAUAGGCAGAAAAUACACUAGUAUUUGAACUUGGGAGUCCUAGGGAUCAUGCAGCUAAGGUUUCAUUCAACUCCUAGGAACUUAAUGAAUAAAAGUAAAAUAUGUAAGUAAGAUAAUUGCAUAGUUUUGGAAUUAGUGGUCAUGCUCCGGUGCUUGCCUUCCAUGGUAGCUUUGAGAUCUCCUAAACUUUUGUUCAGGUCUUGUGACGCUUCAACUAGAGAGGCUUCACGCGACUCACUCUUGGACUCGGCAAUCAAUUCAUACAAUCCAUCAGCUAGCAGGUUAUCUACAUAACAAUGCAUAUGUAUGAGUUGAUUGAAAGGUGGUGACACAUGCACAACAUCAAGUUUAAGGAGUGCAGCAACUCAAUCAUACAUGGUUUAAAGAUCCAAGUAAAUCAUAAAACAUAAUCCUAUCUACACAAAGAAACAUGGUUGGCGCAAUAGAGUUAACUAGAGCUUUUCAUGUGAAACACAACUACCAAGCUAAGUCAACAAUAUUUCAGUAACCUUGGGUUGCAGCAUGGCAUGAACAUCAGGCUCUAACCAAGUGAUUAACAUGCCAUGAUGAUGGCAAGAUCUAAGUAAACACGUGUAUGAAUGGAACUAUGGUGACAACAUGCUAAAGACCAUAAAGAUUUUGGUAGCAACUUUUUCAGGGAUGAAUAUACUGCUGAUGAAGAGCAUAAGAAUAAUUUGUGGGGUCACAAUUUUAGCAUUAAGUAUUUUUAAUAAAAUAAACUAGCUCACAACAAGAAUAAUUAUUCAGUAAGCAUUCGUUCCUAUAUGAACAUGAAUCAUUUACAGGAGCUCAAUCAUCAUACAAACACCUUGCUAUAAAAAUUGUAGCAUGAUUGGAGUACCACAGAAUUUACUAAAAAUCAAACAUGUUAUAACUGUAGAUAUGAAGAAUAAAUUAUAAAUACAGUUUUAUCCGACAUUUAGUGCUACAAACUUCCUAGAAUAGUUUUCAACACUAAUAGAUUACUGUGAAUUUAUCAGGAUUUUAGGAGUACUGGAGCUAUUUAUUCUAAAUUAAGAAGGUCAAACAACAUGCAUUUUAAUCAGCAACAGAAUCAUAUGUGCAUAUAUUUCACAUGAGCAAGUAUUUUACUAGGUAGAAAUGAGCAUAAUGAAACCGACAAAAUUUAGUUUGCAUUUUUAUCAAUUUUUUCUAUGAUUUUAUAAGAAUUUCACAAGUUUAAGCCCCUUUCAACAAAACUAAGGACGAAAAAAGAAGAAGUACUUCUACAGUUACACUCUUGAAAACAAACUUUACCAUCAGCUCUACCCUUCCCUUUACAAAACCGCCCUUAGAUCUAGCUCUUAGGCCCCUUGAAGAGUUCGCACUUAGCACUUAAAUCCUGCACUCUUACACAAAACUCCCCGAGCUUCUAUUUCCUUCACACACAACACCCCAUCCCCUUCCUCCUCCUCAGGUCACCCGUGCGCGCACGGCCAGCGGCGGCGGCGCAACCACGCCGGCACGGAGAUGGCUUUCCCCACCACAUCGACUACCCGAUAACCUUAUUUUCACCCUAGCUCACCUUAUCCCCUACUUAUUGCCUCAAAAACCUAGCCCUAAGGCUACAUAUGAUGAGCGGCGGCGGCACUCCGGCGGUGAGCGCGAAAUCAAGCGUGGCAACUAGCCUAACUCCAAAAAAUAGCAAGAGCAUCACGACCGUGGGCUCACCAAAGCUCGUUUUGUGUAGUUUUUUUGGAGAAGAGAGGAGCGGGAGGAUGGGAUUCGACGGUGAGGUGUGCCGGCAGCAAUGGCGGCCACUGGAGCUUCAAUCCCCAGCGCCUGGAGCUUCAAUCCCCAGCGCUUGGGACCAUGGAGCAGGGCAAGGAGAGGUGGAGGAGGUAUCCGAGCAGGUGAGGCAGGUGUGGGCGGUGGUGAUUUGAGAAUGGUGGGGUGGAGCUCGGAGAUUUUUGCCGGCAGAUAGAGCUUGCUCUGUUCGUCGAGUUUUCUUAGGCUGGAGGAAGAAGAAGACUGAGAGAGGGAGAAAAAGAGCCGGCUGGUUUGGAGAGGAUAAGGCCGGGCGAGCGACGGUUGGGCGCGUCGAGUAAUGUCGGGAGGACGGCGAGCAGUGGAGCAAGGACGAUGCGAGGACGGCGCGGCAGUGGUGAGCGCAGUGCUGGCGCGGACGUCAGCGGUAUGGCGCGGUGGAGCAAGUGGGCAGGGGCGUCGCAUCGGCUUGACCGACCCGCAGGGCCGUGCAGCGAUGGCCACGGAAGCCGACGCGUGGCGACGGCACCGCUCGCCGGCGACGCGAUGGCCGACGCGCGUCGUGCACAGGCAGGGGCAAUUGUGGUGCUCGUGACCAAGGACAGUGCAAGUCAACGACUUAAGCACGACUAUUGCUCUAACUUUUGCAUCCAUUGUGUCUGGAAUUUCAGUGUUUGACCAUUUGAAUACUUAAACAUAGUUUUCAUGCUCCAAUAUCAUACUCCUUUGGGAGUAUAAAGAAAUAACUCAAAGUUUUAUAUUGGACCAAGUUAAGCGUUUAGGUAAAAUUAAUUUUAAUCAUCACCAAACAAAGCUACUUUUAGAACUUCCAACACUUAGGAUUUUCUUAACAUUUCAUGGGUUUAAGCAAAUUUAAACGGGAAAAUUGUGUUUAUUUCUUGUUGAAAACGUAUUCAUGGAUCAAAAAUGAUUCAUUUGUCAUUAUGAACAAUGUUUGGCAUAAUUAUCAUAUUUUUCAUAUUUAUGCUUUUCAUUAAUAUUUAAAAGUAAAUCUAGCCUAAACUCUUCUAAGAAUGUAUUUUCAAAAGAGAACGAGCAUCUUAAGUGCUCAAGUGCUAACAACAAAUUUUAAAUGCAUUUUUGCAUGCAUGAUUAAUGUUACUACCAUGUUAAUUGCUAAGUGAGUGUCAUUAACACCAGGGGUGUUACACCUCACCCGAUUUCUAAUUUAUUUUAGCCCCGACUUACAAAAUAGUUUCACACUAUAGUGCGAGGUGAAGUUGAAGCCGAAAUAAACCCUGCCAAACAGGACGUUAGAUAGAUGUGCAUAUCUAGAUUUUGAAAAUCUAGUUCAAUUAAUCAAGCUACGUAUUGAAAAAAAAAUAGUUCGAUUAAAGAGGAUCGGUGGUGACUAAGGAUUGGACUAAGAAUAGAGUUUAAACUAUUCUUUUAAAGGAACUAGAUAUUGAAAAGCUAAAUUUUGAAGGAGCCAUUUUAAAAAAUUACAACUAAGAAUUGAACUAAAGAGGGAAAGUCUCGGCUACUAUAUAUACGGUGACGCCAUUAGAUAGAGUUUAGCACUAAUAACUGAACUAAAGAGGAGGGUACAUAUUUUGACCUCAAUGCAUUGAGGGCAUUCUACUGAAUAUGGUGGUCAAAAUAGGACCAGUCUGGACUUUACCUUUUUUCAAUAGAAUCGGCAUCUCUUGUAUCUGUUUUUUUUUCUAAAGGAUGAGUUAACGUUAAAGUUCAUUUACAAAGAUUAGUUUAUUUUUCUACGCAGGCUGUACAGGCCCUGAUCAAUGGCAGAUGGAUGAUUGAUGGAGCUGCUAGUUUGCACUAUCAGGGUCCCGACGAAGACGAAUUGAAGAAGGGCGUUUUGUUACGACUUCAUCAGUAAUAUGAUGUUCCAUCUUGUUGGUCUUGUAUAUACCAGCAGAGUAACCAUUUGUUCAUCCGUUUCAUGUUUCCGCAAAACAAAAAUGUUAAUCCGUUUUAUGGACUGAAUGUUAAUCCGUCUGGAACUGGGAUCAUCGGUGUUGCCGUGGAUAGUGGGUACGCAAACUGCCCCAAGGAGAUUCUGCUGUACAGUACUGUUGUAGUCGUGUACCUUCUCUCGUGUUGGGCCUUGUAGUGUGAGUUCUUCCAUCUUGGGCCUUUGCGGCACGGAUGCCCAGCCGGCCGUUUGCUCUCGUUUCUGGUCCUGGCUGGGCUGCUGGCUGGAUCCACCCACCCUAGCUUUGUUGUUUCUUGGGCGGCAGUUGCCAGCGCAGGUACACGGCGGCGCGGGGAGGCAUGUGGCCGCCAACUCACUAAGCUCGCCAGAUCGGAGGUUCCGCUUCCGAUGGCAACCAGCAACAUCCCUCGAGCAUACCUGCAGGAAGACAAGGCACUUGAAGUUCAAAGCCUAAAACGCGGAUUCCAGAACUGGCAGAUCUGAGAAAAGCUAACAACUACACGCCAGUAACUACCAACUCGCCGGCGCCCUAUGGCCAGCUAAACGCCACGGCUUGGAUCUUGCUGCCAUUCCAUGCAAGAAAUCCGGCUACUUUAGCAUACAAUUACACAUGAUGAGUGGAGUGGUUACGCUACCAAGCUACUAUGUGUGUAUGGGUGGUUACAAUUUAGAAGAAGAUUUUAACUUAGGGAAAAAAAAAAGUCUAACGACGAGGGAUCUAUAUGUAUUGUAUCGUGACGUUUUAGGUCGGUCCGUGGCGGUGUGGAGUUUAUGGUAGCAAUUGGUUGCUUGGCUUAAUCUAGCCUGGCUAGAAUCUGGAGCCAGGCUAGUCCAAACUUGUCUAAUGCAGUACAAUCUGUUUGUGUUUGGUUGAUUGCUUAGUCUAAGCCUGGCUAGCCUAAGAUUAUGUUUGGUUGUCUGUCCAAUUUAUUAAGAUGAUCCUAUACAAGCUAUAGGUGAAGUUACCAUCAUAUUUCCCCUUCUCUUCUCCACCACCUCCGGCCAACCCUUCUCCUCACCGCCGGCCUCACCCUUCACUCCCCUGCAUGCUCCUCUCUCUCCUAAUGCCUCCGCCUCCUACUCUGCUCCCCUCGCCGCAGGUACCUAAGAAGUAGUGCUGCCACUCCCUCCUCUCCUCAUGCUGUAAGGUGAAAGAUGAUGAGCUUAAUCGAGAUCGUUGACUUCCAAAUCAAGCUCAACACCGUCCAAUUUCAGCUAGUGAACUUCUAAAUUGCGGUCACCACAGUCUAAUUCGAGCUCCUCCGUGGCAAGAAUAGCAGACAACAAGGAGCGAAGGAGUACUACGGGACUGCGGUGAGCUCACGGAGUCACGGCAGCGGGUCUACUUGUGCGGCAGGCAAGGCGUGAGAACAUCCGGAUCCAUGACAAGCAGCCGCCGUGGCACCCGCGCACGAACACCAAGGCGACGUCCAAGAAGCUAGGCUAACACGCUGCCACCAGCACCAUCAAUACGGGAGGGGCAGAGUCCACCGUGCUUAGAUCCGGUGCGAAUCAAGGUUUGGCCGAUCGCACGGGACGGGGAAGGUCGGUCGUGGUGGGCUUGGCAUGAAGUUAGCGACGCGGGACAGUGGAGGAAGGCGAGACACGAGAUGGCGGAGGAGGUACCCGACGCGGGAGGUGAGCAAAUACGCAAGUUCGAGCUAGACGAAGCCCAGCUCAGUGAAUGCGACUUCCUCUCUCGUUUCCAGCUGGCCAGGCUAAGAGGGCUAUGGUGCAUAAGUUAGAUCCGACUAGGGAGCUCAUGCACCCAACCAAUCAGACUAAAAUGCAUAAGUGAAGCCUGGUGGAAGCUCACUACCACCUGGCGUGACCAUACAGCGACACCCCACCGCACCGCGAGCCACUCCGCACGCGCACCAACCCUCUCGGCCUCUCCGCUCCGCUCCCCACGGCCUCCACCCCCCCGACUCCUCCGCGGUCCAGUGCUCCAGUCACCUCCGCUUCUCGCUCCCCGUCUCGUCGCUUUCCCCUCUCCCCCGCCCGGGCGCCGCGGCCGCCCGACCAGGCCUCGGGAGGCCCCUUCCGAUCCCACUUCCGCCGCCGACGUCGGAGCCGGCGGGCCGUAGGAGAGGUGCGCCCCUUCCUCCUUUCAUCAGUCGCUCUCAGUUGGUGCUCGGUCCCUGAACCCAGCAGUCUGUCGGCGCUGCUCAGCUCUUCCCUUACCCUCGCUCCGGUGCUCCCCUCCGACUCCGAGCGCGCUUCUAGGGUGCCCGCGUGCCGGCGCGAUUCGGUGCGUCGCUUCUUAUACGCUUAUUUAGGAGAUGCAGAUCGGCCGCUGGUACAAUUGUAUGUGUGUUCGGACUUCGGAGAUGCCAAUGCUCUGAGCAAGCGCCUCGCUCUACUCCUAGUACUUAGUUCCCUUGAUAGGUGCAAGGAUCUAGCAGCGUUACCUAGGAUGCUUUAGCCGGCCUAGUGCUGCCCGGGCACAUCACUUGUAUGUAUUUCCAGGGCAAUGGUUUCAUUCUCUGGAUUACCUCGAAUAUGCAUACUUUUUUUAAGAAAUCAAGUGUGGCAUUUCGGGUUACAGUUGUGAUCCCUAUGCAUCAAACCGUCAAUGCAAGUAUAAUGCGUCUAUGAACUGAUGUAAUACCUGGAACAUACACAAUGGAAGAAUCUAUCUUGCAGCUAGAAAGGCGUAUACAAAAAACAGGGCGUAUGAACUUGGCUUAAGACAUUUUUUGCAGUUUUACUCUUCUGCCUGGUUACACACAUGUUUGAUCUUUUUUUUUCCUCAAUGCAGUAACCUAAAGAUCACACCUUUCGUUGUUUGGUUGCAGCUUGGAGAAUGCUUUACUGCUAUCGUUGAUGGUAGGCUUGGUUUUCCACGACCACCUGGAAAUUUUGUUCAAGCUCCGUAGCUAGUAGCAACCAUUUUUUUUUUGUCCAGGGGGACUACUGGACAACUUUCUGAGGUAUUUUUUUUAUCUCAUACCUUAUUUUAUUUCCUUUUAUUUGUCUGCAUAUGAUAAUGUUGUGGAUGUGGGAGUUUCAGAACUAGUCCUAUUUACGUCUGCUUACUCGGAUUCUGAUACUUCUAAACUGUGCAGUUUCCAGUGAAUUAUGGGUGGAUUCUGCUGUUGCUUCAGUACUGAAGAUUUUGAGGAAUAUGUCCAUCCAAGCAACCCUAUCUAUAGGCAAUGCAUAUCCUUGAGGCAUUUUUUCCACAACAUUUUUGGCGGGGUAAUAUGCAUAACCGAUUCUUUGUAUUUUAUAGGCUCUAGUCAAAUAUCACAUAGUGUCACCGCUUACAUUUACAUGCGGGUUUGCUACUUAUGUUGUCUAUAGAACUGAUGAUAUGCUAGGAUUUUGUUCUCAUAAUCGAGAAUAGCGUGUUGAUAUGAUCCAGUUCUUUGACUAUGCUUGCGAAGAGUUAGAUAUUAACCUAUAAUUUCCAACAGUCAUGUCCGCUUUUCUUGUUUCUGUCAAGGGGUCAUGUACGCUGGCCAUGGCCUGGAUGCAUUAGCUUUAUUGAUCGCAUGAUGUUCAAAGCUAACCUAUAUUGCAUUUUCUCAAGUAUAUUAGAUAGCCCAUAUUGCGUUUUCUCAAGUAUUAGAUGGCACCGUUGAUGGAUAUUGGGUAAAAAGGAUACAAAAUUGUAGUGAACAUGCAAUAACUUUCAGAAGAUGACUAAAACUAGCUGAAAAGGUGAAACAUGGUCAAGGUAGAGAUUGAGGAACAUAUACACUUGGCUAGAUAGAUACAUCGUAUACUUGUUAGUUAUGUUGUAGAUAAAUCAUAUACUUGUAAUGAAGCAAGUCCAUCUAGUUACAUUUUUGCCAGUCAAUUACCAGAGUUUGAUCUGUCCAUUAUCAUAUCUUUGGACUAUUACUUGUUAUAACUGUAGCAUUUCUAUUUCCUUGUUCUAUGUAGUAUACUGCAACAUUCCAGAGGCUUGAGUCUAGGCCGAGCAACCCAGCCCAAGGGGCUGCUUCAUUGGGAUCCACUAAUCCAAGUGCCAGCCUAAAUGACAAUUCACUGGAUGAAACUUAUCGCCUUGUUUCUAGACCACCCCCAUAUGAUACUGAUCCUAGAUAUGCCCGUGUUCAAAGAGAAGGCUUGGUAUCAAGGCGUGAGAAAUCCAUAAAUCUCGCACAGGAAGAGUCACUAGCCCUUAGACGCAACGCAAGCAGCUCAGGUAUUGAGCAUUUAGCUGCUCAGAAGAAACGGAGCAGCACUGAAAAUGAGGGUGAAUAUAAGGUCCAUCGUUCUGAAUCAACCAAGAGUUUGUCUGCAAAAGCUUAUAACAGCAGCUAUGCAGCUGUCGGUUCAGAAGAUGAGGAUGUCUGCCCUACUUGUCUGGAAGGUUUGUAUUCAUAUAGCUUUGUGUAAAUACAUAACAGUUUAUCUUGGUCUCUGAACAUAUUUUCCACCGAUUCAUUACGAUAAUUCCCUGUGCAGAAUAUACCCCGGACAAUCCGAAAAUUAUAACAAAAUGUUGUCACCAUUUUCAUCUUGGUUGUAUUUAUGAAUGGAUGGAGAGAAGUGAUACAUGUCCAAUGUGUGGAAAGGUAUGAUACUGAUAGUUCGGCAUUUAUAGUUUUCAAAUCUCAAUCGAAGAUCAUAAUUGCUAAUCACUCAUCAUCAGUUUCUAAGGAGUAAUUUUAUGAUACCGAGCUGACAAUUUAUCCCUCAAUCUGAUAACACUGCAGGAAAUGGAGUUUUGCGAGAGCCCAUGAUAGACAUUUGUUUUACAUGAUCUCACAUCAGAGGAAGGGAAAUGGUCUACAGUAUGGAAUGCUGGGGAAUUGUAAAUAAUAGUAAUGAGCCGUCCAAAUAGAUCUCUUUCGCGAGAUCAGUUUCUUACAUGUACUGAAAUGAUGAUCUAUAUCUUACUAAAAUUCGUGCUGGAAUUUGCUUGCCCAAUCUUUGGUUAUAUUUUCAAAUGGUAGUUCAAGAAUGGAAGCACAGAUUAACCUGAUCUUAAUAGUGAUUGCCUGGUGGGUUCUGUAGCCUAUCUGAUGGUGCCUCCUACUGAAGUGCGUAAAAUGCUCUAAGCUCAUCUUGCUGCAAAGCAUUCGAUGGUUGCCUAAAGCGUCUUUCCUAAAGACAAUUGGUCGCAGAAUAUAAUCGCAAGCCAUGAACUUAAGUGUUUCGCAAUGGCAAUUUGCAAGAGUAGCAGCCAUCAGGCCUUCAGGCACCGUUUUUAGCCCUUUUUUAAUCUAAAUCUUAAUAACAACACUUAUAAAGCUAGAUUUUAAGAAGAUUCAAGAGGCCAGCUGUCACGAGGAGAUUGUGUGACCCUAAAUUAUCACAAGCAGUUUGGCACGACUCACCUCUUGAGUCUUGUCAAGUUGAUUAGCAUAAAUAAUAGUUUUGUUAUUAUUGAAAUUUUAUUAGGUUAAAAAUGGAUAAAAUUUAAAAUUAUCCACUGCCUCAUCAGAGAUUCAAGAAUCGCAGUGUCAUGGGUAAAACAAAAUGUAUCUUAGACAAACAUUCUAUAAAACAAACAUGAUAUAUCCAGACAAAUAAUCUGCUCAAAAAUUAUUUAUCGAAUAGCGCAUAGCAGUUACAAGCCAUGAACAUUGGUUACACAAUGACAGCCAGGCAAGCCUAGAAUACAAAGCCGAUUCAGAAAAUUGAGCGCAACCGUACACUCACAAAACUAAGAGGAGAACCAGCAAGCUAGCAUUUUAUUUUGUAAUCGUUCACCGGCGGGUACCAAUUCAUUUCAGUUUUACACACUUGCCGUCUUGAGGCUAUUGCCCUUCUCCUGCAGGCUCACAAGUAGGCUGUCAAAGCUCUUUUUGAACGAGUCUACGCCUUCCAGCUCAAGCUGCUUCCCGACCUCAUCCCAGUCGAUGCCAAGCUUCUCCAGGGCACUGUACACACCUUCCGCCUCAGACACAUUCGCAUCAACUGUCCUAGAAACAGUGCCAUGGUCAAUGAAUGCCUGCAGCGCUUGGUCGGGCAUUGUGUUGACCUGAAAGCAGAAGGGAAUAACUCAUGUUUAGCAUCACUCUAAGGCCACACUUUGCAUGAUGAUAGAAAGAGAACCUAUCUACGAUUCAAACAAAUUCGAUCUAGGAUGCUCAUCGUGCAAACACACCGUGUCGGGUCCAAUCAGACUGUCCACAUAAAGGGUGUCAGGAUAAGCAGGGUUCUUGACGCCAGUGGAUGCCCACAACAACCUCUGUUUCUUGGCACCUUUCUUGGCCAAAGCCUCCCAUCUUGGUCCAGAGAAUUUCUUCUGGUAGAGCUGAUUUGCUAGUUUCGCCUGUGCUACAGCAGCCUGGCAGAAAAUAGGGAAGUCAUAUUACAGAAAUUCAUGGACAAUUUAGUAAGUCCUAAUAUUACGAGGCAGGCAACUUUUAUUUUAUUUACCUUUCCUCUAAGGGCAAGCGCCUCAGGUGUUCCAAUCUUCUCUAGCAUUUUGUCAAUAAGGCUGUCAACUCGGCUGACAAAGAAGGAUGCAACACUGGUAACUCGAGAUAAGUCACUCAAACCAGAAGCCUCUAGCCCAUCAAGGUAAGCAUCAAUCACGGCCUCAUAUCUUGCAAUAGAGAAAAUAAGCUGCAGUGACAGCAAUGAACAUGUCAUCAAUAAGCUUAUGAAAGCAGUUCUGCAAGACGUAGUUUUACCACAACAAUACCAUAAGAAGGCAAUGUCAAGACAACUCGAUACUUACUGUGACAUUGACACUAAUGCCAUUAGAGAUGACUUCCCGGAUAGAAGGAACACAUUCCGCGGUAGCAGGUAUCUUUAUGUAGACAUUGGGGCGGUUGACCACUUUGUGCAACCACUUUGCGGCCUCAACUGUUCCCUGAGUGUCAUUUGCCAACCUAGGAGACACUUCCACAGAGACAUACCCAUCAGCUCCAUCUGUCUCGUUGUAGAUAGGCUCAAAAAGUUUACAUGCGUCUUGUAUGUCCUUUAUAACGAGUUCCCAGUAAGCACUCUCUGCAUCCUUUCCAGCUGAAAUGAGCUGCUUGAACUGAUCAUCAUAUGCGCUUGAUGACGAAAUGGCUUUCUGGAAAAUCUGCAUCGUGUCGAGACAGGGUUAGGAGUGAAGAUGCAAAUAUGCAAGUGAUCAUACAAUAUGCACCAAAAAAAGGUGGAAAUGGAGUAUUACCGUAGGGUUGCUGGUGACUCCACGAACACCACUGGCGAUAAAGGGCAGCAAGUCGGUGACAGGCCGGCAGAGGUUGUCGUACCAUGGGGACAGGCCCUGGAGCUCAUAGAGAUCAUGAAGUGAGGUCCUCUUGGUCGGAGCACCAUUCCCUUCCUCGGCAGAAGCCAUCGCACUGAAAAUUGCAUUUCACCAAGUAAGGUCAUGUCCACAAGCUAGUUGAAUUGCAAAAAUGAUGAUGAUGAUGAUAUGUGUGAUGAAUUGUUCUAAGUUCAUAUGAGAAGACCACAAUACAAUCAAUUCAGGGAGCUCAUAAAGCUUAUAUCACUGCUAGUAGGUAGUAAAUAUGCAUCCAAGUGACAUAGUAGACCUAUAUAUCUUUUUUUUUAGAGUUCCAGGGCAACCACCCCAGGAACUCUAUCAAGAGACCCAUAUAUAAAUAUAUAUAUAUAUAUAUAUAUAUAUAUAUAUAUAUCAGUUUCUUUUCUGAAAAGAAAAUAUCUAUCAGUUUCAUACUACCACUCUCUACCACAUACCCAAAAGGCAUUUCUGUUGAAGGCAGAAAGAGGUAUGAAAACUAAAAUUCUUUUGACGCUAAUAGAAAGCGUUGCUACUUUUUGGCUGGCGUGUGGCUGCUAUCAAGAGGUCUACAGAAGCAGCAAGUCAGCGACUCAGGUGUGCAGCCGUGAUGCAGCAUGCAACCAGCUCCCGGCACGGCACCUAAAUAGGAGCGCUUGGCCACCCCCAACUCCACACGGAUUCUGCACCAGCCCGGCGACUCGAGAAGCUGGUAUGCCAGAAGCCUCUCCACCGUCCAUUUCCCGAUCGAACGGCCGCAGAAACGGACAGGCUUCAGAACCGGAUCCGAGCGUCUCUAUCGCCACAUCUGGCGGCGUGGCGGGCUACGCCACGCAUCGACGCGGCGGAGCAUCAACCCGCGACCCAACCUUCGAUGCUACCGAUCUCCCAUCCAAAGCACGCAGAGACGAACAGCUCGAAUCUAAUCAAACCUCGCCAAUAUCAAUCACCCACUCAAGCACGCACGCGGAUGCAAAGGCUACUUCAAUCAAACCGCAAAUCUAAUCUCACUGAUGCGGCACGGGCGAGGAAGAGGAGAGGGGAAGGAAGGUGGCGUUACGCACAUGAUGGGGCUCCUGGCGCGGCCGGCGAUGGAGACGCGGAACCGGCGGGCGGAGGGGGCAAACCCGAGGGCGGCUGGGCGGAGGGACGCCGGGGGGAGCAGCGCCGCCGCCGGCCGGGGCGCCGCCAGCUUGGACACCGUGCCGCUCAUCGCCGCCGGGGUUGGUGAGAACUGCAAGGAAGGGAAGUGGGGAUGGAUGGGUGGGGUUGGUCGCUCACGGGGGUUGUUGCGAGGUUUUGGAGCUGAGAUUGAGACGAGGUCCUCUAUUGCUCGUCAGCAUCAAUUUAAGUAGGCGCAUUAUCUGUUUUCGCCUGCCGUUUUUGCGCUUAGACCCCUUGAUAUUUGUGUAUUCGUUCUUUACUACGUUCACAUAUUGUUCUUUUUUCCAAACAUGAAAAAUCAACAUGAUGCCUAUUUAGAACGCACACAUUUUUCACAUGAAUAUUUUUAGGAAAAGUAGUACCAUUGUACCAAUAGAAAAAAACCAUUGGGGGGUCCUUGCUAAUCGUUAUUGUGCAUCUUAUAUUCUUCAUCCCCCAUUAAAAUGCUCAGCUUAGCAUUUUCUAUAUCCAUUUGUACAUUUUUUACGAACUUGAAUGCACAGCUCAUCCCAGGCGCAACAAUGUAAGAAAGAUUAAUAUUUGAUGUGUUCUAUAAAAUGCAACCAAUGUAAAUGCACUUACACAGCUGUCAAGCCGUCUUCGACACCCUUGAAAACGACAUCAGGUUGGAGGUAGCUCCUCUUUGACAAUGAUAGGAGGAAAUGGCGAAAUAGUUGAGCUAGAUCCACCUGGUAAAGGUCAGAUGUGUCUUUUGCUUUGAAAGGGAAAAAAAAAGCGGAGAGUGUGAACCAAAUGAGAAGAGGAAUCGGUUGGUCAUUGGUCGUGUUUUUGAUACAUGGGUUGUUGAAGAUAUUUUUGCCAUUUCACAUCGGCCAAAGUAUCCAGAAAACAGAAAUGAAAGGAAGGCACGAUGCAUGCCGGUCCCUAGGUUUCCUCGUAUUGACGCGCCGGGUUGUGCCAUCGCAAUGACGGAAGAAAAGCGCCCCUUGGACCGUGGAAAAGUCCAAACGAUCCUGGCUGCUACGCAUGCUUAGCAGUCAGCCCCCAGCGAUGAACGCAGGGCGUCAGCUGGCUGGUGGGACGUUGGAGGCGGCUACCAUACUUGCUACGAUCCUACCCUAAACCCUAAGUUCACAAAUCGUCAAGUUCUCUUCCUCUUUUAUUUUUUCUUUUAUUUUCUGUUUUGCUUUUCAGAAAGUGUUUUCAGUGCGUUAACGCGAAAUGCAGAUGAUGGAAUUUGAAGAGGAGAAACCCUGGCAGAGGUGCAGAAACAGAAACUAGUAAAUGGACGGACUCAAAACUCUCGUCCACCUGAGCGCAGGCGGGGACAGACCCUUCGCUGUGCUUGAGCUGUGAAGCAGGGCAAGCUCCAUCCAUGGGGCGUGGUGAGUGAAACUUGACCCAUCCCAAGGGCCAACUUGCCCUUUGGCCGCUCUGCAGUGGCCGUGCUUCUCGUGCUCCUGACCCGGGGCGCGCAAGCUGCGGCGACCUGCCUCCGAUCGGGCUCUUCAGAGUCCUACUCCAUCUCCUCCUCUCCAAAUCUGAACAGUUGCCGGCAGAGGCGUUUGCCGGUGCCCCAACUGGCAACUGAAAGAACAUCCACGUCUUCAGCUGUUCAGAGUUUGUCCAGUCUUUCCCUUUUUCUCCUUUGCUUGCAAAGAUCCUCCUUUUUCCUCUGUUGCAGAGCUGCUCUUCGGAUUGACCAACUUCUAGUUCUACCCCACACAAUCAUCCUCUGAACCUGAAACUGCUUUUCAGGUGCACCGGAAUUCAGAGCGCAGGAGCAACUGAAACUGUCAGUUUGACAGAUGAGUUCAGAGGGGAGAGGGAAAACAAACGUCAAGCAAAGUAGAACAGGUUAGAGGUGUUUGGAUCCUUGAGCUAAAGUUUAAUCCGUAUCACAUUGAAUCUUCGGAGGCUAAUUAGGAGAACUAAAUAUGAGUUAAUUAUAAAACUAAUUAUACAGAUGGAGGUUGAUUCGCGAGACGAAUCUAUUAAGCCUAAUUAAUCCAUCAUUAGCAAAUGGUUAUUGUAGCAGCACAUUGUCAAAUCAUGACUAAUUAGGCUUAAAAGAUUCGUCUCGCGAAUUAACCUCCAUCUGUACAAUGAGUUUUGUAAUUAGUCUAUAUUUAAUACUUCUAAUUAAUAUCUAAACAUUUAAUGUGACAUGGACUAAACUUUAGUCCUGGAACUUUAGUUAGCUCGAUUUACAAACACUAAAUCACAUUGCAACCAUCGAUGCAGUGACCACUAAAUCUAAAUCACACAAGGCUGCCUCUCGUACCUCCUGACAAAUCUCGCUCUAUAUUGCUGCUGCAUGUAAACUGGUCGUGCAAAAACUAAUGCGUGAUCCAUCCAUCCAUGGAUCGAUGUAAAAGAAAACAAAAAAGAACAUGAACAAAUGCAGACGCAACAAACGCAAACGGCUCUGUGUCGUCUACCACGGCUUGAGGUCGUUCUCGAGCCCGGCGUCCCAGUCCAGCACCUUCUCCCCGGGCUCCAGGAACACGCCCUUGCCGUGCGGCAGCUUGCGCGCCAGCCCGUUGAGUAUCUGGUCGAAGGCGUCCCCGGGCCUGGCGGGCUGGUGGAAGAGCAGCGCCUGCUUCACGGACGCGCCGGCGAGCAGCCGCUGCUUCCGGAGGAUGUCCUCCAGCGGGAUGGAGGUGAGGAUGUUGUCGAGCCGCGGCACGUCGCGCUCCGCCACGAACACGCUGAUCUCCUCCCAGGGGAUGGCGUCCGCGAACGGCAGCACGAUGUCGUCGGCGAUGAUCACCGGGAUGCAGCCGAACACCACCGCCUCCACCAGCCGGGGGCUCCAUGGCGCCCAACCCAGCGGGCACAGGCAGAAGAUGGCGCGCUGCAUGUCCUCGUAGUACGUCGACGGGUGCUCCGUCGAGAUGUCGAACAGCGGGUUGUCCUUGAAGUUCUCCCACACCGACGCGCGCGCGCCCCUGCAUCAUCAGGUAAGGCCAUGGUCAAUCACGUUAUCUACAAGCAGCUUAACUAUUUGCAUCAAUGUUGGAACGGCAAGAAAUUAAGCAUGAAAAAACGUGGAUUACCUGGCGUAGUAGCCGCCCUCGGGGUCGUUGCCCAUGUCGUAGAAGAGGCCGCGGAAGUAGACGAAGAUGGAGCGCGGCGUGCCGGGGUUGAUCAGGUGCGCCUGCAUCUUGUGCGGGUUGGCGUAGGGCGGGAUGGUGAUGGACCCGUCCUGCAGGCACACGUGGUUCCGCUGCCCGAACGUCUGCACCAGCGUCGCGCGCCGGAGCAGCGGCAGGAUGCCCCUCUCCAUCGCCCUCUCCUCCUGAAACCACAAGCCAAGUGCCAAUCAGUUCACUAUUUCUUUUCAGCUCUGCAGCCUGUCUCCGGCAACGCACACACACCUGGUAGUGGAAGCAUGCGCCGAAGUCGUGGGGCGUGAGGAAGAAGUGGUCGGCGCCCUCGGUCCUGUUCCAGUAGGGCCACGUCGUGGCGACGUACUUGAUGGCGCUGCGCAUGAUCCGCGGCGCCCGGAACGGGAGGGGGAACCCCUGCGGCGUGAGGUCGCAGGUGGUGUACGCGGGGGUGUAGAACCAGUCGGCCUCCUCGGGGUCCAGCGUACGCACCGCGCUGUUCAGCAAGAACUGGUGCAUGAAGAUCUCGGCGGCGAACAUGUGGUGCAGGCACCGGCUGUCCUUGGCCAGCAGCAUCAGGUUGUACUUGCGAGGCAUCUCGUACACGAACACCUUCAGCUUCCCCACCGGGUUGUCGUCAAGCACGCCGCCGGCGGCCCCUGCUCACAUCGUUCGUUCAUUCAGGUUAGUAAAUCGUCUCGCAUGCAGUUCUUUCUACACAAGUACUGUUUGAAUGUUAAGCUUUUAUAACAUGCUGUAAUGAUUUGAACUGUCUUGAGCAAUGCAAUGAUCAGGGAAUUCGCCCUAGUACCCUACAUACUCUGAAAAGGUUCUUUCUUCAGGAAUAAACGAAUUCAUGUAGCUGAUAUUAUCAAUAUUCAAUGCACUGUGCUAAAAUAUGCAGAGUGGUCAGAUCUUUACAGAACAAGUUUCAGUACUAACAGGGUUUCAGAUUUCAGAAAAGGCAAACACAGAGAUGUUUCAGUUAAUGAUGCAAGAAAUCACUAGUGAUGGGUACAAUUGUUGGUGGAGUCGUUGCUUUCGGCAGUCCACCAACCACGAAAUUUGAACUUUAAUCAAUAAAAUACCGAUCCCUUUCAAGUGGUCUCUACUUUAACGAUACGUUGUUCUUAUCCCUUUCUUUAUCGGUACUAAUCUGGUCGUUAGCAUGUCCGGUUCAAGGGAAAAAAAAUCGUUUGAAAGCGCCAGUGGUCAGUUGAGUGAGUGGAUGGCCACCGCUCGAUCUAGCUGCCACUUAUCCUUUCUUUAUAGUUAUACCACUUCAAGCUCUUGCAUAGUUGCAUUGCAGGCCCUAAAAUGCAGCUAAUUAAAUUAAACCCAAUCUUGCUGGUGCCGCGCCACACUACAGUAGUCCUCCCCGCAAGAGAUGCCUAUUCUGGAAGCUGUUGCUUCGUGGACGCGUGACUGCGAAGAAGAUGGUACAGAGCUAGAGAUCUGAACCAUCAUCCACACUGAUGAUGAUGCGAUGCAAUGUAGGAUCAGGGAAGCUACGAAGCAAAGCAAUGAAGCAUGAUGCAAUGCAAUGGCCGCUUCAAAACAACUGAUGCAAUGCAAUGGUUUAAGCUUCACUUCAGCAACCAAUUAAUCUGUUGCAGAAAGCAAUGCUAAGCAAGCACUGCUUGAUCCAUUGCAGACGCAGGCAUUUUACUCCUACAGUAAUGCUAGUGGUUACUAGUUGCUGGCUUGCUGCUACCAGAGCAGGUACAGCUCUGUACAGUUGGUGUGAGGGCAGCGGCCACAUGGUGGAUCACAGGGGCGCGAGCCGCACACGGCAGCCGGUUAGAGACAGCCACCACGAUUGAUUGAUCCCAGAAGAGGCUGUUGAUUCCCAGCUGCGUGCGCGGCGGUGGAAGCCAGAGCCAAGCGGCGUCCGCCGGGGGUAGGGAGGGACCAUCGGAAUGCGGUGGCAGCGAGCACGAAACCCGGAUCAAAAUCGAAGCGUGAGCUGUCGGGCGCACGGAUCACAACCUCACAGGGCGGCGAGCCGCGAGCCAGCGCAACCAAUUCCGUCCAAACCAGGCAGCGGCGGCGGCGGCAUUGCAGUUUGGAGGCGGCGGGACUGCCAAAUCUGAAUCUCGAGGGGGGCACCCUCGCGCGCCCGCCGGCCGCGAGCGAAUUCAAAAUCUAGGAGGAGGAUGCGAAGCGGGCGGCGCGUACCUGAGAUCCUUGCGCGCUCGUGCUGCUGCCGCUGCGGCGGCGCCGCCGCGGCGACGCAGGAGACGACGAGCAGAACCGCGGCGGCCGCCGCCGCGGCGGGCCACGGCCUCCGGUCCCGCCCCAUUGGCCUUGAUCCUGCCGCGGGCGCCGCCCCGGAGUUGACCGAAUCAAGCAGCUAGCGGCUAACGCUCUCCCCUCCUGCUCGUGCUGCCGCUGCGGCCGUGCGUGUGGAGCUCGAGCGCCGGGCGGCAGCGAAGUGGUGCCGGGAUACUUGUCGCUGGGGAGCGCUUUGUCGUCGUCCUCCGCUGUGCCUGUGCUGGUAGGCUGUCGUUGUCAGGCCCCGAUGGCGCGGCCCGUGGAGGGGAGGGGGAGUAGUAGAAUAGGAGGUGAGGAGGCGGGGUAGUCAAGGUCGCGGCGACGGCGAGCCAAUGGAGGGGGUGCAGCUGCGGAAUUGGAAGCGGAAUCUGCUGCUGGUGCUCUCGCACGCACGCAGGCACGCAGGGAGAGAGCGAGCUGGCGGGGGAGGAAGAGGAGAAAAGAAAAAGGAAAAGGAGGAGAGGGUGCAGCGCAGCAGCUACAUGGCUCGCACGCGGCGGGUGGCGUAAUACGAAAACAAGGGGGGCGCGGGGCGACCCGACCGACCGGGUCCGCGUCCGAGGCCAAACCAAUUGCUUCUUGCAAAGGCUUAUCGGCUCGGCAUGUGCUCGUGCUACGCAGUUGCUAGGAGCAGCAGGCAGGCCCAACUUGCGUCGCUAAUCAUGUGGCCAGGGCCAGGCUUGAGUAACCAAGUCACCCUACGCACCUGCGCUAAUCAUGUUUGCUUGCUACAGCGAUGCAGCCUCCUUUUGGGUACCGUUCCUGCUGUAUUUUUUUAAUUGUAAAGUCUGAUGAAUAAAAGCGAUAAUGUUAGAGAUGGGCUAACAAUUUUUUUUUAUACGUUCGUAGAAAUGAGCUGCACGCGUUGGAGCUGGACACACGACGCCCCUCGAGAGCCAAACCUUUGCUGUAAACACGAAUCAGUGCAGCAAACCCUUGGCUCCCUGAGUAAUCGAGUCAGCAGCCAGCACAGGCUACGGCGAUCAUGUUUAGAUUCCAUGGCCGCUAAGACAGGAACGUAUUUUGAACGUAGUGCUGGACUGAAGCAUCUUUGGAAAUGGCUUUUAGAUUCCAUGUUUGUACAUAUACACAUAUCCAAACUAGAUUGGCUACACGUGGUGGAAACAGCUCCUUUUCUUUUCUUUUCUUUUCCUUUCUUUCUUUGGAAAAGCGCGCUUGAUUGGAUUUGAUCAGCAACCUUGGCCGGCCGCCUCCAAUCACGGAGAGGCGUGCCUGCGCGGUCACCUGCUCGAUCGGCUUCUCCUGCCGCGAGCGUGAGGCCGAGGUGUAAAGAGGAGAGACCAACUGACCGAGCAAAAGCUCACCACAAAACAAAGAGAGAAAUCACAAGAGUAGAGGAGAAGAAAAAGGUGUGCGCCUGGUUGGCCCGCCGUGCCGUUAGGUCGCGGUGGUUGGCCUGCUCACUCCAACGAACGACGAAUAGCCUGCCGCCUCCGCCUCCGUGAUUACGGGCUUGCUAGUUUAUGCGAGGAGCCACGGCAACCCAUCGUCUCGCCAGCCGCAGGUAAUGGAUUACGGUCCUCACGACUCCUUCACAAUCCAACUUAACCAUAUUUAUUUUUAAUUUAAAAUUAUAUAUUUCACAAUUCAACUCAGUUCUAUCUAUUUUUAGUUUAAAAUUAUAUAUUAUUUUCUAAUAUGUAACGUUGGUUAGUUCAUUUUUGAGCUAGCCAACGUCAUGUAUUAGAGGAUGGAGAGAGUUCGAUCCUUAUUAAACCUUAAAUUUACUAGAUUAAAUUAAAAUUUGUUAGGUUAAAUUAAAGUACCCCACAUGUGACGCCGAUGGUGACGCGCUGCGGCGACGACCUGCUUGCACAGCACGGGAGCUGCAGCUACGACAGCGGGGAAGACGAGGAAUCUUCACCCACGUUGCCCGCAUGCAGAUGCAGCGCGCGGCCGGCCGCUCCCUUCCGGCGCCUGCGGGGACGACUAAUUUUUCUCUCUCGUUUUUUACCGUCCCCUGCGCCUGUGCAACGCGCACGGGCACGGCGCGGCGCCAUUAACACCCUGUGCGUCGUGUCGGUGCAUCCGGACUCUGGCCGUUAACGAACCCAUCAACUCCAUUCAUGUAGUGGUACAACACGCGCGGCAGUUUUAAAACCAACAGGAAAAAAAAAAGUUUAUGUACGGAUCAGCAUCACCCCACCUUAUUCCACCACUCGUUGUCCUAUAUCCUUUCAGUUUUUAAAGCCUCUUUUCAUUUCCUUUUUCUCUGCUUUAUGUCAUGCGCACCUACCUUUUCUUUUUUCUAAAAAAAAAAGUUUGCUGGCUUUCCGUCGGCUGGAAAUUUUGUUACACGGAACUGAAGUUACAGCGGUUACAGCUGCAGUGACGUGCUAGUGUUUGGAUAUCAGCUAGUCGCAAACAAAUGGCUAAAAAAAGCAACGCAAGUAUCAAUCUCUUGAAUAUUGGAUGCUCGUUUGAUUUCCUCAAUGAACAAUGGGGCACACUGGCUCUGUAUUUUGUUCCGCUGGUGUGGACAGCGUGCCGGAACACACAAGGGCUGAUGGAAUGUCCUAAUGUCAACAGCAGAGUCUAAUUGUCAUGUUUCGCAUUAAAAGGAAGAGUAUGAUCUCUUUAUUACGAAAGUAUUUUUUUUGGGACGCCAUAAAGCAUAGUUAAUUACUUAAAAAAAUAAAAAAAGAAAACUAGGUAACGGUGAAGGCAUGCUCAUAUAGUCUUAUGAAGUGAUGCUAUGACAUGAAGGUCUCUGCAGUCUACAUACAACAACGACAUUAGGCUAAAAAACAUCCAUCACGAUUAAGAUUGAUAGGUGACGAUGCAUUGAUCUAGGAGUUCUCGUAACCAUUCAGAACUCGUCAGGAUUGUGACCGGGUAACAAGCGGAACUGACGCAUGAAAUGGGCUGGGAAUAGCGUGUAUAUAGCCUCGCGCAAGUCAAGAGAGCAGGUGUAGGAUAUAUUGUUUAUGAUUUGUUUUGGUUAUCGAUCAAGUUCUAAACAAAUAAUUAGUAAAAGCAUUAUUACAUUGGAAGCACGCAAUCAUCACUUAAUAUAGACAGUAUAUGACAGAAAAUAUACUAUCUUCCGGGAAAAUUAGGCGAGGAUGAGGGAAUACUCGUACGAAAUGACGACGCUAUCACAGCAACAACUCUUAACAUCGAUAGGUGUCAGUCUAUUGAUCCAUUGGUAACCGCUUGUCAAGACUCAAGACCGUGACCGGGCAACAAGCACAAAAGUAUGACACAAUUUCAAGAACAUAAUGCGGACUUGGAAUAGCUUAGCUUCGUGCAAGUCAAGGACAGGUUCAGGAUGGAUUGGUCUUGAUCCGUGCAGCCUAGUUACAAAAAAAAAGAGAGAGGUGAGAAAGAGCCAAGAAGUUGGCCAAAAGAAGCGAAGUGAUUGCGAGACAAUGGGUAUGAAAUUAAAAGUUAAAAAAAAAUCAAGUGCGGUGAGCGUGGAUCGAACACGCGACCUUCAGAUCUUCAGUCUGACGCUCUCCCAACUGAGCUAUCCCCGCUAUUGUUUAAUUUUUCUGAAAGUAUAUUUAUAUUAAUGUUUUAAUCUCACGCUUGGCGGACUAGGAUAAUGCACGUGGGCCGUUGUAAGAUGUGCGCCCCUAGUUAUGUUGUGGCCCAUCGAGUCCAUUGCUGCCACUUCUGCUGUCAUUAGGCGGCCCAGUCCUUGGCAAUCCGGGACCGUGACGGCUUCCUGGUUCCUGCAACUGAGAGAAGGAAGUAAAAACCAUGGCAGGUAUCGAUCAAACCGCUUUUCUGAUUUUGCCUGCCGCCAGACGGCCGGCCAGGUUUCUCCAGCGCCGGCGCCGACGCCGACGCCGGAGCCCAGGAAGCAAGGAACGUCGCCGAUGACCCCGUGGACCGUGGUUACUGGUACGCAUCGCAUCGACUCUCUCCUCGGCUAUUCUGCACGCGCCGCCUCUGUUUCCAGGCUCCAGUCCUCGGCACAGGCCGCGUUGCCGUUGCUGUUGCGAAUUGGGAAUUUGUGAUCCCCUUCCUUCCCUCCGGGUAUGUAGCAUCUCACCUACCCCCGGUCUGCGUCGGUGCACCAUCAUCAACGUGAAUCGUCGUAGGCCCGUAGCACGUCUCACCAGUUUCUUCGUCAUGAUAAACCUUGGACAACGGCCCCCUGUUGCGUCCUUCUCUCUCACCAAAAGCCUCGAAUAUGUCCAUGCCUCUUUUGCCCUGCACAAAUCUCUCUUUUGAUUUGGAUCUAUGGACUGGCAACAGAUUGAUAUGGAUGUUUAAUCCUUGCUUAUCACUGCACCAAUAACACUCAGAAUUCAGUACUGAAAAGCACAGCAUUUUGCAGGUUCCUGGAUUGGAGUUAACUUUAUUUUCCCCUAUGGUAAACCGGUAACAGCAUAUAAUAUAAUACAUACAGUAUACUACAACAGCCAUACAUUACAUUUGCCACCAUCUAGGCUAACACUAAAUAAAGGUCAAAAUAGGCACUGUCAUACAGGGAAAGCAGGCCACAUUGCCUCAGAAAGAAGCAUGAAGGAGCUUUACAUUUAGCGGCUAUGGCUUGGUUCACUCACCAGCAUCAUUGGCACUGAUGCCUCUCUUGGUUCACUGGUAUGGUCUACACAAGAACACUAGCCAUGGGGAUGAUGCCAUGCCACUAUGCCUACCAUGGCUUCAGAUCACCCCGGGGGCCCUCGGUCCAGUUCAGCACCUUCUGCCCGGGCUUCAGGAACACGUCCUUGCCGUGCGGCAGCUUCCGCGCCAGUCCGUUCAGGAUCUGGUGGAAGGCGUCACCGGGCUGGGCGGGCUGCGGGAACAGCAUGGCCUGCUUCAUUGAUGGGUUCGCGAGCAACCUCUGCUUGCGAAGGAUCACCUCCAUCGGUAUGGAGGUCAGGAUGGUGUCCAGCUUGGGGACGUCAUCCUCAGCCACAAAGACGCCGAUUUCCUCCCAUGGGAUCGCGUCCGCAAAGGGAAGGACAAUGUCGUCAGCAAUGAUCACCGGGAUGCAGCCAAAGACCACAGCCUCCACCAAACGGGGGCUCCAUGGGGCCCAGCCCAGUGGGCACAAGCAGAAGACGGCACGUUGCAUGUCCUCAUAAUAAGUUGGUGGGUGGUCUGUCGAGAUGUCGAAUAGUGGGUUGUUCUUGAAGUUCUCCCAUACUGAUGCACGGGCGCCCCUGUGUUGCACAUGGUAGGUUCAUCAGGAUGUCUUAUUCACUGAUUCAUUAAGACUACUUGUCAGCUAUAUAAUUUAGAUGUGUACCUCGCAUAGUAACCACCCUCAGGAUCAUUUGCAGUAUCGUAGAAUAAACCACGGAAAUAGACAAAGAUUGAACGAGGGGUUUCUGGGGGGACAAGGUGAGUUUUCAUCUUCUGAGGAGGAGCAAAUGGUGGGAUGGUGAUGGAGCCUUCCUUUAGGCAGACAUGAUCUUUCUGCCCAAAAGUUUGGACUAGAGUAGCACGGCGAAGCAAUGGAAGGACUCCUCGCUCGAUAGCCUUCUCUUCCUGAACAAUGGGAACAUUUGAAUGCAUAUUAGAAGAAUGGUCCUAGAAUCAAACACGAAUAGAAUGAUAAAACAUUGUGUGUCUGCGCGCGCGCGCAGUUAGCGAGUUGCAUUGGUCAAACAUAUGAGGAUUCAUGGUUUAUUGUUCCACAACUCACCUGGUAAUGGAAGCAUGCACCAAAGUCAUGAGGCACAACAAAGAAAUGAUCUGCUCCCUCUGUCCUGUUCCAGUAUGGCCAACGCUUGGAAAUGAACUGAAUUGCACUUCUCAUUAUCCUUGGAGACUUGAAGGGUAAGGGAUGACCCCAUGGGGUAAGGUCGCAAGUUGUAUAUACUGGAGUAUAGAACCAAUCAGCUUCUUCUGGAUUUAAAGUCCGGAUUGCACUAGACAAUAGGAACCGGUGCAUGAAGAUCUCUGCAGCGAACAUGUGGCUGAGGCAUCUAGAAUCCUUGGCCACCAUCUUCUUGUUGUACUUGGUGGGCAACUCGUACACAUAUACCUUGAGCCUCCCAACAGGAUCAUCUUCUAGCACAUCACCAGCACUUCCUGAAUUUUGAUCAUGAUUGCAAUGAAAAUGUGAGAAUCAUGUACUGUAAUACCACAAUCCUAAUUCAAUGGGACUCAAACAGGCAUUCAAAAGCCAUUCUUCUUUCCCAUCAAAGCAUAAUCCAAGCUACACUAACCAAUAGCCACAGCAUACAAGUUACAAAUUUUGAUGAGCUACUGCCAAAGCAUAACGAGUACUCUGCUAACCAGCAAACAUAAUUCUCUUGGUAAGAUGCAGCUAAAUAUAUAUCACAUAAAGUAAAGAUUUUGAGAAUCCCUGGUUGUUGUAUCAAGGGUCCUGUAGUUCGAUGUGCAUAAUUAGUGGAGUCCAAUCCAAAGGGACCAUUAAAUUUGCUAAUUUCUACAACCUGAAGUGCCCUUGCUGAUCUAGUAAUGCACAAUGCCAGACUAGCCGCUACAGAAGUUUGCUACUUGACAGUGUAUCUAGUUUGGCUAUACUUGGAGAAAGAAUUCCAACUUCAUUUAUGCUCAGCCGCUCUGCAUAGGCUAGUUCAGGAUCAUAAUCCACUACAGAGCACGCAACCCAGAGUUCUUGCAGUGUGCACUGUUGAGCAGUGAGCUGAGCGCAGGAGCUAGUUCAUUCAAUCAUGGAAUAAAAAAAAAAUGGGGAAAGCGUAGAGCCACUCGUGCCAGGAGGUAAUGUAGCGGGAGAUCUCGCCAACUACCCGCCCGCUCGCCUUCCCAAGUCCGCUUCAUCGGAUUCCCCUCACACUCACUAGCAGAUCCACUGGAAGCACCAAAACGCGUUGACAAGCAUGGAUUCCCGGGAUCAACAACCGACGGGCGCAGGCAAUGCAUAACUGCACAAUCCAGGCAUGGCGCGGGCAAGACGGAAGGGAGGGGAAAGGGAGCAGCUCCGCGCCGCGUACCUUCGAUCCGCUCGGUGUCCUGCGCCGCGACGACGGCGACGUGAGCGAAGGCGAGAAGCAAGGCGAGCGCCAGUGCCGGCGCCCGCGCGCCCCCCGUACCCAUUAGCCGUCCGUCCGCCCGACACCCGCGGUGGCCGCCGCCCGCCGCACCUUCUCUCCACGCCCGGCGCCUCGGUCAGGAAGGACGGGGAGAGAUCGAGAGAGACUCGAGAGGGUCGGGGAAGUGGCAGCAAGCUGCUAGUGGGAUCGAUGAGGGAGGCGGCGAUGGUGGCUUGGCUUGCGGGGCGUCGCCGUCAGUGAUGAGCUGUCGGUGGACAGCAGGUGGUGGGUGCCAGGUUCCCCUCAGCAGCGUAUACGCACACGUACGGUGUACAGGCACGCGUCGUUUCGUUUUGACCUGUCACUGCCAGUCGCUGUUCUUUUUUUUCCCCCAACCUAGCCCUACACUACCACUACUACAGGAGGAGUGAUCGCGAUUUGGCCUCUCUGUCACUAUACGAAUUUGCGACCCUGAAUUUGCAUCCGCAAUACAAAGCCAAAGCGAAGCAAAGCAGGGCGUUCCAGCAACAAAUCACACCUCCGAAUGGCUCUGCUGCGAGUCAGUGAGCCAGGUUUUGGCAACUGACGGGACGGAGCGAUCAAAAUCAGGCCGCGGGAGACGCGGGGCCGGAACCAGGGUUAUUAUCACUAAUCUCUCCUUUUUCCCUCUGCUAAUCUAAUCUGAAUGACUAAAUCCAGUCCAAAUCCAGCCUUAUUAACGACCGGCUGCAGCUGCGUCUCAUUUCCUUCCUUUCUUUCUUCUUCCAUUUGGCGCCAACUACUCGCAGCUCGUGCCAUUAAGAGGCUGUCGGUGUGGGGCAGCAGCUCCCGGUAGUUAGGCUAGGUUGUCCCCCUCGUCGUCUUCCCCAACUCGCUAGGGUUAGGCCACGCACCGCACGGCGGGGCAGGACUGCAGGAGAAUGCAUCUCCUUCUUCAUCUUCUUCCACGUUCGUUGACCCCACGGACCAUUGACGCCUCACCGGAUUUUUUUUUUGUCGCCGCCGAGUACUGUUUGCACCUGGAAAACAAGCUUGGAAUAGGUGACGCGUACAAACACAGCCCCAUGGAUUACCUAUCUUUCUGGUGUUCGUCGACAUCUCUCGAUCAAAUGCAGGUGCAGGGUAAUGAUACUGUUCCAUUAUUUCUUCUUCUUUCUCUUUCUGUAUGACGUGUUAUGAUUUCAAAUGGUCAAAAAAAAAUUUAACUAUACCAACAGUUAGUUUUGAGUCAAACUAUAUGCAUGUUUAGUGCAGUGCAUAGAGGUUGAUUCAUAUUUCAUAAAUAUUUUAGUACAAUCUAACGAUUUUGCAGCAAUUGAUAACAGCUGAUGACAUCUUGGUCCGAAAAAAAAAGCGCUGAUGUUGACUCUUUCUAAUCCAUCUAGUCUAGCCUCCUGUUUGAGGCCUUGUUUGAGGCCUUGUUUAGUUCCCAAAUUGGGAGUGGCAAAGUUUGCAUUUUGCCAUAAAUGUGCAACUGUAGCAUUUCGUUUGUAUUUGUGAAUUAUUAUCCAAACAUUGACUAAUUAGGCUCAAAAGAUUCGUCUCGCAAAGUACAACAAAACUGUGCAAUUAGUUUUUGAUUUCGUCUACAUUUAGUACUCCAUGCAUGUACCGCAAGUUUGAUGUGAUGAGGAAUCUUCUUUUUGAAUAGUGCUAAAGUUGGGAAAAAGGGAACUAAACAAGGCCUGAAGUUACAGUACCAACCAACAAUCUUUCUCUAGGUUACUGUACUCACAUCACAACUUGCUGGAACAUUCCUUGGGAACUCAGCAACAUUCAGACAAAGACCACAACAGCGACAUGAUCUUUCUUAUCACUGAUCCGCAAAUCAGACAGGCUUCCAGAUGAUCUUUGCUUCAAACAGCAGUUUCACGUUUAUCACCCGAUUUGCUUAGAGACAAAUAAAAAUGGAACCAGAAUCAACCGGGUCAUGCAGCACAAACACGAUGGAGGAUGGGCAAGACGAGGCGAUUGCAUCUGCAGUAUGGCUAUUGGCAGUGCAGGAGGAUAUUGAAAUGAGAUCAAGCAUUCAGCAUGAGUAAAAUCUUGUAAAUUUCGAUUAUGAUAUCCACAUAUGAUUGACAAGGCUGACAUUCUCAUCACCUAAUAAAAGAGGGAAAAAGAAGAAGAAGAAGAAAUGAAGAUAUAUAGUAUAGCAGCUAUAGGUAAAGAACAUACAAAAAUGUACAUUUGGCUUCAGGUCAGCACUAUGCAGCCAUGGUAAUUCAAAGGCGCAUGUAUAUUAUCAUGUCCUCAAAUCUUGCUUUUUCCAAAAAGUUCUAGAAUUAUGCCAGAUGCUACCAAGGCUUCAGGUCACCCGGUGGUCCAGCGGUCCAGUUCAGGACCCUCUGCCCGGGCUUGAGGAAGACGUUGUCACCGUGCGGGAGCUUGCGCGCGAGCCCGUUCAGGAUCUGGUGGAAUGCAUCUCCCGCCUGAGCAGGCUGGGGGAACAGCAUGGCCUGCUUCAUCGACGGGUUGGCGAGAAGUCUUUGCUUCCUCAGUAUAACAUCUGUGGGAAUGGACGUUAGGAUGCUGUCCAGCUUCGGAACAUCCUCCUCGGCAACAAACACACCGAUCUCCUCCCAAGGGAUGGCGUCCGCGAAGGGCAGAACAAUGUCAUCAGCAAUGAUCACCGGGAUGCAGCCGAAGACCACGGCUUCCACCAGCCUCGGACUCCAUGGUGCCCAGCCCAAUGGGCAUAAGCAGAACACGGAACGCUGCAUAUCUUCAUAGUAGGUCGGCGGGUGAUCCGUCGAGAUGUCAAAGAGCGGGUUGUUCUUGAAGUUCUCCCAGACAGACGCACGAGCACCUCUGUAAAGAAAAUGCAUAUCAUCAGAGGUCAAAUCCAGGAUGCAAUGGGAUGGAAGAAGAACAAGAGGCAGAUAUAGAGGUGUUGACUCUAUCACUUGUAGACAUAGAGAUGAUUUACCUUGCAUAGUAACCACCCUCCGGAUCGUUGCUGGUGUCGUAGAACAGACCACGGAAGUACACAAAGAUGGAUCGAGGCGUGUCUGGGGGGAUAAGGUGAGCCUGCAUUUUCUGGGGAGGCGCAAAUGGUGGGAUUGUGAUGGAUCCGUCCUUCAGGCAGACAUGGUUCUUCUGUCCAAACGUCUGAACCAGUGUCGCACGCUGAAGCAAGGGAAGGAUCCCCCGUCCAAUUGCUUUCUCUUCCUGAAACAAUGGAGGUAUGCUCGUUACAGAAAGAUCAAGACAAUGAAACAGCCAGUAACAGAAGGCAUCAAUCAGAAGUAUGGCAAGUGGUUACUAUUAGGUGGUUAGUUUACCAUGAAUCUGAAUAUAAACAUGACAUCUUACAGUAAAUCACAAUAUGGGACAUGUUUCGUUCACAAGGGACGAAGAACAUGUGGAGCCUGAAUUAAUUUAUUCGAGAGUAGUUUAUCAACUAGAAUGAAUACUGGAACAAGCAUCUAGAUAUCCCAUUGCCCCCAUGUUCUGUGCCGCAAUUAGAUAUGUCCCAGUUGUUCCCAACGCUGGAAUUUUGUACUAAACUAUUAUAGCUUUACAUCUAAUCUUCAUUAGUACAAGGAUAAAUUAAUGCAUGCGACAGCUACUUAAUGUACUAGUGAUUGUACCUGAUAGUGGAAGCAAGCACCAAAGUCAUGUGGUGUGACAAAGAAAUGGUCUGCGCCCUCUGAUCUAUUCCAGUAAGGCCAGUUCGUGGCAAUCAGCUCAAUUGCGCUGCGCAUCAUUCGAGGAGACUUGAAGGGCAAAGGAAGACCCGAAGGAGUCAGAUCACAUGUUGUGUAUACAGGCGUGUAGAACCAAUCUGCUUCCUCAGGAUUAAAAGUUCGAACAGCGCUUGACAACAGGAACCGAUGCAUAAAGAUCUCAGCGGCAAACAUGUGGUUCAGGCACCUGGGAUCCUUCUUCAGGAGUUUCUUGUUGUAUUUGCUGGGGAGAUCAUAGACAUAGACCUUGAGCCUCCCAACAGGGUUAUCUUCUAACACAUCACCAGCACUUCCUGCAUUUUUAUCGGACACAGCAUUAGGACUUGCACAGAAGUGGGGAAAAGAAUACACUUGGUUUUAGAACCAUGCUAGGAAUGACAGGAUCAUAUAGCACAUUGAUCCGAAGCAAACUAUGCUAGCUAAGCCAUCAAUAGGUCUAAAGUGAAUUUUGCGCCUUUGCAAAACUGAAUGAAGGAUGACAUUUGACUGCUCUGUGAGUACGAUCCUGUUUGUCUAAGCUUGAGGAACGAGCUGCCAUGAGAAACCACUGAAAGAGGUAAACUAAGCAUCAAACUGAAUUCUACAUUUUCCACAGCAGACAAAUACAAAGUGCAUCAGUCAAGCACAAAAUCUAAAGCCCUUUUAGUGAGUGGUAGUGGAUGUUCAAGAAAUGUAAUUUUUAACUGAAUAAGCCAGAACCAGAUCAAAUAACCAUGAACCUAAAGCCAAAGGAUACACCUGCAUCUGCAUUCAAUCUAUCUGUAACCUAUUACUCCAUUAGCAUAUCAGAUGGGGAUCAAACUUGGGAUUCAGAGACCUGAUAGAGUGAUAGAUAAAGCUGACAUACUUAUAAUUAGUAGCAGAUGUAUUACAGACAACCAGCUAGGUAAAACAAGCAGCUUGAGUUCGACAAACUGACAAGAAUGUGCCUAUCAAGAUCAGAAGCGAGACGGAAACGAGCACAAGAAAAGGAAUGGUCCCUCACCUGAGAUCCUCUCUGUCUGGUGGCCCUGCUGCACCGCCUGGGCCUCAGCUCCAAGGAAGAGCGCUGCAACAAGAAUGGCGAUGGCCAAGGCCCGCCGCCUCAUCUUCUUCUCGAUCCCUCCCCACAAGCCUCCUCCCAGCGAGCACCCGAUGUGUGUGUCUCUAGUCUCUACUCUCCUCUCCUUCUUCGGCGACCCUCUCCCUGUCCGCUCUUAUGAGCCAGCCAAUCCCCAGGGGUAAUUAAAGAAGAGAUCCCGGCCAAGGGGAAGCUUUUCCGCCAAUUUUUCUCCUACCAAGCAGCGUUUGGUGGGGAGCCGAGAAGGUGAGCGGUGGCUUUCCUAGGCUUCCUUCCUCCUUCCUCCAACACACACCAGCUUCAGGAAGAAAUAGAGGUCAUGUUCUCUCCUUACUUGGAAGGAAGAAAGGGAUGACUGAGAAAGGAGGGUAGGAAGGCUGUCCGCGGCUGAUUCUUCUUUCUUUUGCUACUCCCCUACUACUAUAUGCUAAUGCAUCUCCCGGCCCCUUUUCCUCCUGCUUUCCUAAUCUUUUUCCUCACACCAAUGAUGAGCUGUAAUCCUGCCCCCUCUAAUAACUAAUUAGAUUAGUGUAAUAAACUAAUGUAAUUGUGGUACAUGAAUGGAUGUUUGGUGAGGGGUUUACCUCGGCAUCAGAUGUCAGGUUUCUUUCUCUUUCCUUUCACCAAACUUGGACUGGACCUCUCACUUGUCUUAUACCUUAAUAAAACGUCAAACCUUGGUUUCUUCACUCCUUUUUAACUAGUUACCGAUAGAACCUCGCGUCUGUGUCAUGGUGUUUAGUAUUCUGCCCCUGAGUCCUGUUCUUUUUCUUCCUUUUCUCCCCCCACUGGCAAUCAUUUUUUUCCGUAUUAUAAAUUGUGCUGAUUGGGAUUGUUCCUUUGCACAUGGGGCACCCAUGAUCAUUCACUGUCAUGGGCUCAUGUCUCAUGAGGGUUUUUUUUGGACAAACAAUUCGAGCCAAGGAAUCUGGUUCAAUGCUUUCCUUCUGUUUAUUGAGGGAAAUUAAUUUUUUUAAAAAGAAAACAGAAAGCAUUGGUGCUUGUUGACGGCAUUGCGGAUUUGGGGGAAAAGAGAUUAGCAAGCUACUUACUGGUACUAUCUGGAGGGGCCAGGGGUUUGGUACACGUUUAUCAGUAGGGUUCAAUAAUUUCUAAGCAAGAUCCAAUCGGGACCCAACAUACCAGAAAUUGUACCACGCCUCGUGUUCUUCAACAGCAUACCUAUGCGAUCAAAGGAAAAUGCCCUCUUCUUGUUAGGGCACCCGCAAUGGAUGUCGUUAGGCUCUCUACAAGGUUCCACGUAGGAGAAAGAAGGUAGGAGAGAAGGUGCUCUCGCUUAAGCCAACGACGUUCUAUAACACACAAUUCAACACUCGUGGGCCCAACAAUGCUGUCAUCAUCCCUUUCCUCUCUCCCUGCCUCGAUCGCCAGGAUAUCGUCACCAUGGCAAUCGGCUGGUGAGUCAGGGUGGGCAGGUGCUACGACCGGUGAGAGGGAGGAUGGCACCUGGGGCAUCGCUCGGCCACCGCCUACUGUCCGAGCCAGCCUGCCGGCGUCAGCGCUAUAGGUCACCACUUCACUGACUGGGGCGGAGCUCGGCAUCCCGGCCAACCGGGGAGAACGUGCAGCGAGGAGAGGGUUUCCAAUGCCGGCGAGGUGGCCGAGGCACGGAACCGGGCUGCCGGAGCAUGGCCGAUGCCGCGGGCAGCCUCCGUCGGGGGCGGCGCGCGACUCCCCCUCCCUCCAAUCCAGCACCGGCUCUGCAGCGCACGGGGCUGGCUUGCUAGCGGCGUGCUCCGGAGCUCAAGUUCGCGCGUCGAGCCGCACGCCUUUCAUGCCACGGCCGCGGCGAGGGGCAUGAAGGGCGGGCUGCGGCUACCGCUGUGGGGCGACACCGGCAGGGGGAGAGAGGAGAGGGCGGGCCGCGGCCGCUGGCGUGGGGCAAGGCGGCACAAGGCUGGAGCGGGGAGAAUGGGAGGCGGUAGCCCGUGCUGCAGAGCGCGCUGGCGGCGGGGUGACGGGAGGUAGCGGCCUGUGAAGCAGAGGGAGUUGGCCCGCUGGCUUGGGGAAUGGGCGGUCGGAGGUGCGUGCGUGUGCUGGCUACCGGCGUGGUGGGGAAGAUGGAGAAGAGGGGAAGAGAGAGAGGAAGAGGAGGAGAGGACAAGGAUGAUUAAAAAUAUCGUGACACUUGGGUCCUAGUACAGUUAGAAAUAAAUGUUAUAGUGUGUCCGUUGACAUGUCAACGGUCUCACAGGUCGUCUCAUGCAAUACCACGUAGGAUUUUUGAUAAUGUGGAGGAGAGAGCGAGGAGAGAGAAAGAGGUCGUUGUUUCGUGAAAUAACUGUCUCAUAAGCUAAAUUGUAGGACUACGAGAUAACUCAACAACCAUUGUACGAGUUAUUGUUGCUAUGCAACUUAUAAUAUUUAUUUUUUCAUAUGCACAAAUUAAAGAAUUAUAUAGUUCUACCAGACAACUUAUAAAACAACCCAUUGUACGGGUUGCCUGUUGAGUCGUCUCAAAAUUACGUAUCAAUGCAUAAGAUCGACUAUUAGACAACACCAAUGUACUCGUCCUUAUAAGGAGACUCUAGUAGAGAGCUGACAAGUUAUACCUAUACCUAAUCUAAUAUGGACAAGUUAUAGAGAGCAGACUCUCCGUAACUCUUGCGGGUGCCCUUAACUGCUCCGAAUUGUCCCAAAGAAAAAAAGAUAAAGCUGGGCGCGCAGUGCCGGGGAUCGUUUCGCUCGUUGGCAGCGUUUCUUGGAUUUGCGAUCCUCCCGUUCGAGCAGAAUCGCGGUUUUGUCUGCAUGAUGAGGAAAUCGGGUUCUGUCAUGGUGACAGGAUCGAAGAGCCCAUGGUAGGGUAGGAGCACGACGCGAUCGAAAUGGACGUGUGCAUGUGCUCCUCCGAUCUCCACAUGCUCCGAUGAUCUAGCUUUGACUUUCCGGCGAACAUUGGUAGGGUAGGUCGCUGCGGCAGACAACGACAUGCCCUGCACUACGCGGCUAGCGUCGGUGGCGUAUGAACAGGCCGUCGUUGCCUCGUUGGCUCCUCCCCAACCCUCUUCUCGGAACACGGGAUUGCACGCAUCAAUUUUUGAGCCUGUUCCUCCAAAAUCUCAACUUUAGCACUAUGCAAAAAGAAGAUUCUUCAUUACAUCAAACUUGCGGUACAUGCAUGGAGUACUGAAUGUAGAUGAAAUAAAAAACUAAUUGCACAGUUUGAUUGUACUUUACGAGACGAAUCUUUUAAGCCUAAUUAGUCAAUAUUUGGACAAUAAUUUACAAAUACAAACGAAAUACUACAGUAUGCUACAGAACUGGCGCGGUGAUAAGACCUGAGGCAUCGGUCAACUGCGACCCGCGUCAGUUGAGGAUGGCGACAAAGUUCAUCCGCCGCCGGUAAGUCAACUCCACGGCGCCAGGGGGGUGUCGCCGUGUCGGAAUGUGAUGUUCAGAACCUGAAAACAAAGGGAUCUGCGCAGACCGUGAGAUUUUUUGCUCGCGCAGAGGGAGACCGGCCGCGGUCGGGCAGAGCGCCGCCAACCCAACGCCCGGCCGCGCCGUACCAAACGCGGCGGCGGCGGCGCGUCGGUACGGGCGGCGGUGGGAACUGGCGGACGCGUCUUGCGAUCCGGGGUGAUCUAGCACGCACGGUGACCACGUGAUGGCCAGCGCGGCGGUCUGGCGGACGCGGACUCGCUCGGGACGCGUCGGUCCGGCCGGAGCGGAGACCCCACCUAAAAGCACCGACGCGGCGCGGCCGUUGUUAAUUAUAGGAUUGCGCCGCCGGCGAUGGAUAGUUAAGCUAAUCCUCGGGACUCGGAUUGGCCGGCAGCCCUUGACUUGGUCGACGGGGAGGAACGGACAAGGGAGGAAGACGAGUACCAGUAGAUGUUCCGUUCCGUUCCGAGCUACUGCCAGCAACGACUCGUUUUCGUCGUGCUUGCGUGUUCCCGUGCCUCUGACUCGGAUGGAUGCAGGAGCAUACUGCCCGUGUCGUUUCCGCUGCCUGUUUCGUUUUGGCUAUCGCAAGGUUUUUCUAGCAUUUGACGCGCCAUUUUCAGUUGGUGAAACAAUGCAUCAGUGUACAGCUGCGAAGUAUGAGAGAGAGAGAGAGAGAGAGAGAGAGAGAGAGAGAGAGAGAGAGAGAGAGAGAGAGAGAGAGAGAGAGAAGAGAGGACCGAAACGAUCGCUGGAUGUAUCAAUCCUCUUGGGCCUGUGUGGCGUACGGUCCAGUAAUCCUGGCCUGUUACUCAAAUGGGCCUUAAUCUACAUCGGUGUCGAGAUGGGCUUGGCGACGUUGUCUCCAUUUCCCCGGCCCCGGGCCAUGCCGUCACGUCGACUCGAAGUUGUCAACAAAAGGCAGCGGGGCCUCACGCCCAAGAUAUUUGUUAUUCAUCGCGCGGCUCAUUACUGCAAUUGCCCAUCCGAUUGUUGACGGCAGUUCGCGGUUGGAGGAAAUGAACGAUUGGGACCUGACCCCAAUCGUCUUGACGGCGGCCGCGACCUGACCCCAAUCGUCUUGGCGAAAUGGCAAAGCACAUGGCCCGGACUUCCUCGGGUCCGCGCGCGCAGCUCGUGAUCACGCACCUUGUGAUUGGUCGAGCUGGAAACCCGGAGCGACGGUACGGCGACGUGUCCUGUGAUCCUGUCCUGCGCACGCAGGAGCAGGACCCCCCGCCGGGCCGGCGAGCUCCGAGGCACGGCACGGCACGGCCAUCAAUGAUCGACGGGCGGACGGAUGGUCCCUGCGAGACGUGCUGCCACCGCCAGUGAGCGGGCGACACGACACCGCGCGCGCCGCAGCGGUGUGCUCCUCCUCCCCCCUCCGGGUCCCCGUCCCGGGGGGGAAGAGGGGAACAACACGACAGCCAUGUCGCCAUCCAAUGUCUCGGGCGCCAGGAAAAACGCGCGCAAGAGAACAAAGCCGCGGCUCCAGCCUCCAGCCCUCCCUUCCUCCCUCCCUCCCAGGUGAGCGAGUCGAGUCGUCGGUCGCUCCAGCCCCAUCGUCCUCGUCCACACAAGCUGCUGCUAGCAGCCCGCUUCAUUAGCUUCCCCGUCCGCCCUCGAGUACUCGUAUGCGGCGGCGCCACGCCACUGGCUCUCGCUGCUGCUAGAUCGAGGAGGAGGGAGGAGGGAGGAGGGAGGAGAUCGACAUGGCGAGCGCGGGAGGUGGGGCUGCGGGGGAAGGGGAGUGGCUCAAGGUCGCCGAGCUCAGGGCCGUGGUCCAGGCGCAGGACCCCCGCGCCAAGGUCAGUGACGACGACCUCCUCAAUCUCUGAUUCCUAACGAUAAUAGGUCGAGGCACCGCAUGGGUCGCCAAGGAUUGCAAGCAGCUCGUAGCACCAGUCGGCAACCCCGGCCUCUCGUCUGCCCGAUUCGUGCUCGCCAGUAUCUACUCCGUAGUUCCUUAGCCUGCUGCUUGCUCCGUCCUGUCUGGAUGCAUAAUUUGCUGGCAUAAUUUACUCCCAGAGAAUCAUCACUUGCCAAGCUGCCCAUGGUUGUCUACCGGCACUCCAGCUGGGGGUUGGGAGACACAUGGACUGCCCCUUCUCUCUUCUGCGCACCGUUUAGGAACUAUGCUGUAUGCUUAAACCGUUUUGAUCCUGCGUAAACAAACGUCAAAAGUGGCGUAAUCUUACCACGAUUUUUAUAUGGUUUCUGUCGACAUCAACGUGAUGAAACUGCAAAGUUUGACGGCCAGGCGUGUGUGUCUUGGUGACCGCAUCCAUAUGGCAAGUAAAGAAAGACCAGAGAUCAUUUUCUCAGCGUCUCCUGGUAGAUCUCCUUUUUGCAACUGCAGCAGUUCCGGCAGCCACAUCUUUUGAAGCCAGUGGUAAUGAAUUCAUUCACUGAAGCGAAUCUGCUGCAUCUGAAUGUAUCCACCAGGAGGUGGACAACCUGACGCUGCGGAGGUUCCUGCGCGCGCGCGACCACAGCGUGGACAAGGCCGCCGCCAUGUUCAUCAAGUUCCUCAAGUGGCGUAGGGAGGCGGUGCCCGACGGCUUCGUGCCGGAGGAGCGGGUGCGGAGGGAGCUCGCGCAGGAUAAGGCCUGGAUGGGCGGCGUCGACAGGGCCGGCCGCCCCAUCCUCGUCGGCUUCCUGGCAAGGCACUACUCCGCCGAACGCGACAUGGCAGAGUACAAGAGUAUGCGAUCUCAUCUGGAGUUGGCUUGGAAAUGCAGCGCAUUCGAUUCGAUUGAAACCAUUGACUGUAGAGUCACGCUUGUUGUUGUUCUUCUUCUCCGCCUGCAGGUUUUGUUGUCUACUUCUUCGACAAGAUCUGUGCCAGGUAAUGACUUGUGCUCAGCUGAUUGUGUAAACACACUCCAUCUCUGCCCGGCAAUGGAAAUUUACACGCACUUCAUCAGCUGAUUGCCAGCAGAUGUUGUAUAACAUGCUCACACUGUAUGUCUUGCACUAGAUUAUCUUAACCUGUGGAGCAAAUUAAUGAACACGCAGGAUCCCCAGAGGUCAGGAGAAGUUCCUGGCCAUCAUCGAUCUUAAGGGCUGGGGGUACGCGAACUGCGACGUCAGGGCGUACAUUGCUUCCAUAGAGAUUAUGCAGGUCCGUUGUUUCUUCUGCCUACGCUCAAUCGGACGUCCACUCAAAACCUGUCCUGCACGAUCAGAUAAUCGACAUGAUACAAGCAACUGCGCAAUGACCACAUAGAUUCUCCUGGAUCAUGCAGAACUACUACCCGGAGCGGCUCGGCAAGGCGCUGAUGAUCAAUGUGCCCUACAUCUUCAUGAAGGUGUGGAAGACGAUGAUCUACCCGUUCAUCGACACCAACACCAGGGACAAGGUGAGCCGGCCUUCCCCGAUUCAGCCAUCGAUAUGACGGCACUAGCUGCUUCUAUGAAGAGGAGGAAACUGUAACUCAUUUGCGCCGCGAUGUGGUUGCAGUUCGUUUUCGUGGAGGACAAGGACCAGCACGAGACGCUGCGCAAGGAGAUCGACGAGAGCCAGCUCCCGGAGUUCCUUGGCGGGAAGAUGCCUCUGGUCUCCCUCAAGGACUAUGUCCAGCAGCCUGAAUCCGUUUAGGCGCACACGUCGGUAAUAAUCUCCAUUAGCGGUUUGGUGCGCAAAGGAUGAACCUCUCUCUGGGUACAGAAGGGAGGAAGAUGGCCUCUAACUACUAGCCCUGCAACUGCAAUGCAACAAUGGCGUACCUGUAAAGUGCGGCUCUGACUGCUAGCGUUGUGUACAGCUGCUCCAAUCAGCGUUGACCGAGGUCAGUGAUCAGCAUAACUGCAGCUGACAUUGUCUGUACCCUAUGGCUGGGCGCCUGGGCUAUAAGAAAAUGAAAUGAAACUAUCAGGGGUGUUUGGGAGGAGGGGACUAAAUUUUAGCUCCCGUCAUAUCGAAUGUUUGGACACUAAUUAGGAGUAUUAAAUCUAAACUAAUUACAAAACUAAUUACACAACAUCUAGGCUAAAUUGCGAGAUGAAUCUAUUAAGCCUAAUUAGUCCAUGAUUUGACAAUGUGGUGCUACAAUAACCAUUCGCUAAUGAUGGAUUAAUUAGGCUUAAUAGAUUCGUUUCGUGAUUUAGCCUAGGGGUUCUGCAAUUAGUUUUGUAAUAAGCUUAUGUUUAGUCCUCCUAAUUAGUAUCCGAACAUCCGAUGUGACAGGGCUAAUUCGCGAGACGAAUCUAUUAAGCCUAAUUAAUCUAUCAUUAACACAUGUUACUGUAGCAUCACAUUGUCAAAUCAUGAACUAAUUAGAUUUAAUAGAUUCAUCUUGUGAAUUAGACUCCAUCUGUACAAUUGGUUUUGUAAUUCUAAUUAGUAUCUAAAUAUUAGAUGUGAUAGGAAAUUUUAGGAGGUCGUAGAAAACCAAACACCCCAUUAAGGCAAAACCACUCAUCGCUGAACUGCUGGCUGCGUUUUCUGUUCUUCUUCAGUCCGGAAGAAUAGGCAGCUGGCAGGCACGGACACGGACUCGUUUGAGAUGCUAAAUUCGGCAGAAUCAACCACUAUCUAUAAUAAAAAUAUAGAGCUCACAAUACUAUGCAAUACUCUAAUAUAAAAACACAGUUAAGAUUAAUUAUAUACUACUGAAAACUUCAUCUUUUGUACGAGUAGUAUACAUCAUGAGUAGUAUAAGUAGCAUAAUGUUAUCAUGGUAAAAAAAAACACAAAUAGCAUCACUAUAAUCUUUUUUGACACUAGCAUAAAGUCUAAAGGAACAUUCUAUUUGAAAUAUCAUAUUUUACAAUAUAAUAAUUACUAAAUUGUUCAUAAUAAUGAACAGUUAGAUCUUAUAUAUACUAUAUACCACUAAAUAGUAGUAUUGUGUAUCGUAAAAAAGCUCAAAAUAUAUCAUUAUCUAAAUAUAGUAUAAUAGAUGGCAUGCAAACGGGACCACAUAUAUUUAAAAAAAAUCACAUUCAAUAUGACCUCGGAUAGGGACAAAAGAUUAUUAAAAAUUACAAUGCUCGAUGACAUCUACAAACUCUGCAACCCAUCCUUUUGUUGAAAUAAUCAAUAUAGUAUUUAAGUAGACAAAUAUAGAUCUGAACUUGUAUGGACUAUUUGGCGAUUGGCACCAAGAUGGCUUUAAACAAAAACUCAGUAGACUAAACUUGUAGAUGUCGUUGUGCUCUAUAAUUUCGGUAUAAAUUUUUAUCUCUAUCAAGCUCAUAUAAAAAAGUACUAAAAGUUUUUUUAAGAGGUGCUAUAGAAUGUAAUAAUUUAACUUUUUUUUACCUUCAUGUCAAAAAAAUGCAGCUGCACUUGCUUCUUUUUCUUUAUGUAGGGCAUAUUGUAUUUGAAAAGGUCAAAUUUAGGGGAUGUUUGGAUAGAGGUGCUAAACUUUAGCAGGUCACAUCGGACGUUCGGAUGUUAAUUAGAAGGACUAAACAUGAGCUAAUUAUAAAACUAAUUGCAUAGAUGGAAUUUAAUUCGCGAGACGAAUCUAUUAAGGCUAAUUAAUCCAUCAUUAGCAAAUCAUGGACUAAUUAGGUUUAAUAGAUUCGUCUCGCGAAUUAGACUCCAUCGGUGCAAUUAGUUUUGUAAUUAGACUAUGUUUAAUACUCCUAAUUAGUAUCUAAACAUUCAAUUUGACCGCUGCUAAAGUUUAGCAUGGUGUUCCAAACACCCCCUAAGUAAGUUUGAUCAACAAUUAGCUAAAUUCUAUGCAUAUGCAUGUAUAGUGUCCAAUAGUUGCACUAACAAAGUUUAGUUUAUUUCGCAUCAUAUACUAUUUAAUAUGAUAUUUUGUAUUAAAAGCAGAUGUUGUACUAUGAAACUAGUUAAUGGUCAAAGUUUGACCUUUUAAAACGCUAUAACGUCUCAGGGUGUUUGGAUACUAUGUGCUAAACUUUAGCAGUGUCACAUCGAAUAUUCGGAUGCUAAUUAGGAGGACUAAAUAUAGGCUAAUUAUAAAACUAAUUGCAGACCCUGUGCUAAUUCGCGAGAUGAAUCUAUUAAGCCUAAUUAAUCCAUCCUUAGCAAAUGGUUACUGUAGCACCACAUUAUCAAAUCAUGGACUAAUUAGGCUUAAUAGAUUCGUCUCGUGAAUUAGACUUCAUCUGUGCAAUUAGUCUAUAUUUAAUAUUUCUAAUUAAUAUCAAACAUCUGACAUGAUAGGUGCUAAACUUUAGCGGGUAUCCGAACGGGGCCUUAUGCUAGUACCAUACAACAGAGCGGCAUCCGGGCCGGAUAUAUUCCCUCCCCGCCCCCCGUCGUCGCGGAGCAGGACUCAACAGAGCGGUCACGUCACAUCAUCGUCGUCGACUUCGCCGAGCCGAGCUCGCUCGCAGGGAGAAAAGUCGAAGAGAACGCCGCGGGAGAAAACAAGUCCAGCGCACGCCAUGCGACCCGCGCUUGCUCGCUUAUUAUAGCAAGCAAGUAGCAAGGGCCAAGGGAGCAGCCAGAGUCCACAGGCAGGCUCCCUCGAUCCGCCGUCGUCUUCACCGCUUGAGCACCCCACUUUCUGCCCAACCUCCUGCUCCUCCUCAUCUCGAGAUCACCACCGCUACUGGGUCGAGGAGGAGGGGAGAUGGCGAGCGCCGCUGGAGGUGGGCCGGCGGGUGAAGGGGAGUGGCUCAAGGUCGCCGAGCUCAGGGCCAUGGUCCAGGCGCAGGACCCCCACGCCAAGGUCAGUGAGAGCUCAUCGAUCCAACCCAUGAUUAACUUGCUCCAUCUCUUGUUAUCGGUCAAUCGUAGUAUCGUCUGUUGCAGUCGCCAUAAGACAGACGUCCUCCUAGCUAUCUAGCGUCGGCUCUCCGGCCGGUUGCUCUUGAUCCAUCGCGCUACGCGAUUCCACCUGCUGCCUCAGGGUGUUUGGAUAAUUAGUUAAAGUUUAAUCCAUGUCAUAUUGAAUUUUUGGAAGCUAAUUAGGAGAACUAAACAUGAGUUAAUUAUAAAACUAGGCUAAUUCGCGAGACGAAUCUAUUAAACCUAAUUAGUUCAUGAUUUGACAAUGUGAUUUGACAAUGUAAUUAAUCAAUUAUCAAAUCAUGGACUAAUUAGGUUUAAUAGAUUCGUCUCACGAAUUUACUUCCAUCUGAAUUAAUAUCUAAAUAUUCGAUGUGACAAUUACUAAACUUUACGACCAAACAGCACCAAAUUUUUUGUUCUUGCGUGCGCAGGUGCGCUCCUGUGUCGUCUCUCUCUAUCACCUCGUAGUUCAUCGGCACUCGUUCUUUUCUUAUCCUGUACAGCUGUACUACGUGCAGCUCUGCUGCUGGUCGUCUUCCCGGGCUUCGGGAGACUCCGGCCGGCUCUUUCUGGCGGAACACUGUUCUAGGACGAUGCAAUUUGCUAUUUCCUUUUAUCUUAACACUUUUGCCAUUGCGCAGUUUAUUGUAUUGGAAUUGGAUUCCUCCUAGCACAAUAAAUAUAACACGAGUCCCCGAUGCUCGUCUAUUUCAUCUUAAAAGGCGCUAGAGAGUAGAAUAUUAUGAAUCGACAUCAAAAGUACCAAUCUAUCGUUAUGCUUCCUGUCGUUAAAAUAAAAGUUCAAAAUGAAAAACUCUAAGAUUGUGCGCAUACUGAAAAUGGAAGAUAAUGGAACAUUCAUUUUAUAUUAUCUCGUGCUAGGUUUAAUUGCCUUUACAACUGUUGACAGUAGCAGCACCAUAUCUUUGGUAGUUGCUCGAUGAGAUCAAGCCAUGGAUAAUUUAAGCCAUCUCGCACGAAGGAUUCAUCAGCAUAUGAGUUGUCAGUUGUCACCUUAUCAUUAGGUGUGCUCAACCAAUUCACAUUGGGGAAUGGGAGCCUACUGUAUACUUUUCUAAGCAGAAAUCAAUGCAUUUUUGCAAUAGUAAAAUGUACAAUGAUAGAAUAACCUCAAAGUCAAAUACAUCACUUUCAAAAAAAGAAAAAAGAAAAAACAUUAGAGACACAGGCAUGCCGGCCAUUCUACCCGUCAUUCUCUCUAGCCUCAACGCUCCAGCUGAUCCGAUCUAUCGACAUCCAUCCGUGCUUGUUCAAGGACCUAAAAUUAAUCACAGUUUACUAGCACUAAACAUCAACAUCUCACUAGUUACUGGUACAUUUCUUUUCGAAAGACCUUUCACUGACUGCGCUAUCAGAAACUAACUGUAAGUUCAUCUGCCAUCGUCGUCGUCAUACGCACGCACGCAAGCAGGAGGUGGACAACCUGACGCUGCGGAGGUUCCUUCGCGCGCGCGACCACAACGUCGACAAGGCCUCGGCCAUGUUCCUCAAGUUCCUCCAGUGGCGGAGGGAGGCGGCGCCCGGCGGCUUCGUGCCGGAGGAGCAGGUGCGGAGGGAGCUCUCGCAGGACAAGAUCUGCAUGGGCGGCGUCGACAGGACCGGCCGACCCAUCCUCGUCGGCUUACCGGCCAGGCACUACUCCGCCAGCCGCGACAUGCCAGAGUUCAAGAGUAUGCAUCUAAUGACGACCAUGCUAAUCCUUGACCCCCACGAGAUGAUGAGUUUCUGAGUUGCAGUUCUUCUUCUGCAGGUUUUGUUGUCUACUUCUUCGACAAGAUCUGUGCCAGGUAACCAUCGAUCAAGCACAUCAGUUCCUGAACUUCUGAUUGUGCCAUGCCUUGCAAAAGACUGUCCUGUAAUUCACGAAGCAAUAUGCAAAAUGCAGAAUCCCCAGAGGCCAGGAGAAAUUCCUCUGCAUCGUUGAUCUUAAGGGCUGGGGGUACUCGAACUGCGACAUCCGGGCCUAUAUCGCAGCCAUAGAGAUCAUGCAGGUCUGUCAUUUCUGCCUUCACUCAGUUAAGCUACUUUCCUUGCACGCAAUUGAGCAGCAGGAGCAAUUGGCUGAUGAUUCUCCUGAUUCUCUGCAUCAGAACUACUACCCGGAGCGGCUCGGCAAGGCGCUGCUGAUCCACGUGCCCUACAUGUUCAUGAAGGCCUGGAAGAUGAUCUACCCGUUCAUCGACAACAACACCAGGGACAAGGUAACCCAUCUCCCAAAAAUCCCACCAACCGCUGCAUUGGGAAACUGCUAGCGCAGGUCGAUCAUUUCCUCCUCCUCUUCUCCUGACUGUGUUUUGUGCAAUGCGUUUGCAGUUUGUUUUCGUGGACGACAAGAGCCUGCAGGAGACACUGCGCCGUGAGAUCGACGAGAACCAGCUCCCAGAGUUCCUUGGCGGCAAGAUGCCCCUGAUCCCCCUCAAGGACUAUGUCCAGCAUCCUCAGGCCGUUUAACCACAUUGUGAGUCAUAUUUAGAGGCUAGGAGCACAGUACGAUCCGUGAUUACAACAAAGAUGCAUCUAUUGGUCCCGAAAUAGUGGCGUAACAUCUUCGCAGGAAAAAAGAAGAAGAAAAAAUAAAUGGUGUAAGUGUACCUGUAAAAUGCAGCUUUGUCCGCUUGCAGCGGGCGGGGUCAAUUGACCAGCGACUGCAAACCAAAUCCCUGAAUAUGUUAUGUGCACGUGCAUAUGAAAACUAUGAACAGGAAGGCACCCUGAAGACAAACACGAUCAUUCCUUCUCGCAUCAGUUCUCCUUUUGACUCAGGUGGUCACAAGUGUUUCCUCUGUGGAACUAAUAACACCAUUCUAAUAAGACUUUUAAAGAGAUUGAGCGUGCUAGCCGUCCUAGCUCAGUGGUAGAGCGUGUGGCUUUUAACCACGUGGUCGUGGGUUCGAUCCCCACGGACGGCGGUCGAUUUUUUAUUUGCCUCUGCCCGCUGUAAUCCCCCCCCCCCCCCCCCCCCCCCUUCUGCCCGCUGUAAUUUUCAGUAUCCUUUUUCAAGCGAAUUUACCUUUGUAUACUGAACGAAGUCACGUUUUUUCCCCCCUGUAAAGCGUGUGUUGGCUACCUGCACGUCCCGGCAAAAAGGAGGCAUACAGAUUUGAUUGCGAAUAUGGAGCCAAACAAAUAACAAUGGUAACAAAAAAAAUUUACUUGAAUAAAAGUAAAUGAUAAGGACCUCAGCAUAAUAACAUACAUACGACUUAAAACAAAAAUAUAUCUAUUCUGCACGAAAUAAAUUAUCGCCAAUGACAAUACCUUUCUUGCAAAUUGAGGAUAUGUGUGAACAUCUUCUCCUCUUGAGUUUAUGUUUCCAUAGUGAUGGCACGAAAGCAACGACCCAUUCCUCUAGCCCAACUUAUUACAACUAUCGUGAAUAAAUGGUUCUUAAUCUUAUAGAAAAAAAAGGCUCCAAUACUUGCAAACACGCAAGACAUGAUAAUAGUGUGGUGAGGGUACACAGUAGAUAUUUUUUUAGAGCUAGAUAUGCUGCCAGCUUUUGUGUGUAACAUUGCCAAGUAUGUUUGGUUUAUAUCUAAUAUUGUCAUAACUAGCAUUUGGUAAAUAUGGUGUAGAUAGGCUAAAAGCAAGAGCUUAUGACAUGCGCCAUCGCGAAUAAAAAAAGAUUAACAAGAGACAUGUUGUGCCAACUGCAAAAGAAAAAAAAAACUACAUCUUAAUUGAAUUUUACAUCUAGGUAAUGUAAGGCAUCCAACCUAACAACUCAUACUAAAUGUCAAGCCAAAAGAUUGUAUAACAGAAAUCCAGAUAAUUUUUCUUUUAAAGAAGGAGACAUAUGCCCCACCCCACCCACAAGUUGUAGGAUAAAAGAAAAGCUAUGGCCGCACCAGCAAUUAUAACAUUUCAUAUUCCAGUUGCGCCCUUGCUGGUGAAACCCUAACUCCACGUGCUUAAAAGUUCACAAACUAGCCCCAUAUAUUAGACUCGAUUUGAAAAUACCCUUCAUAAAACGAUUUGUUACAUUGAAACUUGAGCGCAAGAACCAUCAUAUCAUGCACACAUUUGAUAAGUUGUCGAAUAAGAGUAACUGUUGUAGGUUGGUAUAUGGUGGGGCUAGGGGUAGGUGGGAAACUUACAAACUUAAAUUUAAAUGUGUUUUCAUUGAUGAAGGUUACUAGUCAAAGUUUAACAUGAAAGAUCGUGCACACGCUUGACAAGUUGCAGAAUAAGAAUAACAGUUGUAGGUUGGUAUAAAGUGGGACUAGGGGUAGGUGGGAAACUUACGAUCUUAAUUCUGUUGUCGUUGAUGAAGAUUCCUAAUCAAAGCUCAGCAUGGGAGACCGAGCCCUCUUCACACGUCAUAUUGCACUCCAGGUUGGUAUUUUUAUCAUCUGACCUGUCUUCUGGCUACACGCCGACAAAAGAUUUUAAAGUUUGAAAGAGCACAACAGUUGUAUUGCUCGGAAAAUGAUGAAACAUAGUGAUAGCGCGUCAAAUCGUACUAUGUGACCUGAUAUGGAUGUACACCCUGUCUACCUGUCACACCCAAACAGCCAUUUCAAAAUUCAAAAUUUGAAAGCACACAACACCUGCAUUGUCUGGGAAUUGAUGAAGCAUGCAAAUGGAAACUCCAAUCCCCCAGCUAGCUUCCCCUCUUUUUAGCCCCUCCCCUGCGUACGGUACGAAAGGUAUGGAAGGAAAUCACCGCGUUGGGCUGUUGCCCGUUGGUGAUCCUUUCAUGCGCGCGACUGGCGCAGCGAUUUGACGCAUCGGGUUCAAAGACGCGUCACCCCAAUCGGACGGUGACGCGGGUGCCUGCAAUUCGAACGGCCAAUCCUCAGCCGCCCAAUGUGCGCCUCGCCUAAAAUUCAAACUCGCCCGGGCAAACGCCGCCCAACCCAGCAGGCCAGCACGCCGUGGGACGGUGGCAGUGCCGGUAAAUAAACAACAAAAUCCGGGGGCAUUAUUGUCAUCUCUCCCUUGCAGCAAAAAGGAGGCGAGGGCCGAGGAGGCGCAGCCGUGCUCCUAUUUUGCUGUGUUCUGGACGCUUCGCUCUCCUCCCCCUUCCCUUCGCCUUCCGCCAUUCCCGCUAUCGCGGAGCGCAAGGGGAGGAGUAGCUGCAUCGUCUUCUCCGGCUGCACCGGAAGGGUGAGCUCCUCCUCUCUCUUGCCUUCUUUGAUGCCGCGAUCUGGGCGGCGGCGGUGUGAAUUCGGUCGGCUUCAUCGCUUCAGUCAGGAAAUGGGGUUUUCUGUUCCUCUGUUUUUUGUAACUUUUUUCUCGGGUUUUUGUUGGGGUUUCCAUUCGGUGAAGUUGGUGGCGUCCGGUGGAUGGCGAAGAUGGAUUCGGUGGCUGUGAUGGAGGUGGCGCCGGUGCCGGACCCGCCUUUCAUCGACGCCACUCCCCUGCAGGCGCCGCCGCCGCCCGCGCCGCUGGCGGCGCUUGUGCUGCGCCGCAGCGCUCGUUGCCUUAACAGACCAACCCGGCCCAGCUACGCGGAGCAGGAGCCGCCCAAGCAGCCCAGCGGCCGCGGCCGUGGCAAGAGGAAGAGGGACGAGGAGAAGCAGGAGCCGGCAGCGGAGCAGGGUGCUAAGAGCCCGGGCAGGAAGGCCUCCAAGGCGGAGGCAGGGGAGAGGAAGCCGAUGCCGGUGAUUGCGGCGGUGCCAGUUUCUUGCGCUGGUGUUGCUCCAGCUGCUGUAGAAGAUGAUAGGAUGGGGACUGGGAAGAGCGCCAAGCUGAGGGUGAAGGAGACAUUGAGGGCGUUCAACAGCCACUACCUACAUUUUGUGCAGGUAGCCUUGUGUGUCUGAAUGCACGGAUUUUUGUUAAGUUUAUAGCGUGUUUUCAACUGACGUUUUAUGUAUGUUGCUGUGUAGGAGGAGCAGAAAAGAGCGCAGGCUGCGCUACAAGAAAUUGAGGCAAAGGGUAGCCUAAAACGUCAGGCAAAGGGUGGCAAAAAGGUAUGAAUCUUCGUGAUCUUGAAUUCCUCGUAGCACAUGUUCUUGUAUCCCUUUAGUUGCCUGUAUAUUUGUUCGAUUGUGCUAAGAUUGUGAUAAAUAUCGGGUAAAUGUAUAUGCUCAUUUGCCCUAUAAAUGCAGAAGGGCGGUAAACAGGAGGUUGAAGGUGAGGAGAAAGAGAAACGCCCAUCAAAACGGCCUGACCUGAAGGCAAUCACGAAGGUACUAUAUAAUCUUUGCCAUUCUUCUCAGUGCUAUUUUACCAAAGUGUAUCACUGUCUGAGUUUGCUCUACUUUCUGGCCUUCUUGUUAUUGUAUCCUAGAUGCAAGAAACCAAUGCCGUGCUUUAUCCGGAGAAGAGGAUAGGACAUCUACCAGGUUAGUCUGUUUUUCCUCUAAGGAACGAAUAGUCGUAUUCUAAAGUUUAAGCUGCAUGAGCUCACUGGAGUUUUUUCUUUUUACAUAUUUGCAUUUUACUUUAUGGAUGUGCAAUGUGAUAUUUUUUUUCUUUUCCUCCUCAGGGAUCGAUGUUGGAGAUCAAUUUUAUUCUCGUGCAGAAAUGGUUGUGUUAGGCGUCCACAGCCAUUGGCUUAAUGGGAUUGAUUACAUGGGAAUGAAAUACCAAGGAAAGGUACUCAACAAGCAUUUCUGUAAAAACUUAAUUCUGUUUUUAAAAUUGAAGUGCAGGUUUUGAACUUGGAAUUUCUUUCUUUCUGAUCUUUCCUGCAAUUUCUCUAUUCAAAACAUGCCAGAACACAUCUCUUACUGUAACUGAGUUGUUCAUUUGACGUUGGAACUACAGUUUGGUCCAACAUGCUUAUGCCGCUACCAUUAGUUAUUUAGUCCUAGUGCUUCCCUUAUAUAAUUCCCAAGUAUCUAAUUCUUUGUUGCUGCAUCUAGUAGCUAUUUCUCUGUAUUUUUUAGUAGUUGAGCAAGUUACCUGUUAUGCCAUUUCCAGCUUCCGAAUCAGAGCAGAAGCUGACAUUGAAGGAAUCAUCAUGUAUCUUAACUAAUACUUUUGAAUUUAAUUACGCAGAAGGAGUAUGAGAACUUAAUUUUCCCACUGGCCACCUGUAUUGUAAUGUCUGGGAUAUAUGAAGAUGAUCUAGACAAAGCUGAUGAAAUUAUUUAUACGGGUCAAGGAGGAAAUGAUUUACUUGGAAACCAUCGCCAAAUUGGCUCUCAACAGUUGAAACGUGGAAAUUUGGCGCUGAAGGUUUGUUUUGGUGGUUUUUCUAUACAUAUUUUUUUUAACUUUGAAGAAUGCUGAGUAUUUUUGUUUUGCUAUUUAUAAUGUGUUAGUGUGACAUCCCAGCCUGAUUUCAAUUGGGCCUAUGGUGGCUCAUGUGCAUAUAUGUAUAUGUAUUAUACGUUCGGUUAGUCUCAUCAUGCUAGUAUAGGGUGAGAAACACCAAAAUAUAAGCUUGGCCUUGUUUGUUUCCUCCACAACUUAUAUAAGCUAGCUUAUGAGUCCUGGGUAUGAUUUCAAUUGGGCCUAUGGUGGCUCAUGUGCAUAUAUGUAUGAUACGUUCGGUUAGUUUCACCAUGCUAGUAUAGGGUGAGAAACACCAAAAUAUAAGCUUGGCCUUGUUUGUUUCCUCCACAACUUAUAUAAGCUAGCUUAUGAGUCCCGGGUAGUAUGGUAAAAUAUCACCAAAGAUUCCAAAGUAAGCUGGAAUAAGCUGCCCAAGGGAUGUUUAUUUCAGCUUAUUUUGGAAUCUUGGGUAGCUUAUUUUGGAAUCUUGGGUAGCUUAUUUUGGAAUCUUUUGUAGUAUUUUACCAUACUACCCAUGACUUAUAAGCUAGCUUAGAGCAACUCCAGCAGACCUUCUAAACAGCCUUCAAUCCCAAAUUUAGAGGGCCAAGCAAAAAAAGAGCACUCCAGUAGGCCCUCUAUUAUACCCUCCAUUUUAGGGAGGCCUCCAAAAUUUUCCCCACACCCUCCAUUCUUGAGGGGUCUUUAGGGAGCCCUCUAUCCGUGGAGGCUGCUUAGAAGGUACUGCUGGAGUUGAGAGGAAAAAUCAACCCCCUAGAAAGUAGGGGCAGCCCCUACUCAAAAAAAAUAGAGGGCUUGUUUAGAGGGUAUUGUUGGAUAGGAAACAAAAAGGCCGCUGGUCCAAAAUCCCAUAUUAACAAUACCAGAUUAAUCCUUUAUGUUUAUAAACAAGGAUGAAAGCAUAAGUUGGUUGGUGCGAGCGUGAUGUGCAGGAAGGCCUAAUCCUAGUUGGAUCUAGGGUGUUGCAAUAUUUGAGUUCAUUCAAGCCAUGACAUGUUGAAUACAUUUCUGCAUCGGAGUUUAGUUUGUACUCAACAUUUUAGUUUUCUUAUCGAUCACAAGCGUUGUGCCUUAUGGUUUCGAAUAAAUUGUUGAUCUCAUGCAUAUAUACUAAGCUCUUGAUAACCAUUUAGCAUUUCUUGACCUCAUUUUCUUUUACUCUUGCAGAAUAGCAGGGAUAAUGGAAAUCCUAUCCGAGUUAUCCGGGGUCAUAUUUCAAAGACUAGCUAUACUGGCAAAGUCUACACCUACGAUGGGCUUUACAAGGUCUUUGUAUUUCUUUGUUCUCUUACGAAUAAUGUAGACUGGAUCUUCACUUAAUCUUGUGAUAGGAGCUCGGGGCUUUUGACCUGCACUAACAUGGAUACACAUUUCUGUUUCUAGCUUCUAUUGGCUACAUUAUUCAGAUUGUUCCAUGGGAACACAACAGAAAUAGCUUCGCUAGUAUCUGGUUUGAUUGCGUUCUGUCUGACUAUUUUUUCUUUUUGUCUCAUUUCAUGUCAAUAUUCUAUAGGUUGUGGAUGACUGGGUGCAGAAUGGAGUGCAAGGUCAUGUUGUUUUCAAGUAUAAACUGAAGCGGCUUGAGGGUCAGCCAUCAUUGACAACUUCUGAGGUAUGCCUGAACAAAGUUAACACGCUGUAUUUGUUGUGCUGUGCUGAUGCCACCCACUGUCCUGUUAUUCCUUGGACUGUUGGACUCCUCUAGUUUUUAUGCUACCUCGUUAAUUGUGUAGAGAAGAAAUGCAAAAAUAACAUAACACUCCUGAGGUUUGCUAGUUGAAUGGCUAAAAUACAUGCUAAUUGUUAGUGUUGGUAGCAUUUUCUUUCAUAUAUGCUGGUGUUUAUCUAGCAUUUUUAACUUUUUAAUAUAUUAUGUGUUCUUUACACAACUUCUUGUGCCUUAUCCCAUACAUCAGGUGCGAUUUACUCGUGCAGAAGCGCCCACAACUAUUUCUGAAUUACCUGGGUAAAUGAUCCAAACCCUGAACUUCCUAUGUUACCAUUCACAAUUAAUUUUUUUCGUGCAUGAGUUAUGUGCUGUAACGUAAAGUAGCUCAUAUUGCUUAGAGGGUAGAAUAGCGAGACACAAUUUUUGGCUGUAUUGCCUCAUUCCGGAGGUCAAAUAUAUAUAGUUUAUGGUACAAGUGAAUUGGGAAUCAUGGCAGUCUACUAGAGAUGAUGUAGGAUCUUUUUUAAGAAAAAAAAUAUAUGACAUAGGAUCUAUACAAAAAUAUAAAUGCUACCUAAUCUAGUUUUAAAGAUUCUUCUCAUAAGAUGGUUCUUUAACAACAUUGAUGAUUGUUGUAGUUUCACAACUGUGCUGUAGCUGUACUACCAUCCAUGAACGUAUUGUUUUAUUAUGUUAGGGAUAUAGUGUUUAUGCUUUCCUAAUGAAUGGCACUAAUCAUAUGUUGCGUUUUACUUUGGUAGAUUGGUUUGUGAUGACAUUUCUGGAGGGCAAGAAAAUCUUCCAAUUCCUGCUACUAACUUAGUUGAUGAUCCGCCUGUCCCUCCAUCUGGUAUGUUCGGUUAUCAGUUUUCCAUUUCAUAUUUUCAUUGUUGGACACCUCUUUGCAUUGUUCCUUUAAACUGGAGCAGUUGUUCAGAGUGAUAUUAAGAUUUAAAUAAGCAACAUCCUGGAAUACAUCAAAUGGCUGUGGUUUAGGGUUAGUUGUGUUUAUGUGGUGGUUGUGUUUUAAAUUUUUAAAGCUGCUAAUUUCUGUGGAAAAGCAGCUUAGAAAAAACUACAGUUUAUUGGAUUAAACUCGUUUCUGUUAACUACUCCUUUGGUUUCAAGUAAGUGAUGUUUUGAGUUGCGUGCACUCAAUCAUUCCAAACUUUGAUUACAAUUUACUUUUAAUAUGUUGAGUUUGGGUGUUUAAAAUGGUACGUGUAGAUUUGAAAUUUUGAAUUAAAAUGUACUUUCAUAAUACUAUACUUUUGCUAUGUUUUGUAAAUUUAUUAGAACGAAGUUUAGCUGUCAAAGUUUUAUUGUAGGAACAAUGUCUAUGCCCAAACAUCACUUAUUUGUAGGAUACAACAAAACAAUACCUCCAUUUGCAGUUUGGUUUAUACCUCACAAACAGUAGUUAGCCAAAGUGCCAAACGACAAUAACUGAGAGUAAUACUAAUACUUCCAAACAAGAUAAUCAUAAUUCAAUAAAAAUUCUAAAUGGAACUUCCGAAAUUUAAUCGCAACUAAGUUGCCUAAAUUUAGUGCCAAAUCUUUCUUAUUUCCAUGAGAAUUUCACCAUUGACAUAUGUCAAGUUAAUGUAUAGUUGCUCAUCUUUCUUAUUUCCAUGAGAAUUUCACCAUUGACAUAUGUCAAGUUAAUGUAUAGUUGCUCCUAACAGAUCUGCUAUGUUCUACUGUUGUUUUUAGCCUUUGUUCCUGUUUCUUUUUCAUAUUAUGUAGUAAUGUUAGUGACUAAUUAAUAUGUGUGUUACUUUUGGCAACAUUCUAGGUUUCACGUACUUGAAAUCGCUAAAAAUUACAAAGGGCAUCAAGAUGCCGUCUAAUAUUAUUGGCUGCGAUUGUGAAGGAGAUUGCGCUAGCAACAAAAACUGUUCAUGUGCUCAGCGCAACGGUUCUGAUCUUCCUUACGUAUCAUAUAAGAACAUUGGCAGGUAAAGUGCAUGGUUAAAAUGCUCCAACUAAGAGGAAGUGUCAGAUGUACAAGAGUAUAUUGGUGCGCAUAUGCACAAAUUCAAUAUCAUUCCCUUGGAUCCGAUCUGAAUGAUCCAAGUGAUACGUGUCAAUUCUCUCAUCCCCAUGUCCACCUUUUAAAUGGACUCAAUCCAUUUGGGGCUACGUUAGUCGAAGAGGGAUGGGAGAACUCCCACCCCAAUAUGCGCCACUCGGAUUGUAAAUGAGGGACGGGAUUGAAUUUGUGCAUAGGUUCACCAAUAUACUCUUGUGAACAUGAUAUUUCCUGUAUACUACAAUCAUUACUUAUCUGUGCAAUUUUACAUUAAGGAAAGUAUACUGUGUCUUGAAUGUCAUACGAGCAGCAUGUAUAUUUCUUCUAUAAGCAUUUCAGCUGAAAUUUUUAACUCUUGGUUAAUUACUAGGUUGGUGGAGCCCAAAGCAGUAGUAUUUGAAUGUGGGGCUAACUGCAGCUGCAACCACAACUGUGUGAACAGAACAUCUCAACAGGGUUUGCAGUAUCGCCUGGAGGUUGGUAUUUCCUUUUGCUUCUAUAUGUACACUUCCCAUUUGCACUCAAUUACAACUAGGAGAUCAAAGGGCUCAAAUCAUUUGGGUGAAUGCUCGUUGGUCAGAUCACUUGGUUCUAAUGAAGUUGUAUGAAUAGGUCACAUAUGAAGUUAUUUCCCUUUUCCUAAUAUUACCACCUGCCUCUGUUACUGUGUCGUACAUGAAGGUUUCCAACAAAAAACACCGCCAUCGUUUGUUGUUGUAUGUACACGUGCUUCUAAAUACAGCUCUUUUCACUCUUAUGGGGUGGAUGCUUAGUGACAAUGACCUUUUUCUCUCUUCACAUCAUCAAAAUUUGUAUGUGGCAUUGCUUAGGAUGACCUAUGAAACCACUCGUUUACCAAUGCACUUGCCAUGACAAGCUGAACUAUGCAGGUAUUCAAGACAGCUUCAAAAGGUUGGGGUGUCAGGACUUGGGACACUAUCCUCCCCGGGGCUCCCAUCUGUGAGUACACCGGGGUGUUGAGGAGGACUGAGGAUUUGGAUGGUUCGCAGAACAACUAUUGCUUCGACAUUGACUGUCUUCAAACCAUGAAGGGUUUGGAUGGAAGGGAGGUAAUGGUUUUCUCGUUUACAGUAACACGAAAUAUUAACUUAUGCUAUGUGCUUGAUUGGCAAAGCUCCAACUUUGAUGCGCCUACAGCUCCAGCUCCAAGAAUUUCUGGAGCUAGGGAUGGCCAGCUCAAAAAAUUCUUUGAGCUGGAGCUAUGCCAAACAUUAGCCUGUUUACUGUACAAUAGAUAUUUAAUGUUAAGGUGUGUUAAAAUGUCAUCAGAUGCUUUUUAGGUACCAAUUAUGGAGCCCUUAUGUAUACUCUGUUCCUGCAGAAAAGGGCUGGGUCUGAAAUGCACCUGCCCAAUCUUCAUCCUGAUAAUGAUUCAGAGGCACCACCUGCGCCAGAGUACUGCAUAGAUGCUAGUUCUAUUGGUAAUUUUGCGAGGUUCAUAAACCACAGUUGCCAACCUAACCUUUUCGUCCAGUGCGUCUUGAGCUCGCACAAUGACGUUAAGCUGGCAAAAGUCACACUUUUUGCUGCUGACACUAUACUUCCCCUUCAGGUGAAAUGGGUUUGACUUUUCUUUACCAAAAUUUUAAAUUCCAUCCAAAAAAUAAAGUACUGACGACCGUGUGCUUUUCAGGAGCUAUCCUAUGACUAUGGUUAUCGCUUGGACAGUGUUGUUGGGCCUGAUGGAGAAAUUGUGAAGCUGCCAUGCCACUGUGGUGCUCCUGAUUGCCGGAAGCGUCUCUACUAGACCUGCUGUGUGUUUCCAUUUAGAUUUUGGAGGAAACAAAUUAUUUUGUAGGAAUGCAGCCUUAGCAUGUGCUUCAUAGUUAGACAUGCUCUGAUAUAUAGCAAAAGAGGAGCAACUUGAUCUCCUUUUAGAGCAUUCUUAUUUUGUCAUAUGUGAUAUGUGGAGGGCAUGCCAGACAUGGUAGCCUAUUUUGCAGACUAUCAAUUAACCGAUAUAUCUAAUGGUGGAACAUUUAACCUAUAAAUAUAUAUAUGUUACACAUCCUUCAAGUCAUGGUUUGAAUCUAUGUGUUUAUUAAAAUGUGCUGCUGCUGCUGCGCAUUUGUAUAUAUGGAUGAUGCUGCCGAUUGUUAAAUUAUAGCAAAAACAAAAGUUUUCUGAUGCAUAAUUUUUCUACUGCACAUUUCUUAGGUUACUACAAUUGCCUGUAUACUGACUGGCAUCUCAGAUGUCAUGGCCUCAGCUGCCAUUUCUUAGGUUAAAAUUUGACGUCAAUUUACUGGAAUGACCUUCAUGGUGGUAUUCUAAGCUUAGGAUAUAGAUGUUGCUGCAGGUGAUUCUCAAUAUGUCAUGUACUCAUUCUCUUAUUCAUAGUUUCUAUCACGGCACUAAUUUGCAUAUCUGCCUGACUGUAAGCAGUGAGAUUUCAUUUGAUCAACCCGUUUAAUCCUUACUAAUUGUUGCUCGUUGCUAAUUGCCAGCAAUUAUACACUGAUGUCUGCUGGAUAUGUACGAUCAGAUGGCAUUUGCUGUACUGGAUUCAAUCCUCGCAGUUUUUUGCUCACCGCUGAAAAAUGCAAGCUUUGAUGCUGGUGUAAUGGCCAUGAAAAUUCUGGUGAUAAAUCCCUGCUGAAGCUGGGCCAAGGCCUCACAGUGCGGCGCUGAUCCUCAUUGCCUCGGCGGCGCGCAUGAUGUCUGCCAACGACAACUCGCCGCCGGCGGUGGAGGCUGCGGCGGCCACCGCCUCCACGCCGCGGUCGCGGCUGCCCCGGUGGACGCGGCACGAGACGCUGGUCCUGAUCCAGGCGAGGCGCGCCAUGGAGCGGCGCGGCCUGCAGCUUCCCGUGCGACCGCGGCCCAAGUGGGCGGCGGUGUCGGCCUACUGCCGGCGCCACGGCGUGGAGCGCGGGCCCAUGCAGUGCCGGAAGCGCUGGGGCAACCUGUCCUGGGACCUCAAGAAGAUCGUCGCUUGGGAGGGGAAGGCCGCCGCCGGCGACGGCGCUGGCGCCGCGCUGCCGCCGCCGCAGCAGCAUGAGUCGUUCUGGGACAUGCGCGGCGAGCAGCGGCGCGCCAGGCAGCUGCCGUCGUCGUUCGACCGCGAGGUGUACGACGCGCUCGUCUGCGGCACGCCCGCCGUCGCCGAGGACGCCGCCGCCGCGCUACCGAACUUCGGCGACGGCGAGCUGGAGGGCGUGUACCGGCAGCCGCCCAUCAUGGUCAUGCCCAUAUCAGGUAUGCAUCAGUAGUCGCUCAUCCUGUCACGUUCGUGCAGUGCUUGUGAUUUGUCGUGCAUCAGCAGCCGUACACAACGUAACACGUUUCAUGUUUUGGUUGUGUUCCAUGCAGCAAGGAAGUAUGAGCCACCACCUGCCUCCUCUGAACACGAAUGCUCUGGUCCAGGUGCGCAGGAAUUGUGUCAUCAAAAUUACACGAGUUAUAUCACGUGAUUUAUGAAGAAAUUCAUGUGAUCCAAUGAAUUUGCACGAUAAGUUGUUUUCUACGUACAUCUGACACUGACAGCUACUUUGGUGCACAUUUUUGUCAGUGACGGAGAGCGACAAGAAGGCCGGCGCGGCGGCGUCGGACAAGAACUCGACGUCGCAGCACGACGGCGGCGGCGGGUACAAGGACAGCGACGCGACGUUCGUGGCCGGCGAAGCAGAGGGCACCACGACGGCGACGCCGGCGGCGACGGUGAGCAUCGGGAAGCAGGUGAUCGAGGCCCUGGAGCGGGGCAACCGGGCGCUGGAGCAGCAGCUGGAGGCGCAGAAGUGCAGCUGGCGCGCGGACAGGGAGCAGAGGGCGGCCCUCCUCGGCGCGCUGGACAGGCUCGCCGGCGCCGUCGGCAGGAUCGCCGACAAGCUCUGAGGAAUGCCAGUGUGAUCUGACGCCUCUGCUGCGCCGGUCGUGAAAAAACUAAGACCUUUGGCGUAUGUUACCGGAUUAUUGGAGCUGUGAAUCACGAACUGGCAACUCUUGGAUCUUGAUGAUGAAAUAACGUGACCUUCACCCACAUCUAUCAUGUGUCUGCUGAAAUUUGCGCCCUGGCGUGGCCGCAGGCUCGGUCGGCACUGACAGCCGGGCCUCCAUUUUCCGCCACUGACAGCUCCACCCCACCGCCAGUGAACAUCUCAUGGCUGGGGCCGCCACCGACGGGAAGAUCACCGCCGCCUACGCGUUGGCGGAGAGCCGCGCCCACCGCCCACCACUCCGUGCCUCAUCUCACCAGUAGUCGUCGCUAAACAACAUGAAGUCUGGUCUUCCUCACCAUAGCACACCCCGUAAUGGUGUCCAUUCAAGUUCAGUUGGUUCAGAAACUCAUUUUUCUGACAGAGUGUACACCAACACCAGCGAAGCCCAUCUGAUGCAGCACGGUUGGAUCGUGCUUCUGCACGCGUGGAGCAUUUCGUCGUCCGGUCCCCAUCACCGGAUCUCUGGGCAUCUCAUCCUCCGUUUCUGUUCGUGUUUGGACCCUGGGAAGGAAUGAUCGCACUCCUGCUGCUGCUGGUGCGUUCAGCUUUUCUCUUUUCGAAAGGCAGCCGCACCGAUCCGAUCUUGCCAUCUUUGAUCCCUCUCCCUCUUAUGAUUAGCAGCAGUGCGUGCUUUACCGACUGAAUCCAAUCCACCCCGAUGCCUUUUUUGUUUAUCCAAAACAAAAUCCAUCAUUUUCUUUUUCUCGCAGCUCAAACACUCAACCAGUCAGUGUUCGUUCAUGUUACUGACCAGCGACUACGGCUCAGCGACUGUGACACUGAAUCACCGAUGCAAGUUCGCGAUUCCAUGUCUUUUCUUGUGCUCAGCUCAGCUCAGGCCUCUCAGUUCCGACAGUUGGUUAACUCUCGCGAGCAUCCGCACGUGAAGAAUAUUCAGGCGACGCGACAGACACAGGUGCCAGCCGCCGGUCGACACGGCCGGACCAAGCAGCGCCAGUUCCCUAACGCUUCCCCUGUCUUUCCUCGUCAUCUCAGCCUCCGCGAUCGCAACGCCCAUGAAAUUCUCUGCAGCAUGACACCGACGCCCGUUGAGCCCCGGCACGGAUCCGGUUCUCCGGGCAGGAGGGGUCGUGGUGGGCUGCACUGAUCUGAACGUUACGUUGCCGGACGACGAGACUGCUGGCAGGUGCUCGGCAGACGGCGACGCCAAAGGGGAUUUUUGUUCGGCAACUAUACGUCUAUACGUGAGAUGACAACGCAACAGUGAGGAGGCAGGAUAAUGCCUGAAUGAGAAUGAAUAUGCAGAGAUGUGGAGGAUCGGGGAGCACGCGCACGUGCAUAGCAUUUACAAUGGCAGCCGCAUUACAAUUACUACAGCUACAUUAUUUUUCUGAAUACAGUAAAAAAAUAAUGGCAAAAGGAAAAAAAAAGCAAGGAAAGAAUUACAAGAGGAUAACAAAAGGUUACAAUUAAUAUUUAUAUAACACAUACUCCUAUAGGUGUGGUAGUAUAGACUAGUAUACUGCUAGCUACUACGAGGCGUAGCAUCCCAAGAACCAGGAGAGCGUCGUCCUGCCAUGACCGGGCGACGCCGACGACUUGGUCUCCCAGCCUGCCGCGAAGGGAUUCUUGUGCUUCCUCCUCUUCUUGGUGUGCGCCACCUUCCCCCUCACCGUCACCUCCUUCUUCCCGAAAUCCACCAUGUAAUCCAGCAGCCCUGCUAACCACACAAAGCAAGCUCGUGAUGAGCAAGAAAGCGCGCGGCUGUACAUCGGUGAUGCGUAAAGAACGAUGCUUUAGCAGCCUACUUAAACGAUACGUGUCCUAACAAGUGGUGCUGAUUGAUGGUGCACUACCUGCAUUGACGAGCUGCGUCCUCUUGUUUUUUCUUUUACAAUGCGUAUUUCAUUUUUGUUAGAAUGAAGCUUUGAGAAAAAAAAUACACUUUAUGUGAUAUAAACGUAUAAAGGUGUACUUAUAAAAAGAUAUUUUUUAAAAAAAAACACAAAUUUGUGUAAAAAUUUUUGUUGGUCAAUAGGUGUUGUAAUUUCAAACGAGGUGAGUAUCUCAGGUCAGGUCAGGGCAGUGAUUGAGAUGCUCACCGUUCAUCUUGGAGACGACGUUGGCGACGCGCUGUCGGCAGUGCGAGCACCCCAUGUUGGCGCUCAUCACCACAACCUGCACCUGCAUUCCCACCAGUUUAAUUUGUUUAUCAAUCGCUCGUACUUUCUCCAUCAACACUAAGUACGUAGCAUUCACUCUCCAUGUCGAGCGUCAUUAUAUUGCCAAUGCCAGCCAUCACCGCCACCCCCAACUCAUCACCCAGCCGUAUUUGCAUUUGCAUUGCUUCUACGCAACUAAGCCAUGGACCAGCCGUGGCCACUGAUCCACUCAGCUUGCACGGACGCUUGUUAAAAACGCCGGCCAAGUUGGGUUAGCCUUCGCCGUAGCUGUUGAUGAUGAUCAAUUAUGUGAGGGCCGGGGUUAAGUGCUAGCAGUCCUACCCUAAUUAAAAAGGGUAGGUGACUAAUGCCGCCUCUCUCACCUACCCUUUCCAUCAUCCAUACUGGAAUUUACUCCAUCCGUUUCAUGUUUACAAGGCGCGCGAGUAUAUCAAGAUUUAAACUUCACAAUCUUUGACCAAUAAUUUAACCAACAAUUUUUUUCAUCUUUAAUAUAAACUUGACAUGGUUACUUUCCGAUGAUUAUAAGUCUAUAACCAUAACUAAGAUAAUAUUAGAUAAAUGAAUGGUCAAAGUUUAAUUUAGAAGACCGUGCCAUGUCAUAUAGCGGCUUGUAAACAGGAAUGGAAGGAGUACUUAGGUAAUCACCCAUAAUUAAACUAUCUGUGAGGAAUAUACCAUACAAAGGAGGGAAAAAAACAUGAUACAGUAUAACCGUUCUGUUUCUCUCUCUGAAGUCUCGAGUCACAUGGCUGCCACUUUUGAACCCUAUUGUUAAAUUGUACUCCUCCUAUCAGGCAAGCAGCAAUAGGAUAGCACAUUGCUGAUUUGCUGUCCCUGACUCUGCAUGCAUGGCUCCAUGGCAGCAGAACAUAACAAUGUAAACACAUGCUAAUCUAUGGCCUAUUCAAGCCACUUGCAUUAUAGUACGGAUACUGUAUCACGUGCAGUGCCCGGGCUGGGUCUGGUCGCAUGCGUAUAUGCACGCCUACCGUUUGUGUUUGUGAUCUUCUUGACUUCUCUUCGUUCUAGCGAUCAGGCCAAGGACUCUAUCAGAUACCAUUACCAGCAGCUGCUGCUGCAGGGCAAGUGCAUGCGGCCGUGUGGUGCCUCUCAUCAUCCCUUGCUGUCGGCUUAUUAAAAUUACUGGGAGGAUGUGUGGAUGGCUGUGAUGGCAUUAACGUCUCUCCAAGAAUCUUGAGCAGAAGGAAUUUUUUUUUAAGCAGAAGCAGUGCCUGAAUUGUGAAAGAUCUUAGCGGCUUUGUUGUUUAUUCUUCCACAAAUCUAUCUUAGCAAUGAGGGAAUUCUAUUUGAUAUCCAAAUCCCCUCGUCCAAAGCAUGUUUGCAGGAUGCUGAAGGUCCAUAAGUGCGCAUUUUUAAUUCAGAAGAUGCGAAGAAAUGUCCAGUCAGAGCUAAAGCUAAUAGAUUACUGCCCCGGCGAACUGAUGGCGAAGUGGUGGACGGGAUCAAAUGGCAGGAGAUAUAUAUUUUAUAUAUAUUUGCACUCACGGUCAAAAUUAACGGGGUGCACGCACGUGUGUCAGUUUGUCACCCGAGACGCGUUGCUGGCAGGCAGAAGGUUUGCUGGGAUGAGAACGAAUGAACGAAGGGGAUGUUUCUCUGACUGACUGACCGACUGAUGAUUCCGUGUACGUAUCGUAUAGCAUUUGACUGCAUUUAUAAGAUGCAGAGUGUAUCCGAAUGGGCAUAGGAAAAGAGAAAACGACUCUGGGUUCAUCUAUUGACCUGCAGAAUGUUAACAUCCAAAACGACUCUGGGUUCAAGCUCUGAUCCAAUGGUCGAGAGGAGGAGAGAUGAACAGCUAAUGUUCAGGUCCAACGGCUAAGAGACCGACAAGUUCGUCAGGAGGAGCAUUCAGGCAUGGCGGCUACAGUGUCCGCUCCGACCCUCGCGAGGAUCGGGGACGACGCUGCCUGCCACGCACGUGAUGCUCGCUCAUGCCGAGUUGUCCACCGCACGCCCAUGCCGCCCGCCAUGGUCAAAGCUGGAAACACUACUCCACGGGAAGGCGCCGAGAUCAGUGACGCCUUCACCUUCGUGGCCAGACAAGCAGCUCGACCUCCCAGCAGCUGCUCUGCAGCUGGAGCUGCGACCAAGCCAAGCCCAGCACACAACACGGUAGCACACACCAAGCAUGGAAGCAUGGUCCAACUCCUAGUCUCAUACAGGCUACAGCUUCUGCAUGCGCGCCCGGUGUCCGCUGCCAGAUUCUUGCCACCGCUCUCCAUUUCCAAUUUCCAGUUUCCAUGUGAAGAAAUGGAAUUGGAUGGAUCAUCCUGAUUUCCAGCCUGAGAUGAGAAGUUUGCUUCUAUUCCCAUCCAGUGCAGAGGCUAGAAAGCCUGAGGAAGGAAUUGUCCUCCUGCUGCUGCUGCGGCAGUGGAGUUGUUUGGCGGAUUGGCACUAGGCCACUAGCGAGACUUUUCACCUUUCCGCUAAAAGCCGGGCUGGAGGGCAAUAGCGAUGGCAAAUGGGGUCUCCUGUGCCUUGAGAAUCCAAGGAUGCACCUGCAUGCGUUCCUCUCUCGAUUUGCGGGGGGCAGUGGGGCACAGAAUAUGUGGAUACUGUCUGUCUAAAUGCAGUGAGGGAUAGAGUAAUUUAAUAUAGCACCGAUGAAGGAUUCCACUGAGAAAAAGGUGAAGGAAGAGGUUCUGAUGGCUCUGUUGUUCAGGGUUCAGAGAACUGGGUUGGGGAAGAGCAAAUGGCUGAAUGAGCAAUGGCGUCAAGAAACGGCCAGUUGUUUGAGGAGCGGAGCCUAAUGGCUUCUGGAAUGGCAGGGUUUGGAUCCUCCUCGAAGCAAAAAGAACAGAGUACUUCAGAGGACGGCUCUAAUUUGGCAGAUAAACUAAUGGCACCUGGGAUUUCACGAACUCUGACGAGAAGUCAUUGCAGAUUUCUAGAUGCUGAUUAGGCGAUCAGCUAACUGACCAUUGACGAAAAAGAGGGGGAGAGGGAGAGCGUACCGAUGGCAGGGAGAGGUCCUCUGCAAAUCUCAGAGCUUGCAGCUUGCUUGCUGUGCUGCUAACGGUAGCAUCCGACGAAGCACCCAAGCUCCUCUUGGACGAUUCGCUCCGUGUCUCCUCCUCAUCCCCUCCAUGCUCAAGCUCCAUGUCCAUGGCGGCCUGUGGCUCCCGUUAGGGAACACCACCCCCUCUGUCCUCUUGAGCUCCCCUUUUUCUUGCAGAAUGACAGCACCAAGAGCUUCUCCUUUUUAUACUAGCAGUCCUCGGAGAAGAAGAAGAGAGAGAGAGAAAGAUAUGAACAGUUACUUGCCGAGGCCACCCACUGAAGAAAGGCCUACUAUUUUAAGCACCUGUGAAUGAAAUUAGGCGCAGGAUGAAUUGAAGGUGAACUACAGAAACCAUACUUAAUUUGAUGAUGGAUUCCCUUUGCAAAGACCCACCCGGUCCGGUCCACUGUAUCAUGGUCAUUCACUUUCAUUGGAUGACUAAGAUUAUAUGAUGUCACUUGUCAGGGAGUCUGGUGGCGAUUUCCAACUGAAGGUGGCCCACUUUGUAUCGGAUUCCUGCCUCUUCUGUGUGCCUGUUUUUUUUCCCCCACUCUGUCGGUUUACAGUGAGAAAUUAAGAAGUCACCACAUCAGAGAGGUUACUUGCAAAGGUAAAUAACUCAAAAGUAAAAAAAGAAAGGCCUCCAAAGUCUAAAAUGGCCGUCAUGGAAGGUGAAAUGUGACAUUAGAACAACAGAGUACACAAUCAGGAAGAAUCAUCCAGAAUCCAUAUGCUAAUCUAUUGUUUUUUAGUUAGAAAUUUAGGAUCUUGUAAAGUUUUCUUCCUGAAACUGCUAGUGCUAUGUGUAUUUUUACCUUGUAUAGGUAGGGUUUACAGAGAAAAAGGGGUUCCAGUUCUUAACACCUUAUAGCGUGAUGGUUAUAUAUUGUACUAGGUAGAGUUGAUAAUGAAAAAUAAGGGGCAGAGGAACAAAAGUUGCAGUGACAUAAAGGUAGAAUCAAAGUGCUCUUUAGGUACACUAUCUCUGGGCAUCUUUAAGUUUAAUACACUGUUAGCACGAAAUGAUUAGCAUACACUGUAGUACUGCUUCACCCUUAAAACGUACAACAAAAAGGCCAGGAUAAGAGACACCAAGCUACUGCUAUUUAAGUGGUAGGCAAAGAGGAACUAUCAAUCUCCGAAACCCCAAGAUCAUCGCUGGCAUGCAUUCAGUGUUCACCUAUACUGAAAGUACGAUGGGUUUGAACCAAGAAGUAAGAUAUGACAAGGAGGGAGACAUACUCCAUAGAACCACUGAAUGAAAUUCCAUCUUCAUGUCUCAGUGCUAUCAAGUGGAGACUUUAUUUCAGAAACAUAAAUGAAAACUUAAAAAUCAAAUGGUCCAGGAUCUCCAAAAAUAAAAUGACUGAAAACUCAUUGACCCUGAUUGAUGUCGUAUGCAAGACUAACCUAUAAAUUUGGAUGAGCCACUUUCAUUUUCUUGAUGCACGUAGCAUGCAUUGUUAAGGCCAAACCGACACGCUACCUAAUAACCUUGAAAACUGUUAGCAGCUAAAUAGUUAAAAACAUAGGGUGCCAAAUCGCCAUUGAUAGCUGAAUGCAUGAAGUACCCAAAGGAAUUUCAGAACAACGCUGCAAAUUCAAUGUAAAGAAUAAGGGGAGUGCCUCUGCCCACCUACAACCCUUUCUGAGCACGCUACUGACCAAAGAUUGCGCUUUCAAGUUUGUUUCCAUGUCAGCGAGGACAAAAACCUCCACUUCGAGCAUAGGUCUGAUUUGGUUCCUCUGACUUAUUUUUAGCACACGUCACAUCGAAUGUUUAGAUACUAAUUAGGAGUAUUAAACGUAGACUAUUUACAAAACCCAUUACAUAAGUGGAGGCUAAGCGGCGAGACGAAUCUAUUAAGCCUAAUUAGUCCAUGAUUUGACAAAGAUUCGUCUCACCGCUUAGCCUCCACUUAUGUAAUGGAUUUUGUAAAUAGUUUACGUUUAAUACUCCUAAUUAGUAUCUAAACAUUCGAUGUGACACGUGCUAAAAAUAAGCAAAGGAACCGAAACGUCCCCUAACAACGUGUAGCUUACAGAGUAAUAUGCGCUCUCAGCAUAUUUGUAGGUGUGAUGAUGUUGACAUCUGGAUGGUGGACGAAAUAAUCUCCAGAAUGAGCAACACAGAAUGCUUCACGUCUCUUGCUGAAUCAUGAAUAUAACUGUCUCUGUAGUUUCUUGAAAGUUUUUUAAAGCCACUUGGAAAGCAGGAAACUUCAUAUUUGAAUGCAAAAACACUUAAAAACGUUGCACUUGAGCACAAGAAAAACGCAUAGACUAUGCUCGUGCAACAAGCAAAGAGCUGGUGACGACUUGUCAAGAAAAAAGGGCUUACUGGAAACUAGUUGCGUACCACAAUUGACAAUACGAUACAGUGCAGAUUAUUAAGACAGAUGAAAAAGUUACAUUUAUACCAAGAUGCCGUCUAAUUUUAUUGUAAGUUGCCUAUAUAUGAUGUAUACAUGUCAGUUCACCAAAAGGUUUGGACAGAUCCGGGCUGCACACCGAGACGUAUCAAACAUUUGGAUAGAUUCGGGUUGCACACCAAGACGUAUCAGAUACGGAGACUACGGUGCAGGAUGGCGUAGUCUACAUGGAGUCCAAGGGACUAGUCGAGGACAAAGAAACUAUUCUUCCUAGUCGGAAUAGAAUUCUCUGGUCGAAUCCGACUACUACUCUUGUCCGCUCCCCCGGUAUACAGGGGGUCAGGGACCCCCUCCAGAUAAGUUCAAUCCAAUACGAGCAAGCUACACACAGGACGUAGGGUAUUACACGAUCUAACGGCCCGAACCUGUCUAAAUCGCGUGCCUACAUACACCAUCGAAUUCCUGAUUUCGGCGACACCCACGAACCAAAAAACUCUACCUCGGGUACUCCGACAAGGACCAAAAUAUGCUACUUAUAAUCUAACAUUUCCUUUGAAUGUAGCAAUUUACAAGGCUGAACUGAGCAGAAAGAUAUCCAGCACACAAGAAUUGGACCAAAUUCAGUCUCUGGUUGGAGAUUUUUAUCAAAAUCCAAUUGUUGUGUUGGAACUGUAAAUAUCACAGUGCUGACAUUUGAAUGAAUGUAUACGUUUAGCUGCUAGUAAAGACAGAAAUUAAUUACCUAACAAGCCUUACAAGAUACCCAAAUAACAAGAAAAAGGAAUCUUUAGUGUAUCCACAAAGUCAGUAGCACUUAAUUGAUACUGUGCUGAUAUGGACCUUCAAACAGCUUAAGAGGGUGACUACAGAAGACAUCAUUCUCUUGUUUCUACGUCUGCAAACAUCAUUCUGAUAUCGAGACAAAUCAUCUCAAUAGAAUUAUCUAGCACUGACAACGAUAUUUUGGACACCCUGUCACAAGGAAACACAUAUUAUUGGUUGACGAAAAUGUAUUUCCUUUCUUUGACAAUAAUGCAGUGUCGGCAGAAUCACCCAAGAGAGAUCAUUUACUCAACGCUCCAUUAGACCAAAUGGAUCAAAGUAGAUGGUGAUUGCAUACAAUGCUCAUCAAGAAGCAACUAAAAGAACAGAAGGACUGAUCAACAGAUAACCCAACUGGAGUGCAUGUGGCAGUGUAAAUGGGCAGUUGAUAGCAAAGUAAAAUAAUCAUAUGGUAAACCUUGAUUUCAGUUACAUUAAUUUCUCAUUUGGCCUUGUAUCAUCAUUUCAUGGUGAAAAAACUCAUUUUUUUAACACCUGACAGUCUUAAUUUUCAAUUGGUAAAGCAUUAUAAUUAGGAAGCGGUGAUCAAACAAAUCUCUUCACAAAAGACAAUGAAUGGAAGAUCAUUAACCGAGGUAGGAAAAGUACUUAAAAUGGGGUGAUAAAGACGGGUGGAGUCAUUACAAUUGGGCUAUUGACUACAUCUGCUACUAUACAUGCGUUAGUGUAUGAUCCUUGUAGGAAGGGCACUUGGUUCCAAAUGCCAGGACCCUUUUGGUAUAGCAAGAUCUUUGAUUUCAACAACAAUGAAAGCAGGAACACGAUGGGAAAAGCUGAGCAUUUCAGACCUUGGAAUCCACCUUGUCAAAUGGAAAUCUUCCAUUACUACCCUAUGAAAAAAGGUUAAGCAACCUUUUACCCGAACCAAGCUGCAAACAUUGACUCCAUUUUCAUCAGAGUAGUCUGAGAGGAUCUCAACCAUGCGAGGUUCACAUUUGUCAAUAUCAGUGCUAUUCAAGGUGAUCUUCCAAUUUUUGUACAUUGCCCAUAUUUCCCCUUUCUUUGGGAAAAUACGGUAGAAAGAUCUCUUUGCACUCCAAUCACACUCUACAGGGUGAGAGAAUUCCCAGACAUCCUUGUAAGUGGUUUCAGUACCAGCCCGAAAUACCCCAGAAGCAACGGGUAGACUAUCUUCAACCCACCGUAUCUCUUCAUUAAGCAUAGGGUGAGGCUCCAACUUCAACACAAAAACUGAAGUUGAUGAAACCACACGGAUUAUUCUGACAUAAGACCUAGGCAUUCGAUCUCGAGAAUCAAAUACAGCCCAUAUCUGGCCCUCCAGAAAAUUCUUGGGUGACAACUUGUUAUCGCAGCUCAUCAUGGCUUGCAAUGGAGCACCUGAAUCCAUUUUGCUUGUUGAAGGAUUUGAGGAUUGUGCAACAGCAGCUUCAUGAAAGCUGUUUGUGUCAUCAUGUAAACCGGAAAGCAACAAAGGAGAAAUACAUGCCAAUGCAGUUUCUUGGCGCAGGUUUUCCGGAACUGCAGAAUGUUCAAGCUCGAACAUAAUUCCAACCUCAGGAGUAAAUCUGAAAGAAGGGAUCAUGUGAGAAAACAUGAGCAGAUUGUCGCUGUGUAUUUGCAGUAGACGCUCUGUUCCACUCUUCAAAUGCCUUUGGAAAAUGCUUCCAUGUCCAUCUACCUUUACCAAGUGUGCAACGGUGCAACCUGAUUCUUUUGAAUAACUAGUAAGAAUUUCAACAAUAUAGAAGGCGCUCUUCUUCCACAUCCCAGGAUCAGUGUACCACUCAAUAUCCCAGUCACUGUAUAUGGCCCAUACCUCACCUUCCUGGGGAUAUACUUCAAGAUGUUGAUUCAGAUUAUCACUGGAAAUUUGAUGGCAGAAAAUAGUUGGACAAGUUAAAGAGAUUCGACGUUCUUCUGUGGCAAAAGUUCCACAAACCAACGGCAAGCCUGCACGCGACCAUUUCUUCUCUUCAUGAGAUUGCAGGCAGGGCUCAAACCAUGAGACAUAUAACUGCAUCUUAUCCAUCAAUACUUUAACUAUCAGUGCAUAUCUGCGAGGAAACCUCUCCCAGUCAUAUGCUGCCCAAACCUGGCCAGUAGAAAAAUUCUCUAUCGCCCUGUCUUCUUCGAAGUUAUGGUAUUCAUACUGUUUUCUAGAGCAGUGUUCAUCUUCCUUGGCAUCUGACGGAUCAUCAAAGCGGACACCCAAAUCUUCCUGUGAGGGCAACGCGCAAUAAAGAUCAUCUUCACAGACACUCUUUUGCUUCUUGUCAAUAUGGCCAUCGUCAGGUGACUGCAAGUCACCAUCAUCACCUAAGCAAGGAUCCACCCUCUUAGUUCUGGAAGAACUAGCCACAUUUGAAAGAUGGGAAUUCCUCUCUUCAAAACAUGACUUGUCGGUGGUGCGCUGAACAUGUGAGACUGCAUUGCUUGUAAAAUCCGCUGUCCUAGUAUCCUUUGUGUGAAGACUGUUUAGCUUGUCAGAAUGGACCAUUGUACUAUCAGGAGUUGGUGCGACAACAACACCAGAACGAACAAACCGAGCAAAAAUGUCCCUGGAAUCGAGCCCCUCUCUCUUCUCCGGAUCAGACAGCACCGCGUACGCCUCCCUGACAAGCCUGAGAGCCAAUUCAGCACCGGGCAGGUCGGCCCCGAUCGGCUCCAACUGAGCCACAAUGCUCCUGUACCGCGCCUCGAUCCUGGCAGCAUCGUCGCCGGGCAGGACCUGGAGGACCCUGUACCAGUCCACACCACGGCCGCGGCCGGCGAGCGUCUCCCCGGCGGCGCAGAGGACCUCGAGGACGGGGAGCAUCUCCAGUGCGCCCUCCAGCCUGGGGUUGGUCUGCAGCGUCUGCAGUAGCAGCGCCCUCGCGCCGGCGUAGUCCUGGCUCCGCAUCCUCGCGGUGAUCGCGUCCCGCUGGGCCGCCUCCGCGUCCCCGCCCUCCAUCCUGCAUCGAAAUCAAGCUCAGAACCAGCGGGUAGAGGCGGAAUCCGAUCAGAACGAAAGCGUUCCACCGCAGAUUCGAAUGUGAAAACCAAAUUAGCCGCGUUUGAGCCUGUGCAUUGGAUUAAUCCGCCCCCGAAAUCGGGGAACCUGAUCGAGCGGAAAUGGGGAUCGGUGGUUGGUUGGUUCUUACCGAACCGAUCGAUCCUGCUCCGCGUGUGUGCGGCUCCGAGGGGCGGAUGGAAUUGGGCGAGGAAGCCCUAAACCCUAGCACCACCGAGCCAUGGAUUAUCUCGCCGGAUGAACACAGCCGAGCGAUCUCGGUGGAUGCAACUGCUAACGAAGGAAUUUCAGUGGCCAGUUGGUUGACACUCUACAGUCUACACUCUUCAACUAUAAAUAUGGGCCUCGAAGGAUAACGAACGCUGGCUUCGCGGGCUGGCCCAGGACUCAUAUGGGGAAGCUAUUAAGGAUCACACCUAACGGCAGCCCAUCGUCCUCAUGGGCUAAAGAGCGUAGCUCCUGACAGGUCGGCCCACCGCACCCAAACAAGCCGCCGCGCGCCGGCGACCGCGAGAGCGGCGCGGCGCGCGGCCCGCUUCGCGGGACGUGGAUGACGGGGUGCAUAGGGUCCCCACAUGUCAGGGUCACGUCGCGGCAGCCGAAAAGAGGCCCGAACACAAGCGGCGGGAAAAGGGAAAGGGCAUCUCAAAGUACGGGCCCGGGUAUAAUUACCCGCUCCAUUCCGUUUUUUAUUCUCCCUUUCCCCCCCCCCCCCCCCCCCCCCGAAAGCAAGCAGCCAAAAGAAAGUUUUUAGUCCUUGCUGUUCGUCAGAUUACGGAGCAGUAAUUGUAGAUUUGUAAUUCUACUAGGGCCACUUGAAAGCAGUCUCAUUCGGUCAUUCCUACCAGACAGUGAUCAAAGAAGUACUGCUGGACACCAGAGAGUUUGAUGAAACUCCAUUAACCAGGUGCUGCUGUUUGGGCGAGUCAAGUUUUGGAUUAAGCAGUCAACUCCUUGCAGGAUUACAGUGACAUCAUUUCAGCAAGCUUGUGUGUUUUGACCAUUGUUUCCCACGCGGCAGUAAUGGCAGUACCGAAUCUGGAAAGGAAAAUUUUACUGGAGUGCUGCCGGUAUUCCAGGCGAAGAACGAAAGGAAAAAUCACCAGCAAGACUGUGGGGAGAAGCGACAGUUCUCACUUUGAGGAAGGACAGGUUAAAAAAAGAGAUUCGAAACAGUGUGGGCAAUUGUGCACGGGCAUCAAAGCAUCUCUGCUCCGUCUCGGGCUUCUCUCUCCGCGCCCUCCGCCGCUACAGCCACGCGACGCGAUGCACCCCCCGCGCCCGGAGGGGAUAUGAGAGAGGUGAGGGGUACGGGAGAAUUCAGAGAGAGAGAGAGAGAGAGAGAGAGAGAGAGAGAGCGGUCGAGUCGCGGCGGGGGAGAAUGUUUGGCUGGUCCGGUCGCUGUGCCUGUGCAUGGUGGAUGCGAAGCCAAGCCGCCUGAGGCUGAAGAAGAGGGAGGGGUGCGCCGAGAAAAGUCUUGGCUUUUAGCUUUAGGCGCCCACACCAAUGCCACACUGCUCUGCUCUCCGAGUAACUUAUUGCAAGCAGUCACCCAGGUGAGCGAGCCGGCGAGGGGCUCAGCUUUGGAUAAUUCUUGCUCCCUGUCGUUUCGGUUUGAAGCUUUCUGGAGGGAGCACACGGCUCGGUAUCAGUGAGAGCCUGAGAGUUGAUAGUGAGCGAGAGCAAAGGGGGGAGUUGGGAUUUCUCUCGCGGAGAUCACGCUUGCGGAGUGUGCUCUCCGUGCUGCGGCGAGUCCCGCUAAUCUCGCUUGAUUUCUUGGUGGUGGGAGGCGACAGGUGCGUGAGCCGCCUGCUUGGGUGCUUGUGGGAGGUGAAAGGAGGAGGGGGUUUCUUCGCUGUUGUCUCUGUCCUGGUUCUUUUCGUCAGGUACUUUUCAUUCCAUGUUCCACGCCGCUCUCGCCUUGGGCAGCUGCCUUUCCGUCUUGUUUCUUGCCAAAUUUCUGUUCUUAAGAUCACGAGGACCAUGCACAAGUUGAAGGUAUGCCAGUUCCUCGCUUGUGUUAUCCUUUGCAACUCCAGUUCUCCUUUGAUUUCCAUGGAGGAAAACUGUAGGGGGGUAUGAGUGACGGUGGGCGAGAAGUAAGCGAAAACUAGCAUCUUGAACCUCCUUUGAUCCUGCGCAUUGAUCGUUUUCCCCCCUAUCUAUCCCAAGUAAUUUUGUUUGUUUUUCCUAGCAAGUUUUGUUCUUGUUUCAUGGAGCAACAAUUUAAGAUGACGAGCAAGAACCCUACCAAAACCCCGCCGCUCCUGGCCACCCUUCUCCUCCUGCUCGCCUUCCUCGCCCUGUGCGCGCCCGCCGCCUCCCAGCCGCUCCACUCGGAGCCCAUGGCCACCCAGUCCCCUCCGCCCUCACCCGCGCCGCCGCAAUCCAGGAUUCCCCGCGCGCAGGUCGGCGGCGCCGCGCGCCUCCGCCGCAUCGCGCUCGGCGUCCUCUUCGGUUCCCUCUCCGGCUUCCUCCUUGCGCUCGCCUUCCUCUAUGCCAUCCGCGUCGCCAUCCUCCACGCCAAGAGUGCGCCCGCGAUCGUCAAGGGCCCUGUCUCCUUCACCCCUCAAAUCUCCCCCAAGAACCUCCUGGCCGCGCUCCCCUCCGCGCAGCCGCUCGCCCAUGGUCCCCAUGGCAAGUAUUACAAGCUGACCCUUGACAAUGACCUCACCGUUGCCGUCAAGCGGCUUGAGGCGGCCAGCCGCCCCGAGGCCUCGCCGUCAAUGUCCCCGAGCACAUCGAAAUCUGACAUGAGAAGGGUGCAGAGGCAGCUUGAGGCCCUUGCCCGGGUGAGGCACCAGAAUGUAAUGACCUUGAAGGCGUAUGUUCGUGAGGCUGACCGCCUUUCGCUCGUGUAUGACUUCAUUCCUGGGGGCAGCCUCGAGGAUGUGAUGAAGAGGGUGAGAUCGCAGCAGGUCAGCCUUAAUUGGGAUGCCAGGAGCAGGAUUGCUGUUGGGAUCGCCAAGGGGUUGAGGCACUUGCAUUUUGAUUGCAGUCCAAGGAUACUCCAUUGCAACCUCAAACCUUCAAACGUUAUGCUGGAUGAAGGCUUUGAACCAAUAUUGGCAGAUUGUGGUGUUGCAAGGCUGAUUGCAGCAGGUUCAGGUGAUCCAGAAUUAUGCAGUGGCCUCUAUGCAGCUCCAGAGUGCUACCAGAGCAGCAGGUAAACAUACAUGCAUUACUACUUCAGUUUUUUUUGUUGAUUUGUUACCAGUUAAAUCCCUGAAUAAAUAUUCUUAGCCCCCUCUUGGAAAGCAUGAAUUUCAGAGCAAAGAGUAGAAUUCUUGCAGGAAGGUUGAAAAUGAAAUCCCACAUUCUAAGGGCCCUUAGCUUAUUGUUGAUGCUUUAUGAUACAAAUCAAUAUGCUUUCAGAUUUAUCAAUGCCUUCACCCUUGUAUUGAAUUUUGAACCAAAGAAGGAAAUUUAAAUCGAAGUGAUAAUCUUUUAGAAUAUCAGCUCAAUCUUACCUAUGUAGCAUUCUUGAAUGCGUUCUCAUCAUCUAACAUUCUCACUGAAUAGAAGGUUACCCAAGAAAACAUAUGUUGUAGAUUUGAGCAGUCUGGUGUUGGCUAUCAGAUGUCAACUGUUCUAGUAAAAAUCUCGGACCAUGCAAAUAACUGAAGGUGUUUCAUUGUAGAAAUAUGAAGAUAAAAAAGGCCUUGUUGAAAGCUGUGAUGUAUGCGGUGGUGUUUAGUGUUUUCUUUUCGCAUUGUCUAGUCUAGUUGACAUUGUAGAUUUAAAAUAUAAUACUGUAAUGAUUUUAUCAGAUCAUACUUCACAUCUGAGUGACACCAAAAGCAUCCUAGCAUCAUCUUUGAAAACCUAGUGGCAGUUUAACAGAUCUCCUGUUUGGCAAAACAAAUGUUAAGACCCUUUAUUUGCUUACUCUUCCAUGUUGCAUCAACAGAUUCCUUCAAUAAAAUUACUAAUUCUCUUAUCCCCACUAGACUCAAUUGACUUGUGGAUGCUACCAUUAAGUUUUCCUAAUUACUAUUGUUAGUCUUCUUUAUCAUGAAAUGGUGAGAAGAGUAACAGAGAAGGUAUAAAGCAUAAAAAUGAUGAUUAUCCCUAGGGAUUAGUGAAGGUAUCCAACUUUUGCUUUUUGCGACAUGAGAAUCUUUACUUUGCUAGAGGACCUCCAUUUGCCUGCCCCUGCCUUUGAUACUUAUGCUUUUCAUAUAUUCCUGCGUGAGGGCAUACUGAAUACGGUCUGCUCCCCUUUUUCCUCUUAAAAAUUAUAACUAUCCUUUUUCAUUCAGACCUUCCACAUCUCCAUCAGAGAAUAAAUCCUUUGAGGAUUGGCAUUCUGAUUCCGUAGUUCAUAUUCCAUCGACUUUUAUGGAAUGCCUAGCUAUGCUAGUAAAUUUUCGACGGUUAAUUCCUAAGCAGGUACUUUUACGAGACUCAAAUAUCUUUCUCAGAAAAAAGCAGGCUCAUUUAUCUCAAAUAAAUAGAAGGGUCUGAAUGAUGCGUUGUUUCAGCCAUGGUGGAUUUAAAAUUUACGCCCCUUGAGUUGGAAGUAUACUGAUUUUUUUAAUAUAACUGAUCUUCUUUCCUGUACAAGUACUGUGGUCGACUUUGUUUAUAUAUUUCCUUUGUGAUUAUCUAAUACCAUAAUGACUUGCUCGUGUAGGUGCCUUAUCUCAUAUAAAUUCAACUAAUUGAUGGUGCAGGUACACAGAUAAGAGUGAUGUCUACGCCCUUGGCAUGAUCCUGGGUGUGCUGCUCACCGGGAGAGACCCAACAGAUCCUUUCUUCUCCGGCGAAACUGGGCAGGGUGGCCUCGCCAGAUGGCUCCGGCAUAUUCAGCAAUCUUCGGAUCCAAAAGAAGCACUGGAUAGUAGCGUCGUAGGAGAUGAAGGGGAAGAAGAGGAGAUGCUUAUGGCUAUUAGGGUUGCCAUUGUCUGCCUGUCGGAUUCGCCAGUGGAUCGGCCAUCCAGCGAUGAGCUCGUCGCGAUGCUAACGCAGCUCCACAGCUUAUAAUCAUCAUCAAUCAUUUCUUGAGAGCUGCAUAUGUUCUUCCAUCAUGGCACUGGCACAGCGCUAAAUCAUGUUGGAUCAAUGCUUAUUGCUUACUGCUGCACAAGUGAGUGUGUGGUAGUAGCUUUCAGUGUCUUGGGCUGGAGUGUCCAAGCCAAAUGGUCCACAAGGGAAGCAACAGUUUCAGAAUUACAAACAUGCAGCAGCUGCUCCCUGUGAUUUGAUUCAAAAUGUAGCCACAUGCUGGUGGCUGAGCUUCCUGGGUUGUUCUGCCCAUGGAGUUGUGAAUAUGUCUUUGUAGAAAGCUCUGUGGCAUGGAUCUGUUGCUGUAAGCUGUAGAAGGAUGAUGUGCUUGUGAAUUGAGAUCCAUUCAUGUACACCGGCUCCUCCACUCUGCCUGUGACUAUGAUGCCUAGUAUUUAACAGGCUGUUGGGCCCAAGUGCUCAACUGUUUCCACGGCAUUUCUCUGCAUCUCACGUGUUUGCAAGGGCCAAGGGAGAGCACUGCUGUGCUCAUGAACUGCUGGCCACUGUGCUUGACUCCAUGUGCAACUUGUUCAUGUAGACUCUGAUAGGCUCUUUGACUCUGUCUGACACUGAAAAAUAAUAAGAAUCCUAUGUGAGGCCGGACCGUUGGUAAAAUUAUCUUCUUGUCCCUGGCUCUGGACUGGAGAGCUGCAAGCACCAUUUCAGAAGGCUUUAUUGCCACCCAGCCUCCUUGUUUCGCAACCUCCUGCCUGGCUCCCUCCCUGUGAGGCUGUCUGUGACUGGACUGCAAAGGCCUGAAUGGCAUGCAUGGGCCUUGUGAAAAUUCUGAGUCCUGCACAGUGCAGGCAGGAUCAGGAUGGCAAGGCCUGCAGCGAUGCAGUGCACCAAGGCCUAUUGCCUGGACCGUGUGUCGAGCAAAGCAAGGUGCUGGUGGUACAAUGCAAUGCAUGCCAGUGGGCCACGCGUGCAACACGAGAAGGGGCCCAGUGGCAGGACGAGAGAGAGAGGAGAGCAUCCAGCAUCGCACAAGAGAGAGUACAGCAUGCAUGCCGCCUUGCAGGCUUUGCAUGUGGGCACUGAAAGGAGCAGCUGUUCCCGGUGGCCAACCUUUCCAUUUCUUUGGUAGCAGAAAGAUGAAAUAGGACCAUAGGAGAGGAACAUGUGCUAAAGAAGGGGCAUGCGGUAGGGGAAAAAAAGGGUACUAGGGGGACUAUGUCGAGCUUUUCUUUCUAUCUUUAUUUGAAGUUACAGGGGCUUCUCCUCUUUCAAAACAAAGCCAUGAACUACGUGAAUCGACUUUAUGUUUGGUGAAAUUAGCAUCAUUUGGGGAAAUGCUUGGCACACAAACUUUUGGUUCAUAUAAGGGAUGCUGCUCAAUGAUUCAAGGUACUACUCCCUCCGUUCCAAAUUAUAAGGUAUUUUAACGUGGUAUUUUAACGUUUCUACAUCCGUAGAUAUUAUUAUGCAUCUAAACAUAAGUUAUAUCUAAGUGCAUAAUAAAAUCUAUGAAUCUAAAUAAGUUAAAACGACCUAUAUUUAGAAAUCGAGGGAUAACAUUUUAAUGUCUUUGGUUGCAUAACAAAUGGGUUAUUAUGUAUGAACAUCGUGCCCUAGAGAAUUGGAUAUAUCGUACUCCUACCAUGGGGAAGCAUGAGAUGCGAAAGAGCGAGUAUAGAGCCCUUUUGGCAAGGCUCCAAAAACCGCUCCACUCCGGCUUCAUUUGAAGCUCUACCAAACACACAAAAAUAAAACAGCUUCACGGGAGAAGCUGGGCUGGAGCCGUUUGAGAAAUGAACUAUGCUGAAGGAGCUGAAAAAAAUAGCUCCUCCCGGCUCCUCCUCCACCUCGCAUCAGGGAAUACGAAACUACCCUGUAUUCAUCAAAAUCACACAUGAAUUACCACCCAAGUCCUAUGCUCCCUGUGCAGGCUUGGAGCAACGACGGCAGCCGGCAUAGGCGCGUGGGCCCGCUGGUCCUGCUUCGGCCGGCGCCAGCACGGCCAUAGCCAUGUCGCCCGCGGCUCCUCCGGGACUUGGGCAAGCAGUAGCAACGACAGCCGACAGGCGCGGGCAGCAGCAAUGGUAGAGCAGCAGCGACAAAGGAGCAUCAAUGGUGUUGGAGCAACAAGCUGGGAAGGCUGGGAAGGGGCGGUAGGGAGCAGCAGGCCGGAAAAAGGCCGGCGAGGAGAAGGGACACGAGGGGCCGUUGGCCUGUUACGAAUGGAUGAGGGGAAAAAAUGAGUGAGCAAGGGAGAGGCCGGAUAAGGAUAGAAAAAUAUGCGAAAAGAAAAGGGAAAAAAGAAAUCAUAAAUCGGUAUACAAGUAUAUUCAUUAAUCCUUCUUAUUCAUAUGAAAUCAUACUAUAUAUUGAGGAGAAAAGGAAAGUGCAAAUUGGACAUUUGACAUGUUUCAUCCAUCAAUGAAAAAUAGGAGAAGCUAUUCUGCCAAAUGAUUUUCAAAAAUGAUUUCAGCUUCGAUGAAGAAGUCGCUUCAUCGAAGGAGCUGGAACCGGAGCCGUUUUAGCAGGAACCACAGCUUUGCUAAACUAGCCCAUAAUUUGAGAGAUGGAGAGCAAUGUGAGCCUGCGUAGGCAGGCAUGAGGGCCCAAGCAAGGAAAUGACGGCGUGCAAGCAGCAGCAGGAGCAGCAGGCCGGCCAGCAGCGGCCAUCCAUGAUCCAUCGGCGGGGGCAUCGAGAGCGAGGCAGACCCGUGAGUGCCGUCCAGUGGGGGAUGUGUGGUUUAUCAGGCCACGGGCUGUACGGCCCACAGAGACGCAUCCCGGAGAAAGAACUCCCCGCCCGUCGGAUCCGCAGCUGGACGGCCCGGAUCAACCUCACCCCUCGGAUUCACCUCGGUAUAUAGAGAGCGCGCAUGGGGCAUCAUCAUCGGAUCCGCGAGGCCGAGCCUGUCGGGCCGUACGCCGGACGACGGCCCGCUUUUUACGGUCGCCGGAGUGACUGACUGAUAAAACUUGACAGGGAGAGAGAGAGAGAGAGAGACUGGAGAGACCACGUGUGUGCUUGGUACGCUCCUGGGCUCUCUCUCUCUCUCCACCCCAGAGCGAUCAUGGUGGGCCGUCUGCUUUGUUCUCUGACGGGGGGCCGUGCUUAGCCUACAGGCGAGUGGGCCGGCGCGUCCCCAAUCAGAGGAUCAGAUUGCAGCCGAGCAGACCAUAUCAGAUCGGGUGCACGCGUACCUGUUACGUACUCGCCAUUACUACGGUGACAACUAUCCGGCGUAUGUACCCACCGAUCGUUGUGGUAUGCGUGUACAUGUACGGUGUGUAUACUGGGGUGGUCCUGGCCCGGCGACGCGGAGGGAGGGCACUCGCUCAGGCACAGUACUCGGCUACUCGCACACGUCUCCAUCGGCCUGUAGCAACAAGGCCGGGAGGGGGCCGGCACGGGCACGGCCUCGGGCAGGCGUGCGACACGGCGCCACGACCUGUCGGCGUCUGUCCCUCCGCGCACCGUCCUCCUUGCCUCCUCCCCGUCUCCGGAAAGCAGCAGCUUUGACGACGCACGUCCUACUCUGGCUUGCUGCUCCGGCCACACGACAAUUGUAUCGCGAAUCGCAUCAAAAUCUUUGUACUGCUACAGUAUAUUUCACAGCUCCUCUCUUUUUUUUGGGGGAGGUUUCAGGCACGGCUAAUUUCAAGAUAAUUUGUCUAGGUUUGUGCUUAUUACGCGUUAACCUCUUGCUUUGGGGAAGUGGUUCCCGUGUUAGGGGGUGUUUGGCAGGAUCACAUCGGAUAUUCAGAUAUUAAUUAGGAGGACUAAAUAUGAGCUAAUUACAAAACUAAUUGCACAGGUGAAGUCUAAUUCGCGAGACGAAUCUAUUAAGGCUAAUUAAUCCAUCAUUAGCAAAUGGUUACUGUAGCAUCACAUUGUCAAAUCAUGGACUAAUUAGGCUUAAUAGAUUCAUCUCGCGAAUUAGACUCCAUCUGUGCAAUUAGUUUUGUAAUUAGACUAUGUUUAAUACUCCUAAUUAGUAUCCAAACAUCCGAUGUAACAGGUGCUAAAGUUUAGCACGGUGUUCCCAAACACCCCUUAGUAGUAGUAGGAGGAGGAGCGGCAGGGGGCGUUUUCCUUUUUUGUUUUGUUUGGAGGUGACUUUUGUUCCUCUGGACGGGAAGCACACGGGGACAGCGACCACCACCAGCACGCGCGUGGGUUGAAUGUUCCUUGCCCUUCCCUGUGCGUUUGCGUGUGCAUUUCGGAGGGUUUUUCACCGGGAUGCAAUGCAAUUCGGUGGGGAGUCAACUCUCACCCCCUCAGCAUUCCUCACGGUCACACCCUGAUUAAACCUUUGCACGCGAUAUAAUUCCUCGGCAGAAUUUGACGAUGGCUAUUCACGUUGCUGUCAUGCAUAAUAGUAGCGUUUUCUGAACCAUACCAGGUACUCCUAGUUAGUAGCCUUUUCGUCCAGAAUGACUAGGCAGCCUAGCCCUAGACUUGGUUUGGACUUCUUCACAGACACGGGGAAAUAUCAAAUAUCUGGUUCAGAAAACUCUCCAAAUUCCAGCGUGUUCGGAUGUAACGUGAGACUCGGAUGCUGCGGAUUCGCCCUGAAGAAUGUUAGGCCAUGUUUAGUUACUCCCAACUUCCAACUUUGACACUAUGCAAAAAGAAGAUUCCCCAUCACAUCAAACUUGCGGUACAUGCAUGGAGUACUAAAUGUAGAUGAAAUUAAAAACUAAUUGCACAGUUUUGUUGUACUUUGCGAGACGAAUCUUUUGAGCCUAAUUAGUCAAUAUUUGGAUAAUAAUUCACAAAUACAAACGAAACGCUACAGUGUGCUACAGUGCUGUAACAGUAAUUUGGCACCUCCCAAAUUCCCCAACUAAACAAGGCCUUAGCCCAAGCCAUGGACGAGCGACCAUCCACAUCGAAAACCUGGGAUUUGGGAAAAGAAGAGGUCAAAUGGAGAAGAGGUGUGGAAAAACCGAUGCGCUGCCAAUCGCAAAGAGUUCGUCGACAGACGGAGAUGGCACCGAAACGAAACGAGGCCUAGCAAACUACAGGCGCUCCCAACCACGACCCCCCACUAGGAUCCACUGGCAGCGACAAGGCGGUCGCCAUUCCCGGCCUGCCCAUCCCCAACUCCUCCAGUUCCAAAAAAAGAAGAAAAAGAAAGAAAAACAAGUCCUCCGUGCGGAGCAGAGGAAUUAUUAGCCAAUCGAGUCAAAGCUAAUCGAUCGCCACCAAACUCCAUCGCCGAUGCUAAUUUCCUCCGGAAAUAAAUGCGGAUCGGGCCAGAUCGCGGGUACAAUUUUCUAGCGUUUUCCUUUAUUUUUUGCAAAGAAGAAGGAAAAAAACAUGCCUGCUCUACAUGGGGAUUAUAGUUUGUCGGGGCGUCUCCAUUAUCAUUUUGUCAGCAUCGGUUCCGGCUUAAUUAAUUACGAGAUUGCCGGCACUGGAUUUAGCAGCGUGUGGUCGACGAGUCCAAAUCCACGCAGUGUGGUGGGCUGGUGGCGGAGGUUAACAUGGCUGGCUGGCUGGGCUUAACUUGAGGCAGCGUACAAAUUACGGAGACCAAUCUCCGGUCCAUCCAAUGGCCGAGCUACGUGUGUACAGACGCAGCACAAAAAGGCAUGGAAAAUGCUACUACCAGUAGUGAUGGUGUUAACCCCGGCUCGGUCUACGCGUCCGUGUCCCUGUCCGACGUGGCCCUGUCGGCUGAGCUGGAAGGACAGCUCAAGCCAUGACUCUCCACUAAACUUCACCGCUGGCGACGACGUAGGACGACGAGCAAAACAUGUGGAGGAACUCGGUCCUGGGCGUGUGCUUUGCUCGAUCCGAUCUCGUGCCGUGCCGACCGGCAACAGGAGUGGGCGAGGGAGGUGGGGGGAAAAAAAAAGUAAAAAGGCGGGCAGGGGCAGCGAUGAUAUGGUAGUACGCUAAUCAAGGGACCAGACGGAUUAAUCAACAAACCAUCCAUCCAAUUAAUUGAUUAAUUAAUCAAUCCAUCCGGCUGGAUUCCUUGGAUGCAGCAGUGCAGGAGCAGUAGCGCCUGGUGGUGGUGGUAGGCUAGGCGGCAGGUUAGGUCUUCACGUCAGGGUACGAUAAACUAAACAAAUCCUGGAGGGAGGAGGAGUAAUUAUCGUCGCUAAUGACCCGGUAAUGAUGACGGCGACGAGACCGGCUGCGCUGCGAGGCAACAGGAGACAGCGCCCUCCUCCUCCUCCUCGCAACCUAGGAUUAUCGCCGCGGCGUCCAUCCAUGCGCGCGCCCGCGGAGCACGUCAAAGGUGGGGGCCCGGGCGCCACACCGCCGCGGGAUUAGUUUAAUCCACCGCGAUGAGGCAGCGGGAUUAGCCGAUGGGAUUAGAUUAAUCGGCUGAUCGGGGUGUGGUGGAGAUGCCGAGACGAUGCUGCUGCCGCUGCUGCUGUCACUGUUGCCUUUGCGAUUAGUUUAUUGGGAGGCCCCCGGCGACGGGAACAGGAGCGCCCCCCCGCCCCGCGUGCCGUCCGAUGCCGCGACACCGCCGCGCCUGCCCCCCUCGCCCCCGGCGCGCCAACCCCGUCGCCGUCAGCCGCGGCCGGCCCGAGCCCAAAAACCCCCCUCCGCCACUUUCUGUUCCUUUCACACCGCAAUUAUUGGCCCCUCUUUCUUCCUUUCUUUCGUCGGGACGGACAUCCAAAUCCUUCCAUCCUGAUUAAACUACUAAACCCUCGCGAUGAGGUUGUUAAUCUCUCUGGCUCUCUGCGCUGUUGCGUUGGUGAUGGUGUGCUCGCACGCGAGCUGAGCUGCCUUUUCCUUUGGCCUCCCCACUUUAUUAUGCGCUAAUAAUAUUCAGAACCAGAAAGAAAGAAGGGAAGAAAAAGCGCUGGCCACGUAUCAUUUGUCGCCAUUGCUCGCUGAUAGAGUAAUUUGCAGGCAUAAAGCUGUGCGUGUUUAUCUUCUUCUUCUUCUCUAAACACUGGGCCCCACCAGCCUAGAUUAGGGGAACAGUACCAUCACCAAGUUGAGGGUGGACGCCCUCGUUAAUGCCCCCAUUUAUGCCAUCAGCGUAGGUGAGCUCCGGCGCCCCCUCUUUUCGCCCCGGAAAAAGAAAUCUGCGCGUACGUGUAGGACGUUGGUUGGCUGCCAGGGCAGGGACAGGGGUUUUCUAUUGAUUUCCGUUUAGGGGCUUCCUCUGCCUUGCCUUUUAUGGGCCGCGAUAAAAUACUCUUGACCUUGCUUAACACUUCCAGUUCAAGCUCUGCUUUGCUUCGCCGAAAAUCCAACCCCCCCUUCCUUUUUUAUUUCUUGGGUACCUGCAUCCAUCGCUUGCCGGAAUUCCACACCUGGGCGUGGAAAAGAAAACCAUGGCUGAACUAACCCAUCGUAGUGUGGAAAAGAGAGGCUUAUCACAUUAGCUGCUAGUCCAUUCGUGGGAUAAAAAUGCAACGAAAGGGAGUGCCACUGGUCGCAAAAAUAGAACGGCUAAGACCUCUCAAGUCUUUCCUGUCCAUUUCCGCCACCGAAAAAUAUCUCGUAUUUUUCAGAAAAAGAGUAAUAUUAAUGUGGACUAAUAAUUGGAAGUGUGACGUGUCAGUUGGACUUCAACACGUUAAUUCUCUGCAAACACAUUCAACAAUUGCCCGUCACUUUAGGAUUUGCCACCACGAUCAAACAAAAAAACCAAAACAGCAGUGCAAUUCCAGGAACCAUUCAUGUUUACUGUACUGUUAAUUCCACGUCUAGCCUGCUGGCAUACUACUCGUAAUGUUUAGCAGUAAGACACGCCAUUAACGAGGCCUUCUUGCUAGUACGAGUCACGACUCACGCGUGGACCUGAAAAGCCACACGGAAAUGAAUGGCAGCCAGCGCUUCAUGUUCGUUGCGGUGAAUUUUUCGGUAUCAAAAAACAACCUCGGCCAUUUUUCUUAUGAAAAAAGAAAACCUCGGCCAUGUUCACAUUUUAUUCGGAGGAAAAAAAAGAAAAAGAACAGCAUAGCAGGGCGGUGCAGUGCAGCAGAGAGAGAGAGGGCACUGUUGUGGCGUAGGUGUCCAUUCUCCAAUGAAUUGCGCCCCCUAUAAAGCCGUGUGCGUCCGUAGGUGUGGUGGUGAGGUGCGCGGCAGCGGCCGUCGUCAGUGCUCUGCUGCACAGCACUGCACCCACCAGCCAGCCCCCCCCCCAACCCAUCGCUCGCUGCUGCAGGCCGGUAAAAGACCAGACAGCCCCGCACACGCAAGCACAGGCCCGGACCCACCAGACGAACCGGGCCGAGCCGGCCGCCCGGACCGAACCGGUGGUCCUCGCUGAGAACGAGAAGGGCGUGAGGGGAAGGAAAGCCAACGCGGUCGGUCGGGUCACCACCGGCUCUCGGCUUUCUUUUUGUCCGAACGCCACCGCGCCUGCCUUGCACUGCCCGCCUCCCUCUCCCUCUCUCUCCUCUUGUUCCUAUCUCUCUCUAGGAUUGAGGAGGGGGCUCGUGGGUGUGUCUCUCUCUACUCCCUACAAAGAGACCACACCAAAUCCCCCUACCCCAUCUCCUUCCUCCCCCCCACAAAAACAUUUCUCCCCCUUCGACUGCUGCUGCCGCUGCCUCCCCCUUUCCGCCUGCCUUCCCCUUUCCCUCCCCACCUCCCUCCUUCUAGGGUUUCCCCCGCCGCCGCCGCCGCCGCCACCCGAUCCGAGGCAGAUGCCGCCCGCCAUCAUGGCGCCGCCGCCGACGCCCCAGGCACCGUCGAACUCAGGUACGCGCGCCGCUCCGGCGGCCAGAUCCGGUCAGCUUCGGCGGGCUGCUGGGUUUUUCUCUCCCUUCCGCUCGCCGGCUCUCCCGGCUGGGCUACCCGUGCUCUCGUGCUCAUGGGUGGCUGUGUUCCGGCAGGGGAUCCGCUGUACCCGGAGCUCUGGCGCGCCUGCGCCGGCCCGCUCGUCACCGUCCCGCGCCCCGGUGACCUCGUCUUCUACUUCCCGCAGGGACACAUCGAGCAGGUACCUUCUCCAGCUACAACCGCUUCCCCUGCUUCCGCUGGACCUGGUUUCCUCUGUUCCUGGCGCUGAUUUUGUGCUGCUUGGGGUCUUUUCAGGUGGAGGCGUCCAUGAACCAGGUCGCCGGAAACCAGAUGCGACUCUACGAUCUGCCCUCCAAGCUGCUCUGCCGCGUGCUCAACGUCGAGCUCAAGGUUCCUCCUCUUCCCGCUGUGCCCCCCCCCCCCCCCAAAUUUUGCUGCCAAUUCGCGUCUCUUUUCUCUGCGGCCAGCAAUUUCAGUCUUGAUGCUUACGAGCUUUCCCAAUUUUAACAGGCGGAGACGGAUACCGACGAGGUCUACGCACAGAUCAUGCUGAUGCCAGAGCCCGAGGUAGUCUAUUGACUCCAGAGGGUUCAUUUUGGGCGUGUAUUUGGGGAUUUUUUUUCCGGUAUGAGCAGAUGCUUACUUGCGCGCUGCUCGCUCGUGCAGCAGAACGAGGUAGCGGCUGAGAAGGCGAGUUCUGGGUCUGCCGCCACGCCGAGGCCAGCAGUCAGGUCCUUCUGCAAGACUCUCACCGCGUCCGACACCAGCACACACGGUGGCUUCUCUGUGCUGCGCCGCCACGCUGACGAGUGCCUCCCUCCCCUGGUGUGUGUUCUCCAUCCCUUGUGGAUUUUCUACUAAUAAUAGAACAGAGACGCAUGUACUUCUGCUUAAGAUGUCCGUCUUCGGGUGAGCUUAUCUCCUUUGUUUUGUCGGCAGGAUAUGACCCAGUCGCCUCCCACACAGGAGCUUGUGGCGAAGGAUCUGCAUGGCAUGGAGUGGCGCUUCCGCCACAUCUUUCGUGGUAAGUUGUGUUCCUCUCUUCCCUGGGAUUUAUUGCAUCCUUUUCACUGGUCGUCUAUGCUUUGGGUUUGUUCGAUCUGUUGCACCAUUACUGUAAUUGUCUUGUGCGAUGCCGAUUUGGGCAGUAAUUGUAAUUUAUCAUAGCCAAAUUUUCACUAUGAUAUAUUGCAUCUGUCUACUGAAAACCUUGUUUAUGUACUUGAUGUGGAUCAUUGAUGGGUUUAUGCAAAAUCGUCAGGGCAACCUAGGAGGCAUCUCCUUCAGAGUGGCUGGAGUGUGUUUGUUAGUUCUAAAAGGCUUGUUGCUGGCGACGCCUUCAUUUUCCUCAGGUCUGUUGAUGUUCCCUGCCCACCAAGCAUGAUAGCAAUUUCCGAAUCCAGUGCUAAGUUUCUGUUGUGCCUUCUGCAGAGGAGAAAAUGGUGAACUUCGAGUUGGUGUUAGGCGGGCUAUGAGGCAGCUGUCGAACAUACCUUCUUCAGUCAUAUCUAGCCAAAGCAUGCACCUCGGAGUCCUUGCAACUGCUUGGCAUGCCAUCAACACUAAAUCCAUGUUCACUGUGUACUACAAACCUCGGUAUGUUGAAAUGUCUGCAAAAAAGCCGAUUACAUUUUUGAGACAAAUAUACUGAUUUGUCUUGGUUAUCUUGCAUGAGAUUGUGACCUGCAAUCUGUUCUAACUAAAGAUAGUGUACCCUGUGUCUGAUCUCUAAAUACCAAUGUUAGGACGAGCCCCUCAGAGUUCAUCAUACCAUAUGAUCAGUAUAUGGAGUCAUUAAAAAACAAUUAUUCUAUUGGGAUGAGAUUUAGGAUGCGGUUUGAAGGUGAAGAGGCACCAGAGCAGAGGUAAUUAUCUUAUUGGCCUUCUGUACUCGCCUUGUUUCUUGUCACCUCGUCGCAGCAUUCUCUCUGGUGGUUAUUUGCCGUUACUCAAAGUAAUUAUUGUGAUAUAUCGUUAUCUUGUCCUGUAGGUUUACUGGUACUAUAGUUGGUUGUGAAAAUCUUGACCCACUAUGGCCUGAUUCAAGUUGGAGAUACUUGAAGGUAACUGCUUGUUUAAUGUUUACUACUGCCAUUAUGAUCGAAAAUUUUGUGCUUAUGGAGGAUUGGUUUUUUUAUUAUUAUUGUAGGUGCGUUGGGAUGAGCCUUCAACUAUCCCACGUCCAGAAAGGGUCUCUCCUUGGAAGAUAGAGCCUGCCUCAUCACCUCCUGUCAAUCCCCUUCCAGUUUCUUCUAGAGUCAAGAGACCUAGACAAAAUGCUCCCCAGCCUUCACCUGAAUCAUCUGUUCUUACAAAAGAAGGCAAGUUUGAGAUCAUUUCAGUUUCAAGCGUAAGGGUGAUGAAAAAUACAACCUUGCUAAUGCUGUUCAAAUUAUCUGUGCAAUUUGCAGGUGCAUCUAAGGUUGAUAUUGGUUCUGCUCAAACACAACAUCAAAACUCGGUCUUGCAAGGUCAAGAGCAGAUGACCUUGAGAAACAACAUGAAUGAAAGUACCGACUCUGAUGCCACUGUUCAGAAACCUAUGAUGUGGUCCCCAUCACCCAAUGGGAAAACCCACACUAGUUUUCAGCAGAGACCCUCUAUGGAUAAUUGGAUGCCAUUGGGAAGGCGUGAAACUGAUUUCAAGGACAACCGUUCUGCAUUCAAGGAUGCCCGUACAUCCUCUCAAUCAUUUGGAGAUACCCAGGGGUUCUUUAUGCAAACUUUUGAUGACAAUCAGCACCGUCUUUCUUUCAACAAUCAGUUUCAAGAUCAAGGCUCAGCUCAUCGCUUUGCGGACCCAUACUUCUUUAUGCCUCAGCAACCUUCUCUGACUGUUGAAUCAAGCACAAGGACGCAAACAGCAAACAACGAGUUGCGAUUCUGGAGCGAUCAGAAUACGGUCUAUGGUAACACAACUGAUCAGCAGGGUUUCAGAUAUGGACAGAAUCCAUCAAAUUGGUUGAAUCAGCCAUUCCCCCUGGUUGAACAGCCACGAGUUGUCAGACCUCACGCAUCGGUUGCUCCAUUUGAUUUAGAGAAGACAAGAGAAGGCAGCGGGUUUAAGAUUUUUGGGUUCAAAGUUGAUACCGCGAGUGCAUCUCCUAUUCAGUUGAGCUCUCCGAUGUCUGCAAUGCGGGAGCAUGUGGUACAAACUCAACCAUCAGCAUCGGUGAAUGAAUUGCAACCCGUGCAAACUGAAUGCUUGCCUGAGGGGUCUGUAAGCACAGCUGGAACAUCAACUGAGAAUGAGAAAAGCAUUCAGCAAGCUACACAAAGUUCAAAAGAUAUUCAAAGCAAGUCCCAGGGUGCUUCAACAAGGAGUUGCACGAAGGUACCGUUGUUUUACCUGUUCAUGGACAUAACUUGUCUGUACUUAUGUUAUCCUGUCUGUGCAAAUGAAUAGGAAUGUCCUAGCAGUUAUUGGCACAUUCAUUUAUCGAAGCAAAAUCGAUUUAUAGCCUUGUUUAGGUAGUGAGUAUUGCUCAAGAAUUGUUUAAAUCCUAGGGAUUUGGAUCCUGAACCUCCCUUAUCCAAACAGACCACUUGACUGUCCCUUAACUGAAAAUUGUUCUUUUGGCUGACACUAAUAAAACCAGACAGUGAUUGCUUGAUGUGCCUCCUAGGUUGCCUAAUUUUAGGUUUGUCCAUGUGAUAUAAGCUUCAAUGGUUUUGUGGUUACAUUAGUGCUGCUGAUUGUUAUUAUUUGGGGGGGGGAAAGACAGCACUUAAACGUGAUCUGCUUGAUGAUACAUAGAUCCUUUCCUGUUCUGCAUGGAUUUAUUUUGGUGUUCAUUUAUGUUUUCAUGAUUAAAUAAUGGAUUAUUCAGUCCCGUGUAGAGUGCCUUGUUUUUACUUUUUACAGAUUACAACAUUGCAUAUUUGUAGUGCCUACAUUUUUCUGGAGGUCUAUCCUCUUCAAUUUACGCUUCUCUUUCAACAUUCUCCAGGUUCAUAAGCAAGGAGUUGCACUUGGCAGAUCUGUGGACCUCUCAAAGUUCAGUGACUAUGAUGAGCUCAAAGCAGAACUAGACAAAAUGUUUGAAUUUGAGGGUGAAUUGGUAUCUGCUAACAAGAACUGGCAGAUUGUUUAUACCGACAAUGAGGGUGAUAUGAUGCUUGUGGGAGAUGACCCGUGGGAGUAUGUCCUUAUCUUAGUGCUCGCUCGAUAAGUGUAUGAGCUUUCAUUCCAAUAUUGACACAGUGCAUUAUUUUAUUGAGCAGAGAGUUCUGCAGCAUAGUGCGCAAGAUCUACAUUUACACGAAGGAGGAGGUCCAGAAGAUGAACUCAAAAUCAUCUGCCCCAAGAAAGGAGGAACCUCCAGCUGCUGGUGAAGUAUGUGCAGCCACAAAUGAGUAGGGCUUGUCUGCCUGCAGCAAGCAUUUUAGAUAACUAGGUAAGUCCACCAAAUUGGUCCUUAGUAUUUUGUUCUGUAUAAUUUAUGGAAAAUGAGUUUUUAAAUAAACUAAAGAAACAUCUAUAUGGAAAGAAAGAUGGCAUGUUACGUAAGCAAAGCUAAAGUUUAGGGAUGGUAAUAUUAAUAUCUGUAAAUGCAUUGUAAUAUUCAGCAUGCAGUAGGCUUUUGUCACAUGGUGCUGCUGUUUGCCAUGAUAAGCUGCACCGAAGGGGACUAAUCUUCCUGCUAUCGCUUUUUGGCAUGUGUAUGUAGGUUGUGUGAAGGAAGCUGACGAUGCAUGAAGAGGAACUUGCAUUGUGCCGGGUCCCAGCCAAGUAACACCUCAAAUCUUUUGCUUGUCUGUUGCAGCCCAUCCCAUCCCAUCCCAUCCGUCUGGGUUUAGUAGGGAAGUGUAGACCUGUCAAUUUACUUCUCCGCGGUUUGCUCUUGGCAGAAAGUUGAAGGGCCGAGGUUCUUAUUGUUAUUUUUAUUGCUGAUUUGCCUCUCUCACCCUUUUGGAUGUAAAUAUUUAUCUACCCAGUCCAGUAGUAGCAAGCAGUAGCAGUACCUUUGUAUUAACCAGCUAUUCGCGGCUUUUUAAUCCCUGUAAGCUAGCUCUGUAGCGUGAGAUAAAUGACAAACACUGGUAUAUGUAUGUCUGAUCUUCUCGCUGAAUGUAUUAUAGUAAGAGAGUUAAUAGAGGACCCCAGGCACCUCCCCUUGCUGCCCUCAGAUGCUUUAUUGGUGUAAACAAAUUCAUGUCGCUUGCAAUCCCUGUGAUGGCGACGGUGACCUAAAGGCAAGGCACACCCUCUAUUUUUGUCAUGCAUGAUUGGCGAUGGGAAUGCCGGAGCGAGCGGCAAUUGUCUGGCGGGGCCCUUCUCCUCCUUAUCUCCUUCUCCCUGCCGGGUGAUGCAACGCGAUUGCGCAGAGCAAGGCAAGUCGAGCUGGGACUCUUGAGUUGUGGACACGAAUCCUUGUCCGCUUUUGGUGUGUUUUGGUAAUGAGGGAGACCACGGAAGCGUUGGUGGUGCCGAGCAAUUCCAGGGAAAGUGAGCCGGGACAUCCAACCAACCAACCAACGGAAGGGUGUGGUUGACGGACGCUGAUCCUGCCUGCCUGCCUCCCCCAGUGCUGCGCCGUUGGCCCCUUGCCUCCCCUCCCCGUGGAAAAAAACAGCGUGCGGCGAGGCAGGUGGGCACUGGGCAGGUCGUGAAAGGCCUAGUGUAUUUCUUUCCUUCCCCACUUGGCGCCAUCAGUAUCUUGUUUGACCCGUCCACGUAGUUGCUUCCCCGGCUUGCAAUUACAGUGGCAGUUGCGCUGGCUCGGACUCGAAGGAAGCGUGCGUGCACCGGCGCCGCCUCGGCCGGUCAACAUGGUUUUGCCUCCGAUCCGGCGAGGACACCGGAACACGAGCGUACACAGCCGUGUAAAGUGACCUCGCUUUUGCGAUGUGCGCGAGGCCGGAUGGGGUCGAAACGUGGCGAGGCGAUGAGAUUCGCUGCACCCGGUCUCGUGCGCUGCCUGCCUCCUGCCUCCAUCUCCAUGGGUCCGGCGCGGGAACGUGCCAAUCCUUCCUACGAGCGCCGGUCAGUCACUGCUGCGGCGGCCGCUGUCGUGGCUGUCGUGGCACCGCCUGCUCCCACCAUGGCCUACCACGGAUGCAGCAGCAGUGGAGUGCGCCACGCCCAAGCCGGGUCGAAGCUUUGACUAGGUGCUGGGCCCCGGCCGGUCGAAUUUCCUUUUCCUUUUUUUUGGCAAAAAAAGAAGGAAUUAAAGACGUCGAUCUCGAUCCUCAUCUACGAGCAGUUUGACUGGAUCUGGACACGGCGGGUGACGACGGGGCGGCGAUCUGGUAGGGUUCGCGCUCGGUUCUCCCUGUCGAGGACGCAGGGGGAAUCAUCAUGGCCUCGCGUACCGGCGCUACUGCCCCCCCGGCGGCCCGGCCAGCCUCCGCCUGCGUUCUGCCUGUUGCAGCAGCAGGCAGCAGAGGUCAGAUUGCACUGAAGCGAGAUGCAGUAGCAGCAGUACAACGGGAUGACGAAACUGACAUGCCGGGCCCACCGUGCAGUCGAGGGCCCCACUCCGAGGCGCAUUUAUACCGUAUUCAUUACGCCGUGGGCUGCUGUGCUACUGACCUGCUGAGUGCUGACUACUGUAGUAGCGUCGUCCUCAGCGGCUGGGACUACUUCAAACUGCAGCGGCAGCUAUCACUGACUAGUUUGGGCGGUUGGAUGGAUCCGCGUCGUCGUUUGGUACAGCAGCAGUGCAGAGGCAAGCGAGCCCAGCAGCCCAGCCCACCAAGAGAGAGGCAGGUGGGGCCGCCGCGCGCUGCACCGCACCGGGCUGGGGCCCAACCAAUGACGCGGACGGGAAAUGGAUCUUGGCAGGCCGCAGGCCAGUCCAAGCGCGUGGCGACAAGGCCGGCUUUACUCGUGGCCGCAGCGCCUGGGCCCCAGCCUCCGCCUACCUCAGCACGCCCACGCCUCGUCGUCUCUGACAGUCUGACCUCGUUUUUCUCACGCUACGGGGCUGUUUGAUAAAGGUGUUAGACUUUAAUCUUAUCACGUUCGGAUAGUAAUUAGAACUAAACACGAACUAAUUAUAAAACUAGUUGUAGAACCUCUAAACUAAUUCACGAGAUGAAUCUAUCAAGCCUACAUAAUUUAUCAUUAGCAAAUGAUUACUGUAGUAUCACAUUUUCAAAUUGUGAACUAAUUAAGUCUAAUGGAUUCAUCUCACGAAUUAGCCUUUAUCUGUGUAAUUAAUUUUAUAAUUAGACUAUGUUUAGGAGCCGUUUGGUUCCCGAGGCUAAACUUUAGCCCGUGUCACAUCGAAUGUUUAGAUAUUAGGAGUAUUAAAUAUAGACUAUUUACAAAAUCCAUUACACAGAUGGAGGCUAAACAUCGAGACGAAUCUAUUAAGCCUAAUUAGUCCAUGAUUUGACCAGUGCUGCUACAGUAACCAUUUGCUAAUGAUGGAUUAAUUAGGCUUAAUAGAUUUGUCUCGCCGUUUAGCCUCCAUCUGUGUAAUUAAUUUUAUAAUUAACUCAUAUUUAGUUCUGCUAAUUAGCCUUCGAAUAUUCGAUGUGACACGGACUAAACUUUAACUCCAGGAACCGAAUACCCUCUUAAUACUCCCCUCUUAAUCCUCCUAAUUAGUUUGUAAACAUCCGAUGUGAUUUAGCCUCCUCAGUCGAACACCCCUUGCGUCGACGUCGGAGCAGCAGAAAUGGUGUGCUCGGACUCGCCCGGUCUUCGUCUUCCCGUAUGGUCUGAGUAUGCAGGCCGGGCGCGGGCACCGACGCUUCCGUUGAAAAACACACCAGCAUUGGGUUUACCGAUCGACGCUGUAGCGAAGUGAAUGCUCGUAGUAGCUACUCCGGCCAGCUCCGGCCGGCCCGCCGCCGCGUCCUGGGGAGACGCCGACGGGGAACGUCCAGGAACCCGUGUCAGCGCUGCAUCUUUGACGUGGUUGCACUGCACGCAGGAGACGACCAGACCGGCAGUCGUUUUCGUGGAACACGCAAAACAACACGACCCCUCCAACUGUCAAGACACCGUGUUUACUCUCGCUGGUGGUGUCGUCCUCUGGUCUACAGACUACAGGUCUAGUACGCGCACGUACGUGUGAUCACAGCUGGCACAGUAGCACUCUUGUAGACUGUAGACCUGUAGUAGCGAACCCAGCCACAGCUUGACCGGAUCAUACUCGCUCUCGCUCGUACUUGCAUAGUUCAUACAUGCUCCACAUCCUUGCCAUUAUAGCGAAGCCAUGGCGAGUACACACUGUGUUCAUUGAUGUGUGCACAACUGUGCAUUCAAAUGCUGUUCAACUGCUCAUUGUUAUCUCUCUCAAAAACAUCCAUUCAGUGUUCAUGCACAAGCGGUGUUCGUUGUGUUCACCCGAGUUGGGAACAAUAAAAAGCCAUGUCUUUUUUCAGCCAUUCAGUGGGAAGCAGACUGACAAAUUAAAUACACAAUGCUGUUCACGCAAAGCGGAUUAAGCCACUGAUGAUGGAGAUAGAUGACAAGGUGGAGCUGAUGCUGGAUAACAUGCUGGAGACGGCGACCUGUAUCGGUCAACCCACCAGCAGGUUCUCCGUUUCAACUUGUGUGAGAACAUCCUCGUCCUCGAAGAAUGCCUGAUGGAGGGCUUUGAUGCAGGCCUUCGCCUCGCUGUCAUGAACUAUCAGCGACAUGUUAACCUGCGCAGGAUGAAGGCAUGGGUAACGUUGGAGCCAGAUCAUGCAUACAUGAGGCACUCAGUUUCGUUUGCUAUGAUAACUCUGGGUACAGCGAAUUAGUACCUUGGAUGCCCCUUGUGAGAUCAUCUGAAUAUUGACACCGCAUUUCCUCAGCACCUGGAAGGUCUGAAGAUUUAUAAGAUGGUUAGCGUGUGGUUCGCAUAUCAAAAGAGCAAAGACAGGAAAAUCUAGAAACAUUUCUGUUCAAAAUGUGCAAAGUACUGUACCUUUUCUAGUAUAAGAGAUGAUCGUUUCACGUUUCCGAUGAGCGAAAUUAUUGCCCUCUGCUGAAGUAGAUGAACAAUUGCUAUUUUCUCAAGCUCUUCGACUACAUUGUCAAGUUCCUACAAGAUUGGUAACAAUAUUGAAGCACAGAGAAUUAGUAACAGAUAUAGUGUCAAACUCAUGUACUUCUACUUGCUAAUUUUCCUUAUGACCGAAUGAAAUUCAGUAAGAGUACAACUAGUUGUCAUUAGGCAUUCAGAUAGAAGCACUUGCCUGCUGAAUAAGUUCCCUACUCCAGAUCUUUGAUGGAUCAAGUGACACAGAAAUGCUAACUUCACUAGUGGCAACACAAUCCACAGAUAUGCCUAGAUCUUCAAAUAUAGAAAAUACCUGCUCAAGCUCAUACAUACAGAGAUAAGAAUACAAUGAAAUAUAAGUAAACAAAAUGGCUCAGUGGUCAACGUACCCUUGCCAGAAAACCAAACUGACCAAGCAUCCGAGUGCUCACUAUGUCCAACAUAGUGACAUUUGACUUCAGCACUAUACUAGUAAGUACAACCUAAUAGUGAAAAAGAGGGGGGGGCAAAAUCAAUGCCACGAGAGCCAAAACACAUGUUGUGAGAAUACACCUUGAAUAUUCUGACACACACCUUAUCCAUCUCUCUUUGUUUAGUGAUAAGGGUGCCUGGAGCUUUAGGGUUGUAUGAAUUCUUAACCCUAACUGGUAUAUCACCUUCUCUAGCAGGUCUCAUUGAUUGUGGAUGCAAAACCUGCAUCGGAGCGGAACAAUCCAUUGUAAUGAAUCUAAGUUAUAUUGAGUAAAGGAGUAUCUAAGGCUGACAUCGUGAGCUUCAUCUACAAUUCAUUAUGAUUACAAAUGCAAAUGCCCACCAACACACCAUAUUUCGGAUAAACAACAGAGGGCAUUCAGUUUAUCUUCUGAACUCUUAAUAAUGCACUAAAGAGUGUAGGUAUAAAAUGCGUUUGGCAGUGUUUGAUUUUUCAAAAGCGUGCAACUGAACGAUGUAUUUAUUCAUUGUGUUGAGAAGGAUGUUACAUAUAAUACAUAAAGUCCUGAAAAACUGCAACGAACAUGAAUUAUCUUGUGCCUACCAUCAUUGUAAUCUAGUUAAGAAUACUCUUCUUGAACAAUCUUAGACACUCAAAAUAUUUUUUUAGAAAGAAUCAGUAGUGCUCAAAAUGAAUUAUCAAUUGCCAUUGCCAGGUAUAAUCACAAUUCCACUUUAGAAUCUUCUUUAACAAUCUUAGAUACAUAAACAUUUCUUGGAAAAAAAAGUUUCUGAUCUUCGCUCAAAAUGAAUGCAUACCUGGGCACCAAAAUAAGCAAGUUCUGUAGCCUCUUCAAAUGUUAAGUACGGAACAGUCUUUGCAUGUGGGUAGAUAUUUGGAUCACAAGUGAGUACACCAUCAACAUCCUUCCAUACCUAUCAUAGGCACAGUCUGCUUUCAGACCAAACAUGCAGUGAAUGGGGAUAAGCAACAAUUUUCUUGAAAGUACAUGCUAGCUUAAUUAUUAGCAUGAAUCAAAUGUUGGCUCAACAUUUUGUCGUUAGAAAGAAAAAUAUGGUUUAUUUGAUAUCUAUUCAGACUUAACAUAGACCUGAAUUUCUCUCAGUCCCAAGGCUUUACCAAUGGUUGUAGCAGUCAAGUCACUACCACCUCGGCCUAAAGUAGUAACAGCUCCUGAUUUCCAGCCCUGCAAGUGCAAGUGAUGGAAGUUGUGAUAGAUAAUAAGUUGCUUCGUUAAUGAAUAGAUUGUUUGUGAUGAGAUACCUUCCCAAGGAAUCCAGUUACUACGGGUAUUGCUGGAUCCCGUAUCCAGUCUCCAUGAAGUCUCUUAGCAACAGCAGGAUAAGUUGCUUCCAAGACAUCAGCGUUACCGAAAUCGUCUGUUGUUAUGAAACCAAUAUCAAAUGCGUCAUACUGCACAAGAGUUUGAAAAUAGAAUUAGCCAACAUGAGUUUACAUCAGGGCAUAACGCUGAAGAAGUUGGAUACAUAUGGAUAUACAUAGGGGGUUUUCAGCCUGUCUGGUUAAAUUUAUGGGUCCCUGUAUCAAAGUGAGACAUCUGAGAAAGGAAAAUCAAGCAACAACCUAUCUUCAAAUUACAAUGUUCAGUUCAGAUUGUAAUCAAGCACUUGAUUGUAUGUUUAUGGCAAUUCCGAAUCAGUCACACAAGUGUACAUUUCCAGCAACAAUGAAGCAUAGUCCCAAGCAGGUUGGGCUAGUCUAGAGAUUUAAACCAACAAGUUUACAUUUCUAAAUAUCAUAAAAAUAAUCAAAGAAUCUUUUCCACCAAUGAAAGAAAUCAAUGAACGAAUCAGUAUUGAAAUGUGAAAUUUCUGCAGAAUACUAGUGGAAUGCAACUAACAAAAUGAGCUGAGACUUGAGAACAUGAAAUGAUUAAGCAGUAAAAGAUUCAGUGACUAAUCAAAUUUUCAGGGUAUCCCACAAUAGGAGAGGAAUAUUACAACAAAUUCAUGAAGGUUGGUGCACUCGUAACCUGAGAAGAACACUGAUUUAAGGUGAUUGAAGGAAAUGUCAAGCAGUACCUGCCGUGCUUUGACACCAAUUUUGUUCAAAUAAGCAGCAAAGAUCCGUGUGGACAUGCAUUCUCCAAAUGAAACAAGGUAGUCUCUGGUUCGAAGUGUCAGCUCUUUCAUCAUUGCGAUACCUUUCAAGAGUUGCUCCAGUUCAUCCAGCAUGUCUAGAAGUUCAGAGUGCAGCAAAAGGUAAUUUUGUUAUGUAAAGGUCAGAAAAUCCAGAAGAAAAGGUUAUUAAUGUUGUAACCUUUACCAUGUAUUUCGGAUCUUGGCAGUCCAAGUUCAUCAACAGUUCUGGAUUGACAGUAAACAGACUAACAUCAAUUGAAAUUGUUGCAAGUAUUCCAAUAGUAAACCGUCCGAAAAGUAAGCAUACUUAAUAUGCAGGUCUUUGAUUGUGUUCCACUCUUCGAUUUCAGAAACAUGGAUCACUCCACAACCCACUGCCUUCUCUCCAGCCUAAAAAAAACGCAUAUACUGCACUUGAGUGUAUCCAUUAAACAAUGCCCAAAAUGUCCUAGGAGUAGUUAACCCUGUUCUCGAGGAUCUAUGCAACAAUGCAAGAGUCAAUCCUGUAUAAAGGUUCAGUAUAGUUAACUGUACCUUUGUUUAUAGUUAUUGUUGAUGGGAAAAGAGACUAUUUAGCAUCUACAAAGGCCUACAGAUCCAUUAUUAGUCGCAAGGAAAAUAAUCACUGAUAAAGAUGAAAACUUUACUUUAGGUGAUUGAUGAAGAUUCUUCUUGAUGCAUUCAACCAGUGAAUUAUGCAGCCAAAGGGAAUAUUAAACUUUUGGUAAAGCAAAGAAAGAUUGCAGAGCUAGAGCCUAAUGUGGAAUCAAUCAAAAGCAGGGAGAUGCGAUCAGUACGAGGAGCAGGAGGUUGGUGGUUUUCCCCAUUGCAGAGAGGACGACGACGGGGCGCUCCUCGGGGAACGCCAGGAUGAGGUCGGCAACCUCCUCCAUCCUCGCGGCCGACGACACCGAGGAUCCCCCGAACUUCAUCACCACGCUCAACUGAUCCCCCAAUUCCGCCCCGGGCCCUCCAAGGACGGGAGCCCCGAGGACGCUGUCCCCGCUGCCAAACUUGGCCCGACGGCGGGUGGAGUCGGCAACCACCAUUGACAAUCCUCGGGCACCGAGGGGCCCGGUUCGAUUACCGAAGCGCGCCAAUCCUCGGACAUGCCCGGCGCUCGCCGGAGGUGCCGACGGAGCGAGGCGGCGCGGCGCUGCUGCCGAUCGCACUGAGGUCGCCAUUUCUUAGCACCUUCUAUACACUGCCAGGCUGUCAGCAGCCGAGAUUAGGGACCCCCGCGAGAAGGCGGGUUUUUGUGUUUACGUGUUAAGGCCAUCAAGACGGAAACCGAGUCGUAAGCUAUGGAAUCCAUUUCUGGACUAUUUCAGGACCAUAUAGGAACUUAAGAAAUUACAAUAGAUAAGUUUUUAUUUUUAUAAAAAGUUCAAAUAGUUGUGAUGGUGGUGUUAAUGGGGUGUCGCUAGUACAGUUGCGUCAUGCCGACGUGUAGUGCAAGUGCAAGAUAACAAAAGGAAAAUAGUAAAAGGAAGGGGAUGAUCGGGUAAAAUGUGGUACGUAUAUGGAUAACUCAAGUAUUACUCACCUAUAUAGAUUUUUAGAGAUAAAUAUGUCAUACCUUGUAUCAUAUUUCAAAAACGAGAAAAUUGCUAGUUUAGGGAAAAGUACAUUUAUGUUAUCUAAUAUACGGUUUCAUAUAUUGACAUGUAAUUUUGAGGUGACUUAUAUUUAACAAACAACCCAUACAAUGGAUUGUCUUCUAAGUUGUCUGAUAAAACUAUAUAAUUUCUUGAUUUGUGCAUACGAGUAAAGAAAUAUUAUGAGUUGCAUGGCAACAACUACUUGUACAAUAGUGAAGUUGUCUUGUGGUCCUGAAAUUUAGCUUAUGAGGUAGUUGUUUCGCGAAACAACGACCUCUUUCUCCCACCUUGCUCUUUCUCCUCCACACCAAUUGCAUGAGACGAACUAUGAGAUCGCUUAUGUGUAACAAUGUACUUGCUUGAAGAAAAUAAUCAAUCUUUGUAUAGACAAAGUGACACCCCAAAUCACAAUAUCCAUAAAAAGUUUCUCUUCUGCUGGACUGGAGUUUUGAUUUUGGCCAGUUUCAUAUCUCGAGCGUUGAUCUGCGAUCACAGAGGUCAAACUACAUGUUAUAUCAGACAUUUUAAUGGGAAUAUUGAUUAUCACACCUAACCCCGCUAGAUUGGACAAAUGUGUUUAAAGUUAGAGCCGUUAGCCCUGCAGCUGCACUGCAGAUCUCGCAGUGGUCUAGGAGGGACAUGGCUCAAGGCAAGAACUGCAUCCUGCAGGUAGGAGGCAGGCAGGGAUCACGGAAUCAGAGCAGUGACGCAACCAAUCCCAUUCCCAACAAAUCCUUCACUAUUUAUCAGCUAUCAGCCGAUUCAUCUAGUAGCCUCACACUCCCAGUCUUCACAUGGGGCAGGAUUCAUUCAACAGGCAGGCUUCACUGACUGCAAAACAGUUAGCAUAAAUACUACCAAGAACCCAGAGGAUUCAAUUCAUUUGGAUCAAGGACCAUAUCCCAGCUUGCCUGCCACACUGCCAGUGACAAUCAUUGCUGGAGUCUAUGUGCAUCAUCUCUGACCGACAUGGCACUGAAUCUGAUUAUAUCUCAUCACCAUUCACCAGAUUGUUUAACACACGACAUAGAUUCUAUUACAUCACAGUACCAAAGAGAAAAUUCGACAUUAAACGAAAGAGAAUCCAUAGUUACAUCAUCACUUCAUAUCCCUAGAUGGCGAGCAUCAUCUCAUCUCUUGACCAAGAAACCGAUGAACAGCACAGCUUAACUUCCGAAUCGAAGCACUUUGUUUUCAGACCAGCUACAUUGCGUUUUGAAGACCAGCAGUGUGCAGCAGCACCGCCUUAAUUUCUUCAGGCACGAGUCCAGGACCAUCCCCGCAUUGCUGGAGCAGACAACAGAGAUAUGAAGAGGGCGAGUAACGUUGGGUUUGGUUGAAUUGAAUCCAUAAGAAGCAGAAAUGGUUAUGAUGUGGUGAGCACAGACCUCAGCUCGGAAGACAUCCAUUGCAAACCCAUUGAAGCAGCUGAUGACUGCCUGCUCGAUGUCGAGACCCAGGCCGUCCAGAGCUGUCAUUGUGGACAGCAGGAUGCCUGGCCUACGCGCGCAGAACAUGUGGAUAUUGACUGCAUGCCCUUCCCUCAUCCUGACUUCAACCUGAGGCCAACAAGAUUGGUGUAUCUCAUUCAGUAUCAUGCACAAUUCUCAAAAAAGAAGUAAAGGAUGAAGAACCUGCACAAAUAACGUACUGGUACUAAUAUGAACUGUAAAACAUUCAGUAUAUGAAUGUUGAGCAUAAAACAGACUUAGGUUGUGACUCCCAACUUAGAAUUAGUUCAUAAUCAAACUAACCGUGGCUUGCUGCCCAUUAGGGCUAGGGAAUGCGGCUGGGCAAAGCUCCUCUUUGACAUGUCCAGGAAAUGUUUGCAAUGUGGGCGUCGACGGAUGGAAGCUAGCUGAUGUUGGCCCAACAACCGAAGAGCUUGGAGCAGACUCAAUUUCAUUGUGAAGAUCGUUGAUCCUCUGCAGGAGUUCCUUCAAAUACUCAAUUGCAUCACCAAGGAUGGAAGCCCUAUCCAUCUGUCACAUGAGAAGAAAACUGUUGAUGAGCUAAUCAACUACUAUAUCGUUAAACAUGAAUGAGCUGUCCUGCUGCAUUAAAAAUGUGUUACUUGUAAAUGGCGUUGCAUUGAUACACUGCAACUUGUCAUGUAUCUUAAUAGUUGUACUUGAAGUCUUCUUUUAUUGUUCAAAACAAUCUUGAUCAUUGGGAUGAACUAGAAAAAUAAGUUGAUUACAAUCAAACAUGUACCAUCAUGGUUAAAUUUCCAAGUGCACAUAUUGUUUAGGAUAAAACAGCAAUACGUAGAAAAAAAGCCCGCAAAACCGAGAAUCAUCAUUAACAGAAAUCAGAAAGAAAGAAAAACAAACAAUUCAUUAUCUCACAAGCUAUGGGUUGAUGGAUCGCUUUCAGCGACAUGUCGUGCAUGGGACUGUGUUAACCUUGCAUCAAUGAAUCUGGGCAUGUCUCAGAACUGAAGGCCCCAAUAAGUAAGAAUUAAACAAUACGGGAAAACAUUUCAAGUACGUAACUGAAAUUACCAUGGGUGGACAGUAAACCAAUCAUCAAGGAAAUGAAAAGUAACAGUAAUUCCAUUUGGUGCUCAAAAUUACAUGAUAAAAAUUUACAGUCUAACAUAAGGAGUAAUCAAAAGCAUACAUAUAUACUUCUGUAUAUGAUUUACCAUGAAAGAAAGAAGACCGCUUUCAACGUAUGAAGGCGCUAUCCGCUGCUAGCUAAAGCAAUGAACAUAGGCACAUAUAGCUACUAGGCGUGCCAUAGAUCUACCAAAGAGAGUAGCUUUUGGAUCUAAACAUAGACAAUUCAAGAAUUCAUCGCCAAAAUUCACACAUAGUAAAGUGACAUGAUCGUAAUAAAAUCCUACCAUAAUGCUAGAACACCACCAUUAUCACAAACAUCAGUGUAAGGAUAAACUAAAACAUGCAGCACAGAUGGGAAGCGAUAGAUACAAGAGACGAAUAUGGAGAGGCCACGGUGGAUCACCUUGCUGAUCUUGGGCACCACCGAGCGCAGCAUGUAGAGGCGGUCAUUGAGCUUCUUCCGGCGGCGGCGCUCCGCCAUGAGGUUCUUGGCCGGCAGCCCCUUCUUGUUCUUGCCCCUCCCGCUGCCGCCGCCACCGCCACCUCCACCCGUGGCCGCGCCCGCAGCAUUCUCCAUGGAGGCUGAGAUGGCCAUGGAUGACGCGUCGACGCUGUGCUCGAUCUCCUCGUCGUCGUCCCAGUCCAUCCCGCCGUGGACGAAGGCCGGGGCCGCCGCCGGCGCCAAGAACCCACCUUUCUGCACCUGCUGGUGCUCCGCCUGCGCCGGCGGGGGCGCGGCGAGGAACUGCCCGGCGUCGUCGAAGGGGUUGUUGGAGGUGAAGUCGUGGAAGGCAGGCAGCGCGGAGCCGCCGCCACCGCCGGGGGUGGAGGAGGAGGGCGGGGCGAAGGCGCCGUGGAGGUCGAAGAGCGCCGCGGGGUCCAUGGAGAGGAGCAGCGAGGCGGGCGUCGGCGUGGAGAGGGCGUCCCUGGGGAAGGGGAAGAGCGGGAAGGAGCCGGAGGCCAUCCCGUCCGACGAGAGGUAGGCCCAGUCCCCGGCCGCCCCUCCCCCUCCCUCGAUCUCGUCCAGCUUCCCCGGCGCCGAGUUGUCCAUGGCUACCGCCACGCCCCUCCUCCGCUCCUUGUCGAUCGGUCUCCUCACUAAUUAUCCUUCUCUUCUGCGGCUCAGUAGUGGCAACUCUCUCUCUCUCUCUCUCUUUCUCUCUUCUCUCCGCCCAGAGCGCCGAAGCCUUGGUUGCCCUCUUAUAGGGGGAGGAGAGAGAGGGAUGUAGAGAGAGAAAGGAGUUAGAGACUAGAGAGAGAGAGCCGUUUUCUUUUUUAGAGAGAGAGCCGUUUUCUUUUUUAGAGAGAGAGGAGAGAAGAAGAGAGACGUUUGUGUGCAAGCCUUGCUUCGUUCACCCAUGCAAGGUCCAUUUGUUUGGUUGCUGCAUGGCUCUUGUGUCACGUUACAAAAUUACAAAUCUUGGCACAAUUUUGUUCCCUUCUCACCACCUUUCAAAAAAGCCAGCCGGAUCAAAUUACCUCCAAUCCAAGAAGAAAAAGCUUAAUAGAAUUUCUUGGAACGAACACCACAAUUCACAGUUUGGUGGCUAGGAUGUAAUGACGUGCCAUGCCAAUGUUGCAACAAAAACCGUUGCAGCGACUAGUUGCCGAUCGAUGUGAUUUGGACUCGGUAGUGAUGUGGAAUCCAUGGAUGAUUUACCAAAGCUGACAAUAUGGAUCAAAGCAAAACAAAGUUUGCAGCUUGGAAGGAAGGAAGUGUUCAGCUUGGAAGGAAGGAAGCGUUCGGCGGCCGCCAGACGACAUGUGUAGGGUCGGUCAGGCGUCACUGUCGGUUUCCACUAGUUUCUUUGGCAGUACCAUUGUAGUCUGCAUGCCAAAAGGCUGCUCUGAUCUGUUGCUCGGCUUUGGAGGGUUCUGCCAAAAUGCCGCUACCGGGUCGCUUAAGUGAAUCGAUCCGGUUUAUUUUUGAUAGAAAUGAACUUUUUUCAAGUUUCAAUACUCUCAUCUCUGUCACAGAAUGGUGUACCGCAUUUAGAACUUUGAAAGAUCAUGUGUCAGGGUGAGUUUGUUAUGUUCCUCCUAUAUUCAAUCUCUAGAACAUGAUUUUAUGGGUUUAGACCUAAAUAUCUAACGUCUAAUUUUUCCCCUCCCACUGAUUUCUUUUGCUGGACCAUAGACAAUGUGGCCUUGCCCUCCUCCUCCAGUCUUCCUCCACUCACCUUCACAUUCUUAUCAUCUCGAACGCAUUGGUAGCUCAAGCGAUAAAGUGACCCUUACAAGAGGAGACUUAUUGUACAUCUGUAAAUCGUGGACCUAUUAAUGCUAUCUCGUAAACUAGUUAUUUAUUGUCAUAUUUGUUGCAGUUACAUCAUGUUGCAAACGCUUCAAAAAGCGAUAUAUCUGAAGAUGGAUUGCCGAGCUGUAUAGAUCGAAAACUGUUGACCUACGUAGAUAGCGUAAAUAACGGACCUACAAGUGCGUGUUGGUAUCGUAAAAUCCGACAUAAUAAACAAUCAACCAAUAGGAAUCUACAUUUUGCAGUUGCCUCCGCAAAUCAUGCGGGCACGUGCGGUUUGCACUGAUGUUGCUUGGAUCAUCCAACUCAUAUUUUUCACUUACUAUAUGCUUCCCACAUGCCACGCGUGUAUGCACACAUAUUCAAUUUCUCAUGCCCUUGAUUUGCUAAACUUUCUAGUCAUACAGAUGCUUAUAUGCUUAUAUGCACGCACACAUAUUCACCGUCACGUGUAUUAUAUUCCUAGUAUCUAGUUUCUUUUAUAAGAUAUAUUUUUGCAUGUAGCUUCUAUGUUGCGCGUUUAAUUGUACAAGAUUUGCUUCACACAUGCGCUUGUGUCACGCCACAUAGUUUUGUUCCCUUCUUACAGCCUUCCAAAAAAGUUUAUUUGUCAAGACGAUUGCACGACAUUACAAAAGUUUACUGUCAAGACGAUUGCACGACAUUACAAUUAGGUGUACAAUACCACCACCACUUUUUUCUAAAGAAAAAAUAGAUGUUUAUACGCAACGCAACGCUGUGCCAUGCUGCAACAAAAACUGUUGCAUCCCAACAACCUGAUCAGGACUCAGCAGUGAGUGAUGUCUGAUGUGGAAAUGUGUAGUGCGUGGAGUGAGUACUCAUCAGAAGAACCAGGACUGGCAGAUUGGAAGGAAGCGCUGCAGCCCGGCGAGAGAAAAGCUGGUCUCUCGCACGGUUUCUGCUGGGAUUCCCUUUUGCUCUGGCAGUGUAGCCACAGCCGGAAAAGCCGUUCCCGUCGCCAUCUGUUGCUCGUCUUUCACGGAGAAGCGAGAACGGAGAACGGACGCCGGCCGGACGCCCGGCUUUGCGUGUGACGGUUUGCUUUGCUUUGGUUAAUCGAUCGCCGGCUUGAUCCAUCCGCCUUGGGCUUUUGGUUGAUUGCCUAGCUUUGCUUCAUCUGAUUCAUUUGGUGAUCCCGUCCAAAAUUGGUCGGCAGGAUCAGCACGUACUCAUCUAGACACGUACGUAGAGGAGGUGUGUUGGAUUUAUAUAGUAGAAAAAAGAACAAGAAAAUUUGUGCAUCUCACACACAUAGGCUUAUUACCUCAUUUGGAAGCAAGAGUUUCAUAUAUGGCUUUAUUGUGCAAGGGAAAAGAUGCAUGGGCCACUGCUAAUCUAUGAACAAGGCGAAUACGAGUUGUGCAUCUUGUUAAUUCGUAUGUAAAUCCUAUUCGUCGAAUAAGUUAUUGUUGUUUUCGUGACGAUUGCCUCAUUUUGAAUGCCACUUUCUAAAUGUUUCAUGAAACGACAACGUGACCAAGAAUCCGAUAAAAAGGGAAAAAGAAAAAGAACACUACGCAAGGGAACUGACACGAUGAAACGAGCGCAAACUGUAAAUCAAUGUACGCAACUUGCAUGACGAACCCAUUGAGUGCAAUUUUGGUGUCCAAGAAACCGACUACAUCAAAAGUUAACCGUUAGAAAUCAUUUCCCCGGCCCACUGCACACUGCACGCAAGACGAGAGUCGCAUCGAAUUCUUUUCUUUUUAGUUUGGGGUAUCUUGAUAAUAUCUUAAUUUGUGCUCUGCCCUCAUGGUUAAACUCUCCUACCAAAUUUGUCUAUUGUGCUCCCUUCGAUCUCCCAUUCUCAUCAUCUCUAGCGAUUUUUUUUGCAAAGAUAAAAUCCGAGAAUGAAUGAGGGGUUGUUUCUUUGCAUGUUGAUCGGAAAACAGCUGCGCAUGAACUAUCCCUUUAUCUAAAAAAAUUUCAUUGGGCACAGGAUUGAAAAUCAUACGAAUUAGAAGAAUGGAGGAAUGGUGGAUAACAAUUAUCCUAUAGUGGUGUUAAAUUUCUUGGGAAUGAUUUUAUAGUGUUAAAUGCCAAUAACGGUUGGACAUUUACUCAGAAUGUUAAAAAUAGAUGGAAAAUUAAUAUAGAUGUAAAAAGAGACAAAACGUUAUAGAAACAACAUUAAUCCAUUCCUCGUAUUUUAAAUUAAGAUAUAGAAUAUUUGGAAAUGGAGGGGUAAUACAUGAUUUGGUGUGGUCAUCCCUUGUUGCCAAGUUAUCCACCGCAGCGGAGGAAGAGUAAAAUCUAUCAAUAAGAAAAAAAAAGAACGGGUAGAACCGAAGAAUGGGGAGGGAACAAAAGGGCGAGAUCAUUCUGUUCACGGUUUGGGGAUGAGGGGAAGGGUACAUGAUUGAAAUGAAUUCCUACUCAACCCCUCGAGUGUGCGCAACCCAAUUACAAGGUCUCUCAUGCAUCCUGUGACGCUGCCGGAGCCCAGCCAGCCAGAAGAAACCAUCGGACACACGCAGGGCAAGGGAAUGUAAACCCGCGGCAACACAACGCUAUGGAAAGAGAAGAGGAAAAAAAGAGGCCUGCUCUGCCUACCACGGUUCACACAUCACAUGAGCGUUUCUGCAAAGCGAGGUAGCAGAGAAUUCAGAGCUGUUCUUUCCGCGGCUCGACGGCACAGGUGACAAGUCAGGUCAAGCGGUCGAGGAAGAAGUUACGGUGUGUACUCUAAAGGCUACGGCCACAUGGAACAUGAAAUUUCAGGCCAAGCAGUUCAGACGGCUUCGGUGUUUAGAAGACUUGGAGAUCAGGGAGGGGCUAAUUGGGGAUUUUGUUUAGGGAGUUCUGUUUCUUUAUGAUGAUGUAGUAAUAAAUCCAAUUUGGUCAUGAUUGGCAGUACAACAGUUUCAGUAACGCAGGUGUUACCAGUGACGAACGUUACUAAUUCCUUGGGCAGAUUGAUGUUUACUGGCAGGUCAGUUGCAGCUUUCUGGAUUUGUUAUGAUUAAAAAAGACCUUCGAUUUGAGGGCCCACUUGUAGAUGAGAGGGUGCAUCAAGUACAAGUAGUAGACCUGUCCAUUUGCACGUUAAUGAUUGAUCAUCAUCGUCAGUAUUGGCAUCGAACCAACACUCCAGGGAGAGUGCAUGCACCUUCACGAAUCGUGGAUGCAAAACCAGUUCGUUCGAGAACCCAUCCAUAAACAACUCAUUGUUCAGUUAAUCUCUCGAUCGUUUUACGGUUUUUCGUUGAAACACUCUCCAUAACCAGGAUACAGUACUAAUUUUUCUACCAAAGCGCGGCGCGAUCAUAUCCCAGCUAGCACUAGCAGGCGCCAACCGUAGCCGACGGCGACGGCGCGACGACGAGGCCUCCCUCAAGAAGCCUUUAACGUGCCGGCGAGGGAAUGAGCAGGGCAACAUGUAAUGUCGCGGGUGAAUGCCCGGCGACGGAAGAUAUGAAAGGGAAGCGGGGAAUAAAUAAGCGGAAAGGCGAGCGGCACCACCCCAGGCUUCCCGUGACGGCUCUAAACCCGUUUUGACCCCCCCCUCCUCCUCCUCCCCUCACAGAAAAAAAAGGGCGAUUAAUUCUUUGCUAGCUAGCCGGAGCGUGUCUAAUCGAGGUACAAGGACGCCUCACCAAUCGCCGCCGGCCAGCCGGGGUCGCCGGCUUCCCUCCUCGCCAUGCAACCGAUCCGCCGCUGGAUUCCACAGAAACUUCAUGCCUACUCUCACCACGCUCAAUAGGGGUGUGAAUAGGAGUCGCCGCCCAUCAUUUUUACUCCCUCCGCUUCAAAUUGUAAGUCUAGUUGCGUGUUGCCUACUUGCAACGGAGACCCAGUGGCUGUUUCAUCUGGGUCAGUGAAACAGGAACAAGGAGUUGCUGUUCUGAAGGAUCGCACAGGUUCAACGCGUUUUUUGUCGUUAAAACUGGAUGCUGGCGGUAUAUUUUUGCACGUGGCGUCCGUGCAGGACAAGUCUGGGUUGGGUUCUGCUGGGCGUUUGGUAAGGAGGGCAUGUGACCAGAGAAAGGGACCUCGGCGUACCUGUCGACAUGUCGUGGCGUAGGACAGGAAGAUGAUGAGGAAUCAGCGAAUCGUAACAUUGUCUCGUGACCUGACGAUCAGUCAGGUGCAACAAUUCAGAAAACAAUGUGAUCAAAUGAGACUGCAGGUUCAUGACAAAUGAUUAUGACGAAGAUACAAACAACGUAACAUGUACAGCACAUGCACUGACCGGGAGUGCUAGCAAAUGGUAGAGCUUCUGCUUCAUGUGGAUCAACCAUAAACAGAGGAUCACAGGACUGAAGCACGACAGUAUAUCAAGCCUAAACUCGAAGGCCACCGACACAAAACAUGCAGGAGUAUGAUACAGAAAUUUCUUUUGUUCAUCUGUUGCAAACGUUCCUCGGCACUGGAUGAUUGAGCUUGAUACAGAGAAUAAACAGGGGCAAUAAUCACAAAAUUCACAAUUGCUCGAAGUGAGGCCGUCGUUGUUUCUCUUGCCGAGGCAAAACUAUUACACAUUUCACAAAGCUAUUUCAACAACAGAUGAAUCGCUUGCACAUGCACUACACAAACUUGUUGGAAAUUGGGCAAGUUCAUCGCUCGAUGCCCCAAGAUCGAAGCACUAUUCUGUGAUAUCUGAUGAUGCAAGGGCUCGAGACCGGUCGGGAACCAGAGUUCCCGUUUCUCCAAAAAUGGGAUAAUACACGGAGCAUAGACAACCAUGGCAAAUUCUUACUAGUUCUCCAUCGCCAAAGAAGCUUGAUCUAUAUCUGCUCGUGAACCCUCCCACAAUUGCUGUUCUAUGCCCAAUUUCCUGAGCUCUGUUAGACCUCUCUCCACUGCAGUCAUAAAAUUGACAGAAACCAGUCACAAGACAAUGGAAAAGAUGUCACCUUGAACCAGAAUAAUUGGAUCUAAUGCAAGAAGUCAUGCAAAAAUCAACUGAACAGCAUGCAUAAAAGGCAUCACUACUCAAAGGAACUGCAGAAAUUGAAGUCCACCCAAUGAGCAUCGUGCUAAUCAGUAAAAUUUACAGGGAUACCUGCCAAUGGUUACUUGUUUUAGUAACUAGUAGGAUGGAGCAAGCAUCUUACCAUCUAUAGCAUCAUGCGAAUUUGGAGCUUGUGCAUUGCGACCAAUCCAAAAUUGAAGCCGGUCAUCAGCAAUAUCUUCCUCGACACCAUGAGUUUUGGCUCUUCUCCAGAAGUAUAUAAGCCAUGCCUGAAUUUGGUGUGGAUUCCAUAAGUCAUGUGCAAUGAAUGGAAGAAUUGCAGAAUUCACAUAUCUGAAAGCUUACCUGCUUGAAGCUAACAUCUUCAGCUUCUUCUGGGCUAAGAUCUGCAAAAUGAAGAAAUAGUUUCAGCUCUGAGUUCAAGCCAUACAAACCUGACUAAAAUGUUUGUGCAUACAAGUAGUGAAAUAAAGUUAAAGCGGUAUUAAGUCCUAUUAGCCAAGGGGAGAAAGUAGUACCAAAUGCCUCCAGAUAUUUAGGUUCGCCAGGUGAUUUAAAAUCUGCAAAGGUAGAGAACAAAAUAAUUCACAACUUGAUCAGUUUCUAGCUUUCCAAGCAAGGACAAAGAAGUGAAUUUACACGUAAAAUCUCCCGCUGAAAAGAAAAAUCAAAUGCAUGCACUUGUAGAUGGCAUCACAGUACCCUACAGUCAGUAUUUGUACAAAUACUUUCAUGAGAUGGCCACUACCAUGUAGUAUUAGAGUGUUGGUGAGACAGCAUUUGGAAGAACAUCGAUGCAAGUAUGCAAAUGGAUUUGGAUGUUUCAAACACACAAUUAACAUUAUAGGGCCCAACUGUGAAUAGAGCAGAUGUGCAGACUCAAAACUUGCUAUGAGACAUGUGUGAUGGAUGAUGAUUGAUAUACCAAAUUUCAUUAGCCUCACACAAUAUAUGUUUUGCCAAAAUAGAUGAAAAUGAACUACAUUGCAAAUGGAGCAAACCUGAUGUGAACUGCCGAACUAUGCUAGGUCUGCGAUGUUGGCCAAGUGCAACUACAACAGCAUCUUCCACCUACAUGACAAUAACAGGAAUUCAGCUUUGACAUGUCAGAGAAGCCAGCCAGUAAUUACAUAUGGUAGAGAGACUGCAAUAGUAGAACGACAAAUUGCCCUUGUGGCCUUUGUGAUUCACUAAUUUGUCCAACUUUUAAAUAGUCUUUAUACAAAAUAAAUUGGUCACUCUGAGCACUUUAUUACUAUAGUAGGAAGUCCAACCAAGUCCUUCCAACUUUUGGCAGAAGCAAAAAAGAGUUAGCAUGUUAAGUUCUGCAUUUAGAUAUUAGGAGAACCUGCCAAAGGUUUUAGGAUAUUAAGACUUAAGAGAGCUUAUGUCUUCCCUCAUGUUUUUUUUAAUGCAGGUGCUUGCCUCUACAUGUGAGUAAGGUACCACAAUUUUGCCUUGGAGAAAUCUAUAAACAAAAGGAAGCGAAUUCAACACCUUCAAUGAAGAAAGCUCUCUAAGCCCCAUUUCAACUGAAAGCAUGCUCUCUAUAUUGCCUUCUCCCAUUACAUCACUCAUUUCUCGUGCAAGCUUAUUUCUCCCUUGAGCAUCAUCACCUGCAUGAAUAAAUUUCAAGCAUGCUUAAUUGGAGUGCAUGGAAUAAACUAUGAUCUACAACUUACACAUUAUAAUAAUGCAGGCUUGCCUUGUUUCCGAGGUUCCUCCUUAGCCUUUUGACCAGCAGAGAGAACAACCUCGAGGGGAAGAGGAGCCAACGAUGACCAAUGUUCAUGCUUUGAUACCGCGAUCUCGGGAUACACUCCUUGAAGUUAAUUAAUGGAUGGAUCAUCAGGUAAUCAAGAAUAAGGAGGAAAUAAAACAUUAGCAGUUUAGUGUCACUGAUGCAGGUGGACUAGACCUGCGCACUUUCAUACCAGGCCCAGAUCCCAUUUGGGUUGCCAAACCUUGACAUGGGUCAAGCCAUACAUGUACUAGGGCUAGCCAGGUUGGCUAUGGUUUAGGGUGAACACAAAGCACUAUCAUCCAGAGACAAACUAUAUCAUUAAAUUGCACAGUGAUUACAUAAAAAUGUUGUCUUACCAAACUAAAUAGCCUUUACGCUAUCGUCAGAACAUUUAUCUUUUGCUGACGACCAUAACCACAUGAUCAGUGGAUGAGUGACUAGAAGAGCCAUCGCAUGGUAUCUUAUUGAAAUUUAUCAAAUAAAGUAAAUUGAGGCAAUAAGUUAUCUAGCUGAAUUUCAAGAGAGAACAAUGGAUAGUGAAUGUGCAAAUGGAACUUUUUUAUCACGGAUACCAGACAACUUCUCCUUUUAAAAUUUCAAGUGACUAGUCAGUAUAAUCAGAAAAAAUGAUAAAGAGUUUUCCUUUGAAAAAAAGAUAUCAGGUAACUCACCAUACUGAACUGCUAAACCCCAAUAGCGUGCAAGCCAGCACCUUUUUAGAACAACCUCCUCCUAUAAAGUUGUAACUGGAUUAAAAUUCAUGCCGGCAAAACAAAAUGAGGAUUGGGCAAUAAUCAGACUAACCAUUUCUUCUUGAGUUAAGACCAUUCUCUGAGUCAUGGACCGGAGAGCCUUCGUUUCAGACUCUGCCUCCUUUAGCUGGUCAAAUGCUGAUGCAACUUCUUCUUUGGCAGACUAUUCAAAACAUGAUAAGUGAACAAUAGGAGUCAAAUAAAACAGCAUAUACAACAAAGAGUAGGACAUUUAAAUUCACUAAAAGUAUCUUUACCUCAAGUUCUUGCCUUAGUGUUGUUACUUCCUCUCUACCAUCCUUUGAUUCCCUUGCAGCUUUUAGUGCAGCCUGAGGACGAAUGAAGAAGAGUUGCAAAAUUAGCAGUGAAGUGUCGUUUAGUGGAUAAGCAAGUUUUUUUCAGCCAUUUAGUUGAUAGCAGCUUUUAAAAUCUGUAAUAAUGCAUUUUCAUUCAUCAUUUCAGCAAACCUUGAAAUAAGUACUUCAUAAUACUCCCUCCGUUCCUGUUUAUAAGGCGUGGUAUAACAUGGCACGGUCUCCUAAAUUAGACUUUGACCAUUCAUUUAGCUUAUAUUAUAUUUUUUGUGGUUAUAAACUUAUAAUCAUUGGAGAGUACAUUUGAUUAUAAAUCCAACCAUGUCAAAUUUACAUUAUAAAAAUAAAAAUUGUUGGCUAAAUUAUUGGUCAAAGAUUGUAAACUUUGGAUCUUGAUAUACGUGUGCGUCUUAUAAACAGGAAUGGAGGGAGUAUAUUUAGGGACCACCCAAAGUAGAAACUGGGAUGAAGUUCAGCACAGGGCUUAUCUUCUCAUUUGAACAUCAAACAACUGGCUAAAAAAGCAAUAUGAUAACAUAUAAAUGCCAGCAGCCUAUAGCAGAACACAAGAAGAAAACUAACCUCCCUCUGUUUAAGUGCUGCUUCCUUCCUGCCAGCAUUCAUGCACAUGUUAUGUCGUGACCAGUAGUGGAUUUAUAAAAUAUGUGUAUUUCAAACACAGAACAAACCUGCUCAAGAGGCGAGCUUCUAGUGACACUCCUUCUCCAAGAGCAGCUACCUGUGUAACAAGAAAUUAAGACCUAAGCAAUUGUGUAUAUAGUUCACUACAUAAGGAAAAAUCAUUUCAUGGCCAUAAAAACCCAACCUUGUAUUUCAAGGUUCAGAUUCAAUUGCAGUAGAGGAUAGAAUCAGACCAUGUCAUGUCAUACAAAUGACCAUAUCUGAUGCAUAGAGCAAAACAGCAAAAUUAAAUGUUUAUAGUAGAUGUUAUCUCACCUGUUUCUCAAGCUCCUUGGCUCUAGCUUCUGCUUCCUCACAUUUUUCUUCAGCAAGUCGCAACUGUAUCAGAUUAAGAAAUUUUUAUUGAAGCCCUGCAUAAAACCAAUAGAUACAUUGUUGUAUAAUGUCAUUUGCUGUUUCACCUUUUCUAGAACACUCUCAUUCUCCUCUUGUAGCAUGUCAAGCUGUAUGACAGUAUAGCGUUAGUCUUGAAAUAGUAGAUAUGCACUCUCAAGUAUUCAAGUUAUAGUAAGAACUCCUAACAGUUACACAAGAAAAAAUGAGCAGAAUCAAUAUAAAUGAGUAAUCUUCAGAGAAAAAGGAACACCUCAUCUUGAAGAGUGGAUGCCUCUCUUUUUAAUCCUGAUUCUCUGGAGCUAUGAAGCCCUGCAUCAAACCUAAAAGGAAUAAAAAGGGGUCAAUAACUAAGUUUCCCCUAUUUCUUUUGAAACGAAAAAAUAUAGAUGAAAAGAAAAUUCCAAGCUGUAAGAAGCAACCGAUAAUGCGACAAUGUCUAAUCCCAGUUUCCUAUUAAUAAAUGCAAUGCAGAACUCACAAUAAUAUACAGAAAAUCUGCAUGUUUGACAUGGUGGGGAUCUCAAAAGGCAUUUUUAUUUUAUUUUUUAGCAUUAGAUCAUUAGAUGUAUAAAAAAAUGAUUUACACCAGAAGAUCUAAUCUAGUAUCUUAUUCCCAAAUUUAGAUGCUACUGAUAUUGAUCGAUUUCAGUCACACUGUGACCAUUGUACCAAGCAUGCAAAUCGUUCUAUAAAUAGAACAUCAGGAGUUAUGUAUGUAUGGACACAAAACUUGUUCAUUCCACUUUAUGCUACUGUGUCACUCUACAAAACUGGAGCUCAGAAGUAAGAAGCACUGUAAUAUUUGUCUGCUUUUUUUUCAGGUUAAUUCAUGGGCAGUGAUGCUUGACCAUAUGUUAUUAGGGGCAACGCUUACCAUGCAGCAAUAUAUAAAUGCUAAGUCAGACUAAGUCCAUUGCAAGAGCUGAUUAAUGCAGUAAGCUAGUGGAAUCACUCCUUCCAAAGAAUGGUCCAAGAAGCAAAAUUCACUUAGUAUUGCUUCAUUUGGUGACACACUAGUACUAAUCAUUUAGUCUAUUUUUAGCAUGGAAGGUAUAUUCCACGUUUUUUAGGCAUGAGGAAAUGUAACAAAUGUACCUUUUCUGCCGAGUGCGAUCUGCUGGAGGCUCCACAGCCACGGGAGGUAUAGGGGACGGGGUUCGCAAUGUCGUGUUGGUUUUGAUCGGUGGCACCACUGUGGUGGUCGGUCGUGAUGCAACAGAUGGCCUGCCUGCUGAUGAUGAGCGGACGGUCGGAGGUGGUUCUACAAUGUUCCGACCUAACUAAUGAAAAUAUGAGGAGAUCAAAUUAGUGGAAGGCCACAGCCCAGCAGUAAACAAAUUGAGUAAACUGAGACACUAUACAAUGUACGGAUCAAUUUUCACCCAAUUCCCCUGAUUCUAAAGGAAUUAACAAGCAUUACUAAAAGUGAUCUAGCACUAGCAAGUGGGAACUAUCUACUUCCGCAAAUUCAUCCGAUCCUGGACGAUUUCAUAACAGUUGACCCCAGUUUGACCAAUUUGGACUAAUUCGCGCAUAGCAGCAGGCCGGAGCAGCCAAUUCCUAAGUAGAGAAGCAGCAUGGAGCGAGAGAUCCGGAAGUAAAGUACCGCAGGGGAGGGAGAUCUCGCGGUGCGGCCAAGCAGGGAGACGCCGUUGCUCCCGUGCGCUGUCCGGCCACCUCCGAACCUCAUGGGUGCCGGUGGCGGGUGGUCCGCGGCGUAGUCGUCGUCUUCAUCGUCGUCGCCGGUGGCCGCGGCGGCGUUCUGCGAGGCCAUGACCUGCGCCAGCCUCGCCGCCGCGGCGCGCGCGGCGACGUUCUGCGUGCGGCGCACGUUCGAGAUGCCAGCUGCGCCCGCGGCGGAGGCGGCGGAGGAGGUGGAGGAGGAGCGGUGGUGCGAGGGGGAGACGCCGCCCGGGGAGGAGGAGCCGGUGCUGCUCCCGCUCCGCUGCCGCCCGUAGACGGGGCUCCCGGCCCGGAGACGGUCCAUGGUGCGGCUCGCCGGUGGGAUCUGGGCCGCCGGGCGGCCGCGGCGCGGAGAUGGCGAGGCGGGGGAGUGGGAGGGAGGUGGGGGGGAGCACGCUCCCGACGCCGGUGGAGUUUUCAGUUUUUGCUUUCUUACAGUUUACCCCUCGCCUUUUGUUAAAUUUUAGUUAGUCCGGCUUGGUUACCAUUUUCUGUUUGUGCUGUUUCCGUGCUUUAUUUUUGCUCAAUUUGGGUGGUUCGCUUCAUUCCACGAAGUCCACUACAGAGAAACUAUGAUGAAUUUUCUAUUUAUAUAAAUAAACUUAAUUAUUGCUACAUUGUAUUUCUAUUGCUAUAUUACACUUAAGCGUAAUCCUCGUAUUUUGUGUUGUGUUGUAAAUGCUAGUAUUCGGUGUGUCACGUUCACUCAAACAUUUGCUAUGCUGAACAACAAUCAUGCGAUUAAAGUAAAUACAUUUCUAUUUAGUUUGCGAGGAUGGAAUGCAACGAAUAGCAUGCUGUGUUUCCUAAACAAUGGGGAAAAAAAGUUCUGAAUAAUGGCAACGAAUGAAGGAGAAGAUGGAAAGAAGUGAUAAUCAGGACAAGAGGAGGGUCCGUCACGCAAAAACGGAAUAUCAAACAUUUUUCUGAAAACUGAAAAGCAAAAUUCCACGCUGGUUUGCACAUCCCCGUAGCGAGAGCCGAGAGCGAUGUUCUCGGUGCCGUGCUGGCCUCACAUCCCAUGUGUACGGCUGCUACACCAAACGCCUCUCUUCCUCCGCAUCUACCGUUGAUGGACCUGAUCCGACGGACGUAACACAGCAUGUGCGGAUCGGCCUGGCAGGCUGGCGGCGUAGAGGAUCCGCAGGUGAUCAUGGGAGGCAAAUGCAGAUGCAGGUGGUUGGUGCGGAAUGUUGCUUGAGAGCUGGGAUUAAUUAGGCCUCUCGGAUGGUUCGAGCUCCUAAAAUUCUCAUCACAUCGAAUGUUUAAAUACUAAUUAGGAGUAUUAAACAUUGACUAAUUACAAAAUCAAAUUGCACAAAUGGAGGACAAUUUGCGAGAUGAAUCUAUUAAGCCUAAUUAGUUCAUGAUUUGACAAUGUGGUGCUACAGUAAACAUGUGCUAAUGAUGGAUUAAUUAGUCUUAAUAGAUUCGUCACGGGAAUUAGCCUCCAUCUGUGCAAUUGGUUUUAUAAUUAGCUCAUGUUUAGUCCUCCUAAUUAGCCUCCGAAUAUUUGAUGUGAUAUGAAUUUUAGUCCGAAGUAAAGAUAUAAACACCCCCUUACCCCUUCAUUCCAGGUUUAGAUCAAAGCCUGAAAAAAAAAAGCUUGGCGCUAUGAACAUGAUGUUAGUGAAAAUAAAAAGGCUUAGGAGCUCGUAGCGGUGCUUACUGCUGCUACAAGUACUGUACAACACUUGAUCUGGGGGACAAACUGCGAAGGAGCUGCUUCCGAUUUGGGCGACUGACUGCUGCCCGAAGUGAAAAUGAAUGUAAAUUGAAAUUCUUAGUUUAUCUUUAUAUGAAUAUAAAUUGAAAUUCAUGCGUUCCAAGCAGUGCAUUCGGACUAGCGUGUAUGUAGCUUCCAUAUCUGCAGGGUCGGAGCAUUAGCAGUAUAUGAUUGUAUAUUUUGUUUUAAAAAUUGCUCAAACUUGAAGCAUUUAACCCUUUGCAUUUGAUAGUUUGUAGGAAAUAACUUGCUUGGCCCUCCUAAUGCUAUGAUCCUGGUUAUAUCUCUGUAUGGUUUGAGGACGAGAUAGCUCUCAUCAUAACAGUUGACAUUCUCUCCCAUCCUAUCGCCACAAAACGAACUUACUUUAUCUGAAUAUCUGGUACCACAGUUUUUGUCAUCGACAUGCUAAUUAGAGUCUCGCUGUAUAAGCCGCUCCUCUUCUGAAACUAAAAAGGCAUCCAACAAGAGGUGCGGUUCUAAUUACAAUAAAUGAAUGAAUGCGGUCCAGGUUCCAGCUAUUUGGCUUGGCUUAGCAUCCACGCACUCCAAUGUUUGUCAAGCCCAUGAUUGCCAAGCUCUGGUCACUGACAGGAUGGUAUGAAGGAGAAGCUAGCUGGUGUGUAGGUUACACGUCUUGCAUCAUCAUCACUGUCACCUCCCCCCGUACGUUGACAAUGCAGUUGAAAACGAGGCCUCCCUGGUCGUUGCGCGCGCGUGCAGGGAGAGGCAUGGCAUCAGCAACCACCGUCGACUGUGUGGCCGACAGAAGCACGGCGAGAACGAUAGAAUGUGCCUUUGUAUUCUUUGAUGACGUCCAGGCCUUUUGCUCUCCUGCUGCUAAUUAAGGUAGCUUUGAGCAGUUGACGAUCGUGAUCAGAGAGACAAGACCGGAGCUAGCUAGGUAUGACGCCAUCAAUCCUGUACAGUCAGCAUACGCCUGCUAGCUUGGUAGAGAUCGCUGUAACUGCCAAUUGGUGUCACAGAUGUUGCUCAUCCAGACCAGGAGGGCAUGCGCAGGGCCGGGUCCGUCGGCACCGCCGGUUGGCUACGCAGGCAGCGAGAGCCCAUGCAUGACGCCGCCUGGAAGGUGUUCGUGGAGGCCGUGAAGGACUGAAGGUGUUCGUGGAGGGCAAGUGGCGCCAACCGCAAGGGAUCGGAGCGAAGGGACAGCCGAGCCAGCCAUGUGCGCGUGGUGCCCAUGAUGCCGCAUCAUGCAUACUACGUAUCUCAUAUCCUUGAGGCUUUGAGGCCUCAGCUCAGCUCGCUCCCCAAUCUACUAUACUAGUACUAGCUAAUUCUAACCGCGCGCGCGGCAGCAGCGUCCCGAUCGAUCGGCGAUCUAUCUACCUCAGACCAGACCAGGCAUACGUACGGAUGGGAGGUGGUUGGCGAGCCCCAUCGCCCGCAUCAACUCACAUGAGUACAUGACCACACCACACACACUCCUAUAGCUACCAAGGACCAUGCAUCGCACUACCUGUCUCCCCACCUAGCUACCCUGUCCUCCUCUGCAUCUGCACACCAUGUUCUCUUCUCUUCUCGGGUCACGCUGCAAUGCUGCAUGCAUGAGCCUGCUCCAUCCCAUUCCCCUCCCUGUACAAAGAACAUCGAUACAAUUCAGUGUCAUCAGCUCGCAGGAGUUUCUGAAUUGUUAGCUUCAGGUUUUACUCAUUCCCAGCCUGCUUAUUAUUAAUCGCUUUGUUCCAACACAGUACUGAAGGGUGCGCAAGCUGCCAAUCGUUAUUAUCUCGUUGCCGUUGCAUCUAUCGCGCUGCAUGCAGCCGGCAGGCAGCGGUGCCGGCGCGGAGAUCCAUCCGUCGGUACGCCACCGACAGACGACGACGACGCUGCAGUCGAUAUGUACAGACCAGGGAGGAUCAUAUCAGAGACGCCACCUGGGCUGUCACCCGGCCUCCGCACAGUUCAUCGUGUAAUAACCUAACCUCCCUCUUCACCAAAACCACUACUGCCUGCCUGCCCUGCGAUAUGCAGUAGCUAGGAUCACUUUCUUACUAUAAUCAGUUGAUGAUCUCCUGCUUAAUCCAGUAAUUAAGGAGUAGAUUCCUAGACUGCAACGGCAGCUGUCACAUCCACAGGGGAAAGACAAGCUGUUGAAGAACAGUAACGGCCAGCGCACAGGUGAAUGUCCGGCGGCAGAGCCAUGCACGCUCUAUGGAGCUGAGCUAGAGGCUAGUCAUCAGCUAGUGUGUGUCCACGGCUACCUUGGCUGGGCCAUGCGUCUAUCUCUCUCUCUCUCUCUCUGAAAGCAACCCCGCCAUUUGCAUUCCUUCGUUUUAAAAGGGAAUCCAAGCGUGCGUCGUCAAUGCAGCUGAGAGCCAGAUCAGAUAUCAGAUCAGAUCAAUACUUCUCAGGCUGCUUUAUUCUCUCCUGAAUGCUUAGGUGAGGGCAGGUGAUCGUCGAGACCCCUCCGGAAUUAAGGGAUCGGAGUCGGUAGAUCGUUGGGGAGACGCGGAGGAGAUCGAGAUCGGAGCUGAGAAGAUCGACGACAAGAAGGCAUGAAGCUCUUGUUCCAGUGCCCUUGCUGCUCCUGCUUCUGCUUCAUGAAGGCCAGCAACAAGACCCAAGGCAAGGGCAAUGCAGCAGGUCAGCCCAGCAAAAUGCAAGGGGGAGUGGUAGGCAAAACCAUAGAGAUGAUGUAGCUAGCUUGCCAUGUUUAAAUUUAAACACCAUGCAUGCUCAGCCUAGCUUUAUGCUUCCACAUGAUCAUCCCUCUUCUGUCUUUGGAUCGUUUCUUUCAGAUUUGUGAAGUAAGGUAGCGUUGUGCCUGUGUCCUCGAGCUGUCUCAUUCAAUGAGAGAGGAGAACCAAUUUCUUCAGUUAUCUAUAAAUCCACUAUGAUAAUCUCAUCCUGAAAUCCAAUUGUCGCAAAACCUUCAUCAAGUAGGCGCAUCAUACGGAUCCGAAUACCUUUUUUUUAUUCUGAAAAUAUUACAUUUUUUUAUUCCACGAAUACCUCGAAUGCCUUUGUAAUUUCAGAAACGGGAACAGUUUCUUGGCGUGGUACAUCCCUCACCAGAUUUUGGGUGUAUAAAUUUUAUGGAUACACUUGGAUUCCUUAGAAACAAAUCAUUAACAUAUAAACGAGUUGGGCGCAGCUUUCGCAAAAAGAAAAAAAAAAGAAAAAAAAGAAGAGCUGGGCGCAGCUUGGGUAUGAGCUUGACCACACUGUGAGCGAAAAACAAUGGCCCACUUGUUUUUAGGAAAAAGUGAAGCUAAUUGGCCUAUAUCCUUUUUGCCUCUGGCUUCUUUGGUAGGAGAGCUGUGUGAGCUGAAUUCAACAAGUCAAAUGCUGACUGAAAAAAGUGUUUUAGAUCUUUACAGGAGAUCAUCAUCUUUGAUUGUGGAACAACAUUCCUAAAUAUUUAUUUUGCCUAAGGGGAAAUAAAAAAUAAAAAUUCUGCUGGUGACUGAGCCGAUUCUCCGUCUGCCCGGGCUGGCUGCGUGCGUGCGGGCCACAAAUUGAAUCAGCGCAUGUGGACCCUUUUGGGCCAGCGAGACCCCUCGUUUUAUUGGGCCGCUCCUACGGUUCAGCCAGACGGAGUCCAACAAGUCACCACCGCUCCUCCCACCGGCGGCGGCGCUCGCCGCCUCCCCCGUUCCUUCUCAAGGUUCGCUCCCCGCCGCAUCCACUCCCAACCUCCAUCAACGACGCUGAGGCUUCCCCCAGGCUGACCAGUUAGAUUCAUCGCCUUCCGUAUCGCUGGCCUCAGCCUUCCUCUCUGCCAAGAAGGUGGGAGAAGCGACUCGCGCACGCGCUCGGCGCAGAAGGCGGGGCCAGGUACGCAGAGGCGAGCCCGACGGCCGGCGAGAAGGUUUCGAGGCUCACGAGGCUGCCGCCGUGCUGAAUUGCCAAACCCGGCUGUCGCUUGAGGGUUUUUGGUCGAGUGGUGGGGGAAGCGGAGGGUUAUGGCUGCGCCGAGGAAGGGAACAGCGACGCCGCUGGGCGCCGUUUUCUCGCCGGAGGAGACCAAGAGGGCCGUGGCGAGGGUGGCCGAGUCUAUCGCGGACCGCCGCGCCGAGCUCGGGCGACUGCAGGGCUUCGUCGCCGACAACGCCGCCCUCGUCUCCCUCGUCAACAGGCUCCCCGAUGAACUCUCGCACGAAAUCAUGGUAUUUCAUUCUCUCCUUAAAAUCUGAAUAGUAGAAAUCCGUGUCUUCUUCUCAAGAUGAAUUUGGUAGCUUACCUGGUACUGUAUUAUCGAUUUACUCUUUUUGAUGAGAUGAGUCUGAAAAGUAAGAAUUAGUAACUGGCACUAGUAAUUUAUCCCAUCAAUCGUCCAUUCCUUUGCAUUGUGCAAACUAUGGCUAAUUGGCUAUACAACAAUAAGUUGAAUUGGACUAAGUUUUCAAUCUCUGUAUGUGGAUGCUGGAUGGUAAUGAAUAGUUGAAUACAUGAUUGCAAUAUUGAAAAUUAAAAGGCUCUUAGUCUCACCAUACGUGCUUUAUAUAUUUUGCAACAUUUUUUUUAAAAAAAGAACUAUGCAUUGCAGGUUCCCUUUGGUGGUGCCGCAUUUUUCCCAGGGCGUUUAAUCCACACAAAUGAACUCAUGGUAUGGUUUCCACUGUGAAACAGUUUUGGUUUUCAGUCUACAUGGGCCUAUCAGCCUAUAUGCUCAUGAUUUGCAUUAUGUCUUAGGUGCUUCUAGGAGAGGGGUAUUAUGCAGAGAGAUCUGCUAAGCAGACAACUGAUAUUUUGCAUAGGAGGGGGAUGGAGUUGGAAGCUCAAGUGGAAGUGAUGAAGGCAACUAUCUCUGACCUUGAAGCUGAGGCAAAAUUCUUUGAGUCCACUGCUGCCGAGGCUUCUGUAAGGCUCCUUUCUCAAUUUUCUGUAAUAUAUGGGCAAUGGUAGACUAGUGAUUUACUUAGUGAAGGUAACCAUAAUAUCAGUUUCCUUUGAGGCCACUGGGGAGUGGGGAGUGAAAAACAAAUGGUUAAUGAAUUACAACAGGCUUUCAUUGACAUGUAGACCCAUCAGUUGCAGUUAUUGUGUCUCAGUAAUCAGUAUGCAGACAAACUUAACAACAUAGUCUUCUUUUAGAUUUUUGAUAUAUGGGUUUAGCUUGCCAGGUUUUGCUAAUAUGCUAAAUCACACCCUGGAAAAAAAAGCUAUUCUGUUUACAUAUGCUUAAUUUAAGUGAUGAUCUGAUUAUACAUGGUGUUUUAGAGCACAACAGUAUAGCCUUGUAGACCUGAUACUAACUGAGCUACUUUUAUGCUUGUUCAGUUCAAUGCAUUUCGUCUUAACAGAAGUCAAAACUGUUGUCAUCUCUUCAUUCUUUGUGUGCACAAUUACAUUGAAUUGGAUGCUUAACUAUGUUGAUGUGGACAGGAGGGUCUAGUUGAAAUCAGGGAAGAGUAUGAUGAAGACACAGAGAGUAAUUCAUCAAAAUCAGGUGACCAUUUGGACUUUUCUGUCUUUAUGAUUUGUUUUGCCUCCUUAUUAGUUCUUAAUAUAUUGAGAUCUUAAUAUUAGUGUAUUCCAAAUAUAUAUCAUUUCUCUUUUAAAUCCUCCUUGCAUGGUAGAAUAUCUAUUCAUUAAUCCUGGAUUGGCCAAGUUUUAAGUUAUCUUGCUGCAAGUUGUUCUGUCACUAUUUCAUUUUGCAAGCGAAUGGUUGGUUUGAGGGUGUAAUGGUGUAUAUUGUACUUUCUAUAUAUAAUAGGCAUGACACGGUGACUUGUUGCUCUGGUGAUAUUAUUAUCCCUCUCCAUCGCACAAAGAUGGCAGAUAACUUUUUGGAGCUUAUAUGCAUAGCAAGUAAUUGAAUCUUCUACUUCAACAUGACUGUUUUAGUAUUUUUUUUCUACUUGUCUACUUCAGAGGCUUCAGUUGCUACUGGGGGAAUGUCAGAUAAAGAAAAGGAACAUGCUCGGAUAAUGGCAAGGUUAGAUGAACUCGAGAUGGAAGAAAUGGAAGCUGGAAGUACUUCUGAAGAAGAAGAAGACGAUGACGAAGAUGAUGGGGGUGCUGUAACAAGUGAGGAUGGUGAGGAAAAUGAGGAAUCUGGAAAUGCUUUAAGUGAUGGCAAUGAGCACCACAGUUCCAGUUUUGGUGCUUCAUUUUCUGGAAAUGGUGGCAAUGAUAGGAGUCAUGGGAAUAUCCAGGUACCUGUUUCUCAAACAGAUCUGGCUUAAGGUAGAUUGGUUCAUGUGCUGGAAUUACUUAUUUUGAUCCUCUGAGUAAUAGCUGAAGAGUGCACUAAAGAAGCCUGGAGGAGAGGAACUGCUGAGAGGCAUUUCCCAUGCACCGUCAGCCCACACAUCUCAUUCAGUAUUUCCUGGCCAAAGUUCUGUAAGUUGUUUACCCUUCUCUGAAGACCUUCUGCAUUGUCUGUGAAUGAACAGCUUAUUAAUUUGUAUAUCUUCCUUCGGUCCUGACAUCGCAUUUCCCCCCUCAUUUGCAGAUAACAAAUUCUGAAGUCAGGGUUCGUAAAGGUUAGUUCUGCUCUAUGGUUGGAGGCAACUUGUAGCGUAGUACAAUUGCCACCUUGUUCUUGUUCAUGUAUUGUGGCUGGAGAUGGAACUAAACUUGAUUCUCUUGGCGCUUUAUCUGCUUGUUAUAUGUGUGGUGAAUUAUGUACCAUGCUGGUUUUGGUGUGACCCCACAUGUUCUACUUGCAGCUGUUUCUUUUGAAGAUGACAAACAUGUAGUUGGUUCGUCAAAGUCUCCUUCCUUGCCCCCAGAUCCAUCGCACCCUGCUCCAGGGUUCAAGGUACUGACUGUUUUACUCCUUACACAAUUUCUGCAUUCAUUCGUUUGCUUGCAUAAAUCUCUCAGUGAGGAUUUCUUCGGUGGACUUAUAAACUGACAUUAUUGAGCAUGGAAAUAUUCUCACGGAGGAUCUAGCAUAUGCUUUAGACAGAAUUACCCCAUGUUUUGGUCUUAUUUGAAUGUAUGCAGUUCUACAUACUUUUUUGUUAUUUGGGUGCAAACAGUUCUUCUGUCUAAAUAUGCCACGUCUCUGCAAACAUGUACCACAGUUUACUGUUACCUCCAUGUUUGAAUCAUGUUUUUCUUUUGUAAUAUAUAUUUGCAGGGUUCUUCAGACCCAGCUCCAUCUCGUGAGCGAAAGAUAAUAUCAAGUGGACGGCAGGUCUUUUUCUUGUCCUCUGUCAGAUGUACUUCUACGCCUUUUGAGCUUGCACCUGAGCUUAAUUUGUGACUUAUUCACCUAGCAGGCCUUUACGGGAUCCAUUAUUGAACGUGAUGACAAUCUUUUACCCAUUCAACCUCCAGUCGGUAGUUCUUCGGCGAAGGUAAGCUGGUUUUCCUCCUUGUUCUGAAUCUCUCACUGCUGCAAUAGAACUACUUAUUCUGAAUCUCUCACUGCCGCAAGAGAAAUUCACAUUGAUCUGUCCUCAUACUAUUUUCAUGAAUGUCUGGCAGCCCGGUACCUCUGCUUCUUCAAGGCCCAUGUCUAGAUUCAAGAUGCAGAAAGGAGAGCGGUGAUCGGACCGGGAUGGAUCUUUGAUACCUGCAUCUGCGACAAACACGAUAAUUGUUAUUGUCGUACGGACGAAUGAUACCCGACCAAGAUUCUUGAACACUGUAUCCGCUAGGUGAACACCUGAGGAAGCAUUUCCUUGAGCUAUUGACUUACGCAGACUGUGGAGCGUGUGUGCAGUGAAACUGUUUGUGGAUACAUGGCUUGUUCAGUUUAAGUUCAGUAAAGUCGUGUUGGCCAAUGGUGAUGUCUCUUUUAGAACCCUAUAGAUGUCCAAAGAUGAAGCACAGGACACUUAGAGCAACAAAUCAAUGUUGUGGAAGAUGAGGAAAAAUAAAUAUGAUUGAUUGAAAAGGUAAUCAUAGAAAAUUAAGCAAAAAAAUGGAGAAGGAUGACGGGUACGCUGGUUGGUUAAUCCGGGCCGUUCAGAAUCGUAUCAGUUAACCAUCAGAUUUAAUCAGAUCAGCAGGGGAAGUAGGUAAAAAAUAAAAUGACCAAACAACCUGUUGGGCAAUAAAUAAAUUAAUUACAGAUUGAUUACUAGCUUGGUGUUCCUAGUUGUGCUGUAACAGAGUGUCAUGACAUGGUCGGCAGUAGCCGCCGGUGAGCGCCGUGAAGCCGUGAGCUCCGCGAGCGUCUCUUCUUCCCUCGGCGCCGUCGAGCACCAGAUGCUAUCUCUCACGUGUUUCACCAGCAGGAAGGGAUGAAGAAGCUGCCCUCUGCAAGUCAGCUCCACCUGCCAUUAUACAUGCUCAGUCGUCAAUCGCCGCUAAGAACAAAAUGUUAAUCUGAGACCAAUUAAUAAGCACAAGAAUACUGCUACGUACUACCAGUCUGCCACUACUGAAAACCUGCAUUGAUUCUCCAUGCAUUACCAAAAUACACAUACAUCUCUCUGAAACUUUUCGUGAUGAGAUUAACCUUAUCAGCCAUUGUGUUUCUUGUGAUGUGAGUGUGACACGUACGCACAAACGUCGCUAGCACUCUCGACGUGUACGACGACCCUACGACGUAGUGACGUACCUAUCGCAACAUAAGCGUGAUGGCAUGUAGACGUAUGCACGCGGACGGAAGAAGGUUACAGAACAGUAGCUAGCUAGGCUAGACGACAUAGACCGUGGUGAUUUGAUGGGUAUAUUGCGUGUCGCCGUCACACUGCCUUUGUCGUGCAUCCAUCCGCCCGUCCAUUCUACACAUCCUCAUCAGCAUGCAACCUCUGCACCAUGGAGACUGGAGAGAGAUGAGCACGCGCUCCGGCCGGCCUUACCGUAGAAACCACUGCAAAGGCAACACAUAGCUAGGCAUGCAGCGGUGCAGGCAAAAGCUGCUUUCCUGAUACUCCCCUUCUCUCCGUCUCCAUGUGCUUAUUAUUACACACACACACACCAACUUAUAUAGUUACCUAUACAUCUAUUAUACAUAAAUGUGGUAAGUGGUCCUAAAUUAGUAGCGUCUGCUAAUUAAAAAAAAAGAAAAUAUAACCUUAUUUUUCUUAUUAAUGAAUCAAGAACGGUUGAGCGAACCAUAUCACACUACUAAAGAAUCGACAUUUAGCAUCAGCCAAACCCCUUCAGUACCGUUAAAACAUACUCCAUCCGUCUUAAAUUGUAGGUUAUUUUAGCUUUUCUAGGUUCAUAGAUAUUAUUAUACACCUAGGCAUACACUAUAUCUAAAUGCAUAAUAAUAUCUAUGAAUAAAAAAAACUAAAACGAUCUGCAAUUUUAAAAAAACUAAAACAACCUACAAUUUGCAACAGAUGGAGUAGCUACUAGUCAUUAUUACAUCGCCGACGACCUGGUCAUCAUCGAUCGUGGGCGCUGGAUCUAUAUGAUGUAUCCUCGGCGGCUAUCGUUGUCUCGCUGAUGGCUCGCCGUGUCGUACACGCAUGCGAUCAAGAGCGUUAAUCUUCCUCCAAUAGUAUCAGCUAGUAUCUAACUCUAAGCACUCUAAAAGACAACCAUUCCAAUAAUCUAGCUUUUAGCACAUAUCUCAUAGUAUGAAUGACGCCACAUGUCAUCCUCACGUAAUCUUGAAGUGUGUAUAUGAGACUACCUUUGAUCAAGAGAUAACUCUUUUCUCUCUCAUAUUAAAAUAUAAUUAAAAUAUAAUUGGAGGAGCUCUUAGCGCAGGCGCGUGCUACAACGCUACGAGGGUGCGUACGUGUACCCAUCAUCUGCAGUGGCUCCAUCCAGUGUGGGUUGCUGUCGCGCCGCAGGCCUGGCCAUCUGCGCGCGCUACCCUGACUGCGAAAUUUAGUUAUAAUAUAAUAUACUGUCCGCCUUCUCUUUCCCAGCAUCUUAUUCCUUUUGGAAAUUGAUUGUGUUAAUUAAGCACAUGGAAAUUAAUCUCAAUGGGCUAUAUAGCAUGUGAUCCUUGACUAUUGCACAAUGAUUUUCUCUUCAUGUAGAUCAUCACUUAGGUCUAUGCUGUUUUCGAUCUCGUCUUAGGUUAGUCACCUAUGCACGUAGCGACUAGCGUGGUUGCUUUUUAUGUGAUGUGAGUGACCGAGAUCUAUCCUUGAUGCUUUUCGCCUACAAAUAAAAUGGCAAGCAAGCUAAGGGCACCAUGUAGUCCAGCCUAUGCAGAAUGGACGACCAGCUAGACGACGCGUGCAGUGCCUUCUGUUAGGCUAGCUAGCUAUAGGCAUAGUAGCCACUAGUCGGUAUGGUCUCAGCUCUCCUGUCUUGUCCUAAGAGAGACGACGUAGCGUAACGUAAUUAACACCGUAACCAUAUACCCCUUACCUUACCUUAUGCGUACAUGCCCAUCCUAAAUUACUAUUUAUUAGUUAACAAAUAGUAAUUUAGAAUAAUAAAUAAUAAUUUGGGAUGGAGGAAGUACAUGCAUAAGAAAGCAUAUAUAGUGGUUGCAUACGGAAGCAUGACGACCAGGUGACGCGCGUCGCCACUCCGUCACCACGAUCGAUCGUCCCUCCGUGCGCAUGCUGCAUGCAUAUGAAAUUAAUGCACAGUCCUAAUAAUGUCCUGUCCCUCUGAUUCCGAUCCGGUCAAAAGCGAAAGCACGCACACGGCCGGUACGCUUGCAUCGGGUCGCAGAAAUUUCCGUAUAAUAUAGGAAAUUAAUUGAUCAAACGGCUCAGUACUAGCAAAAACCCGUACGUGUAUUGUUAUUGUGUCUAGCUUAAUGUUAUACUGACAGUACUUAAAACAGUAACCACAGACAAAAUCCUACUGAAAAUACUAAAUCCGAUCUCAGCUACCAUUACAACAAUUCUACCUACCCUUGCAUUCUCCAUUGUCGAUCUUGGAUGCAAAUAAAAGCAUGCAUGCGUGCGCAUCCAAAAGUGAGUGAGUAGUGCCAGCAUGCACGCACGAUCCAAGCAGAACUAUAGCCAUAUGCUCGAAUAAACAUGCAUGCGUAUGACUUGACCGCACAUGGUCACGCGUGCAUGCCCUUCAUGCUGUGGUGCCUGUAUUAUGCUCUGCAUACACCCAUAGAUAGAGGAGUACUCCUACAUGCUGUAGCCUAUAGCUACCUCUAGCUGUGUAUAUGCAAACCGUGCGUGCUGCCGCUGUAUAUGCGUCGUCAGGCAUGCAUCCACGACUAGCUACUGACCUACUCUCUGAUGAAGAGGAACGAACCAAAACCAACUGACGAUUAGUUUUAGGCCACUCAUUGCAUUGCAGUCAUAAUAUGUGUUUUAUUCGGGCUAGAAGAGCAUACCGUUGUCAAAUGAUAAUGGCUAGAAAAUUAGGAGUAAACGCAUACAAGAGGCCUAGUUAGCUCGGUUUAAAGACGAUGAUCAAGUUCAUCGAAAAUGAUCUGAACCGGCGGAUGGAUCGGAGUAGUUAAUCAGUUAUAAUUGGUGCAGAUAUAUGAAUGAGAGAAGUUGGCAGCAGGUCGUCGUUGGUGAGUUAUAUCAUCACAAGCACAUUUGCACUUCAACAGCUCUAGCUAAUGUACACACAUUAAUUGACAGUUCAACAGUUAGCCGCGCUCUGAUUAAAAGUUGACCCGAAUUAAAUGACUGGCUAAUUGUUUCUUUCACCCUCACGAAACCUCCCAAGUAUGUCUAACAUUAUAAUAUAACAAUGAGACAAUGCUUUCAAUGUUACCAAGUGCCACAAUUUUAUUUGGUUUAAUUUCUUGAACGUGCUACUAGCUAUAUGUCAUAUGUCCUAUUAUAUGUGCACGCACAUAUUUAUUUGCAACAAUAUAAAAGGUAUAUAACUACUUCUACAGGUCAUGAUGUGGGCCUCUGACCUAUUGCUUUGUCUAGUUGUUCCAGACCAAAGCUAACUAAGAGAUCCAGGCCACCUAGCUAUAUGUGGUACGCUUAGGUAUAAUGUUUCUUUCAUGCCUACUCGCAAGUGCCAAUUCACAUUUGCGGCCACAUUGCUGGAGCCGAUCGAUGCUGCAUAACUUGCAGUGCAAAUUCAACGAGUUCUUGCCACUGUUAGCUCACUAUAUUGAUCAUAUCGCUCCAUCGACACACAUUCUUCUCUGGGCCAUUCAACUUUGUCAAAAACUUCAUAAUUUGAUUCGACGAAAGACGUGCACGUACCUGAUGAGAUCGUGAGAUCCCCAGCUUCUCGGCCAAGUACUUCAUCACCACCUCCACCUUCAUGUUGCUGUCCCUGGGGAAAAAUUAGUUUGAAUGCAUAUCAUUUGAGACCGAUGUCUGUAGACCUUUCAAUUCAUAAUGGUCAUUGCAAAAUGGAAAGUUCACUUGAUGGGUACUACUCAUACUUAUAGCUUCCUGAUCGAUCUGUCUAGAAACUAAAAGGCUAGCUACUGGCUAGAUUGGUCUUUCUGACAAUGACAAAGCAAUGGGAGCUAUAUCAUUGCAGAUACACACAUAGUAUAACACUGUUAAGCAUGUAAUCUUUGGGAAUAUCAUCAGAACAGCGACUUGAUAUAGUUUUUUUUUUGUAUAAGCUAAGUUCCAAUUUUUAUCUAUUGGAUUAGCAUCCAAUCAAGCAGCAAGUCAACCUGUAUGCACACAUCCAAUAGUCACAAAGCUUGGCUUAUGCUAGCUUGGGGAGGAAAUAGUAAGCUUACAAAUACCAGAGCUGUUAAUCAUACAAUAGAAAACAAGAAGAAAGAGGAAAGGAAAUUACUUGAUUCUUAAGUAGCUCUUUGGUAUCUGAGGCAAAAUAGGUUCUCUAACUCUGCAAGCAUCAAAAGAAUAGUUAAGUAUUUUGCAGUUCCACGCCACAUGAACAAGGACAGCACUGAAAAUCUAAACAAUAAGCUCAUGUAUUGGCCUUGUAAUUUCAGUAUUAUCUGAUGCAUUCAUCUAGACAUCACCUACUAUGAUAGCAUAGAACAUAUGCUUAUGUCUUGUCUCUUGUGUAUAAUACGGAUGAUAUGAUCAGAGGUAUGCCGUAUGCACACAUAUGGAUGUACUGAUGUACAGAACUACAGAAGUUGUGGACAAGUAUGCACAUACUGGUUGGGAGCUGCUUGAAGUUUCAGCCACAGCCCCGCCGCCGUCUCCCUUCGUCGCGGCGGGCUAAUGACUCUCAUGGCAUCGCCGGAGGUCCUGAACGGAGGCGUAAACGUCAAGGACGGCGCCGACAAGGACCCGCUCGCUGCCGCCGGCCGAUACCGUCCUCGCCCGUAAGACUGGUAGCUCCUAAGGGGCAGCGGGAACAACGGCGGCCUCAUCCUCGCGUUUCUCUUGUCGUAGGUGAGCAAGUCCAGCUCCAUAGGAUGCGGGGCUGGAUCCAUACUGUUGGUGUCGCCGGAGGAGGAGGCGGAGGACGACGACGCCACGGCGACGCCUGCGAGGCUUAGCUGGAGCCAGUCUUCGUCGUCUCCUGCGGCGGCACCGCCCUGGGAGCUCGUGCCGGCCGCCGCUGCCGGCUCGUCGUCGGCCAUGGCGAGCCGAGUGGAUCUUGACGGCUUGCGGUGGUCUUGUUGCCGCGCGGCCGCCGCCGAGGCCUCCAAUUGGGCGGCGAUGCCGACGCAGUACUGGCCGGGGUGGUAGCACGGCUUGCCUCUGCUAUUGCCGUCAUGGUGCAACAGGUUCCUAGUUGUUGGGACCAUGGCGGCGACGACGUGACCUCGACCGUGUGGUACGUCUCAUGUCUCGGUCGAUCUCUCUCUCUAGCUACAGCUCAUCGUUCAUGGUGCAAAUCUCUCAUAUCUCAAUCCUUUCCGGCACCACGGCUGUGCUAGAUAAUUAAGUGCAAAAAAAGAGCUAGCUAGUUGUUUAUAUAUGCAUGUAUGGAUCAAGAAGAGAUGCAUAUACAUAUAUACAUCUAUGGAGGAGUCAGAUAGAAGCAAAGAUGAUGGAUCAAGAAGCUAGCUGAGAGAAAUGACUUGAAAGGGAGGAGGAAGAAGAGGAUUCUCCGAUUGGGAAGCUAAGGGGGGAGCUAUGCUAGAGGAGUACAGAGAGAUGAGGAGAGAUGAGGAGGGCCUCACUUUCCCUUUGGUCUCGAGCGAGCCUGGAAGCUUGUGGCCAAGAGAGAUGAAAUAGUUCCUUGCAGAGGCCAGAGGAGAGAGAAAGCAAAUUAAGAAAAGGAUGAUGCAUAAGUCUAUAAAUUAUUCACUUUAUGAUUUAGCACGUCAACUGAGCCUCUAACAUGCACAUACUUUUAACCAAUUUUACUUUUCAGGUGAUAGCUGGUUUCCUUAUUAAUUUAAAAAAAGGUGCUUUUACAACUCUUCGUACAUAUAUAACCAUUUUUCAGUAGUGGUCAAAAAAGUUGUUCACACUGAGGACACCCUUAUUAGCGUGUGUUUUGUGUCGCAAAUGAGUUAAUAUUACUUUAAGGUUGUGCAUGCCAUGAUCUUGCAGUAGAAUCGAUAGCUGUGGGAUUGGUGGACCAUGGGGGCUGCUAGUGCUAUGCAAACAGAGGUGUAGCUAUGCAUAGGCUUCACUGCUUCAUGGAGAGUAUUUCAGAAUAAAAACGGUAGGCAGAGUGGGAAACUGAAGUGUCUUGUACGUUGAGGACUUGAGGUGACAGCAUGGCAACUCCACUACCCUUACUAAUCUUUUGUUUUCUUUUUUGAAACGUAACUUACUAAUCUUUUGUUUGUUCCUAAAUCUGUCGCAAGUUAUUACUAUGUUUAGCACAGGUGUAGCUUUUCACCACUCUUAAGCAACUGCACCCUUCCCCCUUUAUUUAUCCUUUUUUUUUCCUAAUGUGUAAAUUAAUUAAUUAAUCAUAUCUACUUAAUCAACUCGAAAUAAAUGGCAUAUAAUUAAGAGAGGCGUUCGGUACCUUUCUGUGCAGGUUAUGUUGUUAUGAUCCUGUUAAGCUUAAUUAGACGUUGUCAUGUCCCUGUUCCUGCUGAUACCAGCUACUAGCUGGUCACUUCGCAAGAUUCCAAGUCUGAUCAGAAACCUUAAUCUUCUGAUGCUAAAGUCUGACAAGAACAUUUGCUCACAUCAGUCAUAUAACACAAAAGAUAUUGCAUAUAUAUGUGAACGGAAAUAGCACAUUUUUUUACGCAAAAGAGAAAUUAAACAAUGCAUUUUUGGGAAGCAUUCUAAAUAUGUUUUUUUUUAAAAAAAUAAUCACUCACCAACCCUCUAUUCCAUCAGUCUUAAUCUGAUUACAUAUAUGUGGAUUGGUGAACGAAAUAUAGUGCUGUCUGAUAAGUACACAAUCAUUUAAUUAUAGUGCACGCACUAGAAACGCGACAUCAACCACAUGCAUCUUAAGUGCCAAUGAUCAUGAGAAGAAUUCUUAUGCAUUAUUAAAUUGUUUAUUAACAAAAUGCCCAUGAUGUCACGUUUUCAACCAUUUUUAGCUGAUAACUGUAUUUGCUGCAGUAUGAGAAUGAUAUGUAGAAGGAAACUGAUUAAUAGACAAAAAUUACAGAAAUAUUUUACCCAACUUCCCACAAUUUCCUAAAAAAAAUUCACAAUUAACUGAUGGAAUUGUACUUAAUGAGUCAGAUAUAUUCUUGUAAAAAUAUAUAUUCGAUAUUAUUGCACCACCUGCAUGCAUUUUCCAACAUUAAGUUGACAGCUCUCAGUUUAUUCCAACUCUAAUCAUUUUAAAUUUGACUAAUGGCAGCUCAAUGCUGUAAGGUGAUGGGCAGUACUAUUAAUUCCGCGAAAUUAUUACAUCAACUUGAGCGUAGUAUAAGUAUCUUCAGGAAUCAAUGCUUGAUCUACAGCAGGCAAUCAGCUGGGUACUUAGUUGUCAAUCAUUGCAGGUGAGGCCAUCACGUAAUGCAGAACAGAUUAAAGAAAAAUACUUCAACUAAAUAAAGAUCAAGGGAUUGCAUGCAUUCAUGCAUGGGCCAUCUGAUCUUUCCAGCAUGUAGACGACAUAUCUGCUAUAGUAUCAGCCUCAUGGCUCAUGAUGAGGACAAAACUACUACUCUGUGGUACUAGACUACUGGAAGAGCAGCAGAACACAAUAGUCUAUCUACCACAUGAACAGAAAACAAAUGUGCAAUGUCAACGACAAUUGCAUUUGCUGUGCAUUUCAAUGAUUUCUUAUGGAGUCAUUGUACUGAGCAGCUAAGUUUGUGAGAUCAUUCUCCAAUCAUGUUUGUCGACGGUGCCCUCACGUCGUAUACGACACACACGCUUUGUAUUUCAGUAUUAUACAAUAUAGAGGACGUAUCAAUUCAAAACCAAGAACUUCUCAGCUGUUGAUUAGCUCGCUCCGAAUAAUCCAUAAUACCAAUUUUUUCUCAACGGGACAGCACAACCACGAAGGGGAAGAAGUUUUAGCUCAAUCACACUCGUGGACUAGUCGCAAAAUAUCAUUGCCUAUGAUAAUUGGAAUCACUGCAUCAUUAUGUUCAUGAUGUGAUUGAUAUGCAUGGCAUGAAGAAUCGGGAUACCUCCAUUGUUUUUGCCAAAUUAUCAAGGCCUUGAUCAUUUCCAUUAACAGAGUAGCUUAUGACUUUGUGCGGGCAGUAGAUUUUAAAUUGUUAAUACUUUCUCUGCUAGUGCUGCAAUACUCUGGUUCAGAGAAACAGAAUAUUGGCUACAGUGAUUUGUUUUGUUUUGUUAAAGUUAUCUUGGCUACAUUGUUGAUCUGCGUCAUAAGGGCAAUCCUGGCCACAAAACAUUCUUUGGGCCAGAAACAUCCAGCAAAUGGAUAUUAUGGCAUUAUAUUGUGUACACAGCCUUAUAGAAUGUCAACACUUUUAGAUCCAUAUAUACAUGCAUAUACUGAAUACGUGCUGGUCACUACCUGCACUAUGAAAUAGCUAAUGGUCUUAAUCUUCAUGCGUCGAGGUUGGAAUAAAGAAAUAUAUAGGGAGAAUAUGGUCUAUUAACUCACUAAUUCCUCCUUUUGCAUAAGAACAUGCCGAAUUCGCUCCUACGCAGAUUAUGAUAAAAGCUUGUCUGUUGAAUUCACUAACCAUUACCUUUCUUGACACCAUCAUCGAUCUCUGCCUAUCAAGAGGUUUCCAAUCCAAACUGAUUUCCUGUUCUACGGUUGUACAGCUGAUCUGCCUUUGGGCUUUGGUUAGUAAGACAAAUUCUUCAGCAGUCAGGAAAUGACAGUAAUCCAAUUAAAUUCAGGUGGCCCGUUUUGUUCUCUCAGAUAUGAUGCACUGUCAUCCAUACGUUAUACAGGCCGCAAAAACUGUAGAUCGAGAAGAAGCUGAGUAGCAUGAUGCUAACAGGAAACAGAUAAACACUGACUAAGUCUCCAUAGGAUGAUGCGAAGAUGACACCGACCAGUCGCACGUCGAAAGCACAACAAAGGCAGAUGAAAGGUCUCUGUAUAGAUUACCGUCUGUCCGGCAGACAAAACAGGGUCGGUAUCUUAGGGAUUGUUUUUAUUGAUUUCAAAUUUGAACUAAAAACAUCCCCAAACUAGAACAGUCCGUUAGGACCACACAAUUUCUGACUUCCUAAUUUUCUGAGUAUUAAUUCUUCACUAAUCAACAUGAUUUCUAAGAUUUAACUUUUUAAAUUUCAUUCUGAUAUAUUUUCACCUCACCACCAUUUGUCAGAAACUCAACAUCAUAAUGCAUCAAUUGUAUGCAGUAGCACACAUGUAUCUGCAUAUACAAACAAAGCUGGAUUCCGGUUUGCAAUUUUUUGUAGAUGAUCAGUCAAUCAGUCCAUCCCGGGAGAACAGACACACACACACCUUUUUUUCAUGAUAUGUUUCCUUUGUUUGGACGCUCAUGAUGGCAACCAAGAGUACUCGAGAAUUGAGAGAGAGACACUUGACGUGCAGCACUGUUUGGCUCCCUUCAGACUGGCAUUCUGAGAUGAAAUGUUGCACUGGAAUUGAAGCACCUCCCUACUUUCCAUUAGAUUUCAGUGUUUCACUUUCACUUGUGGUGCAGUGUGGAGGUGCAUGUCUCUCUUGACCAGCCCACACUUCUGCAUGCCUAUAAAGUGUGCACACACAUAUAAACACACCAAUACUUAAAGCCCUCAAUUUCCCCUCUCUCCAAUGUGCAUGCAGGAGCAGGACAUGGGAUGGGGGAGGAGGAAAAGAAAGAUUGUGCUGUGCAUGACAAGAUGUUUGGAUUGGUGAGGUCCGCGUUUUGAUCAUAGUUCCUCGUGAUAUGUCAAGGAAGAUCUUGUGGACCAUGCACAUCGAUCACACAUGCAUGCAUAAGGCUGGCUUGCAAUGCUGCGGCGGCAGCAGCAAGGCCUGCAGCCAUGCACUGAUGCCAUGGAAAGACACAUCACGGUGAAUCUUUGUGAACCGAACCAACCAUCUCAAAACCGCUAAACCAAACUAGGGUCCGGCCGGUCCUCUCCUCUGUGUUUCAGUGUCCCCUUAGUGUUUGUUCUCUACUCUGCUUUCCUUUGUCUCUAGCUGUCUCUGAAAAAAGGCUUUUGCAUUGCAGUGGUGCUCUGCUCACUGCUGGCUGGCUACCUCACUUGGCAGGCCACCACAAGCUUAUAAUGGCAGUAGGAACAGCCUUCAGUCUGUCUGGGUAGAGGGUAUCUUGCUGUUCAUGUUCUGCCUCUUUUUACUGUUUUUGUAUGCUUCUUUGGUAGGCUAGGGGUAGGAUGCUACUUCCACUACACCUAAAGCUAUAGUGCUCCUAGUACAUGUCCACUGCAUGAGUGCAUAUGCAUGCAUGCACGUCUCUGGAAAAAGAGCCAGUAAGCUGGCAUGCAUGUAAAAAGCAUAUGCACGCACACGUAUGUGCUUAACAGCUAUAACCAGUUCUGCAGCUCGAUCCUAUAAUGUAAAAUAUCUGUAGGGUGCUUCCUGGCUCGCAGACCAGGAGGCAGGCCUCAAUGACUCAGUAAUCUCAAUCAAGCUAUAGCACGAAUCAAGAAAAGCAGCUACUAGUAUGUACUCAGAAGCAGCAAAGGAGUUCAGAGAUGGCCAGGGAAUCACCUGUGGUAGCUCCAACAGAAAUCCUGAGUCACAUUGCUGAUUCCAAGUCCCUGAACAACAAGAAUAUAGCUACAAAUCAAUUCAAUUCAGGCCUUGUUUAGUUGGCGAAUUUGGGAGGUGCCAAAUUACUGUUACAGCACUGUAGCACACUGUAGCGUUUCGUUUGUAUUUGUGAAUUAUUGUCCAAAUAUUGACUAAUUAGGCUCAAAAGAUUCGUCUCGCAAAGUACAACAAAACUGUGCAAUUACUUUUUAAUUUCAUCUACAUUUAGUACUCCAUGCAUGUACCGCAAGUUUGAUGUGAUGGGGAAUCUUCUUUUUGCAUAGUGUCAAAGUUGGAAGUUGGGAGUAACUAAACAUGGCCUCAAUUCAAUUCAAUCCGAUCGAUCUGUAGCAGCUCUUGAUGCUUCUCUCAUUCUCUGCUUCUGCAUGCACCAGAUCAUACCACUUGCCACUGUUCUGCUGCUUCACAUCAAAGAUCAUACCACUUGCCACUGUUCUUCUGCUACAGUGCUGCUCCUAGAUUCAGUCCUUUUCCAUUGCCUAGCUAUAUAUAGUACAGCUACGGCAGCAUAAGUAGUCUGAAUCCCUGAUGCAUCCAAUGACCCAAGAGAGAAUCCACCCAGCAAGCUUUCCUUUAUGAAAAGAACCACAUCACAGACAUCUCACUCAUCCCCGUCAAGGCAAAGUGCUGCAUCCAUUCACCUGCAUAUUUAUAUAUAUAAUACCAGGACUAUAUAGUUUUGUGCUGCUGCAGGCCCCUGUUUGACUAGACAGAGAGAGAUCGAGGUCCUUUUGUGCCAUGCAAAGCAGGGAGCAGUACACUGCCAUCAGGCAUUUUGCAUCAUAACAGGCAUGACCACACCAGCCUCUCCUCUCAUGCUCUGGCCCUAGACAUGCUGCAGCUUCACACUCACGCACUACAUCUCUGAUUUCUCUUUUUUUCCCCCUGAUGGUAAUGCUACCAACCAAGGCAUAACAAGACAAACAAGAAAGACCGUGCUGCUCCAGUUCAAAUCAGUCUUAUGCUUGUGCACACCUAGCACCAUGUCACAGCAACUUCUCUCUCCAGCUGCCUCCUGAUGAUAGUAACACCUCAGUGACUGGUCUGGCCCACCCUAUCAUCUCCUGGCAAUCCUACUGGAGAAUAUCAGCACCUUCACAUCCACAUUCUGUCAAGGGCCCAAGGCCCAUCUAGUACUAGUUACUGCAAAAGAUUAGCUUCCUUUGAACACCAUGAAAAUAUAUCACCAUCUCCAAGUCCCUUGCAGUGAAGCAUACUGACUGCACCUUAUGGGCACUUUUGUGAGAUCACUCAGUCAGAUGAAUCAACACUAAGCACUGGUCGCUAACUCACUAAAAGAUUCAGACUCAACUCUGCUGCUCUUGCAUUUCUGUACUCUGGGUUUAUUAGUUGGUCACACAAACUUGGAGCCAAGAGUCAUCUAAUCUAAUUCAAAACAAGCUGUAUUUAUUGAUAAUAGAACUGCAUAUAUCUACAUGGUUUCGCUCAUAGUCUCACCUCACAAGGAUUCAGCUGAACUACGGUGGAUGCUCAUAUAUCUAUUUGAACCAGGAAAAUUGCUUUUUUUCCGAAUUUGAUAAAACAAUGUCUAUUUGUGUGUCAUGUGUUAAACUACGGUGGAUGAUACAUACUGUACAAAAUCAUCUAAAUUGCUUCAGAAACAAAAGGGCAAGAAAAAGGGGCCCUGAGGUGCACAGAGAGGCCAAACAAAGCUAUACGGACGCACACCAAAAUGACCCAGUAAACCUAGAACAACAGCAGCAGAUUGUUUGCACCUGCCACUGUUCAUUGGAUCUUCUUCAGUUUCUCAACAGCUGCGGUCUUUUCUUGCUCAACUGGGAAGUAUUUGAUACCCACGAGAUCACCAACUUUGCUGAUAACCUGACAAAUUGGCAUGAAAUUUAGUUAUAUCUAGCAUAGCAAUCAAUAACAACAGCAUACAUGGUCUGAUCGAUACAACAAAAAGAGUUAGAUCAACAAUUAUGGUUUGCAACAAAAGCACCAUUGUUGCACCAACCACCAUCUUGUUAGUAACACAGAUAAGAUUGUGUGCUUUACCCCUAAUCCUUUAAUGAGAUCUUCCCUGGAGUGGGAAGCUGAGAUACAUAUCCUAGCUCUCGCAAGUAGAAGUGGCGUGGCAGGAAAUGCAACAGUAACAACAGCAACCUAGCAAUAUGGAGUGGGCCACAUUAGUAAACUAACAAAAAACUUUCAUAUGGAAAAAUCUCCUUAACCAGUUAAAACAUAAAAGAUGGUUUGCUUUGAGACAAAGGUCCAUUAAGAAAUAUCAGCAUCAUAUAUUCAUGUAUACUCACAUUUUGCCUCAGGCACUCCCUUGAAAAUGCAGGAAUUUUAGCAGGAUUGUAAAGCAUGAUAGGCAUGACAGGUGAGUCAUUAUCUCCAAGAACCUCAAAACCCAUUUUCUGAAGCUCUGAGCGGAAGAAAUUGCUGUUCUCUCGAAUCUGAGCAAGUUUCUUGGCCCCUAAUUAGAACAGUUAGUACAUUAGGACUUCCCGCGAGACAGGAGAUGUAAGAAACUGUUAAGAUGUAAGAAUGUUGAAAUUCUUUAUGAUAUACCUCUGUUAGUUCCAUCUUCUCCCAGGAUAACCUUUAUAGCUGAAAUGACUUGCUGGACUGCUGGAGGUGACAUGGAUGUUGCAUAAAUAUGAGCUGGGCAUGUAUGCUUUAGAUGAUGAAUAAUCUCCUGAAAAGAAUAUAUAGAAUGUUUGGUGGGGUCAGAUUUGUCAACCUAAAAAUUUUUCAAUCAAGAAAAGCUACCUGACUAUAUACUUCAUACCUUUGAUGCUGCGAUGUAACCUCCGCACGAUCCAAAUGAUUUCGUAAAUGUACCCAUCAUAAUGUCAACAUCAGCUGGAUCCACUCCUAGUAGCUCGCAUACACCUCUCCCUGUUUUCCCAACAGCUCCAAUACUGUGUGCCUCGUCUAAAUAUGUGUAAGCCUGUUCAGAUGUGAAAAAUACUUCAGCCUACCCAGUACAACACUGCCGGUUCAAAACACUAGUUAAAGCUGCAACAAUAUCUAUGACAUUAAUCACAUGCUGGCUCACAUCCAAUAUGCAGGAAAUUAUUUGUCACCAUUAAAAAGAUGCACAAGUAUCCUAAUACAAAGCACAAGUCAUCAUGCAAAAUCACCGAACCUUGUAUUUCUUGCAGACAGAAAUAACCUCUGGGAGUUUGCAUAGCUCCCCCUCCAUGCUAUAAAUUCCCUCAACAAUCACAAUGAUCUUCUUCCAUGGCCUGUGUGUACGAGGCUGCCCUCCCGCAAUCUGCUCUCUCAAUACCUCUUCCAAGUGAGCAGGAUCUGGAAGAGAAAUAAGGAAAGCAUUAAACUUCACAGUGCGCAAUUGGUCUUAGUACUUGCAAUGCAAUUGUUAGUCGCUUACUGUUAUGUUGAAAAACCCGAACGGUGGCCCCUGAACCCCUAGCUCCAUUGACUAUAGAAUUGUGGUUCAGUGAAUCACUUAUUAUCAAGCCUCCCUGCAAUUAUCAGAAAAGUCUUAGCUGCAGCUCCUAUAAAAGAACAUAACAGAGAGAGCGUGAGCAUAUUUUCACAACAAACCUUCCCAACCAGAGCAGGAAUGAUAGCAGAGUUUGUCACAUAGCCCAUGCCAAAAAGAAUUGCUGCAGGCUUGCCAACAAAUCUUGCAACCAGUUCUUCAAGCUCAUUGUGCAGCUUAGUGUUACCUAAUGUCAUAUAAACAUCAAUUAAGCUUACAAAUUUCGAUAUAUUAUUUGAUGUGCUCAACAAAGCAAACUAUGGCAUAGUUUGAUAAACAUAAGGAUCAACCUCCAUCAACUCGAACACUGCACGUGCUUGCAGAGUAUUUCUUCAGCGACUCAAUAACACGAGGGGUGCAGUACUCAUCAGCCGCAGCAAAACCAAGGUAGUUGUAGGAACCCAAAUUAAGGCAUUUGGAUGUUUUUGUGGUACGGCUGCAUCAAAGAUGCGCUGAAUGAGAUGUUGACACCCAUUCUGAGACAUUGUCAUGCAGAGACAAUGCUAAAUAGCUACAGGAUGGAAUGUAAGUAACAUACUGGAGUGUCUUGUUGCAGUCGUUUGAGUAACGCUCAACCACAUCAAACCAAGCAUCUGGUGCACUGGCAAUUGGCCUGCCAAAGCAGUCCUGCCAUGACAAUUGAGACUAGAAGUCAAUAAGGAAACCUAAAUAAAUACAGCAGCAGCAAGAGCAUGUCAUUCUAGUAGGUGAAUGGUGAAAUGUCAUCCCUCACACCCCGGCCAUAAAAAAAAGUUAGGUUUUAUUUAUAUAGCAGAAGUGAUAUAUACUUUACAUUGUUCAUACACACCUACUCAGACUAAAGGCUAGUUCCUAUACUGAUGAAAACUCAGUAACUGGAGCACUUGAAAUUUGGAAUAGCACACAAAAUGAGGCAAUCUUUCCAGUUCAUUCAGCCAUGACCCAUCCAUUGAAGAAAAGGAGCUUUCCUUUAUUCGGUUCUUCAACUUAUUCCGUUUUAAAGUUACAGUUCAAUACUUUACGGUUCUUCUACUUAUUUCGUUUUCAAAACUCUAUAGCUUGCUCGGUCUAAUCACAAAAGGAAUGUAUCAGCAACAACAGUAAGAAAUAAUUGAGCCAGAGCUAGAUGAUCCCGUGCCCAUGAGCAUUGCAACCAAGGGUGGGGGAAACGAUUAUUAUUCUGGAAACCGUGGCAAUCACCUCACCUGGAUGCGGAGAUAGAGGCGGCGCGUGUAGAAAUCCUCGAGGCCCAAGCAAAUCGGCGCGUAACCCUGCGACGAAACCAACAGUAAGGCACGGCCUGCCGCGAGACGGAGCAGCGAGCGAGACGAAUCCGGAGCGUAGCUCCCCGCGCGGGGGCCGGUCAGGCAGGAGCAAGGGCGAGGGCAGCGCACCUUGAGGUUGCUGGGCUUGCGGGCGUCGAGGAUCCUGCGGAAGAAGUCGCGGAGCUGGCCGAAGGCGAAGAGGAGGCCGUAGCUGAAGAGCGUGGUGAGCGCGGUCACGUACGGGAGCCGUACCAUCGUUCCCCCCUUGGUCCGUCGGCAGCACGCGGCGGUGGCGGAUGCGGAUGCCCCGGCGGUGGGGGCGGGGGGAGCCGGAUUUGUAGCCGCGAAUCCACGCGGUGGCGGGCGGGCGAGCCGCCGAGGAAGGGAGCGGAGGGGGGAGUGGAAGCGGUCGUUAAUGGCGACGAGAGAGGAGCGCGUGGCGGCUGGUUAUUGGUAGUUACUCAUAAAUCAAAUUAAUGUACUGCAACUAGUGACGAAUCUGAGACGCCGAUCGAGUUGGAAUAGUGUGAUUGGUGGAAUCGGGAUCGAGGGGCAGCGGUCGUGGGUUUGAACGUGGACGACGGCGGCGACGACGACGAAGAGGGGUAUGCCUCACCGGCGCCGUGCCCUCACCGGCGGAGCACCGCAUCUCCGAAUCAGUUAUGCUUGCAUUUACCCCCACCCACCUCUUCAUAUUUUAUUUUUAUUAUUACCUACGCCUCCUGAAAUUUAUAUUCUUUUUUGGACCAAAAUGUAUAUUCAGGGGAAAAUAUACGGCACCGACUGAUCAGUGUAGAGUGAUGUGAAUCUAUAGGGUUGCUGCGCCUGCAUCUUCAUGGUUGCUUUCGGAUUCUGAGUUCAUGUCCGUCACCUCGCUGUUUGCAGCUCUUGCGGUGACUUGGUCAGGAUUGGGAUUCGAUUGACCACGACGAUCUCCGCUUCAGGGUCAAGAACGGCACCCAUUUAACAGCUCAAUUCAGUUAUACGAGCACGAAUUCAGUGCACGCGUGACCUGAUCAUACAGGCGUUAUCCAGCUGCUCUUUGUGGAAAAUGUUUCUGUUGUAUUUUGUUUCAGACUUUUCUAGAACUGUGGGCGAUGUUGCCUCCUCAAAAUGAAGCGUUGCAUUGACUGGUUGCAAUCGCAACUUCAACGAAAGUCCAACGGUCUCCCUCUCCCAAAUCCAAUUACCAUAGGAGAGUUAAUAAGAAAAUAGUACUCCAAUAGUCUUUUUCUUUCCUUUUCCCAAUAAUUAUUGGGACAACUUAAUAAUUCACCCCAACUCUCUCUAAAUAAAGGAGGAGUUGUGACUCUCCCAAUAUGGUAGUUGGAUUGGGAUGAGAUUAUUAGGAGGCUGCAAAAGCAACUCUCCCACUAAAGAUGAAAAUGAUAUUGGAAUAUCUCUAUUAACUAGUAAUUGUUAACAUUUAUUGAAAGGCUGCUGGAGACACUCUAAAAAACGGCUUAACUACGUCGACUGACUUUUCAGAAAAAAGACAAAACAGCUCGUGAGUGGAAACUGGCCUCAAAAUCAUGUGCUCUUGAGGAUGGCCUCAGCUCGAACCACCAAUUUUGAGUUGAAAACGGCUCAAAUCAAACCACAUCGUUGUAACGUGUAAGUAUUUUUAGACCAUUUUUCUGGCAUGACGAUAGCAAGGCCCAUACGUAAAGCUCUAUUCAAGCCGCCACAACUAUGGCUAAACACGAAGGUUGUAAUCCUAUGGAGUGAGCUCCCUCUUCGGUUGCUUGAUCGCUCCAUGGUUUUUUUUUUUCGUCAUGAUAGCGAUCCAUUUCUGCUGUGCCUACAAAUGUUCCUCAUCAUCGUUGCCGUGGAUUACUCGCUGUCAUCCCAUCGCUUUGGCUAUCAUCCAGAUCUCGGUGGUCUAUUAUGCGGAGUUGGUUUGGGGACUUUGACGAAAGCCUAACCGGGCAUUCGCCUGGGUCGACCAUGGUUGUGUCUUUGGACGUAGCUCAUCUCAUUGGGAGCAUUGUUGCGGCCACCAAAUUCAGUAGUUUUUGCCAGGUGAAGACUUGGUCUGCUCCCUGGGGACAGAUGGACAAUGGCGGCGUUAGCGUCGCUUCCUCUCUGGAGGCAUUGUCUUGCAAGACCUUCUCACUCUACCUCCGCUGGCUUCUGGUUGUUAGGCAGGUGGUGACGUGCGUGUGUUCUUGAUAUCUUUGUCUCUCCUGCAGGUAUCGGUUGUCUUAGGUCGUGUUGGGUGUGUUGGUGGUGUCGUAGUUUUCUUUUCUGUUGUUGUGACUGUGUUGUUUCUCACCGGUAGUGGCUCUUGUACCUCUACGCUAUAGAGUCUCUACUAAAGUUGCAUUAUUGUAAUUCUUUUCUUUUUUAAUGAAAAACGUACAAUGGACCUCUUAAAAAAUACUACAGCGUGCAUGCGAUUUGUUUAUUCCGGAAAGAGAAAAAAAUGAAAAUGGAAGGGUGAGAGUGGAUCAUUUCUAAUGCAGUUCGUUUUUUGGCCCAUCAUAGAAGAUAGCGAUUCCGUUACAUCGUAUACUAGGCCAUCUGGCCCACAGUCAGUUUCCAGAAGCUCGGCCCAAUUAUGGCCCUGUUUGUAUACGCUUUUCUGGAACUCGCUUAUCUGGCAAGCAGGCUUAUCAGAUAAGCCUGCUGUCUGGAGAAUCCGGGUGUUUGACAAUCCUGAUUAUUUUGUGUCGAUUGUCUAUCCUGACUGGUAAAUUGACCUGAAUGCCCCUGAGGCUGAUAAUAGCUCAUUUUUGUUUUGAAUAUGAGGAGAAGAUAAUAAUUCUAAUGCCUUUGGAGUUUGUUAAAUAGAAAUUACAUUACAAUAAUAUUAUUAAGUCUGGUUCUACCCACAGCUAACAAGGGCAAAGAAGUAUUAGAAUGUCCUUUUGGCAGAUAAGUCUGCUUCAUUUCUACCAUAAUUAAGUGAUGAGCAAACUCUGCUCGAAGCAAAUCUUAAAAGCAUUAAGUGGUCAGGUUACCUAAACAAUGGUAACUAUUUUUCACUGAGAAUAAGCUCUUUAGUCUUCCUCCAAACAUGCCAAAUUAUUGACACAUAUAGCACUAGAACUUGACAAAAUUUUAGGAAAAAGGUCAUCUCCAGCACAAAUUCCUCUCUAACCGGCGGCACAGGUAAAGGCACCACCUUCUCAACUGGCGGAGGCAGGGAGGAAGGGCAGGGGCGGCCGGCGGCGGGGGCCAAGCCUAGGGGCGGUGACAGAGGCAGGGAGGCGGACGGAGCCGGUGGCGGUCGGAGGGCGGCGGACGGCGGACGCACCCGGAUCGGAGGAGCCCUGCAGCCCAACGGAGAGCAGGAGGCGACAGCCGUGGAGGGAGGCGAAGGGCGUUGAGAAGGCGCGGGAGGUGGCGACACCGGUGGAGGGCAGGAGGUGGUGGCCAUGGAGGGAAGUGGAGGGCGAUGAGGGAGGUGCGGGAGGCGGCGGCACCGGCGGAGGGCAGGAAGCGGCGGCGGCGGCGGAGGGUAGGAAGCGGCAUCGGCGGAGGGCAGGAGGCGGAAGGCAUCGAGGGAGGUGCGGGAGGCGGCGGUUGUGGAGGGAGGCGCCGACGGAGCGCGGGAGAUGGCGGCCGUGGAGGGAGGCGCCGGCGGAGGGUAUCGGGGGAAAGGGAGUUCGCUUACGCGAUAAGCGUCUCCCGAGCUACUUACCAGAAAAUCGAAGCUCCAAUUAUUUUGUGGAUUCUGGGCUAAGCCGCUUGUGUGCUAAGCGAAAAAAAAGCGAGAUGUUUGGGUGGGAUUUUCGCUUAUUUCCACCCGUAAGCCGCUUAUAAGCGGAUACAAACAUGUCUAUGUUUGUCUUCUUGUUUGACUACAACACAACACAACAGGACAAGGUUUUUGAUUUUUUGAAUGUGGUAAAUACGCCUUCUUACUGGGUAAGCGUACUACGACUUGAUCUUGCUUUCGCCGUACCGCCGGCUGGAGGAAGAAGACACGAACACUGUGUGGAUCUGUAACCGUAGUGCGUUUCCACUCCUUCCGAGUUCGUCCACGACAGAGCAAUUAUUCAAUUGCACGGCGGCAGUACUCACCCCCUCGUCUUCCGUUCGAAACUGCAUUUCCUCCGCCGCCUUCAGGAAGGGAUCUUGAAGGCUUGAAGGAGUGGGAGCUGAACCUUGCUGGAUAGGUAAGAACAGGCGAUGGCGGAGGAAAAGGCAGGGAAGGAGAAGGAUGUGGUGCGGCUGGAGCGCGAGUCCGUGAUCCCCAUCAUGAAGCCCAAGCUCAUAAUGAAGCUUGCCUACCUCAUUGGUAUCUCUUUCUCUCCCUGCCUCUCCUUUUGCCUGAUCCGUUUAGGGGCAUUCAGCCAUCCACCAUAGGCGAUGCACGUUUCUUGGUCGGUCGAGCUCGGGAUGGUUGGGCUCUUAAACUUAAAGGGAGGCUCCGGUAUCGUGACUAUCCUAUUUCUACUGUGAAGUUAUUAUCUUGCGAGAUUCUUAUCGCUUUUGAGGGAAAGGCUAGAAUCUUUUCUUUGAUUAAUUCGCCUGGAUCAUGUAAAGUGGAAUCUGUAUAGAGAAGUCUGUGUAGGCAUUGUGACUGCAAUACAUUAUUCAUUCCAGAUCACUAGUGUGCUACUUGUCAUGUUGGGCUACUGAAGCCCGAGUAUCAAACUGCUGAAAGCGGCCAUCAAAUAUGUUCUUUUCAAUAUUGCCUUGUCUUGUUUUCGACAAGCUGAAGCAAGAAUCUUGCUUUGGAUACAAGACCGUGCAACCCAUUUAACUGUACCUUGUAUUUUUGAAGAACAUCAAUCCGACAGAGAAGAAUUCUUGAAGCUGUGUAAGAGGGUUGAAUACACCAUAAGGGCUUGGUACCAUCUCCAGUUUGAUGAUAUGAUGGUGAGGAAAGUUUAGUAAUUACACAUACACAGCGUUUGUUGGUUUGAAUUGAUGCUUACAACCAUCUCUAGGGUCUUUGGUGUUUGAAUGAUAUCUGAUCUAUGGUACUUUUGCAGGAACUGUUCGCUCUCUUUGAUCCUGUGCACGGUGCUAAAAAACUGCAGCAGCAGAACUUCUCAUCUGAGGAAAUCGAUACGCUUGAGCAGAACUUCCUGUCCUAUUUCUUUCAGGUAAAGAACCUAUUCUGGGAGAAAUAACUGUUGAUAGAUUUAGUGUCCAAGUGAAGGAUGGAGGCAUGGAGCAGUUUCUUAUAGUGUUGCAAUGCAUCAAAACAUUUCUGUAAAUGUGCUCUUUAAAGUGUCUUUAAUUAAAGUGCAGGUGAUGGAAAAAAGCAAUUUUAACAUAGUAAACGAUGAUGAGGUUGAACUUGCUCAUUCUGGACAAUACCUGUUGAAUCUUCCCAUCAAAGUUGAUGAAUCAAAGGUUAAUCCCCUUUCCCUGCAAACUAUGUCUCCUUAUCUAAAUUUCACUAAAUGUCAGUGUGAAAUUCCUUUUUUUUUUUGCUUGUGCAGUUAGAUAACAAACUUUUGUCAAAGUAUUUUAAGGAGCACCAUCAUGAAAACCUACCUGACUUCUCAGAUAAGGUGAUGUUUUUUACUGUGACAUAGAUGGACUUCUCUUUUUUCUUUGGGUUACAUGAGGUCAAUGUUAUUUCAUAAGCAAUGCGUUGAAAUUCUAGGUUUUUUUGACCAGCCAAGUAGGCAAAGGUGCAAAUUGGGGAACUCGAAUUUAGCUAUCAGCUAAUCCUUCUUAAACUUUCAUGUAUUAUGUAUUGUAUAAUUAUGUUUUUGUUUAGUGUUGCCCUCCAGAGUCCGGACCCCUUCUCUCCUAGUGGCAUUGACUUCUUGCUUAGUACUCCCUCCGUCCAAAUUAUAGGUCGUUAUUCAUAGAUAUUAUUAUGCAUCUAGACAUAGGAUAUAUCUAAGUACAUAACAAAAUCUAUGAAUCUAAAAAUGCUAAAACAACCUAUAAUUUGGGACAGAGGGAGUAUUCCUCACAUAUUGUUCAUGAACAACUACUUGUUUAGCUGACAUGAUCCUUUUAUUUGCCAGUAUGUUAUAUUUCGUAGGGGCAUUGGAUUGGACCGCACUAGCAACUUUUUCUUCAUGGAGAAAGUGGACAUGAUCAUAGCUCGUGCAUGGCGAAAGUUUCUUGAGAAGACGAGGUAUGUUAUCCACUGCACAUUUAAUGCCCUUUGCAUUUUAUCUUUCUCAUUGAAAGGGUUACCUUUUUUCAUACUGGAAUUUCAGAUUGCAAAAGCUCUUCUCCAGAAAGAAAAAUGGUAAGCAAAAGAUGGAUUCCAAGAAGAAUGAUGAUCUAGCCAGUGAAGUAGAGGACAAGGAGCUAUAUGUUGAACGCAUACGGCUUGAAACAAUGGAGUUAAGGUUUGCCUCUUCUUUGACCUGUUAAGCCAUCACAAUCCCUAUAUCUCUCUCUCAUGGUCUCACAGUUUGCACUUUGCAGCUUGCGAAAUUUAAUUGGCAAGGUCGCAAUUCAAGAGCCUACAUUUGAAGAGGUUAUUGUCUUGUACAGGUAAAAGUUAUAAAACGAUUUGAGGUUGCUGACAAAACUUUCUUGUCUUGUUUCUGAAAUGGUUGCUUGCAUGAUUUUUUUUUUAUUACAGCAUUAACUGAUUUUUUUAAGAGUACCAGGGAGACCCCCUGUCCAUUGCAUUGCUCAGGACAAUAAACUGAACUGAUUUUUUUAUGUAUUCCUUCAGGAGGAAAAGUCCAAAGGGCCAGGAUGAUAGAGCAAUUCAUGUAAAACACUUCAAAAAUAUUCCAAUGGCAGAUAUGGAGUUGGUUCUGGUUAGCACUGAGUUGCCUUUUCUGGAGAAAAUUUUCACAUUCAUAUUUAUUUAUGCUGAAGAAAAAUUGUAACCACUGCAGCCUGAGAAGAAAAACCCAAGCCUCACACCAAUGGACUGGGUUCAAUUUAUUGUUUCUGUUGUCAUUGGACUCGUAAGUGGAAUUGAAUCGUUUUCAUUUGAUUCUUUUGUGAUACUUCACCUUCUAAUUUACUUGUGUCACAUCACUCAGGUUACACUUAUCAGUUCACUCGAAAUGCCUAAAGCCGAUUUCUGGGUUGUAAUCGCCAUCCUUUCUGCUCUGGCUGGAUAUUGUGCUAAGAUCUAUUUCUCGUGAGUAUCUUAGUUGAUUUUUUUAUUUUAUUCAUUCUAUAGGUAUUUUUUAUUAUGAAGACAAUAGAGAACAGUGGAAGAUUUUUGGGCGUGAUUGGAUGAUUGCAUAUGGGUGAGACAGGCUCGCGGGGUGCAACAUAUCGAUGAUUGGUUUCCUGCACAGCAGUCUGAGCCUGUCCCCGUAGAUGCAAAAGGUCCCUCGGAGCCUGGCUCCGCAUCGUGGGCCUGGCUCGCUCGAUACGAGAGUGCAUGCGAAGGACAUCCCAGCGCGUUGUGUCCGUGACUAGCAGCGAUAGAAUUUAUAUGCAACCAAUCAGCAUCCCUGCUGCACCUGGCUCAAUGUGAUCAGCAGACCAAACAAGCGCAUGCUGCACACACCAGACCUGGCUGUGGCUGGCCUGGCUCUGAUGUUCAGCCAGGCCCGAGGCGUCUGACCAACCAAUCACGCCCUUUGUUUCUGUGACCUCGUAGACAUGCUACAGAAUACCUUCAUGCUUCAGCCUUUCUUCAUUAGGAUGAUACUUGUUAGUGUUUAUGGUUGUGUCGGGCAGUAUAUUAAAUAGUUAUUUUUAGUGCUGGUUUGUUGUGUUGAGUAGUCUGUUAAAUAGUUUUUCUUUACGCAGGUUUCAACAGAACAUGGCAACCUACCAAAACCUAAUCACUCAAUCAAUGUAUGACAAACAACUAGAUAGUGGGAAAGGCACACUACUGCACCUCUGCGACGAUGUGAUUCAACAGGAGGUAGGUCUAGACUCGACCCGUAUUUCUUGAGAAUGAACCCCCAAAAGAAAAACAAUAGUUCAGAUAUUGGAAUUCGAAGCUGAACUGACAGUUCACUUUCAUCCUCGUGGUUCCGAAUGUUCAGGUCAAGGAGGUCAUAAUAGCCUAUUAUAUUCUGAUGGAAAAUGGAAAGGCUACCAGUGAUGUAUAUAUAUUGUUCUUCCAUUUUAAAAAUCUAUACUUGCUCUUGUGGAAGAAAUAUUAAAAUUAAAUAUUUGUGUGUUCCCAAUGUGCUAGGAUCUUGACUUGCAAUGCGAGGAGUUAAUCCAGGAAGAGUUUGGCUUGCAAUGCAAUUUUGAGGUGAUGGAUGCUGUUCAAAAGCUGGAGAGGCUUGGUAUCACCACAAGAGUGAGUUCUCACAUCUUUUUCUCUUAUCACCAAUUUGUCAAACAUAGGAAUAGUUUCUUACACACACAGUGCACAUAGUCAAGUUUUUGCAGGCACACAUGCUUCUAUUUGUUUGUUCUCUACUUUUUCCCACAUAAUACUGAAGUCUGUUUUGCAUCCAGGAUUCUAUUGGAAGAAUUUGUUGCGUUCCUCUAAAGCGUGCCAAUGAGAUCAUCGGCGCUACCACGGAAGAGCUGGUUAUGAAAGCAAGGCAAAGCUUGCGAGGUUGAUUUGAACAAGGUAAUCCUGUUGUAAAUUCUUGCCUGAUGGCAUUACAACAUUUAUGGUACUCCAGGAAUGCCUAACACUAAAUUCUUGCAUAUCAGGUGGGGUAAAUAAUUCUGGCCAUCUCCAGGAUAGUUCUCCAGUGAAAGUUAUGAUAAAUGGGGUUGUAAUUUUUCUUUGGGUAGGAUCUGCUGUGUAUUCUGGAAUGUCUGAAGUGUGUUGUAAGCAUGUAGCAUUUUUUCCAUAGCAAACGAGGUAGUAGGAUGUUUCCUGCUAACGCAACACAGGGUACAAGAGCGAUGUUGUACAUGUCGUGAACUGUGCAUUUAUUUGUCAGAAACCUUCCCUGUACAAGUAACGAUGAAGGUUCACUGCAGCGUGCACACUGAGCCGGUGACGCAAUGACACUGGCAGCUUGAUCUGUCUCUGCUCUUUUGCUGUUCCUUACCUGUGGCUGUGAACCGGAAGCUCCGCAUUCCCUGAAAAUUUAGGAUGCAGUGAUGUAAACAAAUUGUCUGUUAAUCACAGAUCAGCCAGAGUACAGGGGCAUCAUGUUGAGUUCUUGUGAGUCGCUUACUAUUGAUUCAACACUCAAUUUGCAAACUGAGCAUUGCUCAGCUGGUAAAACUCCUUGUGGUGGUAAAACUCCCGUAGUGGAACCUACUAUCAGAUUUCGAGUACUUGACUCGGUACUGCUCGCCUUUUUCUUACAUUUAUUUUAGGAUUUAAUUGGCGCUAUUCUUUCGGUAAUAAGCGAUGUGUUCAUCGACGGCGAGACACCAGUGGUGAUUUCGUUAAUAUCAAAGAUUUGUCAGCUCAGUCUUUCGGAGGUGUUUAUAGAGGUAGGGUUACGUGUGUUGUGUUCAUGGGGCCGAGCGUGUGUAAGUGUAUGUGAGCCCGUCUCUACUGUGUGAUUUGAAAAAAAAAUCAACACCCGAUUUAUUUCCAUACAUGAAAAAUGGAUAAGGAAAAACGCAGCGAAAUUCCUGGACGGUACAUGUCCAAUACCCUUAUCCAGUGUGCUUUUUUCUCUUAGCAGGGAGAUAUAAAGUGCAGAGUCCAGUGGGGAUGGAGCAGAGAGAGCCAAGCUCAGCGCUUGGAGUGAGAUAAUGAGCAGCAGCAACGUGGUGUCCGGCAUCUCCGCGUCACCGUCUGCCGCCGCCGGUGCUCGCCAUCGCCAUGGCGCGGUGAAGCAGCUGAGGAUAAAGGUAGCGCAGCCACAGCAGCAGCGGCUGCACGGCCGCCGCCGGCAAAGCGGCGGCAGGGGCGGCGCGGUGGUGGCGAGAGCCGGGCCCGGGGCGCUGUCGGAGAUCGAGCCGGACCUGAACGAGGACCCCAUCGACCGGUGGGCCACCCCCGGCAUCAGCCCGGUCCGUCCCUCCUCUCAAUUCACUCGCUUUAGAAUUUUGGCUGUGCUAUCUGAACUCUCUGAAGAAAGAAAUGGAUUGCCUUUGCUCAUGGGAUAACACUGGAGUGGACAAUAAUGGAUUGCCUUUGUUCAUGGGAUAACACUGGAGUGGACAAUAAUCUGUGUGUUGCAGGAGGACUUUGAGUUCGGAGUGUACGAUGGACACCACACCUAUCACGAAGGCCAAGGUCUUGUCCUAAAAACUUCACUGUCAUUGUAUCCAUGUUGUACUGAUAUCCUUGCAAGAAGGAGCACUGAUUGUUAUGCUAUGUGAUGUGGUGUAACAAAUCCUGCAAACAAUUGCGAUGACGAUGCCCUAUCUGAAGACAAGAAGGGAUUUUGGGAGGAUGUCUCCGAAUGGUACCAAGAAGCUGAGCCUCCUCAGGGCUUUCAAGGUACUCUUUAGCUCCUCGGAUAUCUUUCUGCUUUCAGUGGCAGUGAAAAAAAAAACUUUCCUCAUCAGCAUAUCAAUGGCAAUUUCUUGCUGUGCAGCACUCAUCUCCUGGGCAUUUCCUCCUGCAAUCAUCCUUGGCAUGGCUUUCAAUGUACCGGUAUGGACUGAAUAUUUACAUCAGGCUCUGUUUCAAACAUAUUGGAUUCUUUUUUCUGAUCUUCUAUGAGGAUUGAACUGGACUAGUGCGAAAUUCCCGCGCUCCAAACGUUCGCCCAAGCCUUUCACCCUACGUUCAUGUAACUCUCUACUGACUGGAGAUGUGCCUGCUUGUACCACCACCAGGGCGAGUACCUCUACAUCGGGGCAGCUCUCUGGAUCGUCGUGUUCUGCAUCAUCGAGAUGCAAAAGCCGGACAAGCCGCACAACUUCGAGCCGGAGAUCUACAUGAUGGAGAGGUCGGCUCGUGACAAGCUCAUCGCCGAUUACAACUCCAUGGACAUCUGGGACUUCAACGAGAAGUAUGGCGAGCUCUGGGACUUCACCGUCAACACCAGCAGGGAAGACAUCGUCAAAUCAAGCUAGAUGGUUACCUACUGCACAAGCCUUUCCGUGCAAAACAAAUCAAGUAUAGCAUAGCUGCUAGGAAAAAGCUCUUGAAUGAAAGGAAUAACAAUGUGUGUAUCUUCAUGCCUGAGGUUCUCAGCCCUGUAAAAACUGAGAGCCUGAAAAUCUGCUUUAUCCUCACAUAAUGGAUGUAUGUCGGGCGUCUCACAAAAGAAAUUCUGCAGAAUAGCGAGCACGCUGUUGCUUCAACUUUCUGCGUGGUUUCUUCAUGUUUUCUCUUAUGUUUUGAGAAAACACAUGCAGGACUGAUUCACCGAAGUAACUGAACAUUUAGAACUGCCUGUUUGCCACCACCCACCCAAUCUUAUUAUUAUUCAACAAAAAGAAAUGUCAUUCUUCCUUAAAACCUUUGCAGGAGAAAAAAAGGGAAGAACGAAAAAGAAACCACCAGGGUAAGAAAAAAAAAAGGUAAGCCUUGCAGCUGUUCCUUUUUUGUACACUUGAGAUGCAGCUGACUCGCUAUGAAGACAAGGGAAAUCUUUUGGAAGAGAACAAGGCUAAUCUACUGCCCUGGUGAGAGAACUAGCUUUGCUACAAGAUGCUAGGCAUUCCGUUCCUUCACCUUGAUGUUCUGAAGAGCUGACUGCCUAGAGUCACAGUUGGGGUGCGUCCUGUCAUGACUGUCGUCAAGCUGAUCUCCUGCUCCCGAAUCCGGUGUAUUUCAGCCUCCACCAGGCUCAUCGACGGACGCUGCUCACUCAUUGGGUUCACGCACCACGAUGCCAAGCGCAGCAAUUCUUUCAUGCUUUCAGAGGUGAAACUACUGGUCAUUCUGUUGUCUGCAAUUGCAGAGAUAUCACUUGAUUCCUGGAAGUUCUGCACCUGCAUAUCGAGGUACAAAGUGAGCAGGCCUAUACUUCAGUGCAGAUAUGAUGAUUAAGAGGAGUAAAUGAUGCCACUAUAGUAGGGAGAAAUUGGUGAGCAGUGUUGGAAUAUACCCAUUGAAUGAUGUUUUGAUCAGACACGGCUCUCCGUCCGCUCACCAACUCCACAAGGAACACACCAAAACUGUAAACAUCGCUUUGUAUGGAAAAGUUCAAGUUCAUGGAUUCCCUCAUUCUGAUCAUGCAACAGGAAGUUCCAUCAAACUCAAGUGAUGAAUUGUACACUGGACACAACACACUGAAAGCAGAUGAUUUUAUCGUAUCCAUCUGAUGUAAUCAAUGAAUGCAAGAAGUACAACAAAUAUGUGUGCCUGUUGUUACCGAGGAUCAACAAAUGGAUCAUUAGGUGUUCUGGAAGAUAGUCCUGUAACACCGAGUCGAUCAAGCAAGCCUGGAAUCCCAGUAUCCGCAACUUUUGGUAUGAAAUCCUCAUCCACAAGUACAUUAGAAGUUUUGAAGUUCAUAUGGAUCGCAGGGGGCGUCAGCGAAUGCAGGUGGCUCAGGCCUGAGUAACAAGAAAAGAUCGCCAUGUUAAGAUUGUUGAUGUAGUUUCCAUAAGAUCAUUGUUACAGCAGAAUGAGUUUUAGUCGAUACGAAGUUAUGAGCCUCUAAAUUAUAUUUCUGACAAUAAGGGAAAGUGUAGAGUUGGUUUAUAUGUAUAGGCUUACCUUUAGCAGCUCCAUGAGCUAUAGAAAGUCUAUGCUUGAAUUCUAGCCUUACACCUGGAGCGUGGCUGUAACCUACAAAAGGACAGCAGAAGAAUUACCAACCUACGACACCGCUCUUUGUACAUUAGAGUAAUAUAAAGAAAACACGAUGAAAUCACCAUGCAAAUGUGUUGAGACACUGCCAUUGGGGAUAUACUCAUAAACAAGCAUCUGCACAACAUUCUCCUGGCAGUACCCCAAAAGUUUUACAAGGUUCCGAUGCUGGAGAGAUGAUAGGUAAUUAACCUGAGAAGAAAACAGCACGGAUGCUUGAGCUUGGAACAAUCUAAGAAGGGUGUGGAGCAAGCUGUGCUAUAUUUUAAAUCAUAUUAGAAAAUAGUGGGUUUAGUCCUUUGCUAGAAAACAGGAUCAUUCCUUCAAGAGGGAAAAAAUAGAGCUAAAACACAGCACAUUCCAUAAAUUCAGGACCAUAAAUUGCUCAAGAGAACGUAUGGAUAAGUAAAAUUAUGUUACCUCUUGAACGAAUUCCUGGCUAGGAGGAGCAUGCCGUCUUUUAACAGCUACAAUCGUGCCAUCCUGGAGCAAACCCUUGUAUACCUCUCCAAACAUUCCCUGUCCAAUAAGAUUUGCAUUGCUGAAAUUCCUUGUAGCCAAAUUUAGUUCCUCCAAAGUCAGACAUCUUGCUCCCUGCAACUCUGAAAGAUGGAAGGCAAAGCUAUUACUUAUCAAAAUAGAAAAAUAUAGAUCUUUAGAUGAACAAGUUUUAUAGUCUUAUGAAAAGUAACUUAAGCAGUACCUGGUAGAGCUUGACCUGAUGAGCCACUUUCUGAAGAGUCUGAAGUUCUUCUGCGAUACUGCAGGCAAAGUACAAUUACAACUGUGACAAUACAUAGUAGUGUCAAGCCUCCUACAGCACCUCCUAGAGCUGCUGCAAGAAGUCCUGACAUCUAUUACUGGAUAUCCUCCCAGAAUAGGGCAAUAAUCUUUGUAGCCGCAGUGAUGAAGUCUGCAGAUCGGAAACCUAAAGAGUAGUACAUUAAAUUUGGCUGAGUUUAUAUUUGAAUCCAUAAGGAAGAGCAUGGAUGUACAGAUUGCUGGUUGUGACGACCAGUGAGCUACAGAAUAAUUCAGAUAGUGAAUAGAUAUACGCAAACAUGUAUGCAUGGAUUGGGUGAACAAUAGAUAAAGUUAAACCACUAAUAUAAUAUUGACACUGAAACCAUGGAUAAAGUUAAAUCAGCAAGUGCAUAAUUUUUUUGUCAACUUUAGUUUUGUCUCAGUAUGAAAUGUCUGUCUCUCAGAUUUGUCGCUGUGCAGUGGCAAAAUUAGGGAUUUUGAUCAUGAUACAAGUGAACUACUAGUAACGUAUAAAUCUAGCAAUAAAGACUAUUGUAUUAUCAAAUGGAAAAAUAAGGAAUUGUCAGAUAUUCAAAAUUACGCAUAUGUGGUGAUGUGCCGUGGCAGAAUCAGGAAAGCACAUUUUGAUCAUAACAUUAGCAUCAUGGAUGAAGCUACUAGUAACACAUAAUCUGGCGAAAAAGACAACUAUAUUAUCAAAUGGAAAAGCAGGGAGUUGUUGGAUAUCUGAAAUUGGACAUUAUGUGGCAAUGUGCAGUGGCAAAAUUCGGAAAGCGCAGUUUGAUCAUGACAUCAGCGGUAUGGACGAAGCUACUAGUAUCGCAUAAAUUUGGCAAAAAGGGCACUUAUAUUAUCACACGGAAAACAGGGAAUUGUCAGAUAUCCAAAAUUGGACGUUAUGUGGCAGCAUGGUUUGCACUUUGAACUUUUUUCCUUUCCUUUUCUUUCCUUUUCCUGGUAAACGUUUCCAGACAAUCAUUCAAAUUUUUUCGUGCCAUAAACGGAUCAGAAGAAACUUUGCCACAGUAGGUAAAAUGGCAUGUUAGAUGUUACAGAAAGUGACUCCAAAUGUGUAACAAAAUAUCUUUUGCUAUGACAUUCUGCACUGAAACAGAUAUGAAUAAGCUACAGUGUACAUCAAAACAUGAAUGCAUUCUUGCUUGAACUGCUUGCCUCUUGAAGCUUUGCUCAUACAUGUUGGGUUGAUUUUAUUUAUAAACAGUCAAAUUUAGCAAUCUAGCAAUGUGCCAUUGGCUACUAUCUGAAUUCUGCUCAGUAACAGUAACCAAUAGAAGUACUCAUCAGAGGAUUGCUGAUUGUUGAUCUUCCCUAUCUAUCUAUCUAUCUAUAUAUAUGAUCACCAAAAAAUUAUCACUCCUGAACAGAGCACAAAUCAUGGUAUGUGAAAAAAAAAUCCACAUGAUUCAGACUCCAUCCGAAAAAUACACAGCGAUUCCACCCUUGUAUGCAAAAAAGUUGCAAAUUUUGGUGAAGAGAAAUGAAGGCUACACCAUACCUGCAGAUCGCCCAGGCCUCGUGGCAUCAUUCCCGUCCAAGCGCAGCACCAGCAUCAAAUGCUGAAUCCAUUCUGCAGACAGCAAAACUUGUUCCACCGAUUCUUGACUCUGCCCCGUCUUUUUCCUCCUACCAUCACAAGAAAAGACUUCAAGCCAAUCAAGAAAUGCAAGAAGAAGGCAAAUUACGGAAGAAAUAUCUAGCGCGUAUAGGUUCUCCACAGCUAGAGAGAAUCCAUGAAAAAGAGUGAAAAGUGAGAGAAGCAGCAAGCAGGCAAGAACACCUCUGCGUCCUCCUCCUACUCUCCUCAGGUGGGUCUAUCGCUGUACUGGCAAGUGAUUGUGGGCGAGAUGAGCUGUGAGGUUUUGGGGAGGGAGGAAUGGGGAGGGGAGCGCCCACAAGAAAAGUGAAGGAGAAUACACUCACCGGUGGGGCGGAUCGGAAUUGGAAACCCGCAGCAAAUAAACAUUGCCUGUAUAUAUACAUAAACUGGCCGGGUUGAGCUGUAGGCAUCAGCGGAAAGCGGAGCGGAGGAUGCUAAAAAACGCGGGCUUGGCGCGGCCGUUGCAGGUGAAAACAAAACAGCCAAGAAAAUCCCCAGCUUUAUCCGGCGGCUCUUGAGUGUGGGCUUGUGUGACCCCAGAACUAGAACCGGAUGGAUCUCCCAAUGAUUGAACCGGAGGCGACAAUUCGUUGGGAUAGCGACACUGCGCCGACGCAGCAGAUUUCCCCCCAUUUUAUCUUAUUAGUUCUUCGAUUCUUUCCCCUUCGUCUACAUUCAUGAAUCUAUCUUUGCCGCAAUGCGCCGCCGUUCGAUCAAAGCGGGCAACAAAAACAAAUGGAAUUGAAUAGGGAAACCGGUGGGAUUGAAAAUGGGGACGGGCCGAGGGGAGCCAAGCCAAUGAUUGCCGGGGGGGAGAAGAACAUGAUGGGGGCUCAUUGAGCUGGAAGACAGACGGACAGACAGGCAGGAGCUGCCGUGCUUGCUCAUCAGAUAAAAAGGACUCCUCUUCUUUUUUCACCUGCUGGUCAGCUGGUGUUGGAUUUUUCACUUUAUGAUGAGGCUCUGAAGUGGCAGGGCAUUGUCUGCUAAUCCCAAAUUAGCAUAUGUUUCCGAAGAACUUAAUCAAACUAAUUCGUCAUUUAUAUUGUUCUUCAAGCAUGCGGGCAGCUAGCGUCCAAGGAAGAGACGCUGGGGAACAAAGCACAGAUCGCUGGGCCGCGGCGUGUUGCUACCCCUCCAGAGUGGCCAUGAGCUGUGCAUUGCAUCUUUCUCAAUCCCCUUCUGCUGCUUCUGCAUUACCGACUCCAAGACGCCAUUGUCAAAGUGGAAAGCAUUGAUGAAUCGUCAGUCACCAACACCCACAAUAAGAAAUAAAAAUGGAUGAUGCUACGUGAAGGAUUGAGAUCGAUCGAGCAGAAGGAACGGCUGGCAGCACUGAUUUUUCACGACGUCGCAUCAGGAUCAGGAAGCCAUCCUGUGUUUGUUUGGUCCUCUGAACUUUUCUGGCUCACUUAUUAGGGCGAUGAUUAAUGGACUGUCUGACCACUGAUGUGAUGUUCAAUUCGUUUUUUCUCCUCUCCGAAACACUGGCACUUCUUUCAAGCAUAUCUCGCUGGCCUUGAGGUCUCUCUGACUCUUUGUUUGGGGGGGUGGUUGGUCAGUUGCUGGCGGCAAUGGCUUGGGCCGCCUGCGUGUCUUGCUCCAUUUCCUGCAGCUUCUUCAGUUCAGGCACGUCAGGGUCAAGGAAAACAUAUCUGCAAUCCCUGCGUGACCGCAUCAGCAGCGGCUACUGACUCCAUCGCUGUGCUUGCGAGUGCACUACAGCUGUGAGCUCUGAGCUCUGUGGCUUGACCUUGACGACGCCUCUGCAGCUGCAGCGGGAGGCUACAGAGCUUGUUGCCUUAUCCUCUCACUGCCGCCGGCCGCGGCGUCCAUCUGGCUGCCGCCUCGUCGCCGGCGCUGACACGUGAGCCGCCGCCGUUUGCCGAGUCAGACACGUUUUGCUAGCUGCAGGGUGGCUAGCUGGAUGACGUUGCCUGCCAUUGCGCCGGUUGGAUCAGUAUGUAGCAGGCAGAGUACCUGACCUGGCAUCCAUCAGGGGAUAUGAUUCUGCCACGCGUGCAUGAGUAAUUAAUUAAUUAAUCUAGUACAAGGUCGAUGAUCCUGCGACGCUAAUGAUUGCUGCGGAACUCUGAUGGGUGCAUGGCUUCGCUUACGUUGUUGCCUUCUCCUUUAACGUCACGGGCAGGCUGGGAUUCCAUUAUUCCAUGAGCCAUCGGGCUUUUGCUCUGGCGAGAACUUGCUGAGUUGACACCUAGCAAAAGGCACCCAGCAUGGUUGGGUUUGGGGCCCCAGGAACACGAAUGUGUGUUGAGCAUUGAGCUUGAGCAUGGAUCUCGUGGGACUUAAAAUUGGUCAGCAGAUGGAAACUAUAGAUCAGGUAUGCAUGGUGUGGUGUCAGUGCAUAAUACCAACGCUGUAAAGGAAUUGAUAAUUCCAGCCAUUGAUCUCCACCAUGAAUCUAUCUUUUUCCUUUUUGGUUUAAGCUUCUAACAUGUCGGUCGCAUGUUUUUUUUUUACUAGAUAGCAAAGUUAGCUGCUUUGAUGUCUAUAACUGAGAAUAUGUUUUUUUAUUAGACUAGAGGCUAGUACCUAGGAACAGCAAACUCUCCAUGCAAUAAGCUGGAAUACAAAAAAAAAGUCACGUGAAAAAUUAAAAAACUUAGUGUUGAGAGUGGGAUUUGAACCCACGCCCUUUCGGACCAGAACCUUAAUCUGGCGCCUUAGACCAACUCGGCCAUCUCAACCUGAUGCUUUUAGCGUAGGCAGUAUGAUUAAUAUUUGAACUAUUAGGCGAUUGAUCCAACUUAAUCAGAAACGAUGCAAUAAAUUUUUCGUAGCAACCGACCGUCCGGCAGCUCCGGUACACCAACUGUACCGCCAUGGCAUUCAACACAAACAAGACAAAGGAAACAAACAGACGGUCGCCCAGGUCUAAGCAGCUCCGGAUCAAGGGCGCCCAUCUCUACAUCCAUUAAGUUUUAAUAUUUAAUGACUAACAAUAAGCAGAAUAUUGCGAAUUAGUGCCCCUAGGACUAAGAGGCAUAUUACGAACCAUCUUUAGUUUUAAUUUAAUUAUCAAAUACUGGUUUUCCAAAUCUUAAGUGCUUUUCAAUUUAAACCAAAAGAGUCAGACUCCAUUUUGCACCUAUGGAAAUGGAUCUGAGAAUUCGUGAUCUAUAUGUGGCAUUAUGCCCCCCACCUGGCACUGCUGGGCCUGCAUUCCACGUUGACUUUCUACGCCGAACAGCUCACAAGAAUCAAUGGCUUAGUGUUGCUUAAUUAAUCGCUACUAGUAGUAUUUACAGGUCACCAGCAUACAUGUCUUGAAGGACAACCACGGUAGGGCAACGGUGCAGCACCAUGCUAGUGGAAUGAAAAACCCUGGUAGCUGACUGAUUGGUAGAGAUGAUGGAAACGGAACCUCCAUCCUUUCCAGAUCAAGAAGCAAAGAAAAACGCAUCGAUUGUUGGCCAGUUAAUGUCACAACCACUUGCACGAAAAGGACACUGCGAAUGCAGGAGCCCAAGCCUAUGUACCCACCCGAGAUCCAACAGGCAGAGAACUGAUCAUCCUUGCAUAGGAAAAGGAAAGGUAUGCUUGUCUGAUCAAUCAGGCGCUCGCUAGAUUGCCGGUGUUACAUCAGCUGAUUAAUGAGUCCAGCUUACAUGGUGAACAAGUUGGAGCUCAGCAGCACCUGCAUUGGAGAUUUGGAGGAUGCAAAUGGCAGGGUCCAGGCAGGCAACAAGUAGAGGUGCCCCAGAAUCCCUAGCAAGCACCACAUGUGAAGGCAGCGGCUGGCUGAUGCCGAAUUAAACGGACACCGUUGACGCCUGCCUACUGUUUCUACUUUCUACACCAACAAACCGAUGGCGCCCACAGGACCAUGAGGACGAUGACCCUCUGAAGACCAGCUAUGCAGCAUCAUGUUGCCUUGUUUUCCGGCCGGCAUGGCCCUGCUCUGGAUUUUUCAGGUUCGGAUGACUGGAAGCUGCAAUGGAUACAUAUGCAUGGUUCUGUGCAUCUUUAUCUGCAGUAGGGGAUAAGCUUGAUUGACACAGCCUGUUGAUUCGACCCUGACAUCUUCAGCGAGCUUACAGCCAAUUUGCUUCCCAUCUCGAAGUUCCAGAUAAUACACAAAUUCAGUCUGCAUGAGGGUACAGUAAUCCCACAGCUCAUCUCGACCGGAGCGCAAAUGUGAUGGUAAAACCAACCAGACGUGUACCACUGAAGAAGAGAAACUCGCUAGUCGCUAGUGAAGUAGCCAAAAACCCAACGCAACCCUUGGUGGUGCAGUGUGCACUUCGAUACAGGUCAUUGUUGCAAGCUUGUAGCGCAAGUAGGAGGCAGCCAGCUGGUCAUGCUUCCCUGUUGCCAUUCUAGUGGUCCUGAUGAACAUUCCGCUUUUAUCAUACUUCAUUCAUGAGCAAUAAACAUUUCGUAGAUCACCUUAAUUAACAGAAAUAGAGGUCAUGGGCUUUCCAUCAAUGUGACACAGUGGUACCCAUCAAUGAUCUUGACUAUCUGCUUGCCAUAUGAUUGCUCUUAAACAUGCCAGUCUUCAUGAGUCGCCUAUAGAGAUUACACGGGCAUGGUACUAAAUUAGUAAGUGCAAAAUCAAUCGUUUUGACAAAUAAACUAAUUACAGCACUAAGUAACAGAUCAAAGAGCACUCUCCACAAUCUGUUUGGUAACUUGCUUGCUGGCUCAUAUAAAUCUUAAUAGUUUCACAUAUCGGCAAGUGUGCAGCGAUCAAAGCAGUUUACACUAUGACAUAUUUGUCCUAAAUUUUUCUGCUUGCAGCUGAAAACAAGAAUAGGAAUAAGGUGGUCACUUUAGAAGCUUAUCUCACGUCUCUCAGCAAAGAACUUCCCAUUUGUACCUUGUUCACAGGGUAACAAGGCAAGCCAUACUCCUGUAUCAGCACCUUCUUCAGCAGAAAUAUUCCCUUCAAAACCAGUCAUGGCCGUUUUUACCCACCCUGGGCAGAAACAGUUAAUGUAGAUCUUUUGGCCUUCAGGCCGAUCUGAGAGCCUCCUUGACAUGAGUCGUGUAUAAGCAUUAACAGCAAGCUUCGAGACUGAAUAGUCUGUGUACAUCUGAGGCCAUUGAUUGGAGGACCAAGUACCUUGCCUUACUUGCUCAAGAAACUUCGUUAUCAUCUCAUCAAUUAACUGCUCUGAUAGAUAAUCAUCAUUCAAUAACUGAUCUCUGAGGAUUGCAUCACCAAUUCUCUGACAGCAUAUAAAAUAAAAAAGAUCAAUAAAUGGCAAGGUAAUGAUCAACACAAGGGUGCCUCAUAUUAAGAAGGUCGCAGCACAAUAGAGACAUUGGAAAAAUAGGGAUAUGUCAAGCAAACUUACAUUCCGUCUGCCAUUGACUCUACCAAGCCUUGAGCUGACAUUCACUAUCCGAGCACCAUAGGGAGAGGGUUUCAUUAACGGUAUCAUGGCAUCAGUCAUCUGUUUCAUGCCAUAAUAAUUUGUCUUGAUAACUUGCUCAGCGAACUCAACAGAAUUAUCUGGUCCUUUAUUGAAGUUUACACCUGCAUUGUUAACCUGUAAUCGGGUUACAGGACAUCAAUUAGUGACUUGACUUUCUGCCCAUUUUACUUUGUGCACAGCAAUACAGACACUAUUUCAUCUCAUUUCACGUGUAGGGAAUUGAAAACGCAACUCUUUCCGGUUUGUUUCUGACUUGGCCGUGGAUCCACCGCCCCAGUCCUUUUCUCCCUUUCUACCAAUCCAUUUUUAAUUACUAAUUACGGAGUAGAUUACAACUUCCAGAAACAAGUGUUGAGACGACUCUUGCUGGUCAAUUGAAAAUUUGAAAUGAUAUUCCUUCGUAUUGUUACAGCAAAGCAACUAAUCACGAAGUACAAGAGGUAGAAAGGUAAGACGAUGAGAAUGCGCUCACAAGGACAUGGAUGCCGCCGUGGGUCUCCAGCGCCCAGGCCGCGAAGGCCUCCACUGACGCGGCCUCCGCCACGUCGAGCUGCCGCCACUCCACGCUCACGGACGCCUCUCCGGGAGCCUCCGCCAUGAUCCUCCCGGCAGCGUCCUGGCCUUUGGCGGCGUCGCGGGAGGUGAGCACGACGUGGAGGCCGUGGAGCGCGAGCUGGCGGGCGGCUUCGAACCCCAUCCCGCGGUUGGCACCCGUGACCACCGCCACAGCCCGCGGCUCCAGGUGGUCCCACCAUCGCUGGUGGGGCUCGUAGGGGAGGGCGCGGAGCAGGGUGACCUCGCGGCGGCGCUGCUCGCGCCGCUCCCGCGCCGCCUCCUUCCCUUUCUUCCCCAUCUCUCUCUCUCUCUCUCUCUCUCUCUCUCAGGUCGUCGAAACUUUACACCCUCGCUGGGCCUUAGUGCCAACUUUACAAUCACUAUGGGCCUCACUUCGAUGUGUAGAGGAUGGAAGUAUGUGGGCCUCUUUUUUCUGGGCUUUGGUGGCAAUUUUACAACCACUAUGGGCCUCGGUGCGUUUCCCCAUUCAACAACUUCCAAGCUGAAGAAGGGAGAUUCGAAGUUGUCUCUUGCGACAAGUGAGGAAGCCUGAAACCUCAACGUCACAUCAGGAAUACACAUAAGAUUAAAAAAAUCAGGAAUACACAUAAGAUUAAAAAAAUCAGGAAUACACAUAAUAGUGUUCAAUCAAGAACAACUAAAUAUGUUAUAAAAAAGAAGAACAACCAAAUUUAAAAAUAUUAAGAGCAACUCCAGCAAUACCUUCUAAACAAAUCCUCUACUUUUUAGUAGGAGCUGCCUCUACUUUCUAAGAAUUUUUUCUUCUCAACUCUAGCAGUACCCUCUAAACAACUUCAACGGAUAGAGAGCUCUCUAAAAUCCGAAGGUGUGCAGGGAAUUUUGGAGGCUUCUCUAAAAUCUAGGGUCUAGUAGAGUACCAACUUAGAACGCGGUUUUUUUUCUUGAUACUCUAAAUUUAGGGUAUGGAGGUAUUUAUAGAGCCUGCUGGAGUUGCUCUGAGUCCGGCAUACUUGCCCAGUCCUCCCAACUCCCCCCCUCAGGUUCCACUUCCACCACACUCUCCUCCAGCUUGAGAGGCCCUGGGGUGAUGCGGGUGCCAUUACCAUGCUACAUAAAGGGAAAACGAAGAGCCUUGAACGAUUACCAUCAGGACAGCCAUAACUUGUAUUAUGUAGCCUUUAAUUUGAAGCUUCACUAUAUCGAAUUAUCGAUGAACCGGUAUGUAAUAAGUAGCCAUUGCAUUAUUCGUGGUAAGGACGGUUUUGCAACCCAUUGGUAGUAUGGGAUGCAUGAAUUACAAUCAUAGGUGUAUUUGGGACAUAUUCCCCUAGUGGUAUACUUCUGCAUUGCAUGGCACUAUGGCAUAGCAUUCGAUCGGUAGUUAGGUACAAGCGGUGGCAUGCAGGAUUAAUGCGUGACUGAACGACGUCUAGAGAUUGGUGGCGCAGCUGGAGCCGCAGACCAUGGCGUCGUUGGUGCACUUGAGGAGGCAGACGGGCAGCUGCAGGGGGUCGAAGCUGAUGGCCGGCUUGUAGCAGUCGAGCAUGCACUUGGUCACCCCGGACCCGCAGACGGUGACGCACUCCGUCAGCCCCGCCAGCGGGGAACGGUUGCCGCCGUGGUGAUCGCGCCAGGUGCGGCCGCCGACGUGGCCGUGGCCAUGGCCGAAGGUGCCCACCGUCGCGGAGUCGUCGGGCCUGGCCGCGCCGGAUGGGACCACGGUGACCGCCGCCGCGACCACCAGCGCCAUCAGAAGCGUCGCCGCGGCAGCCUUCAUGGUGCACGCACGUUCUUCCAAGUCGAUCGCUGAGAAGUGUGAAGGUGCAGAGCUGCUGUGUUGGGCUGAGCUCGAUAGCAUCGAUCUCUGCAUUAUAUAUAGCUCAUGCAAGGAGUUGACGUGUCGCUGGGGCGAAGGUGCAAGCAUGAGAGAUGUGUGACAAGGCAGCGCCCGAGACGGAACGUGCUCGAUUGCCGAGCAACAUGAUCUGUGUGAGCAAAACAGACAGGCCUGCAGGAUAUACUCACUUGAGGCCGAACUGCAUGUUCUCACUUUAUUUGCCAUGCAUCUAUGAGCUGCCGAAUCAGCCGUGGAUCGAUCGGGUUUUGACAGCGUCAAAAACUCAGACACCACCGAUGCCAACGCCGUAUCUAUGCAUUGCCCGCCGGCGGCCACGCGUGAGCUUGACCCGCCCCUGUUGUGUUGGGCCGCUCCCUUGCCGGCGACAUAUUAUUGUAUUAUUAAGCUUUGAUUCAGUCACAAACCAUCAGGUUGAGAUGGCCGAGUUGGUCUAAGGCGCCAGAUUAAGGUUCUGGUCCGAAAGGGCGUGGGUUCAAAUCCCACUCUCAACAUAAUUAUUUUGCACGAUUUUUUUUCAAUCAGCAUUUGUAAUUACAUCAAAAUUCGCAUUUUUUUAACGUUCAUCCGAGAGGGCCACUUGCAUACAGCUACAAAGAUCGACGCAAAAUGGUUGUCUCUCUUCUAGUCUUCUUCAAAAAGAAGACCAUCUAGCAGACGUCGAUGCAGCCAAGGUACUCGUUGUCGCACCCUCUGCCGCACGCCGCGCUCCCUUCUCCUCCUCCUCCGCCCCGCCGCGACGCGCUCGUGCUCACCCUCACGCUGGCGCACCCCGACGCCGCCGCGCAGGCCAGCAUGGCCCUCGCGCACCUGUGCACGCACCGCUCCGCCUCCCCGCCGCCCGCCGGCGCCGCGUCGACCGGGCGGCAGCUCCCACCGGGCACCAGGGCCGCGACGGCAACGGCGACCACCGUCAGCAACGCGACGGUUCUUCCGCCACCAACCUUACCGGUUGCCAUUGAUUCUCAAGAACCAAUGUCAAGUUACUGACUGGUUGGAUACGAGCUGUGUAUAAAGGAAGAGGGGGGGGGGGGGGGGGGGGUGGCGAGCAUGUUAGGUCGCUGUUUGGAGGAACGGGAGCGGCGGUACUGUGCAAGUUGUGGUUGCAUUGGUCAGGUCAGUGGUCGUUUAGUUGAGGCGUUCAAGCAUUAAUCGGCAAGUGUUGUGUCUAGGUGACAGACUGAGUGUGCGACUUGAACAAUGCACCACCGCAACCACCAGAUUCUCACCUGUUGAUUUGCGCCGUCACUCACACAAGCGACCGGCGGUAUCUUCCUGGUGCAGUUCUCUGAAAGCGAUGGACAGACUACUCAAGUUUCCCGUUGUCAGCAUUUUUACACUCAACUAGCCUCUUUUGCGUCCAAAUCCUCAAUUUUAGCAGUAGAAAAUCAUCAGCAUUCGGUACAACUGUACUUCUCAUUUUGGAUAAUUCCAAAAUCCAAACCCUUCUUGUCACACGUAGUGAAAAAGGCCAGGCAAUUCACAUUCCCAUAUGGGCCCCCAGCCCACACUGCAAAAGAGGUACAGGUGAAGUGGAUGAUGAUAAUGGUCUGUCUAUGGACAAAGGUAAAGGUAACCCAACAGCCUGCUCAACGCACAGGCCUAACCCAGCAACGACCAAUGAAUGGCCGAGCUGUUCGGACCACGAACGACCAGUCAGGAGACUAGCUCAGGUUAGGUUUAGGUUACUUAAGGUUAGGUCAGGCUCAAGCAAUGAUAAACCCGCACAGCAGCUCACUCGCAUGGUCCAGUCACAUGGGCGCCUCGUGCGCGAGGAGCGGCUUGCUUACGGAAACAGGAAAGCGAAAAGGGAAGUGGCAGCCUUCUUCUUCCUUCCAUUCAAUUCCCGGAUGGACCGGCCCCUCCGGCCCACAACGCCUCCUGCGUACCCGAGCGAGCCGCGGUGGCACGCCUCCCAACAACCACCGCAGCACGAGAUCGAGGCCGUCGAGCGCCGAUCCGACGGGCGCCGUCGUCUACGGCGGGCCGUAGUGGCGGCUGGUCGGCAGGGCGUAUUCAUACGUGGCCGGAGACGGCGACGAGGCCGGCAAGAGAGAGAGAGGGUGGGACCACGCAGCGCAGGGUCAAGCACUCAACUGACGGGUGGGGGCAGUUUGGUCAUUUGGCUGGAAGAGAGGAAAAAAUCUGGCUUGUGCAGUGGAGAGAGGGAAGAGGAGGGGAGGGGACAGGGCAUGGUCGGUGCGUCGUGCGUGUCAGGACGCUGCUGGCCAAGAUCUGGCUGUGCAUCGCUGGGCGUGAGAUCCAAGGCGCCCGCCUCGGGAACAAAGCUGCCAUUUUUAAUUGCGCCUACAAAACGGCAGAUCUUUCGUCGAACGCCUUAUUUUUCCUUUUCUUUUGCAUCGAUUUUCCAUUCGCUGAUAAGGUCGUUUGCAUUUUCGUGAUUUCAGCGGAGUUUUCCUACUUUUUUCGCAACAAUUUGCUGUGUCAGGAAUUUAGGAUAAUUCUGCACGUGAGCAACAAAAGGCAUCUACGUGAAAUUGUGGUCCGCCGCGAUGGUUUGGUUUUGUGGAUAAGAAAAUCAUGCUUACUCCUUUUGUGUUUUUACGCGUGGUGUUUGCGCGUGGAGGAUUAGAUGCUUGUGUCAUGAACUUAUCAAGAGGAGCCUCGAAUAGGCAAAUUUUAGCCACGAAUUUGUUUGGCGGUUCUUGUUGAUUCACGUGUACAUACAAGGUUUCACGAUGAGGAAGGUAUACCGUAUAAUAAACUAAAGUCUACAUUAAAAGAUCUUAUAACGCUAGUCCCAAAUUAUAGGUUUAUUUUAACUUUUUAGAUUAAUAGAUUCUGAUACGCAUCUAAAUAUGUAUUAUGUCUAGAUGCAUAAUAAAAUGUAUGGAUCUAGAAAAUUCGAAAUGAUGUACGGAGGGAGUACUACGUAGGAGAUUGGGUUAUCGAAAACGGGACCAUGAGCUAGCUGCAAAUCGAGUUGUUUGGAUUAGAUAGAAAUUUCUGUUAGCUCUAGAUUAAAUGGGGGCGUAAAGGUGACCGGAACUCACCAAUUAAGGCCUCCUAUAACAAAGGUAGGGUACAUCCUUGAUGGCUUUUAUCUAAGCUCAAAUGAGGACAAUAGAUCAUGCAUAAAAUGCACAAGAAAAUAAUUUACUUGGUUACAGCGAUAGUGGUCGACCACAAGGUCUGCAUCACCAUUGCUCCUCCGAUUGGAGACAGGGAAAGCAUAGGUGAAACCGAAACACACAAAAAGAUCGUGAAGCCUGAAGGUGAGCAAGGCAAUGUUUGAAAAUGGAGAUAGCUUAUGCAACCGAGAAAAACGGGGGGAGGAUAUUUCCGAGCCCUCACAAAGUUUCCCGUCGAACAUCUCCAGGCUAUGAAGUCAGAUACGAGUGGUGGAUGUGCAUGUGCUGCCAGCAACAACGAAGUCGUGACGGCCCGAACGGCAGAACCGAUGAUAUUUUUCCCCACGUACAGAACACAUUUGUUUAGCGAAGAGGCGGUGAGCAGGGAGAGAGAGAGAGAGAAAUAUAAUAUAAAAUGAAUAAAUAAAUAAAAACGGCAGGAAAAAAAAAGCAGGCAGCAGCUAAAAAAAGAUGGGCAGGGGGCACGAGAGACGUGGUCCACCUGCCCACCCGGCGCCAACUCGGCGGUUGGUAUAUUUGUGGUGGCCGGGGCGGGGUCAGCACUGCAUUGCCGCCUCCUUCCUUCCUUCCUUCCCACCAGCCUCAAGAAAAGGGCCGAGGCGAGGCAAGGCAAAGGCCAAGCCGUCCCCUCCCUCCUCCCUCCCCGUUGCUUCAGUUCGUCCACUCCCCGUUCCCCCAUAUCUAAUCCUGGACCGACCGACCUGCAAGCAGCAGCGAGAGGAGAGGAGGGAGAUAUAUACAUAGCCAAGGAGGGGAGACUCUUUCGAGACGACCAGGAAGGAGGAGGAGGAUGCCUUCCAGAGCGAUGAACCGGCUGUUCGUCGAGUCGUCGUCGUCGUCCUCCGGCAGCGGCGGAUGCAGGGAGGCCGCGCCGGCCGCGGCGGUGCUCUGCGCCCCGAGGCCGCGCAGGGCCCAGGUCCAUCCUUGCAGCGCCGACCUCAUCCUUGGCCCGCCGCCCUUCCUGCUCAGCAGCAAGAAGGUACUGGGUCAAAUCCACACCAACCAACCCCUGUUCUUCCUCCUACCUUGCAAAAAAAUCGCUUCUUUUCCCCCUUCGUGCUCGUGUUCUCUUGCAAAGAUCUCAUCUUUCCCUCUGUUGUUAUCGCAGAGCAAGGAGGGAGGCAAGACCAAGUCAGCGGAGGCGGAGGUGGACGGCGAUGAGGACGGGGGCUGGGCGCUGUUCGGCGGGUCGCCGCCGGCGCGCGCGGACAACCCGCUCGUGCACGACCCCCACUUCCUGCUCAACCAGCGCCACCCCGUGGACUCGUCGCCGUUGGAGCUCGGGAUUUUUGACCACCAGAGCCGCAGCAACUACAGCCACCACCGCCCCACGUAUAUUAGCAGCAGCAGCAGUAACAGCAGCAGCAGCAGUUUUGCCCCGUCGUUCGCGCCGACCGUGAGGAUCCAGGGGUUCGACGUCGCCGCGUGCCGGAGCUCCCACAGCAACGGCGGCGGCCGCGUGCUGUCCGCCCGCGCCUGAGCGCGAGGCGGUGACGGAGGAGCUCCGGUAAGCCGGGGCGCCGCCGGACCCAGGGGGGAAGACCUCGAAUCUUGUACAGUUUUCGCCGGCAGACCGUCUUGUUCGUUAGCUUACUACUACGCUACGUGUGUUUUGUGGUAUAUACAGCAACGGUUUUUAUUAACAGCAGAUCAGUCAGAAUAGGGAGCCGCGAGAGAGAUCUCGCUAAGAAGAAGAGUAGAUUGAUGAUCACCGAUACACAGCAGGGAGGGUCAAAGGGAGAGAGAGAUGAAUUUUUUUUCUUAUAUUUUUUUUUCCUCAGCAAGGUUUUCUCGUCUUGUGUUGUAAACUAGCAUCCUCUUGUUCGUCCUGUAGAUAUCAAUCAGUUCGUGUUCUAGUUGAGGAGUCCGUUCCUGGGAUGGUGAUGAAAAAAAGAUGCUUUUGCUUGCUUAAGCAAGCCGUGAAGCUACCUCCGCCAUGUAAACCAUGGUUGUAUGUAUAAAGAAACCGUGUACAUAACAUGAUGAAUAUGUAAUCAAGAAUUCCGCAUCCAUCAUCUCUGAGCUGUUCGUAUCUCCUUCCUUUUUUGUUCUUGUCUAAAAAAAUCCUCUCAUGUUCGUGCCAUGCCAAGCUCCAUGAUGAUGAUUCUGAGGGAGAGGAAAGAAAUGGUGGGUGGGUGGCUGCACUGGCCGUCCGUCCCACGGGAAAUACGGGAUCCGGCUGGCGGGUGGCGGAGCAAGCAAAGUCGUUCCGUCCUGGACAUGCUGAGCUGUUCCGGCCUCCAAUCCAACUGAGACCUCCCUGUACUCCGCAGUGUACGAGUGGUAACAGCCAGUGGGAUUGGGAAGGAAAUCAAAACCAGCGAGCGGCCGGCAAGUCGGCAACCCCCCGUCGCCGGUCGCCGCUGCCCGCACGCGCCGUUGACUGACCGCCUCGCCGAUCCCAUCCGAGGAGGAGGGAGUGGCGUGGCGGCCUCGGCUUCGACGGAGCUCCAUCCAUCCGUCCACCGGCGGACGGUGACCCGCUCCCGGCCCGCGACGCGCACGCAACCACGUCGCGCCGGCCGCGUCGCCGUCGGGGCGGCGCGGCGCGCACACGCGGACGGAUGGCACCAGCACACCGGAGCGUGCGUGGUGGUGGGGAGCCCCGGCCCAACCGCAACCGCCUUUCCUUUCCCCGCGCUACGCCUAUGAUUCACCGCGCGCGAGCGGCCGAUCACGUGCCGGCUCGCUCCGGGGCGCGGAAACCCCAAGCGUCGCUGUCGGCGCGGGGUGGGUCGGGUCCCUCCACCCGGGAUGCGCGACGAUUCGCGGGAUCCGAGGGUCGCAUCCGCCGCGCCCGCGGACGAAGCUUCCCAGGAAGAAAGCUGCCUCGUGCUGGAGUGAAGCCGGGCGCGGGCGGCAAGGCAAAGGCAGAGGCGACGCCGGGUGACGGUGACGGCCGCCUCUCGGCCUCUGUGUGUGUGUGUGACAAAAUCAACCAAGCUAGUCGUCUGGGCUUGCUUUGCUUGUCUCUACCUGGUCGCCUUGUUCUUUGUUGUUGGUUUACCAUCAUGUUCUUGUCUGUCUGUAGCGCUAGUUUUUCCUACUCCUACCAGGUGUUUCGUUUUCUUUACUCUAAGGUUAGUGAGUUUCCAAACUGUGAUUUUACUUACCUCUACACUAUGUCAGCAGUAUGUGUCUGCAACUUUUUUUUCUCCUCAGGGUGUUUUAAAAGAGUCACAUCGGAUGUUCGGAUGCUAAUUAGGAGGACUAAAUAUAAGAUAAUUACAAAACUAAUUGCACAGAUGAAGUCUAAUUCGAAUCUAUUAAGGCUAAUUAAUCCAUCAUUAGAAAAUGAUUACUGCAGCACAACAUUGUCAAAUCAUGGACUAAUUAGACUUAAUAGAUUUGUCUCGCGAAUAGGAUCCACCUGUGCAAUUAGUUUUGUAAUUAGACUAUGUUUAAUACUCCUAAUUAGUACCAACAUCCGAUGUGACAGGUGGCUAAAGUUUAGCCGGGUAUCCACCUAAGGAAGAGACAAAUAUAAAUUUCGGACAAAAUCUAAUCUGACAGUACAGAAUCUAUCAUAUGGAUUACAGCAGUCGUACUGAACUGUUCAAGUAUUCAAAGGUUGGGCCGGGGUGUCAACAGCUACGAUUAUCCCCAUUAGUUUGACCAGGCCAUGAGGGGGGCUUGACUACACAAUUUUGUCGCCGAUGAUUCAAAAGGGAGGAAAUAAAGGUGAGUUUGUGCUCGCGUGCACACUUGGGCCUUGUCCCACUAGUGCGCUGGACGGAUGCAUCCCCUGCUUCCGCUGUCCCCGAUCCCUGUCCCCGUCGCCUCCCAUUUCCUGAUUUUCUUUUUCUCUAGUAUUCGGCAGGCGAGAAACGAGGGCGUUCCAGGCAGGGACCAGGAUGUAGCCAGAUAGGUUAUCCAUCGCAAUUAAGUGCGGUGUGGCUGAUAAAUGAUUGAUGCUAUCCUCCAGACCUAAUGUUACUGUACCAGGAUCUCAUCAAUGAUUUUCCCCCUUUUGUUGUGCGUGUGAAAAGAAGAUGGGUUCAUGCACUGAAAACCUUGUCCUAGCUAGACACGAUCACUAAAGAUUAUGCUAACUCUUUUUUUCCAAAAAAGGGGACUGUACUACAAACUCUGCUACUAAUAAUUUCCUUGUUAGUAACCCUAAAAAAUGGACGGUAAGUUCAAUUUCAGCUGAAAGCCUAAUUCUACUUUGCCAAUAUGCGAUCGCGUAUUUCAGAAGUAACGCUGGCUCAGUUGAAGGUUAAAAAUAUUCUCCUUGUGUGUCUAUCAAUUAAGUUAAAGUUCGAAUUCAAUUUAAGGCAAGUAAAGCUGAAGAUUUGAAGCUCAAAUACGAUUACCAGGAUUUGGACUUUGACAUGUCGCCGGCGUUCCCUACCUCAACGUCCACACAACUGCUCCGUCAUCGUCCCUGUCAGCAUUGAACUGCUACCUGUGUCAUCAUAUAAGCAAAGCGUCUUCAAAUAAUAUCUUAUCAUGCAAGAAAUUGGUUGGAGGUAGCAAUGCUGCUUCUAUCUUGACUUUGACCUGCUUAUUUAUAAAGCAAAUGAAACAAACACUAAGGGUGCGUUUGGUUGCGAGGACGAAGUGGGACGGGACGGGACGAUCCCACUUCGUCCCGCGUUUGGUUGGAGGACAGGUGGGACGGGGACAUCCCUACGAGGGAAUAUACCCUCCAGAUGCGGGGAUGCCCCCGUCCCACCAAAACGAGCGGACGGGGGCAUCCCACUUCGCCCCCGUCACGCGCCGUCUGUCCACGCGGGCAGGAUAAUUGGUGAAAUACCGUCGCGGGUGGGCGCAGGCGAGCGCCGGCGGGCGCGGGCGGCGGCCGGCGGGCGAGCGGGCGGCGGCCGGCGGGCGAGCGGGCGCGGGCGGGCGAGCGGGCGGCGGCCGGCGGGCGAGCGGGCGCGGCCGGCGGGCGAGCGGGCGCGGGCGGGCGCGGGCGGCGGCCGGCGGGCGAGCGGGCGCGAGCGGCGGCUGGCGAGCGGGCGCGGGCGGCGGCCGGCGGGCGAGCGGGCGCGGCCGGCGGGCGCGGGCGGGCACCGGCGAGCGGGCGCGUCCGGCGGCCGGCGGGCGCGAGCUCCACCGCGGCCGGCCGGUGGAGGAAGAAAAUACCUGUUAGUAUGACAGGUGGGUCCCACGAACGGUGUUAACAGGAGAAGAAAACGGUGCUUGUCCCGUCUAUAGCGAUCUCUCCAACCAAACAAAAAAUAGGAUCAUCCCAUCCCAUUCAACCAAACAAGAAAUGGGAUCAUCCCAUCCCGAAAAACUGGAACGGGACCGUCCCGUUCUACAUUGUCUCCCAACCAAACGCACCCUAAGCUUAUCACUUUGGAUUGGAACUUCACAUAGAAAUUGCCUGCUUAUCCAACCAGCCUACAUAAACAUACGAUGUACUGAGGCGCAUGCAGUGCAGCAUCCAAAUAAGGCAGCAUCCACUAAGCUCAGAAUCGCCACGUCUGGGCUGGCAAAUGGCAAUGGCAGGUGGAAUUUCAUGUGGGACUUGUCAAAUGCAGUCAAGCACAGCUCAGAUGAUCUGGUUGCCAGCAUCUUUAGCGUGCCUGGAAUUGCCACGUGGGCGACCAGAGGAAGAGCGAUUCACCUAAAGCGAAAACGAAAUGGAAUUGCUUUGUACAAGGGGAAAGAACAAAGCAAGAAACGAGCCCACUUGUGAAAGACAAGACACGUCCUUCGGAAUUCCACUACCAAUUGCAGCAUAAUUCCUGAGGGGCCACUUGUGUACUACUAGUACUAGUAUAUAAAUUCCGUAGUGUGACACUGAGAGCGAUAUCCAUAGACAACAAGCAUAUCAAAUAAGAAGUAGAUCCAAAUUCUCUAAUCAGGGGAGUUCAGUCAUAAUUUACGGGGUCAGAACGUCCAAGUUCAGAUAUAUAAAAGUCAAGAUUAUUGUAUGCAGAAGAAAAUGUUUGAAAUUGGUUAUUUUCAUUAUUGCCAGCUAUUCUAGUCGAUUAAAACUGACUUUUCGCAGAUAAAUAAAUAACAUAUAAUAAAAUAGAGUUGUCCUAUACUCCUGUGUCAUACGGAAUUUAUAGAAUAUAUUGUUUUUGCCUGAAAAGCAACAAGAAUUUCAUAGUAUGUUAAGAUUCCACGAGUGAAGGCAUGAAAAAUUGGGGUAACUCAGCUGUCAGAAAUCAGCAAAGAUUGCAAUCACUGAGCAAUGAAAAAACUGGAGUAAAAUUAUGUACUAGCCAUUAGCCAAAGGAAGCAAAAGCUGAAGGCCCGGUAAGCUACUCAGAAAAUGGGCUUUCUAGCUCACUUGGAUUUCGUCAAACCAUCUAGCUAAACCAUGUGGGCAGUGGGCCUCAGGAAAUGGGCUUUCUAGCCCACUGGAUUUGUUAGUAGCUUUGUUGAUUAAUUCAGGCCAUGGCAUAAAUAUAUCAGGAGCAACAGGACUGCAACAAGUCCACAACUGCUAAUGGUCUUCUUUCAUAGGGAAACAGUUAUGUGAUUCAUCUUGGUAUAUCCCACGUUAAAAUCCCAGCACGUGUGUUCGUUCAAAAAAAAUCCCAGCACGUGUUAAUACUUGAUUUUAAUGUGAAGAACAAAUCUGACAGAAAAAACCUACUUUUUUAAUGUGAAGAACAAAUCUGACAGAAAAAACCUACUUUUCACCGGAGGAAAUAAAACCCCACUACUAUCUCCACAUACAGGUUGCGGCCAUGCCGUUGCUCCUUAAAGGAAAAGAAGAAUGAAAAUUGGUCAAGGUUCAAGAAGGAUGGCUGCAACUGGAUGGAAAGGGGACUGGAUAACAUAGAGCAUUUAUGGCAUCAUUCAUGCACACGACCAACAAACGAACAACCCGUCAAAAACAGGCGCCGAGCAUGUCUAGCUAGCCUACGCAGCACGCACCGGUUCUUGAUUUGUACCAACCAAAGUAGAUAUCUUAAACAGCAAGCAAGGCAGUCACUAAUUUUUCCAAGUGCAGCUUUAUUCCGGACCCAGAUUGGAAAAAUGAGGAGAAAGAUGCCAAGGCACUCUACUCAUCACCACAGAAGUCUUGUAGCAGAAUGCUGCAUAGGCUGCACCUACCAAGUCAUCACUAAAUCGUCAAUACGAGUUUUGACAGAGCUCAUCCAAGUACGUCUUUUCUAAUCCCUGACAUUGACAACAGGCACUAACCAGGACAAUUACCAUGGCAGAACUCACAAUGGAAUUAUAGUAAGUAGCUAACAGCACUAUAAUUAUGGCGUUUAUUAUUUCUUAAACCACUGGCCAUGCCACACGUAGUAAGAAAAGACUACAAACUUGGAAAGUUGAACCAACUCUAGAAGCAGCUUAGUUGCCAAGACUUAGAUUCCAAAUUGUGCACAUGGUCAAAGAUCUUGUCCCAUCAAGCGUUGGCUGUCAAUCCCUUCGAGGAAUCCAUAUGCUGGUGGUACAUUCCACAUGCCACCAUCACAAAGAGCUUUCCCCCAAGGCCCCAACCGAUACUGCUCGACAAAGAACAGUCAAGUCCACGGUGCAGUUCAGCACGAAAAACUACCAAGUUGCAAAAGAACACCUCAGCUCUGAUAAUUUUUCCAACUAUAGCUGCUCACGGUAUUGAAAAUUCCAAGUCAAUACUGUUGGCUGCCACUUUUGGGCCGUUACACACUGUUCCAAGAUCCCGUCUUCUUACGUAUUGGCAAUGAAAAUAGAAACUUGCCUAAAUGAACCUCUAAGUACCAACAAGUAGGAAAGCGAAGGUCAGAACACAUGAUAGGCAGCUGUGUAGGGUUUUAGAGACAAUUAGAAUUUCAAUUUCAGAGCUGUAGUAGAUAUGUCUAUAUGCAUUGAGACACAAUUGUUAUUGAUUUUUUUUAGAAAAAUUGCACUCAGAUGAUAACAGAAACUGAGGCAUUAGAACUCCAAAAUUCCAGUAUAGUGCAAUGAGCCAAUGACAACUGUUAAAGUAACACAAUUAACUCUUUUCCCUUUCAAACUGCUAUUGUUUGUGUUUACAAAUUAAGAAUUCCAGGCGAGUUUAGGUGCAACUCCACACUUACUCACGAGUGACGACAACUGCUGAUCAAGAAAAGUGACCGUGCCCUCCCACGUAGCCACGUUCCCAGCUUAUGUAAAGCACAUCACAAGAUUCACGGCCGCAGUGUUGAAGGAAGACCUUGGCAAGUGAAGCGAAUGAUAAUAGCAUCUGACUUCAACAGCACGCAAGGAGAAAUCCGUUUGUCGCACGAGCAUCCUGUCUAUCCCAGAAGAUGUUCAUACUGGUCUUUGAAAAAAGAGAGAGCUCACGUUCGUACUCCAUCAUCACAAGCCAGGCACCAACGGCUGCAAGGAAGUAACAGCCUGGUAUCAUGCUUGGCCCCUCGCAGCACGCCUAUAAAAGCCAAGUUAUGGAGAACAGAACAAAAGGUCGGCCAGAGCAAGACUCCAUACCUUGAAGAUGGCUGAACCUCAGCACACGAGCAGCAAUGGAGCUGCUCACAGUGAUGCGGACUCUGAAUAUGCAUCAGAGAAAAUGCCACCAAAGAGGUUACAGAGAUUUGAUUCACUGCAUAUGGAGGCUGGAAAGAUUCCUGGUGGAUCAACACAUGCAGCCAAGGUAUGAUCUCCAGUAACUCUUGUUCAAUUAGACAACAAUUCUUCCAUUGCUUGAAGUUGCAUAACUGCAUGGACAUAUUUUAAUUCUCAUCAGUUUAAGCAAAAAAUUUCAAAGUAAAUUUCACAUAAAGAUACCAUUGUGCACAAAACAAUCCAGAUCAUAUAUAUCUAGUUUUGUAAAGCACGGUUCUGCUACAACCUAAAAUAACAAUUGAAUUAUCAUAUCAGUCACCAUCUUAUGUGAAGGAACUAAGCAUAUCACUGUAACAGCUACUUUCAUCUAAGGAUUGCAUGAUUAAACGCAUAUGAUUCACAUUUUUGUGGCAAACACAAUCUGAUUCAAAGUUUGCACUUUAAUACUGAAGGUUGGCUGGGCAACCACACUACAUUUGGCAUUCCAAAGCAUAGGUGUGGUUUAUGGCGACAUGGGUACUUCUCCUCUCUAUGUUUUCUCCAGCACCUUUACAAACGGGAUUAACAACACAGAUGACCUUCUUGGAGUCAUGUCUCUAAUUAUCUACACUGUGAUUCUCCUUCCCUUGAUAAAAUAUUGUUUCAUUGUCCUGCGAGCUAACGACAAUGGUGAUGGUAAGUAAAUAUGCUCCAUAUGACCAUAAGUUUUCUCAACACAACUUCUAGUCAGUGCUUUAAAGGCGACAAGGAAGGCGAGCUGUGUACGCCUUAUCGCCUAGGCAUCAAUGCGGACCUGUUUCCCAAGGCGAGCUGUGUCCGCCCGCCUAGGCAAAAAGAGUUUUUAAUAACUUAAGAAGAAAAUGUUUUUUUACAACUUAGAAGCAAUGUCUUCCUUAAAGAGAAUGUUAAAAAAAUAGAAAAGAAUGGUCACAAAGGGCGACAGGAGUGAAAAUUUGAUAAAUCAACUAGACCUGAAGUCUCCCACCACAUUGGUUUCGACUGCAGUAUAUUUUAUUUUUUGAUUCUGAAAAAAAAAACACAAUAGGGUUACCUUUACUGAGGAUUAUUGAACAUAAGGAUAUAUACGUAUGUAUAGAGACUGUAGUAGCUUUUAACAAUAUAUUUCAAAAUCAUUAAAAUGCUACGUCUGAAAGCAUUAAGCACAUAAUUUGCUAAGAGAAAUUAAAAACCACAAAAGUCAAAUAUUAUUAUUUGUUUCAUGGGACAGUUGACAUGUAUUAUCAAUUUAUGAUAUUGUAGGAGGAACAUUUGCACUUUAUUCAUUGAUAUCACGGUAUGCUAGGAUUAGCUUGAUACCUAAUCAGCAGGCUGAAGAUGCAAUGGUCUCUCGGUAUAAGUUGGAAUCCCCCACAAAUCGUAUCAAGAGGGCUCAUUGGAUCAAGAACAAGAUGGAAAACAGUCCAAAAUUUAAGGUCAUGCUUUUCCUAGUGACAGUCCUGGCAACAUCCAUGGUGAUUGGUGAUGGUGUUCUAACCCCAUGUAUCUCAGGUCAGUUCAAUCUCCUUUCUGGUUUUGCUCAUAUCUGAUAAGAAAUAUUGCAUACAUCGGAUAGUCGAAACACAUGUUGAUUCUUCAAAUAAAUAAAUCAUGAUAUCACUUUUAUGAACUGAUUCGACACGCACUCACUCAUGCUAAAAACACCCGCUGAGUUCAAAUAUGAAAGAGGAAAACUGUCAAUCAGAAUAACAAAACAGAGAGCUAUCCUGCUAAUCUGCCAGGCAUUUUCAUUUGCCACUAUAAUAUAUUUAUAAGGAAAAAACCCACAAGUAUUUCUUUUGCAGUGCUUAGUGCAGUUGGAGGGAUCAAGCAAAAAGCAACAACAUUGACUCAAGGUACACCAAUCUAUGCAUCAUACCAACGAGAGUUACAGAAGUUUAAAUAAAAUUACUAUUUACGAUGAAAACAUCUGACAUUUUUUACCAAUCAACAGGACAGAUUGCUGGCAUCACAAUAGCCAUUUUGAUUGUCCUCUUUCUUGUUCAGCGGUUUGGCACAGACAAAGUUGGUUACACAUUUGCCCCUAUAAUCUUGACAUGGUUCAUCUUGAUUGCUGGUAUUGGAGUUUAUAAUUUGAGCAAACAUGAUACCAGUGUUUUGAAAGCAUUCAAUCCAAAAUAUAUUGUGGACUAUUUCAAAAGAAAUGGAAAGCAGGGAUGGAUUUCUCUUGGAGGGGUUAUUUUAUGCAUUACAGGUACUUUUGCUCCCAGAGUAUGUAACGGAGCUCCGAAAUAUACCUGGGUCUCUAUGAUAUCAGUAUUUUGCUAGCAACAAAAUAUGUACAAUCUUUAUCAACUUUUUUGUAAUGUGGGUUACAUUUUUAUAAAACAGGAACGGAGGCGAUGUUUGCCGACCUUGGUCACUUCAAUGUUAGAGCCGUUCAGGUAAUUGAGCACAUUUCCCAAUUCUGAGCCUUUAAUUUUCUGAAUGCAUGCACCCACUGACUGACCCGUGGAGGAAAGAUUCUGGAAAGCUGUGCUUGUGGAGAAACUCCUUGAGUGUAUGGAGAAAAUAGUCCUAAAAAGCAAAAGAUAUUUUUCAUCUUCUAAAAGAGAUAGUUUGAAGCUUAAACUUCAAAAAUUGCUUUCUGUGUUGCUUCAACUAGGCAUUUAUGAUAAAGUUUUAUUGCACUACAGAUUGGUUUUUCAGUAGUUCUGUUCCCUUCAGUACUGCUAGCAUACAUUGGACAAGCUGCAUAUCUUCGUAUCCACCCAGAAAAUGUUGCAAAUACAUUCUACAAAUCAAUUCCAGGUAUGAACAUAUAAUAAUCAACUAAAGAAUGACAUGGAUUAUCAAUUGAAAGAUUAAAUCUAAUGUAAACUCAUGAAUUUUGUUGUCAGGUCCAUUAUAUUGGCCAACAUUUGUGGUGGCUGUAGCUGCUGCUAUAAUUGCAAGUCAAGCUAUGAUAUCUGGUGCCUUUGCAAUCAUAGCUCAGUCCCAAGUUCUAGGUUGCUUUCCACGAGUUCGUGUGACCCACACGUCAACAAAGUAUGAAGGACAAGUCUACAUCCCAGAGAUCAACUACGCGUUGAUGAUUUUAUGUGUAGCUGUUACAGCUAUUUUCCAAACAACAGAAAAGAUCGGCAAUGCAUAUGGUAAAUUCUCAACUCUAGAUAAAUAUCCCUCCCAAGUCCCAACCCAAGACAUUAACUAAGAAAAAAACAUAAUACAGUACCUGAACAAUCGUUUUAAUUAUAUUAAAUUACUUGAAGUUAUUUAAAGUCACAUGGACUUCAUCAAUACUAAAAAGCUGCAGUAAAGUUGUUCCCAACUUGAUAAGCGCACUCAUGUCUGCCUAGAUUGCAAACAAGUUGGAUGAAUAAGUUACUUUACUCCUCGAAGAACAUUACUUCUCUGGAUGUUAAAUAAUUGAAAUAACCUUACAAGCUUUAAGUAAGCACUCUUACCCACACAGGAUUCGAAUGGAAGAUUGUAUCAAAGAAGUAAAAUGUUGUUGUAGGAAUUCUCAAAAUAAAGACGAAUUUGGAACCAUUGAGUCUUCCUGUAUAUUCCCCAAUUUAGAACUUCCUAUAAAAUGAUCUGACUGAAUGAAAAAAGUUUAUUGAAUCUUCCCAAAAUUCUUAUUCCAUAAGGACUAUUUUUUUAUUUGUGCCAAAAUAACUCUUUAAAGGUAGUGAAAUCGGCUCAUAAGCACCCGGUGGCACUAAUAUGUUAUCACCACAAGAAUCUCAAGAAAGAAGAACAAAUGAAACCAUCAUAGCCAACAUUGUGGAGAUUGUUAGUGAUCUAUAGCUCAUAAGUAAGCUUGUCUUAGUGUAUGGAUGGAGACAAUUUGAUUAAAUCUAAAAGAAUAGUGGAAUUUUCAGUGGCAUGGUGAUCUGUCGGCUUUUUGUUAGAGCAAGUAGGGUCAUAAUCUGCUAGCUUAUCCUGGUAAAAUAAGAUACCAUACAACAAUGAUCCACAUCCGUAAAUGCAUCAUCUUAUUCCAUCCAUGAAUUAUCAGUUACAUCUUAUAUGAUCAGAUAUUCAUACCAUCAUCACAUUAUGCAGGUAUUGCUGUUGUUUUUGUGAUGUUUAUAACAACGCUUCUAGUCACUUUAGUAAUGGUUAUGAUAUGGAAGACAAGUCUGUUAUGGAUCGCACUCUUUCCAGUAAUAUUUGGUGGAGCAGAGCUCAUAUACUUAUCCUCGGCAUUCUACAAGUUUACUCAAGGUGGCUACUUGCCGCUAGUUUUUGCAGCGAUCUUAAUGUUUAUAAUGGCCACAUGGCACUAUGUCCAUGUUCAUCGGUACAAUUAUGAGCUCCAAAACAAGGUGUCAAGUAACUAUGUGGCAGAGUUGGCGUCAAGGCGAAAUCUGGCUAGGUUGCCAGGAAUAGGGUUUUUGUACUCUGAGCUUGUGCAAGGCAUCCCACCCAUACUUCCUCACUUGGUCGAAAAAGUACCUUCCAUUCAUACAGUUCUUGUGAUUAUCUCAAUAAAGUACUUACCUAUCAGCAAAAUAGAAACAAGUGAGCGGUUCCUAUUCCGAUAUGUGGAGCCAACAGAUUACAGGGUAUUCCGAUGUGUGGUGCGUUAUGGAUACAAUGAUAAAGUAGAAGAUCCAAGAGAAUUCGAGGGAUUACUAAUUGAACAUUUGAAACAAUUCAUCCAUGAAGAAUCGUUCUACAGCCAAGGAGGAGAUCAUCUAACAGAAGAAUCAGGAGACGCGAUAGAGCCUUAUGCUGGAGUUCAAGAGGCAAGAUUGUCCAAAAGUUUUUCAGAUAGAAUUGCAACCUUCCCGCCAAAUGGAAGCAUUGAUGAGAUCCAAACAAUACAGAGAGAGAUGGAGGAUGGUGUUGUCCAUAUGCUAGGAGAAACUAACGUGGUGGCAGAGCCAAAUGCAGAUUUCUUUAAGAAGAUAAUAGUUGACUACGCCUACAAUUUCAUGAGGAAGAACUUCAGGCAACCAGAGAAGAUAACUUGUAUCCCUCAUAACAGACUGUUGCGGGUGGGAAUGACAUACGAGAUCUAGAGCAAUGCUAGACUUGGUAAAAUACCACAAUUUGAUCAAAACACCCAGACAGACAGUUAGAUACUGAGAGCAGAGUAUAUCUUUUUCAGUAUAAAGCAAGGAAAGACAAAUGCUAAAGUGAUACAGGCAAGUAACCAGCCUACCGGAGUGAAGUUAAAAGGGAUCGAAGGUUCUAUGCUUACAGAUGGAGAAACUAGAAGAAAGCAUGCAUAGUAGUUAUGCUUCUAGUGUUAUUGAUCAAUUGUCUUCUUUUGAAAAAGUAUGCAUAGUAGUUAUGCUUCUAGUGUUAUUGAUCAAUUGUCUUCUUUUGAAAAACUAGUGUAAAGUGCAUACCUAAAUAUUGUAGCAUACUGCCACAUAGUAAAAUGGAGAAUAACUGGUUCUUUUUUUAGUAUAAAAAAUCCAUAACAAUAUACUCCUAGAGGUUGUAUGUGGUGUUACAUUGUUACUUCGUUAGUCCUAGAAACAGAUGUGGGUAAAUUCUUCCUAAACCAGAGGGCCCAACUUGCUUCUAAAAGUUGAUGUGGACAAAAACACGCAUCAGCUAUUGCCACUGAUUCGAGGCUAAUAAUCAGCAAGCAAGGAGGAAAUUAAUUAUACCAACAGGACUAAACCGUCCUCACAACUCCCGAUCGAGCACAAACAAACAUUAUCACGGUGAUAAAACAGAGCAUCGAAACGGGCAUUUCAUCAAACAGUUGAAGGGGAACGGGCGAGAGAAGCCGGAAAACCACGAAAUUUGACGAGAAUGUACCUUGGCAUCCCAUCCCAGUCUGAUUCACUUGCUCGAGCGAACCAUUGCUGCCUCGACCGGUACCCAAUCCGGUACUUCGUUUCUGCGAUUCAGCAGAGUGCGUGCCCCCAGCGGAUGGUGUCAGAGUUCGGGGGGCGAAAAGGAAAUUGAAACGUGGGAAAAGCCGCGGUGAGAGACAAACGAGCUGACCAGCGGUGAUCAGAGAAAUCUGCGUCACUGCGUGAGGCUUCACCGAGACAUCGGAGGUGAUCGCCGCCGGUUGCCGCGGAAGCGAGGUGGAGAGAGAAAUUUCAAACUCGAGUCGCGCCUGCGGAAAAGCAACCGCGCGGCGGGCUGCAGGGGGUCACGGGCUCCUUCAAGCACAUUGAUGUGGGCUUGUCCCGGCCGGAGGAAAACCACGUACAUGGGGGCCCAAUAAAAACGUUGUUACUCGGCGUCCGCGCCUUCCGGCCUCUCUCAUGUGGGCCAUGGGCCCGGAGUUAACUACGGUUCCUUCUCUCUCUCUCUCUCUCUUGGAGUCAACUACUGCAGUUUCCCCUUGUUAUGCAAAGAUUAUGUAGUCGUAGACUCGUAGUCCUUCCGUGUAAUUUCUGCUUGACCUUCCAUGAAUUUUUUUUGCUUGACAUCAUAAUACGCGGUAGCGGCACGGCAACGUCGGCAAGUAUAAAAUGCUCAUGUAGAUUCUCACGGUCCUUGAUCUCCGUGUCCAGAAAUAAUGAACAAGUGAACAGCACAGCAUUGACUCCGACAGUCAAUCGGACAGAUGGGAGCCGGUUCGGACUUGAGACCGACAUGCGUGAGAUGCAUCGUCUGUUCGUGGCAAGUCAGUCGGAUUCCACCUCUUUGUUUGUUUCGUCGGACCGGGAGACCAUGGAGCCACGUUGGGCAGACAGCCGCAUCUAGCUGCGCACAGCGUGCAUGCCUACAGAUACAAGUAUUCCUACAAAAUUGGGCAGCUGAUGCAUUCAGAUUUGUUGCUCUGCUUUGUUUAAUACAGUACAUUUUUUUUUGUUUAGUGCUGAAUUGAUGACCCCAGACUCGAGAGUUUGUGCCGCAUUCGAGUGUGGAUUAGGUCGAGCAGCUGCUGUCAUGGUACACAUAAUUAGCAGAUAAAGCUGCAUUAAGCCAUUAAGGCAGGCAGGCAUGCAGGGGCAGUGGCACAGCUGGUGAGGGGUUUUGUAUAGAACUAGACCUGAUCAUUGCCCAGUGCUGUACAUGGUGCAGCGCUGCCGUGCACCAAACGACCGCGCUGUGCUGUCAGGCGGCCCAUCUUCCCUUGGCAUUGCUUUCCAGUUUCUUUAGGUGCGAGAAGCAGCUGUAAAGCACACUCGACCGAGUGUCGGGGAAGGACUCGCCAACGACGGCACUAGUGCAUCGGCCCGUCUCAAUUAUCCUUUCGAGUGAUUAAAGGGAGAGGGUUAUCCAUUAUCCACAUCAAGUGAUGACACAUGUCCUCCGUGAUUGGGGGUUCCAUGCAUGGAAAGAUUGAGCAGCUUCGAGCUUGUCUCUUGCUCUGCACAGCUUCACUCGCAGUUCCGGAAUGCGCGCCACGUGGCACUCCAGCUGAAAUUGCUAGGAAAAUAUUCAGAAACUUUCACAUGGAUGAUGGAUCGGAGUUCUCAGCUCUGAAGCCUAGCUGGAUAGUCACUGGCACUUGCCGAGCUAUUACGUGUCGACAUGAACAUAUAUCUAUUAAUAUUAGCUGUAUUAUUACACACUGUAUUAGUAUUACGUGCACGUCGCGUUUAAAUUGCUAAUAAUCAAUUCGUUAACUAGCCUGCUAGCCACUGCAACAAGGAUAGCUUUAUUUGACAUGGUGAUCGCUAGCUAGCUCCCCACCCACCAAACAAAUGAAAUCCAGACGAUGGCUUCUUGCAUUUCCAGUAGUAGCAGUACCACACCAUGUGAGACGACGAACUGGCUCGAUCGAGUCAUCGAUGUGCAAUUUUGAUGGUUGUUACAUUACGCAGCAGCCUGAAGCUGUUGCCUUCAGUACGUACUUGCUUGUCUCAAAGAUUAGCAAAGAACCAAAGAAAGAUAGUACGGAAAAGACACCAUACAGAUCAUGCGUGUCCGGAUGAUGAUGAACAAGACACUGAAAGUGGCAAAACCACCGUAUACUAAACAUACUUUAUUCCUUAUCUACAUACCAUAUUGUUACAAGGAACGAACAUACGUAAAGAACAAAGAUGGAGGGGGAAAAAAAGGAUGCGCAGCUUGCAUUGUAUCUGUAGUCGUUGUCCCAGCAACCAAAACCAUGGGGACUCAACAUCUUCGUUCCUUCAUCACAUUACAAUACGUACAUACACACACAUGCAAAACAUAGGCACGUACUACUAAAAGUAAACAGUAUAUGUACACAUGCAUUGCGCCGCUGUACAUCAUCCAUUCCUUGCAUGCUCGCCAAGCAAGCCACCCAUCCAAAGUUCUUCGAUCCGUGCCGCGGGCGAGCCCGUGGUGGAUGUUGUUGAUGAUCAUCAAGAUCAACUCGAUCGAUCGAUCACACGACCAUACAACUUGAUGAUCAGGCGGCGGACUCCUGCAUGUAGGGGAGCAGCGCGACGGUGUUCUGGCGGCGGAGCUGCUCGUAGAAGCGGCGGAUGAACUCCUCCGCCUCGUCGUCCACGGCCUCGCUCCCGCCGGUGGCAGCACCUUCGUCAUCGGACGAGUAGUUGGACACCCGCACCGAGAAUGCCCCGCUGCCGCUGGCGCCGCCCAGCUGCAGCGCGGGCGACGCGCAGCAUGACUCCUCCAGCUCCCCCGGCGCGAGCUCCCGCAGCAGGAGCCCCGGCGACGACGGCGCUGGCGAUGCGGCCGCGUAGUACUCGAUCCUGGCGAGUGGCGCGGGCGAUGCGUCGGCGUCGGCGAGGGGGAAGCCGCCGUAGCGACGAUCGUCGUCCUCGGCGACGGCGCCGAGGCAGGGGAAGUAGGCGAGGUGGUGGCGCCUGCUGGCGGAGGCCGGGUCCGGGCUGUUGCUGCAGGAGAACUCGUACUCGCGGCGGCGCAGCGCGUUGCUGCCGCUGCCGUGCCCGUGCCCGUGGCCGUUGUGGUGGGAGAGGAGUGCGGCGACGGUGCGGGAUACGGCCCUGUUGCGGCGCUUCAUGAGGAGGUGCAUGCCGAGGAGGAGCUUGCGCUUGUUGGAGAGCAGGCCCUUGCGCACCAUGAAGAACAGCGCGUGCAGGUAGCUCCACAUCCUCUUCCCCACCGCCGGCACCGAGUGCACCUCCAUUGUAUUGCCGCUAGCUGUAUCGGUAGCUCGAUCUGUGGUCCGAUGAGCAGCUGUAGGUGGUGGCAGGAGCGCCGCAGGAGGCUCGAUGGCAUGUACGAGUAGGAGGAGCACGUCGUGUGGGAUCGGAAGACGAUGGGACUACAAAGAGAGACAAGCAGCUGUUGAGGAUGUGGUGGUAGGGUCGUCUUGCGUUGUGUUGGGUUGCCGUGCUGGGUGGUGGAGGUAUUUAUAAACCGAACCCCGGCGCGCACGGCAGGAAGAAGAAAGCUGUAGCUCGCUUAGCCUGUAAGGCAGCAGGGCGAGGCGGCCGGGCCGCGAUGGUGUGGUGGUCCACGCGCCGGGGAGCGGCCGGGCGACAUGCGUUUGGGUGGAUGUUUCCAUUUGGUUCCUGGUGUUAUCGGUUGGUUGGUAGGUCUGGCGCUUUUGUUUGGCCCUGCCAUAGCUUUUUCUCGCCUGCUGCUUUGCGUGCGCCACCGGUUCCGACACUUGCUUGCUGCCCCGCCCGCCGGCCGAUGAGCCGUCCCGCCACAUUCCAUCUCGCGGCGAGCACGAGGGAGAUCCUUUUUAGACACAAGACACGGAGGAAGAAAAGGCAAGCCCACUCAAAGAAAUGUGAAGUUGACGACCCUGAUCCGGAGCCACGGUUUCGACAGGACGCUCACGCUCGUGACUUGGACUUGUGACCAAAGUAGCAUGUAAGUACUACAUGGGUUCCUCUUUUAGCCCCACCGGGGGUAUAGUACUGUAGAUGACCAGAUUAGAGGCCAACUAAUCCACAUACUUGUUGCAGGUGAGGUGAUUAUCUCCUCCCCGAUAACCUUGCAUUGGUCUCCCUGUCGGUCCAGUUUUGGCUUUGCCGAUUACUUAAUCAAAGUAGUGAUACUCCAUCCAGCUUCUGGGUUCAAAGGGAGGAAGAGUUCCAUGAGCAGUAUUCUACAUCAUUCCUACUAGCUGUUGAUUCUGUCCUCGUGGUGCCAAGAAUGGAAUUCUGCGUUUGCCAUCCUUGCUGCUGCACGGAAGGCACGUAGCUAGCUGCAGGGAGCUAGGGAGAUCAUCAAGCCAAAAAGCUUGCUCCGCACGUACUUGUACUGCACCGGAGAACGGUGCGGAAGAACAUGGACUGAAUCGUCGACACCGACAGACAUAGUGAUACUAGCACCUCAUCUUCUGAUCUCGGCCAGGAAAUGCGCUGCAUCUUCUCUGAAUAUUUUGGGUCAUUCAGAGGAGAGAAAGAGAGAGAGAGAGGCAACUCCAUCAAGUUGUGCAGGGAAAGCAUGCCAAGCAAUCGGAUGAUUCAAGGUCAGAGUGAUGUUUUCUCCUGGGCUGGCGGCAGCCACGUGUCGUUUGCAUCUUGUUUCCUUAGCAUGGUGACCUUUUGACAACACCGGAUCAACCUCAAAGCUAGCGGUAGCCGUGAGCCAUCUCCCCAGAUUUUAUCUCAUCAGAAAGCGUCCUUUUCACAAGACCCCAAGGGAAAGCAAGCACGGAAAACAACGUAAAGGCCUUCUUUUUGGCAACAAUAAUGCCUAGUGUGGGUUGGUUGUGUCUUCACGUGUUCAGAUAUCCCUGAUCUGAGCCACAAACUAAGGAGACACUCACGCCCGGGACUCUCACGGUUUGACAUGUCACGGAUCAGUGGAUCACCUAAGUGGCCAAGGGCUUUAUAAAGAGGUGAAAUUUGACCAGAUUAAGGCCUGAUUGGAUACUAAGGGCUAAAUUUUAGCCCCUGUCACAUCAGAUGUUUGAUACUAAUUAAGAGUAUUAAAUAUAAACUAGUUACACAGAUGGAGACUAAUUCACGAGACGAAUCUAUUAAACCUAAUUAGUCCAUGAUUUGACAAUGUGGUGCUACGGUAACCAUUUGCUAAUGAUGGAUUAAUUAGGCAAAAUAGAUUCGUCUCCUGAAUUAGCCCAGGGUUUUUGCAAUUAGUUUUAUAAUUAGCUCAUGUUUAGUCCUUCUAAUUUGCAUCCGAACAUUCGAUGUGAUAAGAACUAAACUUUAGCCCGAAGAUCCAAACACGCCCUAAAGCUAGCCUAAUUCCCAUAUACUUUGUGUAGUGCAGGUAAGCAUCGCCCUCUAAUCUAUGUGUUGCUACUACAAAAAGUUUUCAGAAGAACUCUCAGCUGGCUUGGUCCUGCCGGCUCCAAUAUGUCGGUCCCGUUUAGCUUUGUCCAUUGGUGGAAGUUUGCGAUACUUGAGCUAUUUCAUUCCUCUUCAUUCAAAGAGACCAAGAAUUUUUCGCGCAGGCAGCUGUCAGUGGUGCCCCCCAUAUGCGUCAAGAACACUGAAUUUUGUAUUAGCCAUCCUUGCCGCUGUACGGAACGCAGCAGAGACAAGCCUUCCAAGAAAAGGGCAUCGACCAUCCCCUCCUGGAGCAAGAGCUGCUUCCAGCAUUAGAACGGGUUGACACUAAAUAUCCAUGAUGAGACGGCAACGAAACCUCCACUUGCGCUGGCCUUUUGCGUUUUCUGUUCUGCAAAGCAUGAGAAAAGAUGGAUUCGAACCCAGGAAAGUCCAUGCGCGCCGAAAAGAAGAUUGCACCGCAUACACGCAAGUAUUGUUGUUUUUUGCAAAAUUGCUGCAAGGCUGCCUGCAUGGAAAGGGAAGCUGCUGGAAAAGGCUGGAAGGGCAAGUUUGGUUAGAUCUGUCCUCACUGCCGUACCAAUUUUCUUCCUAACAGUUUUUCACUGAAGAAAUGGGCUAUCAAGAGGAUAGAUAAAAUUAGGAGGAGCUUUUUAUGGAAGGGUUCUAAGAGUGCAAAUGGAAAUCAUUGCUUGGUCACUUGGAAGAAGGUUUUGCUACCAAAGAAAUUGGGGGGCUUGGGAAUUCUAAAUCUUGAGCUGUUUGGGAGAGCUUUGAGAUUAAGGUGGUUAUGGUUUGAAUGGACUGAUCCUCAAAGGCCAUCGGUUGGAACUGCUAUUCUAUGUGACAAAAUUGACAGGCAGUUGUUCAGGGUUAGCACUGUGGUAUGUGUUGGAAAUGGAACUAAAGCUAAAUUCUGGCAAAGUAGCUGGCUGGCAGGAAAGCAGAAAAGGCCCCUAUGGACUUUGCUCCAAAACUAUACAAGCUAGCUUGGAGGAAACAGAAAACAGAUCAAGAAGAGUUAACUAAUCACAAUUGGACUAGAGGCUUAUGGCGUGACAUGGUGCAAAAUGUUCAGCUUUCUGAUCAGGAUGAUUCAAUUUCGUGGAAAUGGACAGCAACGGUCAGUACACUGCCAAAUCGGCUUAUCUAGCUCAGUUGCAGGGUACUGUCUUAGUGGUGCAGGGAGAUAACAUAUGGCGAGCUUAUGCUGAAGGGAAGUUGAAAUUCUUUGCCUGGCUUUUGCUUCAAUCGAAACUCCUGACUGCUGACAAUCUUCUAGCCACAAGUUGGCCUUGUUCUGAAACAUGUGUGCUCUCUGAUCAGGAGCCUGAAAAUGCUACUCAUAUAUGCUUACAAUGCUCUUAUGCUAAGCAAGUUUGGUUUCUGAUGUCAAACUGGAUGGGCUGCUCUCCUGAUUUCACGGCAGCAAAUGAUGGGGACAUUCAGGAGUGGUGGGAUUCAACUUUGAAGCCUCUAAAAGGGAAGCAUCGUCGAUCGGUGGCAGCAGUAAUCAUGUACACUACGUGGAACAUAUGGAAAGAAAGGAAUCGACGAAUUUUCGACAGCAAUUCCAUGACAGCUGUUCAGCUUGUUCAUCUCAUUCAGAACGACAUCCUCCUAAGAAGAACAGCUUGUGGCACACCUUUCAUCCGAGAAGAUCCUAUUGUAUCCUAAUGCCUUCAGUUAGCUUUUGUUUGUGUCUGAGAAUGAGUGUUCUUACUUUUAUGUAAUAUUCUUGUAAUGCUAAACUUUAAACUUCUUCUCCUUUUAAAUAAAUAGGCAGAGCUCCUGCCAAUAUUUUUUUUUAAAAAAUGUUGUUUCUUGAUCAGGUGGUGCCGAUGCUACUGCGCCUUUUGAUCCCUUUCGCCCCCAUCUUCUCUUCAGCCAGUCAGGAAGUGGCGUAGUGCAAGGGCGGCAUGAUUUUCUGCCCAGUGACAGCGUCCAUCAGGCAAAUCGUAGCUUAUGGCCCUGUUUGUCGCUGUGCUUGAAUUAUAAUUUAAACGAAGAUUUUCUCGUUUCUCGCUUCUCGUUUCUUCUCGUUUCUUGUAGUUCAAAUCUCUGAAGCGACUUACUACAUAAGUAAGAAUUUGGAAAAAUAAGCGAGACGUUUGGUGAGAUUCUCGCUUAUUUUUAUCGGUAAGCUGGUGGAAACAAACAGGAGCUCUUGACAUUCCAUCUUCUUCUCUGGUGCCGUGCUGAAUUGCUGAUGAACAAGAAAACCACACCCUGUUGCUCUGUAAAAGAAGAAGAAAAACACAAGGCUAGGUUUUGGCCACAUUGGAAACGCCCAAACGUGUGCGUAGGAGAGGAGGAAGGAACUGGCACUCGAAGAAUUUUUUAGGUUCGAGGUACAAGAGGAAAUAAUGCUGGGCCGCUCGUGGAGCCCGGAACAGUCAUCUACUGACCCAGUUUGCGCCCGUGGGCCUCGAAAUAGCAGGGUAGCAGCAACGGGCUUUCUUCUAUUAUAGCCCAUGGUCUGGACUAGAGGCAUGAACACGAGUUUUUUCACAGUCACAUACUCACAUUGCUUCAAUGCUGGCCGAGUUGAGGUACUGUAGCUCUGGAAAAAAUGCUGGCUGGGUUCAAUAAGCCAAUGACAAUAGAUGCGUAAAUCUGAAAUGUUUUCUUUUUCUCAAUUCACCACUUCGAAAAGAAAGAACACUUUCAUUGCAUGGCCUUCACCCUCCUACAUGUGGUUAUACUCCAAAUCACUAAGUUGAUUAAUCUCUCAUAGUGAGCCCCGCCUGCUCCUCCGUCUCCAUCGCCCGUCCACCCAGCCGGCCUACGAAGAACUCCGGCGGAUCCAUCUCGUACGGCAGGCAGCUGUAAUACCCGCGGCUGGGAUCGCACCAAGUCAGGUCCAUGAUCUUCUCUAUCGCCUUCGUUUCGAGGUUAAGGACGAAGACGCCGCUGCCGCCGUACACGGCCAUCAUCGCCCCCUUGCUGAACUGGAACCAGCUGCAGCACAUGAAGUUCGCGCCGGCGGGCACCGCCGCCGCCGGCAUCUGGAUCACCUGCGAGAGGAGCCAUUCUUUUCCAUAAAACUGAGCACGGAGCCAUGCCACCAUGUCGCCGCCGUCGUCUCCGUCUGGCUGCGUCCAGACGUCGACGCGCGUGGGGUGCACCCGGGCGAGCGAGAACCUGCCGUCCCGGCGGACGCACAGGUACGGCACCCCGCCGGCGGCCUUGAUAGCGAGCUUGGUCACGGACGCGGAGGCGCGCCCCGUCGCCGUCGACGCGCUUAGCAGGUACAGGUCUCUUCGGCUUGGGCACGGAGGCGUCGAUCGUGUCGUCGGCGUACAGCCAGUGCGCCGCGCCCCGGGGCACGACGGCGGCUCGCGCCCCCACCAUACGGAGGCGGUUGUGGUGCCGGAUCUGGGCGGGCGCGCUCCAGCGGCGCGUGGCGCCGGAGAAGGAGUGGACGUGCUGGCGCAAGCGGUUGUUGUCGAGGUGGGAGCCGACGAGGAGCAGCUCGCCGGAGAACGCGGGGUGCGGUGCCGACGACGGCGGCCGCUGCUCGCGGUUGAUGUGGUCGCCGUCGGCGGCCGUGAGGAUGGCGUAGCCGUUUGCGUGAUUAACGCACGCGCACUCCAGCGGCGGGGCGACGUCGUCGUGCGCGCCGGUGACGGGGUCGAGGAGGCGGCAGUGGAUGUCGGGUUUUCUUCUGAUGCAGCAGCUGCCGCGGUUGACGACGAUGUGGCGGAGGAGGAUUCCGUGGCGCGCCGCCAGGGGCUGGGCGUAGUUGAAGGUGCCGUCGUCGUUGGCGACGAAGGAGGUGAGGGCGCGCUCCGUGGGGCCGAGCGGCGACCCCGGCGUCGGCAGGGAGGUGGGCGGAGAGUCGAGAGACGGAGGUGCGCUGCGCCAUCCGCAUCUUCAUUGUGCUUGGACUAUCCACGUGCAAUUUAGCCUGCCGGGGGACGAAGCCGAGGAGGCGCGCGCGGCGGCCCUCGCCGUGCCCCGGGCAGAGCUCGCGGAGGAAGGCCGGGUCGGUGAAGAGGCGCAGCCACCGUCGGCUUGUCACGGCGAACAGGAAGAGGGCCUUGACGUUGCCCACGCGGGAGAAGACCUCGAGGAGGAGUUCAUCAGGUAAAGCCGCGAUGCCGCCGCCGUCUGUGCUUUUGCGUCUCCUGGUAACGGCUGCCGCCGCCAUGAUCGUAAGCGGCUAAGCGCUGUUGCGUACGGGAAGGGGUGGAGAAUAAUUUACUUCAAGGGAUUUGCCCUACGGAAUUCAAGGGAUCGCACAGAGAAACUGAUCCGGAUCGAAGUUGGGAUCGGUGACGCUCGUGGCGUAGAAGAAAAGGGCAGUGACGCGCCAUUGGCUAUUUUCACACCGUCGGCUGGACAGCACCCAAAUUUCAGUUGUUUGGAACGUAAGAAGUGUGUUUUUAGCAAAUUUCUGUGUUUUUUUCUUUUGCUGAACAUCAGAAAUGUAGGCCGUAGACAUCGUAGGGAAAAAAGAAGAUGUAUCGCUGCUUAUAACAUCGAAAGGCCAAGCACUAGAUGCUUAUUGGCAUCCAAUACGUAAUAAUCUUUUAAAGAAUGUCUAUGAACUAUGAAGCAUGGGUGAAUUUGUUUCCUUUUGUAAUGAAUGAUUUGACCUUUUCUAUUGUAUUGGCCACUGAAAUCUCGAUCGGUCGAUUGCCAACCUGUCUCUAUUGACGACCAAGUUGUAACACGAAGAACUCCGGCAGGAAGGCGACGAAGGCGGUGAGGGCGCGCUCCCUGGGGCCGAGCGGUGACCCCGGUGCCGGCAGGAAGGCGGGCGCGAAGGCGGAGGGAGUGCUGCCUCGCCCGUGCCUUCAUCAUCUUCAUCCUGCGCACGAAACCCUUCUGCUGGAAGAAGAAGCCGAGGAGGUGUGACCGGAGCCCCUGGCCCUGCUGGUCUGGCCAGAGCCGGCGGAGGAAGGCGCGAUCGGUGAAGAGUUGUCGCCACGGUUUGCACGUCAUGGCGCAGCGGAGGAGGUCGCUGACGUUCUCUACGCGGGAGAAGAUCUCGAAGAGGACGUCCUCCGGUAGGGCUGCAGCGCCGUCCGUGAGUCGCCCGGUGGCCGCCUCCGCCAUGAUCGUCCGGCUUCCGGCGUGAAGGGUCAAGAGCGCAGAUCCAGGCGCGGAGGCUCCCAGGAGGCCAGCCCACGCACGGCAAAGGGUUUGACCUCCGUUUGACCUAGAGGGCGCUCCUGCUUGGGAUCAACUGAUUCAAUCGUGCCCGCACUCUUUAGAUCCAACGGUUGAGGGCACCCGGGCCCGGACGGUAAAUGAAAUACCGUCCGGGCUGGACUGGUUGCCGCUGGGACGCUCGCCGGCGCGCUCUCCCAGUUUCGCCGCCGCCGGUGGCCCGCGGCGUCGCCCGACAACACGGCAAGGUGAAAGCGUUAACCUUCAUCGAAGUUCGUCCCCGCAGCAGCUAGAAUCACCUCCCCGCUCGCCGGCGCCUCUCCUCCCGGCCUUGCGUUUUCGCGCGCCGGGAGCGGCCCCGGCCAGCGCCAUCCGCCCCUGCCCACACGGCCGCCGCCUUGUUUGGAGGCAGCAACUCCAUGGCGCUAAGGGCUCCGUUCCCGAGCUUCGCCUUCUCCUCCCAGUCUCGUGCGUCCAGCUUCGUGGACUCGAGGUGCCUCUGCUGACGGGCGACCGCGCCGUGGCCUCCGCUGCCUCGUCCGGCACAGGUACGGACGCACGGUGAACCGCGGCAUCACCUGCGAAUGUUUUCACGGACACAGAGUGUCGACAUGAAUCUUAGAGACGCUCAGCAUUUAGGUGUGAGGGGAGUGGUGGAACAUUGUUGUUUUUAGUCAGUUUCUUUAAAUCUUUGUGUAUAUGUCAACUUGGUGAUGAUAUCAUUCCAGUACAACGAUUUACUCAAAUGUAAAACCUGGCGGACUCUAUGCUAUCAGCUCCCAUCGAAAACUUGAGAACACCCUGAAUUUCAAGUUCUGGUUUGCACUGUAGAAUUGGGUUCUUCCGAUUUUAGUCUGUUAGGCUCAGGCAUCCUAUACAAGCUCUGUUGGAGUCCACAAGCUGCAAGAACAUGCCAUGAUCAAGUUAACUGAGAUAAAGAAAGAAAUAACCUUCAGAAGAGAUGCAGUCUACUCUGGGAUCAAGUUUCAAAAAAUCUCUGUUGAAGCAGAGGAAGGAGACAAAUGGAAAAUCUUGAGCUCUUGCUGAUGCCUAAACAGAAGCUCCCUACCUAGCACCAGCACCUUUGUGCUGUACAAAAUUCAGCAGAUGUCAAUGAAGUAACUCAAGCUUAAUUCGGUCAUGAGAAUAUGAUGUAGAAAGGGAUUGUUUCUAUAUAAUUUUUGUAGUUGGAUAUGACCUUGGCACACCAUUCAAAAAGAGAAUAUUUUCGGUUUUUAUGUGUUUCAUUCCUGACAGGAAACACAUUUGGAACUGCAAUUUCUUUCAUCAAUUCUUCUAACCAACGCAUUGCUGCAUUUAAGAGAUUAUGCAUUGCUGUGAAUGUUCGUCCUAGAAAGUUUGGUUUGGACAUGGAUAUCAGGUGGAACUUCACAUACCUCAUGCUUAAGCAUCUGAUCCCUUACAGGCAGACAUUUAAUAUUUUCAUUGAUACUAACUAUCCUAGGAGUAAAAAAGAUCCUUUACUUUUGAUAGAAGAUCACUGAAUUGUUGCAGAGAGUAAAUUAUCAUUCCUUAAAUUGUUUUAUGAUUCUACUGUUCCACUUUCUGAUGUUUAUUAUCCUACGUAUCCACUUAUGUUGCAUCAACUUAUUUUGAUUGCUAACCAUCUGAAACAUUAUGAGAAUGAUAAAUUGAUUAGGCAUGUGGUAGUUCCUAUGAAAGAUUACUAUCUUAAGUGCUGGAGGAAUAUUCCAAUAUUUUAUUCUGUUACAUUCAUCUGGGACCCUGAACUAAAUUGAAAGGUUUUCAAAAUGUGCUCAGGUUGUUAUCUAGUCUUAUUGGUACUGAUUAUUGUGCUUACUUCACUGAUGUAAGAGCUAAACUUUCUACUGCAUUUAAGUUGUAUGAUGACAAGUUUGGUGCAGUUAAAUUGCCAAGGCCUCCACCGCCAUUGUGGCGAAACCGUCCAACUUAAACUGGCUUAAGUGCGCCUGACAGGAAUUAUCCAAAACGCACUUAAAACAGUGUAAGUCUGGUAGUCCGUCAAGGGUUCUAUUCACAGAACUCCUUGAAAACCUCCACGGUGUAUUCCAUAGCCAUACAUCAGGAUCGCUUCCACGAUGGGAUAGUAUCAACAAACAUUACAUUUUUACAUACAUACCAGAGGUACGAUUUAUUACAAACCUGUUGACGCCGGAUUUCGUCAUCAGUAGAAUCGGCGCCAAGGAGGAAAAAAGUCGAAGAAGUAUGGAUGAAAUCGGUCAAAAGAUGCUAUAAUGCGGAAUCGGUCAAAAGAUGCUAUAAAGCAGAAUCGGUCAGUAGCUCUUACUUCGCUUCAGGGUGAACGCGCUAGAUUCCCAAUCGGCAAUCCUUUGCUGAUAAGAAAUCGGCCGAUCAGGAAGGUGGACUAAGGUGGGCCUGUAUGGGCUUGGAAAGAUGGAGGGAUAAGGUGGAGUUCAGCCCACGAAGCGUGGAGUAAUUAGUUUAGCACGGAUUGUGCUUGUAGAUAUUUGUUUUCUGUUUGAAUUAGAGAUAGAGUUCUAGUCGGUUAAGAAGAUUAUUUGUACGGGGCUAUAAAUAGCUACCUUUGUAAAUCUGUAAACACAACAAUCAAUCAAUACAACAAGUUACUUUAUUCUUCAUACUUACUUUCGAGCAGGCGACUUCGCCAUCACUUUUCUUUCUCACGAGUUCGUGCGGGUUGGCAGGGCUGCAUCAUCUUGAUCUCCGGCCGAUUCUGUAAGUUCCGUUUAUCGAGUAAUAUCUAAGCUUUAACUUCCGGCGCAUCGCUGUUGUUUCGUUUAGAUUUAUUCAUCAGUUAUCGAUAUCGACUAGAUUCAUAGGUUUUUACCUGUUUUCCUAGUUUUUAUCACCUGUUAUCCCGCUAAGAAAUCGGUAGUAUCGGCUUUUAUUACUUUCUAUUGUCAGAUCCAUCUGUUGCCGAUUAAAUCUUUUUCUAGUGUUGUUAUUACGUGCUUUGUACCGAUUACUUUAAGUAUUUUUCUACCUACAAGGCUACAGGGAUCGUGCUGUCUUAUAGCCGAUUUCAUUAUCAUAGUAAAUCGGCCGAUCUGCCGAUAAGCUUCCCUCGAUCGGAAACUUAGCCGAUCGUAGUUACUGAAUUUGACACGUGUUCUUCCUUGCCAAUCAACAGGUCAGAUUGGCUGGCACGCCGCGCGAACCGCACCAGGGCAUUCACCCGAACAGGAGCUAAGCAGAUUCUCCCGGGUCGUGUGUCGGUCGCUGGGAUUCGGUUUGCCGAUUUCUAGCGCCAACACACUUUUGGCACGCCCGGUGGGACCAAUACAACCGCUGUCAUGUCGAAAAUUGCUGAAGUCUCCGAAGAUAACGUCAUCGAAGUGACGGAAGCAGAUCUAAAGGACGACCAAAAAGAAGAUCUGAAUCAGUAUUUGGAGCAAGUCCGGAAAACUUGCUUGAAAUCCUUCAGUCGUUCCAGGAGCGGGGAAACUGUUAAAAAGUCUCCUUUCCCCACUCCCCGCCAGAUCACAAUUUCAGAAGGUUCGGAUAAAAUGUCCGAUAUGAUUCAACAAUCUCUUCAUCACGCUUUCAUCAACCAAUCCCCAGUACUCUCAAACAUGGUGCACAAUGCUGUUGUCAAUUCCUUCGCCGGAGGUAUACCACAAGGGUAUAGGGGACCUACGUAUUUUCAGCCGAUUCCACCAAAUCAGGCUUAUCAGGCUUCUCAGCCGAUCCAAUUUUCUGUCGGAGGAACCAGUGCUUCUACGUCAUCAACUCCUUUGGGAUAUGGCUCUAUCCAACCGUCCUCUGCACCACUCCCUCCAGUCAUCCCUCUACCUUGGAGGACGCCUUUAAGCACGACCGGUUUGAAUCAAUCGGUCAGUCAAGGAAAUCCUCCAUUCCAGACACCCUCUCAAACGGCCACUCGGCCGAUCAUACCACCAUACCAACCUAUCGCUCCAGAGGUCAACAAGACGUCGGAGAUCAUGCUAUAUGAUGAAACAAGUGGCGCCCACAAACAGCCGUCCUUUACUACACCGCCGGCUUAUACUCAGAUACCACCUUUUCAUCAACCUCCUUUUAUUCAACCUCCGAUUUAUCAGCAUGUGCCGAUCCCGCCGCCAAAUAUUCCCCAGCAACAACCAGAUUGGUCGGCGCAAAUCGCGGAGGUAAUGCAAGAACAAUUCGGCCUGAAGCCGAAGGUACAAACUUAUACCUACAGGACGCCGUACCCAUCUACGUAUGACCUAUUGCCGUUUCCCCAUCGGUACAAAGUUCCUGAUUUUACCAAAUUUUCGGGGAUGGAUGACACUUCUACCGUGGAACAUGUGAAUAGAUUCAUCAUCCAAUGCGGGGAGGCAGCUACGCAAGAUGCCCUGCGGGUACGGUUGUUCUCGUCAUCUUUGUCUGGAUCGGCCUUCCAAUGGUUCACCACUUUGCCACCAAACUCAAUUAUCACAUGGGCCGAUCUAGAAAGGCAGUUCCACAAGUAUUUCUAUGCUGGGGUUCACGAAAUGAAGCUGUCUGAUUUGACUAGCCUCAGGCAAAGAAGUGAUGAGCCGAUACCCUCAUACAUACAGAGGUUUCGGGAGAUCAGAAACAAAUGCUACUCCCUGGCUCUAACCGAUGCACAGUUGGCCGAUAUAGCUUUCCAAGGCUUGCUGCCACACAUUAAAGAAAAAUAUGCUUCACAAGAGUUCGAGAGCCUGAGCCAGAUCGUCCACCGAUUGUCCGGACAAGAGGUGCGUCCGUUCGAUCCAAGACGGAAUUUCCAAAAGAAAGUGGCAUUCCUGGAAGAAGUAGAGGAUGAAGAAGACGCCGAAAUCGGACUUGCAGAGUGGAUUAAGGGAAAGAAGCCGAUAUCAUGCCCGUUCGGCAAGAAGGAGCCGGAAGCAUUUGGUUUCGAUACAACUAAAGCUGACAAAAUCUUCGAUCUUCUACUUCAGGAAGGGCAGAUUAAACUCUCGCCUUACCACACCAUACCUUCUGCCGAACAAUUGAAGAAGAUGAAGUAUUGCAAGUGGCACAACGCCACGUCACAUGAUACCAACGAGUGCAAAAUCUUCAGACAACAAAUACAGUCGGCCAUUGAGCAGGGCAGACUUAAAUUUGAAGUGCUGGCGAAACCGGCCAAACCAAUGAAAAUCGACCAGCACCCUUUUCCUACCAACAUGGCUGACACGGGGAGGAAUUCUCUCCAAACAAAGGUACUGACAUCCGAGUCGGCAAAAAGGAGUGGCCCUGUCGAUCCUAGAAAUCAAGUUACGACUGAGGACGUCAAGGGAAAGCGACGAAUGGAGACCGAUGAUGGUGAGUCAGAAGGACCAUGCAUUACUUCACAGUUCCUACUCCAAAAGUACCAACGCCAACAUGAACGUUCGAGGUCCCGAGAGGAAGCGAUGCGUCGGCACGAGGAGCACUGGAGAUGCCCAUUCUUCAUCCAUUGUUGGGAAAAUAACCUCAGACUACCGUCGGCCGAUACUUGCCCAGAGUGCAACGGUCCCUAUCGAAGCAAUCGGCCGUUCACCAGGUCUCGCUCCAGAGAUGGAAGGCCAGAACCAAUCAGCAGGAAUCGGCGCGACCCAGAUGAUCAGCGCCCUUCCAUGCGUGAUCGGCUGGGGGGCAGAGGUGACCGAUAUGAUCGGUCAGAAAGUAGAAGCCAUAAUGGGCAGGGGGGCAGGACCGACCGACACGAUCAAUCAAAUAGCAAAGCCAGCGUUCACAGUCGGCUCCAAGACAUGGCCGAUGCUCGGGUAACAGACGAGAACCCGUUAGGACGCGAGCCAGAAUGGGAACGCGCUAGGAAAGAAGGGAGGCCAAUAAACCCCAGAUGGUGUCCCGAUGGUUUAACCAAAUCACAAAAACGAAGAGUCCAACGCCUCCGCCAAUGGGAACUGCAAGAAGAAGAAGGCGCGAUGGACAAGAAGGAAGGGAGGCCUCGGGUAUGGCGCCCCAAAGCAAACGACAAGGGCAACGAUGAGUCGGUGGGCGAUGAAUCGGCAGCCGAAAUCGGUAUGGUUUUCAUAUUGCCGAUGGAGUUCAUGACCCCUGCCGAUCAACAGAACGUGUCGGCGAUAGAGGAACAAACAGCACGGUUGGCUUUAGAACCAAUGAUGGCCACGUUCGAAAAGCCCGAAGAUGACGAACGACAACAUAUGAAGGCGUUGUUCCUUAAAGGGCACGUUGACGGUCGCCCCCUCACUAGAUUGAUGGUCGACGGGGGAGCUGCCGUCAACAUCAUGCCGUAUGUCGUACUCCGAAAGUUGGGAAAGAGCGACGACGACCUAACCAGGACGGACAUGAUCCUCAAGGACUUCGAAGGCAAGGUGUCAAACGCUCGCGGUGCCCUCUGCGUCGACCUCACCAUCGGCAGUAAGACUCUUCCUACCACGUUUUUUGUCAUUAAUGGCAAAGGGUCCUAUAAUAUGCUUCUUGGCCGAGACUGGAUACACGCAAAUUGCUGCAUCCCGUCAACUAUGCACCAAUGCCUUGUACAAUGGGUCGGCGACAACAUCGAGGUGGUCAAAGCCGACUCCGCAUACAGCAUCGCAGCAGCCGACGCACAGCAAUGGAGCUGCGAAACCGUCAGGUGCAUAUCAGGUAGGAUGUGGGAAACCGAUUUCCUGAAGGUCACCGAUUUUGGCCUACAGCCAAUCCGAGCAGUCGGCUCCGAAGAAGCGCAAUAGAUGGAUCAGUUCGCCCGAGAAGACGGGAAGCUGGGACACGGAUUCACGUCGGCCGAUUCAUUGGAGAUGGUAGAUUUAGGUGACGGGACCAAACCAAGGCCGACUUUUAUUAGUGCAAAUUUAGAUCCAGAGUACAAGUGUAAAUUGAUAAGUUUAUUAAGAGAAUUCAAGGAUUGUUUUGCUUGGGAGUAUCACGAGAUGCCCGGAUUAGAUCGGUCUAUUGUUGAACAUCGGCUACCCAUAAAGCCAGGGUAUCGGCCGUACCAACAACCCGCACGGCGAUGCAAUCCUAAAAUUUUACCAGACAUAAAAGCCGAAAUAACUCGGCUAAUUGAAGCAAAAUUUAUUCGGCAAUGUCGUUAUGCCGAGUGGAUUUCUAAUAUCGUACCGGUGUACAAGAAAAACGGGAAGCUCCGCGUUUGCGUUGAUUUCAGAAAUCUUAAUCAGGCCACACCGAUGGAUGGUUACCCCAUGCCUACGGCCGAUGUACUGAUCGACGCUGCCGCGGGGCACAAAUUAUUAGCUUCAUGGAUGGAAACGCCGGAUACAAUCAAAUACUUAUGGCCGAAGAGGANNNNNNNNNNNNNNNNNNNNNNNNNNNNNNNNNNNNNNNNNNNNNNNNNNNNNNNNNNNNNNNNNNNNNNNNNNNNNNNNNNNNNNNNNNNNNNNNNNNNCCAGGGCCAUCUUGGCCUAAUUCGAGGUGGGUGGUGAUGACUUUCGGUUUAAAAAAUGUUGGUGCUACAUAUCAGAGAGCCAUGAACUACAUUUUUCACAAACUCAUUGGCCUCCUGGUGGAGAUCUACAUCGAUGACGUUGUGGUCAAGUCCAGAAGCCACGAGGAACACCUAGCCGAUUUGCGACAGGUGCUAGAGUGUACCAAAAAGCAUGGUCUCAAGAUGAAUCCCAACAAAUGCGCUUUCGGCGUCUCCGCCGGACAGUUCUUAGGAUUCAUGGUGCACGAACGAGGUAUAGAAGUCAAUCAGAAGACCAUAGCGGCCAUCAACAAAGUCGUCGCUCCACAGAACAAAACUGAGCUACAGUCUCUAAUCGGCAAGGUAAACUUCAUCAGAAGGUUUAUAUCUAAUCUAUCUGGACGGAUUCAGGCGUUCACACCGCUUCUGAAGUUGAAGCCAGACCAGGAGUUUGUAUGGGGAGAAGAACAGCGCAAGGCGCUAGAAGACAUAAAGCGAUACUUGGUCUCACCCCCAGUCCUGGUUCCCCCUCAAACGGGCAAGCCGUUUAAACUAUAUUUAUCAGCCGACGAAAAAGCUAUUGGGUCGGCUCUAGUCCAAGAGUUUGAAGGCAAAGAGCGGGUAAUCUAUUACGUUAGUAGAAGACUCCUGGAUGCCGAAACAAGAUAUCCUCCAGUGGAGCGUUUGUGUUUGUGUCUUUACUUCUCGUGCACCAAACUCAGGCACUAUCUACUGUCGGCAGAAUGUAUAGUCGUAUGCAAAGAUGAUGUAGUAAAAUACAUGCUGUCAUUGCCGAUAUUGAAGGGACGAAUCGGUAAGUGGAUCUUAGCUUUAUCGGAAUUUGACCUACGAUACGAAUCGGCAAAAGCCAUCAAGGGUCAAGUCAUGGCCGAUUUCGUCGCCCAGCACUGUGGGCCGGAGAUCGCUUUCGUGGAACUAGCGCCUUGGCAGUUAUUUUUUGAUGGGUCAUCAUGCGGAGUCGGAUCAGGAAUCGGCAUCGUUCUCAUAUCGCCUCGGGGGGCAAGAUAUGAUUUUUCUCUGCCGAUAGAAACCGCCGCCACAAACAAUCAAGCGGAGUACAGAGCCGUAUUAAAAGGCUUACGAUUAUUGAGGGAAGUCAAGGCCGAUUCUGUUGAGGUCUUCGGAGAUUCGAUGCUAAUUGUGGAUCAACUAACCGGAAGGGCUGAGUGCAAAGAUGACAUAUUACGAAUUCAUCACGAAGAUUGCUUACAGCUUUUAAAAGAAUUCAGAUCGGCAACAAUCGAGCACGUCCCAAGAGACCGCAACGAGGAAGCAAACAGACUCGCUCAACACGCAUCUGGGUAUCGGCCGAUUCCAGGCGCCAUGGCCUUAGAGCUUGCAGCUGGCGAUUGGCGUAAAGAAAUUGCCGAUUACCUGAAGGAUCCGGCUAAAAAGGUGGAACGACGAGUGCGCUUUCACGCUACCAAGUACGUAUUACUCGAAGAUGAUCUAUUCUACCGAACGAUCGAUGGUGUUCUUCUUAAAUGCCUUGGAACAGAAGAAGCCAAGACUCUAAUGGGAGAAAUCCAUGAAGGGGUAUGCGGAGCUCACCAAUCAGCACAUAAGAUGAAGUGGAUGAUCAGAAACAACGGGUACUAUUGGCCUACGAUCCUCGAAGAUUGUUUCAAAUAUUAUAAGGGUUGUCAGGAAUGUCAAAAGUUUGGAAAUAUCCAGCGUGCACCCGCAUCGGCCAUGAAUCCCAUCAUCAAACCAUGGCCGUUCAGAGGGUGGGGAAUAGACCUCAUCGGCCAAAUUUAUCCACCAUCGAGCAAGGGGCACAAGUUCAUUCUGGUUGCUACCGAUUAUUUCACCAAAUGGGUGGAGGCGAUCCCACUAAGGACCGUGACGUCGGCUAUCAUGGCCGAUUUCGUAAGGGAUCAUAUCGUCUACCGAUUCGGUAUCCCUCAAACUAUAACAACCGAUCAAGGAACAAUGUUCACAUCGGGAGAAUUUGAGGAAUUUACGACCGAUAUGGGCAUCAAAUUGCUAAAUUCUUCUCCGUAUUACGCUCAGGCCAAUGGUCAAGCAGAAUCUUCCAACAAAGGAAUAAUCAAGUUGAUCAAAAGGAAGGUUGAAGAAUACCCAAAGAAGUGGCACCUAUGCUUGACCGAAGCCCUGUGGGCAUACAGAAUGGCUUGUCAUGGGGCUACCAAGUUAUCUCCCUAUCAGUUGGUAUACGGUCACGAUGCAGUACUUCCAUGGGAGUCGAGGGCAGGAUCAAGGCGCAUUUCACUUCAGGAUCAGUUGUCGGCCAAUGACUACUCGGUUCUGAUGAAGGAAGAACUUGAUGAUUUGGCCAGCCAGCGACUAAGGGCUCUGAUAAGUAUCGAAGAGAAUAAAAAGAGAGUGGCCAGGUGGUACGAUAAAAAGGUCAAAGUCAAGCAGUUCUCCCCUGGAGAUUUGGUAUGGAAGUUAGUACUACCGAUCGGGUCGAAAGAUCCUAAAUUCGGCAAAUGGUCUCCUACCUGGGAAGGGCCGUAUAAAAUCGGCAAAUGCGCUCCAGGGAAUGCCUACAUCUUGGAAACAAUAGAAGGAGAAGAAUUCACUAGAGCUCUGAAUGGGAGGUACUUAAAAAGAUAUUACCCAAGUAUAUGGGUCGAUGCCUAAGGAAUCAACACGAUCAUACAUGACUGAUACGAUUCGGUCUUAAGACACACAUAAAGUCGACCGGAACGGCCGAUUACAUUCAUUCGGUACGGGCGACGCGUCACAUGGCCGACAAAAUGUUUAGUCGCCCUUAGAACAAAAAAUACAGCAACUAAUUAUUCUUUUUCUUACGCUCCCUCUCAGCCCGACCUAACUCUAUCAUGAGUCGGAUGUAUUCUUCCUCUAUGGCCUUCAUUGAAAUCUCCGCUUCGACUUGACGGGGGAGAUCUACGGGAGGGCGCGAAGUCCCCGCUCCCGCAUCUUCAAGAACGACUUGCCGAGGGAGUAGAUGACUCCUGUCGAUAGGAGGUCGCCGGCUGCCGUUCCUCUCCACGAAGUCCAGGAUCGUUCGGGCCUCCGUGGCAAUAUUGUCUUCAAGAUCGCCACAACGAUCGCUCCUGACAGGUGGAGAUUGAUGGUUACUUUCACUCACCACGGAAUCGAAGACUACGCGAGCCUCCGUGGUAAUAUGAUCCUGGAGCUCCUCUCGGUGAGCCACGAUCAGCAUCUUGUCCUCCGACGUUAAUGGAUCUUCGGAAUGAAUGCGCUCAAUGGCGCGCACGAGCUCGGGGUUAAGACAUUGAGGCUGAAACAAAGAAGGAAUGAGGGGGGAUAUUCUCUUCCUUAGGGUCUAAAAAAGAAAGGAAGGUAGAGGUCAAAGACUUCACCUGGUUAACAGAGGAAGAAGAAGACGACGAGGCCAUGACGAAGAAAUUGCACCGAUGAGAAGGGGCAGAAAAGUUAAACCGAGAGCCAAGAUUGAUGCUACCAGGAGUAAGCGCCAAGGUUGGUAUUUAUAAAAGAAUGCGUGGAAAUCUGGUAAAGCUACGUCCCAUCGGUAAUAAGAAGGCAAUAAAUAGAAAGGGCGUCGCGAGGGGCGGUCAAAGAAGAUAGUAAAUGAUUCGUACAAAACGGUCAGUGUUUUACAGAUUACCCAGAAGGGUAUCGAUAGCCGUGAUGGCCCGACGCCGGAUCUGAUCGGCAGAGUCAAGUACCCGUUGGUCUUCUUCCGCCGACCCAGGAACCUCCGAUGCGCUGCGAUGGAGUCUCAGUGCCUCGUGAGCAAAGCGUUGCGUCUCCCGUGUCAAAUCGGCAAUAACAGAGGGUAGCUCUUGGAGUUUGUUCUCUUCGGCACUGAUUGCCUUGGUCACUUGCUCCAUUUCCUUGGCAAGCUCCGCCCUCCGGCGCUUGAGACGGUCUAUCUCACCUAUGAUCGCCGGGCGGGAAUCUUCUAGGACAUGGAUACGCCGAUUCGCCUCUUGAGCCUGACGCUUGAAAGCGUCUUCCUCUUCGCGAGCCUUGGUCAGCUUGGCGCGAUCGGCCAUGUGACGAAGGGCUCUGAAGACCGGGAUCCUCAUAGACUCGAUGAAGGCCGCCGGCGCCAGGGCCUCCUCCGCCUCUUCUGGUACUCGUCCGCUGACGUCAUUGAAGAGCUGCCGAAUCGGCGAAGCGUCUUCUACUAAUCGGCCGAUGUCCCCUUGAAGGAGGGAUCGGAUGCUGGAAAGUUUGGCUCGGACGUCAUCAGGAACGGAACUCAAGGCGACUUGGCGAGAAGCAACUUCUUCGUCGUCAGAGAGGGCGACCGCAAAAGAAAAGAGACUGUUGUCGGGGGUAUCCUGUUCCUGAAGAUAAUAAAGAAAAGAAAUAAAACAGCUGUAAGAAAGAGCAAAUCAGCUAAGACAGAAGCAGAAACAGAAAAAUACCAUUUUGAAGCGAAUCUCCUCAUGUUGCACUUGAGAAGUCGCCAUGCCUUGCUCGGGGGCCUGCGCCAUGGGUUCGUCAGAUGAAGAGGACUCCACGAUAAUCGGUGCAGUAUUUGGACCAGCCUCCUGACAAGAAAUCGGCAAUCGAGGAGCGAUUGAUGUGCCGAUUGCCUGUGUCAGAAGUUUGGAUAAAUACGUUACGUGAAUGCCCGAAGGAAAUCGGUACGAGAAGUUCUAUACCUUAACGGAAGGAAAUGGGGGCGCGUCAAUAGCUGGAGGGGCUGCUGCCGAUUGUGGUACUUCUGUAGGGAUGCUCUGUGCAGUUUAAGGUUAAAGAAAAGUUAAUAUCAAAAUAAUAAUCAGAGGCAGCGUAACUCAGUUUUACCUGUAUGGCCUCCAACAACAACGAUGCGGCGGCCGCCCCAGCUUGCGUCAUGGUUUGAGUAUCGGCACCUUGAAUGACUUGAGAAGGUGGUACGGCCGAAGUUUCUGCCGAUACGCGCACAGGAGGAUCCGCCGAUCCCGUACGAGCCCGGACUCGGCGACUGGUCUUCUUGGUGGUCCUUUUAUGAACUUGUUUCAAUCGGCCAAUAAUCACAUCAACAGACGGGGCGUUGUAGCCGAUAAGGGGAUAAGUAGUGUAUGGAUGACUCUCUAUUAGUCGUCCGCUGCGGCUGUGUGUUGGAGGGAUCCGAUUCUCGGCCUAAAAUAAUAAAAUCAUUAGUACUCGAUCGUGUUAAGAGGAAUAAAAGGGAAUAAAAAUCGGCUAUGUGAAGUACCUCGGCGUUUGGAUCAAUGUUGGUCGGGUCCAGAAGAUUGCAGUAUGCCGAUGCUGAGUUGCAGAAGAGGAAUUGCUUCCAAUCAGCCCACCAGAGUUUGAACGGCUGGACAGCAAAUGGAGCUACUAGCCAGUCGUUCAAGUUAAUUGUACUAGAGUCUGGAAUUCGGUCUCGCAACCGACCGUAAUCUAGGCCAGAUGUGAGAUCAUCUCUAAACUUGAUUUUGCCAGCAAAGUACACCUGAAUCGGCAGCUGACCCAUGCCGAAUUGUCGUGCUGCAGCAGAAGGGUUGUAGAAUUCGUACGUAGGGGCAUCCUUCCCUGAGAAGAAGUUGGCCGGUAGGAUCCCUGGCUUGAUCAACCCUUCAUAGAGAUCUUCAUCAAACCGGCCAGAAGUUGAAUCAAAGCAGGAAGGGAGCUCGAAGAUGGGAAUGUCUCGCUGAUAUGGAAACCAGAUAGUUGCGUCCUCAUUAAAUCCAUUAUAAAAACACCGAAAGUACUCGGCUACCUUUGUAGCGGAACACGCACAACCUGGAAAAGCUGAUGCUGCUUCACCAUAAGACAUGCAUCGGCGGCGCUCGGUAGGGUCUUCUGCCGAUUCAAUAUUGGGAAAUGUCAUGCGGUCCACUGGCUGCCGAGUGAUCCUGUUCAUAUAAAGGUUCAACCAUAAAUUGACGAACCACCAAGGCCCACCUGGGUUGCCGAUUGGUUCUCCCUUGGAAAGUUUUGUCCCGAUUUGGUGGAGCAUGUGGUACACAGCACCCAGAAGAUGUUUCCCGAGAGGAAUGUGGCUUCCUUUGGACAGUGCCUCGGCUAAAGAUUGGGUGUUGGUUGUUGGGCCGGCGGCUCUUCCACAGAAGAGGUGUUUUUCGAGCCACAUCAUCAGGAAAGCGGUGUGCUCCCUGUUAUCAACAGUACCGGUCUUCUUAUUAUCAUUAAUAAAGCCCUUCCAGCCGCCGAUUCUUCUUGUGUCCAGCCGAUGCGAUGGUACGGUCAGAAGUUGGAAAGGCGUGUCAGGAGAGGAUACAUCCAGGCCGGUCAAGAGGACCACAUCGGCCAGAGUGGGGGUCAUGGGACCGUGUCCAAAUAAGAAUGCAUUAAGUGCGUCAGACCAAAAAUAGGAAGCCGCCAUCACUAGCGGUUCGUUUUUCUCCAUUUGCGACAGGGAAAGGUUGAUACAUUGGCCGAUUUUGAGCUCAUCCCACGAGACGCUCCUUGAUGCGGCUACCCGUUGGUACCAUUCCCUCCAACCUGGGGUUUCAUUCGGCCAAGAUCUAAAAGUGCUGGCCCAUUGAUCUAAGUUCAUAUCAGAUCGUUUGAAAGGUAUCCGAUCAGUUUCCAAGUUUAUGAGGUCUGCUGGAUCCGGGUCUCCCAUGGGACCAAGGCAAACAAGGCCAGGACUACCCGUGAGAUGAAUAGUAAUUCUAUGUCUAACCGCCUAAAAAAGGAAAAGGGGCAUAAGAAAUAUAAAGAGUAGAUCUAAGAUAAAUACGUUACCGAUAGAGGAAAGAUUCGGUAUUUACCUCCGGUAUAAAAUUCUGAGUAAUCGGUGUGGUCGCCGAUGCAGAUGCGGAUGAUGGAGUCGCAAUGGGGAUCGCCAUUGGGAUCUCUGAUGAAGCUCCUUCAUCUGCGGAUGGAGUGACGGUUGUCGUCACCGUUACCGAAGGUGCUACCUCCACCGGGGGCAUUGUCCCUGAAGCAUCGCGUGCUGGGGAAUUACCGGAGGGAGUCGCCAUUGAAGGGAAAGGGGAAGAAGUGAUUGGAGCUGAAACUGGAAGACUUCGAUGGCAAGAUUGAAGAAAGAAGGAGGUGCGCGCGCUGGAAAAGGAGAUGCGAGCUUGAAGAUGAGUUGCGGUGAAAUGAUAUUUAUAGGGUGCCUGAAGAAAGGGUAAAGAUGGAAUUUUCACCGCGCCGGCGCAUCGAGUUUUUCGGGGUAGUGGCUGUCGUGGGCGCCCGUUUCAAAAAAUUGCAAUGAUCAGCCGGGAGACCGCGAAACGGAAGGAUAUUUUCACUGCGGCCGUUUCGGAGGAGAGGUUAUAAAGAAUUUCGAAGUAAAAGAUUAUGUUUUACUCCGAAACUGGGGGGCAUGUGUUGACGCCGGAUUUCGUCAUCAGUAGAAUCGGCGCCAAGGAGGAAAAAAGUCGAAGAAGUACGGAUGAAAUCGGUCAAAAGAUGCUAUAAUGCGGAAUCGGUCAAAAGAUGCUAUAAAGCAGAAUCGGUCAGUAGCUCUUACUUCGCUUCAGGGUGAACGCGCUAGAUUCUCAAUCGGCAAUCCUUUGCUGAUAAGAAAUCGGCCGAUCAGGAAGGUGGACUAAGGUGGGCCUGUAUGGGCUUGGAAAGAUGGAGGGAUAAGGUGGAGUUCAGCCCACGAAGCGUGGAGUAAUUAGUUUAGCACGGAUUGUGCUUGUAGAUAUUUGUUUUCUGUUUGAAUUAGAGAUAGAGUUCUAGUCGGUUAAGAAGAUUAUUUGUACGGGGCUAUAAAUAGCUACCUUUGUAAAUCUGUAAACACAACAAUCAAUCAAUACAACAAGUUACUUUAUUCUUCAUACUUACUUUCGAGCAGGCGACUUCGCCAUCACUUUUCUUUCUCACGAGUUCGUGCGGGUUGGCAGGGCUGCAUCAUCUUGAUCUCCGGCCGAUUCUGUAAGUUCCGUUUAUCGAGUAAUAUCUAAGCUUUAACUUCCGGCGCAUCGCUGUUGUUUCGUUUAGAUUUAUUCAUCAGUUAUCGAUAUCGACUAGAUUCAUAGGUUUUUACCUGUUUUCCUAGUUUUUAUCACCUGUUAUCCCGCUAAGAAAUCGGUAGUAUCGGCUUUUAUUACUUUCUAUUGUCAGAUCCAUCUGUUGCCGAUUAAAUCUUUUUCUAGUGUUGUUAUUACGUGCUUUGUACCGAUUACUUUAAGUAUUUUUCUACCUACAAGGCUACAGGGAUCGUGCUGUCUUAUAGCCGAUUUCAUUAUCAUAGUAAAUCGGCCGAUCUGCCGAUAAGCUUCCCUCGAUCGGAAACUUAGCCGAUCGUAGUUACUGAAUUUGACACGUGUUCUUCCUUGCCAAUCAACAGGUCAGAUUGGCUGGCACGCCGCGCGAACCGCACCAGGGCAUUCACCCGAACAGGAGCUAAGCAGAUUCUCCCGGGUCGUGUGUCGGUCGCUGGGAUUCGGUUUGCCGAUUUCUAGCGCCAACAAAACCAUAGAUUGAAAGAAACUUAACAGUGCAAGUUAAACCAUUACUAAGAGUUUAAAAUAUAAACCAGUCCGAGGCAAGUAAUUAAACAUCUAAGUUUAUUCGGGGGUAUCAUGAGACUCAUAAGAUACCCUAGUUCUUUGGAGCUUCCUCCUCGGUGGGUCCUUGCUGGGUUUCUGGAAAUAGCAACAAAGGAUCCCCUGAGUACGAAGUACUCAGCAAGUCUGACCCGUCUAACCAAUAUAAAUACUUUUUGUAUACUGUAUGAUAGCUUUAUGGUGUAUUGGCUGACUCACAUUUUACAGAAAGAGCUUACUAUAAGUGAAACCUUAGUUUUAUCUUUUACUUCAGUUUGAGUUUGUUACCUGACCAGUCUAGAUGACAAAAAAUAUUUUAGCAACCAGAUGGAACUAAGUCAUACAACAUAUUUAUUCAAAGCAAACGGUUCCCUUCUCUUUCUUACAGUACGAUGCUUAAACAAUGAUCAAGUGCAUUCAUAUCCGAGAAUUGCGACGAUCCGGACCGAUUUAUAUCCUGCAAGAGAUACCCGACUACCAGCUAUGUACAACUGUACCGGUUGUACAUAACUACCUUUCGAUUAGCUGUACCCAACAAUCGGAAAUAUGACUACUCGAACCCAGGGACGCACCCCCACAUGGGACCCCACGUCUGGCCUGAUCUCCAAUGUGAGUUUCAGGCAACGCCACUGCCCUUCCACUGCAUGCCAAGCACGGGUACGAAAUAUUUUCAAUCAGAGAGCCAACUAACCUACCGGGCUUGCUGGUUCCCAUAUGGCAGUAAGUAACCAGGUAAUAUCACUUGAUCACUGGUUAAAACAACGAACGAUCCUUAAUCAAAUUAACCGAGUAGACGGAACUAUAGAACUCAAGACUCCUUUCUUGGUUCCAUCCAAGCUUCCGUCCACUACCUUCCAAAAUAGGUCAUUUCCUUGAUAUACAUAUGUAUGACAAUGUUACCUUAGGUUGCUGAGUACCAUAGGUACUCAGAAAGGAUAAAGGUAGCGCGACUAUGCUUUGCUAAGCAUCGGAUACUUACUAAAUAUUUGGAAUAGGUGGCAAAGAUAUCCUUAAUAACAAGGUUGGAUUAUGCAUAAAAGUAAGUUUUCAAUCAACUCCUAGACUUAAUGCAUUCAUAAAGAAAAUAACCAAUAGUUGGACACGUGAAAUAAUAACUCCAAAAGUAGAUAGGCUUAAUGCACCGGGGCUUGCCUUGAUCCACAAAAAAGUUAGUAUCUCCAGACGAUCCUGCUUCACAAGGGACCAACUCGACAACCUCCUCAAACUCCAGAGGUUCUUCAGAAAUUUCCAGAAAUUCCACUUCUCGACCUUCAGUGUCUACGAUAAAAUGCAUGCAUGAGUCAGAGAUGCAAAUUUUUUCUAAGCACAAGACUAUACAACUUCCUUCAUGAUAAAGUUGUAAGCCAACAAUGACUUAGGCAACAUAACUUCAUAAUAAAGUUGUAAGCCAACAAAACUCUACCCAUAACGACUAACCCACGAUUUAAACUUCCUUUAUUUAUCCCAUUUUAAACCUUUUCUUUUUAUUUUUGAAAAGCAUUUGAAUUAAUUUCUAAUGUAAAAUAAAAUGCAAAACUAUAGAUAACCAUUUGUUUGGAAUUAAUAAAAACAUUAUUUAGAAUUUUAUUUAUUUAUAAAGCUUAAGCAUUUACUUAAAUAUUUUAAGGAAAAGCAUUAAAUCAAUACUUAAUCUUUAUCUUUUUAUUUAAAAACGUAAGCCUUUUCUUUUAUUUUUGAAAAGCAUCAUAAUUAUUUUCUAAUAUUAAACUUCUAAUUACUAUACAUUAUGGUUUAUUUGUAAUUAGAAAAGAAUUAUUUCAUAUUUUAUGUAUUUUGGAAUUAUUAAGUAUUUAUUUAGUACCUUUAAUUGAAGGCACUAAAUAAACACCCAAAAUUUUUCUGGGUGAAAUUAAGUUUUAACAAUUUUAAUGUAUAAAGGAGAUUAAAACAAACUUAGUAAAAUUUAUUUCACUAUUUUUGGGUACUUCUACGAAUUUUGGUGAAUUAAAUGGUGUAACAGGUAAUUAAAUCUAUUUCUAAAAUCAAAAAUUCCAAAGCUUAUCCGAAUAAACCCCCCUGAAUUCUUUUCUUACCGGCCCUCCCCUACCCACUCUCACAAACACGUGGGGCCAGCCGGCCAGGUCUUCCUGCCCGACGCCACAACAGGGCGCCGGGGCGGGCAAGACCGGCGGCUCGCCGGCAACAGGGCCAGGCCUGGGCGCACCCGCGGGAGGCGGCGGCCCCCUCGGAGGCGACUUGAGUCGGGCCCUCCACGGGCAUUGGCGGCCAUGGCCGGUGGCCGGCCGGCUCUGGGUGCAGCGGCGGCACCCUACAGCCUCUACAUGGCCUAGAUAAGCCCCGCAACCCAAGGAAUCGAGCAAAAGGGGCAGCACAGAGAAACCCACCAGAGGACAGUGGUGGCAGCCAGGUGGACAGGAGAUGCGGUGGGUGUGGGCUUGCCGGCGGGGAACUGAUGAACGGAGCGGCGUGGGGCGUUGAGGAGGAGCUGGCGGAGCUUUGGGCGGGUGGAAUUGCGGAGAGGAGCGGCGGCGUGGUUGAAUCGGCCGGCGAUGGCACUACUGCCGUGCCCUGCUUCGUGGUGGUGAAAUGGCGGCAGGGUAAACAGAUGAGGAUGGGAGCGGUACAAAUACAAGUUUUCACUGCGUGCAUGAAGGCCACAUCGACGAGCUGCAGGCGUGCGUGGCGCGGAUGUGGCCAUCGCGCUGGCCGGUGCUCCAAGAUGCCGGCGGCGGCAUGUCUCUACUCCUCUGCUCGUUUCCCUCUUUCUUCUUCUUCUUUUCGUCUGAAUUUCAGACCUCAAAAUCGACCAAUCCGAAUCCAAUCUCUAAACUAACCCUUAAGAAAUCUUGUAGAGUAAUCCAAGAACUUCAAUUGAUAGAUUGGCCUCUACCCGAGAUGAGCACCCUAACAUCGAGAUUUUGAAGCUCGAAGUUCGGCCAAAAUUUCCUGUAACUGAACCUCGACGAUUCAAUUUCGUCAGGUUCCGAAACAGGGACUUCUGCCCUAAUUUGAGCUCGAUUUAAAUUGCACAAACUCCUUCCCUACAGCUUGAACCUUGCCUAUCCUUGUUCUACAACUAACAAAGAUUCUAUUUUGCACAAGAACCCAUAUAAUGUUUACACUGGAUGUUUCUGAAAUUUGCUCCAAACAUUGCUAAUCGAUGUUGUUUUUCAGACUUAGGAUUAUUUCGGCGAGAAGGCUGAAAUCUGCUCAUUUGCUGAUUUUGGGCUUCAUUUUAAAUAUUAAACUUCUACUUUCUCUGGCCAACAAUAUUUCAUUUUCCUUCUCCAUAGACCAUAUUUCACUAAUGUCCAAAAACAUCUGCUCACUUACAAGAAAAAUUCUCCAGAAAUUGGCUCCAAAGUUGUGUACUCAAUAUUAUUUUCAGAUUUGCGUGUUUUCGGACGAUGCAUAGUAACUUCAUCGAUUCCAUCUUCGAUUAUAUUUCUGAGAGGUUUAUGACUUGAAUUAGACUUCAAUAUUCAUUCCUUUGAGUUCUGAAUACUCUCAAGACUCGAUUUCAUAUUUUUAUCAAAUUUGUCUAAAUUUGCAACUCCAAUUUGUAGAUUUGGUCAACUUCGGCUUAAAGUUGACUUUGGCUCAAAUCAACUUCCUUCAAUCCAAAUUUCACCAUUAGCUUCUUAAUGUCAUACUUAAGUUGUCACUAACAUUGGGUGUUACAGCCAUCUAGUUCUGGUUAGAAAAAAAUGCUUGGGAUAAUAUUUUUCAAGUGGUGGUGAUGCUCAUGUAUCUGCUUUCAGACUUGGUGAUGUCCCUGGUACUUCUUUCUCCACCCCUCCUCCUGCUUUGCCUCCCGCUUUGUCAAGAAGAUCAUCUGCAAGUGCUUCGCUGCAAGCAGCAAGCACUAGUGCAACUAGUAUGGGUAUUGGUUCUGAACUCUCUAUCUACUUGGACAGUGACACUGUCACCCAUUUUGAUGAUAGCUUCAGUAUCUUGAAUUGGUGGCAUGAGCAUAAAUGAACUUAUCCAGUUCUAUCAAUCUUAGCUAAAGAUGUUAUAACUAUGCCUAUCUUUAAAGUAUCAUCAGAGUCUACUUUUAGUACAUCUGGCAGGAUCGUUGAGGAGAGGCGGUGUCAAUUGAGCUUUGAGAUGGUGGAGAUGAUCUCUUGCGUCAAGGACUGGGAGGCUGCAGAAGCAAGAAUUCAGAACCUGGUCAGGAACUUGAAGAUAGUUUUGCUAAUUUGUAUCUAGAUGUUCUUGAUGAUUCAUAUGUGUAACUCAAACUUGACCUGUAAUAACUUUGUACUACUUUAAUGUUUAUUUAAUUAAGUUGGGCUGCACUCUUUUUCCUAUCUAGGAUUUUUCACGAGGUGUGAGUUUUACAUAGAUAGAUUUUUAAUGAGGUACCCAUUGCACCAGCUCAAACUUUUGAAAUUGUUUCUCCUACCUUUGGUUGUGGAUUGGAUUGUGGUCUAAAUGUGUUAUGAUGUGAAUUCUGCGUUGAUGAAAAUUUUUGCAUCUUCUUAACUUGGAGUUUUGGUUGAGUGGUGGCUGGCCUAUAGUGCCUGGCCCGGCACUAACACGGUAGUGCCAGCCGUGCUAGCGGGUCGGGCUGGCACGAAAAAGUCAUCAGGCCUAAUAGUGCCGGAUCUAUUCGGGUCGGGCCAAAUCAAGCUAGAGCCGAGCUAGUGCCGGGCGGCAAAAGGAGAUUCAUGCAUGAAUUCUCGCUUGUGCUACGUAGAGCUAAACCUAGCCUUCUUCCUCAUAUGUCUCUUUGCCUCCAAGCCUUGUAAUUUUCCUUUUGAUAGUUUCUUCUGGUCUGUUUCUUUCUUUUUUUGCCUUGUUGUUUCGAUCUGUCUGAACAUCUGUUUUUUUAAUAUAAUCUUCAGUAGGGGCUUAUUGAAAUUCUAAUUGUCUCAAAAACCCUACACAGCUGCCUAUCAUGUGUUCUGAACUCCGCUUUCCUACUUGUUGGUACUUAGAGGUUCAUUUAGGCAAGUUUCUAUUUUCAUUGCCAAUACGUAAGAAGACGGGAUCUUGGAACAGUGUGUAACGGCCCAAAAGUGGCAGCCAACAGUAUUGACUUGGAAUUUUCAAUACCGUGAGCAGCUAUAGUUGGAAAAAUUAUCAGAGCUGAGGUGUUCUUUUGCAACUUGGUAGUUUUUCGUGCUGAACUGCACCGUGGACUUGACUAUUCUUUGUCGAGCAGUAUCGGUUGGGGCCUUGGGGGAAAGCUCUUUGUGAUGGUGGCAUGUGGAAUAUACCACCCGCAACCAGCAUAUGGAUUCCUCGAAGGGAUUGACAGCCAACGCUUGAUGGGACAAGAUCUUUGACCAUGUGCACAAAAGUCUUGGCAACUAAAAGCUGCUUCUAGAGUUGGUUGACUUUCCAAGUUUGUAGUCUUUUCUUACUACGUGUGGCAUGGCCAGUGGAUUAAGAAAUAAUAAACGCCAUAAUUAUAGUGCUGUUAGCUACACUAUAAUUCCAUUGUGAGUUCUGCCAUGGUAAUUGUCCUGGUUAGUGCCUGUUGUCAUUGUCAAGGAUUAGAAAGGACGUACUUGGAUGAGCUCUGUCAAAACUCAUAUUGACGAUGCAGGUGCCAAGGACGUACUUGGUAGGUGCAGCCUAUGCAGCAUUCUGCUACAAGACUUCUGUGGUGAUGAGUUGAGUGCCUUGGCAUCUUUCUCCUCAUUUUUCCAAUCUGGGUCCGGAAUAAAGCUGCACUUGGAAAAAUUAGUGACUGCCUUGCUUUCUGUUUAAAAGAUAUCUACUUUGGUUGGUACAAAUCAAGAACCGGUGCGUACUGCGUAGGCUAGCUAGACAUGCUCGGCGCCUGUUUUUGACGGGUUGUUCGUUUGUUGGUCGUGUGCAUGAAUGAUGCCAUAAAUGCUCUAUGUCAUCCAGUCCCCUUUCCAUCCAGUUGCAACCAUCCUUCUUGAACCUUGACCAAUUUUCUUUCUUCUUUUCCCGGACGCAUGGCUAGCCAAUGACAUAUAUGAGAUCUUGCCGUACAUGUCAUUGACACAGUCUGCAGUGUAGAUGAUCGAAAAAUGUAUUAGUGAUGUGAAAAUGAGUAAUGAAAGCAGGCAUAUGAAAAAGAAACCCUACGCUGUGAAGAGCAUUUAACAACUAUGGCAGUUGGUAAAAUUUGUUGAACUGUAUAUAUAUCGUCAUAUUGAAUCAUAACAUUAGCUCGAGCAUUGUACUAGUUUAUAUGGUAUACAACGAGUUUAAUUUCAUCAAAACGCUAAGCAGUUUAAUUAAUAUAAAAACCAUCAGUUCCUGUCAACGCAGGGUUAGGCCCGGAGGUUUCGGCGAAUACAUGAGCGUGGAUGUUGGUAGGUGCUACCGUAGUGAGUGGAGUGGUGAGGAUGAGUUGGUGUCCCAAUCCAACCGGUCGGGUGUGGCAGUUUUGAGUGGAAUGACUACCCACGUUGAUGUCCCAAUCCAUUCGGGUCAGUCUAUUUUGUUUUUAUUUUGUUUUUUUCUUGUAAAGAUCUUUAUUGGAACUCUUUCUUUUUAAUAUAUAUAAUCGGCAACGGUCGUACCGGUUCGAUUCGAAAAAAAGAUAAUUUAAAAACCGAAACACUGAAGAAACUGAAAGGACACAAGCAGUGUAAUCAAGCGAGCCAAUUCAAGCGCCGUCGACGCAGCUACUGCUAGUGCUACCAAGGCCUAGGCGGCUAUGGUGCGGCCACCGUCGGCGCAGAUGACCUGGCCGGUGAUGUAGGACGCUGCCGGCAUGCAGAGGAAAGCGACGAGCGAUGCGAUCUCCUCCGGCUCGCCGCUGCGGUGCAUGGGGACCCGCGCCAUCUCCGCCUCCCCCAUCUUCCGCGCCACCUCCGGGUCCAGCUUCAGUCCGCUGCUGGCGGCGAAGUCGGUGCGGACGCCCCCCGGCGCGACGCAGUUGACGCGAACGUUGUCCUGCGCCCACUCGACGGCGAGGCUCCGGGUGAGCUGGUUCAUGGCGGCCUUGGUGGUCGAGUACACGGACAGCGCCGGGUAGGAGACGAGCCCGCCGAUGGAGGACACGUUGACGACGCUGCUCGCUUCGCCGCCCGGCGACGCCGCCGCGGCCGCUACGAGGAGCGGAUGCGCGAGCUGCGCGAGGUGGAAGCAGGACUCGAGGUUGGUGGCCAUGAGGCGCGCGUAGUCCUCCGCCGUCGUCUCCGUGGCGGCGCGGAACAUGGCCUGCCCGGCGUUGUUGACGAGGAUGUCCAGCCGGCCGCUCAGCUCCUCCCGCGCCGCGGCCACGAGCCGCUCCCGGUCGCCGCGCGCCGCGAUGUCGCAGGCGGUCGCCGUGACGCGCGCGAGGCGGCCGUCGGCGCCCCACCGGCGCAAGCACUCCUGCAGCUCGGCAUCGCCGCGGGCGCAGGUGUGCACACGCACCCCGAACCCCGCGAGCUCCUCCACGAUCGCGCGCCUGCAGGACCGAAGCGAAGCAUCAGCAAUACGGCGAACACGCACUCACGAACGCACGUGUAUAGACUUACCCGAUGCCCUUGCUUCCUCCGGUGACGAGCGCCGUCUUGCCGGCGAGGCUCCACCUCUCCUCCCUGCUCCGGCCGCUCGCCGCCAUGUUCAGAGCUUGCUCGCACACGAUUUCGACUUGUUUUUGUCUGAGGCGAAAGGAUACGUAUAUGGAUCGCCGUCGUUGUCCGACGAGUAUAUAUCGCAUUCGUGAGCGGUCAUCAAGUAGGCAUGAGCCGAUCCCAAUUCCACUGCGUUGGAUUCUCCUCCACAGGAUGCGUCUCGGUGGAUGCCGGCCGGCUCAUGUGGCUGGUGCUUUCGCUCAUUGUUUUGUCAUGGAGCCCUGAACCAGGUGCAAGCAGGAAAUAAGCUGAUUUCUGUUAGGUUUUUUUAAGGUCAAAUUGGUUUUCUAAUUUUUAGAGGCCCUACACCGUAUAGAUGGCCAGAUGGGCUAGGCCCGCUGGGCGGCAUGAGGCCCGACCCUAACACAGCCCGGCAUAAGGUUAAAAGUGCCUGGGUCGGCUCAACCCUAUGCUCGGGCCAGUGCCUGGGCCGCAACCUCGGCACGCUAGGCUAGCGCAAGCUAUGCACAGUUUUUGGACCGACCCGAUACACCAACCACCCCCCCUCCCCAACCGUUUGAUCAGCCAAUCAGGUCCUCCCGACCAUUGGGGGAGGGUGUAUAUAAACCGACAUCGGUGCCUUCCCCGACCAGAAACCCUAGCCUGCCCAUUCCUCUUUCCCGUCUCUGCCUCCCUCGACUCUCUCUCACCCUCUCACACCUCUCUUGCCCUCUCGUCUCCUCCCACUCUGACGAUGGGAAGCCGGUGUUGGCCGCCACCCUUGCAAGAAACCCUAGCCUCCCAGCUUGCCCGCCCACUCCUCUCUCAUGUCGCUGCCUCCCUCGACUCCCGUCGCUCUCCGCCUCUCUCUCUCGUCCUCUCGCACCUCUCUAGAUCUGGAUGACUAGAUCCACUCUCCAGCCGCUCUCAUCAUCUUCUUGCUAGAUCCGUUGUUCGUCGACCUCACCGGUCGCUCUGGUGCUCCGGAACGACCUCUAACCCUAACCCUAACCGUAAUCUGCUUCUUGCUCUGGUGGGUGGUGGCCGGUCUUUCUAACUUUUUGUUUCUACAGGUCGUCACAUCCGCCGUCGCGAAGCUGUUGAGGGACUAGAGCUCCGGUAAAUCGAUCGUUCGUCAACCUCGCUGGCCGUUCUGGGGCUCCGAAUUCGCUCGUUCGUUGAGGGACCAGAGCACCGGCGACGGACAACGACAACGAGUUCUAGGGCCACACCUACAAUGAUGAGCUUCGGAUGUUGGGCUAGCGUCCAGAUGACGAGAGUGACCUAGAGACAGAGCAGGAAGAGGUGUUCGGUGGCAGCGCUGCCGAACCAAUCGACAUCGCUAAUGGCGGUGACGAUGGUGAUGGUGAAGUAGAAGCUGCUGCUGAUCCAAACAUGGUGAGCAGCAGCACCAAGAGGAGCCGUUCCACCACCUCUAAAUGUUGGAAGGAUUUCGAAAAGAUCUUCAAGGACAUCAAUGGUAAGAGGGCAAGGGUCUCUGCCAAGUGCAUUCAUUGUGGCAUUGUACACACUGCUCGAUCUACUAUUGGCACUAGCCAUCUAAACCGGCAUGUUGAGAAAUGCCCAGCGAGGAAGUCAAAUCUUCGUGUUUUCCAGUCUUUGCUCCAGUUCAAUUCAGAUGGAAGUAUCCGUCACUGGGAUUACAGUUCUGAGGUAGCUCAUACUCAGCUAUGUCGAAUGAUUGCUAGACUUGAUCUUCCUCUUAGCUUUGGUGAAUCUGCUGCAUUUGAAGAGUACAUUAAGCUUGCUUAGAAUUCUAGAUUCUCUACUGUCUCUAAGCAAACCACCACUAGAGAUUUUAGCAAGUACUUUAAUGAUUGUUGUGCUAAGAUUAUUGAAUCAUUAACUAGUGCUUCAUCUAUGUCUAUAACUUCUGAUAUCUGGUUUGGUAAUGCUAAGGAAGAUUACCUUAGUGUGAUUGCUUAUUAUGUUAAUGUUGAUUGGCAAUUAGAGAAGAGGAUAAUUGGUUUUAGGCUCAUUGAUGCAUCUCACAAUGGCCAGUUGAUUGCUGAUCGUGUGACUGCUGUGCUUGAGGAGUAUGAUUUGAUUUCAAAGGUGUUUUCUGUUAAUUUGGAUAAUGCCUCUGCUAAUACCAAUGCUAUUGAGAAACUGAGUCCCAAAUUGUCUGCUUAUAUUGGUAAAGUGUUCUUGCAUAAACUUUUUAUUUGUCAUAUCAUUAAUCUUAUGAUUAAAUCCGCCUUGCAUUAGACUAAGCGAUAUCUUGAAGUAUUUAGAACUGCAAUUUCUUUCAUCAAUUCUUCUAACCAAUGCAUUGCUGCAUUUAAGAGAUUCUGCCUUGCUGUGAAUGUUCGUCCUAGAAAGUUUGGUUUGGACAUGGAUGUCAGGUGGAACUCCACGUACCUCAUGCUUAAGCAUCUGAUCCCUUACAAGCAGACAUUUAAUGUUUUCAUUGAUACUAACUAUCCUAGGAGUGAAAAAGAUCCUUUACUUUUGAUAGAAGAUCACCGAACUGUUGCAGAGAGUAAAUUAUCAUUCCUUAAAUUGUUUUAUGAUUCUACUGUUCUACUUUCUGGUGUUUAUUAUCCUACGUAUCCACUUAUAUUGCAUCAGCUUAUUUUGAUUGCUAACCAUCUGAAACAUUAUGAGAAUGAUAAAUUGAUUAGGCAUGUGGUAGUUCCUAUGAAAGAUUACUAUCUUAAGUACGCUUUAUUCUGUUACAUUCAUCUGGGAUCCUGAACUAAAUUGAAAGGUUUUCAAAAUGUGCUCAGGUUGUUAUCUAGUCUUAUUGGUACUGAUUAUUGUGCUUACUUUACUGAUGUAAGAGCUAAACUUUCUACUGCAUUUAAGCUGUAUGAUGACAAGUUUGGUGCAGUUAAAUUGCAAAGGCCUCCACCGUCAUCUAGUUCUGGUUAGAAAAAAUACUUGGGAUGUAUUUUUUCAAGUGGUGGUGAUGCUCAUGUAUCUGCUUUCGGACUUGGUGAUGUCCCUAGUACUUCUUUCUCCACCCCUCCUCCCGCUUUUGCCUCCCGCUUUGUCAAGAAGAUCAUCCACAAGUGCUUUGCUGCAAGCAGCAAGCACUAAUGCAACUAGUAUGGGUAUUGGUUCUGAACUCUCUAUCUACUUGGAUAGUGACACUGUCACCAAUUUUGAUGAUAGCUUCAGCAUCUUGAAUUGGUGGCAUGAGCAUAAAUAAACUUAUCCAGUUUUGUCAAUUUUAUUUAAAGAUGUUAUAACUAUGCCUGUUUCUACCGUAUCAUCAGAGUCUGCUUUUAGUACAUCUGGCAGGAUCAUUGAGGAGAGACGGCGUCAAUUGAACUCUGAGAUGGUGGUGAUGAUCUCCUGCGUCAAGAACUGCGACCUCAUCGAAGUUCUUCCCCGCAGCAGCUAGAAUCACCUCCCCGCUCGCCGGCGCCUCUCCUCCCGGCCUUGCGUUUUCGCGCGCCGGGAGCGGCCCCGGCCAGCGCCAUCCGCCCCUGCCCACACGGCCGCCGCCUUGUUUGGAGGCAGCGACUCCAUGGCGCUGAGGGCUCCGUUCCCGAGCUUCGCCUUCUCCUCCCAGUCUCGUGCGUCCAGCUUCGUGGACUCGAGGUGCCUCUGCUGACGGGCGACCGCGCCGUGGCCUCCGCUGCCUCGUCCGGCACAGGUACGGACGCACGGUGAACCGCGGCAUCACCUGCGAAUGUUUUCACGGACACAGAGUGUCGACAUGAAUCUUAGAGACGCUCAGCAUUUAGGUGUGAGGGGAGUGGUGGAACAUUGUUGUUUUUAGUCAGUUUCUUUAAAUCUUUGUGUAUAUGUCAACUUGGUGAUGAUAUCAUUCCAGUACAACGAUUUACUCAAAUGUAAAACCUGGCGGACUCUAUGCUAUCAGCUCCCAUCGAAAACUUGAGAACACCCUGAAUUUCAAGUUCUGGUUUGCACUGUAGAAUUGGGUUCUUCCGAUUUUAGUCUGUUAGGCUCAGGCAUCCUAUACAAGCUCUGUUGGAGUCCACAAGCUGCAAGAACAUGCCAUGAUCAAGUUAACUGAGAUAAAGAAAGAAAUAACCUUCAGAAGAGAUGCAGUCUACUCUGGGAUCAAGUUUCAAAAAAUCUCUGUUGAAGCAGAGGAAGGAGACAAAUGGAAAAUCUUGAGCUCUUGCUGAUGCCUAAACAGAAGCUCCCUACCUAGCACCAGCACCUUUGUGCUGUACAAAAUUCAGCAGAUGUCAAUGAAGUAACUCAAGCUUAAUUCGGUCAUGAGAAUAUGAUGUAGAAAGGGAUUGUUUCUAUAUAAUUUUUGUAGUUGGAUAUGACCUUGGCACACCAUUCAAAAAGAGAAUAUUUUCGGUUUUUAUGUGUUUCAUUCCUGACAGGAAACACAUUUGGAGCCAAUUUCGGCAAGCACUCUAACAGUUCGAAAAAUGAUUGUAUGUGUUUACUAAGCAUUACCACUACAUAACUGUUCAUCUCCAUCAAUAAUCCUCAGACAUAUCUGGUGAUGAAUAUGUAAAUCAACCUCCAUAAGCGCAUAUUAGUUGUUUGCUGCCAUAUACACGUGGUGAUUUCGGGAAUGGCGCAAAGGCAUUGCCGGAUAAAAUGAGUGAAGACUCUAAUUUCAGUUGGUAAGUGGAGUCAAACUUGAUCGACACUCAUCAUGGUGUUUUGGUUUCCUCCAAUACUUCAGUUCCGUGGCUCACACAUAGGAUCCUUGGAAGAGAAACACAAGCUAGUUAAACUUUGCAUAAGGCAUGAGAGUAUAUAUAACAGUCUCUGGUAGCUGCCCUUGAUCUAGUUGUAAACUGCAUUUGUUACUGCAAGUCAUCCGAGAAGUGCUUAUAUAUCAUUCAUCUAUUAUGAGUGCACUCCAGAAUCAUGAGGUUCAUUUCAUAUGCACCACCGUCUUGUUUGCCUAUGCCUGGUGCCAAUCAUGUGAUCUGCACGAAACGGGCUGCACUGGUUGCAUUGUGCGUAACAACCAUGAGUAAAAACCUUGAAAUGAACUAAAUUAACUGUAACCCGAUGGCUCAUGCUCUCUUUUAGUGGACUUUGUCUCCGAACCAUCCAAGAUCAACAUCAGAAUUUGUAUAGCGAAACCCUUAUGCAAAUAUAUUUCAUUUUUUCCCUUACCCACCUGAUACAGUCUAUUUUUUUUUUCAUGGACCCAUGGCCUAAUGCACAUACAUUUUCCAUUCACAACUGAACAGCGAACAGCAUCAGUGUCGGUUCUAGUGCUGAACUCGAAUUUUAUUAACCUUAAACAUCCGGACCAAACAAAUUUCAGCCACAUGCCUUUGGUUGAUAUUUGAAUUUACAUGUCACUUAAUAUGCGUAACAACCCCCGUCAGCAAUUGAUAGUUUGCUUGUUGUAACGUCCCGUUUUGAAAACAUGAUCAAAUCAACAUAAUAUGUUGGUUGUCGUCAAGAGCCGUUUGUUGGCUCUAAUUUCAGUCGGUAAGGGUAAAAUAAGGAUUUGAACUGCCGGAAUCAUGGAAGAACGUGGCCAGAUACUUCACAGAAUUACUGGGAUUCACACAGCUAUACAAGUCAAUGCUUAGUAUCUUGAUUUCCUCCCAUACUUCAGGAUUACACAUGUUGCUGGAACUCGUGCAACAUUUUGAAGCGCUUCCAUUAGUAGUUGACAGCUAACCCCUUUAUUUGUUGAGUUCGUCCUAGCUAGCCUGUAAAAACAUGCUUUAGUUGCUACAAAUCAUCAAGGAAGUGUUCAUAUAUCAUUCAGUUAUCGUGUGAGUGCACUCCAGAGUCCAGAAUAAGAGGUCCCUGAUGCUGCUGCUGUUUUGCAGUAUAACAUCCUGAUCCUUCUAGCACCGCUGCCCUCAUGCAGUUCGCCGGCCGGCGUCGCAACCAUGGCGGCUGCUUGUGCAUGUCUGUCGACAAAUCGGCGUCAACGCCAGGACCUAGGCCGUGUAGCAACGGCGGCCUCCAUCCCAAAGAAAAAGAGUGGGCUAAGUUAACUGUGCCGGCCCAGGGAGCGCUCGUACUACAGACGCCGCCAGGUGAAAUCUCCACCGCAGGAUUUAGAUCCAACGGUCUGGAUGACCCCAGGCCCGGACGGUAAACGAAAUACCGUCCGGCCUGGACGGUAAAUCAAAUACCGUCCACCCCGACCUGGGUGGCGGUGCCGCCGGUACAGUUCGCCGGCGCGCUUCGCCGCCGUUGGCGCCACCAGCGACCCAACUGCUAUGGAAAAUCGCUACUUCUUCCUCGUCGUCCGUCCUCCUCCUGUCCGCGCCCAUCUCCGGCUCCAUAGCCUCCGCUUGCAUUGCCCUGGACAGCGCCCUCUCGCCACUCGCCACGCAUGUGGCGUUCCCGGCACUGCACAGUCACAGUUCGCCGGCACUGCACAGUCACGGUGAGUGAGGUUCGCCGUUCCCUUGCCUUGAACCGCGCCCGUAUACGGCGGCGGAAGCAGAUCUGCUCGUCGUUGAAGAUCGCCUUGAAUCCAAUAUCCUCGCCGAGGUGCAACAAGGGCUGCGCUCCAGCCCCCUUGAGGGUGGUGACCGCGCCCAGGCGUCUGCACCCAUCUGGCCAUCUACAAGCUCCCCAUGCACGGCGACGGCGCGGCUGCAACCACGCGCACCGUUUCAACAUGUCUCUUUCCAUGAAGAUGGAACUCAUCUGUCGCUGAAAGGCUGAAUUCUUGGCUGGAUACAAGAUGAACAUGACUCAAGUUGUCCAUCAGUAUGCGAAUUAAGGGUAGUGUGAUUUGUGAAGAUCAAGCGAAAGAUGCCUCGCCAGUGGAGUCUGUCUCAAGUCGUGUCCAACAAUAAGACCAUAAUUUGUUAUGCAAAAUAUCACACUUGAACAGUGAACAAAAGUGUCAGAUAAUGGUGCUGCGCUAAGUAUUAUUACCAUUUGACAUCCUGAUAAAAAUAGUUUUUUAGGUAUCAAACUUUAUCAUCAAUUCACAACAUAUUUAUCAGCUACUGCCAUGGCUAAUUUUGCAAACAAAAUAUGAGUGACCUAGCAUUGCGAGUAGAGCCGAGGGCCACGUUGGGUGAGUGCAAAAGAGGAUUUGAACGAUACAUUGUUCAUUCAUCAUUGAACUCUACAAGCCAAUGCUCGGCAUUGUGUUUUGGUUUCCUCAAAUGCUUCAAGUUUACAGAAACACAGGUUGCUCGAUCUCCGACAUGAAUUGGAUCCAGGGCUAGGACUAUGCAUAAUGGUAAUUGGUACCUGACUCCCAUGUUGAGUUCAUCCUAGCUAUCCUAGCUACUCCCUCCGUCCGAAAUUACUAUUUAUUUUAACUUUUCUAAUAUGUACAUAGAUAUAUACUAUGUCCAGAUACAUAGUAAGAUAUAUGUAUCUAGAAAACAGAGGGAGUAGCUUUAUAAAAUCAUGCAUAAUAAUCAGUUAUCAUGUCAUGGGUUCUUUUCGCAUGCCUUGUGCUCCCUCUGUCUCAAAUUAUAGGUCGUUUUGACUUUUCUACUCCCUCCGUUCUAAGGUCAUUUUGGCUUUUUUAGAUGCAUAGAUGUUGUUAUGUAUCUAGACAUAGGGUAUAUCUAAGUGCAUAACAAAGUCUAUGAAUCUAAUAAUGUCAAAACGACCUAUAAUUUGGGACGGAGGGAGUAGAUACAUAGAUAUUACCCCCUCUGUCCUAGAAAGAAUGCAACUCUCGCUUCCCGAGAAAUCAACCAAUUUUAAAUUUGAUCAAAUUUAUACAAAAUAGUACUAAUAUUUAUCGUACAAAAUAAAUAUCAAUAGAUUAAUCAUGUAAUAUAUUUUCAUACUAAAUCUAUUUGGAGACGUGAAUGUUAGUACUUUUAUUUAUAAAUUUGAUCAAAUUCGAAACUGUUCAACUCAUCGAGAAAUGAGAAUUGUAUUUAUUUUGGGACGGAGGGAGUAUUAUGGAUUUAGACAUAGAGAAUAUCUAAGUACAUAAUAAAAUCUAUGAAUCUAGGACAGAGGGCCUUACUGCCAAUGUACCGAUUUCGAUCAUGUGAUCUGCAGGAGAAGGGGCUCGAUUAUUAGAGCUGCACUUUAUCUUGUCUCAUCAGCUUCAGUCUGUGCACAUCGAAUUAUCUUAUAAGAAAUGAUAUCUAUGUAGAGUUUGACAAUUAUUACUACUUGUUCACGUUAAAAUACUGAGAACAUAAACUCUAGACAUCAAACUCUGGUACUGUCACAUUUUUUUUGAAACACUUGGAUUGGCUGCAGCGCUUUGUUGUUGAAAAUUCUUCUGUUUCUCUCCUUCCAGAUAUUCCAAACCACGUACAUUGCUAUCGCUGCCAUUGAUCUUCUCACCUUGGUUGGAAUUGGAUUCAGAUUUUGUUCCAACAAUUCUGAAAUUCAGUCAUAGUGGCAUCUGGUGUACUGAAUACUGGUGCAGCCCAAUUGACCACCAGAUACCAAACCUCUUUAGCAUAACAGCAUUGCAGGCAGACGUGAUUAGCUGUUUCGACCUCCUGAUCACAUAAGGGGCAAAUUGCAGAGCAAGGCCAAUUCCUUGCUAGAAGCUUGUUAGCUGUGAGUAUUUUCUGGUGCAUUAGCAGCCACGUAAAGAAUUUUUGCUUUCCUUCAGUGUGUGCUCGCCAUAUGUCAUUCCCUGUAAAAGGUGGAUGGGUACUAAUGAACUGUGCUUUAUAUGUAGAUUUUGCUGUGUAAUCUCCAUUUGAUGUCCAUUUUCAACGAAUGCAGUCUUCUUGAUCAUUGAGUUGGUAAUCUUGUACAAGGUCCCAAAGGUCCACAAAUUCUAUCAUUUGUUCAAUUGUAUUCAUCCUCCAGAGCCCCCUAGUCCAAUUUUGGUUGUUUAGUUCCUCAUUGACCUUUCUGUUUUUCUCCAGGCCAAUUUGAAUAAGUUGGGUGCAAUAUCUAUUGCAGCUUUUCCAUUUAGCCAUGAACUGUGCCAGAAUUUUGCUUUGUUUCCAUUGCCGAUAGUUACUACUGUAGAAGAUCUGAAAAGUUGUUUGUCAAUCUGAUCACUAGGUGGUUGAGUUCCCACCCAAGGUCUUUCUUCAUCUGUCCACUCAUACCACAACCAUCUCAACCUCAAUACUCUACUGAACCUUUCCAGGUCGAGAAUGCCCAAUCCUCCUAGAUUUUUGGGUAGCAUCACUUUCUUCCAAGCAAUGAGACAGUGACCCCCAUUUGCCUGAUCAGUGCCUUUCCAUAGGAAAUUCCUUCUUAGCUUGUCUAUUUUCUUAAUUUCCCAUUUCCUAAGUGCAAAAAUAGUUAGAAAGUAAAUGGGGAUUGAGGAUAGGAUUGUCCUUACAAGGGUCACUCUUCCUGGCCUGUCAAUGAGUUUCCGCUUCCAAGCAGGCAGCUUAUUUGCAAUUUUAUCCAAUAGUAGCUGAACUUGCACUCUUGUGAGCUUCCUGAGGCCUAGAGGCAGGCCGAGAUAGGUGCAUGGAAACGAUUUCAGAGGACAAGGCAUGUUCUGCAAAACAUCUUCCAAAUUGAGGCCUUGGCAUUGAAUUGGGUAUGCUGCACUUUUAGCCAAGUUAAUAUUUAAUCCAGCUGCUAUACCAAAAGAGUCAAAGAUGUAUCUUAUGGUGUCAAUGUCUUCUCUUGUUGGGUGCAGAAACAAUGCAACGUCAUCAACAUAGAGGCUCAAUCUAAUUUUGGCUGCUCUGUUGUUUAGUGGUUUCAUCCAUUGAUUUUCUUGUUCCAUUCUAAUUAACCUUUGCAAUGGUUCCAAUGCCAGAAUGAAAAGAAAAGCAUAAGGGACAAAGGGUCCCCCUGCCUGAGUCCUGUUCUGUGCUUAAAAGACUGUGUUCUUACUCCAUUAACCAUUCCUGAGGAUGUGGCAGUGGAAAGUAGAAUGGAUACCCAAUUCCUCCAUCUGGCUCCAAAACCCAUUUGUUCCAAAACUUCCAUUAGAUAGUCCCAACAUACAGUAUCAAAGGUCUUGGCAAUGUCGAGCUUGAGAAAAAUUGCUGAUUGUUUCCUUCUGUGCAGUUCCUUAUGAGAUUCUGAGUGUAUAAGAAAUUAUCAUGUAUGCUUCUUUUCUUGAUAAAUGCACUUUGGUUUCUGGACACCAGACUUGGUAAGUACUGUGACAGCCUUAUAGCUAGAACUUUAGAGAUAAUCUUUGCCACACUGCUUGUCAAACUGAUUGGCCUGAACUCUGAGAUUUUGGAAGCUUCAGUUGUUUUUGAGAUCAGGGCUAUAUGGGCUGAAUUAAGUAGUUGGAAAUGUUGCCCAUAUAAUAUAUAGAAGAAGUUGACAACAACCAUCAAAUCUUCCUUUAUAAUUUCCCAACACGUUCUAUAGAAUUUCUCUAUGAAGCCAUUAGGUCCUGGAGCAGCCUCCUGUUUCAUUUCCAUUACCACUUUCUUCACCUCCUCUUCAGAAAAUUCUGUUUCCAGGUCCUGCAGAUCAUAAGAGGGCAUGUUGAUAACCUCCCAGUUCAAGGUAGCAAUCCUUAGUUGCAUAUCUCCAAGGAGCUUAGAGAAGUGCUGUUGGAAAGCUCUUUCUUUAUCUUCCUGCCUAUGCAAUGCCCCAUAAGAAGCCAUCUGUCACAGUCCAUUGGCUUACAUGUUCUUAGUUCAUUCAGAAAUUGCAAUUUAUCUGCUUCACCUUGUGGCCCAUACACCCCUGUCAUGCACCAUGUAACAGGCGUGGUCCUUGCUUCCAAUUUAACGGUUACAGUAUUAUAUCCAAGAUGAUGUGCCGUUAUUGUAUAGUAGUCUUCAUUUGCAGCUAUGAGAACUCCCCCUCUAGUAUCCUGUGCUAGCAAAUAUGCAUAAUUUGUUUGGAAUUGCAUCCCCAAGGUUUCUGUGACCAUUAAUGGAUCAAUCAACUGCAUCUUUGUCUCUUGCAAACAUACAAUAGUGCAUCUGUGUUCCUCCACAAGGUCCCUGACAACCUUUCUUCUUGCCCUGUCAUUUAGCCCCCUUACAUUCCAGUUCAGUACUAGACAAUUUUGUUCAUUCAUCGGCAAACAAUUGCUCUCUUUGACAGAAACUGCUCCAUAGGAAUGCUGACAAUUCCCUUUCUGUGUUCAGGGUAAUCCCUCUGUUGGCGACGAGAAACCCCUCCGGACACUGCUCCUACCUAGCAAAAUAGAGAAAGAAACCGAAGACAAUAUCUAACACUGAAAGAAGGAUUACAGUUAGGCUAGUCCCAGUGCAAGGUUUCAUUGCACUAUUUCCAAAGAUGCCACAUCAUCCCAUGAGGUGUAUUCUCAUGAAUGAAACAGGGAGUCCCAGUGCACAGUUUCAUUUCACGAUUUCAUAGGAUGCCCAUGACAUCUAAUUGUGAGGCAUGUGAUUGGAUAUGGUUAGAUGAAAUAAAACUCUAUAGCCCCCAAUGCAAGUUUCAAUAGGUUUCAUAGUCUUGGAAACAGUGUAUACACAGUUUCAUCCUGAUAAAACUCCUUUCCUCUCUCACUUCAUAAUACCAUGUCAUGUCAUCACAUAUGCUGAUGUGUCACCGUAUUUAAUGUGCAUGAAAUCUCUAUAAAACUCCCACUGAAAUUAGCCUUAAACAUACAGACACCCAACGACCACAAGCUACAGACACCAGUCCAAACUGAAAACGAACUACACCACAACACACAACAUAGCAGGUACAGGUACAUGGAUACAGCCCCACACUCCCCCCCCACCCCCACCCCCCCACCCCCCAAGAUGCUGUUGGAGAGGUGUCUAUUUAUGCCUCUAAUGCCAGCGCAUGAAAGGCCCAUCUUCCAUAUUGUUCAGAUCAAAAGCUUCUCUGAAUCCAUUCACUGUAGUUUUCACCAGUGGGUCAACAAAUUGUGUCCUGAAUUGGAUGCUGUCACUGUCAUCAGCUUUCUUUUUCUCAUUGAGUAUCCCACACUUCUUCAUUAGUGGUACUGUCACAUUAAAGGUUGAAUAUUAAACCAUGAUACUAGAAGAAAAGAGACAGUAUCGAUCAUGUCUCAUGUAUGUUCCUUCAUCUAGCACCGGACGACGGUUGGGGAUCGCGACGGCUGCGGCCAGGUCUCGUCGUGGCCGCACUCCACCAACGGUGCAGAGCAGAGCACCUCGUUCAGGGACCAACGCUGGCAUCGUGACUCCUCGCCACGCGGAUUCAGUUCAGCGUCAUUGUCGCGUUCGACGCCACCAGCUGUCGCCUCCGCGGUCACGGCCACCGCAUUGGGGACCGACGCCUUUGCCGUCCGCCGCCAUCAUCCCCUGCGCCGCGCUCCGCUCAGCGGUGGCCGCCACAUCCUGUCCGCGUCCUACGCUGCCUGCCGGCGGCGUGGCACGGCCCUGUGCGCGCGGCCGCCAACCACGGACUAACAGUAAACAUAUUCAACGGAAGACAGUCACAGCCACUUAAACGAGUGAUCAGCUAGGAAUCGGUGAAGAGGACGAUGACGGGAACACGAACGAUCGGUGAAGAGGCGUCUGCACGCCGCUCGCGGAAGAGGAAUCUGAUGCUGCGCACCGCCGACUGCACGAGGGAGAAGACCUCGAGGAGGACGACGCCCUCCGGUAAGGUUGCGGCCCAGGCACUGGCCCGAGCAUAGGGUUGAGCCGACCCAGGCACUUUUAACCUUAUGCCGGGCUGUGUUAGGGUCGGGCCUCAUGCCGCCCAGCGGGCCUAGCCCAUCUGGCCAUCUAUACGGUGUAGGGCCUCUAAAAAUUAGAAAACCAAUUUGACCUUAAAAAAACCUAACAGAAAUCAGCUUAUUUCCUGCUUGCACCUGGUUCAGGGCUCCAUGACAAAACAAUGAGCGAAAGCACCAGCCACAUGAGCCGGCCGGCAUCCACCGAGACGCAUCCUGUGGAGGAGAAUCCAACGCAGUGGAAUUGGGAUCGGCUCAUGCCUACUUGAUGACCGCUCACGAAUGCGAUAUAUACUCGUCGGACAACGACGGCGAUCCAUAUACGUAUCCUUUCGCCUCAGACAAAAACAAGUCGAAAUCGUGUGCGAGCAAGCUCUGAACAUGGCGGCGAGCGGCCGGAGCAGGGAGGAGAGGUGGAGCCUCGCCGGCAAGACGGCGCUCGUCACCGGAGGAAGCAAGGGCAUCGGGUAAGUCUAUACACGUGCGUUCGUGAGUGCGUGUUCGCCGUAUUGCUGAUGCUUCGCUUCGGUCCUGCAGGCGCGCGAUCGUGGAGGAGCUCGCGGGGUUCGGGGUGCGUGUGCACACCUGCGCCCGCGGCGAUGCCGAGCUGCAGGAGUGCUUGCGCCGGUGGGGCGCCGACGGCCGCCUCGCGCGCGUCACGGCGACCGCCUGCGACGUCGCGGCGCGCGGCGACCGGGAGCGGCUCGUGGCCGCGGCGCGGGAGGAGCUGGGCGGCCGGCUGGACAUCCUCGUCAACAACGCCGGGCAGACCAUGUUCCGCGCCGCCACGGAGACGACGGCGGAGGACUACGCGCGCCUCAUGGCCACCAACCUCGAGUCCUGCUUCCACCUCGCGCAGCUCGCGCAUCCGCUCCUCGUCGCGGCCGCCGCGGCGUCGCCGGGCGGCGAAGCGAGCAGCGUCGUCAACGUGUCCUCCAUCGGCGGGCUCGUCUCCUACCCGGCGCUGUCCGUGUACUCGGCCACCAAGGCCGCCAUGAACCAGCUCACCCGGAGCCUCGCCGUCGAGUGGGCGCAGGACAAGGUGCGCGUCAACUGCGUCGCGCCGGGGGGCGUCCGCACCGACAUCGUCGCCAGCAGCGGACUGAAGCUGGACCCGGAGGUGGAGCGGAAGAUGUGGGAGGCGGAGAUGGCGCGGGUCCCCAUGCGCCGCAUCGGCGAGCCGGAGGAGAUCGCGUCGCUCGUCGCUUUCCUCUGCAUGCCGGCCGCGUCCUACAUCACCGGGCAGGUCAUCUGCGCCGACGGUGGCCGCACCAUAGCCGCCUAGGCCUUGGUAGCACUGGCAGUAGCUGCGUCGACGGCGCUUGAAUUGGCUCGCUUGAUUAGACUGUUUGUGUCCUUUCAGUUUCUUCAGUAUUUCGGUUUUUAUAUUUUUUAAACUUCUUAGCGUUUUGAUGAAAUUAAACUCGUUGUAUACUACAUAAACUAGUACAGUGCUCGGGCUAAUCUUAUGAUUCAAUAUGGCGAUAUUUAUAGUUUAACAAAUUUUACCAACUGCCAUAGUUGUUAAAUGCUCUUCACAGCGUAGAGUUUCUUUUUCAUAUGCCCGCUUUCAUUACUCAUUUUCACAUUUGAGAGAUAAUGAUAUUUUCAUUUUUUUACUACUAAUCCAUUUUUCAAUCAUCUACCUGCAGACUGUGUCAAUGACAUGUACGACAAGAUCUCAUAUAUGUCAUUGGCUAGCCAUGCGUCCGGGAUCUAGUGCUUCAAUGAUUAGCAGCUAGCAACAACAUUCUUUUUCAUAACGAAUACGACAUGCUUAGUAUAAUUUCAUUCAGAUAGAAGGAACACACAUCCUAAUAUCAUUUUGUUCCACAUAUCCUAAUAUCCUAUCAAGCUCAAACACUUUUUUUUUCCCGAUAUAGGUAGUUCUAGUUUAUUACUUCUUAAAACCAAGCACAAACACUGGAAAUUAUUUGUUCGUUUAGCAGAAAGAAAUAAGAUUGUCCGCCGACAAGUGCACAUAGACAUGGCCAUACAAGAACAGACGACGAUUGGAUGCAGGAGCGUGCAAAAAACCGGGCGGUCAAGCAGGGAUGUUCAUCCAAACUCUGAUGAUACCGUAGGCCAGAGUGAGGAUCUCCUUGACGUUGUCAGCGAGCCGGAAGAACCAAUCGUUGCCGUAGUCGCUCUUGCUUUUCUCGAUCACCCCCGUGAAAUUGAGGAGCUGGGUAACCAGGUGAGCCACCUGGUAUCCACGAGUCGCCUGCAGCUUCGUGAGCUGCUCGAUCACCCAAGCGAUAUCGAUGGAAUACCAAGGUAGUUGUGCGGCGCCAGACCCAGCGCUGGAUUCCAGGGCGGCCGAGGCAAAGCUCUCCUGGCAGCUAGAGCUACUCGCCUGGGCGCGGUGGUGGUAGUGACAAGGGUAUCCAGGAGCAUACGGGUAGCGCCAGGUCGUUCCCUGAUGCUGCGACAUCCUCCAAGCACACCACUGACAGUAGCGGAGUGGCAUGGCGCUGCAGCAUUGAUAGAUCGUCAUCGUCCUUCAAAGAGAUGGAAGGAGAGAUAAAGAUGAGGAGAAUGAGUGUACUUAUAUUAGGCGCAGGGGGAAAGCGCGUGCACAAAUUUGGUCAUCAGUCAAGUGUUAAACAAAGGGAUUACGCGCAAAACCUUCAACUAACUACUGUGCAGUUUCCUGGAAACUUCGUUCCGGCAAGAUUUGGAAGUACAUUACUAGCAUUUGUUAUCAACAUUGUCAUCUUUCCAAUUUGUUUUUCUUUCAUUUGAACUCUUGUUGGCAAAAUUUAAAACUAUUCGAAAAGAUGUUGCUUCAAAUACUAAUUAUGGAUCAGGCCGGCAUUCAGGCUUACGGUAACGACGUAACCGCGUGGAACAAGAGAGACAUGCAUUGGAAGAAUGACACAGCAUUCAAACCACGCAAUGCCUCAUACUGAUGAGGCAAUACAGAAUGGACAUCAUCAUCUAGAUAAUUUCGUAGCAACUCAUGAGAGAAUGGAACCUUCCCAUGUAACGUAACCGCGUGGAACAAGAGAAGGCAAUACUGAAAGGUCUUGCUCGCAUCGGUUGGUAGGUAUACGAAAGAAGGAUUCGAACUGCAAAAAGAAAGGAGCCAUAGCUCAGAUCGCUUGUAAUUUGGUCCUCUCAUGAACUGAACUGAAAGAAAUGAAGUGCAGGUUCGUCACAAUAUAAUCUCUUAACCUAGCUACCAGCGUGCUCUUGGUCCACCCGUUCAGUUCUACAGGAAGCCCUCGAAGAUGUCUUCCGCGGCCAUCGCGUACAUGCCGAUCCAUCGCAGCGGCACGAAAUCCUGUCGGAUUUACCAAAAAAAAAACCGAAAUCCAGCCGGUUCCGUCCGCAAAUCGUUUCCAUUUCGGUGUCGGAGUCCGAUCACGAUGUUGUUGAUGAUUUAUGGCCGUGCUUGUUAUGGCACCAUAGCAGCAGUGAAACCGCUUCUCCAACAGCCAAAUUCACCCAUGGCUAUGGCGGCGCUCAGGCCAAGCCCAAGCGGGUACGACAUCACGGCCGAGACGACGGGGCUACACCUGAAGCCCCGGCGGCCCGGCGGCCAGCCGAGCGUACUGGUCCUGCGCUUGGCGGUGACGGAGACCCACAACUGGUUCGGGAUAGGAGGCCGGAGCGGGCGGCUCCGCCGUCCCCGGCGCCUGAGCAGAGACAUACGGCUGCCCUUGGCCAGCUCCGGCCCCGACUACCUCCGGAGCGGCGACGACUGCCGCCGCCUCAUCGCCCGGACGACGAUGCACGAUGUGCCGGCGCGACAAGAUUCAGUUUCUGCCACCGGAUUACAGGGCCGUGCAUGACAUGAUGCUCUCUGACCCUGAGAGCUCAUGCUAGGCUCUCUCAGCUGGCAGCCACGGGGGCAAGCAUGAACACUGACCAGCUACUGUCAAAUUCAGGGCCUGCGAAACUGCAAUUCAAAUCUGAUUUCAAACAAAUUUGGACAAACGGAGGCACCGUGUCUGUACACUAAAUUAGAGCUUCCAGUAGAGGCCGGCGCGGUGGAGGACGCCGGAGACGAGGGCCCAGAAGAGGAUCUGCGCGAAGAGGACGUAGAGGAGGAUGCCGACCCUGGUGGAGUGCCAUACCUUCACGAACACGUGCUUCCUCACCCAGUAAACCUGCAGGCGUGCGUUCGUUGCUCUCAUCAGCUGAACUGAAGAAACCAAAGCUUCAGUUCCAAACUGCAAUCUCAGCUUUACCAGCGUGUUGUUGGUGCCCUCGUAGUACCACCCGUUGAGGAACCCCUCGAAGAUGCCCGCCGCGGCCAUCACGUACACCAGCAUCGCGUUCAUCCCGAUCCACCGCAGGGGCGCGAACGCGUAGCCAUGGUUCAGGAUGUCAACCUGCAAGAGCAAUUUUCAGGUUCUGAAGAAUGCUACUUAUCAUUCAGGGGAUGGUUUGGAUGUUUUAUUUGUUUUUCUAAACAAUUUUCAGACCCCCGAUGUAAGAUAUCGAUUUAAUUACCAGGAAGUAGAAUAUGGAGAACACGACUCCAGCAGCGCCGGCAGUGACGCAGAUGUAACUGAAUGUGUAGAGUUGUUUAUUAAGUGGAAUUGCUGCAAAGGAAUGUGUAGAGCUGCUUGUCAAGCAGGAUUCAGAUGUAAUGUCACUCACAUGAAGAUGAAAAACAUGAGUUAUUAUUAUGCUUUUUUUACCAUGUGAGAAAUGUAGAAUGAUUCCAAGAACAAGAAGAGCUAUGCCCAUGGUAAACCACUGCCUCAGCCUCUCUGUAUGACUCUGAAAUUUCAGAAACAAGAACGCAUGCUAGUAAGCGUGUUGCAGUCUCUGCUUUCUGACACCACAAUAUAGAUCUGAAACGAGAAGCAUAAUCACCUUCAUAUGGACAAGCACAUGCCCGUAGUGCACACCAAUGAUCGUACUCAAUACCGCAGAAAAUGAGCUGCAAAUUGAUGAGAUAGUAGUGUUAACCUGAAUCAGCAGAUGAGAAUUUCCAUUCAGCAGGCCAUACAGGCAGGUUUAUCUUUCACAUUCAGUUACUACUUACUAUAGUCAUUUUAAGAAGUUUCAACAUUGAACAUGCUAAAACAACAGAUGUAGCAUGAAUCUGACAUAGUGACAAGUACCUUAGUAUCCCUUCAGGUUCGAAUGGCGCAACACACCAUGCUGGGGCAUCGUUCUUAAAAGGCCCCUCAUGUGGGGAACUAUCAGUACAGGCCUGCAUGGACCAGGACAGUAGUUGAUAAACACUGAAAAUAACAGUAAAGCAACAGCAAAGCGUUUAGUCAGAAAACACAAACCUGGUGCCUUCUCCAUGCCGGUCUCUGGUACAAGUGAUUGAUGCCAAGAAUUUUGCGGUCAAUGUAACCAACAGCAUUGCAAGGAGGGCUUAAUAUCCCCCUUGUACCACAAGUCACCUAAACAUUAGGGAACAUUACAGUGAGUUGCAGUGUUUCACAAAACAAUUGGUAAUUAGCUCAUUUCUGAAGCGCAAGAAAUAAAUUAUGAGAAAAAUCCCAUACUGUUAAAACUUUGCCGUAGUUUGGGCUGUCAACAUUUUGCACUCUGAAUUCCCAGUCAGGAACAUAAAUUCCAUAAACAAGAGAUAGGUAGACCACUAGAAUGCAGCAUGCAACAAUCCUUGCAAAUGCACAGAUCAUGCAAUUAGCAUGUAGAAAUGAAACCUGUCAGUGUGAGAACUAAAAGGAAAUAAAACCUUGCAUACCAUUGGGAAAGGUACAUUCUGAAGAUAGAGAAGCCUGAACUUGACUGAUCCUGAAUCUUUGCAUCUUUUGUAACAAUCUCUAGAACUGCAGCUACCAAGUAUGCAAGAGCAAUCCUCUGGAGGAGCAAGAACCGGAUUACUCUUGAUAGCACACAGCCUCCUUUUGAUUCAGAUAUUAUGAAAUUUUACUGGGUUUCAUUGAUACCUGGAGAAUUCCACCCCAUCUUACGUGCUUCAUGUCAACUCCAUAUGUCAGUUUAUCCGGAGCAUGCGAGUAACCGCCUGAAUGUAUUCAUCAAUUGCUAGUCAGCUUUGUUGCUAGAGCCUAGAGACGUGCAAUUGUGAGGAUUUGAAGGACAUUUGCAGAAUAACCUUGCAACAGGAUCCCCCAAAAGAGCAGCUUCAGUGUCCUGAUGACUACUCUCCUGAUGGCUUGACCACGGUCAGGAAUUCUCUGCGUGUUUGUGGCAAUACAGGUUAUACCAACGAAUAUUGAAACAGCAUCAGUGAGGAGCAGCUUUCAGUAUGCGUUUAUGUUGAUCCGUGUUGAAUUCAAACUUGACUGAUGGCGUCGUGGCGUAUAAGAAAGCGUCGAAAGGGACAUCGAUUGAUACAGACAGGCCAUGUACACAGUACACCAGUAAUGCGAGAGAAACAGGAUGGAACCUUGAGGGAGAGGGGAAUGGCCAUGCCGACGAUGAAGAGGAAGAAGGGCAUGACGAAGUCGGCGAGGUUGCAGCCGUCCCACGGCGCGUGCCCGAUGACCGGCCACUCGCCGCCCGCGCCGUCCACCAGUAUCAUCAGCUGCACACGGACGAACAGACGUGCUGACAUGACAUCCAGAAACACUAAACACUGACAACUCAUCACUCAUGACUGAUUCCUUCCUACAAUCUAUCCAUUGCCCCAGAUUUCCAAUAAGAAUUCUCGAUUCUGUCAGUUAGAAAUAACAGCCAGGGGCUAAUUCUGACUUGCAAUUGUCAGUAAUUCCAGAAACCUUGUUACUACUACGAACUUCGCCGCAAUGAGGCAGCCUGAAGGAGCAAGUGGAGAGAACGAAAGCCACUUACAGCGACGGUGAGGCCUCGGAACACGUCGAGGGAAGCAACCCGCUUGCUCCGGCGAGGCGCCUUCUGGUUGCCGUCGUCUUCAUCCACCAGAGCAGGCUGCCGUUCAGGAUCCUCCUCGGCGGCAUCGCCGUGCGGCCGCUCAACCUUCUUGCCUCCGUCCAUGGAUCCCCCACUACCCAAGCAGCCUCCAGUCCCACUGCGUCCGUCCAACACGAACAGGGCGGGGGCAGCACCCGCCGUGCAAGUACUAGUAAGCGGCCGAAAGCUGCGUGACGCCGACGGGGCUCGGAUAUAUUGGAUAAGAGGAGGAGGAUCCCCGAUUCCUUGAAGCAAUCGCUCACUCGCUCAUCAGCUGCCGAACGUGCUCGCAUGUCGUGCUCCGGUGAGCCAGCGAGUGUCGCCGAGGCACCAGACAAAACCAACCAGCCUUGCUCUCUCACACGGCGAAUCAUUGAUCCAUUGGGCACACUGACAGGCUGACAGGUGGGGUCACGCACGUGCUGCAUCUUUUUCUUUUCUUUUUCUUUUUGCCGUGCCGGGUUUUUUGGCCGUUGCGCAGAACACGCCGAGCUCGGUGGAGGGCGUCGUUUUCGGAUGGAUGCGACAGGUUUGGCGAUCGAGAAGAUUGGGGUUGGCUGGGGUUUGCCGGAUGAGCUCGGUGCCCAUCUCAACGUCACUGGCCCAUCGGAAUGCACGAGUCCUUUCAGUAGACAGUGAAGUGAGUGAAUGCUGCAGGUUUUAGGAGAAUUACAUUUACUUCUGAACCUGAAUUUUUCUCCCCUGUGCAGUCGUUUGCCAUUCCACUCGAUCGUAGUGUGUGCGUGUCCGGACUUGAAACUUAUGCUUGAUGUUGCAGGCACUAAUGCACUAUGGUGCCAUGAGAUAAGCCAUGUGAAAUCGAUAUGUUAUUACUUCAUUACUUGCAGUAACCCAACGGGAUAAACAGAACAAAGCAUGCGAGAUAGCAUGUAUAAACGACCAAACGAAUCAGCAACAAACUAGUAAAGCGACGGCUAAAAUGGGUUCUGAUCUGAACCAGCCGAGCCCAAGGCUAGCAACGCAGCAAUACGCGUGGCUACUGCGACGACGAGGCGAUCUUGACGACGGCCUGCGCGGAGAUGGGCGGCAGGCUGAGGGAGCAGAGGCUCUCCCAGGAGGCGGCCACGGUGGGCGCGUCCGCCUCCUCCUCCUCCCCCCUCGCCGCGGCCUCCUUGGCGAAGGCGCCGUGCAUCGACCCCACCACGCUGCGGGCGGCCUCCCUGGCUUCCGGUAGCCGGUCGUUCAGGAGCUCCGCUGCCACCUGGAGGAGCGCCGACAUCCCGAACUCCUUCAUGGCCUCGAUGUCCUGCGCGAGCACCAACCACGCAAAAAGGAAGGAUUUUGAAUCUCUUCUCUCCGAAUUGUGUCUGUGUUACACUCGAAUUGCGAAGGAUUAAUUUGAUUUGAGUUGCGGCGUACCAUCCUGGCGGCGCAGUGGGAGAUGGCGACGGCGGCCUUGGCCCUGACCCUGAGGUUGGCGUGGUGGACGUACGCCUUGAGCUUCUUCAGCAGGGGGAGCGGCGGCAUCGACGCCGCCAUCGCGCGCAUCGCCUUCUCGGCCUCCUCGCACACGAACCGCUUGUCCUGGGACGCCUUCAGCAGGAGCUGCAGCAGCUGCAGGCAGAGGCAAACUCAGAUAAGCUGCGGCAAACAGAUAAGGUGCUGUUCCUUUGUUGGGGACGCGACGCGACACGUACCAGCUUGUCGAAGGCGUCGUCGGAGACGGAGGAGAGGAGGUUGCCGCAGGAGUUGAAGAUGUCGGUGCAGGCCAUGAUGGACGUCUUCAGCACCGCGCUGCGCGGGUUCUUCAUCGUCUUCACGAUCGCCAGCAUCACUUUCUCCCUGCCAGAUUAGGCACGGAUCAAGUCAGGGAUUCCUCAAAAUCCCACGAAAUCAAACGAGAAUGUGGGUGCAACGGCUUACAGGAUCGGGUUCAGGAGCGCGGAGUGGUGGAUCGCGAGGCGGCGCGCGUCGUUGAGCGCCUCGCACGCGCGGAUCCAGUCCUUGGAGUCCAGCUCCGCGACAAGCCCCGCGGCCUUGGCCUUGGGGUGGGCCGCCGCCUCCAGCUCCGCCGACGGGAUGUACUCCACAGCCUGCUCCCCCGCCGCGGCCGUGGCCCUGGGCGCCGAGUUCUCGUCGUUCUUCUUCUUCUUCUUGCCGCUCCCGGGGGAGGCGGCCUUGACGGCGGCGGCGGGGGCGGGGACGGCCACCUUAGCGACCUUCUUGGGCCGCUCCUCGACGACGGCGGGCAUCGUGUUGUCGAGCGCGCGGAGGGCCAUGGGUUCCUGUUGCUGGUCAAGCUCACCGGAGGCUGCUGCUGCUGCUAUUCUUGGAAUGGUUCUCGGGGAUGGAGAUGGAGACGGGGAGAGGUGGCGGCGGCGGCGGCGGCGAUUGAUGCUUGUGGAGAGUUGGGGGAUGGAAAGGUCGAUGAGACGGAUUGGAAUUUUAAAUGCGGAGGGUGGGGAGAGGGGGGAUGGAAUGCACGGCUGUGUCCAACGGCUAUAAAAUGUUCAAACCCGCGAGUGAACGUUGGGAGCUUGUGAAGUUGUGAUGAUGUUUUCUUUACCGUUGCAAAAAAAAAAUGGUAAACGAAUUUUUCGAAAUAAAAGGUGUGGUCAAUUGGCUCACUCAAUGACAGAGUGGGGUCAUCUGAGUCACUGAAUGUGGGCCAGAAUGGCAAAUGGAUUGUCAUCCACUUGAAUUAAUUAGAGAUCUGCAGUUUUUGAUAUAUCUGUUCGGUAGUUUUGAAUUCGUGCCUACUGUGAGAGAAAUAGCCAGUGAGAGCGGAUAAAUGGCGCAACUGAACUGCUGAAAAAGUGAACGACACCGACAUGAACAGCAGGGAUCACGAAUGGUCACGGGAUACCUGAGCUGGGAGAACCUGCAGAAAUUACUAGCCGAGAGAACACUUGGUAUUUGCUAGUGGAGUUUCCAACCCUUGUCCCGUAAGAGCGUACUUCCUCUAUCUCUAGAUAACUGUCGCUUUUAAUUUUCAUACCACAAAUUUAACUGGAUUUGUAGAAAAUACGCGCACCAUUUUGUAUCUCAAAUAAAUUUAUUAAAAAACUAUGUUCAAAUAUCUAUGAUAUUAAUUUUGUAUCAUAAAUAUUAAUAUAUUUUUAUAUAUAUUUAAUUAAAAUUGUUUCUCAGAAAACGAAAAAGACAGUUACUUAGGUCGGAGGGAGCAGGCGAGGUUUGGAAUGCCAUUUUACUGGAGAGGCUUCAAUCCAUUUUCUACCGCAGUGUGCUAGCAAGUCGGUCGGUGCCCAAAGGACCGUGGGACCUGUCUCGAAUAAAAAACAAAGUCCGGCCCAACCACCACUUCAUUCGCGCGAGAAACAAUUCCCCUCCCCUGCCCCGUCCCUUUUUCCUCCUCGACGAACCCUAGGACAAAAAUCUCCCAAAUCGAUCUCUUCGCUUCCACGUAUCUCACAAAAUCGAGACCCCCUCUCCCAGAUCUUGGCUUAGCAAGCAAUUCCGCUCAUGAAUCCGGAGGGAAUCGGAUGGAAUCUCAGCGUUUGGGACCGGUCGCUAGCGGCGCCACGGGGCGACGCCUGGCCGCGGGCGGCGCCACAGGACGAGGCCUGGCGCGCGCGGCGCUGCUUUGAUUCUGAACGGCAACGCCAUGCGUCAAGCUAGCUCAGGUUCGUUUCGAUUGCCUCACAGCUGUGUACAGGUAGUUGUUUUUUUUUUUUACCUAGGAGCACUGAAUACGUAGAGAUAGAUAGGUGCUAGAAUAGAGCAGGACUCACGAGAUACACAUACACACAUGAAGGAAACUGAAAUCAUUAAUAUAGAGUAAACUAGUACAAUUUGACUGCGAUAAAAUGAAAGUACAUCAAUUUUAUUGUCAAAAUAAAAGAUAGCUAAGAUUGAUUUCCUCUAAAUCGCUGCCAUAUGUGCUCAACCAAGUCAUCCUUCAGUCGGCGAUGCAUAUCUUGAUCUCGAAUGUCUUCUUCUAUCUCCAGUACUUUGUAAAAUUCAUGAAUGGGUCCAUGUCCAUAUCCAGAUAAUGGUGCAGUUGAGGUCUGGUCAUAUUCGCUGUUAUAGUCAUGAUCGUAGCGUACUUUGUAAGUAUCCCUUUCAUCCUCCACAAUCAUGUUAUGUAAUAUAACACAUGCAUACAUGAUCUCAGCGAGUGAUCGCAUUUGCCACAUACGUGCUGGGUUACGUAAAAUGGCAAAGCGAGCUUGCAAAACCCCAAAUGCUCGUUCAACAUCUUUCCGUGCUCCUCCUUGAUGUUCAGCAUACAAUUUAUCUUUUUCACAUUGAGGCAACUGGAUCGUUUUCACAAAUGUUGCCCACUCAGGAUAUAUACCAUCUGCCAAAUAGUACCCCAUAUUGUACUCAGUUCCAUUGACCAUGAACUGAACUUCUGGAGCUCUUCCUUGCAGUACUUCGGUGAAUAGAGGUGAUCGAUUUAGGACGUUGAUGUCAUUGUUUGACCCGGCUGUACCAAAAAAUGCAUGCCAUAUCCAAAGGUCUUGCGAGGCAACGGCUUCUAGCAUUACGGUGGGUACUCUAUGGUCACCACGAGUAUUCUGCCCCUUCCAUGCCACUGGACAGUUUUUCCAUUGCCAGUGCGUGCAUCUCCUGAACUGGGUGAGAUUGUCUACUCCAUUUCGGUUGGUCCUUUACUGCUCUCCACCAAUGUUCAAAUGGAAAAGGUCUUUUCUUUUUGGCAACCGUUUUGUACUUUGCACGAACCUUGUCCAUGAGUUGAUCUUCAGAUUGACCGUUAGAAUAUGUGCUGCAGAUAUCGUGGUACACUCCAUUAAACUUGUUAAUAUGAGGGAUAGUCUUGUUCCAAUGUUCUUUGCACUGCAUAGCUGUUCUCUUUUUACCUCCAGGUGCAUGCUUGUUGUACUCAUCUGCAAUGUCCUUCCAAAAGCGGCAUGACUUCUUCCCAUUGCCUGAAAUUGGGUCAUUUGAAUUUUUUAACCAACAACUUACUAGGCAUAGGUCAUCCUCUUGAUUCCAAAUUAUACGCCCUCCUUUCUUUUCAGCUUCAUCUUCACUUGCAUCACUCCACUCUUCUAUGUCAACAGGAUUUGAAGGCAAUGUUGGUGCUGAAGUUGAGAAAAUGAGGUGAUUGGGCUGCUCUCUCCGCUGCCUAGAAAGAAGGCCAUUGAUCCCACCAGAGAUGCUGGACCAUUGGCCACGAAACCUCCUACACCUCCUGGCAGGUACUGCCCAAUAUUGACUGGGAAAGGGCCUCCAUGGUAGCUUACUGGUGUGGGAGACAAGCUCUGAUAGCUUGGACCUGGAAAUGGGUUGACAUUCUGUGGGUAAUGACCAUGGAAAUUUGGAUGAACAUGUGGAGGCAGGUAGUUCAGGGGAUAAUGGUGUGGCCAAAAAUUCUGGUGCUGCUGCUGUGUGUGUUUGUAUCUUGUGGAUCUGAACUAAAGAUCGAGGAGUUGAGAAAGUUUGUGAGGCUCCCUGAAGAUGACUUAUCCAUGUCAAUGGCUGGUUUGGUCGUUUGUAGUAUUCUAGUGUGUAUGCACAAGUGAGAAGAAGUUCAUGUCUAUUUGUAUGCAAAGAGAUGUCUGUAUGUGAAUUGUGACCGUUGCUACGAACACAUGAAGCCAACGGUCGUAUGCUGAAACAGUGUUGAAAUAUUAUUCUAUUUGGUUGGAGAAGUUGAGCACCGAGAAGAGUACUGACGUCGGUGCCAGAUCUUUUUUACCAGGCAUCGGUGGCUGCAGUGGGAAACCCGUUGCCUGGAAAUCUCUCUCCUAAACCAGGCAUCGGUCUCCUACCACACUGCGGCUGCUCUAAGAUGUUCAUAGUUGAAAAGUAAACACGGAAGUCAAAAAUUUCCAUAACAACAACCUAUUCGGUGUUUCCGGUAAUUGUGUUUCCGGUACUUGAAAGCAACUCGCGUAUCAAGUCUAUUAAAACAAUUCGGUGUUGCCCAUUUGGGCCAUUUCCAUCGAGUAGAUGGAAGAUGUCAUUUACCUAAAAAGUACAGUCAAGUGCCCAAAACCCAAAUGGCACUUGCAACCUCUGUAAGACUUUGUGUUGUAUGGUGCUGACUGCUGGCAGUCGAUUCAUCACCCUAUCUCCAAUUUCCACAACUCCACGAAGGAGAGAAAUUGGAAUCUAUCAAAAUUGUCCGCAACUUAUGUACAAAGGAAGGGUGAGGCCUCAGUCAGGCAAUGCUCCAUCUGGGCACAGCAUUGUUGGCCUGAGACCACCACCAGGUGUUCAAUGUAGUUGGUUCUUGGAGUUCCCUGUAACCUUCCUCUAACUUUCCAUUCUUGAUCAGGCCACGGGCAGCAAACCCCAUGAGCUCCGAAGGAUCCACGUGACGCUGGAACCAGUUUGGAACAGCAACAUCACUGGGGGCUGGAGAAACGCUUUGUUCCACUUCCAGGCGCAGUUCAGGCUCAGCUUCCUUUGAUUGCUCCUGGACAGCUGAAGGUUCUGAUGAUAACAUGGAGUUCCCUAUGCCAAAUCCUUCCCAAUCAACCUGCUGCCACAGACGGUAUCCAUCAUCACUCACAUUGUGUAUGUUAUGAUUUUGGAGUUCAGAUUGCUGCUCUGCUGCAAGUCUGUCAACUUCAACCUUCAGUUCUUGCAAUCGCUGCCCAAUUCUUUGUGUUGCUUUGUCAUACAGGAUCCCUCUAGAGGUAUGUUGAGUGUCAUCGCUGUUGUCAAUGAUCAGAUCAUCGAAAUUGAUUGGGUCACCCACAACUACAAUCACCUAGAAAACCAAAUAAAUAAUUUAGAAUCCCACAAAGAUUUUAUGAUAGCACUCAAUAUGAGCUGCAUAGGCACUCACCCUUUUCCCUGCUCUUGGGAUACGCUUUCCAACAGGCAUUAUAUCCUGCAUCCCAGUAUGGACAAAGGGUAUUACAACUGGAAGGCUGUCAGUGUCCAUCACCAACCUGGUAAAACAAGAGCAAAUUGAAUUGAGUAAAACUCAACAUCGAUCAAUAGGAACCUUAUUGGAAAAAUUUGUAUGCAAAAGUAGAAUGCAGGUUUUCCAACGAAAACAGAAACAAAUCAACGGUGGCUCGGUAUUCUUUAGAAAAAGGACAGUAUUGAAAGAACCAGUUUUCUAACCUUCCAACACCUCUCUUGGCAGGAGCAAUUGUUUUCCCUCCAUCCCUUGAACGGCUUCCUUCUGGAAAUAUAUGAACCCAUCCACCACUGUUCAGCUUUGAAAGAGCCAUAUCCAUUCCCUGAACAAAGAAAAAAAAAGAGAGAGGCUAUGAGAGAAGGCCAUGCCUAGUGGUACAUCCGAUUCAACACAUCCAAAUGCAAUCAACUAUACCCCAUGAUCUUGGAUCAGAAAGAGAUGACUUGAGAUAUUAAUGCAUGAAGCACUAAAAUUAUAUAAGGUAAGAGGGCAAAACGAAGUACAUUACAAACUCAUGCACCACCAAAAUACAUAACUACCCUUAGGGUUUGGUGUAAUACUUCCUUAUGGAAAGCCAACUACCAGAACCUGUUAUUCCCCUCGUCUUCUAAUUCCUAAUAUUCAACCAAGGAAUUCUCUAUAAUAAUUUGCAAAUCCACAUCUGCUAAUUGUCCUCUUGCACCUGUUGCAAAUUCCCAUUCUGAAAUGUUGCAAAGGCUAGGGUUUAAUUUAAUUAUGUACUUCCACCAUUAUUCCCCAGAAGUCAUGUUACUAAAAGGUUAAUAACAUUGCAAAUUGCAAAUCAUUGACGGGGCCCAUGAGAUGAAGCAAAAGCACAUCAAGUAUAUCUAAUAGCACUUUAAUAAUACUAAUGCUUUCACAAUAUUUAGACCAUUCAUAGAGUACUUGAUAACCACAAGAUGGAUACCUUUUGGUAGAUUCCAUCACCGCGAGAAACAGGUAACACCUUAACAGACCUGAAGAAUGUAGACAGGACUGGAUUUGUAAAGCAACGAUCAGUCGCACAAAGUGUCCAUCUCAGCUUUUGUGCUUCCAACAUAAUAGAUGGUGGGAGAAGGGAGGCAAUUACAAAGGGGUCAUCCAUUGCUGCCACAUGAUUGCUGACCUGUAAAUGAAAAUUACAAAUAAGAUAGAAGACCAUGUGACUAGAAGAAUGCAUAGUUGAGAAAUAUACAGUAAAGAAGGCAUCUAACGUGUUUGGAAUAUCUCAAUGGAGAGUUAUUGCAAAAUCCAAAUCAAAUGGUGCCAAAAGUCAUCUUAAAGAGAACACAUGCUACAACCUAAGAGCCUUUAGAUUUGUUGAGUAUUACUCCAAAAAUACACAAUAGAUGUCCUGCAAUUAAGCUGUUCCAUACCGUUAGAAGAGGCUUGCCUUUAGGUCUCUCUUGUAAUGCCUGAUGAAGCUUCUCGGCACCAUAAAUCUGCACACCCUCUCAUAGUUUAGACAAAUGAAACAACCAGACUAAAGUAUUUGUGUGUUCUGUUUUCAGCUAGAAUACCUGGACAGAGUUAAGGCCAUGCAUAAAAACAUAGCAGGCGUUGCCAAUAAGAGGAACAGCCAAUGCUUGAAGUGAACGGAAAAUAACAGAGUCUUCAAUACCAUCAACUUCUUUGCCCACUGAUAAACAAAAAAUGAUUCAUCAGUAGGAUCUCUUUUUAUUUUUGAUGAUUCAUCAGUAGGAUUUCUUUUUAUUUUUGUUAUGAGAUGAUAAAAAAACUUAAAACUAGUAAAUAAUCAGGCUUCACGUGGGACUACUUCAAUACAGAAGUGAAUACACUAGCUCGAAAUCAACGAACCGAUAGCUAUACAGUAUCAACUCAUGGGCAUCACUGUGACACAUUUGAACCAAACUGGAGCAAAGCCCGCCAUUAUUUACCUUUCUUCCGGUAGAAUCUCAAAGCACUGGACGAAGGCUUCGCCGUCGCCCCAGUAGACGUCCCCGUCGAGGUGGAGCUCUGAUCCGCUCCCCGGUCUCUCUGCAGCUGGGCCCGAACGCGAUCCGACCAGCGCCGGACCGCCUCUGUGGCGACGCUUCCGUCCGGCCGCCGCCACAGCCACCGGCGGUCCACGGGCGCCACGCGGAACCUGUUGCGGAUCUGCGCCCCCACCACCCGCGCCCGCUCCGCCCACGGAGCCCCGCCGCCGGCCGCCAUUGGGGGCUAGGGUUAGGGUUUGUGCUCGGUCCGAACACUGGAGGGCGUCGAGAAGAGAUUAUUUUAGAGUUUCGAGCUUGCGAUUGCUGUUGCAUCAAAUCAAACUAACGGAAAAUUUACUCGCGGCCUUGGUAAGGAAGAAAGCGAGGGAGGAGAGGGUGACGGGACCCAGGUGCAGAGGAAGAGUCCCCGAAAAAUAUCAGGUGUGGGUCCAAUCCGAUGCACAAGUAGGGCCCAGUGACAGUGAAAGGAUGGUGGCCAUCGGUUAGGGUGGGAUUAGGACAUUCCUAGCACGCAAAAACGUCGGCGAAGGGUCCCAGGUGCUGAUGCAGGCUCCUUAUCCAGAAAUAUCCGAUGAUCCGAUCCGAAUGCAUCUAAAACUGCCAAGAAGAUCAUCUUAAAAAAAAAUACAAAGAUGUUUCAAUCAUGAACUUCGAACUAUCGGUGAACAGAUGCCCAACCCGUUGAUUUUUUUAGAGGGGGGGGGGGGGGGGUGCAUUUAGUGAGGCCUUCAUAAAGUGGAACCGUCAAUUAUGAACAAGAACUUCACACAUAUAUUGACAUCUAUCCGGCUGCAAAAAGCAGCGGAAGACAGCACACCACGCUACAGAAUAUGACCUCGAUCCAUGUAACAGUGAGGCGACAAAAUUUGGGCAUGGAACCACGCUAAAUUAUGGCAAAUUCAGCUCAAUGCCGAAGAGAUAUCGUCCAAAUCAGAUCAGAAUCUGAGGUCACAGUUACUUUAUCGUCAUCCACGAUGUUAGAUGUGCUUACCAAUCCACCAUAGCUCAUACUGGUGUUAUCUGGAGAGGAAAGUGGAGCAUAACUAAUUAGAUGUUGGCAUACAACCAUACAAGAAAAGAGGAUUAUAAGGUGUGAUGUUUUUACCCAAAUUCCACCGAAGCCCGGUUGUUGUGGUGCUAGUGGACGGUCCGCCAAUGGGAAUCAAACCACAGUGAGGACCUUCGACCGAUUUCUCAAUAUGGAUCUCAUGGGUAUACGUCUUGGGGAGCAGAAAGAUUGAACAGUCAUCUGACAGGAGGACGAUCUUGGUGUUUGAGAAGCGGUAUAAUACAUUGAUGUUCCCCAUCUCAUGAUCAAACCUUCCUCCAAGUGCACCAAGAACAAGAAUACACAGCUGCAAUCACCGGAAAAUCUGUUAAGCUGAUGUUGCAUAGUUGUAAUGGAUGUUUAUGAUCAAUUUAGUUGAGUACGUUAGACUUGUCUGAGACAGGGAGAUCUCUUGUGAUAAAUGAUACACAUUUGUGCAAGUCAGUUGUGUCCUGAUCAUGUGAUUCAUCAACUAUGUUUGUGCCCUGCAAUCAAACAAAAAAAAGUAUCAGUUGCUAAGUUCACGAAAAGUUCCUGUCAUUGUCAACAAAAAAGCUUCAAGUGUCAGGUUGUAGGAAUCGGGAGGCUGCAAUUUAAGUAAGGUAACACUGGGAAUGGUCCAGCAGAGAGAGGAUCAGGAAACAAGCACUUCCUCAAUUUACCAGUGGCCUCUAUGAAUUUUCUCAAAAGGUUAAUCAGAAGCAGCAACAUACAGGGGAUAUCGAAGUGCUCAAUUUCUUUAGCCCAUGAGCUUCCUGAGGAUAUUCCAAAACUUAUAUAGCAGGAAAAUUAAAGUGCAGAAUUCAAAUUUUGGACAGUCCUACAAGCAUUAUUACAUUUGCACUUCUUAAAUGCUCUUUUCUCUUGAUUCAAAAAUCUCUGGACAAGAAUCUACAAUAAAACAAGGCAUUGCACGUUCCUGACUAGGAAGUUUGGACAGUCCAUAUGCCUAAUGAUUAAUAAAACUACCUCUAUCUGAUUACAACUGCAAGCCUUUAGGGCAUUGACAUGGUUCCAAAUGCGAAACUUUGACUAGUGAUUUCUAUGAACAUUUGUAAUCUGAAAUAAAAACAAUUAUAUGUUGUAAAGGUAUUUUCAAUGAAUCUAGUAAUCAAAUUUAUGUUCUCAAUCUACAUAAUUGUUGAUAUAUUGAUGGUCGAUAUUAAUUGACCAACAGAGGUCCCAAAACAACUUGCGUUUGGAAUCAGAGGGAGCAAAGUGGUUUGAUAUACAGUUUGAGCUUGCCAACAAAAACCAGACAAGGAGAAUUUCAAACAUAUUCAAGUGGAGCCAGGGGCAAAAGCGUUGAUAUGUUAUACAUGUGCACUGGAAGCACUUACCGAAUUGGAAUAAUAUUCCUUCACUUCUGGCCUUAUUGAAUCCAUAUCCCCUUUAAUUACAUCUGGCUUGUACCUGCAGGAAGAUAAGAUUACAUUAAGUGGUCCUGAAUCCUUCCCAACAACCAACAAACCAAACUGUCUUAAAUCUCUUCUAACUAGUAUCAGGCAUGACAAACCAACCAACCAUGCUCCUUUGCCUGAUGGAAUAUACCCACAUAAACAAUAUCCUCAGCUGAUUCAUCAUGAUUGAAUUUAACAAUUAUCAAAUCUGAGAAGAAAUGCACAAAAGUCUUCCAAACUUAUGGCAAACUACCAAAGCCCAAAAAGUGCCUGUAAACACUCUGAGACACAUACGUAAUAUGAGAAAACAAGCAUACUCUAACAUCACUAGUGACUUCAUAGAACUGAAAGAGCAAUUUGUUAGCUUAAAGUAGUUGCUUGCUCGUAUCAAAGAAAAGACAACCCAAACAAACAGCCCCCAACAGUAUUCCAUGGCAACAUAUAGCAACUACAGCAUAAUGGUGAGGGGUCAAUUUUAUCAAAAGUGAAAACGAUACCAGCCAUGUAUUCCAAAAAAGUGGCAUACUGGCAUUGCUGAUGCACACGCAAUGAACAUAUUUUGGAAUCAACGCAACUAGAAACCGGAUUCGGCAAGGCACUCUUUGGCGCCAUGGUAACAGCUACGUCGCUCUCAUGGUGCAUCCGCACGCAAACAGACAAGUAGAGCAGAACUCAUCAUCGUUGUCUCUGGUGCAUUCCAUCGAGCACAUGAUGAUCAUUUACAUUUAGCCAAACACACAAUCACGACUCACGAGAUACGACGUACGGGGAUGAGCAAACGGAAGAACAGGCAAAGUUGGGAUUCCCAUCACCUGGAGCGAACCUCGGCGGGGUCCUCGCCCGGCAGCAGCUCCGGCAUGCCGUCGAAGACGCGGUUGGCGCCCCCGUCCGCGCACACGCGCACGCGCGCUGCCCUCGAGCAAAACAACAGCGCACGAGUCAGGCACGGCGAGAACCGAUCAGGCGAACCGGAAGCCAGCUAGCAAUGGCAAAAGGGGGGCGAGGGAGGGAGGGAGGGAGGUAGGGAGAGGGGCGUCACCGCGGGCCCAGAUGAGCGGCGCGAAGCGGGGGAGGCGCUGGUUGAGGACGACGAGCGCGUAGGUCGUCGUGGCGGCGUCGUUGGACGGGGGAGUCGAGGCGGGGAGGAGGAAGGCGGAGGAGUGGGUCAUCGCCGGCAGCGGCAUGGCGGUCGGCGGAGGUGGGGGUGGUGGUGGUCGGUGUGGGGCAGAGGAGGAGCGAGGGAACUGGGGACAGAUGGGAAAAGAGCUGCGCCCGCAAACUGGGUGAGGGGCUUUCGAGAACGACCCUCUGCUGGCUUUUGGAUGGAGUUCGAACGUGGAACGAGAGGUCAGACUCGGCCUUUUGCUGCCCGCUGCCGGGGCAUUUCCUCCCACUAAUGCUACUACGGUAUAGAACUGAUUAUUUGUCGGGUCGGAUUGGGUUCUCUCGAAGUUUGGGUCAAAAUAUUUUGGCCCGUGCCCGAUCCGAGCUGACCAUCGGGUCGUGUUUUUUCUGCGCCUGACCCGUCAUACGGUGUCGGGUUGGAUUCGGAUCGGGUCGGGUUGAACUCAUAUUUUUUACGUAAUAUUCGGGUUAGGUUGGUGUUUUUUCCGGAUUUCGGGUAAAAUGGUGUUUUAGAUCGGGUCAUGCCUGCCCAGAUCAGGUUGAGUUGGGUGGGUCGGGUCAGGUUUGUUGGAUCGGGAGAUCCAGGUCUACUACGGCAACAAAUAAACAAAAAAAAAUCUAUGCAGACGUGAUAUAAUACCACGUUAGACUUCUCAACCAUAGAAUCUAUUUUUUGACGUCAGUUGCACCACUUAAAUGUUUUUAAAAUUGGUGACCACCUAAAUAUAAUUGGUAACUUGUUUGAACAUUUUACAGGAAGUAUGACUACAUGUAUCCACCGCACAAAUUGUUAUACUUGGCAUAUCAUUUAUUAUUUAUACUAGUUUGGUGUCUUGUCAACUUAAUUGAUUGCUAAUUGUCUAGUUUCUAUAAGGAAGUGUAUGAGCUUUUAAGACAAGUAUUUUAACAAGUUCUCAUGAUAACCAACAUCAAUUAACUUCCACAUUGAUCUUCCUUUAAAUGGAAAGAGUAUACAUAUAAUAAAAAUCACUCAAAAGUAGAUGUCAUUUACUAUUAAUAUCAUAUAAGUUCGUGCUAUACCAAAAUUCUAAAAAAAAGGGUCAGCACAAGGAUACUUUACAUUUGUUGAUUUGGAUCGUGAUAAUUACGUUGCAGAGCUUAAGUUCUUCGCCCUUAAUCAUGCAUGUAUACUAACGGGUACAUCUACCAUAGGGGCAAGUGUCCCCCACCUCCCUUCAAAAUCCUUACUUAUAACUUACAGCUUAAGUUUAUACAUGAUUCGCUAACUUGUGGCGUAAGGUAAAAACUUGAUUCACAAUAACCGCGACAACGAUUAUACUGACAGUGGUAAGUUGGAGAAAUUUAAUAGGUUAUCUGGAGUUUCGAGGCUAGUUUACACGCAAAUAGAAGGCACGAGAGAUUAUUGAAAUACUUUGUAUGAUUAUAAAGAAAUGAAGAUCAAAAUGUUGAACAUUUUCUUUGGAUGGAUUACUCCAUACUCCUCCGGACCUAAAUUAUAGGUUGUUUUAAUUUUUCUAUGUUCAUAAGUUUUACUAUGUAUUUGAACAUAAUGUAUGUCUAAUUCUACAGUAAAAUCUAUAAAUUAAAAAAAAGCAAGAAUGGUCUACAACUUAGGACGACGGACAUGCUGUGAUGGUCGUAUGAAUCGUGGCAAAACCAGUAAGGUCGAAACUUGAUAAUUUUUUGAUAAUCAGCAGACGACAUUUGGAGCUACUACCGAUCCUAAUAAUCAUGCAGCCCGACACAGCAAUGGCCAAUAUGCAUGAUCCUAAUACACUUGCAGUUUAAACUGGCGUGCUAAUUGCCAUCAACACAUCUCAUUUAAGCUCACACAUUAAUUGGCUAGUUUAUGUAACAAAGAGUGUGGGUUUUUAAUUGGAGCUGAAGACGAGUAUUUUAAUAAAUUCUCACAACUAACAUCAAUUAUUUAAGUAUAUUUAAAUCAUUUAACUUUCACAUUAAUCUUUAUAAAAGUCUGAAGGGAGUACUUAUAUAAUAAGCAUCAUGAAUCAGGUAAACUCAUGCUACACCAAAAUAUUACAAAUCAGCACAUAAAUAUUUUGCAUUUGUUGUUGUGGAUAGAGAUAAGCUUCAGAGUUUCGGUUUUUCAUCACUCAAGCCACUGUGACAUUUUCUUUGGAUGGUUGACUUCGUACUUUAAGGUUCAUGUUCUAAUAAUCGUAUGAACCGUGGCAAAUCAUCAAGACCAAUAUUUUUUUGACAACCAGCAGACGGCAUCUGGAGCUACUACCGAAUACCGAUCCUAACAAGAGAAUGCGAUCGUUGGGGGGCGAGGAGGCAGCCCGACACGGCGAUGGCCAUCAUUCAUCGGCAAACGGGCUAGCCUGGUGCUGGCGUGCGCCUUUCAUCGCGUAAUAUAGUAACCAGCAGCCAUUGAAUCUCGCAUCGACCAGCUCGUAUGCGCGCCGCUCGUGUUGCGGGCAGGGGCGUUGCGCUGUUGCACUCCGAUUUCAUUCUCUCUAAUAAUAAACUGAUCAGUAUAUACGCCGAUGUGGACGGGCAGGAGUAGUGUGUGUGUGUGUGUGUAGGAUAUGACAGCGACGCGUUCAUUUCUUGGGCACCAAAUUAGUUAAAGCGUUUGCUCGUGUGCCUUGUUUUGUUGGUAAACUUUGUGGCGUAUUUACUACAACUAUAUAUCUUAGCUUACGUAUGAUAAAAAUUCUCUGUAUGUAUAAUUGCCAUGCGCCUUCACACCUUUUAAUCAUCCUCAUAUAAACUUGGUCAAUGUUAUAUUUCUUUAUCAAGAUCCGAGCUGAGCUAGCAGACUUUUCUUUAACGAAAUCUGCACCGCGUGGUGCUUGGAUAUGUGAAAUUGACACUAGGAACUAACUUAUACAUGUAAUAAAUCGCGCAGACGAGGACGAGCAGAAGACGGCAGACGAGGACGACGACGAUGCAGCGGCUGCAGGCAAGGGGCUUGACCUUGGCCAUUGGAGGGGUCGGGGAGCUGACCGCUCGCCCCGCCACCCCGCCACCUCCGUUACUCGCGGCUGCUUGUUGAUUGAAGAGGAUGGGGGGUGCAAGUUGCUCUGCUAGGUCUUCCGUAUGUGUAUUUAUACGUGCUUGCUGUAUCUCCCAAUCUUUUCCACUUUCGGGAGACCUAACUAAAAAACUCUGUUGGACCAUUGGGUACUUAAUUGUACUUGCUCAUCAUACGCGUCAUGCGAUACGAUACAAUCGUGUAGCACGAAUUCGACGGUUGUUCGUGCUCAAUUCAAGCUUUGUCCGAGUCAGCAAUGAGCAAAACUAAUGAAAAACAUCACGUUCACCUGGUGUGCCUAUGGAGUUUAGACUGAUAACCUACUGGUGGUUCAUGCAAUGCAGGUUGGGCAAACGGUAGGAUUUGUGGAAGAGUGCCUUCUGGAAAGAGUAUAGCAUAUAUGCAUCCCUGGUAACACAAGUUCAGUUUGGAUGCCUGCAUACAGUUGACUGAAAAUAUACACCAACUAACUUCUUGCUUCCUCCAAUGCAGUUUAAGAUUACGAUCUAACAUCAAAGGCAAGCAACGGCGAAAAUGCAUGUGCGAUGAGAUUUCAACAUCAAUCUAAAUGUCAUCAUUUCAGGAAACGCCAUCCUCUGGUGACGGAAUAAGACAUAUGUGUAAGUGCAAAAAUGAAUUUGCUAAUUAUCUUACAGCUCGCCAGGAUAAGAUAAGAUGAUCAUCAGAUUAAACAACGGAAGGGCUGUCGCGGAGAAUUCGGAGAGCUGGCUUGUGCAGAUCAGCAACCGCGCGCGGUCAGAAUGCAGAUGAAGCUGUACCGGAUACGAUGCAAUAAUAUUUGCUGGAAUAUCUUCUCCUGGGCAUGAAACCCAUGCUUGCAUUUAAAAUUUUCUCAAGACAGAAGGAACCUUCGGGGAGUUGAAUGUCAGCAUGUAGACAGCUGCGAAGACAAGUGCCCUGACGGGCCACCUCCAGGGGCUGCUGGGGCACGAAGAGCUACGAUGCCGACGACAACAAGCUACGAUGUGGAUGCCGGCUGGCUGACCGAACCCUUCACCGAAGUGGAAGCACGCGCGGCGGUGAGAGCAAUGAACCGCAUCCAGCUAAUAAUUAGCAGUUAGCUAUUUUCCCCUGCUGACACAGCUAAUAGCAGCUAGCUCUAAGGGAUCCAAACAGGACCUUAAGCUCAUCAAUAAUCACUUUUUUUCCAACUUUCAAGCACAGAGCCUCAUAUAUUGCUCAAGCUAAACUUAUGAUCAAGUAAUGUCUUAACAAUAGCAAUGAAGGCAACAACAAAAUUGAAUUUAAAAAAGUCUGUUUCAUAGGUUACCACCUUACAAUCUUGCAAUAUAGGAUCCAGAAAAAAACCAUCCACCAAAAGAGAAAUCAUCCUCAGAUUGGUGGGGAAAAAGGAUCCAAACUGCUACAUAUGAAACAAACUCUCCCUAAAAUCACCAUGUAUCCUCCUAACAAUCAAGCAAUAUCUGCAAAAACCGCACUGGAAAAAAGAACAAAUUCGUUCUUGACGCCUUUGUGAUGCAGCACUUCCAUGGAUGAUCCUCAGCUGUUCCCAAACUUCCCGUCACAACUUCACAAGCACCGGUUCAUGAGGCCACAGACGACCACCAAACCCAAGGCGAGCAGAUGAUCUGUGCCCGACCCCACCGUCAGCGUCAGGACGUCUUCCCCCAGCACAACCCCGGACGCCGUCUGCUUCCGCCCGAUCGCCGCCGCGACCGCGCCGUCCGCGCCGGUGAUUUUGUAGUCCGAUUUGCGCGCGCACCCGUCGACGGUGUACGUCCUGCCGCUGCCAUGAAUCGUCACGGCAGCUUCGUUCUUGCCAGCCUUCUGCACUCUGAACCACGGCCUCGUCUCCUCGCCGGAGCCCUCGCCGGCGUCGAAGUACCGGCAGGCUUCCCACCUCCUGAACAUCCCAAAGCUCCUUCUCUGAAUCUUGAUGAGGGUCUUGCCGGCGCGGUCCAUGAAGAACACCUCGCGGCCGCCCCGGCAACCGUAGUUGUCGACGCGGAAGGCGACGCUGCCGUCGGCGCCGUACACCGUGCAGCCGUUGCCAUUGAACACCAGCGACUUCAUCCACACCGUGUACGCUGCCUUCUUCUGCAGGAUCUGGGACUCAUCCCCGGAGGGUGAGCAGGAAGGAGAUGAUGAAGCUACAGGCAGGGGCUGGAUCUUGGCCAUUGGAGGGGUCGAAGAGCAGAGCUGGUUGCUUGUUCUGCUUCUGUCCGUAGCUGCAGUGAGAUGAUGAGGGUGGGGAACCAGUUCCUGGUCACCCACAUAUAUUUAUAGGUGCAUCAAUUUUUAAAAAAACUUUCAGAGACCUGAUUAAAAUUUUAAGCGGGGUUUUGGGUACUUGUUCUUAUACGCGUCACGCGGUCUGAUAUAAUAGUGCCGUACCAGUGUUGUUUAUGCUCAAUCCUAGCUCUGUACGAGUCAGCAAUGAGCAGUUUAGCAUCACGUUUACCUAGUGUCUCUGGAGUUCAGAAAAAUCAUGGCAUGCCAAUGCCAUAGUAGGUAACGGAAGCAUUCAGGGAUAUACUAUUACAGGCAAGUUUGGCUUAGCAUGCUAACCCAGUGAUUUAGAGUUCAUGUUUGACGUUGCUAGCUGCUGGUGAUUCAUGGAUGGUGUGAACGAACGCACAGUGAACAGUUGGAUUUGUGGAUGCACGCUUUGUGUGCUCAUGCGUCCGGUAGCAUCAGUGCACAAGUCCAGCUUAAGUUCUUACUCCAUAUACAAGUCAAAAACAACCGGUGCACUUCAAUACUUGCUACUUUAAGUUCAGCAGUAUCAGUUAAUUGGUAAAGCAGAGUAACAGAUUUCGACUUCAUUUCUCCAGAAGCAGUUCAGGAUUUCGAUCUGACCUCAGACCAACGUGGAAUUUAACAUGCGCGUGUGAUCAGAUUUCGAAACUGAACAUUGUUCUAUUCAGCGCUAUAUACAAAGCAAGCAUGUUGAAGGAUAAGUACUGACACUGUCACACCUAAGGGUGCGUCAUGCUGAAGGAUAAGUACCGGUACUGUCACACCUAAGGGUGCAUUUGGCAGAGCUCUUAGAGCUAAUUCUCUGCAUAUUCUGGCAGGAGCUCUGUCAAAUAGUUUUUCAGAGAGAAGUGAUUCCUUUCUGAUUUUGUGAAGUGAUUCUCUGAAAUAAAUUAAAAGGCUGGGAGAUGAAAAAAGUAGAUUCUCCUGAUUCUGUGAAGUGAUUCUCCAUCCUGAUUUUAAGAGUUUAUACUAGAGAAUCAAAGAGAAUCACUUUCAGCUACAAUAUCAUUCUCUUAGAGAAUCAGCUCCCAUAGAGAAUCAGAAUCAGAUAGAGCUCUACCAAACGCACCAUAAGUAGUAGGUUUGGAUUUCUGGCCGCUUCGCCUCCUCGAAAUGAUGUGGCGGCCGAUUUAUAUUGUUGGACAUUCUACCUUCUCUCUGAUGUCAUGUACAGGGACAGACACCCAUAACUUAGUUUACAUUACAGAUCACUUAUCCACACAUGGCGAGUACCAUAACAAUAAACAAUCUCUAUUAUAUUCCUAAUAAUCUGCUACCUAGACUCCUAGAGUGCAUGCACUUGUGUUUUUGAGAUGAAAUGUCCUGCUUUUGGUAAAUGGGCAGCUUCUGGCGAUGGCAUAAAAUGGAUGUGUGUGUGUGGAAUUAAUGUGGGUACUGAGUUAGCUAACUGAUUAGUUUCCAAAUGGCAAGGACAAAAUGAACGUAAGAGCCAUCAGAUUAAAGUUUAAACAAUGGAGAAGCUGACAGAAAAUUGGGAGCCUUGUGCAGAUUACCAACUAUGCUAAUAAUGCGCGUAAAGUAUUUGCAGAUGCAGUUGUACCCGAUCGAUCGAUGUGAUGCCUUGAAAGUUGGAAGACUUCUGAAGAUUAUUUUCUCCAAGGCAUGAAACCCAUGUUUGCAUUGUGUAGUUGUCUAUACACAAGACAGAAGGAAUCUUUUUGCUGAUUGAAAAUUAGUAGGUAUAAUAUAAGGAGUCGAGAAUUCAGUUUGAAUAAUAAAUAACAAAAUAACUUCUUGUGAACUAUAAAAGAGAAAUAAAUUGGCGCACCAACAACAAAGGUAUCUCAACGUUUGGAUGGGAACAAAAGUACACUAUGCACAGUUCUCCGUACAUAUGUGCUUUGCACGUUUAUGAUCAAAGUCUUCAGAGGCUAGCAGCAAUGUCUUGCUAGUUUGGAUUCAUGCAGCAACAGCAAACUUAUUAAGAGUUCUACAUGAGUUUUGUAGAGAAAAAUAGGUCCUACUAUUUUUUCCUUGCCAAUCCUGUACCUGAAAUAUGUUCUCAUCUUUAAUUAAACCGCCUACAAGGGUUUUUGGAUACUGCUUUAUGAAGUCAGAGCUAUAAAUAUUGAUGGUCUCAUACAACAAACAAAGCAAAAAAGAAAAACAUCGUAUUCAUAUAUUGUAAAUCAUCUCAUGCAUAAACAGUUCACUGCAACGAAACACAUGUAGGUCUACUCUGUUCCAUGAACCAAUUCUAUAGCAUAUUUGAAUUAUGAUAAAAUGUUGUUCACCGUCUCUAUAUAACUUCCAUACGUGUCUACAAUCCAUCAAUUUUUCAUCUUGAACGAACAUAGCGAAAAUUAUAUUUGAUUAUAUUAAGGUCCGAUUUUAUAGAGUAUAUGUUUAUGCUUUCUUUGCUAGUAGCUCCUAGUCCUCGAUAUGCGAAUAAGAAUUUACAUGUUGAACUUUGUAUUGCUCAUGCUAAACUUAUGACCAAAUGAUGCUCAGAAAAAAAAAUCAAUAUCAAAGAGAAAACAGUCAAACACAGAUUAAAGUGCGUAACAAAAACAAGUCUGCUUCACAGAUUAUAGCCUUACAAUUGUACAUCCGUAGGACCCGGAAAAAAACAUCCACCAAAAAGGGAAAAUCGUCCUCAAAUUGGUGGGAAAAAUGACCGGCUAUUACCGAUACGAAACAAACUCUCACCAUGUAUCCUCCUAAGAAUCAGUCUAACUGAAAAAAAAUCGCAUGAAAAGAACAAGAACAUAUUCGUUCUUGUGAAUUGUGAUGCACGCUCUCCUGGAGAAUCCUCGACCGUCCUCGUCAGCCGUCACAUGCAACGGUUCAUAAGGCCACAGACGACCACCAUUCCCAGGACGAGCAGAUGAUCCACCCCCGACCCCACUGUCAGCGUCAGGACAUCCUCUCCGAGCACAACCCCGGACGCCGUCUGCUUCCGCCCGAUCACCGCCACGACCGCGCCGUCGUCGGUGAUCUUGUAGUCCGCUUUGCGCGAGCACCCGUCGAUCGUGUACGUCCUCCCGCUGCCAUGCAUCGUCACGGCAGCUCCACCGCUCCGAGCCUUUUCCACGGUGAACCACGGCUUCGUCUCCUCGCCAAAACCCUCGCCGGCGUCGAAGUACCGGCAGGCCUCCCAUCUCCUGAACAUUCCAAACCUCUUUCUUUGGAUCCUGAUGAGCGUCUUGCCGGCGCGGUCCAUGAAGAAGACCUCGCGGCCGCCCCGGCAGCCGUAGUUGUCGACGCGGAAGGCGACGCCGCCGUCGGCUCCGUACACCGUGCAACCGUUGCCGCUGAACACCAGCGACUUCAUCCACACCGUGUACGCUGCCUGCUUCUGCAGGCUUCGAGACUCAUCCCCGGUGGGUGAGCAGGAGGGAGACGAUGAGGCUGCAGGUAAGGGCUGGAUCUUGGCCAUUGAAGGAGGUCAAGACGCUAAUUGCUCUCUGCUGUUCUUGUUCUUGGUGGCAAAUCAAGGCUGCAGAUGAGGAUGGUGGUGUGGCUGUGGCAGUGACCUGGUAGCCCAUAUAUAUUACGGAAACCUAAUUAAAAAAAUAAACGGGUCACUGGGUACUUUGUUCUUAUACGCGUCAUGCAAUAUGAUAUAAUAGUGCUGUACUAAAGUUGCUUAUGCUAAUCUAGCUUUGUACGAGUCAGCUAUGAGCGAGCAGCUUCAUUAGCAUCACGUUUACCUGGUGUGUGCUGGGAGUUUAAUUUGAUUAAUAGUAGCAUUUGGUAUUAAAAGGCACAACAAGACCUUUCAGGGUUAUACUACCACUACAAGCAGGUAUAGUAUACUGCUCAGUCUCUACGCACUAGGAGCUAGUAGCCUAAUGUUCUUGAGUUCUACUGGGAGGAGCAGGCAGGCAUACAGAGACAAACCAUCAGAACACAAGUUCAAUUGAGAUUCUUAUAUAGUCAUAUGCAAAUACAAUUAUAUAUAAAUAUCAACCUUGUAUUGAGCUUCAUAAGAGCAUGUCGUUGUUUGCGCAAGAACAGUUAUGUGUAGUAGGUAGUAAGUAAUCUGCAGCAAGAUGCUUCUGGGAAGCGGAGGAGGUGAGGCUCUCCAUGUUCUCUUGCACUACAUGGACAUGAGUAGUUUCAUCCAAUGCAGUUGAGGAUUCCAAACUAACAUCAGAAAUUGGCAUCCAUCUGAUCGUUCUAUUCAGCGCAAAUAAACAAAAAGAAGCUCUUGAACGAUAUAAUAAUGGAUUAAUGCAUGAAGGAUAAGUACUAACAGCUAGGUUUAAUUUCAAUUCGUCUUCCAUGGAGUGAUGGAUAUGCAUGGCGGCCGAUUUCUAUAGUUGCCUUGUUCAGUUGUUCCUCCUCCUUCCUCUGAUGUCAGCUACAGGGCCACCUCGAGCUUAGUUUACAGAUCACUGGUCAUGGCUACCAUAACAAUAAAUAAAGUCUAUUAUUUCCCUAAUCUGCCUAGAGUGCAUGCAUGAACUUGUGUUUUUCUGGAUGAAGUGUUUCCUGCUUUUUGGGAAUCGGCAGCUUCUGGUACUCUUGAUGAACACAAAACUGAUUUGAUGUGGAAUAAUGAAUUAGCCUCCAGCUCGACAAGAUGAUCAAGAGACCUCAUCAUAUUUAACAAUUGGUGGAAGGGCUGCCAGAAAUUUGGGAGGUUCGUGCAGAUUAACAUCUGAGCUAAUAAUGCUCAUAAACUAUCUGCGGAUGCAGUUGUACCCGAUCGAUCGAUGUGAUGGCAUCGAAGACUUCUGAAGAUCAUUCAUUCAAAUUGUUUUCUCCAAGGCACGAUCAUCACGAGUGGACUGUAAUCUCUGUACUGUGCAGGACAGAAGGAAUCUUUGGGGUGUUGAAAAUCAGCAUCGUUUUUCUAGUUGAGAGUAUUGAAUAACAUGCAGCAAUCUUUGGGGUAUUGAAUAACAUGCAGCAAAAACAAUGUUGACCGAACAAUAUGCUUUUCUUCCAAACUUCUCGCUAAUAAAUAGAAAAUAAAUGGCGUAUGUAUUUUCUUAAAUAAAGAUACCUCAAGGUUCAGGUGAGAACAAAAGUGCAAUAUGAUGGAAGUCUUCAGCUCGCUAACAGCUAUAACUGUUUUGUUUGGAUUAAUGCAUGGAUUUUUCUUAUAUAUAUAUACAUAUAUAUAUAUAUUAUUUUGCCAAUCAUCCAGUGUAAGCAGGCUCUUAUCUUCAAAAACAGGGGAUAAAUCUGGCACUGGUGAAUCAUCAUGUGUGUUUCGUGCUUGCCAGUGAAUCAACUAGUCAAAUGAAAAUGCGUGUGCCGCUUCAAAAAAAAAAGUGUUUGGACUACUUUUACAUAAAGUUGUGGCCUCUUAUUCAGAUGUAGAUCACAGUGACCUCUUUUCACAAAGGCAGGAAAAAGAAAAAAAACGAGUUUGAAAAUAAAGGCAGAUCUAUGACCGAGCAGCUGGACAAACAAAACAAGGCAUAGAGCAUAGCAACUACGGGUUAGCUUUGUUGGAUACUCUCCUCUGAGCUCUGAAAUGUAGAUGCUCUGCUAAAAAUACAUUAAAGAAGAAGAACUACUGAUAGAUGCUCUCCUGCUACAAAAGCCAAGAAAAUAAAAUUUAUCGGCUGACAAAUGCACCUCAACAAAAACAUGCAUAUUGUAAUGAAAACAUCACAUUAUGCAUGUUGUAACGAAAAGAUCAUAAUAUGCAUAAUGUAAUGAAAAGAUCAUAACGGCAUGUGACACCGUCGUGCACAAAGUGUAUAACGUACAUGAAGCAUCACUUUCCAAAAGACAUAAAAGAGAGACAAUUCAGCAUCUGAUCCCUGACUAUUGCAUAAACAAAUAUUGUUAAAAUUAACCUUGUGAAAAUUGCAUGCGGAAGCAAAACAGAACCUGUGAAAGUUCAGAGGAGCGGAGGAGAACACCGACGCCCUAUCUGGGUCGUGCGAUGAUUACGUGUUGAUUAGAUGCAGAAUAGCCCCGCAUGUAGCAGUUACAUAUAGGCGUUACAACUUGAGGGCUAAGCCAAGAGAUCUUUUCUAAAUAUAAACCUUCUAUACGUAGAUGAUCUAUUCCUGUACAUAGACAAUCUAUAUCUCUUGGCUUUAGCACAAUAUGGUAAGGUAAAUACGCAUGCAUCUAACCUUUCUAUCUAACAGCCUCCCUCAAUCUUAACCGCUCUAGGUUCAGAUUGACUUUGAAAUUUUCUAACAGCCGAACAGACAAGGCCUUUGUAAAGCCAUCUGCAAUUUGAUCUCCUGAUGAAACAAAUUCAAUCUCUAGUAAUUUUCGAGCAACUCUUUCUCUGACAAAAUGAUAGUCAACUUCAAUAUGUUUUGUUCUGGCAUGGAAAACAGGAUUAGCAGACAAGUACUUUGCACCAAUAUUAUCACACCAAAGUCUUGCUGCCUUUGGACUAGGAAUACCCAAUUCACGCAGUAAAGUUUGUAUCCACAUAACUUCUGCAGUAGCAUUAGCAAUUGCUUUAUAUUCUGAUUCUGUACUAGAUCUUGAAACAGUAGCCUGUUUUCUUGCACUCCAUGAUACAAGAUUAGAACCCAAGAACACAGCAAACCCUCCUGUAGACCUUCUGUCAUCAACACUGCCAGCCCAGUCUGCAUCUGAAAAUGCACUCACCAAAGUCGAAGGAGACUUCUGUAUUUUCAAGCCCAAUUCUGUACAUUGCUUCAAGUACCGUAAUAUUCUUUUAACUGCUGCCCAAUGUACUGUGGUAGGUGCAUGAAGAAAUUGACAGACUUUAUUAACAGAAAAGGCUAUAUCAGGUCUAGUGAGGGUUAGAUAUUGAAGAGCACCAACAAUGCUUCUAUACCGUGAUGUAUCAUCCGGUCCCAACAAUGAUCCUUCAUGUAAUGAUAAUUUUUCACUAGUGGAUAAUGGAGUAUUAACAGGCUUGCAAUCUGACAUACCAACUCUUUUUAGAAGAUCAGAAGCAUAUUUUCUUUGAGUGAGAACAAUGCCAUCUCGCACCUUGGCAACUUCUAUACCGAGAAAAUAAUGCAGAUCUCCCAGAUCCGUUAGAGCAAAUUCCCCCUGCAAAUCUUGAAGUAACACUGUGGUAGCAUGUGGUGUAGAGCUGGCUAUAAUAAUAUCAUCAACAUAAACAAGGAGAUACAUGCUAACAUCAUUCUUGCGAUAAAAGAACAAAGAGGUAUCAGCCUUUGAAGAUUGAAAACCGAGUGAUAUCAAUUUAGCACUUAGUCUAGAGUACCAUGCUCUGGGCGCCUGUUUCAGACCAUAUAAGGCUUUAUCUAGGCGACAAACAAAGUUUGGUCUUGAAGGAUCUUCAAAACCAGGUGGCUGUUGCAUAUAUACCUCUUCUUCAAGAUUGCCAUGGAGAAAAGCAUUUUGUACGUCAAGUUGUCUGAGAGUCCAUCCUCGAGAAACAGCAAGAGAUAGAAUAAUACGAAUAGUAGCAGCUUUAACAACAGGACUGAAAGUUUCCUCAUAAUCUAUUCCAUAUCUCUGCUUAAAACCCUUUGCUACCAAUCGAGCUUUAUAUCUAUCCAAGCUACCAUCAGAUUUUCUCUUUAUUCUGUAUACCCAUUUGCAACCAAUAAUAUUUCUACCCUUUUGAGGUGGAACAAGGUGCCAAGUUUUAUUCUUCAUUAAGGCAUUGUACUCAAGAUCCAUUGCAUUUUUCCAAUUACUAUCAGCUAGAGCCUCGUCAGUACUACUAGGUUCCCCUGUAGUUGUCAAAAAUCCAUACCUGACAGUACCAUCUGUGUAUAUUUUCUCCUUGCGUAUGCCACUUUGAAGUCUGGUUACAGGUCGGGUUGCAGCUGGAGGUGCCUCUGUUGCCGCAGCAGCAGUCUGGCCUGCCUGGCCCGGCGAAUCUCCCGCGCGCGGGGAAGAAGACGUGGCCGCGCCUGGCUGGUGCGGCGCGGUGUCCGAAGACGUGGCCGCGCCUGGCUGGUGCGGCGCGGUGUCUGGAUCAGGCGCCGUCGCGAGAGGAGAAACCGGAGAUAGCGUGGCGUCCGGCGGUUGGCCAAUGGACGCACCCGAACCAGACUCCGAUCCCGAGCCCGCAUGCGAAUUGCCUCCGGAGUUUGCAUCACCGGUUCCUUCCGAAUUGUCACCAGCGUCUCCCUGAUUCUCAUCAUGCAACUCAGAGGAAACAUUAGAAGAAUUAGAUGAACCAUUAGCACACUGAUCUACUGCAUGUUCGCCCCCUACAUACGGAUAAACAAGAUCAGAAGGAAGACAUAAGAUCUCGGAGCGAAGACGGGCACCGGCAUUGGGAUGCAGCUCAGUGAAGGGAAAAAUAUUUUCAUCAAAUAUCACAUCCCUGGAGAUGUAAACACGGCCAGUGGAGACAUCAAGGCACUUGUAGCCUUUGUGCAAGGUGCUAUAACCAAGAAAGACACAUCUUUUGGAUCGAAAUUCUAGUUUGUGCUUAUUAUAGGGAUGAAGAUGAGGCCAACAAGCACAUCCAAAAACUCUCAUCGAGGAGUAAUCUGGUUUUUGAUUAAAGAGACGCUCUAGAGGCGUAGCAUGACCAAUCGUUUUGCUGGGUACACGAUUGAUGAGAUAAACUGCUGUUUGGAAGGCUUCAUCCCAAAAUUUUAGGGGCAUAGCCGCAUGAGAUAAAAGAGAGAGACCGACUUCAACUAUGUGACGGUGUUUUCUCUCAGCUGACCCAUUUUGCUGAUGAGUGUGUGGGCAUGAAACAAGAUGAACGAUGCCAGCUUUAUUAAAAAAGGAAUUAAGUGUCUGAUAUUCGCCUCCCCAGUCAGUUUGCAUGGCAAGAAUCUUACGAUCAAACAAGCGUUCAACAAGAGUUUGAAACUCUUGAAAUUUUUGAAAUACUUCAGACUUGUGCUUAAGAAAGUAAAUCCAGGUGAACUUGCUAAAAUCAUCAAUGAAACUAACAUAAUAUCGUUUUCGACCAACUGAUUCUGGUGCAUGACCCCAGACAUCAGAGAACACAAGUUCUAAAGGAGACUUGGAAAUACUAGAAGACUUGGGAUAGGGCAACUGAUGGCUCUUCCCUUGCUGACAAGCAUCACAAACUGACUGACUCAACGACUCAUCGAUAUAUGGGAGACUAUUAUUACUGACAACUUGCUUAACAAUUAACGAAGAUGGAUGACCCAGCCUACUGUGCCAUCGAGACAGGGGCAAUCUGUUGGAGUUGUAGGCUUGCUUUAUUGUUGGUGCAGGUAAAGGAUAGAGACCCCUGUGACACCUUCCUCUAAGGAGUAUAUUCUUCGUUUCCUGAUCCUUAAUCAGAAAGAAAUCAGGGUGAAAUUCUAUAAAGAUAGAGUUGUCAGCGGUAAGACGAUGAACUGAAACAAGAUUUUUCUUGGCUUGUGGAACAUAAAGAACAUCAUUUAAUUGUAUGUUACGAGUGGGGGUACGAACUGUAGUACGACCAAUGUGACUAAUGUUCAUACCUGUUCCACUAGCUGUGUGGAUCUGAUCACCACCAUGAUACUUUUUCUUGAGAGACAGCUGCUCGAGAUUGCUUGUCAUAUGAUCCGUAGCACCGGUAUCAGUGUACCAGUUGGUGUCCACGCCAUACGAGUUUGUAGCUGCUGCAACAAGACGCUGAUCUGGCACAAAGUUCUCAUCGAACCUGUGCCAGCAUUCAGCGGCUGAGUGAUUCAUCUUGAAGCACACCUGGCACCUGUUGUCAUCUGAAUCAGGCGCACCACCAGAUGUCCCGCGACUAUUGUUGUUGUAGAAGCCGCGGGAGUUGUUGUUGUUGUGGGAGCCACGACCUCCUGCAGGAGGCUCGCGACUGGACCUGCCGCGGCUAGACUGCGCGCCCCCACGCGAGGGGCCUCUCCCACGCGCGUGAUUCUUCCCGCGCCACGAGCCACGACCACGAGAUGCCGAGUUUGCCGAUCCAGACCCAGGGCUGCCUCCAUAGAUCAAGUCCAUUCUAGUUUCAAAAUUGAGAAGUUGUGAAUAAAGCUCACCAACGGAGAUGGGUUCCACUCUAGCGCAUAGAGCAGAGACGAUGGGCGAGAAAUCUUCGCCCAAGCCGGUGAUGAUGUACUCCACCAGUUCUUCAUCUUCUAGGGGCCGUCCUGCAGCCGCCAUGUCGUCGCCAAGAGCCUUCAUCUUGGCAAAGUACUCGGCAACGGACGAAUUUUCCUUCUUGGUCGUUGCCAGAGCAAUCCGCAUGUUAACGGAUCGCGCUCGCGUCUGUGACGCGAACAUGUCUUCAAUGAUCUUCCAGGCGUCCGCCGCGGUGGCGCUGGUGGCCACUUGUGUGAGGACAUCCUUGGUGACCGAUGCGAGGAGGUAGCUAAGGACCUGUUGAUCCGUGGCCUCCCAGUCUUCGCGCGCUGGAUUGGGAACCCUCACUUCCUUCCCAUCAGCGCCCUUCUGCACAAGCUCCGCCGCAGGUAUAGGGGUGGCACCCGUGAGGUACCCCUGAAGACGAGCACCACGGAUCGCAGCACGCACCUGUGCCUUCCACAGGGCGUGAUUGUUCUUGCUAAGCUUUUCCGUGACAGGCUGGGCGAGGAGAGGAUUGGAGGAAGCAGAUGAUGACGCCAUUGUAGUUGCGAAGAGGAGAUGCAAUCUACUCAAAAGCAAUGGCUCUGAUUACCAUGUGAAAGUUCAGAGGAGCGGAGGAGAACACCGACGCCCUAUCUGGGUCGUGCGAUGAUUACGUGUUGAUUAGAUGCAGAAUAGCCCCGCAUGUAGCAGUUACAUAUAGGCGUUACAACUUGAGGGCUAAGCCAAGAGAUCUUUUCUAAAUAUAAACCUUCUAUACGUAGAUGAUCUAUUCCUGUACAUAGACAAUCUAUAUCUCUUGGCUUUAGCACAAUAUGGUAAGGUAAAUACGCAUGCAUCUAACCUUUCUAUCUAACAGAACCCACCCUAAUUCUUAAGAAUUUUAUAUGACAUAUCUAAUCCGAGUACUAUAGCACGCAUGUAGGCCAUGCACUUCUGAAUUAUGGGCGUGAUGAGGCCGGCCAUGCCCUGCUUGUAUAAAUACAGCAGACCACUGCACUGACGCUCAUCUCAUCAGAAAACAUGGCCAUCACUAGGAUCCAGCCGCUCUCUUCUCACCUGCAUACUUGUGCUAACCCAGCUGAUCCUAUCCCUGAGAAGCAAGUUUACACGGUUUGGAUGAAAUCCCUGGUCUUCAACGGCCACGGAUGCACGAUCUACGGCCAGGAUGGUCGCGUGGCCUACCGUGUCGACAACUACGCUUGCAGCCGCAGACGAGAGGUGUAUAUCAUGGACAGUGGCGGCAAGACGCUGAUCAAGCUGCUCAAGAAGGUAACUUCUACUGUUAAUUCUGCACAUCCAUGAGGAUUUGACAUGCCAUUCCCAUCUCUGAAGAAACCGUAGAAGUAGCACUCAUAGCUUUUGGUUCUUGUGAUUUUUUGCUGCAGAAUUUUGGGGUGUUCAAGACAUGGAAGGGCUACUCCUAUUGCAAUGGCCCUGCUGGUCUGGAACAAGAGGAAUCUAAGCCAUGGUUCAGUGUUCAGAAAUCUCAUCGAAUUCUGAAGGAGGAAGGGCCGUACAGUAGUUGUGCUAUGGUAACAGUCUGUGUCAGUGGGAAGGUGUACAAGAUCGAGGGCGUGUCACACAAAUCCGAGUACAGAAUCAGCGACCCAGAUGGAGAGGUCGUGGCCGAAAUGAAGAGGAAGCAGACGGCCUCAGGGGUUGUGCUGGGAGAAGACGUCCUGAGCCUGACAGUGAACCCCACGGCGGAUCGCCUGCUUGUCGUUGGACUUGUGGUCGUGUGCGGCCUCCUCAGCCGUUGCAUCUGAAAAUACACAAAGGGUACAAAUAUUUUUAGGUUCUUUACAGCGUUUACAGAUAUAUUUUUCCCAGCUAAGGAUAAAACAUUUUUGAGAAAGAAAGUUUUCUUUCUUUUUAUUUUUUAUUAUCAUUCAGUUCAUCAGUUGUGGACAUGUGCUGUGAGUGCUAGUAUUUCUCAUGAGAGCAGAAUGGCAAGAUUUUUCUUUGUUUUUCACCAAUGUUGGUCUCAAAGGGAUUCGACACCAACAGUAAGUGCUCAAAACAAUGUGUCCUCCUUUACGAUAGGGUAGGGUUCCCCUUUUAUAGUGACUCGCGAGCCACUUUACAUCCCGAAAAUGUCAUUUCUCAACUACAACAUUCCUAGGAUAUGCCGUAUAUAAAUUAUUGGAGUAACGUGUACAAAUUAAAUUCCCCUACGUAGUCACGCUUCUCACGCCCUUGUGUAGUCACACUUCUCACGCCUUGGUGUAGUCACGCUUCUCACGCCUUUAUGUAGUCACGCUUUCAUCCUCUUAGCCUCGGAACUUCUCCCCCAUGCCAGAUCAAGCUUUCAGCCUCGCAUCAUUGCCUUCACGCCAGACGAAACCUUCAACCUCGUGCCUUUAUCCUUGGCUCGAGAAAGAUGCCCAACCUCGUGGCAUCUUAGGCCAUGUUUAGUUUCCACCAAAAUCCCAACUUUGACACUAUGCAAAAAGAAGAUUCCCCAUCACAUCAAACUUGCGAUACAUGCAUGGAGUACUAAAUGUAGAUGAAAUCAAAAACUAAUUGCACAAUUUUGUUGUACUUUUCAAGACGAAUCUUUUGAGCCUAAUUAGUCAAUUUUUGGACAAUAAUUCACAAAUACAAACGAAUUGCUACAGUUGCGCAUUUAUGACAAACUCCCAACUUUGACACUCCCAAAUUGGGAACUAAACAAGGCCUUAGUCCAGAUCCGAUCCUGAGUAAAAUGUAGAGGAGUUGAAAGUCCGGUGUUCAAAACUAGCUUCGAACACUCAAGGGCAAGUCAAAUUAUAACUUAAUUAUCAGCAAUAGCUGUUAGCUUCGAAAUCUCUAAGUAGCGAAGAAGAUGCAAAGUUAACCGGGUUUUGUUCGCUGGUACACAGCUUGCGAGGUUAACCAAGUUUUGUUCACUGGUCCAAAAGUUGCAAGGUUAACCGAAUUUUGUUCGCUGGUCCAAAAGUUGUGAGGUUAGGAAGUUUCUACCUACGAACGACGCUCGAGGUUGUGUAGUUUUUGGACGAUCCCAACAACCAAUAUCCAUAAAAAUCUUGUUGUACUGCCAGUGUACUUUUGCUGACUAUUAUGCUCCUUGUUAUGCGUGCUUUUAUGUUACGCGUGCUUCCUGCUGUCUCAUGGCUUUAGAUUAAGAGUAGUCAAAGUCCAGCCUCCCAAGUGUUGUUAAAAGAAUGAGAGAUUAAUCAUCGGUAUUUGUAAUUAAGCCACACAUUACUGAACUUCGUCUCUAGGAGGCACAGUUAAAAAGAAUUCGAACUUUUAGCUCGUCUUGGACUCUGAGGACGUUUAUAUAGAGAGCAGAGAUGGAAUCCUUCUAUUCUGACUACUGUGUUAUUAGACCUGAGCAAAAUGCAGGUUGGGCCGGUUUGGCAAAAGCCCGGAAUAUUUCAGGUUAAAAAACGUGACCAAGCCCGCCCAGAACAGCUUUCGGGCCGACCUUUUUCAGGCUUUUUCAGGCCAAGCCGAGCCACCCGAUCUUUUUAAGUUGAAAAAUAAAUAGGAAAAAUAAUCGGGCCGGACUUAGCCCGCCUAGAUUUUUUCGGGCUGGCAAAAUGUACGCCACACCCGGCCCUAUAAAGACCACAGGCCAUGGAAAAUAAAAAUAAAUAUGUUAGGUCGAUAUCAUCUCUGUUUUAGAGUCUUUUCCUCGUUGCUAGUUUUCAGUUGUUCUUAAAAAAGAGUAUUUUCAGUUGUUGAUAUAAAGCUCUUUUUCUUUCCUCCUUCUCACCCUUGGUUUGUUGUUUUUCCCUUUUUCUCUUCUAACAAUAUUCAUGGCAAACCUCGUGCUGUCCGUUAGAAGAGCAUCAACAUAUUGUGGAUCACCUCAGGCUUGAAAGCACCUCAACAAAAGCAUGCCUGAAAUAAGAAAUUAUUUCACAGUUCUCAAGGCCCUACUGAAUAAUGCAUGGAUAUCACACGUCUACCCCCUUCAAUCCAAUGUCGAGAUUCAUGAGUAUGUAGCUCUCUGGGAGAAGAUUAACCUACUAGCUUGAGAUGAUGGAGCAGAAGAUCGGAUCAUUUGGAGAUGGACGUCGGAUGGAGAAUACACGACUAGCAGUGCCUAUCGUAUCCAAUUUAAAGGAAGAUUCAAAAAAUUAGCAAUUACUCCAAUUUGGAGGGCAAAAGUAGGGCCAAAAUGCAAAAUAUUUGCUUGGAUCCUGCUCCAAAGGAAGAUCCUCAUAGCGGAUAAUUUAGAAAGGAGAGGUUGGCCGCAUGAUCCCAUAUGCAAAUUGUGCAACUCUGCACCGGAAACACCCAUUCAUUUAUGCAAGAACUGCCCCUACACGUGUGCAGUAUGGACACAGGUGACCAGCUGGUUUGAUCUUCAUCAAAUACCGAGCAGAAACUCUAACAAGCUCAAUUCAUGCCCGGUGGAAGCAAGGUCGACGGGGGUUUGACAAGAAGCACAAACCUUUCUUCGACGGUCUUGUCUUGUAUUUUUGGUGGAACAUCAGGAAGGAGCAAGCGAGGUCGACAGGGAUUUGACAAGGAGCACAAACCUUUCUUCGAUGGUCUUAUCUUGUAUUUUUGGUGGAACAUCUGGCCGAAGAAUUUUUCAGCAGGAAUCUAAAGAAGUUAUGGACGUGGCCUAUCUGAUCAAAGAAGAAGUUCAGCUCUUUCAAGCGGCCCGAAGAUUGAGAGGAUCGUCAAAUUAGUCAUUUUAAUUUCUUGCGUCGUGCCUCUUUUGGGUCGGUUCAGUUGUGGAGAGCGUUGAGUUGUUGUUUUUCAAUUGUUUGGUCUGUUUGUUUUUUCUUUUUAGCUUUAAACUCCUUCUAAUAAAAAUUACGGCAAAUCUUUUGCCAUUCAAUUAAAAAAAUAAGAAAUUAUUUUGUACGACUCCGUAUAUAAGUAUAUAACUUUGAUGCACCUUCACGCUCCAUCGCAUUUUCAGCCUAAAUAUAGUCAGCUAUAUUCGGUUCUUAUGAUCGGAGUUUAUUAUAGAGUAAUAGUCGGUUUCAUACAGGCUACAACCUUGCAAUUGUACACUGGUACAACGGGGGAAAAACAUCCACCAAAAGGACAAAGCGUCCUUAUAGCUUGGUGGAGAAAAAAAUUCCAAGUUAUUACCUAUGAACAAAUUCUCACGAAUGCAUAUGCUCCUAGUAAGAAUCAGAUUAGCUGGAAAAAAAAGGCCCUGAAAAAAAAACCAGUCUAGCACUCUCCUGAAGAAGUGGAGAAUCCUCAGCCGUUCCGAUCACAAGCGACGGUUGAUAAGGCCACAGACAACCACCAAACCAAGGACGAGCAGAUGAUCCACCUCCGGUCCCACCGUCAGCGUCAGGACGUCCUCUCCGAGAACAACCCCGGACGCCGUCUGCUUCCGCGCGAUCGUCGCCACGACCGCGCCGCCGGCGCCGCUGAUCUUGUAGUCGGACUUGCGCGAGCACCCUUCGACGGCGUACGCCGCCCUCCCUCCGCCGCGCAUCGUCACGGCGGCCCCGCCUUUUCUAGGCCUACACACCGUGAACCACGGCCUCGCCUCCUCGCCGCCGUCGAAGUACCGGCACGCUUCCCAUCUCCUGAAGAUCCCAAAGCUCUUCCUCCGGAUCCUGAUGAGGGUCUUGCCGGCACGGUCCAUGAAGAAGACCUCGCGGCCGCCCCGGCAGCCGUAGUUGUCGACGCGGAAGGCAACGCGGCCGUCGGCGCCGUACACCGCGCAGCCGUUGCCGCUGAACACCAGCGACUUCAUCCACACCGUGUACGCUGCCUGCUUCUGCUGUGUUGGGGAUUCAUCCCCGGAGGAUGAGCAGCUGAGGGAGGGAGACGACGCGGCCGCAAGCAAAGGCUGGAUCUUGGCCAUUGAAGGGGCCGAAGAGCUAACUGCUGCUGUCGGUCGCUAGCUGCAGAAUGAGGUGAGAUGAUUGUGGAUGGGGACCAGUGCCUGGUCAACCGUUCGUAUUUAUAGUGCUUGCAUUUUGUUUACCAUAUUUUCAGAGGCCUGAUUAAAAAAUUAAGCGGGGUAUUGGGUACUUCUUCUUAUACGCGUCAUGAAAUGUGAUAAUUUAGUGUCAUGGUAAAGUUGUUUAUGAUAACCUUAGCUCUGUACGAGUCAGCAAUCUGCAGCUUAGAGUAGCACCACGUUUACAAAGCGUGUCUCUGGAAUCUGGAGUUUAUACUAAACUCUUUGCUUGCUAUAGUAGUAGGUAACAAAAGUCUUCAGGGAUAUACUAUUACAGGCAGUGGUGUUCUAGAGUCUCUUACUCCUAGCUGUCGGUGGUUCAUGAAGGGUGUGAAACUGUGAAUGAGUGCGUAGAUGAACAGCUGGGUUUGUGCAUCCUUCAGAGCACAAGUUGAGCUUAGAUUCUUACUCCAUAUGCUUAAGUCUAGAUAACAGAAGUGGUAAGUAUCAAACUUGGUAAGUAACUGAGAAGAAGAGUAACAGAUGAGUCUCCCCAUGUUCUUCAACUGCAGUUCAGGAUUUUCAAAGCAACGGGGAGCAUGCGAAAACAAAUUUCAACACGAGUACUACCUCCGAUCACUAAAACAUGACGUUUCAGACCAGCAAUGCAGCUUGUUCUUCUAUACUGUUGCUUCUUGUCAGAACGUCAAGCUUUCUUGAUGGGAGGUAAUAUUUAGCACCGACACCUACACUUUUUUUUUAGAAAACAUCAUUGCACCAUAUUAGUAUGUUACAUUUACUGCACCUCUUAUCUUGUUGGAGUGAUGUGGCGGCAGAUUGCUAUUGCUUUUUAUCCUCCUUUCUCUGAUGUCAUCUACAGGGACACACCCAGAACUUAUAAUUAAACUUAAUAAUUACUCCCUCCGUUCCAAAUUAUAAGCCAUUCCAACUUUUUUGGAAAGUCAAAGGAUAUCAAGUUUGACCGAAUUUAUACAAUAAAGUACUAACAUUCAUGAUACCAAAUAAGUACUAUUAGUUCCUUCAUUAAAUAUAUUUUUAUAGUAUAUCAGUGCCAUAAAUAUUUGUGAUCCUCUUUAUAAUUUUGGUCAAACAUAAAAUGGUUAGACUCCAAGAAAAUUGGAAUAACUUAUAAUUUGGAACGGAGGGAGUAGUUUACAGGCCAUAUCGCUUAAUCAAAUAUGACAGUGUACCAUAACAAUAAAUAAGUAAAUAAACUCUGCUUUCUUUCUGGGCGAUGAAGUGUUUCCUGCUUUUUGGGAAAUGGCAGCUUCUGACGUUCAUGUGAUGAUAUAAAAUGUGGGAGCAUGUGGAAUAUUGAAUUGGCUACCUAAUUAUCUUCCAGCUCGACGAGAAGAUCACGAGAGGCGUCGGAUUUAAUAAGGAGCUCCACAGUUCGAUGUGAUGGCAAUGGUAUGCAGACUUCGGAUCACUGUUCAUCCGAAUUAUUUCCUACAAGGCACGGAAAGCACGAGUGCAUUAUAAAUCUACACUCCACAAGGCAGAAGAAAUCUUUGGGGUACUGAACAUUAGCAUACCUCCCCUGUGGUUUGGAAUUGAGAUUGCAUAAUGUAUACCGAAAAAAUUGUUGGUCUAAUCAGACGAUUUUGUUCCGAACUUCAUGCAAAUAAAAAUAAAAGGAAAAUGACACAUCAACGUAUGCUUUGAAAAUUGAAAGAAAGACGUCUCAGCGUUAGGAAAGAACAGAAGUGCAGUAUGUAGCACUAUCCUCCCUGGAUGCAUAUGAGCUUUGCAUGUUUAUGACCAAAGUCUUCAGCUCACUUUUUCAAACCAAAAAAAAAAGGUCUUCAGGUCACUAGCAAGUUCAGUUAAAUUUUGUUUGGAUUGAUUCUGGAAAUUUUCGGGGAAUCCUACUAUUUUUUUACAGAAAAAGAAACUCCUAAUGCAAUUUCUUUGCCAGGCAAUCCUCCGGCCCAAACAUGCUCAUGUGUUUGAAAAACAGAGGAUGAUUUUUGGCAGCAGUGAAGUUUCAAGUAAUAAAGAACCACCUUUUUGUGGGGUACAUGGUUGCCAUUGAGUCAACUGGUCAAAUGAAAAUGUGUAUGCAGUACUUUGAGAAAAAUUGCGGCCUCUUUUGGCAUAAGCAUGAAAUAGAAAUAGAACUUGAAAAUAAAGGCAAAUCUAUGACCUGCAUCUUUUGAAAGUAGGCACACAAAGCUGCGCUUGAGUCUUGUGCUCAACAGUCUGCUAUAUAAACUACUGAAUUAUAAAAAGCUAUAUUCUCGGAAAAGGCAGUGUAGAGCUACUUCAUAAGCAUAACGACAUCACACACAUGCAAGAUUGAAAAAGGUCGGUUGGGGGAUACUGCCUCUGAACUCUGGAGUCUGAACACUGAACUCUGGAUGCUCUCCUGCUACAAAGCAAAAACAAAUCAGAAAAUAUAUCCCCAUUGCGACACCACACGCGUUCUCAACAGAAACACGCGUGGAGAAGACCAGAAAAUACUUGAGAGGACAUGUGAUACCAUCGUGUACAAAGUGAUGUAUAAUGUACAUGCAUCAUCACUUUCCAAAAGAGAGAAACAAAAGAGAUGUAGAGUUGGGUAUCUGAUCCCUGCUGACCACUUAAACAAAUUUCGCUCAAAUUAACCCUUGUGAACAUUGUUGAUCACCUAACUCUUAAAAAAUUAAAAAAAUGACGCGUAUCUAACGCCGAAUACUAUAGCAUCUGGAACGCAGGCUUGGUGAGGCCGGCCAUAUGGCUGCAUGUAUAAAUGCAGCAGAUGAUUUGCAGUGACGCUCAUCUCAUCAGAAGUUCAGAACAAAUGGCCAUUACAAGGGUCCAGCCGCUCUCUGCUCACCUUCUGAAACCUUGUGCUACUCCGGCUGAUCCAGCCGAGAAGCAGGUUUACACGGUGUGGAUGAAAUCGCUGGUGUUCAACGGCCACGGGUGCACGAUCUACGGCCAGGACGGACGCGUCGCUUACCGUGUCGACAACUACGCCUGCAGCCGCAGCCGCGAGGUGUACGUUAUGGACAGUGACGGCAAGACGCUGCUCAAGCUACUCAAGAAGGUAGAUGCAUGAGAUGCUACUGUGUUUCCUUUCUCUGAUGAAGUUUCAGCAUAACUCUAACACUUUGGUCGUGUGUUCUUCCCUGCAGAAUUUUGGGGUGUUCAAGACAUGGAAGGGGUACUCUUAUCGCAUUAAUGGCCCUGAAGGCCUGGAACAGGAGAACUCCAAGCCAUGGUUCAGUGUUCAGAAGGCUCAUCAAAUCCUGAAGAAGGGAGGGCAGUGCAGUAGGAAAGCUGUAGCGACAGUUUGUAUCAGCGGUAACGUUUGCAAGAUCGACGGCGUUUUAUGCAAAUCGGAGUACAGAAUCAGCGACGCAAAUGGCGAGGUCGUGGCGGAGAUGAAGAGGAAGCAGACGGCCUCAGGGGUGGUGCUGGGAGAAGACGUCCUGAGCCUGACAGUGAGCCCCGCGGCGGAUCGACUGCUCGUUGUCGGGCUUGUGGUCGUGUGUGGCCUCCUCAGCCGCUGCAUCUGAUGAGUGGGGAUUGGAGAAGGAUGCUGCCAUGCUGGCGUCAUUUUUUUACGCUGCUUGCAGUGUUUAAUCGCUGAGGAAUGGGAAAAACACUUUCAGAGUUUACUGGGUCAGAUUUAGAAGUAACCUUUUUUCCCCAGCCGAAGGGUAAAAUAUUUUUUGAGAAAGGAAGUGCACCUUUCUUUCUUUAUUUUUUAUUUUUAUUUCAUCCUUCGGUUGCGGAUCUUUUGAAGUAUAUGUUUGUGAGCGACAGUACUUUCAAUGUUCUUUUAGCAGUGAAGAAUGCUACUGUACGGUUUUUCUUUGUUUUCCCCUUAUAAAGAUAUGAUCACAGUUUCGGUCACUACUGGAGAACAGGCCAUCACUACCGGCCCUCAAACUCCAUCACCGCCGGUUUUGGAUCCGUCGUAUCCAAUUCGGCAGUGAUGGGUACCCCAUCACCGCCGAUUCUAGCUUAUUAAAAAAACAAAAAAAAAAUCCCUGCCGCCCCACCGCCGCUACCCCUGCCGCACACCCCCACCCCACCAUCGCCGCCACCACCCCGGCAGCACGCCCCACCGAAGCCCCGUCGCCAAUCGAGAGAGAGAGGGAGGGAGGGUGGGAGGGAGGUGGUGCACCUGGAUUUGAGAGAGGCGGCCCCGCCACUGCUGCGGCUCCGCCGAGUGAGAGAGAGAGAGAGAGCGGGUGGGGAGUGGGGCUGAGGGGGCCGGGGGGUGAGGGUCGGGGGGGGGGGGGUGGCGGACGUGAGAAGGGAGUUAAGUUAAGUGGGUUGAAAAGUUUUUUCGGAUCCGCGUCUUGUUUCACCGCCGGUUGGUGUUAAAAACCGGCGGUGAUGCCGGUGGUGAAAUUGAGCAUCACCGCCGGUUAUAAGUGUUAUUGUCCGUAUUUGCUUCUAAACCGGCGUUGAAAGGAUAUUACUGCCGGUUUACAUAAAACCGGCGGUGAUGGUUUGUUCUGUAGCAGUGAGUUUACUUUCAUUUACUACAUUCGUUGUCAAUGUGCGUGACUUUGAUCUUUAUCUUUUUCCACGCGCUACCUUUUACCUCUUGGAUUCAUUCACCGAUUCCAAAUGGUUGGUAAAAGAAUGAAGCCGAUCGGUUUAUAAGUGUAGGUGUAGGAGGAGAGAGAGCUGGAGAAGAAAUUGAGCUUUUUGCUCGUCUUGGAAAUUGUAUUCAGCUGAAGUGCUGGAGUUAGAUAGAGAUGAUAUCCUCCUGCUGGUUUCCUGCUUUCAAAAUGGAGCUCAACCAUGCUAAACACACUAUCACGAUGGAAAAAAAAAUCUAUGAAUUAACUAAAACACUAUGCUGAAUUUCUCGUCAUGAUCUACCCCUCUCCGUCAAAACAGCAUGGGGGAACAAAAUUCAUUUUUUUUCUACCCCAGUUAAAUCUCGUAGAGCAUUCCAAUCUGCAAGGUCUUGGCAUGGUCAAUUUUGAGCAUGGAGACGCUGGACCUGAAGUUCUUCUGCAGGAACCUGUAGAGGUGAUUGAUCACGAACCGCUUGAAACAGUUGUGCUCGCCGCCCAUGUGCAGGAUCGUCCUCCCAAACACGACCACGUACCCAUCCCCGAGAGCCGAGUCCAUCGCCUCGGCCUCCUCGGCGCUCUCGGCGGCGCCCUUGAGCGCGGCAACGGCGGACGCGACGAAGCCGUCGCCGACGAGGUCGUACUUGUCCAUGUACCCGUACCGCACGACGCAGCGGUACACCCCCGCGGGCCCCAGCUCCUUGGCGACGAGGAACCUCUCCUCGGGGAGCACCGACCGCACCGGCAGCUCCCGCACGGUGACGAAGAGCGUGAGCUCGCGGAGGCACGCCGUGUGCUCGGCGUAGCGGCGCACGAUCGGCGGGAAGCCGUUGACCAGGUCGGUGAGGAAGACGCAGGCGCCCGGCGCGCGCCGGGCCCUCGCGCGGGUCGCCAGCGCGCCGAGCUCCGCGGCGUCCAGGGCGUGGCGCGCCUCGUACCCGGCCUUGAGCUUGCGCCCGUACGUCCACGACAGCGUGGGCACCAACAGCAGCGCCGCGAUGGCGAACGGCACCCAGCCGCCCUCCCGGAACUUGUUCAUCAGCGCGCUCCCGUACACGCCUUCGAUGGAGAUGAAGGCCACGGCGAACGUAGCGAUCCAUACGGCGUUCACGCGCCAGAUGACAUCCAUGACUAUCGCCAUCAGACUAGUGGUGAUGAGCAUGACAAAGAUCACUGCAACACCUGCAAAUCAAACAGAAGCAGCAAAAGCAAAGCUCUCAGAUCAUUCAAAUACUAAAGCAGCGAAGUACCCAGAAAAAACACGGAGUGAAGCCCCGCGUCGUCCCCGCUCGGGUGACACGGGCGGUGCCCACGACCUCGGCCUCCGCCUUCGCUGCCCCUCCCUCUCCUCCCCUCCCCUGCCACCACCGGAGGGGCUGCCGGAAACCCGCGUGGGCCCCAUCUUCCUCGCUUAGGCUGCGUGUGCCAGUACUGGGCGGGGACUGUGCGGAGCAGCUCCGCCGUCAGGGUGACGGUGGCGGCAAGGGGUGGCGGAUCCGGAGCCCUGGUGGCCGGAUCCGACCAUCCCGGUGCCUGAUCUGCGCGGAGAAGGAGGCUGCGGGCGAGCGGUGCGGCAUGCGGCAGCAAGACGGCGAGAGCAGGUGGCGGUGGAAGGGGAGUAGGUGGCGGUGGCGGUUGCGGCCAUGGAAGCCUUCCCGGCGUCGGCGAGGAGGUGGCCGUGGCUAGCGGGAGCCGAGGAGCCGAACGUGCUGCUGCUCGGCAGAGGUAAGCAACGAGAGCGGCGAUGGCGAGGAGCUCCAGGCCGGGUGCCCCCCCUCCCGCAGGUGGCGGCAGCGGUUGUGGCCAUGGAGGCCUUUCUGGCACUGGCGAGGAGGAGGUUGCGACCGACGGGAGCCGAGGAGCCGAACGUGCUGCUGCUCGACAGAGGCGAGCAACGAGGGUGGCAAUGGCGGGGAGCUGCAGGCCGGGUGGCCGUCCCCACCCUAAGCAGGUGGCAACGACGGUUGCGGCCAUGGAGGCCUUCCUGGCGCCGGCGAGGAGGAGGUCGCGAUCCGCGGGAGCUGAGGAGCCGGAUGUGCUGCUGCUCAGCAGAGGCGAGCAACGAGGGCGGCGAUGGCGGGGAGCUGCAGGCCGGGUGCCCCCCUCCCCCCCAAACCCUCUCUGGUGGCUAGGGGGACCGAACAACUGGCUAUGUGACGGCAUUCUUCGGCUCCUAGUGGCGGCUGUGAUUUCUGGGGAGGGAACGGGGUGUAGGCGAAAGCCUUGUGCCUGCUUGCGGGUCAAUGACAGCAACGCCCCCGGGCGCCGCUUCUCUUCUUGAAGGUGUCAUUCAUUCCCCCUUCUCCCUCCCCUACGGCGAGCUUCCGGGUGAAAGCCUUGACUGUGUUGGUCGGACGACGACGGUGCAAGUGGCGUCGCCCCUUCCCUUGAGGCGUCGUCUUGGAAGCUCAACGGGUUCUUGCUACCGUCACUACAAGGAUCGUUGCUGAACGCCACCCUAAGUCAUCUCCGGUCGGGUGCCUGCCUUCACUUCGAUUCGUCCACCUCACCCGGGUUGCUUUGGUCAUCGUCGUCUAGCAGAUGUUUUGCCGCCCCCUCUUCUCUGGUGGAUGCUUUGUCAUCGUCGUUGGUUGCUUCGGGCGGAUGCUUUGCCGCUCUGGUUGUACUGGUUGGGUGGAUGCGUUGCCACUGUUAUUCAAAUCGUGUGCGUGUGCUCGGUUAGCCCGUGUUGUAACGUUUCGAACAUUCUCUUCUUCUUAAUACAAAGAUACGCAGCCCUCCUACAUAUUCUAGAAAAAAAAUGCUUAAGCAAACUGAAAAUGUUAAUGGCUUGGUGAAUUGGUUACCAAAGGCGCGGCCGAUCUCGGGUCCGCCACCGAACCCAACAGUGAUCACGAUGCACACGACCAUCAGGAAGAAGUUGAUCUCCGGGCAGUAGACCUGCCCUUCGUACUCCUCCGAGGUGUGCCGAAUGGUGACGCGAGGGAAGCAGCCAAGAGCCAUGGACUGACGGAUGAUGGAGAAGCUGGCGGAUAUCAGCGCCUGGCUCGCAACAAUGGCGGCCAGAGUGGCGACCACGAACAUCGGCCAGAACAGAGGCCCCGGGAUGCUGCUGUAGAACGUUGUGCUCAGCUCGGAGGGGUGCUUGAUCAGGUAUGCUGCUUGCCCGGAGUACGCGAGGAUCAGGGAUGGGUAAACUACAGUCGAAAACGCCACCUGCAGGGAAAGGAAAAACAUCAGUACAAGCACACAUGUUUGAAAUGCAUGAAUUUGUAAGAAACGUUAAAUUUUUUGUGGGAGAACUCGGAAACAAUUCUAUACAGUCAGUCAUGUUUACCUGGAUUGAUGACUUGUUGAAGUGACCCAAGUCAGCAAACAUAGCUUCAGCACCUGGUUAUGAUCACAAGCAUUCAGUCAUAUACUCGUAUGUUCAGAUUUCAUCAAAUAUGAACAGGGAAAAAUUGUCAGUUCCUCAGGAAUUUGAAGCUUUGCAGCAAAUGUAGAUUAUAUUUCUCACCUGUGAUGCACAGGAUGAUGGCUCCAAGUUGCUCCCAGCCGACCUUUUUGUUCCUGGCGAAGUAGUAGUAUAUGUAAUGCGGUGAUACAGCUUUCAGAACAGGUGGAUAGUACUUCGCUAUGUUGUACACCCCGAUCACGGCGAUGGAUCCAAACCACACGAGCAUGAUUGGGGAGAACGAGGCGCUCACUUUGUUCGUGCCAAAUCGCUGGACGAGGAACAGCAGGAGCAGAAUCACCACGCUCAAUAUGACAACAUGCUCUGCAACAGCGAAACAGAUUGCCAAUUGGACAAUAAAACAAUUUCUGUCAGAAGAUAUCAAUACAGCAGAAAAUAACCAAUCAAUCUUUUGUGGUAAGUAACUGACUAACUGUUACCUUGUUUGAUGUUGGGAGACCUCGAUUGAAUUCCUUGGACGGCCGAAAGAACUGAACAAACGGAGCAUGAAACAUUCAGAGAAAUCCGAAUGAGAACUGAUCUGCUGCUUGAAUGCACUUCAGAAUUCAGACGAACAGAGACGAUUGAGUAGCAAGACGUGUGUAAAUUACCUGAGAUGGCUGGAGUGAGAGCCCCAUCGCCAAUCAUCAUGCAGGUCCCAAACAGCACGAAGCAGGUGACAGUGGCUUGCAGCAGCGAGCUGCCCUCGAGCCACCGGUGCAGCCUGGACGGCGACCCGCUCCUCUCGCCGUGGAACCUGAGGCCGGCGUCGGAGGCAUGCCGCGUGACGGGCACCGGCAUGUCGCCCUUGAAGUUCACGUGCUGGCGCAGGAGCGAGUAGAGCGCGAACGUGCCGCCCUCGCCGUGGUCGUCGGCGCGGAGGACGAUGAGCACGUACUUGACGAGGCUCAUCACGGUGAGCGUCCAGAGGAUGAGACUGAGCACGCCCAGGAAGUCCGGCUCGCCGGCGCCCGGCAGGACCAGGGACGAGAACACGUACAGCGGCGACGUGCCAAGGUCGCCGUAGACGAUGCCGAGGGACUGGUACGCCAGCAGCAUCGUCUGCAACUUCGUGAACACCUGCACGCCAUUGCCAUGUCGUGCGAUGAAGAACGAGUCGGGGGAAUCCGCAGAUCACGUCAGCCGUCACAGAUGAGAACAGCCAUGGACGGACGAAGGAAACUUAGAUGACGACGUACCAUAGGUUCGCGGUGCCUCAUCUUGUAAGCCUGGCUGAAGCUGAAGGUUUGACGCCCGGCGGCGCCGCUAGCACUCUCGUCACCGGCGGUCUCAUCGUGCUCUACCUCGCCGGCCGGACGGCUCUUCUCGGCGCCGACCUCGAGGAUGAGGUCGUCGUCCGCGAGCCGCACCGCUUUCAUCGGCCUAAGUUGCAGGUGUGCCCCUGAUUAGCCCCUGCAAUCCAGGCUCAUCCGCCGUUUAUAAGAUCUGAAAAUCGAAGCCUCGUUUCUUCGUCUCUCAUCAACAAGGUAUUGUUUGUUUUACGCGUUUCGGUUGGACAAAAUCUUUGUAUAAAUCGGGAUCAUCAGCUGUCCUUUUACGUAGGCAGAUUUGUUUUCACAGCUGAAAAACGUACAAAUCGUUACGCCUUCCCACUUAUCUAUCUACAUGCAUCCUGACAUCACAUGAGAUCUACGUAUUGUUCAGGUGGGAUCCACGUAUUGUUCAGGUGAGAUCCAUGUGUACCAGUAGUGGGAUCCACAUGCUCAUCCGCCAUUUUAUAAGAUCUCAAAUCAUUUUUUUCUCAAUUUCAUUAGAAUCUUCAUUAAAAAAUGUACAUAUUUUUUAAAAAAACAAGAAUAUAUUAUAAUACGUUUCUUAAAAUCUUAAACCUGGUAUUGAUAGCAAAAGGUUGUAAGAUAUGUUUUAAUUUUUAUUUUUAACAUCAUAAGGUAACCAAUGCUCUCAAAAAUCAAAUUGUGAGGGAACGAGGCACACCAUUAGCAUCGAAUCUUGCUGCCAUAUGUUUGAUUCGGACCAUGCCAAAUAAAAUACUCUAUUUACUAGAGGGAGAGAGAAUGAACUAUAGUUGCAACAUCUGAAGAGAGAUUGGGAGUGAAAACUUGCAUUUUCUACAUUUUUAACUCCAUACGCGGACCUUCUAAAAUAGCUUUUGCACUGGAGCAAUCGAAUGUUACCGUGUCACCGAACAAACUUAUGCUCUCUAUUCAUACCAGCACUGAUGAUGCUCUAAUGGCAUGCUAGUAAAUGAGAGAAAAAAAUGUAUGAUCCUACACAUGUACUGUCGUAAUAAAGAGAUCAAGUUCACAAAUAUGUAUUUAAAAAAUUUGCUCGUUCAGUUAACUUACGAUCAUCCGCUUUAAGAUUUUGCACCAUUACAUGAAAUUAAUACUAUUUUAUCGAACACAAUUCAUCAAACACUAUCCAACAAAUUAUAGCACACGCCAUUAAAAAAUAAAAUACUUUCUAUUUAUAUUGUUUGGUUUUCUUUACCUAAACAUUGUGGAUCACUCAAAGAAAACCUCUCUUGUUGGGCAAGGAAAAAAAAUAGAAGAACAUGAAACGUCUCGCGAUUGUAGGCAAUAACAGUGGCGCAUUCCCCGAAAGCCGAGAGAUCGCCUUUUUCCUCGUUCGCCUUUCUUCAACCUCCCGACUCGUUCGCCUCUCCCCACCCCUGCCCCGCCUCAUCACUCCCCCAUCCCACCGACACGCGGCGUGUCACACGCCUCCGCUAAAACCCUAGCCCCAGGCCCCCGAUGGCCGCCCCACCGCAGCCGCUCCCGCCGGCGGCGGAGGAGGGGGCUGCACCGGCGGCUCCCCUCCCCGCCGCCCCGCCGGGGCCGCGGCCGUACGAGGUGGCGGUCGCCGCGGCGGAGCUUCGGCCGGUGGACUGCAACCUCGCGGCGCUCUGCGACCACGUCCAGGCGGAGGGGUUCGGCUCCGGGGCCUUCUCCGACGUCGUCGUGGAGGCCAUGGGCGCCACCUACAGCCUCCACCGCCUCAUCCUCUCCCGGAGCGCCUACUUCAGGUGAGCUCUCGAAUGCAGAGCCCUGGCGCUCCUCCCGCCUUCGAUUCGUUGGGAAUUGAAGUGUCUGUUGCGAUCUGAUCGUCUGCAACUGCCUAGAGUACUUAAUUGCAUUUCUAAGUGACAUUUUUGUCUGUUUCGUUGGGACGUCUCGAUCCCUUCCCUAAGAAAUUUUCAUGUGCUUUGAUCCCUACCGAAAUGUUUAAUAAGAAUCCGACCUUAUCCAUUGUGCAAAUAUCAUGUCGAUUACAGCCUUAAAAUCCCCAAGACCUUAAUUUGUACUAUUUGUUAUGGGUAGGCUGGCAUUCUUGUUGAUAUCAUAUUUAAGCCUUUGGUACAAUUGAACCUAGUUUGCUUCCUUUAGACUUCCGGAUUCCCAUUUAAGCUGUGAAUCAUUGUUGAAGCUAAAAAUGAUUUGACAGAAAUCGGUUACUAGCUAGUGUUUCCCUUGAGAUUUCAAGGCCAGAACUUGUGGAUGGGGGCAUAGGCAUCAACCAGUACUGUGGACUGUGGUACAUUAAAAAUGAAAUCAUAGUUUCCUCCCUUUAGGGAUCCUAUCAGAUUUGUGCACACAUAUUUCCCUGGUCACUCUUAGGAGAAAAAUUAGAGACCUCUUUCUUCUCCUAUGUGAUACAAUUCAACUAGAUGUUAUCCUGAUGGUUAUGGUCUCUGCACUUUGGCUUGAUGCUACGUUUAUUUCUACAUGAUAUAUGCAAAACCAAAGUAAAUUCGAAAGGAAUCUUGCUCACUCCAUUCCUACACCUUUUCCCUUUUUUCCCUUUUCUCACAUUUUUUCCUACUAGGACAUACAAGUAAUUAGAGAUGAGUAAAAUACUAACAAAUUCUUUAUAAAAAAUGACUGGCAGGAAUAUGCUUCAUGGUCCUUGGAGGGAGGCUGGAGCACCUACAGUGGUCUUGCACAUAGAUGAUGCUAAUGUUGAUUCAGAGGCAAUCGCAAUUGCACUGGCAUAUCUUUAUGGGCAGCCUCCCAAGCUUAAUGAUAACAAUGCAUUUCGGGUGCUCGCAGCCGCAUCAUUUCUGGAUCUUCAGGUGAAAGUUUAGCUAUUUAGUUGGUAAUUUUCCUUUGUGCCUCAUUCCACUUUGUUGUUUUGACUCAUAUGAUAUGUUCAAUUGCAGGACUUAUGUACAAUAUGUACAGAUUUUAUUAUUUCUGAGCUUUGGACAUCAAAUUUUUUACAAUAUCAGGCAAGUUCAUUACUAUUAUGUAGCUUUUCUUUGGAUCUGUAUACUUUGAUGAUUGAUGAGAUCAACUUUAUUUUACAAUAAACUAUUCGCUUUCUUCUCCUUGAUCAUUCAUCUUCAUAUUAACUUUUUCUUAUUCCAACAGUUGUUUGCUGAAAGUCAAGAUUAUGGUAGUCAUGGAGAACGUGUCAGAAAUGCUUGCUGGGGUUAUCUUUGUCAAAGUGCCACACUGGAACUACGAGAGGCACGUAUCAUUUAAGAACUUUUUCUGGUCAAAUCCAGGAUAUUGUUGUUUACUUUUUAAUUCUUAUAGAUCUUUUUAAAAAAAAUUGGUAUUUAAAGACCAUGUCACCCAUGCCUUAAGUUCUAUAAAUUUCUUGCUGUGCAUUACAUGAAUUGACUGAGUAUUUGUUUUGGUAUUUGAAUCGAGUAGCGUGGAUGUUAUAUUGUAGUAAAUGGAGAUUGUACAGGCCAUUGGUGUACCAAAAAUGCUAAGAAAACUAUUCUUUUUUUAGAAUUCACUAAGAAAACUAUUCUAUGUUGUAUUAUAUGAAUAUGUUUAGUUUUUUCUUUUCAUCAACACAAGUGCUUACAUGUUUGGAUGGUCUUGGCUGGGAUUUGUUAUUCAAUAUAUAUUCUAUGUUAAUUGUGAAUUGCUGGGCCUUUUUGUUACUCACAAUAUUAUUUUUGUUUUGUUCUUGAAAGGUGCUACCAAAGCUUUCUUCACAAACUUUGCAUGCUCUCCUUACGUCUGAUGAAUUGUGGGUACCGAAUGAGGAGAAACGGUAUGCUUUAUGUUUAUCUGUGCGCUGAAUGAUAUUACAAGCCCCUUUUGUGACAACAACUUAUCUUGGUACUUGAAGGUUUGAACUAGCAUUAUUUACUCUACUUGCAAAGGUUACCAUGUUUGAGUUACAAGUUAGUGGGAAUGAAACAAGCUCAUCAAAUGCUGAUCAUUCCAUGAGGAAGGGGAAGACUCCAAUGGAUGAACCUGGCGAGGAACAGCUAAUUGAGUCUGAAUUGCAGAACUUAAAGUUGCAUGAUAACUUGGGGAAUGAAAUUGCCCAUAACAUUAUUGCUAUUUCAGACACGGUAAUACCCUGGAAUAUCAUACCAUACCCCCAUUGUACGACUAAGAUGACACCCAAAAUUUCUGCUUUUGUUCGAUAUGCUAUGCAUUUUUUCCUUGUCAUCACAAAUAACUAUAUUUAGCUGAAGCAUGACCCUGCUGUUUUUCUGAAUUUAGAAUGGUGAAGCUUCCAAGAGGAUGGGGAACGAUUGUUCUACAGGAGGACCAUCUGGAGAAAGUACUUCAUAUCAGUUUAAUGAAAACAUCUGGCUUUCUAGUGAGCAAACUAAGAAUUAUUUCUCAAGAACUUCCAGUAGUGGGGUUGUUCCUACUGAGUGGGGAAGGCCCAAUGCACCACUUUGGGGUGGUAGGGUCGUUGGACGGCGGCAAGUUAGAUGCAUUAGGGGAGGCUCUUGUUUAUCUAGUGAUGAAUAUAAUGCUUUUAUGAAUAUAUUUGAGAGGGGUUCUCUUCUCUACUGCAACAUGUCAUUUGAUGCGCUGUUAAGCGUUCGAAAGCAACUUGAAGAAUUCGGAUUCCCUUGCAAAGCUGUCAAUGAUGGUCUUUGGCUACAGGUUUGUAGUCUAAUUUCUGCCUUGUAGUACAGUGUUCCUUUUAUGAUGGUUUAUAGAACUUGAUGCUUUUGUUACUGCAGAUGCUUCUGUGUCACAGAGUGCAAGCAAUAGUUGCUGAUACUUGCAGAAACUGUUGCCUUACGAGUAGUUCUUGUGCUUGCAAGCAAGCAUAUGUGAGCUCGCAUACACACUACAGGCAGGAAAAUGACCGGAGCAGUGCUUCUGGUACCAUAGGUAAUAUCUAUCUCGCAGAUGCCCAGGGUGAUGGCAAUGGUGGGCUUGGGCCUGUCCGUGUUAAUGUAAGAGGAGCAGUCGAUGGACUUGCUGGUAUUGGGAGAGGGAACUCAAAUGUGCCUGGUGCAGCUUGGGCUCCUACACGUUAUGUCUUCUCCCGUGUCCCUUAUGGGCUUGGUUCAAGAAAUGGUCAGCAAUUUGCCAAUGAUGAAUCAGAACCUAGAAUUGACCGCAAUGGAGAUAUUUCAGCGGAUGGCCUAACUGCAUUGGUUAAUCUUAGCCAAGAAAGCAAUGUUGUUCAUCAGCAGGCUGAAAGCAUAUUUGAGACCAGCGUGCAGACGAGAUAUCGCAGUGUUGCAUCUGUUUCUACUCCAGGUGGUUCUUCUGUCCAGAUGCAGGAGUCAAAGGAGCAUGAACUUGGGUCGGAUUGGGAAACUGCAGAGGAUGCAACUAUAUCAUUAGACAUGAAAACACCGCUUAGCCAUUUUCCUCCUUUCCGCUUUGGGUAAGGUUACUUAUUUUUCUGUAUCUGCAAUUCUAUCAUCAAACAACACCUCAUUGAACAGUAUUCCAGGAAAAACUUGAGUUAUUAUUUAUUUCGUUUUCCUGAAUGUCAAGUAAUAUCUCUCAAGCUAUCUAAAAGCUUGAGUUUAUUUCUAGGUUACCAGUUGGCUUGUUGCCUUGUUGAUAAAUGUGCCAUGGCAGGAAUAUGAAAAAGAAAAUAAAUUUUCUCAUGAAAAAUGAUAAGGCUAGCCAACAAAUGUUCUGCUAUUUACCUUUUAUCAUCUUUAGGCAGUAAAGGCUUACAAUUAGAUGUGCACAUUGAUUCCUUGUUUCUGGCAUGGCUUGACCAGCUUAUUGCUGUUCACAGAGUUGAGUUCGAGGAUGUGCACAGACUUGCUGAUGGUCAGGUGAAACAUUCGACUGAAGUGUUUUAUGCAGGCUCUCUGUGGAAGGUUGGCUUUGUUGUCUUAAAUCUAUACAUCCUUCUAAUGGCCUAAAUCUAGUUAAGUGGUAUACCCAUUUGCAGGUGAGUGUUCAGGCAUUCAAUGAUGAGGAUCCUCAUGGACGACGCACCCUUGGUAUUCUUUUUAUUACCAUGUCCUCACAAGCUUACCUCUUGCCUGACUGUCCAAGUAUAAUAAUAUGCCUUGUACAAAUUUAACUGGCAAUACAGGACUUUUUCUCCACCGACGCAAGGCUGAGUUUUUAGACCCCUUGAGGAAGGUGAGUGAUUUACUGAAUUCAUUGGUUUAUGGUCAAAUUAACUGAUAAACUUAUUCCUUAGGUCCACAUGUAUGUUGACCCUCGGGAAAAGGUUACUGCUCGGUAUCAGGUGCUUAUACCCACUUUUCAUCAACUCAUCUUCUAUUGAGGUAUUGUGUAUGUCCUAAUUUGCAAAAUUGUUUGUUGCUCGUAGCUCAUCUGUCCAUCAAAGAGAGAGGUCAUGAUAUUUGGAAGCCUGAAGCAGGCUGGGACGCUGCUACCAAAAGCCCCAAAGGGCUGGGGCUGGCGCACUGCUAUAUUGUUUGAUGAGCUUGCAGAUCUUCUCCAGGCUGGCGCCCUGCGAAUAGCGGCAGUAGUCCAGCUUGUCUAAAACAACAAGUUGCAGAAAAGAAUAACCUGCAAUGCUGGUGAUAUCACAGCAUGACAGCAGUGUAUGUAGUUAAUACCUGGAAUAUCUCUAUAUAUUGUUCUGAUUAAAAAAAACUCAAUAUAUAUUGUUUAAAUGCUAAACUUCUUAGUCAUGCUCUGAAAGUGUGCAGUAAGAUCUAAAUAUUGGGACAAAAUCUUUGGCUAUAAAUCUAUUUAUUUGGCUACAAAUCUUAAUAUUUUGGGACAAAAUCUUUGGCUGCAAAUAUAUUUAUUUUGACGACAAAUCUAAAUAUUUUGAGACAAAAUCUUUGGCUACAAUUCUGGUAUUGUAAUAACUGAAGUAUAAUAGUUCCUCAAGAAUAACAAAUUGGAAUGCUGCAGUACCAGAAUUGAAGUGUAAUAACAGUAUAACACACAGCAAUUGAAGUGAAUGGAAGUCCAAGAACAAACUGGACUACUGUAACGUGCAAAACCGACAGGUCGUGUGUCUAGGAAUUACUCGCGCCUUGUCAUGUUGUCGGUGUCUCCGGAAAUCAGUACACCGAGCAUAUUUGACUGUAUUUGGACUAUGUUGCGUGCAUUUAUAUUUUGCGUAUCCAUUCACCAGUUGCUUUUCCGUAUCCAGAGGAAAAAAAACUACUACUUUAUUAUAUCCACAGGAAAAAAAACUAUACUAUUUAUUUUGACCAUACAGCAAAAAACUACUACUUUAUUAUAUCCACAGGAAAAAACCAUAAAAUAUUUCAUAAAACAAGGGUAGUAAUAAAUUGUAUAGUAUCCAACAUUUGGGUUUUGCCGUUUUGCUAUCCACAGGAUAGGCCUAGGGCCAAAGCAACCCCUCUAAAUCUUGAACAUGUGUAUGCCCUUUUCUCCGCACCAAACUGCCAUGGCGUCCAACAGGAAAGUAGCAGCUCCUGCUGUCUUCGCCCUGGCCUUGCUCCUCGUGGCCUAUUGUAAGUAAAACAACCCUUGUUGUUUUCAUAUAUUCUCGCGAAAUUUCUGCGAAUUUAAAUUUCCUGACAAGGUUUAUGUUUGUACGUACAUAGGUGCGGAGGCAUACAUGUGCACAACGCAGAACAGGUUUUUCCAUGGCAGGUGCGUGAACAAUCUGAACUGUGCGAGCUCGUGCGUGCACGAAAGGCUCGGCACCGGCGGGCACUGCGCGACGAGGAAGCGCAGCGCCGCCGACCCCGGCGUCGACAUCGACUGGGUCUGGAAUAGAAGAAUCUGCGUGUGUGUCUUCCAGUGCAGGUGGCCAUCGCCGCCGGGAGAAGAAGAGCCGCCGUCCGGCGGGGAAGAGCCGCCGGCCGGUGGGAGACAGCCACCGUCCCUCCGUCACACCCAGGAAAUCCAACCGAAUUUUUAAGGGUAGAUCCACGUUCGACGGAAUAAAAGCAGAACGUACUGUAACUGCAAUCGCAUGACAGUAAUUUAGUAAGUUUUUAUCCAUGAAUAUUUUCAUGGCGAAGGCCCAGCGUCUUGUUUAAAUGCGAGAGCAUGUGCUUUCAAUCGACAAUACGAUCUGGACAUGCUCAGUUUCCUGCUCAGUCCGGCCAGUUGCCUGUGAUCGAUCGAUGAUUUGCCCAUUACUCCAGUAGGAGCUUGGAGCUGAACUACACAGAUUCCUGCUCGCCCUCGGAUCACGGUCAUGCCUUUCUGGAUUAGUCCAACAAUGGUUGGAACAUGGGAAACCGAUCGCUGCUUUCUAGUCAGGCCUCCUGGCCUCGAAAGUCAGAAACCACCUUCAGCUUUCAGUCUGUCACCACUCCGAUCUGGACUUCAAAAGGAAUGCACAGCACGAAUGCAAAGAGUGUCGGUGCAAAUACUGACAGUAGUGUAGUGGGCUGUAGCUGCAAUGCUGCAUCCUGCGUGUGAACAGAAUCCCAAUGAUUUCACUCCUCCGCUGUGUCAGUGACAUGUGGGGGGGCACUUGGCACUUGUUUAUCGAGCGCAGCCUGUCCGAAAAAGGCUCCGCUUUUCCCAACACUCGUUUCAAGUAUUUUCCCUCUUAGGAUAUAUCCCUAAGCCCUUAUACAAAUAAUAAAAUGUUUCAAGUCUUCCUUAUAAACUGAGCUACCUUCAACUCGAAUUUGCAUUACAAGAGUUCUUAUAUUUUCCCAACAUUCUUGUGUGGUGCUUGAGCCUCCUUCGACUCAAAAUGGUUCCUGGUUGUAUACUUGUAUCCUAACAUGGAUAAGAUUAUUAGACCACUUCCUUUCUACAGAAGCAAUUUUGCACGAGGUUCAUGCAUUGUGUCCGUACUUCUAACAUGGCAGAACCCUUAUAGGUCGAUCCGCCUCCUGCCACCUUUUUGACUAUCUUGUCCUAUAACCUCGAUCGAGGGAAGAAGCUUAUAGGCUUACCGUAUUGACCUGUUGGCCGGAAUCGUGCUUAGUUAUUGCGUUUAGCGAAAACGUCCGCUGUACCUUCAGCAUUUUCAUGUAUACAGCUUGAAACAUAUGACACUACAAAACGGCAAUUGUUCUUGACAAUUGACAUAAUGUGCAAGCGUUUCUUUUUUUUUUAAAUAAAUGUGCAAGCAUUUCAUUGUUCCAAAACAGAACUCAGUAUUUCAGAUAAACUAACCUAUAUAUGUCUCUGUUUAACCCUCCCUUUUCUUUUAGCAAAACUUGAUGAAUUCCUAGCCGUUUGCAAACUAAUGUUGACGAGCCGCUGUUGACCAUCAAAAAUUCAAAAGUUCAAACGAAAGACUGGUAGCUCGUAGUGAGAGGAACUAUAUCGCCCGAAACAAGAAAAAGACCAAGCUGAGAGCCAUGACUGAGCAUUAUAUUACACGAACGAAUCAGGUAUUCGUUUUGCCUACAAAUGCCAAAUACAACAAAUGAAUUAUAGAGCAAGAAUCGUCUCGCUCCAUGUCAAUUGAUGGAUCUCAAUCCAGCUACAGAAACCACCACCAAAAAUCAAAACUGAAACAAAAAGGGGAAAAAAAAGAGCUAGGAGGCUUUGUCUUACAAGGUGCAAAAGUACGUGGAGCUAGCGUUCAUGAGACCGUGCCGCCAUGAACCCGGCCAGGUCACCUCGCCUGCUCGACGGCCGCUAGCCCCUGCACUGGGUGAUGGCGGAGCAGCCCCGGGAGUAGGGGUUGGCGGCGCCGCUCGGCCGGCAGUUGUAGUAGGACGCGCCGCGGUACGAGCACGGCACGUUGCCGGCGCUCAUCGCGCCGUAGCCGAUGUAGCCGCUCCCUCCCAGCUCCCUCCUCCUGCCCAUCGCGCACUCGCCCACCGUGCCCGUGCUGCAGGCCAUGCCGUGGGCGGCGGCACCCCGCGGCGGGCUGGCUGCGACGAGGAGGAGCACUGCAGCGACGACGGCCGCGAGCGCCACGCGGCUCCGUGGCGGUGGCAUCGCGUGCACCCGGCCGGCUGCUUGCUGCUGCAGGCCUUGCAUUGUCUGCGUCGUUUCUGCCUGUGUGCCAGUGGCAGCGCUAGCAAACUUUUAAAGAUCCGAGGAGUUGGUUAAAAAGAAGAAGAGAAGAUUCGCUUUUGAACAAGGUAAGGGCAUGUGGAAAUUCGCAAUUAAUAAUCUUAACCCUCUUUACACGCAGCACCUCCAGAUCUGAUACUGGUAUCAACUACCUACCAUCCCUAGUAUCAACCAUAUAAAAUUACUGGGAAUAUUCAAUCAUUUCUAACUCAAAUGUAGGUGUGCAUAUUAUUUUCUUUACAACUGAAAACAUAGGAUGAAAGGGAAAUGGUGCUGCAAUACAGAAAAUGAAAACGAUCAGGUUAGGAAUUUUUCCAUACUUAUAAUUUUAACAAAUAAGUACGAAAACGAUACCGAACGAUACAGGAAUUUCCCGUCCGAACGAUAUGGUGAGUUGUGAUUUACAGCAAAUAUAUACACCUAAAAUGUGUUCGCAGAAGCCAUGACCCUAUCUGUAAACUACCUGGUCUUGAGCCAAAAACACCAACAUGUUUUUGUAAGGACUUGAAGGGAUUGCCUAUUUGUAAACUCUGGUGGCACUGUAUUGACUUUUUUUGGCCUGGAACCUCUAGGGGAGGAGCUUAUAGGCUUGUUACAGUUGACUUGAGAGCUGCAAUCGUGCUGACUGCUUUGUGAGAUGGAGAGAGAGGGCGUGUCUGCAUGGCCGAGCCCAGUAUUCUUGCCAAUCCGGCCCACAUUGUUUGCUGUUGAAAAACAUGGCCCAGAAAGACAUUCCGAUAACCGCACAUCGGGCGCGAUGGGUUCGGUUGAAACGGGGAUAGGAAUUGCACGUGGGCUGGGUUUGUUUUAGAUUGGGUCUCAGCCCACUAGGCCACAUGACGACGGGUUCUUCGGUUCAGUCCUGCCUGCUGCAUGGAGGACGCGCUGCGGAAAGAAUAGACCUGCGCAGCUCGAUGGAGCAACGCUUAAUGGCCCGUAGAUAAUUACUUGGGUUUCACUGGAAAAUGGAAAAUAGCAAAAUUUGAAUCCGUUCCAGCAAAAAAGAAAAUAAAAUCGACGAACGUUGCAGCAAAAUUCGAAUUCAACUUCAUAUCCAGGGGUCACGGCAAGCACUCCGCUUCUCGAGCUCUGCAAAGCAUGCUACUGCUGCUUCUGAAUCUGUCUCCACUCUCUCUCUCUCUCUCCCUGAUCUGUACAGGAAAAGAGUGUCGGUGCACGAACUGAUCAGAUCGAUUCCAUGUGAAAGGAAUCGUGCCUGUGCAUAACAGGACAAGAUCAGGACCACACUUGCGUGUCGAUCAGAUUCCAUCUGAAUUAAUAAGCAACCUAGAAGGGAUCGGAUCAACAAAGCUAGUAUGGGAGCUUGAACAAGCAAUUUGUAUGGACGAAGAAUGUAAUGAGAACGAAGAGGAGCUCUCACAUGUCGCCUACCAAUGCCAAUUACAAGAAUAUAUGGGAGCAAGAAGAAGCUUGAUCCACCUCCCAAAACCCAGAUGCUAUAGAACAAGAAAGGAGAAGCGAAGAAGAAACAGGUUUCCCUUACAAGCUAGCUGCUGCUGCAAGAACCUGAGACGAUGAAACCCAAGCCGCUAGCCUCUGCAGCGGGUGAUUUGGGAGCAGCCUCGGGAGUAGGGGUUGGCCGGCCCGCCCGGCCGGCAGUUGUAGUAGGACGCGCCGCGGUAGGAGCACGGCACCCGCCCCCGGCUCAUCGCGUCGUAGCUGAUGUACCCGCCGUUCCCAAGCUCCCUCCUCGCCGCGCCGCCCGCGCACUCCUCCACCGUGCCCGCCGCGCCACGGUCGUCGGCGGGCACCACCCAGCUAUCCGGAUCCACCACCGCCGUCGUCUGGCCGGACGCUCGCGACGCGGCCACGGCCAGCAAGAGCGCCACGACCACCGCAAGCGCGGCGCGGCUCGGCGGCGGCGGCAUUGCCGGCUCGGUGGCCGGCCGAAGCGCGCCUGCUGUGCUGCCUCCCCUUCGCUGCAGCCGGCGGCGGCCCUGCGCUCGCUCUAGCUCUUUCUCCCUACUCGUGGGAUUUUCCCAAGGAGGCCAAACGGCUAAUGAAUGUGGGCGGCGAUCGUGGACGAUGAGGACCCCGAUCCCAGGGGCAACAUGGCAACAUGGCACGCCUGCCACGCCGGCACUAAUAUACGGGGGAGGCGCCUUGUCCGCGCCCGCGCGCGCCGCACAUGACAUGAGGCCGGAGCUGCACCUGCACCGGUCGCGCCUGGCACUGGCAGGCACGUCGGGGGCCGGGAGCACGUGCCGGCGCCCCGUUUCUUACCAUAUCCUGCUUGGAUGUAUGCUUCCAGCUCCAGCUGAGCUCUGGGGUAUGAGUACGAACGGCUAGCCCUAGUUCCCCUGUCUCAUCUGCUCAUCAGAUCUGCUCAUCAGUCACCCCCCUGACAUCUGCAUAUGCUGCUGCUUAGCUAGAUUCGGUUAUUCAAAUGGGACUGCUGGGACAUGCCCGGCUGGCCGUUGCGUGAAUCUUGGACUGCUCAUUAUUCGAAAAAAAAAACCUUGGCCUGCUCACUUCACCGCAGUGAUUAUACGUAUUGAAGCAUUGCACUAGCAACAACAGCUCGUGCUCAUCGGUGCGAAAGAGGAAAAGGUCAAAGAUCCUAUGUUUCAGAAUGAGUUCAUGAUGCGCCCUUUUAAGAACAGCAUAAUGCGCCAUUUUGCAGUUGUGGAAGAAGCCCAGAGUGUUAAGCCCAUCAGAGGCCCAAAUAACCGUAUGUGUUGAGGAAGCCCAGAGUGUUGUUAGACUGCUGAUCUUUUUCUAACAGCCCAGCACUUCAACGACUACACCUUUUUGGGCUGAGCCUAAAUUUCAGAUCAGGUUCGCUAUCUUCUGGGCUCCACUUUUUGGGCCCGCUCCUUACCUUUGCCACGCGGCCUGAAUGAGAAGAUGUUCCUAGAUUAUGCGGUUAACUUUACUCUAAUUCCAGAAGAAUAUUAGUAUAAAAUAUUUUUUCCGUUUAAAUUUCCGGACCGCAGGCAAUAAAGCUACAAUGACGACUGCCGAAGCUCAUGACAACUAGAACUUUCAUUUUGAAAUAAGUAGCACUAUUGUUGAUGUUCUGAGUUGACUCAUGCUUAUUCAGCGAGAGGGGAAAAAAAAUUUGGCCCUGUACUUCUCAGACAGUGACCAGCUGACCUCCCUAAUCGAGAGCAGCUAGGCCUUGGGCACCAUGCUUACAAGCUUAAACUAGCUUUCCCUGCUGCCUAAAUGGCAGACUAGGACAGCAGUUUUCACGCCAGCUUUGCUUUGUGUUAAAGAAACGCUUAUGUUAACGUACUAGUAGCCCGUUUGCUUUCACUUCGCUUUCAUGGGGAUGGUGAAGAAGAGCGCACAACCAUCGGUAUCAGUUAACUAACCGCACUCUGGAAUCCAUAAUUGGUGUCCCUCGGGCAAUUCCAAAGCAGAGGCCUCUGCUCCACUCCAGUAUCCUAUUAGUACUAAGCUGCCAAGAAUAUUCAGAGAUCACAGGUCCCUGUGCUUUGGUUUCGGCCGCCAUCUAGACCCCACAUCAGGCUCGUCUCAUGAGCCUGCUUGCUGUUGUUUGAGCCGCCAUCUCUUUACUGCAUUCUGCAUGGUACUUGCUGGGGGCAAGCUUAUCCGGGGUCACAGCUUGUCUGCCGCUGUUGUCUUCCAUUCAGGUCGGUUCAGGGUCAAUGCAUCAUGCCCGAAGCCCAACGCUCUGAAACAAAUAUUAGGAGCAGUAGCAAGUUUCAAAUGAAAAAGUUAAAGACUGCUCGUUCAGUUCUUUUGAGCACUUCGAAGUAACUUUAAAUUGGAGUUAACUGAGCUAUCCUUUCUCAAAGGGAUCUUUAGACAGAAGCAUCCUACUUCUGAAACAUACUCUGUUAAUUAGCCUGCUGGUUGAUUGACAUAGGAUAAUAUCAUACGCAAGUUUCACAGGUUAACAAAGAUGCAUACUAGAUCGUGUCUUUGCUCGUAUUUUCUGUACAAAGUUCCCAACUGGAAUUUAAGAGACUGAAUAUCUCCAGUUUAACCAAGUCAAAUGUUACAAAAUUGCUCUGAUGUGUAGCACAACACACCAGAGCUGUUCCAUCAGCCCCUCACGCUCUCCCUCUCGUGCGUCAAGCAUUCAAGCUCCGCUCAUCUUAUUGUAGCGCCAUGAAGCCCGAGCAGUGCUACUACAUUGGUUACGUCUACUAAUUCUAACGUCUAAAGACAUAUUACACAUAGCCGUGCUUGAUUACGGAGCAGUGAAACUACAAGCUUCUUCUUUCCUGCCUUCACAUCACGCUGCAAGAAUUGGCGUUCUCGUCGUUGAACAUGUCGCCGUAGCCGUCCCGCGGCGGCGAGAAGGCGCUCCUCUGCGGCGGCGCGCUGUAGUAGUAGUAGUCCUCCGACGACGGGGUAGGCUGGUACUGGUAGCGAUACGGUGACGGCUGAGGCGGCGGAGGGUUGUAGUAGUACGGCUCGUUCGAAGACGGCCGGCCGUAGUAGGACGGCGUGUAGUGCUCGUCGAUGUAGCCCUGCGACGGCCCCGGCCUCGCCAUCGGCGCCGGCGCCGGCGCGGGGGCGUAGUAGGACGCGCUCAUGCUCGGCCGCGCCUGGUUGUAGCUCAUCACGACGUGCUGCGGCGCCGGCAUGUGGUUCCCGUAGCCGCCGCCGACGCCCCGGUCGUACUCCACCGUCACCCGGGCGUCGACCGGCUGCUUCUCCAGCUCCGGCGGCGGCGGCUGCUGCCUCGCUUUCCCCUUCACUUCACUGGGUUGAUGGUGAUGCUGCGGCUCUGCUGCCGGCGCGGCCUCGCCGCCGGCGUUCGCAUUGGCGCCGGAGGCUUCUUUGCUCUCUGGCGCCGGCUUUGGGGUCUCGCCUGCGGCGCUCUGCUUAAGCUCCGGUGGAGGCUGGGGAUUGCUCGGCUCUGCCGCGGCGGCCUCGUUGUUGUCGGCGCCCGGCUUCUCCGCAGGUUCGCUGUGUUUGCUCUGCUCGUCGGGUUGGUUCUUGGGCUCUUGGCUCUCUGCAGGAGGCUGCGGCUGCGGCUGCUCGGGCCAGAGGUCGGCCUGCUUGCCGGACUUACGCAGCUUGGCAACGAUGAUGUAGGGAUCGAGCUUCGUCGAUGCCGUCACCGAGACCUUGUUGCUCCUGGCAUCGAUCUCGCAUCGGUACACGCCUUCAAGAUCAAAAGAACACGAUUUCAGGAUGGCCGUCUUCGCUUUACUGUCAUGGAUUCUGGAUGUUCAUUUCGUAGAAAUAAACGAGGCACUUGCUUGCUAACAAAGCUACCUAGUAUCAGGUACUCAGUGUGAUGAAAUACCAAUUCAAUUCAAUACAGCAAGCUUUUGCGACAUGAGGAAUUUUUCUGGAAGGCGGCUGAAAAAUGCGCAACUGAAUGGUAAGAGAGACUGUUCUGCAUACAAUUCUGAGAUCAAACAAGACUUACCAUUAAUAUUUUGGAGCACUUUCUUCACCUUCUUCUUGCAUCCCUCACAGUGUAUGGACACCCUCAGCACCACGACCUGGAACAGGAGACAUCACAAACCGACAGAGUAUGAGCACGCUGAGAUGAUCAAUUGAAAGAACAGACCAUGAACCACUAGCCCUAAAGAACACCAUCACGACAAAGAAGAAGAAAAGAUCAGUGACCCAACAGCGAUCCUCUGAGCAAGAAUCAGACUGCUGACCACAAGAAUUGCUCUCAAAGGUCAAAACAUUUACUGAAAUUCAGGCCCAAAGAGAGAGAGAAUAUUGGUACCUGGCACUCUAUAGGCUCUGAGGCCAUGAGAGCGAGGCGAAGGUGCUCGCAGGAGGCGAGAGAGCUGAGGAGGGGAAAGUGUGUGUGGUGGAGUCGUGAACUGUGGGGAAGGGCUCGGCGAGAUUUUAUACCACCCACUAGUUUAACGAGCGAAAGGAAUCGGAACAGCCUCCCUACAGAGAAGCGUAGUGGGGGUUUCGUUGGCCCUGUGAUUUUUUGAGUCGGUUCGUGACUAGGAGAGGCGGCUUUACAAAUGGACACGGCACACCACACACACACACCCUUUGAGGCUUGGAGAGGAGGUAAAGAUGGCUGUCAAAGUGAAACCAAACGUAUGGAGGUGGUGAUGGUUCGGUGCUAGUGCUCUUCCUUCUUUCUUUCGUUCUUUUCUUUCUUUCAGAGCUCAUCAUGAGCUGUGCAGUACAGCUGAGAUUUCGAUGAUGGCAACUAAAGCUGCUUUUUGUUGGGAGAAUUACACUUGGAUAUAUCUCUUUCGCUGCCUGUAAAUAGGGAGAGAUUUUCCUUCCUUUUCAUUUCAUAAGACUGAUUGAGUAACAAAGACAAACACUGCAUGCACGGACUGAUUCAUCUAAUCUUCAUUUACGCCUCGUUUGGAUACCAGGAGCUGUCACAUCAGAUAUUCGGAUGCUAAUUAGGAGGACUAAAUAUGAGCUAAUUACAAAACUAAUAGCAGAACCCCUAGGCUAAAUUGCGUGACGAAUCUAUUAAGUCUAAUUAAUCUAUCAUUAGCGAAUGGUUACUGUAGCACCACAUUGUCAAAUCAUGGACUAAUUAGACUUAAUAGAUUCGUCUCACAAUUUAGCCUAGAGGUUGUGCAAUUAGUUUUGUAAUUAGCCUAUGUUUAAUACUCCUAAUUAGUAUCAAACACCCGAUGUGACCUGUCUCCCAAAUACCCCUUUUUUUGCAAGUUCAAUCGUCAUAUGGUAUUUGCAGAGCCAGACUCUGUCGAUAUGUGUGCUCAGAGUCAACAAAGAUUUCCCCUCUAUAGAAUGGACACAUUCGAAAAAGAAAAUUAGGUCUAUCUGUGUCUGGACAAAGACAAGUUCACAUGCAAUUUUUCUUUGACAUACUUUGACAUCCUAUAAACGCCAACCUUAUCAUAUGUUAUCCCUCUUGUCCGCACAUGCUCUUCUCCUCAAAAACUACAUGACACCAAUCACAAAAACAAAAUGCGUCCCUAUCCCUUGUACGCUUUGGAACCAUUUUUCCAUACCACAGUGGUCAAAGUUUCACGUCUUAAACAAGCAAAAAGCGAUGGCAACUCGUUGAAGGAGACGGCACUAUAGGUUACAAACAAAACAAGCACGACAUGACUGGUGAGGGUAAACACCUCCCAUGGAGUCUUGCUGAGAUUCGUUGCCCUCCCAUGGAGUGUUCAAGCGUUGCAGGCAAGGGCAACCGCGUGGUUAGUGGCCGGCUUCGUCACGCCAGAUACCAAAAUACUGCAUGGCCGCUGCUUUUCUAGGGUUUUUUAAUCUCUCUUGGUUUGAGCAGAAACUUUUUGUAGGUUUGUUAAUGUGCAUUUCCCCCGGCCGUGCGAAGGAAUUGGAGGGUUUUUGCGUUGUUUGCCUCGUCAGAAAGUGGAAAGGCACUGACGAACGAGUGUGGCGACGCCUUUGUUUGCAUGGAGGAGCGGAAGAAAGCAUCGAUUCGAGGGGACGGAGGAGAACUUUUUUGACAACUACUCUUGUUGGGUGUCCGUGGGGGUGUUUAGUUAAUUGCUUUGAGCCAUCAUUAGGCGCAAGUUGAUGCUUGUGCUAUGGCUACAUUUGCAAAAGGUGAAUUCUGGAGUGAUCUGGAAUUAUGCCUGCUGCUGUGUUCCUAAAAUAUGACUCUGUUUGGUUAUCGAUGCAUUGUAUUGCAUUGGUUGGCAAAGUUACUGUUAGGCGAUCACGCACUAGUUGUUUUGGGACUCUUGAGAUCAGAUGCAGAUUGUACUGAAUCUGAAUGAGCUCUGUCAGGUAGUGGAUUAUCGAUGAACAAAAUUCAGUUCCAAAAACAAAAAGUUCAACAAAAGGUGGAAAUAAACGCAUUGCGACGUCAAGAGAUUGUGACGCCAAACCGUGCGUCUAGCAGUUCAUCACGAAAAGUAAACGAAAGCGCCAAACAAAUGACAAUGAAAUGGUGACUCUUUGAUUCUUUACGAGCCGUUGAGUGCUUUCAGUUACUCUUUCGAUCUACAUGGAAGAAGCACAGCUUUGUUAAGGUGACGAAGUUCUUCAGCGGUUAGUUAUGAUGAUGAGGUACCUUACGACAUCCUAAUAAGCACGUGUAUAUAAUAAACAGAUUAAAGCGCCAAACAACUUCCCCAGAAAAUCGGAUUCCACAAUAAUCGACGCAUAUCUCUUCUCUCAACUCUCAAAGGUUUCUGUUGUUCCUGUCACGAUCGAACACGGUGACACUCUCAAGAAAGAUGCCGGAUCAGCAGCCCAGCAUUGGUAUGACCGUCCUUUUCCCGAGAGUUUCUUCCACCUCUCGCCUUCCUCCUCCCAUCACCAUUCACCACAAACAACAAAAGCUUCCUCCUCCUCAACUAUUAGCUGUAAAAAGGAGAGAGAUACAACGACAUCGACGGCACAGACUGCAGAAUGCUCCGCGAAAGCGAACUAAAGGCGGACGGAGCGCGUGGGAGUGACGAAAGCAACAGUGUGGAUGCGCUCCAAGGAAAAGCGAUCGAGGAGACCAGAGAGCGAGAGAGAGAUAGCCAUUUCCUUCCUCACGCUUUUCCGCAAGCCGUUUGAGUCGCCGUCGUCUUUAGGUUUUGCCCCGGAGGGAGGAGCGAGGCAGGAAUAUGGCCACCGUUUUGUCGUGCCUAAAGCAGUGCUAUGGACUAUACCAUUGGGUCCAUCCAGUAUCAGGUCCAUCCCCCAAGUCACAUCCCAAGAGCAAGUCAAGAGAUGACUCUGAUCUAUGCACAUCCCAAGAGAAAGUCAAGAGAGGACUCUGAUCUAUACAAGUAGCUGCUCGCGGAGAGGAAAAAAACAGAAAUGAGAAUUCAGAAUUGAAUCGGGUUUCCCUUCACGUUCGUCCUCGGCGGCGACCGAUCUGACGUCUCGGUGAUCCCUUGUCGGCGGCGACCGGUGUCGGUGUUUAAUACCCGGCAACCUACUAAGAGAUAUUCUAAGGUAGUAGAUUGGUUGGUGGGGGACUGCCGCCUGGAACUUGACGAUAAAAAUGAGAACACGAGAUACGGAUUUAUACAGGCGUGAUACCCUACGUCCUAUUUGGGGUGUUGUAUUGUAUAUUGCGCCCUGAGCUUUGGUGUUAUUUUGCCUUAGGUUAGGCUUGAGGAUUUGGUCCUCUGUUGUGGAUCUAUGAUGUCAUGGCCUACCGAUCUAGGGAUCCUUGCCCUCCUUUGUAUACUACAGGGGGCGGGAUUACUAGUCGGUUAUAAGGUAGGAGUCCUAGUAGAAUUAUAAUGUAUGAGUCCUAAUAGAAGUCCGUCUUCUUCCUUCCUUUCGAGUACUAGGGAUCUAUCCCCGACAAGCCCCCGAGCGCUUCGUAGUCGAAUGCAGCAGUCUUCGAGUACUUUUCAGAUUCUCACCAAGUAGUUUUAGUGCUCUUUGAGUACUUUGUCUGGCUGAAUCUUCAAAGUUCCUCAAAACUGCCAUGAGACUAUGGUGUGCUCAAGCCCUUAAUUGUCUUGAUUUUGUAUUAUUCAUCUUUGGAUUGUGAUAUGGAGGGCGGCGAAAGUCGCCCUCCAUAUGGAGUAGCUUCUGAUCCUUAUGUUGAAUCGAAGAAUUAGACUGAGGGUCAGUAAAAUCUUAAAUUUUCUUCUUUCAUCUUAAAAAAAGCAAUUGUUGGGUGUAGUUUAUCAACCACCGAGCCUUGUAAUGAUUAUAAUCAAUUCGAGGGUCUUUAGUCUUCACACAAGUCAUCAUUCGAGUAGUUUUGUGGCGUCCAGCCCCCGAGCUUAUGAACCACGUGAGCCGUAGGAGCCAUGUUGAGUAGCUAUUUGGCGCUUAGCCCACCAGCUUGGAAGGUACCUGAGCCAUUGGAGAUAGUCCGAAUAGUAAUUGACGCUUAGUCCCCGGGCUGGGAGCUAGCGGAACUAUUGAAGGUACGCUGAGCGUUCUAGUGAGUCGUUGCCAAAGUUUGACCUGCAAAAAGAGAUGCAUACAUUGUGUAGCAUAUUCGUAGAAUUUUGAAACUACUGAAAUUUAUUUAGUGAUGAAUGUAAUGUAAAUGUUGUGUGUCAUGCUCUUGUUUCGCCAUAUUUCUCCUAAGUAGUUAGACUGCUACCAUUGUCAUUGCAUGUGAGAUUUUUGUCCCCUGUUUAGCCGUUGCCAUUGCGUGUGAAAUCUUUGUCUCAUGUAUGUGUACUGGCACUGCUGCUAUGGAGAUCUUUGUCUCGCGUCCUAGCAUUUAGGCAUGACAGAAGAUCCGAGGUUUUCACGAAUUAAGGUGUAUUCUACUCGAAUAGAUUAGUGACCACUAAGAGAAGAAAGUAAAAAUAAGUAGUCAACGUUGCGAUAAAAAGACUGCGCGAUUGCGCGUAAAGUAGUCUUUGAGAUUUCUCUACCUUUUGGCAAGGAGAGUGCGUGUUUGCCGCGCAUAGAAUUUGUGCCUCACUAGAGUGUAGCCACUGUGAACCUCCAGGACUCAAUGUACCAAACUUCGUGGCAGAGCCUCCUAAUUCAGUGUACCAAGCCUGUGGCGGAGCUUUCGUAACUUAGUGCACCAAAUCCGUAGCGAUAACCUCCGUAAUUCGGUAUACCAAGCCCAUGGCUGUCGAAUAGUCGGCGAAGUGUAGCUCUGGAGGAUAAUUACCGUCGAGAGGCGUACACAAAUUAAUACUCGGCACAUUAGUCAAUCAUGCUGAAAACAAGCCAAAGAAAAAUAAUUAUUAAAAAAAUGACUUAGCUUGAUUAAUGGAUGAUUGUCGAUGAAGCCGUGCCAGUUGUUCAUGAAGCUGACAAGUUAGAGUUUGAUUCCGACUGGUUGUCGACGGUACGAGACCCACCCUCGACUAGUUUUCUAGCCGAUACGAUUAGUUGAAGUAGUCAUUAGCGAGCCGGCGUAGACGUCUUGCUCUUGCAGAAGUAGUCGAUCGCAUCAUUAGAGAUUUGUUAAUAUUGCCACGCAAGCUGAAGUCUUUUUGAUAGCUUUUUUGGGGUGCGUAUAACUGAAUACACCAUUGAUUUCUAGCAAAUUGAAUUCUUCACGCACCACAGCAGCAUGUUCUUGUUACUUAGUUGCAGCUUUUUCUUCGCAUCCAACUCGAACACGACAUUCAAUUGGAUGUGAUUCCAACUGGCCUCCGAUUCCUACUCUGGCUCGGUGUGCGCUCAGAAAAAAAUUAAUCCGAGCACUGCUUUCGUAGAUGGAGCCGCCAACGCAGGUGAAGCACUCCACCUUCAGCGACUUUGACUUAGAAGCUUCGCACCGUGCUAGAAAUCGGAGCAAACACGGAAUCGGAUCCAUUCGCUUUGGCUUUGAUGCAGUUGCAGGUUGAUUUCCCGACUGAUUUGGCGCAAAAUCAACCAUACCGCGCGUGACUAGAUUGAUGCUCAAGAUGAGGUCGAAGCUCGCCCGAUGAUCUCGACGAUCACCCCUACCUGGCGUCUCAGAUGUCGGUGUUUUAUAUCCAGCAACCUAUCGAGAGGUAUCCCGAGGUAGUAGAUUGGUUGGUGGGGGAUCGCUGGACCUGGAACUUGACGGUAAAAGUGUUGACACAAGAUACCGAUUUAUACAGGUUCGAGAUGCCAGUGUAGUGUAAUACCAUGCAUUAUGUUUGGGGUGUUGUAUAUUACGCCCUGCGCUUGGUGUUUUUUACCUUGGUUUAUGCUUGAGGAUUUGGUCCUCUGUUGUCGUUCUAUGAUGUCAUAGUCUACCGAUUUAUGAACCCUUGCUCUCCUUUGUAUACUACAAAAGACGAGAUUAAUACUUGAUUUUUAGGUAGGAGUCCUAUUAUAAUUACGAUGUAUGAGUCAUAGUAGAAGUUCGUCUUCUUUCUUUUCUUGCGGGUACAUCUACCCGUGACAACGGGAGCAUCUACCGGUGAGAGCAUCCUCGUCCUCCUCACGCUCCGGUUCUCACCACCGGUGGCCACGGGGCAUGAUAUAUGGUAUUCAGAGCUAUCGAUCCUCGGCGUCCUCUUUAGGUUGGUCUGGUCGAGGUCAGCUUGGAGGCAACUCGUGAGAUGGCAGCGCAGUCGGAGUGGUCGAUGCAGCUGAAUCAGAGCACUCCUCUGUCGGCGACACCAACGCCACCACAGAGGUUGGGGUCACGAGCACCAGGCGUGCUGUUUCAUCCAACAGAUAACACAUCCACAAGCCUUUCGAUGGGUGGUCUGAAGCACGGUCACGAGGAGAUGGACAUGGGUCGCUCUCAUCCUCAACUGUCACCAGGUGAUCUCUUUUUGGGUGAGGGUGGUGUUGAUUUGUUGCCGCUGAGCCAUGGUAAGAAUGGUGCCCACAACAUGUUUGAUAAAAUGCUUGUUGAGAGGGUAGUCUGGGAUGCAGAUUUGCAACUUGGCUUCGAUUCACAUGGCCUAUUGCAGUAGCUAGCUCAUAGGGUGGGUGACCAGAUGCAGCACGAGCAGGAUGGUGUGGUGCCUGAUGUCCCCUAGGCGUUUGAUAGAAUGUCACAGCAAGGAAGUGUGCAUCCAGUUUUAAGUGAAAUGGGUCAUAAAUUUACAUGGGAUGAAGAGCUCUUUGACAGUCCUGAGUCGCAGAAUAGUUUGUUGGACCAACUAGCUUGGUUUGGAGGGGACUCAGUUGAUGAGGAGUGGAAACCAAUUGCUGAGCUGGCCACUGAUGACAAACUAACUUAUGCCAGUGACUCUUCUUUUUUCUCUGAACUUGGCAUGAAUUUUGCAGAGCAGGUGUGCAUUGAAAUGCAGAACACAGUUGUGGUGUGGGACGAGGAGAUAUCUUUCCAUCUUGGCAGCAAUGACGACUUAUUGCACCGGCUAAUGUUGGGAGGAGAAUUUACAGAUGAGAAGAUUGGGUUGAUUGUUGAGUUGGACGCUGGUAAGAUGCUUAUUGAUGUUAAUGGCUUAUCGAAAAUUCUAGUACUAGAUGAAAUCUCAGAUGCUAUGUCACAUCAAUUAGUUUGCAACCAGCACGGCCAUUCAGUCAAUAUACAACAAACUCUAGAGCCGAGUGUAUUGGAUUGUGACAAACUAGACUGUGAGAUGUUCAUCAAAGCCAAUGGCAACUUGCAGCUGGAAGAACGUGUAGUUGGUUUGGGUACGGUGAUGCCAUCUGCAAGAUGUGUAAUGGACCACUUCUCUCCAGGUUAUAACCAGCACCUUGAGCAUAAUUUCUUCCUUGUUUUCUAUGGAGCCUAUUCUGGUUAUCACACAAACUGCACGAUUGUUCGCCAUGGAGAACACAGGACUAGGCAGGAAUUUAAAGACAUAUCACUAGGAAGUUAUGGAAUUAUUGGCUGUGUGAAUUCGAAAAUUAGAGGCACAGGAUGUGUGUUCAAAGAAUCACCGUCAUGGAGAAGAAGUGCCUUUGACCCUGGGAAGUACAGAAUAGAAGCUGAUUGUUCAUUUCUCGGUGAAAUGCCAUCAUGGCAACAAGGUGGUUUCAGGCCAUGGAGUAAAGGUGCUAUGUCCCAGGAGUUAAUAAAUUUUGCUGAAAAUGAGCGUGCUGUAUUUUUUUGUCUUGUUUAGCACUAGACCAUUGGAUCCUGGAGUGCAUCCUUUCCAGUUUCUUAUUAAGUUCAAAGUUGCUUGAUGUGUCGUAAAUGAGGCGCAACCAUGUGCAAGAAAUGCUUUUAGUCCUGGACAAAUUGAGCAGCCACAUCAAUUGCAUAGGGAACAUUUUAUUGUGCAAGGUUUUUAUGCUAACAAAAGGGUAUGCAGCUUCAGCUUCACAUCAUCGUGGAAGUGGAAUGAUUUCAAUCCUAGCAUGAAGGCUGCUUUGAUGACCAAGGUUAAAAAGUUACAUCAAGAGAACGAUGGUUUGAUCUAUAAGGUUCAAUCAGUAAGAUAUGUUACUCCAGAAAAGCCGUGGGAUCCUGGUAUUCCAAUGAACAUAGAUCUAAAUAUGACCGAACUAUCGAGAUCAGUUCAGUUAGUUCAGAAAUUUUUUGGGCGCAUGAUACAGGUGCACGACAUGAAAUUCAAAUAGUGCAAACAAAAUUUAGAAGGCGAGCACAUGCCUUUGCUUGGGGACAAGCUAAAUUUUCAGGGGCGGUAAUGUUAUGCUUGAAGUAGUGCCAUGGACUAUACCAUUGAGCCCAUCCAAUGUCAGGUCCAUCGAUCCAAGUCACAGCCAAGAGCAAGCUAAGAGAGAACUCCGUUCUAUACCAGCAGCUCCUCGCGGAGAGGAGAAACACAGAAAUGAAAAUUCAGAAUUGAAUUGGGUUUUCCCUUCGCAUUCGUCCUCGACGGCGACCGAUCUCACGUCCCGACGAUCCCUUGUCGGCGGGGCCACGGGAGCAUCUAUGAGAGCAUCCUCGUCCUCCUCACGCUCCGGUUCUCACCACCGGUGGUCACGGGGCAUGACACGUUUCGAGCAAGAUGACGCGCGUUGAGCUGGGGCGGGCACGUACGCGGCGGCGGCGGUAACGGAAAGGGAAGAAGGUGAUGAGGAUUGGGGUGGAAUGCGGCAGGCCGGCCGGCAGCGGGCAGUGGGAUGGGAGGAGGAGAAGAUUCAGACGCAAGAAAUGGACACGUCGCAACUCGCAUGGCGGGCCACGAGCAGCGGUGCGCCGUGCGCGUGAAGCAGGUGGCAGCGGCGCAGGAAAGCAGAGAGGCUGCUGGCCUGCUGCCGCUCAAGAAUGAGACCUGUGCCACUAUUAUUUUGUGCGCGUUGGUGCGCUUCUGGUGUUAUCCUGAUCUCCCUUCAGAUUCCAGAAGAAAGGAGGGCAAAAAAAAGGUGGUUUUUCCAUCAUACGCAUUUGGAGGGGAUAAAAAGGAGAUGUUGAUGGUAAUAGACUCGCAUCGGAAAUCGGAAGCGAUGUUGCAUAACGUAACACAAGAGAUGUUGCAUGUACAAGUGAACAGUAUAGCCUUACUCCAUAACAGGCACUUACUUCUGGACAAAGGCAGUGGCCGAUCUCGCAAUGUGUGUAGGACAUUCCCCUUCACAUCCUUCACUUUGGAUGAAAACUGUCAAUUCAAAGGUCGAAAUGCAGUAACGAGCACCUUCCGGCGGCGGCCUUCUUCCCCCGGGCCAGGUUAUCGAGUAGCCCACAACGUUGCAAGCCCGUCAAGUCAAACAGUCCCCGUCAACUCAACAUGAUGACAGGCCCCACCGCACAUCAAAAGUCCAGUAGGCCCAUGUGACUCCAGCCCACUGCACACGCAGCAAUGACACAGGCCCCAAGUGAAUGAAGCCGCCUUGAAAAGCCAGCCCUUUUAGUAAACGGCCUGCAAAAUCCUCUCCGACCGAACUGUACAAAUUAUUGGUGCACGCAUGGUAUUUUUUUUUUAUUAGGAGGAGAAAAAAAACAUAGAGGAAGGAGGAGGAUUGUAGCGGAAGCUGGGCGUGCGGUGCUCGCAAGCAUCUCCUCACAUGGCCGUGUUUUCAUUUCAUUCAUCCGCAGGGCUAAUCCGGAAUAGCGAUCGAUGGGAUAAGGGAUGAGGAUUUCGAUUUCUGCCGCCGUAGGAAACGUAACCUCAGCCAUUCAUCAUCCAUAAACCAUGGAUAAACAAUAUAUGCACAUCCUUUUUCCAAUGAGGAAAAGUGCUGGUAUCACGCCCAGCCUUUUCCCGAGCGGGGCGCGAAUCGGUUCCGGAUCCCCCACAUGCCAAGCCGCAUUUGCAUUUAUGCCUCCUUUUUAAUACUAUUUUAUCUCGCGAGAUGGAGAAUUAAUAAAGAGGACGGAUGGAUGGAGGAUUUGUUCUUGGUGCGAGUAAAGCAUUAACAUUUUCUCCCUUUGGUUGCAACCUUAGAGAUUUUAUCGUCACUGGGUGCGCACGAUGUAUGCUGCUCAUGCACACGUCGUUUUCGUCAAUCAUCAUCGCUGCCUGGCUGCACAGUGUCCGGGCUACGUGGUACACUGUUGCGAAUUCUUUGUGAUCUUGGCAUUUUGCCGCCGGACUGAUCCGGCAUUUUCAGCUGGAUCUAAUCUAAGGGAAAUUAAUGACGGGCGUUGCCGGUGGAUCGUCGGUCCGGGCAGGAUGCAUGACGUGCCGUAGCGUGGUGACCACGCGCGAGCACGCCGCAAUGCUGCUGCGCAUCGCGCGGCUGGAGUAUAGGCCUGUACUAGCCGCGAUGAAUAAUAAAUUCGACUGCGACCGGUCGGGCUCUGGCUGCGCGUCCGCGGGCACAGCAGCGCGGGCGGCGGCAUUAGCUGUCACGUCAGCGGACAGCGGAGGAGGAGGGCCAAGGCCUCCGCCACCGCCGGCGCCACGUACGACGGCGCAGGCAGGCAGACGGAGACGACGGCCGCGAUCGGCCCGUCGGUUGGGGCGGCCUGGACUGACUGGAGUAGUAGCCUGCUCUGGUACCUGCAUGCAUGCACGCUGACAACCGAUCCAUCAUCCAUGGGGUUGCCCGGCCCGGCCCCGGCCGGCCGGCCUUGACGACGGCGGCCGCGCGCGCGGUCUCACUGACCCUAGCCUGAGCUGGUGGGCGCAGCAGAGCCGAGGGCGCACUGUGCGCGGCAUGUGGGACGCUGGGCAGAGCAAGAGCAAUCAUGAAGGAUCCAGGCGGGGGCAGCAGCCGCAGCGGCGGAGGUCGGUAAUAGUUCUGAUCGUGGGUCACCUCAGAUAUUUAAAUACCAGUUAAAAAAGGAUUAAAAGAAUUAAACGUGAACUAAUUAUAAAACUAAUUGAUCGUAAGUCAUGGCUAAUUCGCGAGACGAAUCUAUUAAGCCUAAUUAAUCUAUAAUUAGCAUAUAUUUAUUGUAUGGUCAAAUCAUGUACUAAUUAAGCUUAAUAGAUUCGUCUCGCGAAUUAGCCUUCAUUUAUGUAAUUGGUUUUGUAAUUAACCUAUAUUUAAUACUCUAAUUAGUAUUAUGUGAUAGGGAUUAAACUUUAGUCCUACGCUGCUGUAAGUGGGGUGACGUACGUCCAUCCCAUGAUCGCAACCGCGGCCCAACCUGCUAGGCUCGCGUCCUCCACCGGUGCACUUCUAAAUUAUACUCUACUCCUUCCAUUUUAAAUUAUAGAUCGUUUUGAUUUUUUAGAUGUUUGUAUGCAUAUGGACAUACACUAACACGAUAUGGAUCGAAAUAAGAAUCAUUAUGGCCUACAUGCUGGUUGUUCAUGUAGAGGGAUGAGAGUCUUCUUUUCUUCUCUUUUUCCAGAAGAAAAAUCCGCCGUUGGUUUUGGUGGACAACGAUUGGCUCAACUGUUGCACUUGCACUGUGCAUGCACGCGUGCCCUGCUCCGUCUUGGCCAAUGUUAGUACAUCGGAACCCUUAGCCCUUAGCCAAGUGGGAUGGGGAGGCGGUAAGAACGGCAGGCGGUGGCCCACUGCCAGUCUGCCAAGCCCGUGAGGCCGGCUGGUGGCAGGAGGCAGUGCACUGGGGCACGGGGAAAAGGCUGCCGCAUAUUCUGUAACGCACGUACAUACGCUGAGUCGCAGGCCACAGAUCGGGGAUCGCCCAUAUUCUCACUCAACUACUUGGUAGGUCGCUCCCUCGGAGUAGGGAUGGCGAUAGCGAGGUGACGACGGUGAACCGUUCCUGCUUGGCUUGGAUAUGAAGCAAAAAUGGGCGAUCCGUGCAUGGGAUCGGAUCCUGAUUAGUUUCCUUUUUGCACGAGCCAUCGCCUCCAACUCCGUCGCCCGGCGGCCUCGAUCAUUUGCCAGGGCUCUCGAUCAAGAAGAGCACAACCUGCAUGAACAAGCAUCGCUCACCCUAAAGGCACCAAGAUGAUCGAUAGCAACAGAGAGAAGAGAUGAGACGAGAGGGGAAUUCGCAUCACCAAUCGAUUCGUUUCACUGCUUGGGAGACUCCUUCAGUACCGGUUUCUAACCCCAUUUAGUACCGGUUGUGCAACCGAUAUUGCUAUUUCGGUACUAAAGGGGAGUCCUUUAGUACCGGGUUAAAUAACCAGUACUAAAGGGCUAUUAAAAAUAAAAAGAAAAAUGAAAAUUCGGCCAGCCGCCCGGCCCCGCAUCCCGCCGGCCGUGCGCGGCUGCCCCGCCACCGCGCCUCGUCAGUGCCGGCUGCCCCUCCCCAGCGACACGCAUCCCACCGGUUGCACCUCGUCAGAUCUGGCCGCCGCUGCCCCGCCGACCGCCAACAUCCGCGGUCCCGCUGGAUCUGGCCGGCUGCACCCUGUUGCCUCGCCGCUACCGCCACCACACUGCCCUGCCAAAUCCAGCCGCCGCCGGAACCCAGAGCGCUGGAGGCUGGACACAGUAGGAGGGAAGGGAGGGGAGGGAAGGUGCGGGAGAGGGAGAGGGAGAGGGAGAGCGACGUGGUGGUGCCACAACCGUCAGCCCCGGAGAAAAAAAAGAAAAUAUCUGUGCCCCGCCGCUGCACCCUUGCGUCCCGCCGUCUCCGGCUAGCAGCCGCUCCCCCGCGCACCGCUGCACCCCCACGUGUCAUCGAGCACCUCCACACGCCCCACACCUCACCCCGCCACCCAAGCACUGCCCUGCACCUCACCCCGCUACCGCUCCUCACCGCCAAUGAGGGGCGAGCAAAGGGGGAAGGGGAGGGGAAGGGGGCGGUGACGGGAGAGGUAGGGGAGAGAGAGGGACGGGAGAGGGAGUGGGAGGGGGGUGGAGAGGGGGAGAGGGCGGGGGAGGGAGGAGCAGAUAAGGAGGCGCGAGGGUAGGUGUGACUGGGGUUAGUACCGAGUGGAGUCUCCAUCCAGUACUAAAGACCCUCACGCACAUUAGUACCAAGUGAGGCUCCACCCGGUACUAAUGGGUGACCUUUAGUACCGGUUGGAGCUCCCGCCGUUACUAAAGGGGGUUACGGAAGGUUCCUAGGGAACUACCUGACCCUAGAACUAAUGUUUAUUUUUUUUGAGGGCGUUUGGUUUCCUUUACUUAUUUUUAGCACGUGUCACAUCGAAUGUUUAGAUACUAAUUAGGAGUAUUAAACGUAGACUAUUUACAAAACCCAGUACAUAAGUGGAGGCUAAACGGCGAGACGAAUAUAUUAAGCCUAAUUAAUCCAUCAUUAGCAAAUAUUUACUGUAGUAACACAUUGUCAAAUCAUGGACUAAUUAGGUUUAAUAGAUUCGUGUNNNNNNNNNNNNNNNNNNNNNNNNNNNNNNNNNNNNNNNNNNNNNNNNNNNNNNNNNNNNNNNNNNNNNNNNNNNNNNNNNNNNNNNNNNNNNNNNNNNNCCACCUUCCCCAGAAGCCUCUGAUUGACCUUGGACAUCGGCAAGUUACCCCCUCUCCAAAGGGACGGUGCCCUCGAUAGGCGUGUUGGGAACCCAGGCCACCGACCGGAGCGAUCCUGGAGCAUCAGCGGCACCACCCUUCUAAGCGUGGUUAGGACCCCCGAUAUAGUUCCGGCCCCGGGUCAGGCCCUUUUCCUUCAGGGCGGGGCGAUGACAAAAACCCAGGUACAUAAGGGGCUUUCACUCUCGAUCUCGACUAGAAUUAUUAAAGCCUUAAUUAAUCGACGUUUUAUUUAAUUAACGCAGGAGCAGUGCAUUGUCAGAUCAUGGACUAAUUAAGGUUUUAUAGAUUCGUCUCGCCGUUUAGCCUCCACUUAUGUAGUGAGUUUUGUAAAUAGUCUUCAUUUAAUACUUCUAAUUAAUAUCUAAACAUUCGACGUGACGGGUGCUAAAAAUAAUCAGGUGAAACCAAACCAGGCCAGUAACGUUCGUUUGCUGCCACCCGUGACGCAUUAUCCAUUCCAUGGGCUCGGCGGGCGGCGAAUCGAUGCUUCCAUGAUCCAUACUAGUAUGUGAUACAUGCCUGCCAGCUAGCUUAUUGGGCGCUUAUUAGCCUGCUGCCUAGGCGCGCGCGCGGGUGUGGGCACCGAGCUAGCUAGCUUCGUGGAUCGAGGAUUGGAUUCCAGGGCCAUCACUGUUCUCUGCACUGUGCACGCAGGUCAUUUUGCUGAACCUACACAAGACAACGUAUACCCAACCUAACCGGGGAUUCGAUCCAUUGUAUAAGUAACGUUGAAGGUAGGCACAUUGAUGCCAAACCUACAUAGUACUCUAGUCUUGGCAGAUCAUAGAUCGUGGAUGAUGCAAUACAUACGUGUACCCAUGCCAAACAGGCGUGUAGUAUACUAGCACUGACGAUGAUCCAUCCAGCACCAGCAUAGCCGAAGCCACGGAUUCUCUGCUUGUUUCAUUCCGAUGGCUGGCAGCCACGCCUUGCCGGAGCUCCCAAGCCUCCCUGUCCGUCCAUUCCCGAUCGCCGGGCCCCGCCGCGGCGUGCAAGUACGGUUCGCGCACAUAUACCACCGCGCGCGGCCGGGCCGGCCGGUCGGUCGGCCGAAUCCCAGGCCUUGUUUAGUUGGCCAAUUUGGGAGGUGCCAAAUUACUGUUACAGCACUGUAGCACACUGUAGCGUUUCGUUUGUAUUUGUGAAUUAUUGUCCAAAUAUUAACUAAUUAGGCUCAAAAGAUUCGUCUCGUAAAGUACAACAAAACUGUACAAUUACUUUUUAAUUUCAUCUACAUUUAGUACUCCAUACAUGUACCGCAAGUUUGAUGUGAUGGGGAAUCUUCUUUUUACAUAGUGUCAAAGUUGGAAGUUGGGAGUAACUAAACAUGGCCCCAAUCCCGGCCGCGCCCGGCGCGAUCCAUCCGUCCACACGGCGGCAGCGAGAGCCCUUGGUCUAUUUAUAGCCGCUCGCCCACCGCACCCUCUUCCGCAUCCCAAAGAAAACGCAGCUAAGGAGCAAGAGGACUUGCUAGGAAACCCGGCCAAGAGGAGGAGGAGGAGGAGGAUAAAUCGGCGAGGAAUCAAGCAUGUCGGGGGUGUGGGUGUUCCGGAACGGGGUGGUGCGGCUGGUGGAGAAUCCGACGUCGGGGGCGGCGGCGGCGGCGUCGGGGAAGCGCAAGGCGCUGCUGCACACGCCGUCGGGGGAGGUGGUGGCGUCCUACGCGUCGCUCGAGCGCAAGCUGGCGGCGCUGGGGUGGGAGCGCUACUACGGCGGCGGCGACGGCGGCUCCAUGCUGCAGUACCACAAGCGCACCUCCGUCGACCUCAUCUCGCUGCCAAAGGACUUCGCCCACUUCGGCUCCGUCCACAUGUACGACAUCGUCAUCAAGAACCGCGACGCCUUCCGCGUCAUCGACGCGUAGAGGCUGCCUUGAUUAGCCUUCUAAAUUUGCUGCUUGCUUGCUUGCUCAUCGUCAUCUAACUAGCUAGCCCUGCAUCUACCUAGCUAGUGGUAGGUUCGUGUGAUCGGUCGUGCUGUGUACGUAUGUAAUCUCUUCACGUAUAUGUGUGUAGUAUACGUGGGUUGUCGUCGACGUAUGUUUGCACACGUGUGCAUAGGGAGUAGCUAGCUAGUCAUUGAUCGAUCGAUUUGGUUGCCAUGUCUGUCUGUGUUGGUCCAAUAUAGUAGUUCUGAUCGAGUUUGCAAGUGAUUGUUUUCUUUCAGUAUCUUUCAUCCCAUUCUCAUGCAUGCAAGUGUGUGGCUGUGUUCAAUCUCAUGGGUUGUGAAGAAUCAAUCAGAGAAAGGCAGCACUGAAUAAUGACACUUUCAAUUCAUGACUGGAUGAAUUAUAUGCAGAAGAAUAUAGUUGCUCCAUCCGUUCCAAAUUACAGGUUGUUUUGACUUUGUUAGGUGCAUAUAUAUUAUUUUGCAUAUAUAUUAUUAUGCAUCUAGACAUGAGGUGUAUCAAAGUGUAUAACAAAGCCUAUGAAUAUAAAAAAGUUAAAACGACGUGUAAUGUGGGAGGAAAGCUAAAACGACAUGUAAUCUGGGAGGAGGCGGUAUUAUUCGUGGGAGGAGGGGGUAUUAUUCUUCGACGGGUGGACAUGGCACGGCGGAAUCCGAGAUCACCGAACCAAACUAGAAGAUUGUCGACGGCGACGGUGACCAUUCAUCAUCCAUGGAUGCACAGGAUACAUCAGAGCCCGUGGGGACCGGAGAGAAUAUAUAUGCUGCUGACUUGCUGUCCUCUGGUCUCCUCUGCACUCGUCCACCAAUCCAACGGCCGGGCUACCUACUCGAUCGUCCUUCUUUCGAAGAAGAAUCUACCAAACGCGCUAGUAGUUUGUUGACACCGAAUCGAAAGUAGGACGGUGACUCAAACGAUUACGCAUGCGAGCCCCAAGAGUACAAGGCAAUCGUUUUCGCGCGCCCACAACCCGCUCGACGGAAUGCCGCACGCCAUGCUCGCUGAACCCGGCCCCGCUACCUGCUGGUUCUCCUAUGCGAAGGUCCUCAGCAUUGGAAACAGAGAAGGUCGUGGCCCUCCCUGAGGCCUGAGCGUUACUGGGGUUGAGCAAAUGCCAGGAUCCGCAAGGCGCGCCGCUCGCUGGCGCCGGGAGUUGCUGCCACCGGCGACCAGGAAGAUGGGGGUGGACUACUGCAUGGUCCUCAACAUCGACUGCGAAGCCAGCAACGACGGCCUCAACACUGGCGGCCUGGCAAGAACACUCCAGUACUCCAGCAACAGUCAGGAAGGAGGCAGAGGCCAAGUUCGAGCACAUCUAUGGGGCAUACGAGGUUGCCCACCCCUCCAUCUCACUUUCUUCCAUUCCAAUUUACCUUUUAUUGCAAAGAUUAUUGAUUCAUUUGUUGCCUGUGGGGUUUUGAUCCUCAACUCCUUUGUCAGUUAACAAAGCAAUUCAACAACAUCAUUUAAAGUGCCACUGAUUCUGCAUAAAUUUAAACUUUCUCAUAAGAGGUUGUGAUAAGAAAAUAAUAUCAUCUAGGAGGCAACAACUAUUGUUGCGUGUUCAAAAUAAGGGUUUUUUUAAAAAAAUCCUAACUCUAGCAUAUUGAUUUGAGGCAUUGAUUGUUUGCACAGUCAAAUUUUUCACCAUUCAGUUCUUGAAACUGUUGAAUAAUGUUGUGUGUCACCUCUCAGUUGCUUAGUGAUCCAAGAAACGUAGAAUCUCAGUUGCUUAGCAAUCUUAGAAAUGCAUGUACCGUUAUAUGAGUGACAUAUACAGGCAACAUAAGAGGGGAAUUAAGAUUCCACAGGUUGGCAAUGAUUUGUUUCCUUCACAGUUUGGCGCUGGCGUUGCAUUCCAUCAUUCCAGUAGGCCUUGCAGAUCUGUACAAGGGUGUAACAGAGUAGAUCAAAUCUCAAGGAAGACUAACAAGAUUCCUCCAUUAUUUCAAAAGUUCAUGUGUGUUGUGUAUAAGAUCCGUUUAGUAAAUUCUCUCGUACAUAGUACUUAUGCAAAUAUAUUAAAAGUAGUAACAAAAUUCAGUUAACAUGCUAUUUGAAAGAGUUCAAUACCACACAUGAGAUUACUUCUUUACUCAUUUAUCUUUCACACUAAGAUAAGCUUCUUUAUUAUUGUUGGCAAUGAUGUACUUCCUGGAUUGAACUCUUUGGCCAUUUCUAUCUUAAUUCCAUUCAUAAUUAAGAUGAUUUGUUUUCAUGUGGCAGUCCUAGGUCAAAAUUAGAAUUAUAUAGUUUCCAUUGCAUGUAUACUGUUGUUGAUGGUGUGCUACUCAACUUAGCAAAAACGCAACUUAUCGUUUUAGUAAUUAUAUUAUCUAUCUCCAAUUCUAUUGUUCUCAUACUUCCUUUCAAAGCAAUGGCUGUUUAAUCAUAGGAACAACAUGGUAAAGAAGACCUUACGCUAUAUCAACAAUUCAGGUAAUACCACAAGUCCACAACUAAUUUCUUUAAGCGACAAGAACAUACUUCGAGAUAUACCACUUGUCACAACAGAUAGGCGCGGCAACGCCGCGCCAGGGUUUUGGAGUGUGCACGAUGGCCCGCCGCAUGUCCAUCAGAUGAAGCGGCCCAACGUGUUAUUUUUUUUUGUUUGAAAAUGCCCAGCGCAUUUUUUUUUGAUAAGGUGGGCUUGAUCGCCGCCUUGCGCGCCCAAUACGGCAUCUCCUACAGGCCCAACGGAGCCCACGGGGCCCGAGGAUUUUAUUUCGACGCGUUGGGAGUUUCCAAAACGCAGUUCAUUUCAUCCAGGACAAAAUGGAAAACGCGCGAUCAACGCGGUAAGGGGAAAUAGAAAUAAAGCGCUGAUCGAAGCUUACAAAAGAUCAACUUCACAAUACCUGGCAUGUCGCUAAUCACAAGAACAAUUAGAAAAACAAACAGGAACAGCAACACAAUAUCUGACGAUCGAGGAGCAAAAGCAAUUGCACAUCGCGUCCGCCGAGCUCGUGGCACAACAACCGAUCACAAGAAGCACGCUGUUUAUUCCACGGAUCUAGCAGCACCAGAGCAUCUUAAUUUUAUUCGACGCUUCCGCGACA
This 381177-nucleotide long non-coding RNA is filed under the name Setaria italica (foxtail millet). RNAcentral describes it as "long non-coding RNA (SITA_LNC004161)". The stretch from base 121234 to 121305 matches the Rfam family "tRNA". Lineage: Eukaryota; Viridiplantae; Streptophyta; Magnoliopsida; Poales; Poaceae. The record is from RNAcentral.